UUUUUUUGGCACUUGUAAAUGGACACCACGGAAAAGACAUGAUUUUGAGAUAUUGCACAAUAAUUUGCAUUUUUGCAUGCUGGAAUGUUCUCAGAAUGGUAUAAUGCUUCGCGUGUCUCUUCUUGCUCUUUUGUAUGCAGGCAAAUACUACAGAUGAAUUACCGGAGCGACUGAUUGGUGUUAUACGUGUUUCUCAUAUAGAACUCAAGUCUGCUAUUGUCCCAAAGUUGGAACCAGAAACAUCAUGACUCUGGCUCCUUUUCACCUCAAUUUUUUUUUUUUAAAUUUAAAAAAGCAUUUGUUUUAGGUAUACAUACAUGUAUUUUGAUCCCAUUUUCAUUGUAAUUUCUCAUUUACUUUGAAUGAAAGUCAUUGUAAUUUCCCAUUUUCUGAUUCUUUAGUUACUAUUUUUGGAAUGAGUGUGAUAGCAUUAAAGUUGGCUACUUGGUUUCUUAAUGUUGUACUCACAAACAAGUAAACUGCUCGAUUCCCAACUGCGACUUAACUGGUUUCUAACUUUUUUAUAUACACUAAUUUUUCUUAUUUAAUAAGUACUACUAUUAAAACUCAACAACGAACAAAGAUACUAAUAAAAAAAUGAUUUUCUUAUGAUGUUGUAGAAAUAAUUAUGGGUUUACUUAUUUCCACAAGAUCUAUAACAAGGUCUUGACUUCACGAAAUUCUUUUAAUUUAAAGCGCGCUGGUCUGAGAAGGUCAGUUUGAUGGAUUUAUUCCUUUUAAUAUUGGUCGAGAUAAUUUUAGUAUACUCAUAAAAAAUCUUACUCUGAUAAUGCAUGCCACAAAUGUUAUCAACAUUGUCUUGUGUUGUUUCCUUCAGCUAAAGAUCCUCUAUUAAAACAGGGUAGAAAUCAAAUGCUUAAAAUACCAAUUGAACAUAAAAUACAGAAGUUUAAACAAAAUCUAAUUGAAUAUUGCAUGAAACAUGAAUCAUCAAUUCAAGUUGUUCCUUAAACGGAGAAUCCAUCAAACAAAUCCAAAGUGUCUUGCAAGUCUGUAGCAUGACCAAAAAAUUGUAAAUAAGUUUAUAACCAAAUUAUUCCGGUACAAGAGAACGAGCAAGAUGAAUCAUGUACAAGAGAUUGGCCUGGUUCGAGAUAGCUUCUUCACUGUACCUGAAGGUUUGGCUCAAUCUCUUCUUUAGAAUUCUGUGCAUUUUGUAAUUACUCGUGUAAGCAGGCAUACAUCACCACCAUAACAAUAAUAAAGCAAGAGUAAUGAUACGGCCACAACCUCUUGUGCACAAACAAUAUUGUAUAAAUUAAUGUGACACAAUAUGAUUGCUUAAACAAAAAUAUCACAUGAUCGUCAUAAUUUAUUUAUUAGUAUUAUAUAUUUUCAGUAAACCAAUCAUAUUAUGCCACAUUAGUUGCUAUAAAAAUAAUUUGCUAGAUAGAACCAACACUUAAUUGAUACUCACCAUUUCAUUGAACAAGUUUUUUAUGGUGUCAUUGAGGUUGCCUUCCCAACAUCCUUCAUCAUCAUAAUCUACUUCGUCAUCAUCUUCUUCUUCGGUGAGUUUCACUUUGUUUAGCUUUGGUGUAUCUAUGACUCCUUGAGAGAAAAUCAUCAUCUUUGGGCAUCGCCUUGCAAUUACUUGUUUCAAGGACGGGAACUUGAGAGUGUAAUUACCCGAACAAAAGCUUGUUAGCCUUGGCAAACAAUCAAGUGUCAAGUACUUCAAUUUCUUGAAAACAAUGCAAUCUUUCGUUUCUUCUCCAACCGGCGAUUGUAUGAUUUCUUCUAUCAUUUUGCAAUCAGCUAUCCUCAUUAUUUUAAGAUUCACUCGACUUUUAGAUGUUGUGAUUGUCAACACAUUUAUCAACCCGUGACACUUCGAUACUUACAGAGACAUCAAAUUUUCUAAAUGCCACAAAGAUGGUACUAUUUUUUGCAACUUAUUACAUUCUGAUAUUUCUAGAGUUUCCAAAUUUGCGAAAACCUUGUUGGAUUCGGCAUUUUCCUUCCAGAGAUGCUGCACUUUGUGUAAUCUAGACAGCUUUAAAAAUCUCAAAUUAGGGAAUUCAACCUGAAAAUAAACAAAAUUAAGUUGUAAAUGAAAAUAUAUAUCCAAUCUCCACAGUCUUCCCCUGCAUAUUUUAUGGACAAGAUUAAUCACGGCAUUUUAUAUUUUAUUCCCAAAUUAGUAUGCUUUGCAGUAGGAUCCCAAAUAUAAGCAUCAGAUGAAUUACCCUUUGAAACACAUGAAUGAAAUCUGAUGCUAAUUCCAAUAUGAAUUAACUAGAAAAACAGAGAUGUAACACGCAUAAUUUAUAUAGUUCAUCACCUCAUGUUACCAGGCAUCUAAUUAAUUUGAGACAUUUUUAUAAUUCAUACUAUAAAGUUAGUUAAUAACUGCGGUUUUAUUGUUAAAUCAUAUAUAAAUUAAGACGACAUGCAAAAAGAUGAGUCAUUAAAUUUGAUUUGAUUCUAAUGAAAUUACAUCUAUGCAAAAGAAAGUGAAGCUAAGAAAAUAAUAAUGAUAAUCACCUUUUCAUCGAAGAGAGGUUGUACUUGAUCGACUAGCAAGAAGUUCUCUUCUAAUGUUAAUUUUUGAGGUUCCUUAUUAUCUACUAUCAUGUGCAGUUCAGAUGGAGAAUUAGAUACGAAUGUUUCCAUAUUAGGGCAAUUCUCAACGGUCAGAUACGACAACCAAGGCAGUUCAAGUAUAUUCCCAGUGAAGUUGCAGAAUCUUUUGAGGUUUGGAAGAUCCAUGAUUGUUAGACCCAAAAGUAAAGGAAAUAGUGGACCAAAAUGUUCUUCCUCGGCAUUUAGCUCUUCCAAAUGAAGAACCUCUUCUAAUGAAUCACAAUUCAUCACUUCUAGAGAGUUCAAAUCAUUCAAGCACCGUAGCAGAUUAGCUGGAAUAGCACUCAACAUAUUUGUGCAGUCAUCCACCACCAACUUAUCUAAAUUGUUGAAGAAGCCGACAGGUAGUGCUGGGCCAUGCCACAACUCUCUCAAAUGUGGAAAGUCUGAGAGUUUCAAAUUUUGCAAGUCACGGAAUCCAACCUACACAACCAAAACACUUGAACUAGAUAUAAACAUUUUAAAAAAAAAAAAUUUGAAAGGCACUAGAUAUAUACAUUAAACUUACAUUUUUUUGUUUUAACUUCUAAAAAAUCUAUAUACAAGGCAGAUGUAUAUAUAAAUGUGCAAGUGCAAGGGAGGUGCCUGAGCAAUUUGGAUGAAUCGAUUAACACAUACUAUUUCUUUGUAACACUUUUGUAUUGUGGAAUUAAGGUUGCCUUCCCGAUAGUUCAAUUCACCCUCUUCCUUUUUAGUCACUUACACUUUGUAAAGCCUUGGUGUGGAUGAGAUUCCCUGAGAAAAAAUCUUCAUGUUCGAACAACCUGUCAUAGAAACUCAUUCCAAUGAUGGGAAUUCAAGGGUGUAAUUCUCCAAACAAAAGCUGGUAAGCCUUGGUAAAUCAUCAAGUUUCAACAGUUUUAAUUCACUGAAAGCAAUACGAUUCUCCUUCACUUCUUCUCCAACAUGUCCUACGAUUUCUUCUAUUUUUUCACAGUAUGAUACAUUAAGAUUCACUAGACUACCACGAAUUCCAACCUUAAAAUAAAGAGUAGCAUUCAACUAGAUUCAAAACAUGUAAAAAUCAUAUAAUUGUUUUAUGAAAAUAACAAACCAUGAAUGUCUACUAGAUACUUUUUUCUUAAAGAAAAAAGGAAAAAAUAAAAAAUAGAAGUCCAGAAAAACAAAGAUAAUGAAAAUGCAUUUACACUAUUUAGUAUUAGGAGUGUAGAAACAAUUUCAGGUAAUUUUUAAAUAUUCUAAAUUCAUUUUUCAUCUUGAUGCUAGUUUUUUAAAAUUUUUAAUUUUCAAAUAUACCUAUUUUUAAAAUAACUAAACUAAAACGUUGUAUUUCCCCUUUUUCUCGAUAUUCAUGCUUUUAAAAAUGGAAACAUUUCUUGGAAAACACUUCCCAACGCAAUCAACAUGAGACUGUUACAGAGUGAAUAUUUGUAGAGUAUUCCCAGAUUUGAGGAAAUCUUUUAAUCAAUGGUCGAUUCAAAAUGAUCGUCGUGAAUUUGUGCUUAAUCAAUGGCAUAAUCAAUUCAUAACUAAACUAGAGAUAUUAACUACAUCUGAAUCUUUUCUUUUUUUCCAAUCGAAAUUUGAAGACCCAAGGAAAAGCGAAAUAUAUAUGAAUUUGUGAACUUAUAAGCUGAGUAACUAAGUAUCUUCUCAUUUAUGAAAAUCUUAUUUAUUAGGAUUUAAGGAAAAAAAAACAAUUAAAUUGAAUCAUAUUAUGCUGUUGAAUCGUGUUUAAAACAAUUAUAUUGUUUUAAUGCAGGUGAGCCUAAAAAUUGGAUUGAAAAUGUAGAAUUUAGAAUGGUGGUUUGAAGUACAAUACUUUUUUUCCCCCUUGAAGUUUGAAGUACAAUACUUGCAAUAAAUAAUUUGUGAAUGACUAUUAUUUGUAAACACAAAAAUAAUUAAAAAAACUUGUUGAAUGCUAUUUGAAAUAAAAAUUCAAAAUGAAUAUAGCAACCUUACCAAUGGAGGAAAAAUAUUCCGUAGAUUAUGACACCCAGAUAUCUCCAAAUUCUUCAAUUUGCUAAAAGACUUUGAAGCAAGCUGGUGGUGCCAUAUUUUUCUCAACUUAUCCAUCGAGCUAAUAUGUAAUACCUCCAAACUUGGAAGUUGCACCUGAAGCUAAAAAUUCAAUGCAAUUAGAGAUGGAUAUUAAUUAAAUUUGAAGACUCACCGAAAAGAGAUAUUAACAAUUGAGAAUAAAAUUAAUUUUAAAAAAAAAAACCUUUUCAUCAAAGAGAUGUUGAGGUUGCAUUUCAGUGUGAAUGACGUCUUCUGGUGAGGUGAAGCUACAUAGUUUUGGAAGACAAUGAAGCCGCAGGGAGUGUAGUUUAGGAAAAACCUUUAAUUCAUCUCUUCCUCCUAACCCCGUGCUGUUGACUACGCCUUCCAUUGACCCGCAAGCACCAAUCUCAAGAUGUUGGAGUCAUGGGCGGAUCCAAUUAAGGCCCAGGAGGGGCUUCAGCCCCCCCUGAACCAUUAAGUUUUCUUUUAAAUGUACCCCAAACACUUUCUGAAAAAGUUAAAUAAAAGAAUUUGGACACAUUUUUCAUAUAUUAAAAGACUUGUCGUUCAAUGGUAAGAGUGCUAUUUAAUGAUUUUAAAACCUUGGUUCAAAUCUCAUUAGCUACAUUAUUUUAUUUUUUUAAAUAUUUUGUGGAAGCUACUUCGAAAAAUAAUAUUUCUAUGCAUUUAAAAUACUACUUCAAAAAAUAAUAUUUUCACGCAUUUAAAAAUAAUAAUUUAUUACUAUUAUUAUUUAGAAUUUAAAAAAAUAAUAAAAUUUGAGUUUAUAAGACUUAAAAUGUAUUCAAGUGAACAUUAAAAAAAUCUAAGUUAAAUAAAAUUUUUUGAACUAAGCCCCCCCUCAUUUUAAUUUCUGGGUCCGCCACUAGUUGGAGUUGCUCAAGACUAUUAACCAUAGAAUAUGAAAACAGAUACUUCAGACGAUCACAACUCCACACGUUCACUUUUGUUAAAUUUUGACAACAAUACAUUCCCUGAAAUUGAUCGGGCCAUAAUUUUUCGAUGUUUCUUAAACCGUCGAGUUUCAAUUCCUCCAAGCGUGGAAAAGUAACCUGCAAAGCAAAACCGUACGUUUUUGUUCCUUCAACUACAACUUUUAAUAUAAUAUUCUUUUGAUGAUUGAAGAUCAAUCGUGAUAAUAUAUUAAUUAAUUAAUUAUUAAACAGAAAAUUAUCACCUUGUGAACAGGAUCAUCCUCUGCAAUGAUUCUGUGAAUCCCUGAGUAGUUGUUGGUUUCUCCAUGUUAGGCCCUAUAAAUGAGCAAAAACAAUAUAUAAUUAAUCUCUGUUGUUUUUUUUACAGAAAAAAAAAAAAGAAUGAGCCAAUGUCAAUAAUCCUACCAAUAAUUAAUUUCAACACUUACCAAUAAUCAUUUUCAAUUCCCGGCAAUUUUUCACUUCUACCUUUUGAAGCUGCAAUAGAUUUUUGGCCAUGGAGAAUGAGAAGAGAUACUUCAAUUUUUGACAGAACAAUACAUUUAUAAUCCUCAAGUUGCUGAAAGAUUGAUCUUCUCUGAGUUGGCUGUAGCAUAUGGCCUCCAAAUUGAUCAAUUCAUAGAGAGUCAGUGACUCCAGCAAGGGGAAGACUUUGCAACGAACCCCUCCAACUGAAACGACAAUAUGUAAAAUCUCAGAACAAGAUCUUACAUAAAGAUGCUUCAAUCGUGGAAAACCUUCCCUAUGGUCUAAUUCAUGAACAUCAUUCAGAACACCCUCCAGUUUGUCUAGAUAGAGAUCUUCAGUUCUCUUCAGCAACAAUUUCGUCCCAUAUUUCUCCAAAAGAAUGCUAACUCUUCCUAGCCCCGCGAGCAUCAUCGAUCUUGAUGUUCCAAAUUUGACAGGCCAUAGGCCCAGUCCUUGUCCUAUACGUAUCCUAUAUCUUUGCAAUUCCACAGAGACCAAAUUUCGCGGCAGAAUUUCGGCAUCCGGAACUUUUAUCUCUAAAGUAGUUAGCUUGGUCAACCCCUUUAACUCGACAAGACUGGCAUUACUUCCUCCUUCAACCUUCUCCCACCUUUUGAAACCAUCACCCAUAUACAAUUCUUCUAAUCGAGAUAAUUUUGAUAUGACAUUCGGUGCUAUCACCUUAAGCCUCCGACAAUUGCUCAAAUCUAGCAACCUUAACCGCGUCAAUUGUCCAAUUUCAAGUGGUAACUGGUCGAUAUUGGAACGUGCAAGGCUGAGAAUCUCUAAUUUCUUUAGCUCUCCAACUAUUGCUAUAUCUUUUAGUCUGCAACCAUCUAAACACAAUGUUUGAAGGUUAAUGAGGUGACCAAGUGAUGACGGUAAUGAAGAGAAGUGAAUUCCAGUAAAAUUCAAAACUUUGAGUCCUUCCGUCCCUUUAAAUAAGUGGUCUGAAACUUGCAUAGAGACAUCACCCUCCGUAUGCAACAAAAAUAACUCAAGACGGGGACAUUGCAACCUUUCAAGAAGCACUUGAAUACCUCUAUAAGGUAAAGAAAUAGCAAUUGGAUCUUCCUGUAUUGUCUCUUCCAUCUUUUUCUCCAAGCCGGCAACAUUUGGAAUAUUAAACAUGAGCAGCUCUUCUGCAAUUGAUACAGCAACUACACGGAUGACGUCAUGCAUUUUAACUUCAUCUUCAGCAUCACCGUCCAACAAUAAGCAUGAAAAUUUGAGUUUGUCGAUCAACGUAUGCACUCUGCUCCUUGCUUCUUCCAGUGUGUAAACGUUUUUAAAAUAGCCCAUACCCAUACCAUAUGUCAGUAAGUAAGGAACUGGUAUAGCAUGAUCUUCACUACGUAGACCACAAAGAAGGAACAGAGAUUUUGCCUCCUCACUUCCCAAGGAGUCAUAACUCAAUUUUAUGGAGGUGUACACAUUUGCUUGCAUGCCAUGAAUUUCUCCUAGAUUGGAACUUCUUAGCUGAUUCAAUGCAUCUUUCCAAAAGUCAAGCUCCUUAGUUUUCAGAGCAUUUGCAACUGUACUCAGUGCAACAGGCAAACCUCCGCAUCUUUCAACGAUCUCAUCUGCAAUCAGUUGAAAAGCAGAUAUUUUUGUUGGAUCACCCACUAUCUUCUCAAACAACUGCAAAGCUUCUUUUCUUGAUAAAGAAUCGAUCGAGAAAUUUUUCUGAGAAUUCAUAUCAAUGCACAAUAAAUCUCGACUUCUAGACGUUAGUGUUGAUGCGAGAUUUUGGUUCUCUGCUCGACCAUGACCAAGACCUGUCCUCAACUAACUCGACCACGAUCAGGAUCUCUCCUUGUAAGACUUCUUCUCUACAGACUCCUGCGUACACAGAAACAAAUCAGAGUAUGUCGGGUGUUUUCCGGCGUAAACCCUCCGACGUUCAAGUCAGAAAUGAAGGUUUCGAGUCCCUGGGAAAGUUAGCCACUAAUCUUAUGGCUUAUUUUCAGUAUCAAUUAUUCAGAGCUCUCUUUAUCUCAGUUUCAAUGUCAAAAAAUCUAACCAUUUUACCUUCGUUGGCUACCUUUUUAUAGGCUCCCUCUGAAUCUCGGCCACGACCAUUACCUCCCCCAACUCUCGGACGUGGGCGCUCCGUUAUCGUAGUCGUGGCUGGAUGGACUUCGUGCCAUGAUUCUCGGGUAGAAGGGCACGUCCUGCCAAUCGUCAUUGAUCGGGUCUCCUCACCUCGACCUCUAGCAGGAAUCGUUUUAUGCUCCUGGCAGGAGGCCGACUCCCGCUAUGGCCCCUUGGAGGGUGCAUUCGUGUACGAGCAGAACAAUCAUGCUCGUAUUCCCCUGCUACCAUACCUCUACGGAAUAUACCUGUUCGCGGCAUCCUGCUACCAGAUACCUGCUCAUCAUGGCUGGUCUUGUCGAGGUAUUACCCCCAAACAUCGGUCCCCUAGUUUCUGGUGUUGGGUAAUGCAGUGGACCAACAGUAGAAACUCAACAGUUCUGGCUUGCGCGGGAUAGGAAGAGGCUUUGAGGAGUUGUGUCGCAUUAAAUUACGGGCGAGGUGAUGUGGCAAAGAUCUAUCCUUCCAUUUGAAUUUCAAACUGGUGGCUAUGAGACCUUUGGAACUCGUGCCCUUAAAUGCUGACAGCCCGAGGGUUUAUUCUUCAUUAAUGAACCCAAAAUCCCGAAGAAGGAAUCCAUCUCUCAGCCCCCUUCUACCUCUCCGGUGACUGAAUAAUUGUUAGAGUGCAAUUUAUGCACUAGUUUUGCAUUGUUUACUUCUCUUAAUAUCGAUGUUUUGCACUUAAUAAUAAUGAUUUACUUGUGUUUUACUUUUGUAGGUGCAAUUCUAUUGAUUUGUGAUAAAAUUGAGGUAUACGAUGAUGUUUAAAGAUGAUUGUUCUCUUGGAGAAAUUUAGAGCGUCAGAAGAACUUUAUUGAUAAGGCGUGGGCGCGUGCUGUCAACUACGAACCUGCAGUUUUUAGUUUAACGUGUUUUGUAUUUUUAGUUAUUUUUGUAAUUACGAAUUUAAUAUUUUAGAUAUUAGUAUUUUAUUUUAAAUAGAAUUCUAGAGGAGAAGAGAGAGAGAGUAUUUAAGGGAGGAAUCUAUUGUGAAAAAUGGGGAUUUGGAUGGGAGAAAAAGAAAGAAACCCUAGAUCUAAUUUUUCUCUUCUCUCUAUGAAGAACUAAACCUAUUUUUCUGGUUGAAAGAUAAUGAAGCUUUGAUUCAUCACUACUGUGAAAUCUUUCUUAUGCUUUAAUUGUUUUAUUACUUUUUGGGUAUUUGUUUAUUCUCUGAAUUAGUUUCAUGAUUAUGUUUGUUAAUUAGAUAAUUGGCCACUAUUUAAUUAUCAACUUAAUCUAUUGUCAAUUAAAAGAUUCAUCGUAUGAAGAAUUUAAUGUUUGUGACAAAUAACAUAGCAGAGAGUUGUGUUGUGAGAAUAAAUAAUCUAAUUUAAAUGAAUCAUCAUAUGUGUUGAUUAGGAUUUGGGUCUCUCUAGUUUUUCAGGCUGUCAAUUGAUUAAAUCCUAUGAUCGUAUCUAGGGUUGUCCAUUGAUUAGGGAAAUAUCCAACGGUCGUACCUUGGUUAUCGACUAAUUAAGGAGAGAUUGGCUAUUAGAGGGUCUCAAUAGCUAUAACCGGUCUAUUCAUAAGUAAUAAUAAUCUAUAUUUGAAUUAAUAAUCAGUAGUCGAAUCAAGCUGAGUUAAUUCCUUCAACCAGAGCUUUCUCCAAUUUGAAUUACAACUUUAAUUUGCAUUCUUGUUAUUUUAAUUUGAUUUUUAUUAUUGUCAACAAUUCCCCCAUUUUACGUUUUACGUUUCAAAAGGAUUUAAAUAAUUACCGAUCUCUGUGGACACGACCCUGCUCAAUCACUAUACACAAUUUAUUUAGAGUAGGAAUUUAUUUUUGUUGGCUUCGACACCCACCAAAUUUUGGCGCCGUUGCCGAGGAUUGGUGUCAUUUAUUUAAUCCUUUUUACGUUUUACUUGGUGUAUGGUUCGUUCUUCUCGUACAGGUACACUUUCGUUUGAUCCUGAAAUUGAGAAGACAGCUCGCCAGCUGAGACAGCAGACGAAGCGAGCUAAGCAACGAUCAUCGUCGCCUUUGCUUUCUGAAAUAGAUACAGUACCUGAUUUAGUUGAAUCAUCUAGCGAUUCAGAAGAACAAGUGAUGGAUAGACCUGCACCUGUAGAAAGAACUCUUAGAGAGUUAGCUGAACCAUACUUGAAUCAACAACCACUCUGCAUUCAAUAUGUAGAUUUGGAGGUAAAUUUUGAAUUAAAGUCUGGUCUUAUUCAUUUAUUACCCAAGUUUCAUGGUUUUGCAGGUGAAGAUCCUCAUAAACAUCUUAUGGAGUUUCAUGUUGUAUGCUCAAGUAUGAGGCCACAAGGCAUGACUAAAGAGCAGAUUAAGCUGCUUUUCCGUUCUCUGUAGAUGGGCUAGCUAAAGAUUGGUUAUACUACUUGCCUCCUGGAUCGAUUACAACGUGGAAUGGUUUGAAGAAGCAGUUCCUUGAGAAAUACUUUCCUGCUUCAAGAGCUGCCAACAUCAGAAAAGACAUUUGUGGGAUCAGACAACUACCUGGGGAGACUUUGUAUGAGUAUUGGGAGCGAUUCAAACAAUUGUGUGCCAGCUGUCCUCAACAUCAGAUUUCUGAUCAACUUCUUAUUCAAUAUUUUUACGAAGGACUGUCAUUGAUGGAUAGGAGUAUGAUAGAUGCUGCUAGUGGAGGUGUGUUGGUGAACAAAACCCUUACUCAAGCAAGGGAGUUGAUCUCAAAUAUGGCUGCCAAUGCACAACAAUUUGGCAGCAGACAAGAUGCCACUUCAAGAACGGUGAAUGAGGUAAAUAUUUCUUCUGUUGAGCAACGUUUAGAUAAACUUACUUCUCUUGUGGAAAAGUUUGUUGUAGGUAAUGUGCAACAGGUGAAGACUUGUGGCAUUUGUUACAAUAUGGGUCAUUCAACUGAUAUGUGUCCUACACUUCAAGAAGAACCCGUUGAACAAGCCAAUGCAGUUGGAGGAUUUCCAGGCAUGCCUCAGAGGAGGUAUGAUCCUUAUGCACAAACAUACAAUCCGGGAUGGAAGGAUCAUCCCAACUUCAGCUAUGGAGUUAGGCAAUCAGGAUUCCCACAACAGUAUCCACCAAGACAACCAGCACCUCCACAGUCAAACUCCAAGUCAGGUAUAUCUCUUGAAGAAAUUGUUAAAUCACUUGCGACUAACACUCAACAAUUUCAACAGGCAACUACAACAAGCAUUCAGAACUUGGAGAACCAAAUUAGUCAAUUGGCGACUACAGUGAGCCGUCUGGAGUCUCAAGUAUUAGAGAGAUUGCCUUCACAAUCUGAGGUGAAUCCAAAGCAAAACGUUAGUGCUGUCAUCCUUAGAAGUGGGAAGGAGUUGCAAGAGCCUAGUAAGAAAGUGACAAAGCAUGUAGAAGAUGAGCUUGAGAAGAAUGAAUUGAUGCUUAAAUCUCAAGAUGCGGAACCCACCAGAGCGAAACCCCUACCUAUUGUGAUACCUCCUCCUUUUCCAAGCCGGUUUGCAAAAUCUAAGAAGGAGGAACAAAAGAAAGACAUCCUUGAGACAUUUCGCAAGGUUGAGGUAAAUAUUCCUUUAUUAGAUGCUAUAAAACAAAUACCUCGAUAUGCUAAAGUCCUUAAGGAAUUGUGCACCUCCAAGAGAAAAUUAAGAGGAGAUGAAAAAGUUCACAUGGGGGAGAAUGUUUCAGCAGUUCUCCAAAAGAAACUACUUCCUAAGUGCAAGGAUCCAGGUAUGUUUACUAUCCCUUGUAAAAUUGGUAGUGUUAGAAUUGAAAAGGCUUUGUUAGAUCUAGGAGCUUCUAUUAAUGUCAUGCCUCGUUCCAUUUAUUCAUCUUUGAAUGUUGGUCCAUUAAAAGAAACUGGCGUGAUAAUUCAACUAGCUGAUAGGUCUAAUGCAUAUCCUGAUGGAGUAUUAGAAGAUGUUUUAGUACAAGUUAAUGAGUUGGUUUUUCAUGCUGAUUUUUAUGUACUUGAUAUGGAGAGGAUAACUCCUUUAAUUCUGUCCCAAUUUUGCUAGGAAGACCUUUUCUUAAUACUGCUAGGAUUAAAAUGGAUGUACAUAAAGGGACUCUCAGUAUGGAGUUUGAUGGAGAGGUUAUAGAAUUCAAUAUGAAUGAUGCCAUGAAAUAUCCUAGUGAGGAACAUUCGGUAUUUUCUGUGGAUGUUAUUAACCCUAUAGUGCAAGAAGUUUUUUACAAGGAAAAGACGAAGACAUUUUAUGAUAGAAUGAUUUUGAGAAAGGAGUUCUCUGUUGGUCAAAAAGUUCUUCUUUUUCAUUCUAAGCUUAAACUUUUUCCGGAUAAAUUAUGUUCUUGCUGGGUUGGACCUUUUAUUGUUACUAAUAUUUUUCCUCAUGGUGCAGUAGAGAUUCGGAGUCCGACCUCUGACAAAGUUUUUAAGGUUAAUGGUCAUCGCUUAAAACCUUUUUAUGAAGGUUUUUUGGUGAAUAUUGUGGAGGAUGUGGCUCUCGAGAGUCCCAAUUAUGGAGAUUGAUGCAUAAAUGUGUCUAUCCAAAGACAUAAAACAAAGGCGCUUUUUAGGAGGCAACCCAAAGGAUUUAUUUAUUUUGCUUUUUGUUAUAUCUUUUGUUUUUAAUUUUGAUUUAAAUAUUUUUUUUAAAUAAUGUGUUUGCUUAUUUUGGCCAGAAGAAAAUUAUCGAUAAGGCGUGCCCACAUCUUAACUAAUAAGUACUUCUGUGAUUUUUAAAGUAAAAUAGUUUUAAGGCGUGCCCACGUGCUUAUUAGAAAAGUACUUCUGAAAUUUUUAGUGUCUCAAAGUGAUUCAUCACUAAAAAAAAAAAAACUUUUUAUUUAUUUAUUUAUUUAUUUUUUUCCUUCUUUUCUUUCUUUUAUAUAUAUAUAUAUAUAUAUAUAUAUAUAUAUAUAUAUAUAUUAUUUAUUUAUUUAUUAAAAAAAAAUCACUGUUAACAAAUCCCUAAUUCAAAAAAAAAAAAUUCACUGUUGAUUAUCUUUUUCUCCCGCAGCAACCAGCAGCCGCAGCCUACGCAGCAGCAGCAACCGUACGAAAUCAGUAGCAACCAUACGCACAGCACAUCCCACGCAGCAGCAGCAGCCGCGCGCCCCGCCACCAGCGCGCAACACAGCAGUGCGUAGAUCCAGCCCCGCCACGCAGCACAAACCAACAGCGCGAACUAGCUCUCGCGCGCAACACAGCCACGCAGCACCAGCAGUCGCGCGUAACGCAACGCAGCACCAGCAUCCCACGUCCAGCGAGUAGCAGCCACAGCCACGCAGACAGCAUCCCGCGCGGAACACAGCAGUGCGCAAGCAGCCCCAAGCCGCGCAGCAAGCUCCAACCGAGCAACAACGCAACGCAACCAGCCUACGCACUGUAUUCCAGCCAGGUAAAUCGAAAUCCAUGAGUGCAAUUAUUGUAACAAUGCCGAAGAGGAAAGAAUAUACUUCCAAGUCAUCGAAAAAGAUACCCGUCGCAAAGAAAUCUAAGAUUUCCGCUCCCACUACGGUUCCAUGGAACAAAAUUUCAUAUUCACGCCAAGCCGUGAGACAAAGAUCGAAGCAUGAAAAAGGCAUGAGUAUUUUACCACUUGCGGAAUCCAAUUUCGGAGGGUGCCUCGGAUUUGCGACUCAACAAGAGAAAGAGAGGUGUGGUCGAAUUCAAGGAGGGGAGAUUUCAGUUUACUGAACCAGGACCCACUCAACCUCCAAAGAAGCUUUAUGCUAGGAGUGGUGCUACCUCUGAUGACGAGUUUGACGACGACACUGCUGCCCCACCAACUAUUCCUUCUACAUCCGCACCACCUUUGAGUAUUCAGUUAGAGAAAAUGGAGCACAAGCUGAACAAGAUGGAGCAGAAUUUGGCCGCAUACUUCGAGAGUGUGGGAUUUACCCCACCAUUUCCGCCAAGCCCAUAGACGUUAUGUGGAUCAAAGCUCACAAUUCAGGGAAGUUUCUUUUUGCCUUUAAUCUUUUAUCCUUACGCUUUAAUUUUGUUGCGAGCUUUGAUUAUCUUACAUUGGGGACAAUGUAAGUUCUUCGUGUGGAGGAGGGAUUUUUGCAUUAUUGAUGCCUGAAAUUAUUAUUUUCACUCUACUCAUCCUUAAAUGAUUUUGGAGUUAGUAUGCUUCAUAUAUUAUUAUUUUUCUUUUCUUUUCCUUCUCACUACUUUUUUCCCAUCUAUCUCAAAUUAUUCAUGUCUAUUUUUAUUUUACCAUACUCUUUCAUCACUCACAUUUUAUCUUUCACUUUUCAUAUUACUACAUACAUCUUUCUCACUUCUUAUCAUUUUUACCUUUUCUUUUAUAUAUCACUCAUACCUUCUUCUCAUUCUACACCACUAUUGAUGGUUGAUUCAUUUGAAGAGUGUACAUGAUUUAAUGGCAAAUUUACUAACUUUGUGAGGAUUUGAGCUUAUGAGCAACCACUUUGCUCUAAUAUUUUUGUUAUAUGAAUAUCAAUCUUAGUUUGUUUAUUCUAGAACUUGCUUUGUUAUGCAUGUUGAAGCCGCAUUACGGGAUUUUAUGCAUUAAAAUGAUAAGGGCAAACCCUUUUCCAUUUUUCUAUUCUCGUAUUUUUUUUUCUCUACCCGAAGACCUUUAUUUGCUAUCUUUGUUUGAGCCUUAACCAUUACCCAUCUAAUUUUCUCCGUCUACUUAACCAUUUUUCUUCUUUUUGAGCCUCAAUUUAAGGAGAUUUUUGGACUCAUUGUGUGGAUAUAUUUUGUUACUUUUUCUACCUUGUAAUAAAGUUUCUCAAUUAGAUCAACAAGCAUUAUGCUUGAAUUAAAUUGUGCAAGGUUCGUUUCUUUUGUUUGAUUAAAAAAAAAAACAAACAAACAAAAAAAAAGAAAAAAAACAACAAAAAAAAGAAAAAAGAAUAAUCGAAAAAAAAGAGGAAAAAAAUGUUUACAUUCUUGGUGACUUGAGUAGAAAUAAGCAUUUUGAUAUCAUAAGUUCAUUUAAUGAGUUCAUUCUUCUCAUUUUGAUCUCUUUUUCUUUCGUAAACCUUUCUUUUUCAUUCAACCUAUUUAACCCCAUUACAACCGUUUUAAGACCCUUAGAUUUUUACAUUUUAUUCAUGUUUUGUGGAUUGAGAUGUGAUAUAUGAGCAAGAUGGUAAUAGCAUUCUUUGAUUUGAUUUGAGUGAAUAAAUGACACCCUAAACACUUUGAGUGCAUGGAGUGAAGUUAUUGAGAGGGCUAUUAAAUCUUGUUGCACUUGAAUUUUGAAUGGAUCUUCUUGGUGGUUGAAUGUUCUUAUUCUAUCUUAUGAGAUUUUAUGCUUUAAAAUCCUUGCCUCUCGAAUGUCGAUCAACUUAAUUUCUUGAGGUAUACUUGCUUAAAUUUGUUUUUGGAUGAGUUGAGAUGAGAAUUGAGUGGAGAUUUGGGAUUAAUCUUGAGUUAUAUGCUUGAGGACAAGCAUCAUCUUGGUGUGGGGGAAUUUGUUAGAGUGCAAUUUAUGCACUAGUUUUGCAUUGUUUACUUCUCUUAAUAUCGAUGUUUUGCACUUAAUAAUAAUGAUUUACUUGUGUUUUACUUUUGUAGGUGCAAUUCUAUUGAUUUUUGAUAAAAUUGAGGUAUAAGAUGAUGUUUAAAUAUGAUUGUUCUCUUGGAGAAAUUUAGAGCGUCAUAAGAACUUUAUUGAUAAGGCGUGGGCGCGUGCUGUCAACUACGAACCUGCAGUUUUUAGUUUAACGUGUUUUGUAUUUUUAGUUAUUUUUGUAAUUACGAAUUUAAUAUUUUAGAUAUUAGUAUUUUAUUUUAAAUAGAAUUCUAGAGGAGAAGAGAGAGAGAGUAUUUAAGGGAGGAAUCUAUUGUGAAAAAGGGGGAUUUGGAUGGGAGAAAAAGAAAGAAACCCUAGAUCUAAUUUUUCUUUUCUCUCUAUGAAGAACUAAACCUAUUUUUCUGGUUGAAGGAUAAUGAAGCUUUGAUUCAUCACUACUGUGAGAUCUUUCUUAUGCUUUAAUUGUUUUUUUACUUUUUGGGUAUUUGUUUAUUCUCUGAAUUAGUUUCAUGAUUAUGUUUGUUAAUUAGGUAAUUGGCCACUAUUUAAUUAUCAACUUAAUCUAUUGUCAAUUAAAAGAUUCAUCGUAUGAAGAAUUUAAUGUUUGUGACAAAUAACAUAGCAGAGAGUUGUGUUGUGAGAAUAAACAAUCUAAUUUAAAUGAAUCAUCAUAUGUGUUGAUUAGGAUUUGGGUCUCUCUAGUUUUUCAGGCUGUCAAUUGAUUAAAUCAUAUGAUCGUAUCUAGGGUUGUCUAUUGAUUAGGGAAAUAUCCAACAGUCGUACCUUGGUUAUCGACUAGUUAAGGAGAGAUUGGCUAUUAGAGGGUCUCAAUAGCUAUAACCGGUCCAUUCAUAAGUAAUAAUAAUCUAUAUUUGAAUCAAUGAUCAGUAGUCGAAUCAAGCUGAGUUAAUUCCUUCAACCAGAGCUUUCUCCAAUUUGAAUUACAACUUUAAUUUGCAUUCUUGUUAUUUUAAUUUGAUUUUUAUUAUUGUCAACAAUUCCCCCAUUUUACGUUUUACGUUUCUAAAGGAUUUAAAUAAUUACCGAUCUCUGUGGACACGACCCUGCUCAAUCACUAUACACAAUUUAUUUAGAGUAGGAAUUUAUUUUUGUUGGCUUCGACACCCACUAAUAAUUUCUUUCCCUCGGCGUAAAAGCUAUCGUCCCUGUCUCUAUUCCGCUGGGCCACAACUGCAGGUAUUAUCUCUAUUUCCUCGGUCUUGGAUUGUUAUAGAAAAUUUCUUUUUUCUUUGUUUUGAUUGGGUAGUGUUUGGUGAUAUUGUUCUGGUCAUAGUUUAGGAGAUGUCAAAAGGCAAAGAGGAGAUAGUUGAGAUUGAUGACGAUGAGUUAGACUUCUUACCUAGUCUGCUUGCCGAUCCUGCUUUUAACCCCGGGCUCCCCUUAAAACCCAUUAGAUCCAGUGUUGGGACUAGUGCUAGGAGGAUGUCUCCCCAAACAACCUCAUCAACCAACAAUAGCGGCGACGAGGGAUCUUCUGGUUCGGAAGACACCUUGAGUGAGGACCAGGGAGAAGAUGCUGGUGAAAUGUCCCCAUCAGGAAUGUCGCGACCAGAUAGAAGGAGCAGAAUAGGAGGUAGGGCUCUAUCGGAGCAUUAUGCUAUUGACUUUAUCACGUGCACGACCACAGUAGAUGAGCUUGAUAACCUCCGGGCUAGGUAUGGCAUUCCUGGUGAUAUACCCCUUAGGAUCCCAGGAAAAAAUAAUACUCCUAGUCGGCCUCCUAGGGGAUAUGUUACUCUGCUUUUAGAAAGUUUUAAGCUUGGGAUGAGGUGCCCUCUCCAACCCUAUUUUGCCCGAAUACUAAGUGGAUUGAAUCUAGCUCCUGGUCAACUGAACCCCAACGGGUGGAGGAUGCUUUCUGGUCUGCUUAUAUUGUGGGACAGAUGCUGCCAGAGCGAGCCCACAGUUGACGAGGUAAAGCACCUGUACCAGCUAAAGAGCAGUCCCAAAGACGCCGGCUGGUACUACUUCUAGUCAAGUACCAAGGCCAGGAAACCCAUAAUUGAUCCUUUAACUGGUGGUGGUGGGAAUUGGAAGAAAAAGUUCUUUUUUGUUGGGGGUCCCUGGGGUCAAGUUGCACAGAUUGACGGGAAGAACUAUCGCGUCCCACCCGGUUUCGUGGUCUUAGGUUGCUUGCUCGCUUUAGAUGUCUUGUACCCCUAGCUGUUCUAAUUUUAUUGAUUUAUUUCUAACCCAAUAUUUGCUCGUACUGCAAGUUCUUGGGGUGUACAUUACCCGCUCCAACCUGAAUCGCUCAAGGAGGUCGAGGCUGUGUUAGUCAACUCAUGCUCGGGUCGGGAGUUACUAUCUACUUACAACUUCUUUGAAUCUCGCCUGGUGCAUACCGAUCGUAAAAUGGAGGAUGCUGUGAUCAGGGCUUUGACUUGGAAGCGUCCUCGACCUCAUACUGCUAAGCACGACCAGAAUAAGGGUGCUCCACCUGCGAAACGGGUGAAUAUUGUGGAGCAGGUCCCCCUUUGAGGACUCUACCACCUCCUCCUGCCAAAGUUGGAGAAACUAGUGGAGCAGUUACUGACCCCACUUCCUCUUCUCCACCAUCUGGGUCAAAACCUCAUUUUUCCGACAAUUGAGCAAAGCAUCUAGUCCCCUAUAUGAGCGAGUUCUCUAGGCUACCUGGAGGACUUUAACGGCAGCACUCUAAGCGAGCUGGUGGGGGCUAUGCAGUAUAGUGCUUUUCACCUCGGAUGCAUGGCCACCUACUAUAAGGCGAAGGUUGGCCACUAUGAACGGAAGAUGAAGGAGGACAUUCAAUCGGCAAAAACCAAAGUUGAUGCUGCCGAGAGGAAAGCAGAAGACUUGAAUCUCGAGAAUCUGAAGUUGAUAGAGCGAGAAUCUCUCGUUCAAGCAAAGGCCAUUACUCUUGAGGAUGAGCUGACUAAGCUCAAGGAGGAUCUGCAGAGGCAGAAGGCCACCUACGAGGACCAGCUCGAAUCUCUCAAGAAUUCCCACCAGGUUUAGGUCGAGAACCUAGAGAAGGAGGCUGACAACCAAUAUGACCAGGGGCUUCGGCAUUCUUAUCGCUGCAUCAUGGCUGUCCUUGGGAAGCAGCGUCCUGAUCUGAAGAUGGACGACCUUGCUGCUGGUGUUGCUCAAUAUAUGGACGAGGAGGCAGCCAAAGAAGAUGUUGAAGAGUUGGAGCCAAAUGCCACCGAGGAGGGAGCCUCUCCUCCUCGUCCAGUCCCUACUGAUAUUGCUAAAGCGAGUACCCCUCCUGGAGCAACAGGUGACACUCCCCCUGCUCUUGAGAUGGAGCAACCAGUAGAGGGAAACCAGCUUACUGACCCUCCGUCCUCUUAAGCAUGUUUUGUGUUGUAGUUGCUCUUUCUUGUUUUUGAACAUUGUACGUUAGGAUUAAUAGCUUCGCAAACUAUUGGCAGUUUAAUAAGAAUGUUCUUACUUGCCUUCUGGUACUGUGGUUGCAAAUUUUUUUUUUUUUUUUAGAGUCUGCUCGCCUUGACUUGGCCGAGCAGAUCCUGACACACUUGGCUUUUGGUCUCGCCAUAAAACAGGCUUCGAGACUUGGCCUUUGCAUGGCUUAGAAAUUUUUCAAUGCUUGGGAUUCUGCUUACCUUCGCUUGGUCGAGCAGAUCCUGGCACGCUUGGCUUCUAGUCUCGCCAUAAAACAGGCUUUGAGACUUAGCCUUUGCAUGCCUUAGAAAUUUGUUCAACGCUUGGGAGUCUGCUCGUCUUCACUUGGUCGAGCAGAUUUUGGCACACUUGGCUUUUGGUCUCGCCAUAAAACAGGCUUCGAGACUUAGCCUUUGCAUGCCUUAGAAAUUUUUCAAUGCUUGGGAUUCUGCUCGCCUUCGCUUGGUCGAGCAGAUCCUAGCACGCUUGGCUUCUGGUCUCUCCAUAAAACAGGCUUUAAGACUUAGCCUUUGCAUGCCUUAGAAAUUUUUCAAUGCUUGGGAUUCUGCUCGCCUUCACUUGGUCGAGCAGAUUCUGGCACGCUUGGCUUCUGGUCUCGCCAUAAAACAGGCUUCGAGACUUAGCCUUUGCAUGCCUUAGAAACUUCUCAUAACAUUACAGCUGACUGAAAUUCCUCAUCGAUUCAUUAAUUGCUGAAUUCGGCUUACACGAAAUUGCUUUAACAUAGAAUAAAUAACAACGAGCGCGAAUAGAAAUAACUUUAAAACAUGAACAAGUCUUACUGGAAAUAUUUCCUGAGGUGCGCUGCGUUCCAUGGGCGUUUCACCUCGUGGCCAUUCGUGCGAGCAAGCUUGUAGGCUCCGGGUCCAGCCACCUCCUUGAGUCGAGUCUUUCGUAUUCGGAUUCACUCUUCUUAAUACCUAAUCUCCGAUCUUGAACUGCCGUACACUCACUUUCUGGUUGUAAUACCGGGCAACCCUCUGCUGGUAGACGGUUGAUCGCUUCGAUGCUUGUUCCCUCUUCUCGGUUAGCAAAUCCAGACUCAAGCACAUCUGGUCAUUACUUUCUUGCUCAUCGAAGUGAUCUGUCCAGUGCGUGGUCGUCUCUAUCUCAACUGGUACAACCGCUUCAUGCCCGAAGGCCAAGGCGAACAGAGUUUCGCCAGUUGCUGUUUUGUGGGUGGUACUGUACGCCCAUAAUACACCUGAUAGUUCAUCAACCCAUGCACUUUUUUUUGCUCCGAGCCUGAUUUUCAAAAGCCUCUUGAUUAUCUUGUUGGCGGCCUCUACCUGUCCGUUAGACUGAGGGUGAGUAGGUGAGCAAUACUUCAACUCUAUCCCGAGGUUCUGAUAGAAAUCUCUGAAGUUAUGCGUAUCAAACUGCCUGCCAUUAUCUGUUAUCAAGGCAUAAAGGAUCCCAUACCGACAGACCAGGUUUCUCUAUACGAAUUCAGUUGUCUUUUUCUCGGUGAUCUUGCUAAGGGCUUCUACCUCUAUCCACUUCGUGAAAUAGUCUAUUGCCACUAUUGCAUGUGUUGCUGCUCCUCGUCCCUUUGGCAACGGCCCGAUCAGAUCAAUUCCCCACUGAGCGAAUGUCCAUGGAGAGGCCUUAGAAGUGAGCUUCUCUGGUGGUUGGGUAGAGAAAUUUGUGAAACUCUGGCAACUUACGCAGCUCCUAGUCUUCUUCUGUGCAUCCUGGUGCAUUGUCGGCCAGAAAUAUCCCUGCCUUAGAACCUUGUGGGCAAGGGAUCUUGCACCAGAAUGGUUUCCGCAAACUCCUUCAUGUACUUCUCUCAGUACGUAAUCCGAGUUGUCCUCGUCUAAACACCGAAGAAAUGGUAGAGUGUAUCCUCGCUAAUAUAGCACCCCAUUAAUCAUCGUGUACCUUGAGGCCUGGGCCCUGAUCUUCCAAGCUCGUAGCUUUUCUGGUGGUAAUACCUCGUCUUUUAUGUACGAGAUUAUCGGGUCCAUCCACGAGCAUUUUUGUUCUAUCCGCAUCACCUCCAAAGUCUGCUCGAUGCUAGGGCUAGUCUUUACCUCCAAAGGGAUCGACUUAGGCAUUUUUGGGUCUGCUACGGCUGCCAUCCUGGCCAGAAUAUCUGCUCGACUAUUCUGCUCCCUUGGGAUUUGUAUCACCUCAAUCACCUCAAACUUCCCAAUCAUCUGCUUAACUUUCUUCAAGUAUCGUUCCAUCUUCUCAUCUCUCGGCUGAAACCUUUCACUGACAUGAUUUGCAACUAAUUGGGAAUCGGUUCGGAUUUUCACUCUAUCUGCUUUCAUUGCCUUAGCCAAUUCCAAACCCGCUAUUAGGGCUUCAUAUUCUGCCUGGUUAUUUGUAGCUGUGAAUUCCAGCUUUACAGCAUAAGAGAUUUCCUCCCUCUUUGGGCAUUCCAAGACAAUCUCUGCUCCAGACCCCUGCUCCCCCGAGGAUCCAUCCACCGACACUUGCCAUAUCCGGUCUUCAUUGUUUGCUGUAGCAGCCUCCAGCUGGUCGAAACAUACUUCGGGCUAAGCGAAUUCUGCCACGAAAUCGGCCAUUGCCUGGGCCUUUAUUAUUGCUCGGGGUUUGUAAUCUAUGUCGAACUCACUCAACUCUAUAGCCCACUUCACGAGCCGACCAGAAGUAUCCGGCUUGUGUAGAGUCUGCCGCAAUGGUUGGUUUGUUAUGACCGAGACAGGGAAUGCUUGAAAGUAUGGCCUCAGCUUCCGAGCAGCAACCACAAAGGCGAGUGCCCAUUUCUCCAACGGUGGGUAUCUGGUCUCGGCGUCGAGCAGGGCCUUGCUGGUGUAGUAUAUCGGAUACUGAACCCCUUCUUCCUCUCUCACUAGAACAAAAAUUGUGGCAUGAUCUGAUACCGCCACAUAUAAGAACAACACGUCCCCAUCCCGCGGUGUGGACAACAAAGGUGCUUGCUGCAAGUAUUGCUUCAAGUUUUGGAAGGCUUCUUCGCAUGCUGGGGUCCAUUCUGUUUUCUUUCCUCUCCUUAUCACUUGAAAGAAUGGCUGGCACUUAUAUGUUGCCUUGGAUAUGAAUCGGCUCAAUGCCGCCAACCUCCUUGUAAGGCUCUACGUCUCCUUCAGGUUACGAGGAGACCUCAUCUGCACGAUCGCCUGGAUCUUCUCGGGAUUCGCCUCGAUCCCCCUAUGACUCACCAUGAACCCGAGGAAUUUGCCCGACUCGACCCCAAAAGCACACUUCUCCGGGUUGAGUUUCAUCUUAUACUUCCUCAAAUGUCCAAAUGUCUCCUCGAGGUGCUCGACAUGUUCCUUCAGGAUUUUGACUUGGUUAUCAUGUCGUCCACAUACACCUCCAUUGUUCUCCCAAUUAGUGGCUUAAAGAUUUUGUUCACCAGCCUCUGGUACGUGGCCCCCGCAUUUUUAAGACCGAACGGCAUUACCCUGUAACAGAAAAAACCCUGGUUAGUAAUAGAUGUCGUGCUCUCUUCAUCCUGCUCGAACAUGGGGAUUUGAUUGUAUCCCGAAAAUGCGUCCAUGAAGCUAGCAGGCCAUGUCCGGCUGUUGAGUCUACAAGCUGGUCGAUCUUGGGUAAGGGAAAGCUGUCUUUCGGGCAUGCCUUAUUGAGAUCCGUGAAAUCUACACACAUCCUCCAUUUGCCAUUUGCCUUUUUCACUAACACCACGUUCGAUAUCCAUUCAGGAUAGUUAACUUCCCGAAGGAACCUUGCCUUCAAGAGCUUCUCCACCUCGUCAUUUAUAGCCUCAUAUCUCUCCUGGUUGAAGCACCUUCUUUUCUGCCUAACUGCCCGAGCACCUUUCUUUAUUGCCAGCCUAUUACAUGCGACCUCAUAGUCGAUUCCCGGCAUAUCUUCAUGCGUCCAAGCGAACACAUCUGCAUGAGCUCGCAGGCAUUGCACCAACUCCCGCUUCUGCUCUUCUUUAAGUCUCGACCCGAUUCGGAUUGUUUUUCCUGGAUCAUCUUGUCCUAGGCUUACUGUCUCCAGCUUCUCUACAGGUUCUUGUCUGCCAUUCUUGGCUUCCACUCGUGUAUCAAGGGAUGUAAUCUGCAUUGCUUCCCUUGUUGCUGUGGAGUAACAACUUCUGGCAAUUCUCUCGUCUCCUCUUACCACUCCAACUACCCCAUUCACCCAGUACUUGAGAUCUAGAUAAUGGUUGGAAAGUACCGCUUUGCUCAUCCUUAGAAAGGGACGACCUAAAAUCAUCUGGUAUGGACCCUCUUCAUCAACCACCACAAAAUCCAGUAUCAUGGUCUUUUCUGUCGGGGAACUGCCAAUUGUGAUGGGCAGCUCGACCACGCCUAGAGGAACCAGUUUUCCUCAUCCAAAUCCCUUCAAGGAGGUAUUGGUAUGCUCCAACCUCAAGUCCGCUAUCCCCAUCUCCUCCAGAGUUAACUUGAACAAAACAUCGACCGAGCUUCUCGUGUCUACCAGAACUCGGUCAAACUUCUUGCUAGCAGCGGUGACUUUAAUAACUAAAGCGUCCUCAUAUGGGUAUAGAAUUCCCUCUUCAUCCUCAUCUGUCCACAUGAUUGGAACUUGCCUGACUCUUGCUCGCUUGGCUGCUGGGGUGUUGAAGAAUAUUUUUUUGCUAGUCAUGGCAUACUUGGCGUAGUUCUUCCUCGACCUGUUGGAAUCUCCUACCAACGUUGGGCCCCCAGCAAUCACUCUUACUAUAGGUUGCUCGUGACUCAAGUUCCUAUCACUCUGCUCCCUUCCACCUGGCGAGGGCACCAUCGAGAAGGUCCCAUCUAUAAAUUCGUCCAGGUAUCGAUUUCUCACCAAAUCUUCAACAUGGGUCUUGAGAUCUCUAUAUUCUGUUGUAGUAUGGCCAUGAGUACCAUGGAACUUGCAAUAGCGUCCCCUAUCCCUCCUGCUCGGUAGCUUUGUUAUUGGGGUAGGGAAGUACAGUAAUCCCCGGUCCUUUAUGGCCUCGUACACCUCGUCCAGGGGCAUCUUCAAGGAAGUAUACCGCCCAUAGUCCUGGUUCUAGUCGAUCAUGUGCACUGCCCUUUCCCUGUUUGUGUUGUUCUGAACUGGAGGAGGUGGCAGCGCUUCCGGCCUGCUUCCUCUACCACCAUGGGGGUGUGGUUAGGGAUGACUACAUGUCAAAUCAUGCCUCCUCCAAGACUCCCUGGCCGGUGAACGAGGAGGUUGCGCCCUGCUGCGCUAAUAUUGUGGUGGCCUCUGAUGAGGCUGGUAAGCGGUGACCCAACCUCCUGUACCACUGCCUGAGGUAUAGUGGUCCCUCCUCUUGAUCGGUCUAUUUCCUUAUAAUGCUCUCUUCUCUUUCCUUCUCAACCCUUCUAACUGGUCUGUCUUGAUCCGUGCUGCCUUUUCCUCAUCAAUCUCUAUAUCCCUCUUAGCCUGCUCGUAAGCAGCUGCAUACGUCUGAAUAGCUGGGCUCCUCAAAUUGUACCAUAGCCUUCUUAUCUUCACUCCUUCUUUCAAUCCCCUUAAUGCCUGAGGAUGGAUGAAGGCUCCCAAGUCGAGGACAGCACGGUGGAACCUUUUGAUGAAUUCCCGAAAGGUUUCCUCCUAUCUCUGCUUCAUGCUCGUCAGCUCCAUCAUAUCAUCUUCCGGUGUCAUUGCCCCACGAAACUGUUCUGCAAAUUCCUGGCACAUCUGCUCGAAGGAUUUAACGUUCCCCCGAGGAAGUUUCCUAUACCACUCGCGUGCUCGUCCCUCUAGAGAUAGUGGGAACACUCUGCAUCUUUGAGCUUGGGAUAAUCCUUGCACCCCAGUUAUGUCGUUAAAGCGCUCUAUGUGCACCAAUGGAUCAGUUCGCCCCGAAUAUCUGAAGUCUGGGAGGUGGAAAUCCCUCAGAAUGACUGCCCUCAUAAUUUCUGCUGAGAGCGGGGAUUCUCCAUCUAGCAUUAUCCUCCACCCUGGUGCUUUGCUCCUUCCUUGCAUGUCAUCUAUUACCUGUGCUAUUAUGCGCACUUCUUCUUCCAACUGUACAGCACAACCAGGUCACGUGCUGCAACUUGGUCUCGUUCUUGCUCAACGUCAUGCAGGUGUUGCCGAAGUUCUCUUUCCUCUGCAUUCGCCAUUCCAUCAUCGUUGUUAAAGUUCUGUCUCCCUAGGGAUUAAUCUUCUCGUCUAUGACUUUCCCCCCGUAGAGAUUAGUUACCUCCCUCACCACCAGAUCUUCUGGUGGACUGGCUUCUCAUCAAGUUAUCGUGUCCUGGUGUCAUUCCGCCACUUCUCACCCCUUCCUCAUGAAUUCCCCUUCGUUCACUCCUCAUUUCGUGUAAGAUGGUUGUCAGGGUCUCCAUCUACUUUUCCAUCUGUUCCAUCCGGUCAUACAUGGCUUUUUUCCGUGCUUCAUUGGCUAUCUCUCUCAAUGUCAUGGACUCGUUAAGCCUCAAGUCACCUCCUUAUGCACUACUUCCUCCCACAUCCAUUGUUUCUUCACUUGCUUUCUUCUUCCUCUUUCUAUCAAUAGAAGCUUUUUUAUCAGCUCCCCACAGACGGCGCCAAAAUAUUGAUGCGAGAUUUUGGUUCUCUGCUCGACCACGACCAAGACCUCUCCUCAACUAACUCGACCACAAUCAGGAUCUCUCCUUGUAAGACUUCUUCUCUACAGACUCCUGCGUACACAGAAACAAAUCAGAGCACGCCGGGUGUUUCCCGGCGUAAACCCUCCGAUGCUCAAGUCAGAAAUAAAGGUUUCGAGUCCCUAGGAAAGUUAGCCACUAAUCUUAUGGCUUAUUUUCAGUAUCAAUUAUUCAGAGCUCUCUUUAUCUCAGUUUCAAUGUCAAAAAAUCUAACCAUUUUACCUUCGUUGGCUACCUUUUUAUAGGCUCCCUCUGAAUCUCGGCCAUGACUAUUACCUGCUCCAACUCUUGGACGUGGGCGCUCUGUUAUCGUAGUCGUGGCUGGAUGGACUUCGUGCCUUGAUUCUCGGGUAGGAGGGCACGUCCUGCCAACCGUCAUUGACCAGGUCUCCUCACCUCGACCUCUAGCAGGAAUCGUUUUAUGCUCCUGGCAGGAGGCCGGCUCCCGCUAUGGCCCCUUGGAGGGUGCAUUCGUGUACGAGCAGAACAAUCCUGCUCGUAUUCCCCUGCUACCAGAUACCUGCUCAUCAUGGCUGGUCUUGUCGAGGUAUUACCCCCAACAGUUAGUAUUAUUGUGCAUCGUCUCUUAUCAUCCGUUCUUUCUUUCUCAACAUUCCCAGAAGGAAUUCCAAUUUUAUCAAACUCGAGUUUUGUCCAAAUAUUAUCCAAUAUAAUCAGGAUCCGCUUCUCUUUCUUCAAUCUUUGACAUAGUUGAUGUGCUCUGUGGAAUAUACUAUCAUUCAAGUCAAAUUUCAUCCCUAAAUCAGAAGCUAGCUGGUCUUGAAUUUUCUGAGGAUCUAGGUUCUGUGUUAGCUCAGCCAUAACGACCUCAUCGAACAAGUUAUCUUCCAUCACUUGCUUUGCAACUUGCUUGACUAGCGUGGUUUUACCCACGCUGCCCAUCUCGUAGACCCCAAUUAUGUUGUGCUUAUUAUCCUUCAACGCCUCAACAACAUCCUGAAAUACUUUCAUUCUUGAAUCAAAGGCCGCGAAAUCUUUCACUUCCAUAUGUUCUGCCCGCUUUGGAGUAAGACGGUAGGAAACAUUAGAGAAGUUGCCUUUUCCCACGAGACUAGCGGCAGCUUCUGCGGCCUUUGCUGCUUGUUUACUGAGCUUGUAACGAGAAAUCAAGUUUGGGCACAAUCCUUUGAAACAGAACUUCUUAGCUCUAUCUUCAUCAUCAGUGAUGGAUUUUGCAGCGCCCUGAGUGAAUUCCUUGAUGCUAUUAAGCCAGUCUGCAACAUCCUUGUAAAUCUCAUCUCCUUGUUCAGUAACUUGAUGAACGGGUAUUUCCACCCUUUCUCUUUUAUAUUCCAGCUGCUUCACUUUAUCUUUUAGCUCAUCUAUGUAGCUCUGGUACAUGAACAUAUAAGAUAUUUGUCGUAUAAUCGGUUUGAACAGUGACCUUGCACCUUCUGAUACGAUGCUGGAAAAAGCAGCCAGACCCACUUCUACCAUUGCCUGCUGCUUAACAAAUCUAAUAAAAUGUCAAAGAAAGGAAUACAAAUAAAUUAAAAUGAACUAGAGGGAAAGACGAAAAAGGAAAAGACGGUAAACAGUAUCGCUACAUUGAUCUUGAAUCAACUGACACAUAAACAGAGCAUUUUUUCUUCUUUGUUAAGGAUCAGAGUUUUUGCUAUUAACAGAAACGUACUUCAAGUGUCUAAAAAAAACAACCAUAAAUUUACCAUAAAUGAACAAUAACUAUAAAACUCAAGCAAAACAAGCCAUAGAAUUUUUAUCUUGGAAAGUGGAUGGAAAUUAAGAAAGAAAUGCUAUAAAGAUCAAGCAUCAGAGAUUAUGCUAUUAAAAGAAAUUAAUUGAAGGUUUUAGAACAAGUGCACUUUAAUUAUGUGGGAUCAGAAAGUUGAUAAGCUUUUGUAAUCGCCUUGAAUAUUUAAGAACAAUUUCAAUGAGUAAAAAAUUUAUGUUACCUGCAGAGGAAUGUGAUUAUAGAGAGCUUAUGAGAGCAAUGACAAUGAUUUGCAAAAGAAGACUUAAUCAUGCAGCCCUUAAUAUUUAUUAAAUGACUUGUGAUCAUUUCUUUUAUGAAUAAAAUGCCAACAGCAAAAACAGAAAAAAGAGCCAAAUUUACUAAGUCUUAUUUUAUUUUUAAUUUCUUUUAUUUUCAUUCGCCGAAGAGGGAAUCUCUCUCUCUUCUUCUUCUUCUUUUUAAGGGAAUCUCCUUACCUAAUAUGACAAAAUGAAAGCAAUCUGUAAAUAGUACAAUAAUCAUAUAAUAUAAUAAGUAAAAAUACCCAUAUAUUUAUAAUAUUAAUGAUGGGAUCCAUAUGUUAAUACUAAUUAAAUUGGUGGACCAGAAUUUUUUUUACCAUACUUGUUUUCUAUAUAAUUAAAAUUGAAACGACAGAGAAAAAUUGUCGUAUUGAUUGUUUCGAAUUCGAUUGUGGAGUUCCGUUGUGGAUAGCACUUCCAAUAUUGAAAAUGAAGCUUUCAUCAACUUUCUCUCACGGACACGUACCGUCAUGCAUAUUGCAUUAUUUCCCUAGAAAAGCAAGAUUAAUUCUUUUAAUAAGCAAACGCGUAGGUGGGAAUCCAUUGACUAAACGAGUGGAACAACAAUAUCAAACCAGGACCUGUCUAUGGUACAGAUUCUGUAACAAACAUCUCCCGUCAUCCCACCAUCCGAUUUUCUAUUGUUCAGUUUCUCACUCCACAUCCAACCACAUCCAACGGCUGAUGCUGCAGUCUGUAGCUUACAGAUUCUGUAAGCUAGUCGAGUCCUAUCAAACCAAUGAUAAGCAUGCUCAAGAUGCUCAAGUGGGAAAACAAAUUAUGACAGAUAAUUCAAAAUCUGAAUCCGCCUGAUGGACGGGUUUGACCACCCAGAUCAAGAUAAGCGAGUCCAGGCAACUAAUCUGAACCAUUCUCCUUUAGUAACAGGGGAAUGAAAUUAUAUCGAUGAUAGAUAAUUUCAAAACAGGGGAAUGAAAACAGAGGAACCUGUUUUUCCUUCCUUUUCUUCCCCCCCCCCCCCCCCCCCCCCCCAACUCUUCUUCUUUUAUAUAUAUUUUCCUUGGAAUUUUUGGUAAACGAAAAAAAAUUGAGAAUGAUUUCAGGAAAACGGGUGGAUAAUAACUAAAAUAUUUAGUUUUAUAUAAUUGAUAAACGCGCUCACUAUUAAUAGAAUUCAUUAGAUAUCAUUAUUUAAAUAACUUCUUGUGAUUGAUUGAGGGUACGUUUGAAAUUUCUUUUACUUCCCAAUAAUUAAUUCUAUGUUGAUUCUCAGAAAAUUAAUUUUACGAAUAAUUUAGUAGGGUGUUUAGUAAAUGAUGAUUAUUUGACAGUCAAUUUUCAAAUAAUCUACUAUACAAAUUUGGUAAGUGAAAAUUAAAAGUGUAAUAUUCAUGUGCAAUGAUAAAAAUGUACUUGUUUGCUUAAUUGUACUUUAUUUAGAAUAUUAUUAUUUACAUCAUUUUUUUUAUUUACUGGAUUUUUUUAAGAGUAUAUUCUAUUUUCUUUAUUGCAUAUUUAUAUCAUUUUUUAUUAACUAUUUUAAUUUACAAUCAAACUAACUUUAAUAUUUUUUUAACUAAAAAAAUUGUUAUGCAGUUUGUAAUGUGCACAAAUGCUAACAUAUUAUUAAAUUGAUUAAUAAAUUAAGUGCAAAAAAGAAAAUGCAAAAAUUUAAUCUUUAUAUAAACUUUUAUGUACAUAAAACUAUUGCAAUCAAAGUAGUUCAUAAAAAUAAAAUAUUAUAUACAUGUGUAAAAAAAAAUAUAACUAUAAUAUUGUCCACUCAUUAAACUUGCAGCACUAUUAUUUCUCAAUCUCCCCAUCUCUCGACCUUUAGGAACAUUAAUACCAUGAUCUUCUUCUUGAAUUGGAUCUCCAUUUCCACAGUAUCAACAAGGCGAUCAAUUUGCUGUGACAGCCUUUCAACUCCUCCCACUUUCCUCCCUUUUGCAGCCGCUCUUUUUCCUUUUCUUUCUUUGAUAGCUUCAAUGGGAACAAACUCAUCUAACGACAAGUACAUUCUUCAACCAGAGUGGAAUUGGUAGUUGAUAUUUUACUACUCUCAGAUGGUGUCUAAACAUGGUCACCAGUGAUUGUUAUAUUAAAAAAAAUUCUAUUCAAUUUUUCCUCUGACUUUGUGUCGAUACCUUUCAUACAAAAUCUACUUGCUUCAGAAAUUUCUUACGUAUGUUGAUAUCAUAUUAAAGUGAAUUCACGAUCCUAUAUUAUUUUGCAUGACAUCAAAAUUUAGCCGAAUGGUAAAGAAUUUCCCUUUUUGUUUGUCCCACAACUAUAUAGUCUCAUUUUUGGCAAUAAGCUCACAAUAUGCACGGAAAUGAAGAUCUAUUAAAAACUUCCCUGUAAUAUUAAACACUAAACAAUAUCACUAUGUUGUGCAAAUGGUGCCUCGUCAACAAUUUGAUGUUCAUUUUGUUGCUCGGGUGAAUAUGACUACUUGCGUUGCGAGUCCAUGCUUUGUCGUUUGGAUGGAGGACGGGCCAUCUUUUUAUUUUAGAUGCUUUGAGAGACUUUUGAUUUAAUGAUUUCUGGUUAAUUAAUAAGACCUAUGAAAGCAUUCAAAGAAACCACUGAACUCAGAGGAAAGCCAUGAUUAAAUAUACUGCAGAGCAUAUGAGCUCGUUUUUUGAUCUCUUGAUCACUCAUAAGCUUUUCUAUACCAUUCACUAUAUCAUCCUUUUGAAUCGAUUUUGAUUGAUCAUCAGAGAUCAUGUACCCCACCUUGAGAUGAUUGAUCACAAAUUUGGCAUUGUAAUGUUGAUCACCUCUAAGUGGCCAUGCUAAAAUUGGGACUCGACAACCAAUUGCUUCUACUGUUGAAUUCCAUCCACAGUGAAAUAAAAAUCCACCCGUUGAUUGAUGACUCAAUAUCAAUAAUUGUGGCGCCCAUCCAUCUAUUAUCAAACUCUUUUUACCGACUUUAUUAUCCAAACCACUACGAAAAUAAAUGUUUCCUGCUGGUUUGUCCAAAUGACGUAAAGGAUCCAAUUUACCUGCACCACCUUGAAUUACCCAAAUAAAAGAUCGAUUUGAUGCCUCUAAAGCAUUGGCUAGUACUAAAUACUUAUCUAAGGUUGGAUCCACUUCAGUACCAAAUGACACAUAGAACACAGAUCCGCAUGAUUUGAAAUUCAACCAUUGAGCGAUCUCAUCUUCCGUCAUGUUAGAACUCCGCCGGUUGGUUCUCAUCUCAUGAUCACGAAGCAUUGAACCGGCAGAUUUGUAAAAUUGUUCAGGUAACAAUGGGCCCACUCCCCACACCGGCUUUCCCAAUUGAUUGGCUAAAUAAUUAAUAAAUGGUCCCUCAAGACCAUCACACGUGUUGAACAUCAACGCCAUUGAUCCCUCCACUUCCUUCAUCCAGUGUGGUUGAUCACCAGCUUCUGGUGGACCUAUUUUCUCGGAACCGGGUGCACCUCGCAGAGGUGGUGGACCACCAGGAGGGGGCCCAUGAGGCCUGUGUUUAAGGUCCGAUUCAAAUAAAGCCAUAUCCUCGGGUAACCCAGGAAGUAAACGGGCCUCUCCCGGUUUGACAUCUUGGAUGCGAGCCUGCCACAUGGCACACUCCACAGCUGCCGAGCAAGCACCAGAAGUGAAGAACCCAACAAUGGGAACUUCAAAAAUCUUGAAAACAUCAGCCGUCCAGCCCAUCAUAACGUCGAUGACUGCACAAACGGGUCGGCUUUCGGGUUCCCGGGUUGAAAGGAGGUUUCGAAGGCCUUGAAGCAUUUGGCUGUGCAUGACAACAUGGGGGUGAGGAGGCGAAGGUGGUGGUGGUGGUGGAGAUGAGGAGGGUAUUUCAGUAACUUCAAAGAGAGGGUAUUGGUGAAACGAGGAAGGGAUGAUGCUGGUGGCGGAAAUGUGAGAAGGAAUGAUGAGGGUAGAUUUGUAAUUACGAGAAGCGAUUUGCUUGCAUAAUUCAAUGCAUGGAAAUAGAUGUCCCUGACCGAAGAAUGGGACAAUCCAAAUCUCGGCCUCAGCAGCAGUAGCAACAGAGCUUGACAUCUUUAUGAAUUAUUUGAUACUUAAUUGUACUGUUUGCUUUUACCAUCUUUCAUAAAACACUCUUUGUUAUAUAUAAAGAGAUGACUUAAUGGAGAAGUAAGUGUUUUAGUUUUACAGUUUUACUAGUAGGUGAGCUCUGAGUUUGAUAAUUUGAUUGUUAGUUUUGGUUGGUUAGUUAUUAGAAAGCAUCUUUAAGAAAAUUCAUUCCAGUUUCAACUCAAAUUAAUAAUAUUGUUUAAAUUAAUUACUCAAUAAAUAAAUAAUUGGAGACAAAUCUAUUCAUAAUCUCACAUUUAUAAAAUAAAGAUUGAAAUAAGUUCUUGUGGGUUCGAACUCAAGCCCUCAAGCCGAGUGGCUGGAUCUUGACUACUUUAUAUAUAUAUAUAUAUAUAUUCCUUCUUUCAUUGAACAUCUUUUGUUAUAUAAUGAAAAAGAUAAGUUGAUAGAGAAGGGUUCUACUUUUACUAGUAGAUGAGCUUUGAGUUGAGAAGGUUAGCCCUCAAAUGUUCCUUGCUAAGUUAAAUAUCUACCAUCCAAAUCAACGUUCCUCAGACUAUUAUUCAAGUGAGAUGUCUGAAUAACAUACGCUUGAGUUCGGUGCCUAGCAAUUCGUGUGAUAGGUGAAACCAACCAAUAUGAAAACCAAAUCAAGUUGGUAGGUUUACAUUAAUUUAAAUUAACUUUCAAGUUUCAACAUUAUAACAUAAAUAAAUAGCAUAAGCUAAUUUUUAUUUUCAAGUAAACAUGUUUAUCGUUUACAAUUAAUUUUUCUUGCGGUAAAUGCAACACUAAGGAGUGAAGAGGGUAUUUUGUAGGGUAUACCCCCACCUUUUAUUUCAUUUCAUUAUUAAAAAAUAAAGGCUUGAUUCAACAUUCAAGUAAAAUUAACAAUUGCAUGAUAAAAUUACUUGAGAAUAAAAAUUAAAAUAAAAAAGAAUCAGCAACUAAAAAACGACGUACAAAUACCGCAUAGAAGUUUUUCGUCACGAGAUAUUUUUGGGUUGAGACAACACUUGUAUAACAGAGCAUACAUAUUGAAUGACGGUGAGAAUAAGAAGGAAAACGGCACCGCAGACCGAAAUGCCAGCCCAUGGAGUAUUGAAGUAAUUUUAUUUCAAGUUUGCCUCUCAUUUAUAGCAUGUUCUUUUGCAGUGAUCAUUCAAUCCUUUGCAUAGCCCAGAAAAAUAGAAGCUAUCAGCCAGCAGAGUGGUACCUCUGGAAAGGUUAUUUAUAAGCGUUGACGCUGCCUCCUUAUCCGGCAACUAGUUCUCAAUGAUUCCGUUCUGAACAAGCAACUCAACAUCCUUCGCUGUGUUCACAAGAUGAUGAAUAAGGAACAGUAAUCAUUUAUGUAAUUCUCUGAGUAAUGCCGUUGUUCAAAGGCAAUGAGAUUACGAAAUAAGGAUUCCGUUUCCAGCUGUAGCUUCAGUUUCGGAAUAUGCAAUGUCCUGUUUUUGAAUUCUAUGGCGAACAAAUCAAUGGCGAACAAAUCAUUGCUCUUGCUCAAACUGAAGUGGACUCCAGCUUGGUGGAGAUCAGUCACACUUGGUGCGGUUUUACCUUUGUGGUAUUGCUGACCUUCUUGUUUUUCCUGAUCCCUCGAUGAAGAUAGAUGACAAAUCCUUAGAAAAUCAAAGAAAUGCUCUACCCUAGCCUCAGUGUAAGGAGGGAAUUUUUGCUGAUUACCUUGUACCGCCUCUAAACCCUUGAAGUACUCGUAUGUGACUCUGAUGAUGGUUGGAUUUUCAUGUUGGUCAGGGAUUUCAAUUGCUGCUAGAGCAAAAAGAUCCUCAAGAAUGAAGAAAGGAAGCUGAUUCUCAAGCAACCACAUAUCAUACCAUAUAUCCUCUAUUAAAUAUAGUUUAUGAAACAUAUGAUCAUCUUUUUUUUGAAGUUGACGGAAAUGAUACCUCAAUAAGAGUUCAAUGAUGAAGGCAGCAUCUAGCAGAAUCAUUUCAAUGAAUUUAUCACUACUUAAUUCGAUUUUUUCUGCAUAAGAACCUCGUAAUUCUGCUUCUCUGAACUUUAUAACUUGAACAAACUCGUCAAAGCUUAUUUUGGUCCGUUGAAGAAAGUAACGCAGGUACCGCUGUUUAUGUUCUUCCAUGAACUGUAAGUUUGCUUUGCCAUGGUGAAGAGGGCCAAUUGAGACUACCUGAGGUGUAUAUGCCUUUUCAUUUAUCUGAUGUAAUCGCUCUGGAACUCUGUCGAUGCAGCAGUUUGAGGGCAAGGGUGACAAUUUUUCCAACUUAACCUGCAAGCACUCUUCCAUGUUAUAAACUGAAAACACGGUGCGAAAUUUGAUCCAUUCAACAGUUAAUAAGGCAUAGUAAUUUAAAAAGAAUUUUAAAAAAAUAAAUACAAGAGCAUUCUUACACGCACAGAAGCCCCUCAAUCCCUACUACUUACAGGGCUGUAGCCACUAGCCAGGAUUCAAUGAUAUACCGGACUGAACUAAAAGGAACAACUUUCUUAGGAAUAUGUUAUCGGCAUUUUCUCUGGCCUCAGGCCAUCAACAAAGCAGUUUCAAUGCGUCUUAUAUAAUUCCAUGGUUUAUUCCUUGCCUUCACAGAUGAUAUAGUCACAAUUCAUAUAUUCAUUUCUCCAGAUUCUGUAUAAGUGGACCAUAACUAUGGAAAACUUGAACCAUUUUUUUAAGAAUGCAACAGCCAUUUGAUUGGUCCAUGUCAGAAGUUAAUCUGGGGAAAGAAGCUUGAUCUAGCUAUAAAAUUCUCUCCUUCAAUCAGUCAGUUUGGGGCAGCAACAAGAUCAAAGCCACCAUGCAAAAAUUCACUAAAGUUUAUAUAAUAUUCACUAAAGUUCAUAUAAUAUUCUUGAACCUCAUCUUAAGUAAAGCAACAAAAGCCUUCACUGUUGCUUGACAACUUUAUUUCUCUAACACAUAGCAUAACAUUUUUAAAUUGCAUAAAACACACAAGUACUUUAGUUUGUAACAACACAGAUAAUAAAUACCAUUUUAUAGCUUUAACAAAAGCAUACAAAAUUCUUAAACCUAGCCUCAAGCAAUUCAUUAAUGCCACAAGGAUAUCUUUUUGCCUCCUACAGUUUUUAUUGUUCCAGAAAUUCAUAUAUUCUUCUUUAUCAAAUUAAGUAAUUUUCCUUUUUCAGAAACUCAAGAAGGUUUCAACCGCAUGGAAAUACAACACAAAAUUACUACUAUUCCCGGAUUAAGAAAUUCAUCAAUGCAAUAUAAACAUACAUUUUCAUUAGACAUCAGAAUCAAAGAAUCAUUGAUGCAUCAAAUCUGUACAGCCAAAAAAAAUGAAAACAUCAAGAGAAAAUACCAUAUGGACCCUUUACAACCCUUAUAAUGAGUUCAGAUCGCCUAAUCCAAUUUAAUAGAUUUGAGGACCCCGACAAUGUGCAAUACAAAAUUUCCCAAUACUAUUUAGAGCAAAGUCUAGAAAACGAAACUUAUAUAUUGUACAAAAUCAUGAAAACCAGAAAUGACAAAAAAACUGCAUAUGUAAUUUUUGGGUCUCUUCAACAUACUUCCAUCCAAAUCAAACAAGAAUCGAUAAAUUAACAACAUUCAUUUUAAACGACAUAUUACCACAAUAAAAAUUGUCAACCAAGCCUCAUAUUAACCUUUUUUGCAUUAUUUGGUAAAUAUAUUUGUUAUUCUCUAAGCGUAAAAAAAAAAAAAAAUGGACUUUCUUAAUCAAGAAUCAAAUAAUAUAUAUGAAUCUAAGUUGAAGUCAGUCUUGGGUUUGAUGAAAUAGCUUGCAUUGUGAUUUAGAUUGGAAAGGGAGUUGAUUUUUGCUGACUGAGAGAGAGAGAGAAAGUUGAGACAUAAGAGAGUGUUGCUAAUUUUCUAAACAAGGGUAACUGGGUCAUAGUUCAAAAUGAUGGUCCAAAAUUUACUAAAGCUAUUAAGGAGCCGAAAACCCAUAAUGGCUUCCCUCAAAUAAAUAAAAUUUUCAAGCAUAAAGUUUUUGUUUCUUCUUAAGAUUUCCUUGUCAUACUUACCCAUAAUUCGAAAAUGCCUGAUAUUGCCUGCAAAUAAACUUAUAUAUAUUGAUUAACAAUAUAAACAAGCACUAUGAGGUUUUAGGCCUGAAAGAACAUUAGGGUUGAAAUGACAACCAUCUAUUUAAGUAACAAAAUCUUCUGAUAAUUUGAUGCUUAAUAAAUUGAGCAGAGAUGACAUAUAAAUCAUGUUAUGACAUGGAAGUUAUGAUUAUAUUCAUCUUAAGAAUAAGAUCUUUCAGACACUGGCAGAUUAGUAUCAAAAUACUCAGCAUAAGACCUACAAACUAGAAAUCAUGCACUAAUACAUAAGUUGAUCUUUUAUAAGCUAUAAAACAAAUCUACUAUAACAUAAGAAAGUGGGAUUUAUCACCAGACAAAUAUUUUGGUGAGACUCAAGCUGAUGGAAGGAUAUCCAAAGCAACCUCCUUAAGGGAAGGCAUCACUUCCUGGUGAUGCAAACAUAUAUAUUUAUUACUCACUUUCUUGAGGACCUUCCAGGAACCUGGGUAGCACCUAGCGGGAAGUGGAAAAGAAAAAAAUGUAAAAUAUAAGUUAAACAGCAGGAAAACAGUAAGUGACUCUAGGCAAGCAUUAAUAUGUUGCCACAGGAAAAGCGUCAGUAACUAGCCAGCAAACCUGAAAAGGGUUCCUCCAUUGCGACCCUUAAAAUUGUGAAUGUAAUAUAUGGUCUCCAUCACAGGAAAAAUUGUUUUGGAUAGUGCAGCUAGCUUAGGGUAGAAGAAUGAUGGAUAAUCUUUAGCUCAUUUAAGGAAAUCCUCUCUGAUCCUUUCAUUGCACAUUCCAAAACAACUCUACUACAACCAACUCACCAAUUCUUUUUGUUAAGUCAUUGUUAUUUACUUUUUUUAAAAAAUAACCCUUCUGUGCAACAUUUUAGUGAAAGAUAUAACAUUAAUUCCCCUUCUAGAUUUCUGUGAGUGAAUCUCAAAUUAUUGUAUUCAUAAAUAGGAGCAAAAAACCCACUUUACUUUCAAUUUUUGCAAAACGAUACCAAUUGAAGGACCAAAAAGUUGUAAACAAGCAAUUCAAUGGAUGGGUAUCUAGAAACUGUUAUAUAGCAUCAAAAUCAUACUAAAUUUACAGAAAGUACAAUAAUAAUGAAAGAAUGGUGAAGGAUACACCCAGACCUUAUCCGGUCAAGCUCUCCAUUGAAUAUAAUCAGUUUCCGGGCAGUAUUGAAGACAGCUUCUUUGUAAAGCUCUUCAACCACAAGCAUUUCUACAAGACAAAAGAAAAGCAAAAUUAAUGACCUUAAGGAAUGAAUGUCAAUGAGAAGACAAGGUGUAAGACUACCAUUGACAUUAAAAUAUGGAUAGGCGACUAGAAACAAUUCAUCUUCCGGCUUCACACGGUCAGCCAUUUUGACCUUCUCAGUGAAUCCAAAAUCCUCAAAGAAUGAAGGUUUUGUUAGAUAGUCCAACUUAAAUGAUGCUCCUUCAAAGAGCGAUUUUCUUGCAAAUUUGACUUCAUUUGCCUCUGGGAAAAACUAAAAACCAAAUGACAGACUAUCACGAAACGAAUCAUGAACACAGAUAUCAGAUAAUCAGAAAUGGGCCUUAAACCGAAUACUAACAGGGUGGGAAAUGCAUACAGAAAACAUUAUUCAUACACCUUAUGCACAUGAAAUAUAUAUGUAGAGGGAUCCUCUUAUGAAUUUAGCUUAUAUCCUAAUAUGAGACAAUGAACAAUUGGAUGCCAUCUAAGGGCUAACAUUUGUUUGAUUUAUUAUAUGAAAAAUAAAAAUAAAAAACAAAACAAAACAUAAUUGAUUGAUGGCCUUUGAUGGAUUGCCUACACUCCUAAAGUGCAGAGAGCCUGAUUGAUGCCAUGCUUUAACUGGCCCACACACACUUGAUUUUAUUAUCUCUCUUUUCGAAUAUAUAAUCGUUGCCUUUCAUCCUGAACCAGCUGUCCUUCCAGGCACCAGCUGUGUUUUCUUCAAUUCAGUGAAACAUUCACUUUCUGGUAAGAAUAAACUUGUCCUUCCUCAAAAAUUCAGCUUCUGACUAUGAAGCUUUCUUUUUUGAAACAAUUACUAGUCUAGCAUAAUGCAUCUAAUUGAGGACAACUCAGAAUUGAAAAAGCCAUAUUUUAAUGUCUGCUGUUGGGACCUCAAGACUAGGAACAAAAAGCUUCUUUCUAACAGUUGCGUUAACAAGUGGAAAUAGCUUUUUUCUGAAGGACCGAACAUUGCAUUGAAAGAGUCAACAAAAGGACUGGCGUCAUAUUUAGUCCAGCAAGAAUUUUGUGGACUUAACACAAUGGUUAAUAAUUCGCCCAGCGGUCACUUUGUCCAACUCUGGCAAUCUUGACGGUGGAAAUGCAUCUUUCAAAUGUUGGCAGGCUCUAGCUUCUUGAUGUACUGUUGAUAGAAAUGCAUAUUUCACAAGUUGGCGGGCUCAAAUUGCCGAGACUUUGGUUUCUUGCAUUUCAAACCCACAAAUAAAACUUUGGUAGAACCCCAGAAAGAGCUACACCUCCCAAAUCUGAUGACAAAUGAAGAGACCAUGCCUAGUGCUUGGUUCGGCAAAUGAGUAAGUCUGAAACAAAUUUAGGGAAACCUUUCCCACAGAGAGUCAUAUUGAAGGUUACAAUUUGAUGACUUUGUCCCUCUGUUGCCCAUAACCUUCUUUAUCUCUUUUCUUGGUCAUAAAUAAUCAAACAUAUAUUAGUCGUUGGAUGCAAUCCACUCACUGACAUCUCAUGUCCACAAUCAAUCAUCCAUAUUUUAAUAGAAAUGAAAACAUUUUAAUUAAAAAAGAAUGAGAUGGGAACAAAAUCAAACUUGGCAGACAAGGGUCUAUGUGAUUUUAAAGAUGCUUGGUGAAAGUCAUAUCCAAGAGUUCAACAGUCAGUUCUAUCACCUAUGGCAAAGUAACCACCACAACUAAAGCAAUUACAAAACAUCAAGAAGCUUGAACUUGGCAAGAGUUCUCAUUAACAGUAUACUUCAGAAAUUAGGACACACUUAAAGUGCAAGCUUUUGGAUUUAUUUAAGGGGUUAGAAUCUCCUAUGGUCACAGCUAACAAUUACUAAUCACAAAUCCCAAAAAACAGAUAUGCAAAAAGCUGCAAAAGAACAAUAUUAGCAACUGAUGUCUGCUUUUGCUCGGACAAAGGUUCUCAUAACAAAGGACUUAGUGAUUGUCUGUCACAUGUUUAUGUUAAGGGGAAAAAGGAAGUUUGUUUUAGUUAAUCUCAUGUCUAAUGGCAUUCAUAAGGAACCCAAAAAUAAAAGAAAAAAUAAAGAGUUAGUACGUGUUUCUUGCAGCAUAAAGAAAAUUUAUCAUCCAUGAAAAACGUAGUAUGGAAAAAGCUAACUCAUUUAUACGCCAACGGAGAAAAACUUGUCGUCCACCCACUAAGGACCCACCAUUGGCAGGUCUGAUGGAUCCCAUGGAUGGGAACCACAAAUUUUUUUAUUUUAAAUGACAUCGGUAUUGUACCCAUAUCAUUUAGUUUGUCGAUUCCACUUAUGGGACUCGUCAAACUUGCCAAAUGGUAGGUCCUCAGGGGGCAGGCGCAUCGCUUUAGCAUCCUUCUCCACCGACGACCAAAUCUGGACUCAUUUAAAAAGAAUACAAAGCAAAACCAACUGACACAAAUUGCAUAGAGGUCUAGGAGCCAAAUUAAUGUUGUUAACUCAUCCAAUUAACACAUUUUCUUAGGGAUCAUACCAUGGUAUGACAUUUCAAAAGAAACUAAAAGGAAAACAACUGCACAAAUUGACCUGUUGAAGGUGUUCACUGCACAAAAUGAAGGGGGCAGAAAAAAAAGGCAGAAACCCUCAGCUGCUUGCUUGCAAAUAUUAGGACCAGAUCUUACAUUUUCCAAAUAUCACAACUGAAUGCAUAGGGAAAAGUAAAGAGAACUGAUAUAAGAAUAUACAACCCACUUAAUUAUGGUUCUAAACAAGUUCCCUAAAUCAAUUUGUGGAGUUCGCACAUUAUAAUAAUGUAACAGGCUCAUUAUCCACAACACAAUCAUCCAAUUUCAAGCACGAUUAAAAAUUCACCUUCUCCCUGUUGCUCCUUGUUUUGCUCCCUGUUGUGUCUCUCCAGGCAGCACCCAUACAAUUCAAGUAUCUUUCCCACAACUUCUGCAGCCAAAUAACAACAAAUAAUUAAAUAAUUCAUUCACUUCAGUUUGACUGAUUUAUUGUUCAAAAAUGACAUAGGAGUCAAAGAAAGAACAAACCCAAAUGUUCCCAUCACACGUGUAGUUACAUAGCUUGCCUCAGAUCCUAAGAGCUUGGCCAAUCCAAAGUCUGAUACUUUUGGGUUCCAUUUUCUAUCAAGAAGAAUGUUGCUUGACUUCACAUCACGGUGUACACAUUAUAAUAAUGUAACAGGCUCAUUAUCCACAACACAAUCAUCCAAUUUCAAGCACGAUUAAAAAUUCACCUUCUCCCUGUUGCUCCUUGUUUUGCUCCCUGUUGUGUCUCUCCAGGCAGCACCCAUACAAUUCAAGUAUCUUUCCCACAACUUCUGCAGCCAAAUAACAACAAAUAAUUAAAUAAUUCAUUCACUUCAGUUUGACUGAUUUAUUGUUCAAAAAUGACAUAGGAGUCAAAGAAAGAACAAACCCAAAUGUUCCCAUCACACGUGUAGUUACAUAGCUUGCCUCAGAUCCUAAGAGCUUGGCCAAUCCAAAGUCUGAUACUUUUGGGUUCCAUUUUCUAUCAAGAAGAAUGUUGCUUGACUUCACAUCACGGUGUACAAAUUUGGGUUCUAAACCUUCAUGCAAACAUGCUAGCCUGUAAGAGAAAUAACCAUUAACAGUUAUCAAACAAUAUGAAGAAGAUUAGAGCAGACUAGGGACUUCAAACUUGUAAGUGAUCAUUAUAAGCAGCUUCAGAUGAUAAGGUGAUUACCAUAUUAUAAACAUACUUAAAAAACAUAACAGUAUGCAUAAUUUGACAAAACAACUGCUAGUUACAAGGCCUAAAACAUCAAAAUCUUUGGCUUUAGCCAUUACUUUUGAAAUUAGAAUUGACCAAAGGAUAGCCACGAGAUUAUCAGUUUGCCCAUGCACAAUUUAGGACCAAAACGGUCAAUCAUAUAUAUAUUCAAGAUUGGUAAAGAAUCAGCACUGAAAUGAAGACAAGAAAACUCACCCUUUUGCAGUCCCAAUGGCAAUCUUCAUUCGAAUAUCCCAUGUCAGAGGGCUCACUGAUCCUACAUCACCAUGCAACCAUUGCUCCAGAUUGCCAUUGUGGACAUAUUCAUACACAAGCAUCCUAAAUGACCAGUAAAAAUUGCCGAAAAAAAAUUUCAGAACUUUCUUUCUAUUUUCAAUUAACCAUAUGAUUUUAAAAAAAGUGGCACAGGAAAAUAAAUGUACCUUUGAGCACCAUCUGCACAAUAUCCAAUUAGACCCACCAACUUCUUAUGCCUGACUUUACCAAUGACUUUAAACUUCUUAUACCAGUGACGCGAUCUCGCUGCAACACUCACAGUUGCAUUCCCCUGUUUCGGGUCGUCUCCAUUGGGCUAGGAUCCAAUUUAAUCCAUGGCCAUGUAGCUGCAAAACAAGUCGUUCUCGAGGUCGACCGAGCUCGUCGAAUUACCGAUCUGAAAUGAGAUGCACCCCGUCUGGAAUCCGGUAAUGCACCUCGGACUAUGAUGAAUGGUUGGACGGGCUACGUGCUAGUAGAUUCGGGUUCGGAUUUGGCGGAUAUUGCCUUUGCAUUUCUGGAGAUUUAAGAGAGAGAUUCAUAUUUGGGGAAUGAGUGAACGACGAAUAGGGACGGUGCUUUAUUUUUUCAUUUCUUCGAUGGUGCCGUUGCAGGGAUUUAUCCACGCCAUAGCCCAAAAGUGGGAUAUUUACUUAAAUACACCCUCAUAAUUUAAAAUUUUUCAUAUAUACUUUUUUUCAAUAUGCAAUUAUAAAAUUACCCCAAUUCAAAAUCUAAUAUUACAAAAUCACCGAUGUUACAAUGCCCAAGAUGCUUAUGCUGCUGUAAGUUCGUGCUUCUUCUGCUGCUGGUUCUAACACCACAAAUCCGCUACUUUCAUUAGAAAUUCACCAAACUAAGGCUGGAAAUUCACCGAAUUAAAGGUUAUUUACCACAUUUACACUUAAUUUUUACUUCAUAAAGAGAAUUUAAGAUUCAUAAUUGUUGGGGUUAUACGCAUUAGGGUUUUAAAAAAUAAAUUGCCCAUGCGAUUUUGGUCAUUAUUGUAGUUGGCCGAGUUAUUUGUUUCACUUGCAUACUUGCUGAUAAUGUUUCUUCACGAUUCAUGUAAUGAAGCUUCUUGAACUUGUGGAGUUGAAAUUGAAGAGAGUGAUUUCAAGGGAGCUCACUCUCCUUAUAAUGGUUAUGGGAGUUCCUAAUUAAAUAUUAAGAGGGAAUUAGAUAAAACAAAUAUUAUCCUUGUGACUACUCAGUCAUGGCUACACUGAUUUAUCUGUUAGAUCUGUGUUUGGUUUUACUUGUUGUUUGUAGUUGGACUUCAUCCAUGGGAAUUAUAAAUUAAUUUUCUUCAGCUGUGUAUGCAUUCAUUAUGUCGCAAUCUGGGUUUUCUCCAUUAUUUGCUAUGAACCUUCAAUUUACAAUUUCUAGUUAUUUCUUACCCAUAUUAAAUGGAUUUCAAAUAAUAUGUUAAUGAUUAAAUGUCCAUUUGGCUUUUUAAUGGUCCAUCAAUAUAUUUUUUAUAAUAAACAAAAUUUUCAUUCUCUCUAUUCGUUGACAAGCCAUAUUAAAGUAAAUUCUUUUUCAUACUGUCAUUCACUUAAAAUUAUGUACAAAGAUUUGAAUCCAAUGAGAUAUAGAAGUGAAAACAUAUUUAGCUUUUUUUUAGUUUUAUGUUGUAAGCAUUAUGUUUUAUCAUGAAAGGACUUAAAUCCAAGGAGAUAUAGAAGUCAAAACAUAUUUGAUGCUUGUUGUAGUCGUGUAAUGAAUGCUUUACUCGGCUGUAAUUAUGUAAUGAAUACUUUAAUCGGCUGUAGUCGUGUAAUGAAUGUUUUACUUGACUAUAGUCGUGUAAUGAAUACUUUACUCGACUUGUGUGUCGUGUAAUUUUUUUGAUUGGUCUAGAAUAUAUUAUUAUGCAACUUUUCAAUCGUUUUAUAUUAUAAUUAAAAUAUUUUAUGUUUAUGCAGAUGGAAUUAAAAAUUAAGGAAUCUGAAUACUUCAAAGCAAAGAUUUCUAAUCGAUUAUAACUAGAUGCUGUGAAAGACAUAAAUAAAUAUCAUCCUUGUGAGUACGUAAUAUCCCGCAAUAAAAUCAGGGUAUGCAAUUGAGUACAUCAUAUAUAUAUAUUUUUUCCAAUAAGAAUGGUGAUUUUAUUAUUGAUGUAUAUGAAUUUUAUUAGUGGUGAUUGUGAAUCAUUUUUGUUGUAGUACUUGGAGGUCCUAUCCCAUGGCCUUGAUGUCAACAUAUAUUGUCAACAAGAUGAUGUUACACAAUUUCGAAAAGCAUUAGCUGUCAAAUUAUUUGGACACAGGUCGUUGAAACCAACUACAUAGUGUUAUACCUAAAAAUUUCAUUGUUGUGAUUUUGCCAUUUUUUGGAUUAAUUAUCAUAAGAUGUAAUAGUUGCAAUGGGGAUGUCGUUAACAUUUGAUAUCAUUAAAGAUGAUUUUACAUAUUCGAGUAACUUUAUAUAUACACGACGGUAGUCGGGUAACUUUAUAAAUACACGAUUAUAUUCGAGUAAGUGAAUAGACAACAAAAAUUACAACAAAAUGAUAACACAAUUCAAUACAUCGAACAAGAAAAGCUUUUUUUUUUUUUACAUCAAAUAACAUCGAUCCAAUACAUGUGAGGAUCAUAAUAAGUUUCAAGGGAAUACAAGUUGCUACUCAAUUAUCAUAGCUAAAAUACCCAAGCAAAUAUAGUUUUUUUGCUUCGUCGUGAAAAUAAUCUACAUCAUCAUCUGUCAUAAUUGAAAUGGGAGGGAUUGGAUUGAAUGUCUUAAGCUUGAACUUCAUUUCAAUGUCAAAUUUAGAAAUAUCAACGGAAAUAACUCAAGAUAUUCUUUCAUGUCAUAAUAUAACACAUAAUUAUACAACAAAUACAAAAAAAAAUCAAAUAAGGUAUAAAACGAAAUGUGGAAUCGUUUGUCCAUUUACACAACUACCAUCGUGUAAUUGCUUGUUUACACGACAGUAGUCGUAACUUGCUAAAAUAUACAAUUAUAGUCUAGUAAAUAGUCAGAGGAUAUAUUUAGAAAAAAAUGUAUUCUUUACACUAACAGAAUCCUAGGUGUCAUAACGGCUACUAUAUUUUUCUUAUUUACACAACUGCUAUUGUGUAAAUUCAUACAUACACGAUAAAAGUCGUGUAAGUUGCAAAAAUAAAUGACUACAACCCAGUAAAUAGUCAGAGGACAUAUGUCUUCUCAAAAAAUAUUUUUCUUGCACUAAUAGAAUGUUAGGGUCUAUAACGGUUGAAACAUUUUACAUAUAUGCAUAACUGUAGUAUGUAAAUUCAUACGUACACGAUAGUAGUAGUGUGACUUAUUAAAACACACGACUAUAAUCUAGUAAUAGUCAAAGGACAUAUCUACUGAAAAAAUAUAUAUAUUUUGCACCAAUAAAAUGCUAGGGUCUCAUAAUAAUUGGAAUAUUUUACACAUUUUCACGACUGCAAUCGUGUAAAUUCAUACCUAUACGACAACAGUCGUGUAUGUCGGGUGCAGAACAGAAUUUUAGCAACAAAUUUAGGUUUUAACGAAUGUAGUUAUAAAACCCAUCAAAUAACAGUCAUAUGAUGUAAAUGUAAUGAAAAUGUGAGUUGCUUUAUUGUUUAUCACAAACCAAACAAAAUCCUAAAUAUAAUAUAAUGCCAACAAAAUGAAUAAAUAACACAAAAUAAAAAUAAAGUUUCAAAUACCUUAUUCAGGAGAUGAAUAAUGCACCCAGCUCAAACCAAAAUCUCAGUGCAUUAGCUGUGCAUGAGUGAUUUUGAGAGUAUGGAGUGAGUUUUUGUUGUGUGGAGUUAAAAAGAGUAAGAAGUAAAGAGUGUUGAAGGUGAGUUGUGUGUGAAAUACAAGUAUGCAACCCAAGAGGGGGGGUGAAUUGGGAUUCUAAAAAUUAUUCAAUUUAUAAGGAAAAACUUAAUGCAAAUAUAAUCCAAAUUCAAAGCAAUAACAAUUAAGUUGAUCACAAUAUAAAAAGAUAAGGGAAGAGGGAUUCAAACACAGAGAUUUUUACGUGGUUCGGCCAACCUCGCCUACGUCCACGCCUCCAAGCUUUUUGGGCUUGAGGAUUCCACUAAGCAAGCCGCCAAGGCUUCAAAUGCUUACACUUGACUUCCAAGGUGUCAAUAAACCUUUACAACAAGAGAUUAUCCCCAAUCUCUUAACCUAAGUGUAUCCCAACACUUACAAUCACUCAAAGUAAAAGAUUACAAAUUGUUUUGCCUCUCACAAUAUAUAAGAUUACACAAUGAUGCUUAAUAUGUGAAUAGAUGAAGCAAGAAUGUGUUUUAAGCUUUAUGAAGAUUGUAUUCUCGAAUAUUUGCUCAAAGGUCGUGUUGUGAUCAAUCUUCUUUGAAUUUGAAUGAGCUUAUUUAUAUCUGGAGAUGAAAAUCUAGCCGUUACAAACUGUCGGACAGAAAACGGUUUGCCGUUAGCCAUAAACGGUUAACCAUUUCGGUUGGUCAAAGUUAGCGUUGGGCCAGAUUUCAAAUAAACGGUUUGCCGUUUAGGAUUAACCUUUCGCCGUUAACUUCCAGAGACCUGCAAGAUGAACAUUGGUUAUCUGUUUACACUAAACGGUUAAGGACUUGCGUGAAGUGGCUUCUCUGGAUAUUAUCGGUUAAUCGUUUGUAAUAAACGGUAAGUCGUUUGACUCCAAUAACCUGCAAAACAAACUAGCCUUAUCAGGUUUUGUUAAUUAGUGCUAGAGGAGGACAACCUUCAAUUCUGGACGUUAUCGGUUAACCGUUUAAAAUAAACGGUUCACCGUUUAAAAUAAACAGUUCACCGUUAAGUUCCAGUUGCCUUUCCAUCCUUGGUGUUUUCCGUUUUUCAUAAACGAUUAGAGCUUAGGCAAUAUGUUGCUUUCUGGUGUUAAUCGGUUAACCGUUUUAAAUAAACGGUUCACCGUUAAGUUCCAGUAACCUUCCCAUCUUUUAUGUUUUCCGUUUUUCAUAAACGGUUAGAGGUUUAGGAAAUAUGUUGCUCUCUGGCAUUAAUCGGUUAACCGUUUAAAUAAACGGUUUACCGUUUAUUUCCAGAAUCACACUUUAAAACAGAUUUUAUAGAAAAUCAUUUUUGAAUUUGAAGGUCCAUCUUUUAUGAAAGAAUGAAUGGAAUGAUUAUCAAGACUUUUGUUUAUUAAGGAAUAGCUCCAAUAUUUUUAUCAAAAAAAUUUAAAAUUUGUUAUCAUCAAAAUCAAUAUUAUUAACAUAUUUAUGUUAACAGUGUGUUUUAUAUUUUUUCUUUAGGGAUAUUUUAGAUAAUGUACCACAUAAAAAGGUAUAUGUAGAUAAUUUUUAACUAUGGGGUAUAUUUAACUAAAUACCCCAUUUUUAGGGCAUCUUUAAUUAAAAACCCCGUGCCGUUGAGACUUGAGAGCUGGACUUUUUUUUUUUACUACUUUCACUUAAAAAAGAAAAUGAAUAUUAUAUAAAAACAACAUAGUUUUAAUUAAUUUUAAAUAUUAUAAUUUUUUUAUUAUUGUUUAUAUCUUAAUUAUGGGUUCCUCUAUGAUGCUGUAAAUUUUUUUACAGCAUCAAUAAUGUAUUAAUUGUGAAUCAUUAGAUCUAAUCAAUGGUAUACAAUAUUUGUACUAAAAAAAUAAUUUAAAAAUAAUGGUAACUGUUCAAGUGGAUGGAUAAUUUUUGUAAAAUAAUUGUGACCACCCUUAGAGUUUGAAACAAUUUUAAUUAAAUAGUAUAUUUAUUUAAAAUGACUUUUCAGCCCUCCUUUAAAUUUGUAAUAUGAUAAUCUCUUUUAAAUAAAUCUUCCAAAAUCAGUUACCAUUAAGUAUAAAAUAUAAUAUCAAGUAUGUUAAUUAACACAAAGUCUUUUAAUAAUUUGUAUUGUAUGAAUUUAAUUACAAACCAUUAAUACCUAAACAAUAAUGAUAAUAGAAAGCAUUGCAAUAACCUAUUUUAUACAUGUUUUAUUAAUAAUAUUUUAUGAAUCACAACAAAUGAGAAAUAUUUUAUUCACCAAUUAUUAUUGAAAAAUAUAUAUGUCUAUAUAACUAUAGAGUGAGAAAUAUUUUGAUUUAAUUUUUUAUCAAAAAAUUAAACUAUUUAUUUCAUGCAAUUCAAUGGUGGAGGAUAUAACAUUAUGAAAUGUUGCUUUGACUUUUAAUAUCAACCAUUAGACUAUGAGAUAUUAGUGGCUUAAAUAUUGUGCCAAAAUUUUAAGUUAAAGUAUCCCAAACCAUAUCUUUAUAAUGGAAAUAUAAAAACAUACAAUGAUUUUUUUCCUCAUUUUGUCCAUUAAAUAUUAUUUGAUGUAAUAUUUUAUUUAUUAUCACUAUUUAUUAUCAUAAUAAAAGUAAUAACUCUUCGCAGCAUAAAAAUUUUAUAAUUACUAUCAAAGAAUAACAAUAAAAUUAUCUUUCAUGAUUCAUAAACUAAAGUUAAUUAGGAAUAUGUGUUAGAUUUAACUUUUAUGAAAUUAACAAAGUAACAUUUGAAAAAUAAAUGAAAACAAGCUUGCGAAAGUUAAAUUUUAUAAGGCUGAGAUAAUUUCCUACCAUGUCAAUAAAAAUCUAAAAAUAUAAAUGAUUUUCUUUCAAUUUUUUUCCCACGUAAAUAUUAUUGGAGGCAAUAUUUUAUUUAUUGUCACUAUUAAUUAUCAUAACAAAAGUAAUGAUUCUUAAUAACAUAAAAUUUUAUAAUUACAAUAAAAUGAUAUCAAUAAAAUAAUCUUUCACGAAACUAAAGCUCAUUAGGAAUAUAUAUUAGAUUUAACUUUUGUGAAAUUAACAAAGUGAUAUUUGAAAAUAAAAUGAAAAUAUAUAGGCUUAUAAAACUUAAAAUUCCUAUCAUGUAAGGGUAUUAAUUGUAAGAUAAAUAUAAAGUUAAGAGAAUAAGUAUGUUAAAUGGGUGUUAAAAAUAAUACAUACUUCAUGAUCAAUUAUACAAUGACCCUUAAUAUUAUAUAAAAUAAUGAGUAUUUUAAUAUACGAUAUUCAAUUUUAUUAAAACAUGUGUGAUCAAGUAAUUUUUAUGUUACAAGCAAUCUCAACAAUGAGUUUAUUGAUGUAACUAUGACGUUUAAUUAAGUAUAUGUACUUAGUUGUGUUAUUUAUUACUAUUAUAUCAUAUAUAAAUUUUGCAAUUGCAACUUAUUUAUUUGAUUUGUGUUAAAUAACCUACCAUUAUAUUUUAAACUUAAUGGUAAUAGAUUUUGGAAGAUUUAUUUAAAAAAGAUUAUCACAUUUCAAAUUUAAAGGAGGAUUGAAAAAUAAUUUUAAAUAAAAUAUGCUAUUUAAGUGAAAUUGUUUCAAACUCUAAGGAUGGUCAGAGUUAUUUUAUAAAAUUCUCCACCCCUUACACAUUUGUUAACCGUUUACAAUUAUUUUUAAUUUUUUUACUACAAAUAUUGUGUACCAUUGAUUAAAUCCAAUGGUACACAAUUAAAAAUAUUAUUGAUACUGUAAAAAAAUUACAGCAUCAUAGAGGAACCCCUUAAUUAUAUAACAUUAAUCUUUUAAAAAAAGUUAAAGAUAAAAUUGAUAGAUUUAUGAUUAUAUAUAUAUAUAUAUAUAUAGACACACAAUCAUUUAUAUAUAUAUACCUAAAAUAUAUAUAGAACCACUUAUGAUUUUUUUUCGAGUUCAGAUUUAUGAUUUUUAGUUAAAUUUUAAAUUUAUGAUUUGAUACCUAAUUUUUCAUUCAGGAAAGGGACAAGGUAGAUUUUUAUAAACUAAUUUAAAGAAAAAUGAUAGAUUUAUGAUUUUAUUAAUAUAUUAAUAUAUAUUAUAAUUAAUAAUAAUAAUUUUUGAAUAAAUAAUCACUAUAAUUAAAAUAUAAAAUAAUAAUUAUAAUAAUUAUCCAUUAAGUACUUUUUAGUAAUUUGUUACAAUCUAACUCAUUCCGAAGCCAAUUCCAAGAUAAAAUAAACAUAUCAAUGAGAUGUCAUUCCAUUCCGAUUUCAAUUCUUGUAGGUCAAAUAAAUAACUUAUUCUGAUUCUCAUUCCCUAUUCCGACUAAUGACAAGUAAAUGCAACAUUAUAUAUAUAUAAACCUUUUUUUUUUGCCUUUGACUCGAAUUUAAUGGUUAGGCUCGGGCCUAAAUUCAGAGCCCGAUUAAAUUCAUAUCAGGGUUCGGGACCUACAUGCCCGACCCGACCUGACCUGACCCUAAAACUUUAAAAAAAAAAGUUUAUAUAUAUAUAUAGUUUAUUAUUUAUGUAAUAAUAUGGUUACGACCUUAAGUAAUUUUUAUUUUUAUGUUACUUCAAACAAUUUCUAAAGCUUUUAUAUUGUAAUGUAUAUGGGGAGGCUAUGUCCAAUUUUUAAAUUUUAAAUUAACUAAAAAUUAAAAAAAAACUGUAAAGAAAGUGUGAUUGGGCUUGAGCUUUCAAAUAAUCGGACCUUUUUAGGCUUGAAAAUUUUAUGUCAGUUACAGAGUCAGGCUCGGAAAUGACUAAGCACGGGCCUGACUCGACCCACUGCCAUCCUUGCGAAUAUACUAUUGAUCCAUUACGAGCUCAUUAGUUAAAUUCAUAAUCACUAUAAAUGUGUUACUAUCAUUCAAAACUCAUACAAUCUAAAAUUGUAAAUACACAAAAAGGUUUUCAAAGACUUCCAAAAGAAUGCCAAUAGUCUAACUCUCUAAUUUAUUUCGCAUAGGAUAUGGGUCGGGUCAACUAAGCUAAACUAAUGUUGAAAAAAAGAAGCAAAUUAAUGUUGGAGUGGUCAAUUGGUCUUCAAAAUUGUAAGAAUAAAAAAACUUUGAAAAAUAACAUAAAACUCAUAAAUUAAAAUUAACUGUAAAUUAAACAAAGAAAUUGUAAUCCACACAUAGGAUAGCUUGGCAGAAAAAUAAGAAAAUUAAUGUUGGAGUUGAAAAUUGGCCUUGUGAAUUAGAAGAAAUACAAAAAAUUAAACAAACCAGCAUAAAACUCGUAAAUUCACAUUAAGUGUGAAAUGAAACUAAAAAAUUGUAAAUCAUACAUAGGACUAGAAGCAUGACAUAAAACUUAUAAAUUGACAUUAAGUGUGAAGUAAAAUAAAAAAUACGUAAAUGUUGGUAUUUAUUAUAAUCAAAUGUUGUCGAUGCCAAUGUACAAGUGUACACAACAAGUAAUAAAGUGAUGAAUAUUCAAGAUCGUUUCCACAUGGAUUGAUGUUGCUAAAAAUGUUACAGCAAUCACAAUAGUGCAAUCUACUUUAAUCUCGAAACUAACAAAUGUAAAGUUGGUUAUAUUGAAAUUGAUAAUUGUGACAGAAUAAAAUGAAACAAUGCAGUAAUGAAAUAAAAUGUGUCGAAGAAUCAAUUAAGAAUAAGAUAGUUAAAUGAUCAAACUCUCUUUAUGGGCUGACUGCUUUUUCUCAAGUUAGCACCAGUUGUUACAGCAAUUGCUACAAUACUGGGCAGAAUUAUUUUGCAUCCUCAGCUGUCGCGUGUUGAAAUUCUCACACCCUUAAGUAUAUUAGCAAUGACCAGUUGCUAUUCUACCUACGGCAUGACCUUAUGAACCUUUAUUCUCUCCACCCUACAAGGUGAGUACCUAUGUCUAAUUUGUCAUAAAUCUUAACUUCAAGUAUAGCCCUUAUGGGAUUCAAGAUAAACUUAAUCUAGGAAACUUAAAUUAAGAUCAAGUAUUACUCUAAUAAUAUCCGCUAAGACAUGUCCUUUUGCGGCUCUAUCUUAAUUUGAACUAUUAAAUGGGUGGUCAACCGAAAUAACAGUCAUAAUAAUAACUAUUAGAGUAAAAUGCUACAGCAAUGACAUAGCAAUUCAUAAAAACAGUCAAGAACCCAUUAGAUUGUUUGUCACUCAACUACAAGCAAAUUUAGUUCAUAUUCUGAAAGAGAAAAACAAAUAUCAAAAUAUUGGUCAUGAAAUACAUCGGUUCAAUCAAUGAGUAAGGAAAAAAAUAAGUAGAGAACAAUGAAGAUUGAAUCCAAAUAACUCUGCUGGAUUCUUCACUGAUGUCGGAUUGGUUCCCUUGAAUUCAGAUUGUUUUCUUCUCUUCCUCUCGAUUUUUCCAAUGUUAAUUCCUUGCCGCCAUUUUAUGUGGUGCGUGCCUCCUUUUAUAACUAAAAACUAGGGCAAACAAAAGCCUCGGGCAUGCAUGAGUUAAAUUAGGAAACUGCAGAUCGCAAUUAUGCAGCUGACCCACGCUAAGUUUUCUCCCUCAGUGCUCCAGGAUUGCUACAGCAAUGGUUGCUCUAAUAACGGCUAUAACACUGCACUGUUCCCGGUUGUGCUUCACUUCUUUUGCGGCCAUAUUCUUUCCUUCUCUUGUUAGUCUAAUAUCUUAGCAUCCCUUCAUGCAUUAUAAACUUCUGAAAACCUACAAUUAUACAUAUGUUUUUAGCACAAAUUACUUUAAUUCAAGCAAAACUUAUUAAGACUCAACUAAAAUUAAUGUUUAUGCAAAAUAUAACCAAAAUAUAAUAAAAACACCUCAUUUACUCUCUAAGUGAUGAUGAUUUAAGUCUAGAAUUGUUGUAAUAACUCUCAUUUCAUAGAGUUAUCAGUAAACCACACAUAAAACUAAUAAAUUGAUGGAAAAAUGGGUAAAUUAAUGUUGGAGUUGUAAAUUGCAAGAAGAACUUGUAAACAAAACAAAAACCUAGAAAAAUAAAAUAGAACUUGUAAAUUGACAUUAAGUGUGAAAUGAAACAAAAAUUUAUAAACCACACAUAAACUAGUAAAUUAAUGAAAAAAUGGGUAUAUUAAUAAUGGAGUUGUAAAUUAGAAAAAGAAAGUGUAAACAAAAUAAAAACAUAUAAAAACGACAUAGAACUUGUAAAUUGACAUUAAGUGUGAAAUGAAACAAAAAAUUUGUAAACGACACAUAAAAUUAGUAAAUUGAUGGAAAAAUAGGUAAAUUAAUGUCGGAGUUGUAAAUUGCAAGAAAAACUUGUAAACAACACAAAAACUUCGAAAAAUGACAUAGACCUUAUAAAUUGGCAUUAAGUGUGAAAUAAAACAAAAAAUUUGUCAACCACACAUAAGACUAGUAAAUUAAUAGAACAAUGGGUAAAUUUAUGAUAGAGUUGUAAAUUAGAAGAAGAAAGUGUAAACAAAACAAAAACUUAGAAAAAUGACAUAGAACUUGUAAAUCAACAUUAAGUGUGAAAUGAAAUAAAAAAUUUGUAAACGACACAUAAACUAGUAACUUAAUAGAAAAAGGGGUAAAUUAAUGUUUGAAUUGUAAAUUGCAAAAAGAACUUGUAAAAAAAAUAAAAACUUAGAAAAAUAACAUAGAGCUUGUAAAUUGACAUUAAGUGUGAGUUAAAAAAAAAAUUGUAAACGACAUAUAAAACUAGUAAAUUGAUGGAAAAAUAGGUAAAUUAAUGUUGGAGUUGUAAAUUGUAAGAAGAACUUGUAAACAAAACAAAAACUUAAAAAAUAACAUAGAACAUUUAAAUUGACAUUAAGUGUGAAAUGAAACAAAAAAUUUGUAAAGGACACAUUAAACUAGUAAAUUGAUGGAAAAAUGGGUAAAUUAAUGUUGGAGUUGUAAAUUGAAAGAAAAACUUGUAAACAAAAUAAAAAUUUAGAAAAAUGACAUAGAACUUGUAAAUUAACAUUAAGUGUGAAAUGAAACAAAAAUUUGUCAAUCACACAUAAAACUAGUAAAUUGAUGGAAAAAUGGGUAAAUUUAUGUUGGAGUUGUAAAUUAGAAUAAGAACUUGUAAACAAAACAAAAACUUAAAAAAAAUGACAUAGAACUUGCAAAUAGACAUUAAGUGUGAAAUGAAAUAAAAAAUUAUUAAACCACACAUAAAACUUAUAAAUUGAUGAAAAAAUGGGUUUUUUGUAAACGACACAUAAAACUAGUAAAUUGAUAAAAAAAAUGGGUAAAUUAAUGUUGGAAUUGUAAAUUGUAAGAAGAACUUGUUAACAAAAAAAAAAUUUAGAGAAAUGACAUAGAACUUGUAAAUUGACAUUAAAUGUGAAAUGAAAUAAAAAAAUUGUAAACGACAUAUAAAACUAGUAAAUUGAUGAAAAAAUGGUAAAUUAAUGUUGGAGUUGUAAAUUGUAAGAAGAACUUGUAAAUAAAACAAAAACUUAGAAAAAUGACAUAGAACUUGUAAAUUGACAUUAAGUGUGAAAUGAAAUAAAAAAUUUGUGAACGACACAUAAAACUAGUAAAUUGAUGAAAAAAAUGGUAAAUUAAUGUUGGAGUUGUAAAUUGUAAGAAGAACUUGUAAACAAAAAAAAAAACUUAGAAAAAUGACAUAAAACAUAUAAAUUGAUAUUAAGUGUGAAAUAAAUAAAAAGUUUGCAAACCACACAUAAAACUAGUAAAUUGAUGGAAAAAAGGUAAAUUAAUGUUGGAGCUGUAAAUUGUAAGAAGAACUUGUUAAUAAAAUAAAAACUUAGAAAAAUGACAUAAAACUUGUAAAUUGACAUUAAGUGUGAAAUGAAACAAAAAAUUUGUAAACGACACAUAAAACUAGUAACUUGAUAGAAAAAUGGGUAAAUUAAUGUUUGAGUUGUAAAUUGCAAGAAAAACUUGUAAACAAAACAAAAACUUAGAAAAAAAUGACAUAGAACUUGUAAGUUGACAUUAAGUGUGAAAUGAAACAAAAAAUUUGUAAACGACACAUAAAACUAGUAAAUUGAUGGAAAAAUGAGUAAAUUAAUGUUGGAGUUGUAAAUUGUAAGAAAAACUUGUAAACAAAAUAAAAACAUAGAAAAAUGACAUAGAGCUUGUAAAUUGACUUUAAGUGUGAAAUGAAACAAAAAAUUGUAAACCACAGAUAAAACUAAUAAAUUGAUGGAAAAAUGGAUAAAUUAAUGUUGGAGUUGUAAAUUAGAAGAAGAACUUGUAAACAAAACAAAAACUUAAAAAAAUGACAUAUAACUUGUAAAUUGACAUUAAGUGUGAAGCGAAAUAAAAAAAUUGUAAACCACACAUAAUACUAGUAAAUUGAUGAAAAAAAAUGGGUAAAUUAAUGUUGAAGUUGUAAAUUGUAAGAAGAACUUGUAAACAAAACAAAAACUUAAAAAAAUGACGUAAAACUCAUAAAUUGAUAUUAAGUGUGAAAUGAAACAAAAAAUUUGUAAACCACACAUGAAAUUACUAAAUUGAUGGAAAAUUGGGUAAAUUAAUUUUAGAGUUUUAAAUUGUAAGAAGAACUUGUAAAUAAAAUAAAAACUUAGAAAAAUGACAUAGAACUUCUAAAUUAACAUUAAGUGUGAAAUGAAACAAAAAGUUUGUAAACGACACAUAAAACUAGUAAAUUAAUGAAAAAAUUGGUAAAUUAAUGUUGGAGUUGUAAAUUGUAUGAGGAACUUGUAAGUAAAACAAAAACUUGUAAUUGUUGUAUAAAACUUGUAAAUCAACAUUAACUUGUAAAUAUUGUAUAAAACUUGUAAAUCACACAUAAUAUUAAUAAAUGUAACUUGGAACUUGAAUAAAAAAAAGUAAUUAUCUGCUACUUAGGUAACAAGUUACCUAUUUAUUUAGAAUUAGUGGUAGAAAUUUUUUAUUCAAAUUUACUGAUUCACGUCAAUUACGGCAUCAAUGCCGUAAAUUUUGUUACGGCAUUAUAGAAUUACCCUAUCUUAGAUAAAAAGAAUUGUGUAUGGCGAGGUCGGGUGCUUGUUGAUAUAUAUAUAUCUUCCUUUCCGAUCAAAUAAAUCCAUAAUUUUUUUUUCUACUCUAUGCACCUAGACAAUAAUGAUGAAUAAAUUACAAAUAUAGAGGUAGAUUCAAAGAACAUAGUUUUUUUACACAUGUAAACACAAUUUUCUGAUCAUUUGAUUAGAAAAAAAAUGAAGGGUCAAGAUUAGAUGGCAUAGGUUAUUCAUAAUUCUCUCAUUAAUGCUCUAUCUCCAUCCUCUCUCUCUCUCAUUUGAGCUAAAUUUUUUUUAUAUGUUCUAUUAUUUAUUUUGUUUAUUCUAUCCGUAAUUUUAUAUCACUAUAAUUACCAUGAUAAAAUUUGGAUAAUUUCAAUGAAAAUAAUUUUUUUUAAACAAUACGAGGUGAUCACCGAACUUUUCAUUUGAUAUCAUUAACUAGAACAAAGCCACAAAGCCAAUGUUCCGAACGUAAAGGUAUGUGUUCUGGUCUGAGUGGCAAGGGAUAACAUCUUCUUGCAUAAAAGAUUAAUGACAUCAGAAUUACCGUAUUUAGGAAAGUGGAACAUUUAUAUGGACAACCUAUAAAAAAUUUCAAAAAGCUAAUGGGCAGAAAAUAAGUAUUUUAAUUCAAAAUUUUGUACUUGAAUUUUUCUGUCCUUUUUACAGCAUUGAUAAUGGGGUUGUUAUAAAUCUUUUGAUUUAAAUAUUUUAAUCUUUAUCAUUAAUUUAUUAAGUGAAUAAAUAAUUAGUUAAUUAAUGGCGUUACCUUUAAAAUCAAGUUGAUAAUUCAAAUUAAAAGAGAUAUUUAUGAAUUUAACACGAAAAAAGAGAAGUUGCAGCGACAAUUAAAGUGUCAAUCACAUUUAUAAUUUCAUCUGUAGUGAAAGUGACAGGUCCAAUAGGCAAUAUACAAAGAGUGUGUGUAUGUAAAAUUGUGAGGAAGUGAGAUGCUGCCGUUGGAUGAAUUGAAUGGACAUGAUUCAUUGUCAAUGUGGGACCUACAACUGAAGGAAAAAAACUUUAGUCAUAGGCUUUACAUACUGGUCCACAAAUAAAAUGAAGGGAAAAUGACAAUCAACCUCUUAAUGUUUGGGAAAAAAAAUAUAAAUCUCUUUAGCAUCUAAAAAAAGAUACGUAACUUCAUUCUUGUUAAUAAAUUUUAUUUGUUUUAAUGAUAAAUUUAUUUUUAAUUUUAAUCAAUGUUAUAUCCCUAUAAUAAAGAAAUCAAUAUAAUAACUUAAGGCAUGUCAUCAAUGACGUGUAUAAUGAAAUCAAUCACUUUUUAUUUAAAACUUAAAAUUGAGAUAUAAUUACUUUUUACCCAAACUUUUCACUUUAUAAUAGUAAUUGUAAAUUAAAAAUAAAUUUACUAUUAAAAAAAUAUAAUUACUAAUAAUAAGGAGGGUUAUGUGCAUUUUUUGAAAUGAUUUGCAAGCAUUUGGGGCUCAUAGUCCUUUCAAAGAAAAUGAAUUCAAUCCCUCCUUUCUCAUCUCUAUCUCUACAUAAAGAAAAUGAAUUCAAUCCCUCCUCUCUCAUCUCUAUCUCUACACUUACCCCCUGCAGAUGGCUUAUUCUUCAUUUUUUCUUGGUAGAGGAUAUAAGGGCCCGUUUGGUAUUGUUUUUGAAUUAGUAUUUUCUAAAAAUAAAAAUGAGAAUGAAAAUGGUAUUUUGCAGUUACUGUAUUUCGAAUUUAAAUAUGCGUUUGGUAUUAUUUUCUGUAUCCUAUAUUUUAAAACUGAAAAUAAAAAUAUGUGUUUGGUAGACACAAUUGAAAAAGAUAAAAAUAGAGAAUAUGCGUUCGGUAGUACUAUUUUUAAAAAAUAGUUUUUACUAAACAUUUAAAUUAUAGUAAAAAAUAAUUGUUUAAUUAAUACAUAUACUUAAUUUAAACAAAAUAAGUAUAAAAAAUCACAUAAUGAUAAAGUUUUAGUAUUAGCAUUAAUAGAAAAAAGUUUUACAUUAUCAUUGUUUUUACAUUAUAAUUAAGUUACAUAUUACAACACAUAAAUUAAACAAAAUAAUUAUAAAAAAAUUACAUGAUAGACAUCAUACAUUAACACUUACUGGAGAUAAAUCAAAUUCAAUAGUGUACAAUGUACUUUCAAGUUACACUUAUUUUAUGAAAACAAGCUCUAAUGACAACAAUGUCAACUCUGAACUACAAGUAUUUAUCCUCGAAGCGGAUUGAUCCCAAAUGAAAUUGCACAAAACAUAAGUCCAAGCAAAACCAAGAAUCCAUAUUUCUUUAAAUCCCACCUAAAUUCGACCAAAAAAUUCAAGAUUUACAUGUCACUACUAGGAAAAUGCAAAUUAAUGAUAGAAAUUUUAUGACACAUAUCAUUGGGUCACUGGUAUAUCAAAAAGCAUGACGUAUUCAUGACUUUUAUCAUACUGACAUUUAUAGAUGAUGGAUGUAUGUUAUGCAUGUAAUUUACAUAAUGAGCAUGCAAAUAUAUGUCAUGACAUGAAACGACGUCGUUCUCUAUUAUUGAGUUAUUGAUUUUAACUACUUUUAUUUGUACACAUGUCAAAUUUUGAUUGAAUAUUUCAUCAGACAUAGAAAAAAGCUUACCUGCACUAUAUUUCAUAGUAAACCAAAAAAUUGCUUAAAUGUGAAACUCUUCUCUGCUCUCACUGGUAACAGCAGUUGAAAUGAUCAUCUAGCAAAAUGAGAUAUAUGAUGCGUUGCAUACCGUGGCAAUCUAAGCGAGGAAUCCUUUGACUUUGGCAAGCACGAGAUCGUUGACCUUCCAUUGGCGACGAGUAGCAGUCAUGGCUAUGGCUUUGCUUGCUCCUUUUCUCAAACUCAGCACCAUUAUUGGAGAAUUGCACCACACUUAAUCGAUAAAAAUGUACGACAACAAACAAGUUGAAGCUAUAACAAAAUAGAUGGAUUGAGAGAAGCAUGCCAAAAUUGCUCUUGUGAGGGUUCUGUUUAGCUGUCUAAGGGUCUCAAGGCACGAUUUGGCAAUGAAAUUUGCAGGCAUUGAAACGCAUAAAUCGGACAAAAGAAGGGUAAGUAUCUCAAAACCCUAAUUUUUGUAAGAGUGAGCAAGUGAUUGUGUAUGUUAAUGUGAGUGUCUGAUUGUUUCUGUGUAAUAUUGGGGGUUAUUGUGGUUGAAGAUGCACAAAAAUUCAAUCAUGUGACUACUUGACAUUACAAAAAUUCAAGAGAUGAUCUCUACUGUCAUCUUUAAAUUCAAAUCUCGGUAGCGGCAGCGAGCAAACAUCGCGCGUCAUCUUCUGUCUUUCUUUUCCUCUCCAAAGCCAAACACCAAAGUAAACAUGUUGUGGUGAGUCCAAUUGCUCAUUUAUUUUGUUGAAUUUGGUGUCUAAUUGAUUUAAUCUUUGAGAUCUACGGUUUGUUUCUCUUUUUAGGUUCUGAAAUUGGAAAAAAAUUGAAUCUUUAUUACAAUGAUGAGAGCCAAGCUCAACAAUAAUUAAAAAGUUAAAAAUAAGAUUCUAUUUCAUGAAAUUUUAUAGUUGAGUAAAAGAGAGAGGGUAUUGAUUGUUCAGCGAAAACCAGUUGAGAAAUAAAGCAUUAUGAGCAAUGAAGAUGAGGCUAAAUCUGAAGAGAUGAUGAAGAAUGAGAGUGCUUUUCUUCUUGCUUGGUUGGGUAUUGGUGGAAUCAUUCUUUUUCAAAGUAUUGCUCUUGCGGCUUCAGGUAUGUUAAUUGAUGAAAAAUAGAGCCCUUGUUGUUAAAUUUUGUUGAUGCAUAUAUCGCUUUGCUUUUCAAUUCCUGAUGAGUAAUUUGGUAAUUUAGUUGAAUUUUUGUGAUUUUUUUCUCUUUUGCCUGGAAGAUUCCUUGAAUUAAAUAAUUAGUACACUUGAUUAGAUUGAUUUCAUAGAUUAGUUAUUAGUUAAAAACUAAUGUGCCAAUUGUUAUCCUUAAAAGUGUAAAUUUUAGAGUUUAAGAGUAGACUUGAUUGUUCAAAUUCAGGGAACAAAGAUUAAUUUUUAAAUAACAGCUUCGUAAAAUUAUAAUAUUUGUUGCCAAUCAGUUGCUUUUGCAUGUUAUAGAAGUUUAAGCCGUCGCAGGAAGUGCCUAGUGCUGGAGUUUUUCUAGAUUGUAUUUUCCUCUCAUUUCUCUUGACAAUUGAGCUGAAGUCCAAACAAAUGACAUACCAUCAGAUUUCUAAACAAAAUCUCUAUUUAAUAGCUAAGAUAUUUAGGAUCUUGGUCUAAUGAACUUGAGACCAACCUCCAAGUCCACAUGAAAGUGCAGUCGCAUACAAACAUAUGGUGAACUAGUUGGUAAAAUGCAUCAAAACCUUGCAUGUCAGCCUAAAUCUUAGGUACACGAUCAUGUAAAUAUAAUCAAGUUGGCUAUCUUUUGUAAGAUUUGCUGGCCCUGCAAAACGAACCAAAUUAAAAAUUGAGUUCUUAACUGAUGUGCAUGUGCUCCAGAUAGGUUUCGGAUAUUUUAUGAAGCUCAGUAUUUAUUAGUUGUUUCCUCGAUUAUUGAAUCAUUCAAUGGUAGUUGCAUGUCUCAUUGAUUGCUAUUGAUAAUGCUUUAAUUCUUUGUUGCUGUUUUUUUACUUUUUCUGCAGUUGUUAACUGCAGUUUCCUGUUGUUUUCCUGCUGUUUUCUACUAUUUUAGUUGUUGUUUCAUGUUGUUUUCCUGAUGUUUCCUAUGAUUUUACAUGUUGUUUGCUGCUAUUAGUGUCGAUAGCUGCUGUUUUAUCUAAUGUUUGGUGUUGUUUUUCGCCACUUUUCUUUUUGUUGUUUUACAAUAUUUUCGUUCAUUAUCCAUUACCUAAUUUUGUAGUGGGGACAAAUUUAUUAGGUACUAGGUUAAUGGCAACAUGUUGACAAUGGAUCCAGCGACUCAAAUGUAUAGAAUUCUUAAGCAUACAAACCAUGAAUACCUUUUUCAGGUUGUUUAAAUUGUGAAAAAAUAUGAAUUUUUUUGUGGGUUUUUUUUAGACUAUCGUUUACGUGAAUACCUCUCAAGCAACUGGAUAUGUUGGUGUUCUUAUAAUAACAAGGUAUGUAUGUUCCAUUCUGCUAUUUUUGUGCUCUUUGGUACAUGGUUUGAGGAAAUUAAAAUAAUCUUUGUUGAUUAUCCGCUAAUAAAUUUUGGUAUGCGACAUAAUAUUUAAUGACCUAUGUGAGAAUUAAUAUUGUGACAUUGUGUUUGAAGCAUCUGAUUUCUGUUGAUUGGUGCUAUUCAUUGUAUGGUUUUUUAGAAAUAAAAUUUUAGUUGCAAGAGACUUCAUCUAAUUUUGAUUUUGUAGCUACACUUGAAUCUUAUUCAUGUAGUUGUGUAGCUUCGAACAUCAAUGGUGGUUUUUUAAAUCUGGUGGCUAAAACAGGAAGAACAAUGUUGUGGCGAAGAUUUUUUGUUAAAUUAAAAGAAUUUAAGUAAGUUAAAUAUAUUGGCUCAUCGAAGAAGGCAGAAUUUUUUUCCUCACUGUUAUAUCAUGCUCCAGAUCUACUGUAUUUGAGAUGGAUUAUACAAGCAUAGGGAAUUGACAAUUGAUCAUUAUGGGAGCAUUUUAAACAUGCCCAAGUUAGAAAGUAAAAGUCAGCAUACUCAUUUUCGUUGUUGCAUGUAUAUUGAUGAAGUGUUGUUCAUUAAUUGCUACGCUACCAUCAUGGAAAGCAUAUACUGAUGAAGUGUUGAUUCAACUAUGAAUUGUUGUACUUAUUUUAUUUGAUAACUGAUAGCUGAUAGUGUUGUAGAUGGAUUUGCUAAUUAUGAUAUAUGAAUUUGAAUUAUGAAUUAUGGUUUAUGAAUUAUGAGAUUUUGAGUGUAUUGUAGAAUAUUAGUUGUUUUUUAGCUGCUGCUGCUAAAAAUAAAAAAUUCAAUUCUAAAAAAAAAUAAUAUUGAUAAUUCAAAUUUGGCACCAAUAAUAUAUUUUAAUUUUAAAAUUAAUCUUAAUAAAUCUUGCCAAAUAAUAUUUAAAAUAAAUUUAAUUUCCUACCAAAUAUAUUUUAAAAAAUUGUCAAAAUUCCCUCUAGAUUUAAUAAAGUUUAAAAAAUUAAAUAAUUUUAUUAUUUCUAGACUAAUUAAUUAAAUGUCAUCUUUGUAUGACAUAUAAUAGUCAUGCAUAAAAAAUGUUUAUGAUAUAAACUAGUCAUGCGCGAAUUUUUUUAAUUAAAAUAAUUAUGACACAAUCGUGACAGAUAAUAUGUCAUGUAUUAGAUGAAGUAUAAAAAUUGUUAUCUAAUUUUCUUAACAUUAUAAUCAAGGACGGUUAUUCAACCGUCUCUAUAGCACAUGAUGGGUAAAAGCCGUCAUAAAACCCUUUUUUUUUCUAAUAGUGUGUGUAGGCGCCCACUUUGAUUUAAUGUCAUAAGUUUCGCAGAGCCAUUCAUUACCAUCCAAUUGUACUUUUUGGAUGUCAUCCUUCCACUUUGUUUUAAUUCGAACUCAUCAGUAGUCUUUGAAUCCUAUAUACAUUUUUAGAAAUUUUUUUUUUAAACUAGAAUUUAUGAGAUGAUAUAUACCUUCACUCAACCUUCGAAAAAAUUAAUUCAAAAUGUGCAAUCCUAAUUCCUACGACUAAAAAUAAAAUCACAAGCAUUGUUUUGGGGGGGGGGGGGGGGGGGGGGGGGGGGGGGGGGGGGGGGGGGAGGAAGAGUGAUUGAAUUCUUCCACAUUUUCUUUUUCAUUUAUAUGUGGGUCCCACGAUGUAAAGUGCUUGACUUAAGUUAUUUUAUUCUUUAGCUGCGGGUGACAGCAAAUUCUAUUCAUACAAUUCAUGUCACAGAUAGCAUCUCAUAUCCACGCAAUUCACAAUUUCCGGAUAUCCGCAUGUAUGCUUUUGUAUACUUUUCAGUUUACACUCUAUAAAUGAGAAGCCGAUAAUACGUUGAAUUUUUUUGAUCUACAAUUGUAUUCAACAAAAUGUCUUUCAAUGAUAUUAAUCAAGAAUUAUAAAAGAAAAAUUCUAUAAUAAAGUGAUUAAAACUGUAGUGUCAAUGACAUGAUAAACAUAAAUUUUAUAAAGUUCACAUAAAACUAGUUAAUGAAAGGUAAAAUAAAUAUAUUAGUAUAAGAGUGGUGAAUUUGUGUUUUAACAUCACAAAUAAAAUAAAAACUUAUAAAAAUAAUAUAAAACAUUAAAUCAAUAUUAAAAUUUCAUUAAACAAAAAAUAAUUUAUUUAUUUAAUUAAAUUAAACAAAGAAAAAAUGCAUUCAUCAAUUGAAAACAAAAAAAAAAGUGAAAUAAAAACAAUUGGAAUAAGUUUUAUUGAUUUUGAUUAACCAUAAAUUCUAUAUUUAUUCUAAGAUAUUCAUACUUUUUUUUUUCAUUUUCUAUCAUAGUAUUAUUUACUGCACAAGUCCAUUAAGCAAAAUUAUUUUUCUUGAUGUGGAUCAAGGCAAAAUAAAAUAAAAAGAUAUCCUUAUAUUACUAGAUAUAUAUGAUAUAUCAAUAAAAUUAGAUCUAAUUUUCUGUUUUAUACAUACUUCAUUCAGCUUUUAACUAUGCUUCUCACUUUUGUUUAAAGAUUAUUUGGGGUUAUUGCCGAGGAAGUUUUGAAGGAUGUAAAAUUACCUUAUCUUAUAAACAGCUUUGAAAAAUUUGAAAAGAAUAGUUAUUCAAAUUCCAAUUUUGAGAAUAAAUUUUAUCCUUAAUAAAAUUCACAUUUAUCAUCACAUGUGUUAAAUAAACCCAAAGCUUCGUUAUUCAAUUUAGAAACAAAAUCAGCAAAUAUAUAAGGUGAUCAUUAUUAUAAUGAGUUUUUAUUUUAUACUUGCAAAGUUUUUAAUAAUUCUUAUGUUAAUUUACUUGUUUUACAUUGAAUUUACAAGUUUUAUGUUUUAGUUAGCUAAUUGAUGUUUUAUUUUACAUUUAAUGUUGAUUACAAGUUUUAUGUUAUAUUAGAGUUUUUUUUUUAUUUACUAAUGAUACACCAAUUUACUAUUUUUAUGUUAAUUUACUUAUUUUACUUUCUAUUUACAAUUCUUAUGUUUCAUUUACAUAAUUUAUAUUUUAUUUUACAUUUGAAGUUGAUUUACAAGUUUUAUGUUACAUUUGUAAGUUUUUAUUUUGUUUAGUAAUAAUACACCAAUUUACCGCUCCUAUGUUAAUUUACUUAUUUAAUCUUUGUUUUACAAGUCUUAUGCUCCAUUUUCACAAUUUUAUGUUUUGUUUUAUACUUAAUGUUGAUUUAUAAGUUUUAUGCUACAUUUAUAAGUUUUUUUUUUUUCAUUUACAAAUAUACACCAAUUUAUCACUCUUAUGUUAAUUUGCUUAUUUUACCUUUCAUUUACAAGUCUUAUGUUCUAUUUACACAAUUUAUGUUUUAUUUUGUACCUAAUUUUGAUUUACAAGUUUUAUAUUACAUUUCUAAGUUUUUGUUGUGUUUACCAAUAGGACACCGAUAGCCACUAAUUGACAUUAAAAAGUGUACAUUUAAUAGGGAUAAAACUAUCAAUUUUUUACUUACAGUGUCGAUUAAUGCAUUCAUUAUUCCUAAAUUAUCUUAACACUUUCCAAAUAUAUAUGUAUGUUAAAUUAAUUUGUAAUAUGUUAAUUUUAUUUUAAUUUUAUAUUGUAGAUAUAUUUUAAGAAUAAAGAGGAGUUGGAACUUGGAAGCGAGAAACAAAUAAGAAUUGCUGGAACCAUUUGGAAUGCAUUAUUGAGGAGAUGUAAUAAAUUAAAAUAUUAAAUAAAAAAAAGUGAGCAAACAUGCUCGUAAUGGUCAAGUGGCUAUUUUGCCAAUUGACCAUCACACUUCUCUCUCUCUCUCUCUCUCUCUCUCUCUUUAUAUAUAUAUAUAUAUAUAUAUUAUAAAAAAAUAAUAAAAUAAUAAGAAAAUAAAAGAAGAGGAUGCAUUGCUCACCUAUAAAAGGCGAGCGGAAACAAGUAGUAGAGUGAGGGAGAGAACAAGAGGGAAGUUGAGGAAUUCUUUCCUUUUUUUUUAGAAGUUUGUUAAAUAAAAUGAAUGUUUUUCUUUUCAGUAUAACUGUGGCACAUUAGGUAUUUGAUCCCAUAUUUAUCCACACAAAUGGUUAGUUGAAAAUUAAAUGGAAAAAUAAGUAACUGGCAAAAGAAAUGCAAAAUAUAAAUUUGGGAGAGUAUUGUAACCAUAAUUUGAAAUCCGAGAGUGGAUCUCGUAACCUUAGCAUAUUUUUAGAUUGAUUCCUAUUAAUUUCUUUUCCAACAUUUAAUUUUCUUUGUGAAAUAAAUUAAGUAGUAGAUUUUAAAUUUCAUGUGGUUUGACCUCGGACUCACCGGAUUAUAUUAUAAUUAGACACUCUUAUACUUAGGAGUAAUAACACUUUUGAGUCGUGUCAACCACUCUUAUGUUAAUUUACUUAUUUUACCUUUCAUUUACAAGUCUUAUAUUCUAUUUACACAAUUUAUAUUUUAUUUUAUACUUAACGUUGGUUUGCAAGGUUUAUGUUCCAUUUGUAUGUUAUCAUUUUGUUUACCAAUAACACCCUAAUUUACUAUUCCUAUGUUAAUUUAAUUCUUUUACCUUUCAUUUAUAAAUCUUACGUUUCAUUCACACAAUUUAUACUUUAUUUUACACUUAAUAUUGAUUUAUAAGUUUUAUGUUACAUGUGUAAGUUUUUAUUUUGUUUAUUAAUAAUACACCAAUUUACCAUUCGUAUGUUAAUUCAAUUCUUUUAACUUUCAUUUAUAAGUCUUAUGUUCUAUUUACACAAUUUAAGUUUUAUUUUACACUUAAUAUUGAUUUACAAAUUUUACGUUACAUUUGUAAGUUUAUAUUUUGUUUACCAAUAAUAUACCAAUUUACCAUUUCUAUGUUAAUUUAAUUCUUUUUCCUUUCACUUAUAAGUCUUAUGUUCUAUUUACACAAUUUAUGUUUUAUUGUACACUUAAUAUUGAUUUAUAAGUUUUAUGUUACUUUUGUAAGUUUAUAUUUUGUUUACCAGUAAUUCACCAAUUUACCAUUCCUAGAUUAAUUUGCUUUUUUAACCUUUGAUUUAUAUGUCUUAUGUUCUAUUUACAUAGUUUAUAAUUUAUUUUACAUUUAAUGUUGAUUUACAAGUUUUAUAUUAAAUUUACAUGUCAUAUGUUUCAUUUACAUAAUUCAUGUUUACAUACGGUAUUGAUAUCGUGAUUUUAAUCAUGGCAUUAUAGAAUAACCCUAAAAUUGAGAGGAAAACUAAAUUUUAUAAACAAGAGUUUUCCAAAUUAAUGACAACUUAUAAUUAUGCAAGUAAUAUAGUUUUCAUUGAUUUAACUAUUCCAUUUAUAGAUUUACAGGAGAGAGGAAAGAGAAAAUUGGAAUAGGAGAAAAAAUAAAAUUAAACAUUAAAAAAAGAAGAGAGAAAAAUAUUAAUGAAGUUAGAAAUUCUUAUCAUCUAAUGUUAACGCUUCAUUCUUAUUUCCAUUUUACAACACUCAAUCAUCUGACAUUAUUAUUAUUGUUGUUGUUGUUGUUGUUGUUGUUGUUGUUAGUACUACUACCACCAUCUUCUUUACCAAUCCUCAGAUAAAUUCAUACUGAACGAUCUUUUAGCCAAAAGUUUCAGCACACUUAUCCUUAGCCAGACCUAACUUUAAGUAUGCAAAAUGAAUUUAGAUUUAGUGUUGAACUGAGUUUUUUACUAGUUCUUUAAAAAGAUACAAUUAGUAGUUAUUAAAUAAGAAUAUAAAACUAAUUAAAUCUUAAAUCUUAAUUAUGUAUUGUUGUACAUGCAUGUGAGGCAGCUCGGGUCAACAUUGGAUCCAAAUCCAUGGCAAAUAACUCUCCAAAUCCAUCAUUUCCUCUAUGACAAAGUGAUCAAAUGGCCCCUUAUUCUCUGCUCCAUGAUGUGCUAAUAAUUUAUAUGUUAAUUUAAUAUUUCAUUAACUUAGUUUUAUGUCAAAUUAUAUUCUCUUAUGUUAAUUUUUAUCUUAAUUUUAAUAUUUUGUUGUUUUAGGUAUAAUCUAGGACUAGAGAGGAGUUCAAUCAUAACAUUCAGAAAGAAAUUUAAUUGAGAGAAUCAGAAAGGGAAAAAAUAAAGAAAUUUAAUUGAAACAAAUCAAGGAAGAUUUACCAUCAUGCAUGCAAUCACGUGGGGGGGGGGGGGGGGAGGGGAGCAUUUAAGAUUUAGUUGACAAAUAUGGCAUGUACGUGAACUUGGGCUUUUGAAUUUGCAAUAUAAUGGCCUAAGAACUUAAAGGUCGCUUGGCUUACUUUUGUGAGUUUGUCUUUUUAAUCCUUUUGGGUUAAGGAUUUAAAGGUCACCGAUUGAGCAUUACAAAAAGAAGAAAACAGGGCAAAAGCCGAAGUAGCCUCACGAAUAGAAUCAGGUAGAAGCACCCGCAAGACAUCUAGAGAGAAGCCAGAUUAAUUCUUGAGUUUUUCUUUCCCUCUUCUCUAUUGCUGUGCUUGAAUGUUCCCUACAAUGUUUAUGAAUUCUUUUUAUAUUCUAAUGAAAUAAUUUAUUUUGCUAGGGCUACAACGUAGCCUAACUAUGAAAUUUAAUUCCAUAAAUCUAUGUUAUUUUUAGUUUAUUAUUCCAUGAUUGGGUGUUCAUUAUUGUACUUAAUGCUUUUAAAUAUCUGGCCAAUAUUUGAAUGAUUUGAGGAUAUAUAAUGAGAGCAAGAGGAGAUUUAUGUAUUUUUCCUAUAUGUAAUGGAUGUCAUGAAUUGAACGAAAGACAGAGAUGUGCCAACGUGAUUCAUGCAGUUUUAUCUAAGAACUUCCAUAGAACUUAAUGAAUUUUUACAUAUUUAAAUUCACUUAGAGAUAUAGUUAGUUAAUAUAUGAGGGUAUUUUUUUUUUAUAUUAUUCGAGAUAAGAUAUUGAAUAGAUUAGAGAAAUUUACUAUCAAUAUGCAUGAUAAUCUUUAAUAGGAUCGAUGGAGGAUUAAAUUGGAUUGGUUAUAGGGAAAUCAUAUGUCCUAAUUUCUAAAUCUCUUGGUGAUUUUUAUUACUGCUUGCAUCUUUAUUUAAUUUUUAGUUAUUUUGUUUUAUCUAGUUUUUAAUCGAAAUUCACUUAUUCAGUUAUUCAAAUAGAAUAGGGUUAGAAUAAUUGAAGUAACUAAUAAAAUAUACAAUCUCUAUAGGAUGAUACUCUAUUCUUUAUUAUAUUACUCGUGUUGACUACUACACUUGCUAAUACGCAACAAGUUUUUGGCUCCGUUGCUGGGGAUUUUUUGGAUUAGUAUCGACACCAACUAACCUUAGUUUAAUUUCAAUUUUAUUUUUAUUUUUAUUGUUUUUAUUUUAUUUUCAUUUUCUUGUUUAAUUUUAUAAGACAUUCAAGAAGUUUUGAUUUAUUGCCUUUUGAUGCAGAGAUUGAAUGUACCUAUAGAAGGCUCAACAGGGAAAGAAGAGAAGCUUUGUAGGAAUAACAACUAAUUAUGGCUAAAAAAACAAUACAAGAAAAUAGAGAUGCAGGACUUUUACGAGAUUAUGUUGUGCCUACAAUUAGUGGUACUCGCUCAAGCAUUGCACGCUGUGCCGUUCAAGCCAAUAAUUUUGGGAUAAUCCAGAUGAUUCAGAUGUCAGUACAAUUUUUUGGGAUGCCGAAUGAUGAUCAAAAUGUUCAUAUUGCAAAUUUCCUAGAAAUUUAUGACAUAUUUCAGUAAAAUGGUGUCUCAGACAAUGUUUUCAAGCUAAGGCUUUUUCCCUUCUCACUUAGGGACAAAGCAAAAGAAUGGUUGAACUCGCUCCCUACUGAUACAAUCAUAACAUGGGAUGACUUAGCGCAGUAGUUUUAGCAAAGUUUUUCCCUUAGUAAAAGCAACCAACUUAAGGAAUGACAUCAUAACAUUUGCUCAAUUUGAGAUAGAGUCACUAUAUGAAGCAUGAGAUAGGUACAAAAACCUACUAAGAGAAUGUCCACAUCACGGUCUUCCAAUUUGGCUUCAGGUAUAAACAAUUUACAAUGGUUUGGGAUCUACUACUAGAACAAUGAUUGAUGCUGCAGCAGAGGCACUUUAAUGGGAAAAACACCACAAGCAACUUAUGAAUUGCUGGAGGAGAUGGUCUCUAAUAAUUACCGGUGGUCUUCAGAGCGAUCAAUACCAAGGAGAACUGUAAGAGCCCAUAAUGUUGAUGUUGUCACAUUUUAACUGAACAAAUGACUGCUUUAUCUAAUAAGCUGGAACAUCUGAAUAUUAGUGCUAUUCAAACGCAAGUGUGUGAAUUAUGUGGGGGAAAUUACACCAUUAUUAACUACCAAGUUGGAAGUCCUUUUGCGUCGUCAUCUACUGAACAAGCUCAUUAUGCGUCAAACUUCUAGAGGUAACAAAACAACCCGUAUUCUAAUACCUUUAAUCCUGGCUAGAGAAACCAUCCGAAUUUGUCAUCGAAAAACACUCAAAAUACAUUGAAGCCACCUCUAGGAUUUCAAUAAUAAGAAAAGAAGUCAAAUUUAGAAGAUGCUCUUACCCAGCUUAAAACGAAUAUGUCUCAAUUCAUGACCAAAAUACAGACAACUUUUGAAAAUCAAGCUGCAUCAAUCCAGAACCUCGAGGUACAAGUAGGUUAGAUUGCAAACUUACUAUCCAACAGACCACAAGGCUCCCUGCCAAGCAACACUGAGACAAAUUCAAAGGAAAAAAAUGAAUGCAAUUAUGGUUCGAAGUGGUAAACAAUUUAAAGAGUCUCCAAAAGAAGUAAAGGAAGUUGAAGAAGAUAACAUGGAGCAAAAUAAGGACACCACUAGAACACUUGAGACAACAAGUUCAGAAAUUCCACUAUCACAACAAUCAACACUAGUCAAAGCCUAUGUCCCUCCAAUCUUGUUUCCUUAGUGUCUUCAGAAAAAUAAAUUAGAUAAGUAGUUUUCUAAAUUUCUUGAUGUUCUUAAAAAGUUGCAUAUUAAUAUUCCUUUUGCAAAUGUUUUAGAACAAAUGUCGAGCUACACUAAAUUCAUGAAAGAAAUUUUAUUUAAACAAGAGAAAACUAGAAGAGCAUGAAACAAUGUUGUUAACUAAAGAGUCCACUGCAAUUUUACAGAAUAGAUUACCACCGAAGUUGAAAGAUCCAGGGAGUUUUUCUAUUAUUUGCAGUAUUAGAAAUUCUUAUUUUGAUAAAGCUUUAUGUGAUUUAGGUGUAAGUAUUAAUUUAAUCCCUCUAUUUGUUUUUAAGAAAUUAGGACUUGGUAAACCAAAGGCAACAACUAUUUCUCUUCCAUUGGUAGAUAUGUCUAUAAAGUAUCCAAGAGGUAUGAUUGAGGAUGUACUUACGAAGAUCGACAAUUUUAUAUUUCUUAUAGAUUUUAUUAUUUUGGAUAUGACUGAAGAUCAGGAAUGCAAAUCAUUUUAGGCUGACCAUUCUUGGCCAUGGGAAGAACUCUUAUUGAUGUCCAAGAAGGAAAACUAAUCAUUAAGGUGCAAGAUGAGCAAAUCACUUUCAAUGUAUUCGAAGCAAUUAAAUGUCCAUCUAAAAUCGACACAUGCCUUUAAAUAGAUAUCAUUGAUAAAAAAAAAAGUAAUUGAAAGCUUUCACAAUAUAAUGUUGAAUGACUUAUUAGAAUGAUGUAUUAUUCACUCUGGGACUACUCAAUUAGAGAGCUUGGUAGGAGUCCUUAUCGACCAAAACCUUCAAUAGAGGAACCUCCAAAACAUGAGCUUAAGCCUCUACCCUCUCAUUUGAUAUAUGCUUAUUUAGAUGAUAACUCUAAGCUACCAGUUAUUAUUUUUUUUACCUUGACAGAUCUUGAACAGGAAAAGCUACUUCAUGUUUUAAGAGACCACAAAACUGCUCGAGAAUGGACUAUUGUUGACAUCAAGGAAAUAAACCUUUCAAUUUGUAUGUACAAAAUUCUAAUGAAGGAGAUUUAUAAGCCUACAAUGUAGCCACAAAGAUAGCUAAAUCCAAACAUGCAAGAAGUGGUUAAGGCAGAGGUGCUUAAAUUGAUGGAUGCUAGGAUAAUUUACCCAAUUUCUAAUAGUUUACGGGUGAGACUAGUGCAAAUGAUACUAAAGAAGUGCAAAAUGAUAGUCAUGAAAUAUAACACCAAUGAACUUAUCCCAACAAGGACAACCACAGGUUGGCGGAGUAUGCAUGGAUUAUAGGAAACUUAAUGUUGUUACUAGAAAAGACCACUUUUCACGGCCUUUGUUUGACCAAAUGUUGGAGAGAAUUGCUGGCCAUACUUACUAUUGCUUUUUAGAUAAAUAUUCAGGCUAUAAUCAAAUCUUUAUAGCACUAGAAGAUCAAGAGAAAACCACCUUCACAUGUCCUUAUGGAACAUUUGCUUAUAGAAGAAUGACAUUCGGUUUAUGCAAUGCACCCACUUUUCAGCGUUGUUUAAUGGUUAUAUUUUUUUAUAUGGUGGAGAGAUUCAUUAAUGUGUUUAUGGAUGAUUUCUCGAUUUUUGGAUCUUCAUUUGAUCAUUGUUUGAACAAUUUAGAUCUAGUUUUGCAGCGAUGUGAAGAGACCAACUUAGUUUUAAAUUAGGAAAAAUGUCACUUUAUAGUGUAAGAAGGCAUUAUACUAGGUCAUCAUAUUUCUACUAAAGAAAUUGAAGUGGAUAGAGCAAAGAUUGAAGUCAUUGAGAAGUUACCGCCACCGACUUCCGUGAAAGCUAUAAGAAGUUUUAUAGGCAUGCCGGGUUUAAUCGACGUCUUAUUAAAGAUUUUUCAAAGGUAACGAAACCUUUAUGCAACCUUUUACUCAAGGAUGUUCUUUUUAAUUUUACUGAUGAGUGUUUGCAGGCUUUUAAUACUUUGAAAGAAAAACUAACCUCCGCUCCAAUAAAUAUGGCAUCUCAUUGGGAUCUAUCUUUUGAGCUUAUGUGUGAUGCGAGUGAUUUUGUUGUUGGAUAGUUUUUGGGUAGUGGAAUAAAAACAUGUUGCAUGUCAUUUAUUAUGCAAGUCAAUCUCUGACAGACGUGCAAUGGAAUUAUGCUACUACUGAGAAAAAGUUUGGCUGUUGUGUUUGCACUAGAAAAAUUUCGCUCACAUUUGAUUUGCUCAAGGGUGAUAGUUUACACUAUUCAUUCCGCUCUAAGUAUCUAUUCAUAAAGGUAAAUGUAAAAUCAAGACUGAUCCAUCAGGUGCUUUUACUAUAAGAAUUUGAUUUAGAGAUUUGAGACAAGAAGGGAUUUGAAACUUUGGUGGUGGAUUACUUAUUUCGGUUAGAGCAAAGAGAGCAAAAAGAUAAUGUAGUGGUUUCAAUUAUUGAAGAAUUUUCUAAUGAAAAGUUACUAGUUCUUUAAACUUUUGAAUGUAGAAUUUUCUAAUAAAAAGUUACUGGUUCUUUAAACUUUUGAAUGUAGAAUUUUCUAAUGAAAAGUUUCUGGUUCUUUAAACCUUUGAAUGCAGUGGUUUCAAUUAUCGAAGAAUUUUCUAAUAAAAAGUUACUGGUUCUUUAAACUUUUGAUGCACCAUGGUAUGCAAAUUUUGUAAACUAUUUGGUGAGCAUCAUUGUUCCUUUUAAUUUAUCAUAUCAACAGAGGCAAAAAUUCCUCUCAUAUGCCAAAUCUUAUUUUUGGGAAGAUCCAUUCUUAUAUAAGUAUUAUUUAAACCAAAUCAUUCAAUGAUGAGUUCUAGAAGAAGAGAUGAGAUGCAUUCUAUAGCACUGUCACUCCUAUGAGGUUGGUGGACACUUGGGUGUAUCCAGAACUUCAGCAAAGGUGCUUCAAUCAAGUUUUUAUUGGCCCAUCUUAUUUAAAGAUGCUUACAUUUUUGUUGCUACUUGUGACUAAUGUCGAAGAACUGGUAACAUUUCAAGGAAGAAUAAAAUGUCGUUAAAUAAUAUUCUUGUAGUAGAAUUGUUUGAUGUUUAGGGAAUCAACUUCAUGUGUCCAUUUCCAUCUUUCUUCAAGAAUAAAUAUAUUCUAGUGGCUGUUGAUUAUAUUUCUAAGUGGGUCGAAGCUGUUGCUUUGCCUUCAAAUGAUGCAAGGGUCGUUGUGAAUUUUUUAAAGAAAAAUAUUUUCUCACAAUUUGGCACUCCAAAAGCCACUAUAAGUGAUGGUGGGAAAUAUUUUUGCAAUUGGCAAAGCCCUCUUGAACAAAUAUGGAGUUACACAUAUAGUUGCCACUCAUUACCAUCCACAAACCAGUGGCCAAGUUGAAGUCUCUAAUCGGGAAUUAAAGAGAAUUUUGGAGAAAACUGUAAAUGUGUCAUAGAAUAAUUGGUCGAAAAAACUAGACGAUACACUUUAGGUUUAUCAAACAGCUUUGAAAACACCUAUUGUUAUGUCUCCUUAUAAUCUAGUAUUUGGAAAAGCAUGCCAUCUGGCUGUUGAACUUAAGCAUAGGGCAUAUUGGGCUAUGAAGAUUUUGAACUUUGACAUGCAAGCUGCAGGAGAGAAGAGAUUGUUGCAACUUAAUGAAAUAGAUGAAUUUCUCAAUGCAACUUAUGAGAAUGCUCAAAUCUGUAAAGCCUGUACUAAAAAUUUGCAUGACAAACAUAUCCUCUGACGUGAAUUUUAGGUUGGUCAAAAGGUUUUAUUAUAUAAUUCUUGACAUUGAUUCUUCCUAGGUAAGUUGCGAUCAUUUUGGUUGGGCCCUUUUACAAUAACACAAGUCUUUUCGUCUGGCGUGGGAGAAAUUUCUCAUUAGGGAUGGCAAAAAUCCCCACGGGGACGGGUACUCUCGGGGAUUUUCUCCAUUCGGGGAGGGUAUGGGGAUAAUUUCAUACCCAAUUUCUUAUUUGGGGAAGGGACGGGAAAUUUUUUUUAUCCAAUUUCUUAUUCGGGGAGGGGACGGGGAUGAAGUAAAAUCCCCAUCCCCUACCCAUUUCCCUAUUUUAAUUUUUAAUUUAAUUUUUAUUUUUUAAAAUUACUAGUAAAUAAAUAAUAAAAUUUGAAUUAUAAAAUUAUAAGUAUUGGUAAAAAUAAAAAAUAUCAAAAUAUUUAUAUUAUUAAACUUUUAAGCCUAAUUAACUAAUUAAAGUCCUAAAUUUUUAUUUAAGACAUUAAAAAGACCGGACAGAUUCUAUUAGCCCAAAACUUUUGUUUUAAUUUUAAUAUUCAUUAAAUAUUUUAAGCUUAAAUCUAUUUUUUAUUUAUCUUAAAUCUAUUUUUUAUUUAUUUUUAGAUGUUAUAAUUGCCCACAGCAAAUCACAAUUUUAAUAUCUAAUUUAAUCUAAUAUUUGCUCUUGAUUUGCUUCGACUUAACUAUUGUGCUGUAAAGGGAAUAGUCCACAUUUAUAAAGUGUCCACGCCACCAUUGAAAAGUUAAUUUAGAAUCUAAAUUUGAUUUUAUUUGUAACAAUUUUGUAUUAGGCUAUUAAUUUGUUCAUGAUAGUUUGUAUCUCUUACAUGCUGCAUUACUUACUAAUUUAAUGUAUGUGACUUUUGUAAUGGAUAUUGAUGUAAGAUAUAUUUCGAACUUUACUUUUAUUUGAAUUUUUUAUUUUAAUAUGAUUAACUCAAAAUCGAAAACAAAAAAAAUGUAUUAGUUAUUCGAGGAUCGGGGACCCUCGGGGAUCCCCUGUUAUUAUUCGGGGAGGGGAUGAAGAUUCUCUUAAAUAAUUUUGACGGGGAUGGGGAGGGGACGGGGACAUACGCAAAAUAUCAGGGAUGGGUACGGGGAGAUUGGUCCCCUCCCCUCCCCUCCCCAUUGCCAUUCCUAUUUCUCAUUAUACAAACAGGUCAACGGUCAUUGAUUGAAACCCUUUUGGAUGAUUCAUUUGAUAAAUACAAGAUAGCUAUUGGGAUGUCUAAUCCUGAAUGACGACCCAAGACAGUCAAGCUAAUGACUAUAAAUUAGGCACUUCUUAGGAGGCAACCCAAGCUUUCAAAACUUCACUUAUUAUUAUUUUUAUUUUGUAUUUUCAUUUUUCCUUAUUUCAUUUGUUAUUCUUUUCUUUUACUUAUUUUAUUUUAUCUAGGUUUCUGCAUAAGUUUGAGGGUCGACGAUCAUCAACUUUGCACAUGCCUUUCAACGACUCAACUACAAGUUCACAUCUUCAAGUGCAAAACUGGGGAGUUUCUCUUUCCUUUUCUAUCUAUUUACAUUAAGGACAAUGUUGAUUUUAAGUUUGAGGGUGGGAAUAUUUGCUUUCAUUUAAAAAUAAAUAAAAUUUUGUGUUGUUUGUAUGUUGUUUUUAUGCCAUUGAUGAGUAUAUGGUUGAAAAUGAAUAUGGUUAUGAGAAACGGAUGAAUAUUGUCUUAAUUUAUAAUUGAUUCUUGUUUUAAUUUCUCUUGAUUGUGAUUAUUUAAAUAUCUGGAACACUUAUAUCGAUUCUUUCAGAUUGUUUACCUCGAUUCUACAUUACUUGUGUUUACCCUGGCACCACAGUCAGAAAUAGUUACUUAUAACCCUUAAGAGUGAAGCUAUCCUUUAAUAAUUUGGGCAUAUGUACCAUCAAUAUGUAAAGGAUAAUCUAUCAUGAAAAAAAGGCUACCUUAAGGGGUAGAGGUAAAAGCUCCUUACUAUAUAUAUAAGAAAAGCAAAAGCAUGUGCUUUACGAGAAAUCCCAAGAAAAUACAAAUUUAGGCAUGUGCAUUUUUAUUUUUUAUUUUUAAAAAAUCAAGAUGAUGAGGUUAGUUUGACCUAUUUUGUUUAUUAUUUGAUACAAGGGCUGUUGAUAUUGAAAAUUUUUAGAGUGAGUUUUGAUUGAAUCAAUUUACACACAAUAGAAGAAUCCAAUGUGGGAUGAGGCUGACUAUUGAAUUAAAGUUAGAGCUUUGCCGAUAUUUAUAAUUUUCUUUGAGCUAUAUACUUUAUGCAAUCUCUGAGGCAUUUUUGAUGAUGUUUAUGGGUACCAUUGCUGAAAACCCUCAUGAGACUUUAACUCGUCCACUAGAGCAGCCUAGGGGUUUAAAGGUUUGUUGCAUAUGCUAAAUGCAAUCGUGAUCACCAGCAAAAGUGGUUCAAUUAGGAUUUUCUUCUUGUAGUUUCCGUUUUAGUUUUUACUCGAGAACUAGCAAAAUGUUAAGUUUGGGGGUAUUUGAUGUGCUAAUAAUUUAUAUAUUAAUUUAAUGUUUCCCUAACUUAAUUUCAUGUCAAAUUAUAUUCUAUUAUGUUAAUUUUUAUCUUAAUUUUUAUAUUUUGUUAUUUUAGGUAUAAUAUGGGAUUAAAGAAAAAUUGAAUUAGAAUAUUCAGGAAAAAAAUCUGCUUGAAAGAAUUAGAAAGGGAAAGAAAUAAAGAAAUUCAAUUUAAACAAAUCAAGCAAGAUUUACCAUCAUGCAUGCAAUCGCGCGGGGGGGAGGGGGGGGGGGGGUGGGGGUUGUGGAGCAUUGAAGAUUUAGUUGACAAAUAUGGCAUGCACGUGAACUUGGGUUCUUGAAUUUGCAAUAUGAUGACGUAAGAAUUUAAAAGCGGUUUGGCUUACUUUCAUGAGUUUGUUUUUUAAUCCUUUUGGGUUAAUGAUUUUAAGGCCAUCGAUUGAGUAUUAUACAAAGAAGAAAACAGGGCAAAAGCCAAAGCAGGCGCAAAAACAAAUCAAGGAGAAGCAGCUACAAGGCAUCCAAAGAGAAGCCGGAUUAAUUCUUGGGUUUUUCUUUUCCUCAUUUCUAUUGUUGUUCUUGAAUGUUUCCUAAAAUGUUUAUGAAUUCUUUUAUAUUCCUAUAAACUAAUUUAUUUUGAUGGGGCUACGAUGUAGCCUAAUUAUGAAAAUUUAAUUUCAUAAAUCCAUGUUACUUUUAAUUUAUUAUUCCAUGAUUGAGUGCUCAUUAUUGUGCUUAAUACUUUUAAAUAUCUGGCCAAUAUUUGAAUGAUUUGAGGAUACGUAAUGAGACCAAGAGGAGAUUUAUAUAUUUUUGCUCUAUGUAAUGAAUGCCGUGAAUUGAAUGAAAGACAAACAUGCGCUAGUGUGAUUCGUGCAGUUUUAUCUAAAAAUUUCUAUAGAGCUUAAUGAAUUUUUACAUAUUUAAAUUUACAUGGAGAUAUAGUUAGUUAAUAUGUGGGAAUAUUUUUAAUAUUAUUCGGGAGAUGAUAUUGAAUAGAUUAGGGAAAUUCACUGUCAACAUGAGUAAUAAUCUUUAAUAACAUAGAUGGAUGAUUAAAUUGAAUUAGUUAUGGUGAAACCGGAUGUCAUAGUGUCUAAAUCUCUUUUAGUGAUUUCUAUUACUAAUUGCAUCUUUAUUUAAUUUUUAGUUAUUUUAUUUAGUUUUUAAUUUAAAUUCACUUAUUUGGUUAUUCAAAUAAAUUAGAGUUAGAAUAAUUUCGGUAUCUAAUAAGAUAUACAAUUUUCGUGGGAUGAUACUCUACUCUUCAUUAUUUUACUUGAGCCAACUAUUAUGUACACUUGCUAAUUUACACAACACUCCAUCCGAAGGCUCAAACGAAAAUCUGUCGUGCUUGUUUUCCACCGAUUAGCGUUGUCCCAAUAUGGUUCAUAAUCAACGGUGUAAAACAGUUUGAAAACUGCAUCGAUGGAUAUGUUCACUUCUGGGACUGUGCCGCUCCACCGUAGCUAUUACACCAUUGGAUUUUUUGAGUACCCCUUUGACUUGAUUGUAAAACUAAAAAUGACUCGGUCGAACCAGUGCACGGCUUGAGCAAUUGUCACUAGAUCUACGGUUGAUUGUGCUGCGAAAUUUUGUUCAAGUUCAGGACAUUGGUGGUGCAGUGCAGCGAUAUCAAAUCGUCGGUCGCUUUGUUGCAAAUUCUAAUUGUUUGGGGCUCGGGUCCGAGCCUAUAACAUUUUUUAACAUCCCAGCUAGUUGAAAAUUUACAUACAAAUAUAAAGUUAGGGUAGGUAGCAAUCCAGGGUUUUGGUUCUACGGGGGGCCAAUAAAGAAAAUAAAAACUAAAGCUGGCUGUAACACUAUAUCAGUAAAAUUAAGAUGCUAAUAUCGUAGGAGUUAUCAGGCGAAGCCAAAUUGAACUUGGGAAACCUUAGAAGUGUUCAAUUUUGACCCCGAUUUUUCAUUUUUAACUUUUUAGGACUUUCGAAGAUUAAAUAGUCAUGGACUUGGCUUUUUUCCUUUGUGCUUCAAUUUUUGUAAAUGUUGGUCCGGGUUGUCUUACCUUGUGGUUCAUUGUUGUAAAGAAUUUUAAUAAUAAUGGAAACAGAGGAUCCAUCGUGGUCUCUUUGGAACAUCCGAUAAAAUUAGAACCGAUACGGAGAAUGAAGAGAAUGCACCAUGGAUGAUGAAAUGAAGCAACAAGACAUUCAGUUUUCACAACUUAUACUCCAAGCUUAGUAUCUAAAUUUUCAUAAAAAUGAAGUGAUUCAUUGCAUCGGAUUUGGGAGCCCGGAGGACUUUUGAUUUUGCAUUUUACAAGUAAAAUCAAUGGGGAAGAGGAUUCUAAACUUCACAAAAGUUGAAGAAAAUCAAAAUAAGUAAAUUCAACUUUUCUCUCUUUAGACUAUCUUUUACUUUUCACUCUCUUUAUAUUGACGUGUUUUCUUUCUUUUUCUGUUAUACUAAAAACCAGGGACUAUUUCUAUUUUUUUAAUAAAUCCAAAAAAAUUAAUUUCAACGCCAGAAAAACUUCUAUUGCCUAUUAUUGAUUUCUGUUAUAGCAAUUGUUCAUGGAUUUCUGCUGAAAAUUCAAGAGAUUGACAAAUUGACAAACCUGCUGAAAAUUCAAAACUUCCGUUGAUUUAAAACUUUUAUUGCCUAUUAUUGAUUUCUGUUCGUGGAUUCCUGCUGAAAAUUCAAGAGAUUGACAAACCGCUCUCCUACAUAUAAAUUUAAAUACUGACAUGGAGGUCUGGUUGCAAGCCGACAAAUCAACUCGACUAGAUUCAUCAUCAACAAUAUGUAUUAAUUUGAGCUUGAAUAAACUAUUAUUAAUUUCCUACUUUUCCAAUUCUCAGAUAAACUGGAAAUCGAGCAACCUUUUUACUCUGGCCAUCUGAAUUCCAAGCAACUUUAAACUUCUCCAUCAUAUUGUCUGUCAAAAGCUCAACACCCCUGUUCUUAGCCGUCUGAUAACCUGAACUUGACCGUAUGAACGUUAAGUAAUCAUCUAAAUCCAUCAACUUCUCUAAAACAAACUGAUCAAACGGCCCCGUAUUAUCCACCCCAUCUACAGGCUCAAAUGGAAAAUCAAUGCUCAUGUACUUGUUCUCCACCAAUUUAUGUUGUGGUUGCCGAAAUGGCUCAUAAUCAACGGAGUGAAAUGACUUGAAAACUGCAUCUACGGACUCGUUGAUUUCGGGCCAGUAGUAGGUCCAUGCCGCUAUUACUCCAUUAGGUUUUUUGAGUACCCAUUUUACUUGUUUGUAAAAUUGAGGCAAGUCAAACCAAUGUAGUGCUGUAGCAAUUGUCACUAGAUCUACACUUGAUUGUGUUGCCACAUUUUGUUCAAGCUCAGUUAUGGACAUGGUUGGAGGAGUAAGUUGAUACCGAAUGUUGGGGAGCUUUAUUGCGAAUUCUAGCUGCUUUGGGCUUGUGUCUGUAGCAAUGACAUUCUUGUAGAUUGGUGCAAGCUGAAGACAUAAUUGAGAAAAAAUAUAAAAUAUAGGAGGCUAUAACAAAAGUACACAAAAUUGAGAAGGCCAUAUAUAAAAAUUACAUAGACAUGGUGAAAUUUCAACCCAUACUCAGUUUUUGUGUUUUUUUUUUUUUCAUCCUCAAGGUUGCCGGGAUACUCUAGUUCCCCCCUCGGUAGUUAGAUAAGAUUUUUCUGUACUAGUCUCACGACUAAAUUUCCAGAUAAUGUGGAUAUUGAUUUGUAGAUAAUACAUACAUAAUUAAUCAAUGAAAAUAAUAGGGAUUUAACUAGGGAUUGGCAAUGGGAGGAGAUCGACAUUCCUGUAUCUAUUUCUGAUACUCUACUUGUAUCCUUCUACUCUCCCCGUCCUUUUUAAAAUUGCUUGAGGAUAGGGAUGGGGAUCCCCAAAAACACCCGAUCCCGAACAACUGAUUUUUGAACUUGAUUUAAUCAUAUUAAAGUAAAAAAAUAAAUCAUUUAACAACACAAACACAUCAAAACAAACUAAAAUCAUUAAAAUCAUUUUCAUCAAACUAAUUAAGUUAGUGUCAUCAAAAUUACAAGAUAAUCGAUGAAAUUAAGUAAAAAUAGAACUUCAGGGUUGAACACAUACAUAAAAGUUACAUGGUAUAAACCAUUAAGAAAAUUAUCUUCGUCAAUCUUCAAGUGUUCAUAUCUAUUAUGAUAUUUUUUUUAUUUAUAUCCAUACCAUCACAAUUUAAAUUUUAAAUAUAAUUACUAAAAAUUUUCACAGAAAUAAAAUAAAAUAAAAAAUGGGGAAACGAGAGAGAUGAGGAAUUCACUGAAUCCUCAUCUUCUCCCUGUAUAAGAUAUUGAGUGUUAAGUUAUCUCUGUUCGUUCCCCGAAUUUUAAUUAAGAUACAAAAUUGUUCCCACACCCUACACAAAUGGGAAAAAUCCUUCAAGAUUCGUCCCAUGAGAAUUUCUGCUAUCCCUGAAUUUAACAGUUAUAUAAUUCAACUUUCUUAUAGCUUGGGAUCAGAAUUCUGAAAUAUUAAUAUCGAACUUUUGUAUUAUUCAAAAAUUAAAUCUAAAGAUGUGAAAAGUAAACUUACGGAUGCAGCGGCCUGGCCGCUUCCGGUGCCGACGUCCCAUACAAGCUCGUGUUUGGGUGUUUUAGAGGCAAUGAAUUUGAACAAUUCUUCUGGAUAAUUUGGUCGUGCUUCCGCGUAUUGCUUUGCCUGCUUAACGAACAUAUCUGCCAUCUUUUCUGUUUUUUUCUAAAUAAGUGUUGACAAUAGAAUUGAGAUAAAUCUACUGAUCACUUGUUUCGUUUCUUCUUUAUAUAGGUUUUAGAAUUUGAUGUAGUAGACGAACAGACAAAUUUUAGUUAGAAAUUAAUUUGGUAUGGUUUAUCUGGGGAAGCCCAGAACGAGGACAAGCUCAUAAAGCGUUAAAUUUUGACCGAACUUUUCAUUCUUCCUUUAAUUUUCAAAGAUUCCCUUUUCUUCGCAAAGAUGAUGGUAUGGACUUCAUCAAUGAGCCCACAUCAACUCCACUUAGAGAAUUUUUUUGGGAUAAUUUUGUCAUUAAUUUAAGCUGUUAAAGGUAUCUAAAGAAGUAUUGAACUACUACUUUGCUCUCUUAUGGGGUUAAGAUGGCGGAGUUUAAAGGCAGAUUCACCUCAUGACCAUUAGGAGUUCAAGCUUCCAAUGGAGAAAAUAAUUUAAAAAAAAGUAAUGAGAUGAUUGUUUGAAUUAUUAAUUAGAACCAUUAAAUUUAUUAAAAUAAUCGUGUUAAAUUUAUAAAAAUAGGUCCACAAAUUCAUAAACCUAUAAAAUUUAAAUUUUGACUUUGAAACAUAUAAAAGCUCAUGCUUUAAUUAAAAAAAUAAAUGUUUACAGUAGUCAAAUUUAUUAUUAUUUAAUUUAGCCCUAUUAAAUUUACUAAAGUAACCUCUACAAACUCAUUAAUCUAUAAAAUUUUAGUAUUGAUUACAUUUUGUUAUUAUAUAAUUUAAUCCUCUGAAUUCGCUACCAUUUGGAAUUGGCUCUCUAUUAUUACUCGAUCUAGUCCAAGUUCAAUCAAAGUUGGCUCUCUAUUAUUACUUGUUCUAGUCCAAGUUCAAUCAAAGUUGGCUGUCUAUCAUUGACACUUCUCGUUCAGGUUCAAUGAAAGAGAUCAAAGCAGAGUUUGUUUGCGAUUCAGUUUGUGUAAAUGCAUGUAGGUCCAGGUUGUCUUAUUUUGUGGUCCACUGGUGUAAAGAAUUUAAAAAGUAAUUGGAUAAGAGGAUGCGUCUUGGAUGAUGAAAUGAAGCAAUAACACAUCUUCAUGUGCAGUUUUUACGACGUGCACUCGGUAUGAUUAUGAAUAAAAAAAUUAUUAUCCUGUGGUGUAUUUUUUAUCCUGUAAUUAAUUUUGUUUGUCUUUUAAUAUUGUGUGCUUUUAUAUUAUUUUUUGUACACGUGUCAUUCAUUGUUUCACUACUAUUACCAUGCUCCUAAAAACCUUACUUUUUUUUUUUUUCGGAAGAUGCCGCAUUUGCUUGAUUUCAACAUUGGCAUGCUCGUCCUUCUUACGCUUUUGUCUUUCUAUAAUCAUCAUAUUCAAUGGCAAAAUUUCAACAAGAUAGAGCAAACAUUCAACAAAGAUAAGUCUUCUUAUUGGAUUAGGCAUAGAUUUUUAAUUAAUUUGUUAUGGAAGUUGGUGGCUAUCCACUAUCAGCUUAGAUCAAUUUAACUAGCUAUACUUAAUUAGCUAAGUUAUUUGGGUGAGCAAAGUCUGUUAGUAGUAAAGCUCGGAAAAUCACCUAAGAAAAAUUGAAAAAGGACCAUCAAAUAUACACAGUUUGCUUUGAUUGGCCAUUCAACAAAGCAUCUGAAGAGAUUGGAUGGCUAAAGAGCUAAGGCUUGGCUUUGUUUUGAUUGGCUAAUGGAUCCUAUAAAUAGAGAGCACUGCUCUUCGUGAUUUGUAUCCUAAAUUGAAACCUCAUCAAUUACAAAAAUAUCACCUUCCUUUGUAUCAUCUAUAUAUUAAUUUAUACUUUCUACAUAUAUGUUGUCAAUGAUUAUAACACGUUAUUAGUUAGCACGACAAUCAUUUUGGUACAGGAAGUAUCUUAUCCCCUGCUCUUUUAUUUUAUCUAUUUAAUUAAUAAAGCUAUCUUUAUAAAUAUACUCUGAAGUUGUCAUUAAUUUGGAUCUUCCACAUAAAAAAAAUAUGACUAGCUAUUGUAUUUCUUCUUGUUUAUUUUAUUUUAUUUUUAUAAUAGAGGGGCUCUAGAACGAGCUAAGGUAAAACAUAUAGGGAGUAAAUAAUCCCAUACAAAUCAUUUGCAAUAAAACUAACAACCCCUGGAGGAGGAAUAGAAAAAAGAUGCAAUCCCAAGGGCAGCUCCAAGGCAUAAUUUGUUAGGAAGUCCGCUGCGAAAUUUGCUUCACGAUAUAUGUGGUUGAUGGUUAUAACCCAAUUUCGCUUGAUGAGAUCUCUAAUGGAGCGGAUGAGGUGGGUAUACUCGUUGAUGCUCUCCAUCUCUAAUGGAGCGGAUGAGGUGGGUAUACUCGUUGAUGCUCUCCCUGUGGCUGUUAACCAUCUGAACAACACAGUGGCUAUCCACUUCCACGUGUAAAAACCAAGCACCAUGUUGCCAUGUUAAAAUUAAUCCUUGGUAAAGGCCCCAAAGUUCUGCUGCAAUAACUGAACAGACGCCUAUGUUGAAGCCAAAGCCAGUGAGCCACAUGCCUUGGUGGUUGUGUAUGAGACCUCCAGCACUUGAUGCCCCCAACUCUUUUCUUGCUCUGUCUGUGUUUAGCUUGCACCAGGGCCAGUUAGGUAACUUCCAGGUGAUCAAUCUCUCAAUUUCUCUUGAUCUCAACAACCAAAGAUGAGUUGUUGAUGUUCUAAAUCUCCUCAACUCUAGCUUUAAUAUCUUGUAUUAUACUAAUACUGUCCAUUAUAAAUAAAGAUAAAACAAAACCUUUUUCAAGUCACGGUGUUGUGCAAAUUUUAUUGAACUCGCAAGUGCACGAAUCUAUUGUAGAAUAGACUAAUGGUGACGAGUGUCGAUCCCACGAGAAGGUGGAUUUUAAUUGUGUGUAGAAUUAAUUUUGUAAAUGGGUGGUUGGAUUUGUGGUGAAAAUGAUUUGGAUUAUCCUAAAAUUCGAAUUAAGAUGGCAAGAGUAAAUUGAAGUGAAAAUAUAUUAAAUUGACGUACUUGGGUAUCUGGAUCCGUAUCAACAUGCAUCAUGGGCUAAAUAUUCUUUAUUAAUACCAAUUAAAUCAUGAGGGGGGAAUCCACAUCUCAUGAACCACACUCUAAUCAAUAUGGUGCUAAGGGCUUAUCGUGCCAAAUAAUACUAACCUUGUAUUAGGAAGCCAGUGAAACCAAGGCGGUACUAAACAAGAUUAUUAUUAUUUGUCGACGAGAAGUCAAAACAUCCACAAACACUAGAGGGGAAUAGAAAAUAAAUUUACCAAAUAAAGCCCAUGACACAUGUUGAGACUUCACCUUCAACCCAAGCUUGAAAGAAAAUUAGUCACUCAUAAUUGAACUAGGGGAAAAAUGGGAAUUUAUUAAAAUACGUAGAAAAUACAAGAUAGAGAAGGAAUUAUAGAUCCCAAAAAUGGAUUCAGAGAUAUCAAAUUAGGGGGGGAGGCCCCCUUUUUAUAGAUACAUUGAGUAAAUCAUGGCCAUCGGAUUAAAAACAGUUUGGACGCUCAGGAUUGCGCCACGUCAUCAGUCAAUAGUACGCGGUUUGACCACGCGGGUGAACAGUAACACGGUUUGACCGACUUUGAACAGUAACGCGGUUUGGUUGAAAAUAAUCCUGUGUAAUGCAUGUACCGUACGCGCAAGUUUUGGUCCACUAAUAUGCUGCCACGUCACCAUCAACAGUUCAUAAGAAUUUUAGACCAACAGAAUCAUGACACCUCAUCAGUCAAUGCCAUGUCAUCAAUCCGUCUAUGUGAACAGUGUCGUGAACAGUAACGUAGACAGUACCGUACAUGUAAAUAGUACCGUACAUGUGAACAAUGCCAUUUUUCCUUUUAUGCUCCUCCUAAGGUUUUCGACCGUCCUGAGUUCAAAAGUGAUGUCCGUUUUGCCGUCUGAUCUCUCGUUUAUUGUGAAAUGACCAUGAUGCCCCUAAAAUACAUAAAAUACUUAAUUAAAAUAAAACACACGGAAUUAAAUCAAAAGAAGGUUACAUACAUAAAAGUAAGGGUGUUAGUAAAACUUGAAGUAUAAAAUGACGAUUUUCUCCUUUAUAAAUAUACAUUUUCUAACACUCAACACACGGGUUCUUUGUAUAUCAGCCUAUGUGGAUCCCACGAUUGAUAUUGGUUUCGUCUAAUUAGCUGGCGACGGUGACGAACUCAUUCUCUUUUUUUUAAUCAAACUUUCAAGCCCUAACUUUAUCCAAGUUCUUCACAAAAAUUUGAGGCUUAUUUCCAAGGGUAUUUUAGGUCAAGGAUGGUGGCUUUGAAGGUUUAUAGAAGCGGCUUGUGAGGUAGAUCAUUGUUAGAUAGAGAGAGAGGUAGAGACAAAGAGAGAGAGAGAGAGAGAGAGAGAGAGAGAAGAGAGCUUCAGUUCAGAGAAGAAAAUGGCCAUGGGGAUAGAUUUUUUGCUUAUCAAAAUUUUUAGAUUUUAGGUUUCCAUGUACACCUCAUUAAAACAGCAUAGUUUCUAGAUAAUUUAAUUUAAUUUUUAAUAAUUACUACAUCAAGCGAAAAUACAACUUGUGGUCUGGUUGUUUAACGUUUAAAAUUAAAAAGCUAAAGCUUAGAAGUCUACGGUUCGACUCCUAGCGUAUACAAAAUUAAAAUUUUAUUUUGUUAAUUACUGAUACCUUAAUGUCACAUAUCUUUGAUACUUAUCUAUUAAGUGCAGAAAAUGUCCCAAAUGCAUGUAAUUACUGAUACUUUUUAAUAAAGUGUCACAAGAUAAGUGUCAACAAAUACCAUUUUUCUUGAAGUGUUAAUUAAAAAAAUUCGAUUUUACCCUCAAUGAAUUACACAGUAAACAACAAUAAAUUAACGGAAGGGUGUUUUGAGCUUUUUUUUUUUUAAAGUAUGGAUGAAAUGAACUGUUGUUUGAAUAAUAAGGAUGAAUUAGGCUAUUGCAACAAAUUCAAGGGAUGAAAAAGGAUUUUUCUCUUUUACUUAGGUGCUGUUUAUUUUUUAGUUUGAAGUUUGAAUUUAAUUUUUUUUAGACAUUUGUUUAUUUUAGGUUUUUUUUUUAACUUAUCACUUAUUGUCAUAUAGUUUAUCUGAAUAGAAAAAGUAGAAAAAGUUCACUUUAUUUGAAGUCUGAAGUCUAAAUAUAUAUUUUUAAUUUCAAAUCUCAAAAAUACCCUUAACAAUUCAUGUAUUUCUAAUAUUAUGUAUAAACCUUAUAUUUUUGUAUUAUUCUUGAAGUUAUUUUUCUAAUUGCUUUAAAUUUUUAUUCACAUGAUAACAUUAACUAAACUGAAAUAUUGAACAAAUCAAAUUAUGUUAAUUGUGAUGAAUCAAAAAUAAAAUAAUAGUGUUGACUUUAUAAUAAACUUUAAUGUUAUAAUUACAUCUUUCAUUAAAAAAUUAAAAGAAGAUCAACAAUGAUAAUAUUUUUUUUAAUGUUACCAAACUAAUCAACCUGUGAAAAUUAUAACUGUGAAGAACAAAUAUAUGCACCACUUAAAAUGAUAUUUAUGCCAAAUUACUAGUUUUUAGGAUUUUCUCUUUAGAUGUUGAAAAAGAAAAACAAAGAUGUCAUUCAAAUAUUUUCAUUCAUAUUUAUUCAGAUUUUAGUUAAAUUCAGAUCUAUUCAGAUUUCAGAUUAAAAAAAAAAAUGCAAUCUUAGUUUAUAGGUACAGGACUCCACUCUAGCAUGGUUUUUAAUAUAAAAAGAGAGAGAGAGAGGAGAGAGAAAAUGGAUAAAAGAAAGAGUAAUGAUAAAAAUUAAAAUAAUGCUCGUGGGCAUUUUAGUCAAUUCAAGUUGAGAUGAAUGGAAAUCAAAAAAUAAAGAGGAAACCUAUUUGAAGUUUUAAACCGAUAAAAAAAAUAUUUUAUGUUGUAUUUCUCCCGAUACCCAUUAAUUAAAUUUUAAAUUUAUGAUUAUCCUUUAAACAUCCCUCUUAAUUUCAAAAAUAGCCCUUUAUUCUUUUCCACCAUAAUGGUGUUUUAAGCGAUACAUAAAAUGUUUUUCUACCAUAAUUUUGAAUUUCAAAAACUUGCUUUAGUGUUGGUUAAAAAUAAUUAUUUUUCAGGAUUAAUAAAAGUUUCUUAUCAUAAACUCAUUGUAAUUUUUUCUUAGUUGACGAAACUCUACAAAACUGAAUUUGUGUCCCUAGCAAUGCCACUUUGAAGCUUUUACAAAAUUAAUUGUGAUGUCACUGAUGUGUCUAUUAUUUUAAGCUACAAUCAAGGCAUAAAACCUUGUCAAUCUUGUAAUAUGCUGGUGUUGGGGAUUUGGCGAGGGUAUUGUAAUUAAAAACUUCAAUUACAUUAAAAGAUUUAGGAAUAAUGUUUUAAUUAUAGAUUCAUAGCGGAAAUCCUUUUUUGGGAUCCUUUUAUUAAGCUGUAGUCACAGUCAAAUAAUCAUUUGGCUUUAAGUUUUUGAUAUAUAUAUCUAUAUAUACAUGCACACAUAUACAUACAUACAUAUGUAUGUAUAUAUAUUCAACAGAGAAGAUUGAAACUAUAUGUAACACAUUAGACUGAACUUGCCCAUGAGCUAUCUGAUCUAAAAUUAUUGAUGAACUAGACAUAGGGGUUCACCUUGUAGGGAAAAUAGAAUCUAGAUCGUUUAAUGCUAUAUUUAAUAUUGGCGUAACAAUUGGACACUAUUAGAUUGCAUUAGAUAUAAGAUAUCCAACAAGCGAUAGCUGAGAAUGCAUAAGGGAUUCUACCCAGUGCUGUUGCAACAGUUUCUCAAUUAGAAAGACAGUAAACACCAUUAAGUCACAUUGCUUUUAUCCCUCUGUCUGACGUGAUAAUUUUCUUUACUACAUUUUUUAUUUAUUGUAUUUUUAUUUUAAUUAGUUUAUUAGUAUUAUUAGUCGAUUUAUUUCCAAUUAAAACAAAACUGCGUUGUUAAGAUUGUUAUAGCAAAUAUGAUAACAUAAAUCCCUAUGGAGACGAUCUGGAUACUCAUCAGUAUAUUACUUGUUGUGUACACUUGAACAUUGACAUCCAUAGCAUUAAAGAUUUUACACACCACAUAUUUACAAAUUAAAUAAGGCUUUGUACAGUUUAAAAUAAGCACUUAGAGCUUAGCUUGUUAGAUUCAAGUAUGUAAGGCUUUCUCAGUGGCAUUUUCAGCACUCCAAGUCUGAUAACUCUCUUUUCCUCAAAUGGGAUAGAGGUCUUUUGGUUCUAGUUUUGGCAUAUGUUUAAGACAUGAUCAUCACUAGCUCCAGCUCUUUUAUAGUUCAACAGGUUAUUCAAGAAAUGCGUUACACAUUUGCUUUAAAAGACUUGGCAAAGCUCCAUUAUUUUCUAGGCAUUGAAGUCAUAAAGACUCAAAAUAUAGUUCAUUUAUCUCAAGCCAAAUAUAUUGUCGACAUUUUAGCAAAACAUGGACAUGGCUAGUUGUAGUCCAGUGCCUAUACCUAUGUGAACUGGUCAUAUCUUAAAGACUUAGGUGAUGAAAUUGAUAAUGCAUCUUAGUGUAAAAGUGUUAUUAGAGCUUUGUAAUAUGCCACUCUCACAACGCGAGAGCUAGCCUUCUCAAUUAACAAAUUAAGCCUAUUUUUCUUACGUCCAAGGACUCAUCAUUAGGAAGCAUGAAUACGACUCUUGAUAUACUUGAAGGGUACUUUACAUUUUGGAUUGCAUUUCUAUAGUUGUCGUGCUAUGCAGUUAAACUAUUUUGUAUAAUAUUAUUGGGCUUGUGAUAGAGACGAUAAGGAUUUGCAAUAUAUCCAGGUCCCAACUUGGUUUUAUAGUUAUCUAAGAACCAAUCAGUGGUCUUUCGAUCAAGCACAAAGGCUGAGUAUAUAGCUUUAACUCAUUCAACUUAGCACCAUGCCUAUAAUCUGGUGUGCCAAUCAAGAAGCAACUACUUUGGCGUAUAACCCCAUUUAUCAUGCUAAAACCAAACACAUUGAGCUGGACAUACAUUUCAUUAGAGACAAAGUUGUAGCCAAGCAAAUUCAAGUUUGUUUUAUACUAAGUGCAGACCAAACAACUAAUUUGUUAACCAAAGCACAUACUUUUAAACGGCUCUAUUACUUGCGUAGCAAGUUGAAUGUUCAUUCUAGACAUUUUAACUUGAGGGAGGUUGCAAGUGAAUCAGAUGUUACUUGAAUGCAGAGCAUAUGGUGCAGCCAAUAGCAGCAGAUCAACUACUAAGCUAAUGUAGCAGAAUUAGCUAUUUGGUUUAACUUGUAUUAAGCAAAGCUCACGUGAGCAUAACAGAAUAAAAAGCAUUUAUAACGGAAUUAGAAGCAUGUAGAAUUCAGCACUAUAAAUAUGUAACGUGCUUUCAUUUCAAUUAAUUAAUUAGAAUCUUCUACAAGUUUCUUCAAAAUAUUCUCUCUCGUUUUCUAGUAUUUCUUGCUACUUUCUUACUUGCCAAACAUCUUCCAAUAUUCUAAUAUUGUACAAGUCAAAAUGUCAAACCAGUGCAUGGCUUGAGCAUUAAUUGUUGACACGACUCAAAAGUAUAUUACUCCCAAGUAUAAGAUUAUCUAGUUAUAAUAUAACCCGGUAAAUCCGGGAUCGAAUCACAGAGAAUUUAAAAUCUAGUUGUCAAUUUAUUGGACAAAGAAAAUUAAUUGCGGUAAAAGAAAUCACUAGAAAAAAAAUUAAAAAUAUGCUAAGGUUUCGAGAUCCACUCUUAAUAUUCAAACUAUAAUUUUAAUACUUUCUCAUUUAUAUUUUUUUCUCACUUUUACCAGUUAAUUAUUAUAUCAUUUAAUUCUAUGUGUGUGGAUAAAUAUGGAAUAAAGUACCUAAUGUGCCACAACUGUAUUAAUGUAUCGACAUUAUGUCAAAAUACCAUAUAGAUCCAAAAGAAUGUAUAAAUUAACAUGACAUAAAAAUAACCAGAAAAUAAUAAAAUAAACUUAAAAACUCACUUUGAGAAAAUAAUAAAUUUAAUAGUUUGAAACUUUAAGCUUUACCCUUCACCUUAGCUUAGUAAAAUUAGCCACUCAUAUUGAAAGAAAACACAACAUUCUUUUUAUUUGAUAAACUUUUGAAAUAUGUUAUAAAGAAAAUUGAUACAAAUGGAAACAAGAAAAGAAAAGUAAGAAAGAAAGAAAUUCUUCAGCUGCACCCUUGGCUACCACUCUCUCUCUCAGCUCUUGGCUCAACUCCCCCCUAAAUUGCUUGCAUCCCCUUGCCUUUUAUAGGUAAGGGAAGCAUCUUCUUUUCUUUUCUUUUAUUAAUAUUAAUAUUUUAUUUUAUUUUUAUAUUAUAUAUACAUAUUGAAAGGGGUGAUGGCCAGGAGGCGUGAUGGCCUCUUGACCAUCACAAGCAACCAAAUCAUAGCUGCCUUUUGUUCUUUUGUUCUUUUUUUUAUUUUAUUUAUUACAUCUCCUUAAUGAUGCAUUCUAAAUUGCUCCAACAGUCCUUCUUUGUUCCCGCUUUCGAUUCCAAUUCCAUCUUUAUUCCUGAAAAAUAUUUACAAGAUAAAAAUUAACAUAUUACGAAUUAAUUUUACAUAAAAAUAUAUUUGGGGAGUAUUAAGAUAAUUUAUAAGUAAUGAACACAUUAAUCGACAUAAUAAGUGAAAAACUAAUAAUUUUAUCGUUAUUAAAUGUACACUUUUUAAUGCCAAUCAAUUGUCGCUUAGAUCAAAGGUUGAUUGUGCCGCCAUGUUUUAUUCAAGCUUAAAAAUGGACAUAGGACAUUGCUGGUGUAGUGAACUGUAUCGAUUGUUGGUGGCUUUGUCGCAAAUUCUAAUUGUUUUGGGCUUGUAUUCGUGCCUGUGGCAUUUUUUAAGAUCCUAGGUCUGAAAAUUUAUGGAACGACUUAAAAACAUUUGAUUUACUCUCAAGUGUAAGAGUACCUAGUUAUAAUAUAUCUCGGUGAGUCCGAGGUCGAUCCACAGAGAAAAGAUUUAAUUAAUUUAUUUUAUUUUAUCUAAAAUUUGAAAAUAAAACUUAAAUACAAACAACUUAAUUUAAAUAAAACUAUGAAAUUGAAUUAGUUAGGGUUGUGGAUUCACUCUUAGUUGUAAAUAAAACUUAAUAAAUUCUUUUUGCCAUUUUUUUAGAUUUAUUGCCCAAAAGAUUCAUUAUAUAAAUUAUUAUUAUUUUCCCUUUAAUUUUAUAAUGGAUUAAGUAUUCAUUGUGCCAAAAUUUAAUUUGUCUACAAUAAGUCAAAAUACCAUUUUACCAUACCUUAUAUUAAGAUAAAAAGAAUUUAUUGUGCCAAACUCCCUUGUUUGUCUACAAUAAAUCAAAAUUUCAUAAUAUAAAAUGCGUAUAAAAUUAAAUAGAAAAUAACUUAAUUUAUAAAAUUAAAAAUAGAAUUUGAUUAAAUCAUAUUUAUUUCCUAAGAGUUCACCUUCCCCUAACUAUUAAUAUUUAGCUAAACAUUUUUUUAAUAAAGGAAAUUACUAAAAUUGAAAAACACAUAAUUAAAAAUGGAAUUUGAAAAUUGAAAUAAAACUAAUUUUAUUGAUUGAAAAUAAAUUACAAAGAGAGAUGAAAAGAAGAAUUUGGGGGGAAAGAAGAGAAGAGAAGGUGUGGAGAGGUGUGUUCACCCCCCCUCUAUUUAUACUAAUACAUGGUAAAUUCUCACCACACAAAUAAAAAAUCUAAUUACAUCUUAACCUUACAUUUGUCCCACUAAUAAUCCCACUAAUGAAACAUAAACCUAACUUAUCCACUCAAGCAUAUCCAAUACAUUCCACUAACAAUUACCAUACCUAACAUGAUAAAAACUUAUAAUUUUAUAAUUGCCACAUUUACCGUGGUAAAAACGUAAAAAUUUACAACAAAAGUCUUGGAUCCUCCUCGACAAUGACAUAAUUUCUCGGACUUCCGGAAUCCAAAUUUAACAUCCAUACAUUUGAUCGGAGCCUCAAAUUGCAUGAAAUUAUUAUUUUUACCUAAUAAACAUAAAAUACAUAAAAUCAAAUAUUUAGAAAAAUAAUUAGAAAUUCACAAUAUGUUACACAAUUACAAAUAUAAAUUACAUUAAUAAAAAAAUAUAACAUUUUAACCCUUAAUAAACAUGCAAUUUUUAACACUAAUCACACCCCCCAACUAGCUUAUUGCUAGCCCCUAGCAAUUAAAGCGUUAUAUUAAAUUAAGAUUUACAAAAUUCACAUGCAAGUUAAUAGUUGUUCAUCUAUCCUCUAAAUUACCAAAUAAAUAAACUCUCCCAAUUUUUUUUUUAAAUCUUGGUCGUCCACUCAUUAUCCAAAAUAUCAUAAACCUUAUUUUCUGCUCAAGUAAUUAACACAAUACUUAUGGGGUUUCAUUAAAAGAAAACAAUAUUUUCGUUUUAAAACUCAUUAGAAAUUCUAUCUUCAGGCAGUAGAUUAUUCAAGCUUUUUUUUUUAAAUUGCAUUUUUAACCCAUGUAGCGAGCUUUAGGUCAGUGUCUCCCAGACCAGUUGACCUUAGGACAAUCCAUAACUAGGCCACCUUUCUUUGACUUUAAUGACUACCCAUAUUGAAAAACUAGGAGAAUUUAUUUGUAAGCUUUAGGUUAUAAAAUUUGGCAAGUUGUUUGUGAUGGUUCAUUCAUGCCUAUGACUAAAAAUAAAGUAGGAGAUGAUAUUCAAAAACCUUCAAGUCAAUGAAGUGAGUUAGAAAAGAAAAAGAUAUCUUUAAACUCUAAGGCAGUGAAUGCUUUGUUUUAUACUCUUGAUAAGAAAGAUUUUCUUAGAGUGUCUAGUUGUAAGAGUGCUCAAGAAAUAUGAAACAAACUUGAAGUUGUCUAUUAAGGGACAAAUCAAGUUAAAGAGUCUAAGAUUAGUAAAUAUACUCGACAAUAUGAAUUUUUCUAAAUGGAACAAAAUGAGAGCGUGUAUUCUAUUUAUACUAGGUUUACAUAUAUUGUGAACACAUUAGAAGCCCUAGGAAAAAUAUUUUCGAAUAGCAAAAAAGUUAAGAAAAUUAUUAGGUCUUUACCAAUAGAAUGGAGACCUAAGAGAACUGCCAUAGAGGAAGCUAAAGAUUUAAAUACUUUGCAUAUUGAUGAUUUAAUUGGUUUUCCUAUUUCAUAUGAGGAAGAUUUGACAGCAGAAAAAGACAAUAAGGAAAAAAAAAAAAAAGAAAAGCAUUGCACUUAAAGCAUCAAAGCAUGCGAGUGAUGAGGAAAGCGAGCUUGAUGAUGAAGAUAUGGCUAUAUUGUCCAAGAGGUUUAAAAAAUUCUUCAAGAAAGCCGGUGAGCGGAAAAGAUUCAGAAACUACAAGAACCAAAAGGAGAAGAAGGAGCUAAUUACUUGUUAUGAGUGCAAGAAUCAUGGACACAUACGAUCGGAAUGUCCUCUUCUCGAAAAGCUUAAGAAGAAGGCAAUAGUAGCCAUAUGGGAUGUUAGUGAUAAGGAAACAAGUGAUGAUAAAGAGCAACAAGAGAUGUAAAAUCUAGCUCUCAUGGAAUUGGGAUGAAUCGUUUGACGAACUUGAUGAAGUAAGUGAUCUACCUAUGAUUAAUUAUAUAAUGCUUUUAAGGAAUUGCAUGAUGUAUGCCUUAAAAGGAAAAUGCUAGAACUUUCAAAUGAAAAUGAUGUCUUGUAAAAUGCAAUGAUUCAUUGAAUAAAAAGAUCAAGGGAUUGGAAUUAGAUAAUGAAAUGUUGUAUGAUAUGAUUACAUCAUUUAAAUAUAAAUAAAGUACUUCAUAUGAGCAUGAAAAAUCACAUGUUGAUAAAUUGAUAAAAGAAAAUGAAGUGCUUAAGAAAAAGAGUAAUGAACUCAACAAAAUUUUGUUAAAAUUCACAAGUGGUCAAAAGAAUUUAGAAAAAUUGCUGAACUCUAAAAAAUGUGUAUUUGAUAAAGGAGGACUUGGGUAUAAGCCUAGCUUGACUUGAAGCAAAAGUAUUUUAGGAAUUACUUUGUUAAAGCUACCUCCACUAGUGAUCAUAAAAUUAAUUGUCAUUAUUGCAAUCAAAAUGGUCAUAUGAAAUAUAGAUGUCUAAUGAAAAGAAAUGCAUUCAAUGGAGUCAAAUGUGUAGCUCCAAAAGGAACUAUUGCUAACACUCAAGGACCCAAAGAAAUUUGGGUACCUAAGACUUGAAAUUUCCUCUGCAUGGUUUGAAGAAGAAAAAGAAUAAACGGCACCUGGACAGUGGUUGCUCAAGGCAUAUGACUAAAAUUAUUCUUGGUUUUCAAGUUUUACCAAGAUUGAAAACAGUAGAGAUGUGUCAUUUGGAGAUAAUUCAAAAGGAAAGAUUAUCAGUAUCGGUAAUAUUAGUAAAAAAUCCUCUACUCUUAUUGAAAAUGUGUGUUUGGUUGAAAACUUGAAAUACAACUUACUUAGCAUUAGUCAAUUGUGUGAUAAAGACUAUAGAGUUAUCUUUGAUAAAUCGAAAUGUGUUAUUGAGAAUGCAUAUGAUGGCAAGAUUUUGUUUGUAGAAAAUAGAUGUGUUAAUGUUUAUAUCAUUAAUAUAGAUUGUGUAUCUACUUAUGAUAAAUGUUUCUCUACAUUACAUGAUUAUAGUUGGUUAUGGUAUAGAAGACUAGGUCAUGCAAGUAUGGAUUUGAUUUCAAAGAUUUCAAAAAAUGAUUUGGUUAAUGGCCUUCCAAAAAUUAGUUUUCAAAAAGAUAGAAUUUGUGAAGUUUGCCAAUUUGAAAAAUAAAUCAAAACUUCUUUAAAAAAAAGAACCAUGUCUCAACUUCAAAACCACUUCAACUACUUCACAUGGAUUUGUUUGGACCUUCUAGAUAUGUAGUUUAAGUGGCAAAUAUAUGCAUUUGUGAUUGUGAAUGAUUAUUCUAGAUACACAUGAGUAUUGUUCUUUGAUAAUAAGAAUGAUGCCUUGGAUGCAUUUAGAAUUUUCUACAAAAAGGUUCAAAAUGAAAAGGGAUGUGCUAUUUCUUGUAUUAGAAGUGAUCAUGUGGAGAAUUUGAAAAUCAUGUAUUUGAGAAUUUUCUAUAAAAAGGUCAACACUGCUUGUUAUGUUUUAAAUCAUAUGUUUAUUAGACCUUAUCUCAAUAAGACUCCCUAUGAGCUUUGGAAAGAUAAAAAACUCAACAUUGGUUAUUUCAAAAUUUUUGGAUGCAAAUGUUUUAUUUUGUAAACAAAAGAUAAUCUUGGCAAAUUUGAUCUAAAAUCUUAUAUUGAUAUUUUUCUUGGUUAUUCAAAUACAAGCAAAACUUAUAGAGUGUAUAAUAAAAGAACUUUGGUUGUGGAAGAAUCUAUGCAUGCUAUAUUUGAUGAGUCUAAUCCUUCCUCUACGGAGAGAGUUGUUGUCGAUAAUAAUAUAGAUGAACAGUCACAACAAGGAUUAUCAAAAGAUAAACAAGAUGAUGCAUCACAUGAAAAUAAAGAGGAUAGACAAUGAGAAUAAAUAAAUGAGGAGCAACAAGAAGGUACAUCUCAAACACUCCCCAAGGAGUGGAGGUAUGUUUCCCCUCAUCCGAAGGAUUUAAUUGUAGGUGAUCCUUCAAGAGAUGUUACCACUAGAUUAUCAUUUAGAAAUACUUGUGAGCACGCUGCAUUCAUAUCUCAAAUUGAACCAAAUUCUUUGCAGAUGCGAAAAAUGAUGAAUCUUGGAUCAUGGCAAUACAAGAGGAGUUGAAUCAAUUUGAGAGAAACAAUGUGUGGAAAUUAGUUUCUAAAUCGGAACAUCAAUCUAUUAGGCACUAAAUGGGUAUUGAGAAAUAAAAUGAAUAAAUCCAGUGUGGUUGUAAGGAAUAAAGAUAGAUUAGUGGCUCAAAGAUACAACCAAGAAGAAGGAAUUGAUUUUGAUGAAACAUUUGCGCCUGUAGCUAGAUUAGAAUCCAUUAGGAUGUUGUUAGCAUUUGCAUGUCAUAAAUAUUUAAUUUUUAAUCAAAUAGAUGUCAAAAAUACUUUCUUAAAUGGUUAUAUUAUGGAGGAACUUUAUAAGUUUUCUAAAGCACUGUAUGGAUUUAAAACAAGCACCUAGAGCAUCGUAUGACAAGCUUAAAAAUUUCUUGCUGGAUAAUGAGUUUUCAAUGGGAAAAAUGGAUACUACUCUCUUUGUUAAGCAUAAGAACCAAGAUAUACUUGUUGUUCAAAUUUAUGUUGAUGAUAUUAUCUUUGGUUCUACUAAUGAGUUUUUGUGCAAGGAGUUUUCAUCUUGUAUGAUGAGAGAAUUAAAGUAUUUCCUUGGACUUCAAAUCAAACAAAACAAUGAGGGAAUCUUCAUCAACCAAGCUAAAUAUGUCAAAGAUCUACUCAAAAGAUUUGACAUUGAUGACUCAAAUCCAAGAGACCUCCAAUGAGCACAACAAUCAAGCUUGACAAAGAUGAAAAAGAUAAUAAGAUUGAUAUAAAAAUGUAUCGAUGUAUAAUCAGCUCUUUACUUUACUUAGCCGCAAGUAGACCUGAUAUCAUGUUUAGCGUAUGUUUGUGUGCAAGAUUUCAAUCAUGUCCCAAGGAAUCUCAUUUGCUUGCUGUGAAAAGAAUUUUUCGUUAUUUGAAUAGAACUAUAGAUCUUGGCCUUUGUUAUCCUAGAGGAACCUAUAUAGAUUUAACUUAUUAUUCGGAUGUCAAUUUUGCUGGUUAUAAAAUCGAUAGGAAAAGCAUUAGUGGAACAUGUCAUUUCUUAGGUCAUUCUCUUAUUUCAUGGUUUAGUAAGAAACAAAAUUCGAUUUCACUCUCAACCACCGAGGCAGAAUAUAUUGCCGUAGGUAGUUGUUGUCCACAAACUCUUUGGAUGAAACAAACACUUAGAGAUUAUGAAUCUUGAACAAAUUCUUAUCAUGUAUAAUAAUAUUAGUGCUAUAAAUCUAUCAAAGAAUCCCAUUUAGCACUCUAGAACCAAGUAUAUAGAGAUUAGACAUCAUUUCUUGAGAGAUUAUGUUCAAAAGGGCAACAUUGCAUUAGAAUUUAUCUAUACAGGAAAAAAAAACUUGCCUAUAUUUUUACAAAACCUCUUUGCGAAAAAUAAUUUUCAAAAAUUUGGCAUAAACUUGGGAUAAUGAAAUUUUCGCAUUAACAUCUCUAAUCAUGUUAUUGAAUCUAUUAAAAUUGAUUGAUUGAUGAUUUGCUUAUGAUUACAAAGUUUUUAAGCAUGAUAAAUGAGUGAUGUAUUUGAAUCAAUAAUCUUUGAAUGCUUACAUGUCUCAUGAUUGUGUGAUGUAUAUGUAUGAUAAAUGUGUUAUAUAUUUAAAUUUAUAAUCUUUGAAUAUUUAUAAUUAUGAUUCAUGCAUUAAAAUGGCUUUUGAAAGUGUUCGGGAUCACGAAAUGGUUUUGGAAUCGAUCAAAAUUAGCCGGAAAGCAAACAUUUGUGCAAAAGGGCAGCAAAGAGACAGUUACCCGCUUGCCCCAAACCCGAGAGUAAGCGGCUAGCCAUUUGCCUCUAAGCGACUAGCCGCUUGGUCACGGUUUUUAUACAUUUCUUCCCCCUUUCUCUUGCUUUCUUCAACCUUUCUCUACUCUCUUUCAUGGCCGUUCAUCUUUCCUCCAUUUCCUCUUAAAUUAUUUUCAUUUCUCAGUCAUUUUCAUGCCAAAAUCAAUCUUUUAAACCAUUACCCAUGCAUUUAACCUUCAUUAAACACUUCCCAAUCAUCAUUUCAUCACUUGUUUCUCCAAAUCUAAAAAUCAAAACCUAAGCUUACCUAUAUCUCUCUCUUAUAUUUUAGGCUCUUUUUAGCUCAUUUUUUUUAUCCAAUUAAUACCAUACAUUGCCUUAAAUCAUCUCUAGGAUCAAUUUUAUUGAUUCAAAUACAUUCAUUUCACUCAAAAUCUUGAAAAUUCGAAUUUAGGUAUUAAAGCUUGUUCUUGUUUUCAACAAUAGUUAGUAGCCAAAAAUCCAAGGGAAAACAUAUAGCCAAGAAGCGCAAGGAAGAUCAUGGAGACAAUCUAGAGUUCAUAUUAACACAUUUUCUGCAACCACCUUUUCAGAAAUGUUUUCACGAUAAAUUUAUGUCGAGGUUGGUUAUUGCCCCCUAUUUUGUCAAUCUUCUUCAUUCGGAGAAUUUAGCAAUUUUUGAUAAAUCUCUUAGUGAUUUUCUUAUUGACAUGGGUUAGAAAAAUGUUUUAGUUUUCAAGGAACGAUGUUAUGAAAUUUAGUUAAAGUUUUUUAUUCGAAUAUGGUUAUUUCUUUGCAAACUACAAAUAGAAUUGUUACAAGUGUUGGGGGAAUACAUAUUGAGUUUGAUGUUGUGGAUUUAAAUCAUAUUCUUAGAACUCCAAAUGAAAGGUUGGAACAUUAUACUGCUAAAAGGAAAAUAGAUUAUUCGUGGUAUUCAGUUGAGGAUAUUGUUCGAAAAAUUUGUAGAUGUUUCGAUUUGUCCUUUAAGUUUUGUAAAUCUACCUUGAAAUCUCAAGCCUUACCCCUUCAACUUAGGAUCCUUCAUUAUGUUCUUUAACAUGUCAUUAGUCUUAGGCCUGGACAUGGGGAUGAAGUUACUCGAUUAGAUGUGGCCUUAUUGGAUAGCAUUCUAAAGGGUAGGGUGCUAAAUGUCAGUUAUAUUAUUCUUCAUCAUAUACUUAGCACUCCAUGUAUAGCAAAACGAUCCCUUCCUCAUGGAAGCAUUUUUACCCACAUUCUCAAACAAUUUUGGGUACCCAUAAUCGAACCAACAUUUUUGAAUCCUAAGGAAUUAGGAGAUGAAGCUAUAGCCAAUUUAGGGUUUAUAUGGACGGAAGAUAAAUGGUGUAAAAACCAGAGAUACAAAAACAAGGGUACUACAUUAGCUCCUAUAGAUCAUCGUUUCUUUAACGAUGUUCUUCCACCAAACCAGCUCCUUGAUCUCAAUGCUCCACAGCGCUCACAUCCUUCGUCUUCUGAGGGUCCUUCCUAUUCUACUUCAGCAGACCUUGAGGAUCCAAUACAGUAGCUAUUAACUGAAGUGCAUUCUCUUUUUGAGCCGCAGAACCAAUUUCAGUCCCAGUUUGAGGCCUUUCAAAUUCAGUCCACUUUGAAGCAACAACGCCUGUUUAAGCAGUAACAAUGUUUAUUUAAUCAACGACAUCGACUCUUUGCUCAACAACAGUAGCUUUUUGAUGGUCAACAACAACUUUUCGCUGCUCUUGGGUUUCCACCGCCAUCCUCAUUAUCACAUUCACCAUCUUCAUAGUGUUCUAUUCUUUUUCAUCUUGAUUUUAGUUCUUUGUUUUAUUCUGCACUACAUUUUCAUAUGCAUUGUUGUUUUACUUAUGGAUUAAGGAUGAUUGUUGUUUGAUAUUUAAAUGUUUUACAUUUGGAUGAUAUUUUAUGGAUUCUUGGAUAACUCUUUGGUUACUUGCAUGCUUGAUUUUUAUAUGUUUCUUGAUUAUCUAUUGAGAUGUUAUUUUUGGUCUGAGCAUGGAGUUAUAGUAAUUGUGAUGAUGAAGAGGGAGAAGUCAUGUAUUUUGACCUUGAAAUAUUGAUGCAUGAUUUUGAAAUAUUUAGAGGGACCAUACAUUUGUUAAAGAUCAUGUAUUCAGGGAGAGUUCAUAGUUCAUUUAUAUGUUGAAUUAUGUAUGCCAUAUAUUAAGGGGGAGUAUAAAUGUCAAAAUACAUGAAAUGUUUGUCAUCAUCAAAAAAGAAAAGAUUGUUAGCCUAAAGGGUUACAUAUAUUGUAAUUUUGAUGAUAAAAAACAUGUCUUAAGUAAUAUGAUAAAUAUUGUAUUUCACAUUUUCACUAGUUCUUGAAGGAUAAUAUUUAGGCAAGUGAAUCACGUGAAAUCAGGCUCAAGGCACUCAACGUACAAUAGCUCGAUCAAGAACAAAAUUUAGUUCAACGAAGUCAUUAUUGCGACAAAUUAUUGUAAAGCUGAUAUGAUUUAAUGUAUGCAGGGUUUAGCAUUUAAAAAGCUCGAGAAGUUGUGGGUAAAAAUAUAAUUUUUAAUAUAAUAUUAUUGUAGAAAAAUUCAAAUUGCAACGGUAACUUGCACUGUAUUAAGUGGUGAGCCGGCUAGUUAAGAGGCUAAUCGCUUGCUUGCGGGUUUUGUCCAUAAUGGCUAGUUUUUGUAUCAAAACUAUAUAAAAUCAAAUCCAGUUCAUUUUUAAAGACUUUUGCAAGUAUAAACAAGUGUAAACAAUAUAUUUUAAGCUUCUAAUUCGCAAAUCAUCAUAGAUUAAAUAUUCAUUGAGUUAUUAUUAAGAGGUUAAUAUCGUAGAGGUUACCGGGCAAAGCCAAAUUGAACUUGGAGAAUCUUAGUAAGUGUUCAAUUUUGACCAGAAUUUUUCAUUUUCAACCUUUAAUUUUCAAAGAUUAACCAUUAUGGACUUGCUUUUUUUUGUUUGUGCUUCAAUAAGCUAGUCUUCUUUCACAUUGCUUAAUUACAAAAUUUUACUACUAAUACAUCAAUUUAUUAAUUUUUUAUUAUUUUACUUUAUAUUUACAAGUCUUAUACUCCAUUUCUAAAUUUUAUAUUUUAUUUUACAAAUAACGUUGAUUUAUAAAUUUUAUAUUAAAUUCACAAAUUUUCUGUUUGAUUUACAUAAUCUAAGUUUAAUCACAAUAUUGAUACCAUGGUUUUAGUCACUACUUUAAUUAACAACUAGAUACGGAAAAAAAUAUAUAUUUUAACUAACUCAUUACAUGAAGCUUUUAAUAUAUUAUAUUCUAAAAUAAUUAAAAUAUAUAAGACAAAAAUCCUGACAUUCUUGCUGUUUUUGGAACGUUAUAGUGGCAACUUUUUAUUUUAUUAUUAUAUAAGAGUGAAAAUCAAAUCUCUUCCCUAUCACUAAGUAGUAUACUUCCCAAAAAAAAAAAAAAAAGAAUUUGACUGUCAUUUAAUUACAUUAAAAAAAAUGUCAUAGAAAGUGUUGUGUCACUUUUAAUCAGAGGAUGGGAGUGCAUUACGACUAUUGUAUAUAUGUUAUGUUUUCAUGAUGAUGUUGUUUAAAUAUUUAGUGCUUAUUUGGUAUGACUUAUUUAAUAACUAUAAGUGUUUAUUUAAUCUCAUAAGUUCCUAUCAUAAUUUUUGUUAUUGUUUGGUUGUUUUUCUAAUAGAGUUUUUAAAACUUAAAUAAGUUAUUUUAUCUCUACUAGUAAAAGCUCCAAUUUUGAGCUUUUGAGAGUAGAGGCUGAGAAGUUUUUUUUUUUAAAUGUCAAAAUAUCUAAAAUAUCCUCUACUUAUUUAAUAAUUGUAUUUAUUAUUUUCAUAAUAUAACUUUAAAAAACUUGCCUAUUAUAAUAAUUUCAUAAAUUUUUAAUAAAUAUUUUUAUUGACAACCAAACAACUAAAUAUUUUUUAGUAAAAACUCUAUUUACAAAAGCUCUAUUUAAAUAAGCUCUACUUUAAAAGCUGUACUAAACAGAGCCUUAGACCGAUACCUAAUAAUAACACAGAGCAGCUCGAGCCUAGCUCACCCAACUAAUGAAAAAGAAAAUGAUUUAGCCUCCUGCUAUUAGAUAGGUGUAAUGCAUGCAAGUAAUACACACAUUUAUUCAAAAGAAAAUACAUUUAUUUAUUCAAAAGGAAAUACAUUUGUAUGACAGAUGUAUAAGUAAUGCAGUGCCAAAAGUCUUCACUUAAAAGUUGAAGGCAUAUCAUCAAAACAUGUGACCCCUAGGGAUAGAAACUUGAACAUUCACAAUGAUCAAUGCAACUUGUCCUUCAUUGUUCCAGAAGAUAGCUAGGCACAUUAAUCCUCCAACAUUUCUCAAUGGAUUUCAAAAUCAUCGACAAUAUAUAGCUUUAUGGUUCUCUUUUUUUUAUUCACAAUUUUUUUAUUCUAAUAUUGAAAUUAAUUGGUAACUGCACAGAACUGACAAUUUCUUGGCACUCAUUUUGUAGGGAAUUGAGAUUGUAACUUACAAAUUUAAUAGCAUUUUGAAGCCAAGGAAAUCUAGUCUCAAUUAAUAUGACUCUAGCUUCAGGAGAUUAUGUCUCUAGACAAAUACCGAUGAUCAUGAAGUGACGGAUGAAUUCUAGUGAUAUAUUCCUUAAAUCGCUUAUAUAUUAUGAUUUUUUUCAGAUCUAAUGACCCAGUAAUUAUUUUUGAGCACAUAUAACACCUAGAUCAUUAAUAAUGGUGAUCAGCAUUGUUUUAAGAUUUAGAGCAAAUUAUGUGAUAGCCUAGGGACACUUGGCCGAAUGUUACCUACAGUUAAAACAAGAUGUUUGUUAAAAUAUCUCAAUGAAGAGUAAGAUGGCGGGAAAGCUGUAGUUCAAUAUGCAGAGAUCUUUUGGCAUUUGGAAACAAUAAUCUUGAAGGUUCUAGAUCCUCACAACGAUGAAAAGGCCAGAAAUUGAUCAACAAAAUGAAGGGUGCAUAAUAUGCAGCAAGUGAAGACAACAGUACACAACGGUCUUAUCAUCAUUGUGCAUAUUCAUCAAUUAGUCUCAGUCAUAAAUCAACAAUUGUAACAGUUGUAAGUAUAGUACAGAGACCUUAUGUAAAAAGCAAGUGAACUCAUGAAUAAAGAUGUGCUGGUUACAUCAAAUUAUUCUGUGCAUUGCUUUCGUAUUAUUCUCUGCACAAAAUAGCCAUCAUUUUAUGUAAUUUAAACUUGGUAUCGGAGCUCUCAUUCCAGAAAUGGGCGUGAUUCAAUAUCGUAGUUCAACUGAAGAGGUUGACCUUAGUGAGCAAACACUUGAAACACCAGCAGUAACACAACAGUCAUCAUCCUUAAUUAUUGCGCAAAACUCCUCUCAAAUUUUCCUUUUCAGUUUCCACAGAACUUGACAGAACUAUGUCAUCUAGAGGACCAUGGUCAUGCCUGCCAUACGUCGCAAUGGUCUGGAGCACCUCAUUAGUGACUCACAAGACAUACCAACCAAAUAUAUCAUCAGUACUGAGGAUGACGGCACAACCAAAUCAACACUAAGACCAAAUUUUGUGAUGUGUUGCAAACCGGACCAACUACUCCUUAGUUGGCUUCUUUCUACAAUCACAGAAAGUAUUAUUUGUGCUGUGACUCAUUGCACAGCUUCUCUUGAGUUGUUGACAGUGCUGGAGAAAAUUUACUCUUCACAGUCCAUGGCUAGGUCAAUAGUGCUAAGGAUGCAACUGCAUAGCACUAGAAACGACAAUAUGAUUAUCAGUGAAUACUGCACCUAAGAUGAGAAAUCUGGUAACGGAACUUGUUACUGCUAGAAAGAUUGUCUCAAAUGAAGAUCUCUGCAACCACAUUAUCACAGGACUUGACAGAAGCUAUGAGUCUGUGUUGGGGAGCCGGACUUCAAUGCUUUAAAACAUUCCUUUUUGAAGAACUCUGCUCAAUCCUCUUAAGCCAUGAAGCAAGACUUGAACAGCAAGCACCUGCUGAAGCACAAGCUGCCUAUGAGGCAAAUGUCACCAUGAAACACAAGUGUGGGAUGAAUGAGAACAAGGAAGGUCAUGGGAAAGGAUACAAUCCAAACCAAGGACCUGGAAAGUCUCAUGGAGGCAGAGGAAGCAACAAUAACAGCUUAAGAGGAAGGGGCAGAGGUAGAUAUGGAGGAAAGAAAACAGUCUUUAAGCCUGAUGUCACCUGUCAUAUUUUGCUUCAAAGUUGGUUACACUACAGAUGAGUGUUGGCACAUACGUGAGGAAGACUUUGUGCCCAGAAACAAUGAGCAACAACACCAAAGAGCGGCCUUUGUUGUAGCUAAUGAAGGAGUGCUUGAAACAGGGUGGAACCUAGACAGUCGUACGACAAACUAUGUGACUAAUGACCUCAACAACUUGAGCAUGAGAUCUGAGUAUAAAGGUAAUUCCUUUCUCAUGGUUUGAAAUGGACACAAAUUAAAAAUAUCACACACUGGCACAAUACUAUUUCCUUUAUCUUUUGGUAAAAAAAGAACAUACUUGACUCUUAAGAAUGUUUAAUAAUGUUCUAUAUGUACUUGAUAUAACCAAUAAUCUCCUUAGCAUAUCAAGUUUGAUCUCAGAAAACCAUCUUAAUAUCUUGUUUACUGAAAAACAUUGUUGUUGUAAAGGACAAGCUGGGGAGUGCUCUUCUUCAAAGAACGAAUCAUGGAGGACUGUUUGUGGUCAGUAGAACUGCUGAAAAUAAAGCGGGAAGUGUUGCUGUCAAUUCUCUUUUAAGUUCACAGUCUUUGUUUGCAAUUAUAAUAGAGUCAAAUUCAGUUGAGUUUGAUUCUAAGUCGGCAGAGUUUGAAUGUGUUCAGUCUAUUGAGUCGAAUAAAAAUCGAGUUGGAUAUGUGAAGCAAUUAGACCUUUUAGAUAGAAAGUUUGGUCAUCCAAGUGAUGCUGUCCUCAAAAUAAUAGUGUCAAGCUGUAAUAAUAUCUCAGCCUUAAAUAAAAAAGAAUCAAGUUCCUUUUGUUCAGCCCAUAUAUAUAGAAAGAACCAUAAGCUAAGCUUCAAAAAAAGCUCACGGACUAAAACGCAAGCAACAUUAGAAUUAUUGCACAAUGAUAUCACCUAUUCCAUUAGGAGAAAGGUACAAAUACUGAGCAUAGUAGAUGACCACACUAGGACAUUUCCACUCAUUAACAAAUCUGAAACAACAAAAAUCUUUAUAAAAUUUAAAGAACAAGUGGAAAGAACAUCAGAAAAGAAAACUUAAGUGCUUAAGUGACUGAGAGGUGAAUUUAGGCCAUUAAAGGGUAUGUAGAGAUAUGAGGAAUAGUCUUUAUAUAUUCAUGCCCUUACACUUCAAUGAAGAAUUGAGUGGAACUGUAUAUAUGCCACAACCAGAUGAAUUUGAAAGCAAGGAAAAUUGGAAAAACCAAGCUAUGUCUGUGAUUGGAAAAAGCACUAUAUGGCUUAAAGCAGGCACAAGGAGUCUGGUAUAAGAAGCUGAGAGGAGUUUUGCUGACUUGCGGAUUCAAAAUGCAAUCUCAGACAAAUCGCAGACACAUUAUUAUUUCUCGGGAAGAAUAAGGGAAAGUCAGUAUAUGUACUUAUAUAUGAUGAUGACAUAUUGAUCACAGGAAGUGACCAAAGAACGACUGAAGGCGUUAUCAAACAAUUGAAUGAAAGUUUUGCUUUUAAAUUACCUCGCAUACCCAUCUAUUUUAUGCAAAUUGAAGCAAAAAGAGACUGUGGAGGGAGGCACUCGUGCUAAGAAAAGUAUAUACAGGAUCUACUAAAGAAAACCAAAAUGUUACAGCUAUAAGAAUAGUACGGAGACCUUGUAUGAAAAGCAAGUGAACUCAUGAAUAAAGAUAUGUCGGUUAUAUCAAGUUAUUCUAUGCAUUGCUUUCAAAUUAUUCUCUGCACGAUAGCCAUCAUUUUCAGUAAUUUAAACUCUUACGCUAAUUGGAAAAUGCACUGGCUUGCUUCUGCAGUAAUUUGGUUGUUGGAUUGGACCAUUGAUUUUAAGUGAUGAAGACAAAAUUCAACAAGGAACACAUACGAGCCACAUGGAAAAAUUCAUUUUUAAUCAUUAUUAAUCACAUAAUAUGAUCCAUGUAGCAAAAAUUAAAUUUAUUAUUAAUAUGAGCCAAGGACUAAUUAUUUCAUACAACAAAGACAACAUUAUGGUAUUUGUUAUUUAGCUUUAUUAUAUGUUGUUCCCUUUCUAUAAAUAAGACUUCGAGCCGUAUUGAAUAAAUAAGGUGAAAGUUAAUUAUCUGCAAUCAUGACAUAUUCCCAAGAUUCAAAAAUCAAUUCAAAUGCCACCUAACAAUAUUUAUUAAAAAUUAAAAAAAUAAAUAUAAAUAGAAACAAAUUAAUGAUUUUCGACUACCCCAAAAUCUAACACAUUUUUUAUCCUGCUGAUAUCUAAAAUCUUGAUUCUCUCAAACUAACAAGAGUUAGAAACAAAACCUAGUCAAAGCAGUGGAUUUAAUUAUACAUUUGUAAAAAUUAUGGCAUCAUCCAUUUUGGAUGCCACAUUAUUUUUAUAUCUAUCGCAAUUUGAUGAGGCAAAGGAAAAAUGAUGACUUUUUUCGAUGAGACAAAAGAAAGAUGGCUUGUUUUUUAAUGAAGAACAAAAAAAUGACUUCAUUUUAGUGAGGCAAGAGAAUAUUGAUUGUUUCUUUUAUCUUCUUCACUGCUUGUUUCGGUUGCAAUAUUUCAAAUUAGUGCAUGAUUAAAAUUCUGUUUUUAUAAAAUCACAUCACAGAUGAAGAUAUGUGGAAAGACAAUUAUCGACGAAGAAGACAUACUUAACAUUUCGUGCUAUAAACAUGAUUCUGCAGCAAUAAUAUAGAGCUCACUAACUUGAUACGCAUAAAGUUGGUUUUGAAGCAAAAUGCUAUCACACAGAAUCGUGGUGAAAAUCAUUGACAUGACAAGGUCAUAGUCGUGCUAAAAAUCAUGGUUACAAUUAUGAUUGACGUCAUGAUCUUGAAGAAAUCAUUAUCAACCUUAUAAUGAUAGUAUACAUCUGGAUAUCUUAGAUACAUGAUGCGUAAACAGUUGAUUUAAUUGGUUAUAAAGAUAUCUAUCCCUGUUAAGAUUACUAUUAAAUUUUAUUAGCUUUUAUAUUCCUAUCUAUUUUAUUUUUUAUGACGAUGCCUAACAUAUUUUACUCUUGAAAGGAUAUAGAUACUCAAAGGGGAUUGCAUCAUAAAGAAAUGUGUUUAGCUGGCAGUAUAACUACACUAACUAUCCUUUGAAAUAAUAAAUAUUUUAUGAGUUUGUAAUCAUUUGAAGCUAAGAUAAGUGCCAUCUUAGGUCCUGUUGAGAUCUAGUUGAAGACUCUAGAACAUUCACGUUCAUAUUACCAAGUUAUAACAAAAUUACAUAUCUAUAAUGCUCUGUAUUCACUAACAGUAGAAGAAAUCUUUUGAGUUUCAAAUAUAUUCGCAGUAAUGAAUUUCAUAUAGAGAAAAUAAAUGAGAAUAAUACAGAAUGUCUCUAUAUUACUUCUAGUGUCUUAGGUAAAAAUGUAUAUUGGAAAAGCUUUCUACUUUUUGAUCUGACUUAUAUUCAUACAACGAUAAAACUAGUUGGGAGCUACACAAUCAUGAACCAAAGACUUUGUGAUUCAAAAGUUUUUAUAUCUCAGUCACCUAGGUCAACUAUGAUGAGUAGAAUUAUCGAGAAUUCUUAUGGACAUCAUUUAAAGAAUCUAAAGAUUAUUCUCUCCAAUGAGUAUAGUUGCACUACUUGUUCCUAGGGUAAAUUAAUUAGCACUUAGACCAUCACAUUCGAAGAUUGGUCUUGAAUCUCUAUUGUUCCUACAAAUAAUUCAGGCAUAUAUAUGUGGACUUAUUAGCCCAUCUAGUGGUCUAUUUCAUUAUUUUAUGGUCUUGAUUGAUGCAUUUGACAGUAGUCAUAUGUUUAUUUAUUAUCUAUAUACAACAUUGUAUUUACUAGAUUGCUUGCACAAGUUAUUAAGUUACCUGCACAAUUUUAAGAUUAUCUAGACAAUGCUAGUAAGUUUACGUCUAAAGUUAUUGGUGAUACUACAGUUCUUUGGGAUUGAUAUAGAGCACCCAAUAUCACAUAUUCAUACUUAGAAGGGAUUGGUAGAAUCCUUCAUCAAACUGCUUUAGCUGAUUAUAGGAACUUUAUUGUUUCAUACUCAAUUACCUAUUUUUGCAUAUGGACAUACUAUUUUGCAUGCUAUGGUACUAAUACCUAGAGGCAUACUGCCUAUCACCAAUAUUCCUCAUUGCAAUUAGUACAUGGCAUCAACCUAAUAUAUCUCAUUUGUGCACUUUUGGCUAUAUUGUGCAAGUUCUUGCGACACCCCCCUAGUGUACUGAAAUAAGACUUCAACGAUAUUUUGAAUUUUAUGUGCAUUUUGACUAUCUAUUAUCAAAUGUCUUGAACCUAUUACCAAUAAUUUUUUUACCGCAUGCUUUUAUGAAUUUCCAUUUUAAUGAGAUAAAAUUUCCUUUGUUGGAGAAAAAAAAAAAAGCCACCAUAUGCUGGGAAUGAGCUUUUAUAAUAAGUGACAAAAUUGUCUCCUCUAGAUUACCACACCACUCAAAGUGAAAAUGAAAUGUGGUGAAUAAUUCUCUUACAAAAAAUUAUAAAUCGCUUGUUAGUUGUAUUUACAAAUGUAUCGAAAGUAAUCAAGUCAUAUGUACUGGUUGCAAAUGUACUUGGCCAAUUAGUUGCUCCUAAUUUUAAUAAAUAAAAAAAACUAUUUGAAUCGUCUAUGGCACGCCUUAAGUAUUGUAGACCCAUUGGCUCAAAGGACAACAUUCUGCUGAAAAGAAAAAUAAAAAGUUAGGAUCUGUUAUCAUGAAUGAUCAGGCUCUAAGUGAAAGUGGUCCUUCAAAGCAAAAGGUCCUUGAUGAGAACUAUGUGCCUACAGUAACACUACCUCCUAAAGAGACAAUUACCUUAAAUAUGGCCAAGCACUUGAUGUGGCUUAGUGAUGGUUGUCGAAGCCAACAAAAAUAAAUUCUUACUCUAAAUAAAUUAUGUAUAGUGAUUGAGCAGGGUCGUGUCCAUAGAGAUCGGUAAUUAUUUAAAUCAUUUUGAAACGUAAAACAUAAAAUGGGGGUUUUGUUGACAAUAAUAAAAAUCAAAUUAAAAUAACAAGAAUGCAAAUUAAAGUUGUAAUUCAAAUUGGAGAAAGCUCUGGUUGAAAGAAUUAACUCAGCUUGAUUCGACUACUGAUCAUUGAUUCAAAUAUAGAUUAUUAUUACUUAUGAAUAGACCGGUUAUAGCAAUUGAGACCCUCUAAUAGCCAAUCUCUCCUUAACUAGUCGAUAACCAAGGUACGACCGUUGGAUAUUUCCCUAAUCAAUAGACAACCCUAGAUACGAUCAUAGGAUUUAAUCAAUUGACAGCCUGAAAAACCAGAGAGACCCAAAUCCUAAUCAACACAUAUGAUGAUUCAUUUAAAUUAGAUUGUUUAUUCUCACAACACAACUCUCUGCUAUUUAUUUGUCACAAACAUUAAAUUCUUCAUACGAUGAAUCCUUUAAUUAACAAUAGAUUAAGUUGAUAAUUAAAUAGUGGCCAAUUAUCUAAUUAACAAACAUAAUCAUGAAAAUAAUUCAGAGAAUAAACAAAUACCCAAAAAGUAAUAAAACAAUUAAAGCACAAGAAAGAUCUCACAGUAGUGAUGAAUCAAAGCUUCAUUAUCCUUCAACCAGAAAAAUAGGUUUAGUUCUUCAUAGAGAGAAGAGAAAAAUUAAGAUCUAGGGUUUCUUUCUUUUUUUCCAAUCCAAAUCCUUCACAAUAGAUUCCUCCCUUAAAUACUCUCUCUCUCUUCUCUUUUAGAAUUCUAUUUAAAAUAAAAUACUAAUAUCUGAAAUAUUAAAUUCGUAAUUACAAAAAUAACCAAAAAUACAAAACACGUUAAACUAAAAACUACAGGUCCGCAGUUGACAGCACGCGCCCACGCCUUAUCAACAAAGUUCUUCUGACGCUCAUAAUUUCUCCAAGAGAACAAUCAUCCUUAAACAUCAUCUUAUAGCUCAAUUUUAUCACCAAUCAAUAGAAUUGCACCUACAAAAGUAAAACACAAGUAAAUCACUAUUAUUAAGUGCAAAACAUCGAUAUUAAGAGAAGUAAACAAUGCAAAACUAGUGCAUAAAUUUCACUCUAACACUUAGAAUGAAGAAAAUACACAAAUUUUGCUCACAAAAAAAGGUGUGGAAUCUUAAAGAAACAAUCAUCGAUGAUAAUUUGCGUUUAUAGUAGCCACUGGUUUAAUAAAUGAUGAUAUUGAACUGUAAUCCAUUGAUAUGUAGAUUGAGACAUGAUUGGCCUGCAUAGGAAGAAGCAAUCCAUAUGAAGUUGGCUUCUUUGGCAAAAUGAUUAUUUUUUAAUGUAACCUAAAUACCUACUUGUAUUAAAUCUGUUGGAUAUAAAUAGAUAUUUUUUAAGAAAUGUAACUAAAAGAAUAAGGUCGUUAUAUAUAAAGCACGACUCAUUGCACAAGGUUUUUUUAUAGAGACUAGGUAUUGACUAUGGGAUACCUAUUUAUUGGUAGUGCAUAUAGUUACAUUCCAAUUCUUCUAUUUGAGAGGCUUGAUACGCAUUUAAUAGAUAAGUGAUAGGUUUUUGUGUGUAUGAAAACUCCUAAAGGAUUCAAAAUGCUUAAAGCAUUGUAGUCACCACAUUGUAGCUUGUAUUCUACAAAGCUAUAGAAAUCUUUAUAUGAAUUGAAACAAUCUUGACAUAUCUGAUAAAGUUUCCUUAGUGACUACAUGAUCAAGGAAAGAUACAUGAAUGAUCUUAUUUGUCUUCGUGUAUCUAUAAACAAGCUAAAAUCUAGAUUUGCUAUUGCAGUAGUCUAUGUUGAUAAUAUGAAUUUGAUUGGAACUCUCAAAGAUGUCCAAAAGCCUACUGAUUAUUUAAAAAAGAGAGUUUAAAAUGAAAAAUUUUGGGAAAACUAGAUACUAUGUAAAGUUAUAGAUCGAGCACAAAUCUAAAAAUAUCUUUAUUUUUUAGUCAAAUUAUUAUGAAAAGAUAUUAAAAUGUUUUAAUAUGGACAAAACUUCUCUAUCAAUUACCCCAAUGGUAGUUUCAUCUCUUGAUCUUAAAAAGAUUCAUUUAAUCCUAAAGAGGAUGAUGACCAAGUGCUUGCUUCAUCAAAUACCAUAAGUUGAAUGCCCGUUGGUGCUUUAAUGUAUUUAGCCCAAUGUACUAUAGCUGUGUUCAAUAACUUGUUAGCAAGGUUUAAAUCUUGAAUUGAGCUAGACGACAUUGGAAUGGUGUUAAACAUCUUUUUCAUGAUCCUCUUGGAAUUAUCAAUUUCAGUUUAUUUUAUUCUAGUAAAUUAACCAAAAAUCUAAGUCUUAUUAGUUUUGCAGAUAUCCUCAUAAAGCUUGUUCUUAGAGGGGUUAUGUUUUUACUUAUACUAAAUAUUGAUUUCUUAAAAAUAUGUGAAGUUGACUCUUGUACUUGCAUUUUCCAAUCGCUUUGAGAUCCUUGUAUUGCAUGAAGCAAGUAGAGAAUACUUAUGGUUGCGGUCCAUUAUGCAUCAUAUCCAGGAUGCUGAUAAAUUAUCUUCAAGUGCAGACAUCCAAACGGUAAUAUAUGAAAAUAAUGUUUCUUGUAUAGCUCAAUUCAAGAGAGCAUAUAUCAAAGGAGAUUGAAAAAGCUUACCUCACCAAAGUUCUUCAAUACUCAUGAGCUCCAACAAAAUAAGACGAUCGAUAUCAAGCAGAUACAUUACACAAAUAAUUUUACAUAUAUGUUUAUUGAAGCUCUAUGCAUAUCAACAUUUUAGAAAAUAGUAUAUGGCAUCAGAAUGUGCCAUUUAAACAGAAUAUCGAGACGAUCAUUAGUUGAAUGCUCAUCAGGAGAAGAAAAAAUUUACCAAAGAAGAAUUUCAAUAAUUAAAUUGGAUACAUCUGCACGAUACUCGUUUUUUUCCCUUUGAAUAGAUUUUUCUACAAGAUUUUAGUGGCAAAGGUUUUUAAUUAGAUAAUUUAAACCACAUGCAGCCCACUUUAUCGUUCGCUAAAUUAUAUUUCUUUUGGUUGAGCUUUUUUUCUAUUGAGUUUUUCCAUAACAAAAGUCAAAUACAAUUAUCGUGAAGUGGUGGAUACCAAAGUGGGGGUGUUAUGGAAAUUAGUGAUUUAAAAAACAACUCAAGAGAUUUGACGGCUAAAGAGCUAAACAAGUCAAUCAAUUGUGGGUAUUAAGGUCACGAUGUGUCCUAAGGCUUGGCUGUGUUUUAAUUAGCUGAUGGAUUCCCUGAAUAGAGAGCACUACUCAUUGUAAUUUGUAUCCGAAGGCUUGGCUGUGUUUUAAUCGGUUGAUGGAUCCUAUAAAUAGGGAGCACUGCUCUUUGUAAUUUGUAUCUGAAAUUGAAAGCCUUAUCAAUUACAAUAAUAUCAUCUUUCUUUAUAUCAUCUAUUUAUCUAUUUAUACGUCUUACCUAUAUUCUCAAUAAUUAUAUUAUAAUUGAUAUUUUUAUUGUUUAUUGUGCACUGAAUAAUUCUUUUUUUAACCUUUGCUUACUAAUAGAAUUCUUCUUUUUUUUUUAAUAUUCUCUUUAGCGUAUGAAAUUGAUACAAUUUAUUUUUUUCGAUUUUAGUACUUUUUUCGUUCAACUACUUAGGAAUUGUUUGGUAAUGAGAUGAUGUGGUUUUUAAUAUACAGUUGUUGGGAUAAAAGCUAAAUUUGUCAAAGAAAAGCUUAUAGAUUAUGGUAAAUAAUAAAUUUUGUAUUAAUUUUUAUAUUUAACAAUUAUUACAAAAAUUAUGAAAUAAGAAAAAAACCACCAGCUAGGCAGUGGAGCCACAACGUAGUGUGUUUUACCAAACACCCAAACAGAUCCCUAACUAGGGUGUUUAAAUGUCUACAAUUAAGAUUAGUUUAGAAAAUAAGGUCCUAUUUAGUAUUGAGGGGCUAUCUACAGCUAAUGUCGAACAAAAUUGUAACUAUGAAAUAAAAGUUAACAAUAUAUAGUAAAUAUAAUUUUUAAACAAUAAUUUUGAUAAAAUUAAUAAAGGCAUAAUAUUUUUUUUUCAUCUUAUAUGUAUAAAAUCAAAUAAACUUAACUUCUAAACUACAACAACUAAUAUUUACCAAACACUUUAAUGUUGUAUCUUAAAAUCUAUAACUAUCCAACCUCAAUUUUAAAUAGGGCCCAAGUAUGGGUAAUGCGUGGGAUUUAGCAUCUCACAACUUACCUAGCGUGUUAUUAGUGAAAUUACAUUUACAAUAUUUUUAGCCCACUUACGUAGAUGGAUCAACUGGCUGUUAACAUGUUCUCCACCAUGGUCACCAGAGUUCAAGAAAAGGAUUUAUACUGUUUAGUAGGUGAAGUUUCACAUUUCCAUCCAAAUAUUUUAUUAAAAAAUAAAUCAAGAGUAUUCAUUGUGAAAAAGAAGUUUUUGUCCAAACAUUAAAAGGAUCUUCCAAAUUAAUGUAAAACAUAGAGCACAAACGAGUUAAUACUCAUUUAUAUAUCAAGUUAAACGGGUUAAUUUUGUGUUAAUUGUGUUAUAGAUAGGCAAGAGUAAGAGACACAAACAAGAUCAAAAGGAUUAUCUUAGAUGGAAAAUUCUAUAAUACCAUAACAAAAAUUACGGUAUUAAUGCCGUAGUUAUUUUAUACUGUUGGAUGAGAUCAACGAUGUACAAUAAUUAAAAUAUAAUAAAAAAUGUAAAUUUUUUUUCUUUAACCGGUUUACAACUGGUUAUUUAUUUAUAAAAAAAUAAAUUUAACUGGCUAAAACAGUGGGGAAAAAGAAGCGGUUUUUGUUUGCCUCCAAUACUCUUUUCCUGCUGAUAAUUUAGCAAAAACAGAGGCAAAAAAAAGCAAAAAAGAAGAAGCCCUACAACGACGUCGUUGAGGAGAAUCGAGCUGAGUCCUUGAUCGUGAAGCGGUUUUCAGUCGACGAUAACGACCCGAAGUCGGCGAUUGAUACCGUAAUCGGCGCCAGCGAUUAAUAACCAUAUAAUCCUCUGCUGCCCUUAAUCUUGUUGAGGGGAAGAGAACCACGGCAAAUUACUAAUAAAAAUAAGGCAAGUUGCAGGCCACUGAUUCUCCUCUACCACAUUCGCAUUGUCGUUAAUUUCAACAUGUGUUUUUUUUUUUUACAAUUUAUUUGACCAAGACACACAAAUAUAUAUAGAGAGAGAGAGCAUGCACUAGACUUUGAUAUGAUUUUUUCUUGUUAUUACAAGUAUUACUUGAAUACAAGUAAUAUGUCCUGUUCUGAAAACACAUAUUGUCGAAUUAUGUAAUGUUCAUUUGGUUCGUAUCUUAUAAUUUCUCUAGUUUAUUCAAUCUGAUUUGCUGACACUUAUGCCCAAUAGCCCUAGUUUCCUUUUUUACAAAUCCACUUAGAAAAAUUUCUUUGUUAGUGGUUCUAUUUUUAUUUAUUUAUUUUUGAGUGAUUUGCCAAUGUGUUAAAAUUGUGCUUGGAUCCUACAUAUUGGUAGUUAACGUUGAUGCUUUGAUGGAAUUUCUAAUAGAGUGAGUAAAUUUUGUUGAAAUUUCUAAGUAGAGUCUUCAAGUUAUUUGUUGAAAUGCCUGAGAGAAACAAUGUGUUUGUAUAUGUUCUAUUAUUCAAAUAUGAGGUAUGAAAAUGAAAAUAAAAAUUUUGCGUUUGGGUUAAUUUUCUAUUGUAUUUGGAAUGAUUUGCUGUUGUUUUUUAGUAAAAUUUUUCUAGUGUUUUGGGUUUCAUUUGCUGCAGUUUUUAGGUUAAAUUUUCUACUAUUUCUGGGCCAAUUGGCUGUUGUUUUUCAGUUUAAUUUUCUACUAUUUUUAGAUAAAUUUACUGCUGUUUUUGCGUUAUAUUUUCUGCUGUUUUCAAGUAAAUUUUUCGGUGUUUCGAGCUUCAUUUGCUGUUGCUUUAGGUUAAAUUUUCUACUGUUCCUGGGUCAAUUGGCUGCUGUUUUCAGUUUAAUUUUUUGCUGUUUUUAGAUAAAUUUACUACUAUUUUUGGGUUAUAUUUUCUGUUGUUUCUUGGUAAAUUUUUUCUAGUGUUUUGGGCUUCAUUUGCUACUGCUUUUAGAUUAAAUUUUUUGUUGUUUCUGGGUCAAUUGGCUGCUUUUUUCAGUUUAAUUUUUUACUCUUUUUAGAUAAAUUUACUACUAUUUUUGGGUUAUAUUUUCUGUUGUUUUUAGAUAAAUUUACUAUUGUUUUUGGGCUUCAUUUGUUGCUGCUUUUGGGUUAAAUUUUUUGCUAUUUCUGAGUCAAUUGGCUGUUGUUUUUUAGUUUAAUUUUUUACUCUUUUUAGAUAAAUUUACUACUGUUUUUGGGUUAUAUUUUCUGUUGUUAUUAGAUAAAUUUUUUGCUGUUUUUGGGUUUAAUUUGUUGUUACUUUUGGGUUAAAUUUUUUGCUAUUUCUGAGUAAAUUUGCUAUUGUUUUUCAGUUAAAUUUUCUGUUGUUUUUGGAUAAAUUUACUGCUGUUUCCAGAUAAUUUUUUUGCUGUUUUGGGCUUCAUUUACUGUUGUUUUUAGGUUAAAUUUGUUGCUGCUUCUGGGGUAAAUUUGCUGCUGUUUUUCAAUUAAAUUUUUUGUUGUUUUUAGAUUAAAUUUUUUUCGUAUAUUGGGCUUCAUUUGCUGCUAUUUUGUGUUAAAUUUUUUUUUGUUCUAGGUAAAUUUAUUACUUUUUUUAGUUAAAUUUUUUGUUGUUUUUGGAUAAAUUUACUACUAUUUUUUGGGUUAGAUUUUUUGCUGUUUUCUGGUAAAUUUGCUGUUGUUUUGUGCACAGAGCUGGUCGAAAAAUGGUCAUGAUGCAUUUUGAAUGCAGAAUGAUGGAGACUGGUAGUAAAAGUUGCUUGUGUUGUUUUUGCUGCUACUUGCUCCAUUUGAGCUUCUAGAAAUUGUUAAGGGUAGCGGGGAAGAAGAAAGAGAUGAUGAGAAAUGCAAAUUGUUUGUGAGCUUUAGAUUGAUGUACCAAGCCAAUAGUUAUAUUGCAAAAUAUCUGUUUUUUUUUUAGUUUGUUAAUUUUUAUUUUUUUGGAUUAUAACUAAUGCUGUAAAUAGUUAUUGUUUGUCACCGUUCUAGAAGCAAAUACUAGUCUAACUUUCUAGGAAAGGUGUUCCUAAUUCUUGGUUGGGUGAUUGAAUUUUGUAUUGAAAUGUUUAUUUCUAAAAUAUUUUUAGAGGAUCCAAAACUUGUGAUAUUUGACAUUUCUUUUUGUGCUUAAUAUCUUCAUGUACAGGUUCUUGUAAACUUGAAAAUGGCAGAAAAUGUAAAAUGAGAAUGAUUUCAAGGAGAAUGAUAAUGUGAACCAAGAAAAUGAAAUUUUAAGAAAAAAUCGGCCUUUCAUUGAGCAUAUUUGCACCUCGGAUUAUGAUGAAUGGUUGCACGGCCUACGUGCUAGCAGAUUUAGAUGCGGAUUUGGCGAAUAUUGGCUUUGCAUGUUUGGAGAAUUGAGAGAGAGAGAUUCAUAUUUGGGGAAUGACGAAUAGGGACUAUGUUUUAAUUUUUCACUUUGUCGUUCUUGUCUUCUAUGGUGCCAUUGAGACUUGAGAGCUGAGCCUUUUUUUUACCGCUUUCACUUAAAAAGGAAAAUGAAUAUUAUAAGGAAACGACGUAGUUUUAGUGAAUUUUAAAUGUUAUAAUUUUUUGUUGUUGUUUAUAUCUUAAUUAUAUAACAUUAUUUUUUAAAAUAAGUUAAAGAUAAAAUUUAUAACAUUUAUAUAUAUACCUAAAAUAUAUAUAGAACCACUUAUGUUAUGAUUUGUUUUUGGGUUCAGAUUUAUCAUUUUUAGUUAAAUUUUAAAUUUAUGAUUUUAUACCUAAUUUUUCAUUCGGGAAAGGGACAUGGUCGAUUUUUAUAAACUAAUUUAAAGAAAAAUGAUAGGUUUAUGAUUUUAUUAAUAUAUUAUAAUUAAUAAUAAUAAUAAUUUUUUAAUAAAUAAUCACUAUAAUUAAAAUAUAAAAUAAUAAUUAUGAUAAUAAUUCAUUAAGUACAUAUAUUACAUGCAAGGAAGACUAGGCUCGACUUUUAGUCUAAUUAACUUGACCUGAAUUUUUUGGCCUUUGACUCGAAUUUAAUGGUUAGGCUUGGGUCUAAAUAUUAGAGCCCAAUUAAAUUCAUAUCAGGGUUAGGGACCUAUAUGCCCGACCCGACCUGAUCUGACCUAACCAUAAAACCUAAAAAAAAUGUAAUAAUAUGAUUACGGCCCUGAAUAAUCUUUAUUUUUAUGUUACUUCAAACAAUUUCUAAAGCUUUUAUAUUUUACUGUAUAUGGGGAGGCUAUGUCCAAUUUUUAAAUUUUAAAUUAACUAAAAAUUAAAAAAAAAACUUUAAAAGAAAGUUUGAUCAGGCCCACGCUUUCAAAUAAUAGGGCCUUUUUGGGCUCGAAAAUUUUAUUUCAGCUAUAGAGUCAGGCUCAGAAAUGGCUAAGCACAGGCCUAACUCGACCCACUGCCAUCCUUUCGAAUAGACUAUUGAUCCAUUAUGAACUCAUCAAUUAAAUUCAUGAUCAUAGUAAAUGUGUUACUAUCAUUCUUUUGUUUGCAAGAACAACUUGUAAACAAAAUAAAAAUUUAGUAAAAUGACACAGAAUUUGUAAAUUGACAUUAAGUGUAAAAUAAAAUAAAAAAUUUGUAAAGCACACAUAAAACUAGUAAAUUGAUGGAAAAUUGGGUAAAUUAAUGUUCGAAUUGUAAAUUGCAAGAAAAACUUGUAAAUAAAAUAAAAAUUUAGAAAAAUGACAUAAAACUUGUAAAUUAACAUUAAAUAUAAAAUGAAACAAUAAAUUUGUAAACCACACAUAAAACAAGUAAAUUUAAGGAAAAAUGGGUAAAUUAAUGUUGAAGUUGUAAUUUGCAAGAAGAACUUGUAAGCAAAAUAAAAAUUUAGAAAAAUAACAUAAAACUUGUAAAUUGAUAUUAUGUGUGAAAUAAAACAAAAAAUUUGUAAACCACACAUAAAACUAGUAAAUUGAUGAGAAAAUGGGUAAGUUAAUAUUUGAGUUGUAAAUUGCAAGAAGAACUUAUAAACAAAACAAAACCUUAGAAAAAUGACAUAGAACUUGUAAAUUGACAUUACGUGUGAAAUGAAACAAAAAAUUUAUAAAUCACGCCUAAAACUAGUAAAUUGAUGGAAAAAGAGGUAAAUUAAUAAUGGUGUUGUAAAUUGCAGGAAAAACUUGUAAACAAAACAAAAACUUAGAAAAAUGAUAUAAAACUUAUAAAUUGACAUUAAGUGUGAAAUGAAACAAAAUAUUUGUAAAUCACAUAUCAAAAUAUUUGUAAAUCACAUAUCAAAAUAUUUGUAAAUCACAUAUAAAACUAGUAAAUUGAUGGAAAAAAAGUUAAAUUAAUGAUGGAGUUGUAAAUUAGAAGAAAAAAGUGUAAACAAAACAAAAAUUUAGAAAAAUGGCAUAAAACUUGUAAAUUGUCAUUAAGUGUGAAAUGAAACAAAAAACUUGUAAACCACAAAUAAAACUAGUAAAUUGAUGGAAAAAUAGGAAAAUUAAUGUUGGAGUUGUAAAUUGUAAGAAGUUGUAAACAAAACAAAACCUUAGAAAAAUGACAUACAACUUGAAAAUUGACAUUAAGUGUGAAAUGAAACAAAACAUUUGUAAAUGACAUAUCAAAAUAUUUGUAAAUCACACUUAAAAUUAGUAAAUUGAUGGAAAAAGAGGUAAAUUAAUGAUGAAGUUGUAAAUUAGAAGAAAAAAGUAUAAACAAAACAAAAACUUAGAAAAAUGAUAUAAAACUUCUAAAUUGACAUUAAGUGUGAAAUGAAACAAAAAAUUUACAAAUCACACCUAAAACUAGUAAAUUGAUGGAAAAAGAGAUAAAUUAAUGAUGGAGUUAUAAAUUGCAAGAACAACUUGUAAACAAAACAAAAACUUAGAAAAGUGACAUGGAACUUGUAAAUUGACAUUAAGUGUGAAAUAAAACAAAAAAAUUUGUAAAUCACAUUUAAAUUUAGUAAAUUGAUGAAAAAGAGGUAAAUUAAUGAUGAAGUUGUAAAUUAGAAGAAAAAAGUAUAAACAAAACAAAAACUUAGAAAAAUGAUAUAAAACUUGUAAUUGACAUUAAGUGUGAAAUGAAACAAAAAAUUUGUAAACUACAUAUAAAACUAGUAAAUUGAUGGAAAAAUAGGUAAAUUAAUGUUGGAGUUGUAAAUUGGAAGAAGAACUUAUAAACCAAACAAAACCUAAAAAAAUGACAGAACUUGUAAAUUUACAUUAAGUGUGAAAUGAAACAAAAAAUUUGUAAACCACACAUAAAACUAGUAAAUUGAUGGGAAAAAAGGUAAAUUAAUUUUGGAGUUGUAAAUUACAAGAAGAACUUGUAAACAACACAAAAACUUUGAAAAAUGACAUAGAACUUGUACAUUGACAUUAAGUGUGAAAUGAACCAAAAAAAUGUGUAAAUCACACAUAACACUAGUAAAUUGAUGGGAAAAGGAGUAAAUUAAUGUUGGAAUUGUAAAUUGCAAGACAAACUUGUAAACAAAACAAAAAUUUAGAAAAAUGGUAUAAAACUUAUAACUUGACAUUAAGUGUAAAAUGAAAUAACAAAUUUGUAAACCACAUAUAAAACUAGUAAAUUUAUGGAAAAUGGGGUAAAUUUAUGUUGGAGUUGUUAUUUGCAAGAACAACUUGUAAACAAAACAAAAACUUAGAAAAAUAACAUAAAACUUGUAAAUUGACAUUAUGUGUGAAAUAAAAUAAAAAAUUUGUAAACCACACAUAAAACUAGUAAAUUGAUGGAAAAAUUGGUAAGUUAAUAUUUGAGUUGUAAAUUGCAAGAAGAACUUGUAAAUAAAACAAAACCUUCGAAAAAUGAAAUAGAACUUGUAAAUUGACAUUAAGUAUGAAAUGAAACAAAAAAAAUUGUAAAUCAUGCAUAAAACUAGUAAAUUGAUGAAAAAAAAGGUAAAUUAAUGAUGGAGUUGUAAAUUAGAAGAAAAAAGUGUAAACAAAACAAAAAUUUUUAAAUAUGACAUAAAACUUGUAAAUUGACAUUAAGUGUGAAAUGACACAAAAUAUUUGUAAACCACACCUAAAACUAGUAAAUUGAUGGAAAAAAUGAGUAAAUUAAUGUUGGAGUUAUAUUUUGCAAGAAGAACUUGUAAACAAAACUAAAACUUAGAAAAAUCACAUAAAACUUGUAAAUUGAUAUUAUGUGUGAAAUAAAAAAAAUAUUUGUAAACCACACAUAAAACUAGUAAAUUGAUGAGAAAUGGGUAAGUUAAUAUUUGAGUCGUAAAUUGCAAGAAGAACUUGUAAACAAAACAAAAGCCUUAGAAAAAAAUGACAUAGAACUUGUAAAUUGACAUUUAGUAUGAAAUGAAACAAAAAAAUUUUUAAAUCACACUUAAAACUAGUAAAUUGAUUAAAAAAGAGGUAAAUUAAUUGUUGAGCUGUAGAUUGUAAGAACAACUUGUAAACAAAACAAAAACUUAGAAAAAUGACAUGGAACUUGUAAAUUGACAUUAAGUGUGAAAUAAAACAAAAAAUUUGUAAACCACAAAUAAAACUAGUAAAUUGAUAGAAAAAUGGGUAAGUUAAUAAUUGAGUUGUAAAUUGCAAGAAGAACUUGUAAACAAAACAAAACUUUCGAAAAAUAAAAUAGAACUUGUAAAUUGACAUUAAGUAUGAAAUGAAACAAAAAAUUUGUAAAUUAACAUUAAGUAUGAAAUGAAACAAAAAAUUUGUAAAUCACAUCUAAAACUAGUAAAUUGAUAGAAAAAGAGGUAAAUUAAUAAUGGAGUUGUAAAUUGCAAGAAGAACUUGUAAAAAAACAAAAACUUAGAAAAAUAACAUAAAACUUGUAAACUGGCAUUAUGUGUGAAAUGAAACAAAAUAUUUACAAAUCACACAUAAAACUAGUAAAUUUAUGGAAAAAGAGGUAAAUUGAAAUUGUAAAUUAGAAGAAAAAGGUGUAAACAAAACAAAAAUUUUUAAAAAUGACAUAAAACUUGUAAAUUGAGAUUAAGUGUGAAAUGAAACAAAAUAUUUGUAGACUACACCUAAAACUAGUAAAUUGAUGAAAAAAUGGGUAAAUUAAUGUUGGAGUUGUAAUUUGCAAGAAGAACUUGUAAACAAAACAAAAACUUAGAAAAAUAACAUAAAACUUGUAAAUUGACAUUAUGUGUGAAAUAAAAUAAAAAAUUUGUAAACCACACAUAAAACUAGUAAAUUGAUGGAAAAAUGGGUAAGUUAAUAUUUGAGUUGUAAAUUGAAAGAAGAACUUGUAAACAAACCAAAACCUUAGAAAAAUGACAUAGAACUUGUAAAUUGACAUUAAGUGUGAAAUGAAACAAAAAAUUUGUAAGUCACACAUAAAACUAAUAAAUUGAUGGAAAAAUAGAUAAAUUAAUGUUAGAGUUGUAAAAUACAAGAGGAACUUGUAAACAAAAUAAAAAUUUAGAAAAAUGAUAUAGAACUUGUACUUUGACAUUAAGUGUGAAAUGAACUAAAAAAUAUGUAAAUCAUGAUUAAAACUAAUAAAUUGAUGGAAAUGAUCCCUGGGUUAGCUCAUUUAAUUGACUGCACCACUACUGGAUUAAUAAGCUAGACAACUAGCUAUUUGGGUCAAAAACCUAAAUAUAUCAUUUAGUGGGAGGCUCCAUUUAAUUAGCUUAUGUGUAAAGGGCCUUAUGUUAUUUUACAAGGUGGGUCCCCUAUAGAAAAAGCAAGUAACGUGAGUUUUGAUUUUCAUUAUUUGGAGUCUAGGGUUUUCACUAAAGGGAGAUAUAAAAAAGCUUAUUUUCUCUAAAGAAAAAAGAGCAGCUCCUUUAUACAAAGAAGAGAAAAAGAUUUUUCUCUUAGUUAUUGAGAGAAAAAUUUUCUCGUGCUAGUUGCUUUGAUAGUGAUAAAGGCGUCCACACGUCAAGUGCAGAUCGACCCUGAGUCAUAACCUGGAAGAUCAUUGUGACAGUUCGUGAUCUAACAAGCGUAGUGGUGACGGAUCGUGAUCUAACAGGAGUGGUGGUGACAGAUCGUGAUCUGGGAGCCUAAAUCACUUCAAUAGAAAAAAGCCAAAUCGAAUUUUCAAGGUAUGAUUUCUAGAUUACAAAUUCUUAUAUAUGGUAGGAGAGCUAUCUUAAAAGGUUUUAUAAAAAUUUAAAAAUUAUAUUUUUCUCCAACAAUUGGUAUCAGAGCCAUCUCAUAUUAAUAUAUAAGAAUAUUGUAUGAAAUCAAUCUUGAAAUUUAUAUAUUAGAGUGGCACAAUUUAUUCAAAUAUAUAUUAUUAUUUUAAUAUAUGAAUAAAGCAUGUUUUUAGUUUGUCUUAAUUCAUGGUUAGAUUUUACGCUGUAUUUUUUCUUCGGAUCUGUAACAAGAGGGGUGACUUUUCAUCACAAUGUUUCCCUCUUGAUUUAUUUUACUGUUAUAGAAUUUUUGUAAGCCAAAAUUGGCCUAGGAAAUUUGUAAAUCAAUCAUGGAUGUCAGAUCAUCGGAAACGAAGGCCGGAUAUUUUGACAGCAGCAACAAACCAGCACGUGCGGCCAGCAAUGGCCAGCGGCACGCACUGCACGUGCUGCAGCUGCAAGCAAUGCUGCCAGCAGCGUGCAGCUCCUGGGUUCCGUCAUUUGGUGGCUUUCCGGCGUAGUGGCAAUGGUUAAAUCAGCGUCGAACUUGGAUGAACAGUGACUGGCUUUGUGGUGAUGGCGGAUGGGGAGAGUAAAAGAUGGAUUCAGGGUUUCAAUGGUUUUUAUCAUUCAGAUCCCUAUGGCUCCAUAUUUUUUUUCUUUUUGGGUAGACACGUUUAAAUUUUUGCAGUUAAGUCCAAAAACAGUAUUGGGCUUAAUGAAUCAUAGUUUAUGCUCAAUUUCAAUUGGGCUUAAUGGAUUAAAAUGCAUAGAUAAAAUUGAACACAUUAAGACGGAAGGGUGGAAACAUUUAAAGCAAGAUUAGUAGCCAAAGGGUUUACUCAGAAAGAGGGAAUCGAUUAUGAGGAAACUUUUUCUCCGGUUGCUAUGCUUAAAUCCAUCAGGAUUCUGCUCUCCAUUACUGCAGUGCUAGAUUAUGAAAUUUGGCAAAUGGAUGUCAAGACUGCCUUUCUUAACGGGUAUCUUGAAGAAAACAUCUACAUGCAGCAACCAGAUGGAUUUAUACAAAAAGGCCAUAAACACAUGGUAUGUAAGUUGCAGAGAUCCAUUUAUGGAUUGAAGCAAGCAUCCCGGUCAUGGAACAUCAGAUUCGAUCAAGUGAUUAAAUCGUUUGGAUUCAUUCAGAACAUUGAUGAACCAUGUGUGUACAAGAAAAUUCAAGAAAAAUCUGUAGCCUUCCUAAUUCUUUAUGUAGAUGAUAUUCUCCUAAUUGGAAACGAUAUAGGAGUAUUGACUACAAUAAAGAGUUGGUUAGCAAAACAAUUUGAUAUGAAAGACCUGGGAGAGGCAAGUUAUAUUCUUGGUAUCAAGUUACUACGAGACCGAAAGAAUAAAACUUUAGCCUUGUCUCAAGCGGUCUACAUCGAUAAGAUAUUGGCUAGAUUUAGCAUGGAAAAUUCCAAGACUGGUUUAUUACCAUUCAGACAUGGAAUUACAUUCUCUAAUGAUCAAUCACCUAAAACAUCUGAAGAGAUAGAGAGAAUGAGACGAGUUCCCUAUGCAGAAGCUGUGGGAAGUCUCAUGUAUGCCAUGCUUUGCACUAGGCCAGACAUCUGUUUUGCGGUAGGGAUGGUUAGUAGAUAUCAAUCUAAUCCUGGACCUGAACACUGGACUGCGGUCAAGCAUAUAAUGAAGUAUCUGAAAAGAACUAAAAAUUAUAUGCUUGUGUAUUCUGGUAAUGAACUCAUUCCAGUGGGUUAUACUGAUUCUGACUUUAUGUCAGAUAAGGAUUCCAAAAAAUCAACUUCCGGCUAUGUGUUUACAUUGGGAAGUGGAGCUAUUAGUUGGAGGAGUGUGAAACAAUCUUAUAUCGCAGACUCCACAACUGAAGCUGAAUAUGUGGCUGCAUCCGAAGCUGCAAAAGAAGCUGUAUGGCUCCGCAAGUUCCUACAAGAUCUUGAGGUGGUACCUGCUGUAUCUGCACCCCUGAAACUAUUUUGCGAUAAUAGUGGUGCGGUAGCUCAAUCUAAGGAACCAAGGAACCACAAGAAACAAAAACAUAUUGAGAGUAAGUAUCAUCUUAUAAGGGAUAUAGUGCAAAGGGGUGAUGUGGAGGUUACUCAGAUUGCGUCACAGCAAAAUUUGGCAGAUCCUUUUACUAAGGCCAUACCUGGGAAACCUUUUAACUUGCACUUAGAAUCCAUGGGCAUGCGUGAGAUGCCAAAUAUGCUUUGAGAGCUAGUGGGAGAUUGUUGGGAAAAUAUGCUCUUUAAAAGCAUAUGUGUUUAUUUAAUUGUAAUAAAUAAUUUUUCUGAUUAAUAAAAUAGAUGAGGUAUUUUAUUCAAAUAUAUUAAUUGCAUUAAUAUUUAUAUUAAAGUCCAUUUAAUCAUAUUAUAUGUAUUUAUGUGAUCACCAUGUGGAUUCACAGAAGACAUAAAUACAAGUUAUCUUAUGAUUAAAUAAAUUUAGUUCGCAGUUGAUAAAUAAAGUUGGGCACUUUAUUUAGGUAUAGACUGUAAUAAAUUCAUUGAAUGAUUUGUCUUAAUCAUGUAUGAAUUUAUUGGUGUAGUACGACUACAUUGAACAUGAUCACAUAUGAGAUUUAAUUAACUUUGUAAUAACUGUCAGACUUAUUAAAUCUCAUAGGCGUUGAUUUUACUGUAAUCUUAAUCUUGAGUUAAUUAUGAUUUCAUGAUUGUAAUUGUUAUUCCAUUUGAGUUACCAAUGGGCACGACACAUCCUUGUGGUCAAGAUUACCCGGUAUCUUGGUGGGAGCAAUUAUGAGUAUUGGAGUUAUGGAUUAACAAUAUAGAAUUUGUACAACACAUCUCUUGAUGGGUUUCUGAACUAAACAGACCUCAAUUACAAAAAGAUUUCAACACCCAAGUGUCAAUAGGAUUCUGAACUAAACAGGCCUCAAUUACAAAAAGAUUUCCCAUACCUGAUUUCACAAUCUUAGGGUAAUCCUUUUUCCAGUGACCUUUCUGUCCACACUUAAAGCAUUUGCCUUUCGGCUUGCCAUCUUGCUUGGUAGACGGUUUCUUUUUCCCAGCUUUCUUCUUACCUUUGCCUUUCGGCUUAGGCCCAGAAGAUGAACUUUUUUCAGUAAUAUUUAUGCUUCCCAGAGAUUUCUCAGCACGAUAGAUCUCUUCAGCAGAAUGGAGUUCGUUCAUCAAUUCAGUUAAGGUCAUGUUUCUUUUGUUCAUGUUAUAAUUGACCUUAAACUCAUUGAAUGUUUCUGGUAGAGAUUCUAGCACCAUGUCAAUCUUUGAGUUAUCAUCGAUUUGUGCUCCCUGAAUCUCAGCCUCAUUCAAAUAGUCCAUCAUUUUGAGGACAUGAUCACGAAUUCUUGUGCCCUUCCCCAUUUUACUGUUCAUAAUUCCUUUCAGCGCUGCUUGUCUCGCUGAGCUAGUACUCUGCCCGAACAUCUGUUGGAGACUAUCCAUUAUUUCAGUGGCAGUCUCCAAGUUCUGAUGUUUGGUCUGCAGAAUAUUAGAAAUCGAGGCUAAAAUGUAGCACUUUGCCAUUUCAUUAGCCUUUUGCCAUUUCUCAUAAAGCCUCCUCUGAUUUCUAUGAGCAUCAUCCGCUGGAACUGGAGGGCAUGGCUGGGUUAAGACAUAUUUAUAAUUUUCAGCAGUCAGGACAAUGAAUAUAUUUCUUUUCCAAUCUAUAUAGUUCUCUCCAGUGAGUUUGUUUUGACUCAGAAUAAUAGUAAGUGGGCUCAGGGAAGACAUUUUUUGAAAAUAAAACAUCCAUGCAUAAAUAAUUUGAAAUAAUAUUCAUAAUAAAUGACAAAAAUGCAUAAAACCAUAAAUGCAUUUUAAUUUAUUGUAACGAUAAUCUAAUUCCGCUUUGACAAGCUAUCCGGUGGGAAAGUCAUGUCUAUACUUACUAGACCCAAUUACCCAUUGGAUUAUUUACUUUCAUGUAGAGACAUGAUAAAUAAUUAUCGUUAUCUUUUUGGGCCUAAAUUUGUUAACAGAGCUUCGUUGGAAAGGUUAAUAACAAAUUUUAGUUGAGUGUAUAACCAUUGUUUCAAUCUACGUAUUUUUCAUAUCAAUAGUCACCGUUGGGGUGAACAAUUGAUUGAAAAAUAUUUCAAUUUUAUCUUUGAAGAAGUUCAUCAAAUAAAAUAUCUAAUAUAUAUACCCUCCGAAGGGAGCAUCACUGUAUCAUGAAGUCGAGGUAUAUAUAUAAUUUUAUUAUUGAACUAACAAUGGAGCCCUUGGGAAAAUUAUCUUGAAUUUUCCCUCUCCCACUCAAUAUUUUAAAAUUGGUUUUUCCUUUUUAAAACAUACAUAUUGUUAAUUGCAUGCUUCCUAUAAUAUUAUCUAGAUGAUAUCAAAUAUUAUUAAGCAUACGCAAAUUUCAAAUAAUAUAAUGAAAUUCAUUAUUAAUGAAUGACAUGUAUCAUUAUGCAUAGAGUGGCACUACCUAUUCUAUAUGACAUGUUAUCAUGGCAUGUGAUCAUCCAAAACAUAACAUAUAGAAAAACAAUUAAAUAAUCUUAAUUCAUGGCUUUCCUAAUAAUGAAAAAUACAUUAACCCCAAGCCUAAUCUUCAUUGGGCUUCUUGUCAAUGUCCAUCUUCGAUAAACUUGUCUUUGUUAAUGGACUAGGGGAAAUUGGGCUUUUAAAUUUAUAAUUGGUCCAAUUUUAAUUUUAAAUAAAUAAAAAAAAUUUUAUAAAAUUUUUGGACCAAAAAUAAAUUUAAUGUAUUUAAUUUUGUCUAUGCAUUUUAAUCCAUUAAACCCAAUUGAAAUUGGGCCUAAAACUAGGAUUCAUUAAACCCAAAACUAUUUUUGGAUUUAAACGCAAAAAAUUAAAAAUAUUUCUGCCUAACUGAAAAAAUAUGAAACUAUAGGGACCUCCAUGAUAAAAACCAUGGAACCCUAAAAUCACAUUUUUCUUUUCCUCUUCUUCCCCAGCCGCCACCAGUAAAAAGCACCAGCUUCUGUUCCCGGUCAACCGCCGCUGUUCAGAGACGCCAGCCGGUCUCCGACACAUCUCUGACGAGGAGCCAUCGCCAAUACGCCGGAAACAAGCCAACCCUGCGAGCGCUACUUGCUGGAACGCACGCUACUUCUGCGCACGCUGCUGCUGCGCGUACAGCGCGUGCCGCUGGCCAGGCUGGCCGCACGCGUCGCUUGCUGCACGCAGCGCCCGCUGCUGGCAGCGUGUGCUGCCUGCUGCGCGCAUUGCCAGCAUGCGCUUGCAGCGUGUACCGCUCGUUGGCUGCAGCGAGUGCGCUGGUCGGUGGUCGAUGUCAAAAUUUCCGGCCUCCGUCGCUUUCAGCUCGUUUUCCAGUGAUGAUUCUUCAGUGAUUUACAAAUUUUCAACGCAAAUUUUGGCUUACAAAAUUUCAAUUACAUUAAAAUAAAUCAAGAGGGAAACAUGGUGAUAAUAAACCACCCCUCUUGUUACAGAUCCAAACAAAAAAUACAGUAGCACAUCUAACCAUGAAUUAAGACAAACCAUAAACAUGCUUUAUUCAUAUAUUAAACAAAUAAUAUAUAUCUGAAUAAAAUGUGCCAAUCUAAUACAUAAAUUUCAAGAUUAAUUUCAUACGAAAUUCUUAUAUAUUAAUAUGAGGCUGCUCUGAUACCAAUUAUUGGCGAAAAAUGAGGUUUUUAUAAUUUUUAUAAAACCUUUUGAAGAUCGCUUUCAUAUAAUAUAUAAGAAUUUGUAUUCUAGAAAUCGUACCUUGAAAAUCCGAGUUGGCUUUUUCCGCUGAAAUGAUUUAGGCUCCUAGAUCACGAUCCGCCACCACCACUCCUGUUAGAUCACGUUCCUUCACCACCACGCUUGUUAGAUCACGAACUGUCACCAAUGAUCUUCCAGGUUAUGACUCAGGUUCGAUCUGCACUUGACGUGUGGGCGCCUUUAUCACUACCAAAGCAACUAGCACGAGAAAAUUUUUCUCUCAACAAUAGAGAGAAAAAUCUUAUUCUGCGAUUUGUAUAAAGUGGCUUCUCUUCUUUCUUUUGAGAAAAUAAGCCUUUUAUAUCACCCUUUAGUGAAAACCCUAGGCUCCCAAUAAUUAAAAAAAAAAACUCACGUUAUUUGCUUUUUCUAUAGGAGACCCACCUUGUAAAAUAACAUAAGGCCCCUUACACAAAAGCUAAUUAAAUGGAGCCUCCCACUAAAUGAUAUAUUUAGGCUUUUGACCCAAAUAGCUAGUUAUCUUACUUAUUAGUCCCGUAGUGGUGCAGUCAAUUAAAUGAGCUAACCCGGGAAUCAUUUGGGAACAUACAAUAGUGGCUACAAUAAUUAGGCCUGUAAUUAAAUUAGCCCAAUUAUUUAAUUCCAAAUCUACUCCACUAAAAGAUUGGAACUGACUUCCAUAAUUGUAUGCUCGAAUAAUAAUUCGUCCCAAGCCACAUUAAUUUCUUUACUGCACAAUCCUUUGUACCACAUCGUUAAUUAAAUUGAUAUCUCAACUGUCCAAUUAAUUUAAUAACAUCUUAUUCCUUGAUCCUUACUGGUUUUCUCUAAUGAUCAUUUUCAACAUACUAAAUAUGUUGACACACUCUGGCCAGAGAAUUCUAUGAUCAAGUGCCGAAAACCCAUCAAGAGAUGUGUUGUACAAAUUCUAUAUUGUUAAUCCAUAACUCCAAUACUCAUAAUUGCUCCCACCAAGAUACCGGGUAAUCUUGACCACAAGGAUGUGUCGUGCCCAUUGGUAACUCAAAUGGAAUAAAAAUUACAAUCAUGAAAUCAUAAUUAACUCAAGAUUAAGAUUACAGUAAAAUCAACGCCUAUGAGAUUUAAUAAGUCUGACAGUUAUUACAAAGUUAAUUAAAUCUCAUAUGUGAUCAUGUUCAAUGUAGUCGUACUACAUCAAUAAAUUCAUACAUGAUUAAGACAAAUCAUUCAAUGAAUUUAUUACAGUCUAUACCUAAAUAAAGUGCCCAACUUUAUUUAUCAACUGCGAACUAAAUUUAUUUAAUCAUAAGAUAACUUGUAUUUAUGUCUUCUGUGAAUCCACAUGGUGAUCACAUAAAUACAUACAAUAUGAUUAAAUGGACUUUAAUACAAAUAUUAAUGCAAUUAAGAUAUUUGAAUAAAAUACCUCAUCUAUUUUAUUAAUCAGAAAAAUUGUUUAUUACAAUUAAAUAAACACAUAUGCUUUUAAAGAGCAUAUUUUCCCAACAACAACUGCAUCUACGGACUCGUUGAUGUCGGGCCAGUAGUAGGUCCAUGCCACUAUUACUCCAUUAGGUUUUUUGAGUACCCAUUUUACUUGUUUGUAAAAUUGAGGCAAGUCAAACCAAUGUAGUGAUGUAGCAAUUGUCACUAGAUCUACACUUGAUUGUGUUGCCACAUUUUGUUCAAGCUCAGUUAUGGACAUGGUUGGAGGAGUAAGUUGAUACCGAAUGUUGGGGAGCUUUAUUGCGAAUUCUAGCUGCUUUGGGCUUGUGUCUGUAGCAAUGACAUUCUUGUAGAUUGGUGCAAGCUGAAGACAUAUAAUUGAGAAAAAAUAUAAAAUAUAGGAGGCUAUAACAAAAGUACACAAAAUUGAGAAGGCCAUAUAUAAAAAUUACAUAGACAUGGUGAAAUUUCAACCCAUACUCAGUUUUUUUGUUUUUUUUGUUUUCAUCCUCAAGGUUGCCGGGAUACUCUAGUUCCCCCCUUGGUAGUUGGAUAAGAUUUUUCUGUACUCGUCUCACGACUAAAUUUCCAGAUAAUGUGGAUAUUGAUUUGUAGAUAAUACAUACAUAAUUAAUCAAUGAAAAUAAUAGGGAUUUAACUAGGGAUUGGCAAUGGGAGGAGAUCGACAUUUCUGUAUCUAUUUCUGAUACUCUACUUGUAUCCUUGUACUCUCCCCGUCCUUUUUAAAAUUGCUUGAGGAUAGGGAUGGGGAUCUCCAAAGACACCCGAUCCCGAACAACUGAUUUUUGAACUUGAUUUAAUCAUAUUAAAGUAAAAAAAUAAAUCAUUUAACAACAUAAACACAUCAAAACAAAGUAAAAUCAUUAAAAUCAUUUUCAUCAAACUAAUUAAGUUAAUGUCAUCAAAAUUACAAGAUAAUCUAUGAAAUUAAGUAAAAAUAGAACUUCAGGGUUGAACACAUACAUUAAAGUCACAUGGUAUAAAUCAUUAAGAAAAUUAUCUUCAUCAAUCUUCAAGUGUUCAUAUCUAUUAUGAUAUUUUUUUUAUUUAUAUCCAUACCAUCACAAUUUAAAUUUUAAAUAUAAUUACUAAAAAUUUUGACAGAAAUAAAAUAAAAUAAAAAUUAAAAAUAAAAAUUAAAAAUGGGGAAACGAGAGAGACGAGGAAUUCACUGAAUCCCCAUCUUCUCCCUAUAUAAGAUAUUGAGUGUUAAGUUAUCUCUGUUCGUUCCCCGAAUUUUAAUUAAGAUAUAAAAUUGUUCCCACACCCUACACAAAUGGGAAAAAUCCUUCAAGACUCGUCCCAUGAGAAUUUCUGCUAUCCCUGAAUUUAACAGUUAUAUAAUUCAACUUUCUUAUAGCUUGGGAUCAGAAUUCUGAAAUAUUAAUAUGGAACUUUUGUAUUAUUCAAAAAUAAAAUCUAAAGAUGUGAAAAGUAAACUUACGGAUGCAGCGGCCUGCCCGCUUCCGGUGCCGACGUCCCAUGCAAGCUCGUUUUUGGGUGUUUUAGAGGCAAUGAAUUUGAACAAUUCUUCUGGAUAAUUUGGUCGUGCUUCCGCGUAUUGCUUUGCCUGCUUAACGAACAUAUCUGCCAUCUUUUCUGUUUUUUUCUAAAUAAGUGUUGACAAUAGAAUUGAGAUAAAUCUACUGAUCACUUGUUUCGUUUCUUCUUUAUAUAGGUUUUAGAAUUUGAUGUAGUAGACGAACAGACAAAUUUUAGUUAGAAAUUAAUUUGGUAUGGUUUAUCUGGGGAAGCCCAGAACGAGGACAAGCUCAUAAAGCGUUAAAUUUUGACCGAACUUUUCAUUCUUCCUUUAAUUUUCAAAGAUUCCCUUUUCUUCGCAAAGAUGAUGGUAUGGACUUCAUCAAUGAGCCCACAUCAACUCUACUUAGAGAAUUUUUUUUGGGAUAAUUUUGUCAUUAAUUUAAGCUGUUAAAGGUAUCUAUAGAAGUAUUGAACUACUACUUUGCUCUCUUAUGGGGUUAAGAUGGCGGAGUUUAAAGGCAGAUUCACCUCCUGACCAUUAGGAGUUCAAGCUUCCAAUGGAGAAAAUAAUUUAAAAAAAAGUAAUGAGAUAAUUGUUUGAAUUAUUAAUUAGAACCAUUAAAUUUAUUAAAAUAAUUGUGUUAAAUUUAUAAAAAUAGGUCCAUAAAUUCAUAAACCUAUAAAAUUUAAAUUUUGACUUUGAAACAUAUAAAAGCUCAUACUUUAAUUAAAAAAAUAAAUGUUUACAGUAGUCAAAUUUAUUAUUAUUUAAUUUAGCCCUAUUAAAUUUACUAAAGUACCUCCACAAACUCAUUAAUCUAUAAAAUUUUAGUAUUGAUUACAUUUUGUUAUUAUGUAAUUCAAUCCUCUGAAUUCGCUACUAUUUAGAAUUGGCUCUCUAUUAUUACUCGAUCUAGUCCAAGUUCAAUCAAAGUUGGCUCUCUAUUAUUACUCGUUCUAGUCCAAGUUCAAUCAAAGUUGGCUGUCUAUCAUUGACAGUUCUCGUUCAGGUUCAAUGAAAGAGAUCAAAGCAGAGUUUGUUUGCGAUUCAGUUUGUGUAAAUGCAUGUAGGUCCAGGUUGUCUUAUUUUGUGGUUCACUGGUGUAAAGAAUUUAAAAAGUAAUUGGAUAAGAGGAUGCGUCUUGGAUGAUGAAAUGAAGCAAUGACACAUCUUCAUGUGCAGUUUUUACGACGUGCACUCGGUAUGAUUAUGAAUAAUGAUAUAUGCAUAGAAAAUAAUACAAAAUUUAAUAAAAAUUAUAUAAAAAUAAAAAAUUAUUAUCCCGUGGUGUAUUUUUUAUCCUGUAAUUAAUUUUGUUUGUCUUUUAAUAUUGUGUGCUUUUAUAUUAUUUUUUGACACGUGUCAUUCAUUGUUUCACUACUAUUACCAUGCUCCUAAAAACCUUACUUUUUUUUUUUUCGGAAGAUGCCGCAUUUGCUUGAUUUCAACAUUGGCAUGCUCGUCCUUCUUACGCUUUUGUCUUUCUAUAAUCAUCAUAUUCAAUGGCAAAAUUUCAACAAGAUAGAGCAACAUUCAACAAAGAUAAGUCUUCUUAUUGGAUUAGGUAUAGAUUUUUAAUUAAUUCGUAAUGGAAAUUGGUGGCUAUCCACUAUCAGCUUAGACCAAUUUAACUAGCUAUAGUUAAUUAGCUAAGUUAUUUGGGUGAGCAAAGUCAGCUAGUAGUAAAGCUCGGAAAAUCACCUAAUUAAAAUUGAAACAGGACCAUCAAAUACACACAGUUUGCUUUGAUUGGCCAUUCAACAAAACAUCUGAAGAGAUUGGAUGGCUAAAGAGCUAAUUAUGUCAAUCAAGCGUGGGUGUUCUGAUCAUGACGUGCCCUAAGGCUUGGCUUCGUUUUGAUUGGCUAAUGGAUCCUAUGAAUAGAGAGCACUGCUCUUCGUGAUUUGUAUCCUAAAUUGAAACCUUAUUACAAAAAUAUCACCUUCCUUUGUAUCAUGUAUUUAUUAAUUUAUACUUUCUACAUAUAUGUUGUCAAUUAUUAUAACACGUUAUUAGUUAGCAUGGCAAUCAUUUUGGUACAGGAAGUAUCUUAUCCCCUGCUCUUUUAUUUUAUCUAUUUAAUUAAUAAAGCUAUCUUUAUAAAUAUACUCUAAAGUUGUCAUUAAUUUGGAUCUUCCACAUAAAAAAAUAUGACUAGCUAUUGUAUUUCUUCUUAUUUAUUUUAUUUAUUUUUAAUUUUUUUAUAAUAGAGGGACUCUACAAUGAGCUAAGGUAAAACAUAUCGGGAGUAAGCAAUCCCAUACAAAUCAUUUGCAAUAAAACUAACAACCCCCGGAGGAGGAAUAGAAAAAAGAUGCAAUCCCAAGGGCAGCUCCAAGGCAUAAUUUGCUAAGAAGUCCGCUGCGAAAUUUGCUUCACGAUAUAUGUGGUUGAUGGUUAUAACCCAAUUCCGCUUGAUGAGAUCUCUAAUGGAGUGGAUGAGGUGGGUAUACUCGUUGAUGCUCUCCGUGUGGCUGUUAACCAUCUGAACAACAUAGUAGCUAUCCACUUCCACGUGUAAAAACCGAACACCAUGUUGCCAUGCUAAAAUUAACCCUCGGCAAAAGCCCAAAGUUCUGCUGCAAUAACUGAACAGACGCCUAUGUUGAAGCCAAAGCUAGUGAGCCACAUGCCUUGGUGGUUGUGUAUGAGACCUCCAGCACUUGAUGCCCCCAACUCUUUUCUUGCUCCGUUUGUGUUUAGCUUGCACCAGGGCCAUUUAGGUAACUUCCAGGUGAUCCAUCUCUCAAUUUUCCUGGUCUCAACAACCAAAGAUGAGUUGUUGAUGUUCUGAAUCUCCUCAACUCUAGCUUUAAUAUCUUGUAUUAUACUAAUACUGUCCAUAUUCCGUUGAUGGAAUAGGAAUUGACUCCCGCAGAACCACAAACGCCAAAUAGUAAGUCCAAAGAAAAUAUUUCAUUCAAUACUCGAGUCCAUUUGCCCUUUGCUUAGUAAAUUCUGACACAGCCAUUCUUUUAGAUCAGUCCUGAAAAACCAAGGACAAAAGCUCCCAGGAAUUAAGCGAUUUCAAAACGUUUUCGCGACCACACAGUCUCAAAUCACAUGUAUGGUAUUCUCAAGAGUUGAGCCACAUCGAUCACACCAACCGUCCACCAGCAAAUGACGCCUUGACAAUUCAAACCUUGUUUUUAGUGUAUCAUGCAACACCAACUAGAUGAAAAAACAAAUGCUCUGGGGGCCUUGCCAACUCCAUGCAAGACUCCAUAGCUUCUCCUCGUCACUUAAAAUGGUCUUUGAUAGAGCAUGGUAAGUUGACUUCACAAUAAAACACCCCUUUGCUGAUUCAGCCCAGAAAACUUGGUCUGCACCAUCAUCUGCCAAAGGAGGCUUGUAGGAAGCAAUCCUCAAAAGAAUAUUAUGUGGUAAUAAGAAACUAAAACUCUCCCAUAGCCAAUUUCCAGCAUUGUCAACAAAGUCCAUUGCUUUCCUAUUUACUAAAUGGUCCGGAACUGGAGCAAUCUCAUAAUUAAUCCGGGGUUGAUUUUUAGUUACCCAACAAUCCCACCAAAAACGAACCGUUUUACCAUUCCCAACAUUCCACCGAAUCCCCCUCUUCACAGCAUGCCAAAUUUUCCCAGAGUAAGAACCAUAUCUGGUUGGCAACUCAUAUGGUAAAAUUUUCGGGUUCACUCCAUAUUUCAUAAGCAACACUUGUGACCACAGACUUUUUGGAUUGACAGCAAGGUUUCAGCCCACUUUCAUCAACAAAGCUUGAUUCAUUACGUCCAUGUUCUUAAAACCCAAGCCACCACAACUUUUUGGACGACAAAUCAUCCCCCAACUAACAAGGCUCAUCUUCCUUUGAUUAUUAGCAUCGCUCCACAUAAAUUUCCUGCAAGCUUGUUCAAUUUUACUUUUAACACUAGCCGGCAAAUUCGUAGUUUGCAUUGCAUAGAUCGGAAUAGUCUUCAGCACUGACUGGACAAGAGUUGCUCUUUCUGCUAAAGAUAAAUGAUUGGCAUUCCACCAGAGAGGCGUUGCUCAACCUUGUCAAUAAUGCUCUGAUAAGCCCGCUUUGAGACUCUAGAAUGUAGGAGAGGCAUUCCUAGAUAAGUUCCCAGAUCUUUUAUUACUGAAAACCCAAGCAGUUCACCUAUCUGUUUAGCCUCAUUUGCUUUAACAUUCUUGGAGAAAAAAAUUUAAGUUUUAUCCUUGCUGACCUUGGCACCUGAGCUUGCAUAGAAAGCAUCAAGGAAAGACCAAAUAAAUCUAGCUUGAUCACAAGUUGCCUCAGCAAGUAGGAGAAGAUCAUCACAAAAAAAAAAGAUGGGUGAUAGGGGUCCCAUUUCGAACCAGUCACAUUGGUCUCUGAUCUCCCAUAUUUACAGCAUGAGCAAUGCCAUGGCUGAGUCUCUCAAUGCACAAAACAAAUAUAUAUGGGGAAAUAGGAUUCCCCUACCUAAUUCCUCUAGAUGGCACAAAAUUCUUGGUUAUCUCCCCCUCCCAUAAAACAUUCAUCUGAACUUGAGUAAUACAAUCCAUGAUUAGUUGAACCAAGUCAGAAGGAAUUACAACCUCUAGGAGCGUGUCAUGGAUGAAACUCCAAGUGAGCUUGUCAUAGGCCUUUUCAAGUCCACUUUAAUUGUCAUUUGCCCCCUCCUACCAAUUUUUCACCGCAUGGAGUGAAUCACCUCCUGAGCAAUAACAAUAUUCUCUGUUAUAUGACGCCCUGGGACAAAACUUGUUUGUUGAGGACCAACAAAAUGAGGUAGGAUCGUUUUUAGCUUGUUGGCAAUCAUCUUGGUGAUUGUCUUAUAAACUAAUGUACAUAAGCUAAUGGGGCGAUACAUUUUUGAAGUCUGAUGAUGAUCAUUCUUAGGAAUCAGAACUAAUAGUGUCCUAUUAAUCUCUGGGGGAACUUUGCCUUGACUGAAGAUGCUCUUAAUAAAAUGACAAAAGGAAGGCCCAACCACCCCCCACUGAGACUAGUAAAAAAUGGCAUGCAAACCAUCAAUCCUUAAGGCUUUUAAGGGCUUCAUACUAAAAAUAGUGCUUUUAAUCUCAGCUUCAUCUAAAGGCCCUUGUAAAAAAGACAAACUUUCUGCAUCUAUCACUGGAAAACAGCCCCGAAUAUGGUAUUGCUGAGACGGGAUGUUAUCCUCAAAGUAUAACUUGGAAAAAAAAAUGUACAAUAUGGCAUUUGAUAGCUUCAACUUCAUACAACUAUUUCCCAUUCUCAUCUUUAAUAGCCAUGAUCUUGUUUCUCCUUCUUCUAGUCAGUGUCUUCUGGUGAAAGAAAGCUGUCUUUCUAUCGCCGUGCAUAAUCCAAUCUUUUCUAAACUUUUGCUUCCAAAUAGCUCUUCUUGAGUAAGAACUACUUCAAGUUCUCUUUUCAAUUUUAAUUCAAGCCAAAUGAGACCCUUUGUAGUAUAGUCCUUAAGAGCUUUUUUAAUACCACCAAUGUGAGCCAUAGGUCUUCUUUACCUUUAGAAGAUAUUACCAAAAGAAUUUAUGUUCCAGUGUGAGACAUUGCGAGUGAAAGAAAAGGCCGAUUGGAGGUAGGGUUCUAUAGGAUUCCAAUUCGAAGCAACAAAAUUAUCAAAAUCUUUGUGUGUGAGCAAAGCCGCCAAGAAUCAAAAUGGUCUCUGCCCCUGACCUCGUCGCUCUUCUUUAUCAAAACGAACUGAUACCGGUCUAUGGUCUGACUGAAUUUUCGGUAAAUGAAGCACAAAGCUAUUUACAAAUUUAUUCAGUCAAUCCUCAUUGCACAUUGCCCUAUCUAGCCGUUUGAAGAGAGCCCUACGAGACCAAGUGAAUCUAGGACCCGUAAACUGAAGGUCAUAUAAAUGUUGGGUGCAAGCGGAAGUGCAGAAAAUUUUUUAUUUAAGAACAGAGUAUUUUGCUGGAAAUUUCUGAAACUUUAUUGCUUAAUUCAUUUUUUCGUUUCUCUCUUACUUUUCAUACAACCAGAGUUCUAUAUUUAUAUGCAUUAUAGACAACUCUAGAGAUUACAUUAAUCAUGCUUUACAUUUCCAAAGCUACAUUGCAAACAUCAAUUCUACCCUUUACUUCAUGUUGAAAAACAAACCAAAUAACCCUUCAAACUUCUUGCUCAAUUUACUAGAUUACUAAUUAUAUCUCAACACCCCCUCUUAAUUAGUAAUCUUCAAUUGCUUCUUGAAUUUUUCAAACUUCUCAAUGUUGAUUGCUUUGGUCAGAAAAUCUGCUGGCUGCUCAUUAGUGCUGAUAAACUCCAUAUUAACUUCUCCUUUGCUUACUAAGUCACGGAUGUAGUGAUAACGCAGCUCAAUGUGCUUAGAUUUAGCAUGAAAUACGGGGUUUUUUGUUAGAGCAAUGGCUGACAUGUUGUCACAAUAAAUUAUUGUUGCAGCAUCUUGAUUGAACUGCAAAUCCUUGAGAAUUCUUCUAAGCCAAACGGCUUCACAAGCUGAUUCAGUUGCUGCAAUGUACUCUGCCUCCGCUGAGGAUAAAGCUACUGACUUCUGCUUCCUUGAGCUCCAUGAAAUCACAUUUGUACCAAGACAAAAUAAAUAACCUGAUGUGCUUUUUCUGUCAUCAAGGGAACCAGCCCAGUCACUGUCAGUAAAACCAACAAGCUUGCAAUUGUCUUCUUUUUCAUACAUGAUCCCCUGCUUUUUUGUUCCUUGAAGAUACCUUAAGAUUCUCUUUGCUGCAAUAUAAUGGGACUUCCUUGGAUCAUUCAUAAAUCUAGAAAGAACACUAACUGAGUGCAAAAUGUCAGGUCUUGAGUUGGUUAGAUAAAUCAAUGAACCAACCAAGCUUCUAUAGAUUCUUGCGUCAGCCUUUUCUUCUUUUUCAUCAUGUUUCAAUUUUUCAUUCAAACCCAUAGGAGUAGGUGCUGGUUUGCAUUUGAACAUGUGGAAUUUCUUCAACAAAUCUUCUACGUAUUUUUCUUGACAAAAGAAGAUUUUUCCUCUGGCUUGCUUCACUUGAAUGCCAAGAAAAUACUUCAUUAAGCCCAAGUCAGUCAUCUCAAAUUCAUCUAGCAUGCUUUUUUUAAACUCUUCCACCAUUUUCAAAUUAGCGCCACAAUAAAUUAGAUCAUCAACAUAAAGGCAAACAAUAAGGAAAUCAGUACCUUCCUUUUUGACAUAAAGAGAAGGUUCACUUGAGCUUCUGUCAAAUCCAUUUUUAACAAAAUAUCUAUCAAUUCUACUAUUCCAUGCUCGAGGGGCUUGCUUCAAGCCAUACAAGGCUUUUCGGAGUCGAUAAACUUUGUUUUCUUCACCUUUUACUUCAUAUCCUUUAGGCUGCUCAACAUAAACCUCUUCUUCAAUUUCACCAUUUAGAAAUGCCGAUUUACAUCUAGCUGAAACACAUUUAAUUCCAUUUGGGCUGCCAGGGCAAGAACAGUUCGAAUAGUCUCCAUUCGAGCUACGGGAGCAAACGUUUCUGUAAAAUCAACUCCAGGCAGCUGAGAGUAUCCUUUGGCAACGAGCCGCGCCUUAUAUUUUUGAAUUGAACCAUCUUCAUUGUACUUGAUUUUGAAGAUCCAUUUCAGCCCAAUUGUUUCUUUUCCAUUUGGAAAAUUAACCAUCUCCCAAGUUUUAUUUUUCACAAUGGUGGCCAUUUCCUCGUUCAUUGCUUUGAUCCAAUCUUCAUUUCUUGAGGCCUCCUCAAAGUCUUGAGGCUCACAAGAAAAUAAAGCAAGUUCACAUGACUCAUAAAUUUCUCUCAUUGACUUUAUCUUCCUUGGAGGGCUUUCAUCAUCCGAAGAACUUUCUGCUGCUGAAUUUGGAGAAUUUGGUUCCAAAUUAUUUUGCUGUGAAGAAUUUGGUGGAGAUACAGGAGCUUCAAAAAAGCUAGAUGCCUGAGAUUGAUUGUUUUCCCACUGCCAAGCUGAUGCCUCAUCAAAUACAACAUCUCUUGAGAUAACAAGCUUAUUUGUUGUAGGAUUCAACAACCGAUACCCUUUAGACUCAUCACUAUAGCCAAUAAACAAAUAUUUUUCUCCUUUUCCAUCAAACUUCUCCCUGUUUUGAGCUGGAAUAAGAGCAUAAGCAAUACUCCCAAAAAUCUUCAAGUGAUCAACAGUUGGCUUUCGGUUGUGCCAAGCUUCAAAUGGAGUUUUGUCUCUAACAGCUUUUGUAGGAGACCUGUUGAGGAUGUACAUAGCUGUAUGACAUGCUUCUGCCCAUAAGUUGUUAGGAAUGCCUUUGCCUUUUAACAUGCUUCUUGCCAUCUCUACAAUGGUACGGUUCUUUCGUUCUGCGACUCCGUUUUGUUGCGGACUUCGGCUGACAGUAAGUUGUCUUUGAAUUCCAUUAUCCCUGCAAUAAUUCAUGAAUGGAGUGUAGAUAAAUUCACCACCACGAUCAGUUCUCAAGGUCUUCAUUUUGCAUCCACUUUGCCUUUCUGCAAGAGCUUUAAACUGAAGAAAAGUUGAGAAAGCUUCUGAUUUUUCAUUCAAAAAAUAAAUCCACAUCAUCCUUGUAUAGUCAUCAACAAAAAGAAUGAAAUAUCUCCUGUUAUUGAGAGAGAGAGUCCUUGUAGGACCACAAAUAUCAGCAUGCACCAACUCCAACGGAGCUUUGGCUCUCCAUGAAUUUUUAGGAAAUGGAAGUCUAUGCAUUUUUCCAUAUAUACAGCCCUCGCAAACUUUUUCAUAUCUUCCAACAUCAGGUAAGCCAAUCACCAUGUUCUUUUGCUUGAGCAAAUUCAGCCCUUUAUAGUUUAAAUGGCCAUAUCUAAGAUGUCAUAAAUUUGACAAAUCUGAAUUUUCAGUUUUGAGAGCAACAUUCUCAUCAAGUGGCAUAACAAGAGGAAAAACUUUGUUCUUUGACAUUUCAACAACGGCCACUGUGUGAUUAUUAGUUUUAUCAAUAAUUUUGCAUUUUUCAUCAUCAAAAUAAAUUGAAAAACCCUUUUGAAUUAGCUGCCCCACACUCAAGAGGUUUUGAGUUAAAUUUGGAACAUAAAGAACGUCAGAAAUGAGCUUUUUGUUACCUCCCUUUGUAUGGACAGCAAUAGUGCCUUUUCCCACAGCUUUCUGCAUCUUUCCAUCUCCAAGCUUCACUUGCGAAUUAAAACUUUGGUCAAGGCUGAUGAAAAUUUCACGUUCUCCAGUCAUGUGGUUGCUGCAGCCGCUAUCCAAGUACCACAAAUUAUAUGAUUCAUGUUCAGCACCUUUACUUGAAUAAAACAAGUAAUCUCCAUCACAUUCUUUUGUAAAAUUUGCCUUAUUUUUGCCUUUCUUAUUUUGAUACCAGCAAUCCCUUUGAGAAUGGUUAGGAAUGCGACGCCUUGUGCAUUUAUAACGACAAUCUUUUGAUUCAUAAUUAGACCGAUUACAAAUGAUGCACUGAGAAUCUGAAUUUUGCUGUGAAUUCCCUCUGUCAUUUUUCCACUUGUUGCGGUUGUCGUUAUGUUCUCUUUGCCCUUUGCCACGCUGUCCGUUUCUUUGAGACGAGCCUCCAUUCUUCUGGUCUUUUUUGCUGCUUUUAUUCUGAUCUGAAAAGCUUGCUCUGUAGGCUGACUUGAAGGUCGAUUGAUUCUUUGCUCAUGAGACCGUAAUGAUCCUGACAAAUCUGAAAAAGUCAUCUUAGACAAAUCCCUUGAUUCUUCAAUGGCUGCUGCUACAUGAUCAAACUUUGGAGGAAGACAUCUCAGCACCUUUUCAUUCACCUUCUUGUCUUCAAUGGAGUCCCCGCAACCUUUAAUCUGGUUCACAAUCUCAGUAACUCUACUGCAAAAAUCUUGAACUCCUUCACUGUCUUUCAUUGAUAAAUUAUCGAACUCUUUCCACAAAGUCUGUAACUUGAUGGUGACUGCCUUUUCGGAACCUUGAAAUUCUUGUUUUAGGAUUUCCCAAGCAUUUUUGGCCUUUUUGACACCAAAUAUUCUGGGGAAAAUUGACUUACUAACACCUUGCUGGAUAUAUCGAAGUGUCGUGGCAUUUCUCUGUAUGUUUUCUUUGUACUGCUGUUGAUGUGCUGGAGUCCAAUCUGAAGAACUUGCUGAUUCUGGUGGUUCAGCAUAUCCAUCUUCAACAACAUCCCAUAAAUUCUGAGAGAGGAAAAAGGUUUCCAUUUGAUUACUCCAAUAUUCAUAAUGUACCCCUUCAAAUAUUGGAACUUGACUGGGAGCAUAUGAAAAUAAUGUGGGUAGGGUAUUUGAUGUCAUUUUGAGGGUGUUUUGGAAAAGCUCUGAUACCAAAUUUGUUGGGUGCAAGCGGAAGUGCAGAAAAUUUUUUAUUUAAGAACAGAGUAUUUUGCUGGAAAUUUCUGAAACUUUAUUGCUUAAUUCAUUUUUUCGUUUCUCUCUUACUUUGCAUACAACCAGAGUUCUAUAUUUAUAAGCAUUAUAGACAACUCUAGAGAUUACAUUAAUCAUGCUUUACAUUUCCAAAGCUACAUUGCAAACAUCAAUUCUACCCUUUACUUCAUGUUGAAAAACAAACCAAAUAACCCUUCAAACUUCUUGCUCAAUUUACUAGAUUACUAAUUAUAUCUCAACAAUAAAUUGCUUGAUUGGAACUAGUUUAAAAAACUCCUACAAAUCCCACUUCUAUGUAAGGAGCCACCUUUCUUUUUCGAAGUAUAAAGGAUAGCAUUGAAAUCACCAAUGAUGAGCUAAGGUCCGCGAGUGCUGUUGGCUAGUCUUCCACGAUAGUCCCAAAGGUUUUGUCUAUUAGUUUGAACAGGGCUUGCAUAAACAGCAGUCACCCAUGACAAAAAGCCACCAUUGUUAAACAUUCGAAAAUGAAUGAAUUGCUUGUGAUUUAAAGACACUUCGACCUCCAAGAAGUCUCUCCACAAAAGCCAGAUUCCCCUAGAGAAACAAAUUGCUCCCACCAUGUGGGACUUGACAAAACCACUUUUCUUGAUGAAACCAUCCGCUCUUAUCCCACUAAUUCUCAGUUCCAUAGAACAACCAUGGCCGAUUAUAAGUCUUUGUCAGAGACACAAAAGCACUGUGAAAUUUUAGUGAGCCAGCCCCUUGGGCAUUCUAAAACAUUAUAGAAAUAAGCAUUAAAAAAAAUAGAUAAAGAUAAAAGGGAGAGAUAGGGAGCCUUACUCAACCAAGGUCUCAUAACCCAACUCCAUAUCCUUCUCAUCUUCUAGAGAAAUAUCAUCCUCUGAAGAAUCAAUACCCUUACCACUGUCUCCCAUAUAGUCACUGUCAUCCUCAUCAUAAUCUAAAGUCAUUGUUCCUACCAUAAUCAAGAGGUUCAUCUUGGGCUUUGGCAAGCUGACCGUUAUCACCACCCACAAAGAAUCCAUGUUGAGGCUCAGCCAGGGUGGGGUUUGUGGAAUUUGUGGGACAAGCAUGUGUGCCCUUUUGAUUUUAAAAAAAAAAUGGCGGUAUGGAAUAGGGGGUUUAAGCUAGUUGAUACGAAAAUAGGUUAUGGGUUCAUUGCAACAUGUGCAUGAGUUUUGCUUGAAUUACGUACACUUUGCGUGGUUUUUGUGUUGGUGGACUAGAACAUGUAUGUCACUUAAAUACGAUCCCUCACGUGACAAUAACUCUGGGCUGGAACAAGUUUGUUUUGGUGUAAAAGUAUAAACUAUAAUAUUUAUUAUAUUUUGAGAUAAAUUAUAUAAUUUAUUUGUUAUCAAUACAUUUUAGUCUUCAAUUUUCAUUCUAAAAAAUUAUUACUUUUUUAUUGCUGAGUUUUAGAAUUCAUGACGGAUCUAGGGCAUAUUUAGAUUUUUUUUUUUCAAAUUUGGAGCAGAUAUAGUUUUUUUUUUUUUUGAUCUAGAUAUAAAGCGAAAAAUAUGGAUUCAUGACGGAUUUGGAACAGAUACGAAUCUUGAUUUUUAUUAUGGAUCUAGAUCUGAAGCAGAGUACAUCCAACCCAUAUCUGUCCCAUUGCCAUCCCUAGUUUUAUCGUUUUCGAAGCUUGCUUCUUUUGUUUUGUUUCAACUCUAAGGUUAUACUUGGCUGGCCCUUGUUUGUUUGAGCUCGGAUUAGUAGGUUCUAUGUUUGUGGCAUUAUUGGAAUCUCCUUCCUCAAAGUUCGCUAACACUGCAAAACGAGAAUCCUUUCCAUAAUUGCUCCGUUGACCUUGCCGACCUUGCCCCGAAUCCUGCUGAAAUUCAUUUCCUUCUGCAAGCGAUCCUUACCCUUUCUGGUGACCACCAUCGAAGGGCCAAAUUUAGGAUAACCACCGGGAGCUAAAGCAUCACCCUUUUCUGCCAUCGCAUCCACCCUGUCACUAGGGAUGGCAAUGGGGAGGGGAGGGGAGGGGACCAAUCUCCCCGUACCCAUCCCCGAUAUUUUGCAUAUGUCCCCGUCCCCUCUCCAUCCCCGUAAAUUUUUUUUAAGAGAAUCUUCAUCCCCUCCCCGAAUAAUAAUAGGGGAUCCCCGAUCCCCGAAUAACUAAUACAUUUUUUUUGUUUUCGAUUUUGACUUAAUCAUAUUAAAAUAAAAAAUUCAAAUAAAAGUAAAGUUCGAAAUAUAUCUUACAUUAAUAUCCAUUACAAAAGUCACAUACAUUAAAUUAGUAAGUAACGCAGCAUGCAAGGGAUACAAAUUAUCAUGAACAAAUUAAUAGCCUAAUACAAAAUUGUUACAAAUAAAAUCAAAUUUAGAUUCAAAAUUAAAUGUGGACUAUUUCCUUUACAGCACAGUAGUUAAGUCGAAGCAAAUCAAGAGCAAAUAUUAGAUUAGAUUAGAUAUUAAAAUUAUGAUUUGCUGUGGGCAAUUAUAACAUCUAAAAAUAAAUAAAAAAUAGAUUUAAGAUAAAUAAAAAAUAGAUUUAAGUUUAAAAUAUUUAAUGAAUAUUAAAAUUAAAACAAAAGUUUUGGGCUAAUAAAAUCUGUCUGGUCUUUUUAAUGUCCUAAAUAAAAAUUUAGGACUUUAAUUAGUUAAUUAGGCCUAAAAGUUUAAUAAUAUAAAUAUUUUGAUAUUUUUUAUUUUUACCAAUACUUAUAAUUUUAUAAUUCAAAUUUUAUUAUUUAUUUACUAGUAAUUUUAAAAAAAUAAAAAUUAAAAUGGGGAAAUGGGUAGGGGAUGGGGAUUUCACCUCAUCCCCAUCCCCUCCCCGAAUAAGAAAUUGGGUAAAAAAAUUUUCCCGUCCCUUCCCCGAAUAAGAAAUUGGGUAUGAAGUUAUCCCCAUACACUCCCCAAAUGGAGAAAAUCCCCGAGGGUACCCGUCCCCAUGGGGAUUUUUGCCAUCCCUACCUGUCACCGCUAAUAUCAUGAUCCAAAUCUUCCGUUGCGCGGUCAGGACAUAGCUCACUGGUAUGCCCAUAUUUUCCACAAGUGAAACAUAUAUGGAGAAGACAUUUAUACACUUUUUGAACUUUGCCAUCUAGUACGAAUUGAGAUACAAUAGGCUUGUUAAGUGCUAUAACAACCGCAAUACAUGCAAACUUACCCCCCACGGUUGAUUCAGUAUUGUAGUCUAUUCGAACGACUGUUCCAAUAAUCUAACCAAGCAUCCGAAGGAUUCUUUUGUGGUAGUAACACAUAGUGGCGGACCUACAGCUGGGCUAGACCGGGCUAGUCUAGAAAAUAUCAUUUAAACCCCUUGUCUUUAGAUUAAUUCUAUAUAAGAAUAGAGUUUUUACUUUAUUUUUAUAUAAGUCCUUAAUUCAGUUGCUUUUAUGUUUUCAUCAAAUUUCAUAAAACAAUAGAGUUUUUACUUUAUUUUUAAAUAUAUCCCUAAUUCAAUUAUAUUUUUCUAUUAGUGGCUUAUUUUAUAAAAUGAUUAAAUUAUAUACUUAUUGAAUAGAUUGAAAACAUUAGGGGUCUAAAAUGUUAUUACUACUUUAAUUUGUUUUUAAAAUUUUAAUUUAAAAAAGUAUGUCAAUGUAAUAUAACAUUGUCACUAGUAUUAAAAAUAGUAAAAAGAUAUAUAAUAAAAAUUAUUAACAAUUUCAUAAAAUUUUUAUGUGAAUAUUGAGAUUUUAUUUAUUAGUUACAUUAACUAAGAGGAUAAGUUAGAAAAUAAAAUUUGAGUAUUUUGAUAUGAUUUUUUAAAGUGAGUCAGAGUGUCUGGCAAAGAAAUAAUUACGCACAAAUACCUUUUUACUAGGUUAGAGUUUAGUUUAUUAUUGAAACUCUUGACAACUAAUAUUUUUAUAAUUUAAAAAGAUGAAUAAAUUUUAAUUGUUUAAUUUAUUUAAGCUUGGUAAUUAAGUACUUUUCAAACAUAAAGUUCUAUUUGCAAUAUUUUAAUUGAUUAUAAUUACAUGUAUUGAUUUAUUCAAACUUGAAAUUCUUAAUUGAUUUAUUAAUUCUUAUAUAAUUAGAUGUUACUAUAUGUUGCAAUGUUAGAUUCCAUAAUUAAAAAAUAGUAUUUUUAUAUUUGAAUUAUCUUUUGUUUUCUAGUCUUUUUGUAUACUUAUUUUUAUUUAAAGUACAUAUUUAUAGGGUUUUUUGUAUCCCCCUUAUUUGAUGUACUUUUUUUACUUAUAAAUGUUUAUGUUCACUCCAAAAUAUAAAAUUUUUAAUUUAGUCCGGGGUAAUAUAAAGUUCUGGGUCCACCCCUGGUAACACAGGGCUAUACCAGGAUGCCUGAUCCAUGCAAUAAUUGUAUUAAUUGACUCUGUAAAACUAUCAAAGUGAGGAGUCCAUGGCUGCAUGACUAGGUAGUGACCCAUGAUUGUCCAUGGUCCUUGAGUCAAAGCAAAAUCCGCAUCACCCUUUGAACGAAAUCGAACGAGGUAGUAACCGUUAUCCAAAUCAAUGACCGAGAAACCUAAAGCCGGCCUUUAAAGAUUUUCCAAUGUAUUACAUAGGACCUUGUAGCCUAUGUGAUGUCCUAGCAAUUUAACUAUCACUGAAUUCUGCCAAGGUUUUACGAGUUGCUCAUGGAUUAUUUUUGAGAAAGAGAUAGAUGGUAUGUUGCCACCAUCCCCUACAAUGAUAUCCUCUGAUCCAAAGACUAGAUCAUCCUCCCCACCAAUCAUCUCCUCUUCAUUCAUCUUCUCUGACUCCAUUAACUUAUCUCUAAAUGAAACGUGCUCAGGGUUGUCACUAUCGUCGCCUUGGGCUCUAAACUUGGCCUUCUUCGUAGCAUGGCCAUCAUUGAUUGGAAGGGUUAGGUCCUUCUCCAUCUCUCUACUUAUAGUAUCUUUCUAGCGUAUUUUGAGUUGUAAAAGGUUUAUUAUUUAUUUUAUAUUACUAAAGUUAAAAGCAAGGACCAAAUUGUACAAGACAAAAGCAGAAGUCAAGACCAAAGUGUACAAAACCAAGAUUGAAGCAUAAAAAAUUAUAAUUGGAUCCUUAAAGUAUCAAGACUGAAGCCUACUAAUUUGAAGCCACAUAUUUGAAUAUUCUAAAACCCCAGAAGAUAAAUUGAAGAUGACAAAUCCACUAAAGCAUGAAUUUGAAGCCUACAGUAUUUUUGGUAAAAAUUAUUUAUCUUGAAUUCUACCUCAGCAAUUAGAAGCCAUAUGUCUCAAUAAGUCACCUGGAAGCUAUGAGACUCAGUAACAUAAUCUAGCUCAUCUAACUGAAAGGAAGUCAUUGCUUGAAUUGAUAUGAAGUCUUAAUUGAAGACAAAAUUCCUCACUCAAUUAAAAUAAGUUUUAAUAGUAAUUUUUCAAAUUAACCCAUCAUCACAACUCUAGGCUUUACAAAAUGACAUCAUAAUUGAAGAUAUGUGGAAAGAAAAUUAUUGAUAAAGAAGACAUGCUCAACAUUUCAGGCUUUAAACAUGAUUUUGCAACAACAAUAUCAAGCUCGCUAACCUAAUAGGCACAAAACGCGCUAACCUUACAGGCACAAAGUUAGUUUUUGAAGAACAAUUUUAUCACAUAGACACAUGGUCAAAAUCAUUAUCAUGAUGAAGUUAUAGACAUGCUAAAAAUCGUGGUUACAAUUAUGAUUGAAGUCACAUUCCUGAAGAAAUCAAGCAUUGGCUGAUAUUAUGCAAAGACAAACUAGGUUGAUUGAGGGGAUGGCUCAAGGUGGUGGUCCUGCUCAGAAUGCUAGAGCCGGAGGGUAAGGUGCUGCUGCUAGAGGCAGAAUGGUGGCAACUUUAGAGCAAUUCCAAAAGUUGGGGCCACUUGUGUUUCGUGGGACAACUGACCCUAUGGCGGCUGUUGGUAUGAAUUCAAAUGUUAUUAGUGUCAAUGUGCAAGUAUACACAAUAAAUAAUAUAAUGAUGAGUAUUCGAGAUCGUCUCCACUGGGAUUGAUGUUAUCAGACUUGCUACAACAAUCUUAACAGCGUAGAUUUUAUUCUAAAUUAAGAUAAAACAAUUAAUGAAAUUAAUGAAACAAUUUUAUUCUAAAUUAAUAAAACAAUUAAGAUACAACAAUCAUGUCAAGCUCAAGGAUAAAACCGAUGGGAAUAUAGAGUAGUUAAGUGAAUAAACUCUCUUAAUGGUUUUGACUAUUUUUCUAAUGUUUGGCUCGGUUGCUACAACAUUUGCUACAGUACUGGGCAGCAUCCUUAUAUAUCCUCAGCAGUCGCAUGUUGGAUAUCUUAUAUCUAUAUGCAAUCUAAUAGUAAUUAGUUGUUAUGCCAACAUAAGAUAUAACAUUACACACUUAUGUUCUAUUUACCCUACAAGGUGAAUCCCUAUGUCUAGUUCAUCAUUAAUCUUAGAUUAAGCAUGGCCCUUUUGGGACUCAAGUAAAACUCAAUCUAGGAAACUCAAUCUAAAACCAAGUAUUGCUUUGAUAUGUUCCACUAAGAUAGGCUCUUUUGUGGCUCUUCCUUAGCUAAUAUCAUUAAAUGGGUGAUCAGCCGAAAUAAUGAAUAAAAAUAAAUACUAUCAAAACAAAAUGCUAAAGCAAACAUGCAGCAACUCAUUUUUUCAGUCAAUAAACCAUCAAGAUUGUUAAUCACUCAACUACAAAUAAAUUUAGUUCAUAAUUUGCAAAAGAAAAAUAAAAAACAAGGUUUCAGUCAUGAAACAUAUCCCAAUGAAUAAAAAGUAAACAAGAAAACAAGAGAAGAGUAAGAAAGACUGAGUUCCCGCUUGAUUUCUGCAAAUUCUCCUCUUCUACAACCCUCAAUCUUUCUCUUGAAUCAUGUUUUUCUUUUGUUUCUUUGUGAUUUUUCUCUUUGGGUGACGGCUCUCUCUAUUCAUUAUGAUGUGUGCUUCUUGUAUAGCUGAAAAUUAGGGUAAGCGGAAGCCUAGGGCGCACAUAAGUCAGACUAGAAAACUGCAUAUCGCAAUUCUGCAAGUAUCCCACGCAGAAUUCUCUCUGUCGUUGUUCUAGGAUUGCUACAGCAAUGGUUGCUAUGGCAACAGCUACAACAACUGCAUUGUUCCAGAUUUGUUUUAAUUCUUUUGUAGCCAAGUUCUUUUCUAUCUUUUGCAAGCCUAUUGCAUCAGCAUUCCUUCCUUGAAAUUUGGGCUUCCGGACACCUACAAUUAUGCAUAUGAUUUAGUACACAAAUUAUUCUAAAUCAAAUAAAAUUUAUUAUGAAUAAACUAAGAUGAAUGUUUAUGCAAAAUAUAACAAAAAUACAAUGGAAACACAUUAUUUACUCUCUAAGUAUUAUGGAUUUAAGUCUAAAAAUGCCAUGAUAACUCUUAUUUCAUAGAGUUAUCACACCCCCAAACUUAAACCAUUACUUGUCCUCAAGAAAUGACAACAACACUACACAAUCUUGCAAUAAUUAACUUAGCUCUAUCAUCAAAUUUGCAAGCAUUUUUCAACCCUCAGAUCACACUCUUAAUCACACAAAAUAGUCAUAGCAGUUCAGUUAUACACUUAGGCUUCAUUUUGUCCAAAAUGUGUGUGUGCCACUUUGAUCAAAUUCCAGAGGUGCUACAACAUUACAGAGACAUUGCAUAUAAUUCAAAGGUGGAACACAAAUAUAUUCACAUAUGAGGGAGCAUAAUUCACAAAUAAACUCAAAUUGUGCUACAACAAACAUAAUUAUUAUUUUUAGUUAAACCUUUCAAUGCAACAUUGAGCUUUCAUGUGAAUGCCUAUCACUUGUAAUGACGACACCCAAUUACUCACUCAAAGUACAUGUCAAAGUUGUUGCAGCAACACAUCCAGGAUGUCAUACCUAGGUCUUACCUUUGGCCGCCUUUGACUCAAGGCUGAACAUGAGGCUCAUGAAUAGACUAGGUUACUCAGUAUCCUAGGCAGCGGACCUCUUUAUUUUUCAUUCCUUCAUCACCAUUUUUUUUUUUUGUAAUUUUUUAUAUAUAAUUGUUGCAGCACUGCUAAUAGCUCUUAUUGCCUUUGGACUAAAGUCUACAUAUAGGGUGCAUACUCAACCCUGGUUACUCAGUAACUUAAACCAUUGGAGCAGAAUUUAUUUCAUAACAGGCACAGUCCAACAAAAAUUUUCCCCCAAACUUGAUAUAUUUUCUACUCUUUUUUGGUUUUCCUGGCUCUGCUAUAAUAUUCUCAUAAAACUCAACCAAAGUCUAAGUGUCAGGACAGAAUUCCAACCUCCAUCUAUAACUAUCUCUACUUGGCAUUCUCAUAAAUACUGAACAACAUUAAAUUUAUCUUCAUUAGGUUUUUAAAUCCAUACACAAAUAUUAGAUAAUAGAGCUUCACACAACACACAACACAAGCAUAAACACAUGCACUCAGAAACACAGCCCCCCCAAACUUGAGUGGUGUAGUGUCCUCACAAGCACACAAAACAAAACCACAUAAACCAGACAUGCAUACACUAAAUAAAAGAACAUGCAGAAUGAAUCAGAAAAUUAAAACUAAAUGAAAGAAAAAUUUGGCAAAAAGAAGUAAAAUAAACUAACGGGUAGGGGUACUCCCCUAUUGCUGGAAGCACUGCUACAACAUAGGCUGUAAAGGAUCACUUCUUCUUUGAUCCACUUCUCAAACGUUCUUUAUCAUAAAAUCUGAUCAAUCCAUUUGCUGCUGCAAAAGCAAGAAAUGCAUAUGUUAUUUGAGAAUCUUAUGUUAUAUGUCAUGCUGUAAGUGAUGCUGCAGCAAUUCCCUCAUGUUCUUUUUGUCCACAUUUGUUUUUACUUGCUGCAAUUUAACACAAAGACAAAAAAUUAGAUGCACACUUAAAAUAAUAAAAAGACAAAUUAAAUAAUUUAAAAACUAAAUUCAAUGCCUUAAAAACUUGAAACAACUUCCCUUAUUGGGUUCCCUCCCAAUUAGUGCUUGAUUUUAGAUUUUUCAGCCUGACAUUUCUUGUUUGCUCAACCUGGAUCCUUUAAAAAUCGAUCCUUCUAUAGGUUGUUAACAUCAGCUCCCAUAUAGUACUUCACUCUUGGCCCAUUAACCUUGAAUUCUUGUUGGUCUGGAGUGAGUUCCCUUUGUUAUAUUUGCUCGUCAAUUCUGAAGGGUUGCUUCUCCCCUAACCAUGUUAUGUUAGCUGCUCUACGAUCUUAAUCAUCAAGUUCUUCAAAUGUUACAACAUUGAUUUCUUUUUUACUGCAACAACUGUGUAAUCUCUCUGCUACAGCAAAAUCCACAACAUUGAUAAAAUUACAAUCUUCAAUCUCAUCGGGAUUCUUCAUGGCAUCUAGCACAUUGAAUGUAACAUGUUGGUCAUUCACUCUCAUGGUUAAUUCUCCUUUUUGAACAUCAAUGAGGGUCUUUCCCGUGUCUAAGAAAGGUCUUCCUAGAAUGAUUGACACUUCCUUGUCUACUUCAAAGUCUACCACAAUGAAAUCCACUGGAAAAAUAAAUUUAUCCACCUUCACCAACACAUCUUUAAUCUUCUCUUAUAGUUAAGCAUGAGAUAUGUCAGCAAGUUGUAGAGUCACCGUUGUUGGUCUAGAUUCACUAACUCCCAAUUGCUUAAACACUGAUAAAGACAUGAGAUUGAUGUUAACCCCCAUAUCACAAAGUGCUUUACCACUGUAUUUAGUGCCUAUAGAGCAUAGGAUAAUGAAGCUUCCUGGAUCCUUCAUCUUCUGUGGUAUCUUACUCUGAAGCAUUCGGCUGCACUCCUGUGUUAGAGCAACUGUUUCAAAUUCUCCAAGUCUUCUUUUCUUUAUCAAGAUAUCCUUAAAAAAUUUUACAUAGUUUAGCAUUUGCUCUAGAGCUUCUACAAAAGGGAUAUUGAUAUGUAGUUGUUUCAGCACUCCCAAGAUUUUUCUGAAUUGCCUGUCUUGUUGCUGCUUCAGAAACCUUUGAGGAAAGGGUGGUGGAUAUUUAAACUGUUAUGUUGCAGCAGGUUGUGCAAACUGCUUCUCUUUUGUUCUACUCGGGUCUAUUGCUAUUGGUGUUGUAGCUUCCUCACCACCAGAUGCUGGAUCAUAACUUUCUGCAGAUGCUGUAGCAGAAUUGUGUAUUUGCAUUGUGAAAAGUGAAAGACUGUGACUCUUUCUUCACUUGAGUGUCUUCUUGGCUUUUGUUAGACUCAAUUCUUCUUUUUGGUGCACCAACUGAACUAUCAACAUCCUUUCCGAAUCUCAAGUUAAUUACUUUGCAAUGCUCUUUCCCUUCUCUUCUUGGGUCCUCUGUGUUGCUGGGUAAACAGCCGUGAGGUUUGUUGCUUAAUGCUAUAACAAGCUGUCCAAUUUGAUUUUAAAAUUUCCUCAAGGAUGCAGCAUGACUUUAGACAACUGCUUUAUUCUUCACAGUAUAAACCUUAAUUAAAGCUUCAAGGGAGCUGAGUCGAUCAUUGUUGAUGCUUCUUUGCUCUUGAUUUUGUUGAUAAAAUCCAGGUAGUUGAGCAGGUCUGUUCUGUUCACUAGGUGCUGCAGCAGUUUGAUUCUAAUUACUCCAUGAAAAGUUUGGGUGUUGUUUCCAUCCAGGAUUGUAAGUGUUUGAAUAUGGAUUGUUCUGGUUCUGUCUAUUGAAGCUGCCCACAUAGUUGAUUAACGCUGGAUUUCCAAGACAAUUGUCAAAUAAAUGCCUCUCUCCACAAUAAACACAAGAUACUUCAGCAACUUAGUUGGCAGAUGCUGGAGCAGUGAUCAUAGCUUUCACCAUAUUUGUUAAUGAGGUUACUUGGGCUGACAAUGUUGUCAAGGCAUCUACGUUAUGGACUCCUGUUGUUGCUCUUACUGCAGCUUAUCUGUUUGAUGGCCACUGAUAGUUAUUGUUGGCUAUCCUCUCCAAAAUUUAAUAAGCCUCAUUGCAAGGUUUAGAUAACAAUGUCCUAUUUGCUGAAGUAUACACCAUCAAUCUAGUGCUUGGGUUGAGACCAUUAUAGAAAGUUUCCAAUUAUAUACAUCAAAGUAUACCACGAUGAGGACAUCUCCUGUGUAACUCCUUAAAUCUUUCCCAUGCAUCAUACAAACUCUCAUCUUCAAGUUCAUGGAAAGAUGUGACCUCAUUCCUCAAUUUUGCAUUCUUGGUCAUGGGAAGUAUUUCAUCAAAAAUUUAUCAGCCAAGUCAUUCCAUGUGGUGAUAGAAUCUGGUGGUAAAGAAUUCAAUCAUGGUCUUACUAGAUCUCUCAAAGAAAAUGGGAAAAUUCUGAGUCUCAAUGCUUCCUGCGAUGCUCCAGCAAUCUUGAAAGUAUCACUUCCAAAAAUAACUUAAGGUGUAAAUGAGGAUCUUCGGAUGGCAAACCAUUAAAUUGCCCUACUAUUUGAAGCAUUUGAAACAUCAUGCGUUUGAGUUCAAAAUUGUCAGCUUGAACGUCGGGUCUAACUAUUCCCAGAUGUAUGGCUUGAGGAGUCAACACUGCGUAGUCUCGAAUAGCUCUCUCUCUAACGUUCGCCAUGUGAAUAAUGUUGUUGUUCCCUGGUUGCCUUGGAAUAUAUUGUCCAUUUAGACUUUCAUGUACAUUGACUGGUUGUAUUUCCUCUCUACGGUUCAAGUUUCUCAAAUCUUGCAAAUCAUCCAUUGCUACAGCAGCUUGUAAUUCUCGAUGCUCUCUUCUCAAUCUCCUUACAGUUCUUUCAAUUUCUGGAUCAAACUGGAAUUCAACAGAUUCAUAUUUCCGCAUGCAAGGGUUGCUAGAUCACCUAUGUAAAAAAAAAUAAACAAAUCAAAAAAAAAUUAAAAAUUAGCAUUGUUAACGUAUUGGUAUGAAUUCAAAUGCUAUUGGUGUCAAUCUGCAAGUGUACACAAUAAGUAAUAUAAUAAUGAGUAUUCGAGAUCGUCUCCACUUGGAUUGAUGUUAUUAGACUUGCUACAACAACCUUAACAGUGCAAAUUUUGUUCUAAAUUAAGAUAAAAUAAUUAAUGAAAUUCAUAUACUAAUUAAAAUAAAAAUGCAAUAAAUAAAAUGCAACAAAGUAAACUAUCACAUCAAGCUCAAGGAUAAAACCAAUGGGAAUAUAGAGUAGUUGAGUGAAUAAACUCUCUUAAUGGUUUUGACUAUUUUUCUAAUGUUUGGCUCGGUUGCUACAGCAUUUGCUACAGCACUGGGCAGCAUCCUUAUGUAUCCUCAGUAGUCGCAUGUUGGAUAUCUUAUAUCUAUAUGCAAUCUAACAGUGAUUAGUUGUUAUGUCAACAUAAGAUGUAACAUUACACGCUUAUGUUUUAUUUACCCUACAAGCUGAAUCUCUAUGUCUAGUUCAUCAUUAAUCUUAGACUAAGCAUGGCCCUUUUAGGACUCAAGUAAAACUCAAUCCAAGAAACUCAAUCUAAAACCAAGUAUUGCUUUGAUAUGUUCCACUAAGAUAGGCUCUUUUGUGGCUCUUCCUUAGCUAAUAUCAUUAAAUGGGUGAUCAGCCGAAAUAAUGGCUCGGGUACCACUCCUUCAAUGAGGUGUACUUGGCCUCCUCACUUUUUGGGGUGUGAACUAGUUCACCCAAAAACUCAAAUAUUACUUUCUCUCUUGCUCAACAAAAGUGCUUGUGCAGAUGGACCAAACUGAAAAAUAGCUGCUCCAAAGGUACACCGGAAACCCCAAAAAGAAAGUUGGACUCCCUCUUUUCUAUGCCUUAUAAAUAGCUAUCAAAUUUGGAUAAGUUGGAGAAGCUGGACCUGAUUGAUCAAAAUUUUUCAUCUAUUUAUGGGGACGAACCACCAAAUAUGUGUAGAGGGUGAUGCAGGGGUACCCCACCAUCACCCAUAUUUUAUUUUCUAGUAGUUGGAAAGUAUAGAUCGCUCCAGUGAGUACUUCAAUGCCUUUCUUGGCCGUCUGAGAACCAGUUCGUCAGUUACCCCAAGAUCCAUCUCUUUUAAGGGCACAUUUCCUCUACAUGCUCCAAGGACAAAAAUAAAAUCCCAAGGCUCCUUUCCUUGAAGCCCUCUAAAUGAUGGUUAUAUAGGAGAUUAAUUCUUUUUUAUUUUAUUUAUUUAUUUAUAUAUACAUAUCAUCUCUUUUUUUUAUAGCACCAUUAUUAGGAAUACGUAAUCAUCCUUAUUUUCAAAUACAAUUGAGUGAUGGAAAACAUAAAACAUAAGGUGAUACUCCACAUUGGAGUAGGAAAAGAUGAUAGGUACCAAAGAAAAAAAAAUUUUUUUUUCAAAGGCUCAAAGGGGUUAACUAUGUAUUCUUUAUAAUAGGGUUGGCUAAAAAACUCAAACGGACCAAAGAUGGCCUUCUAUCAUUUUUUAGGGCUUUAAAUAAUCUUUCAUAUCCACUAGUUCAAUGGACUUUUAGAUGCGGCUGCACAAACUUUCUCUUUUUUUUUUUUUACUUCUUUUUUUUUAAAGAAAAUAUUGAGAUCUUGUACAAUAAAUUGUGAAGCUGUAUAGGCAAAUAGAGUUAUUCUCCAAGGAUAAUAGGCUAAAAAAACUCACUUGGUCUUUUCAUGAUAUGUACAUUCCUCCAAAUUGCUUAAUCAAUUUCACUCAUCAAAUUUCUCAAUUUACGUUUCAACAUGCAAAGGGAAGAACAUAGUGUAACAUAACUCAAGGCCAAAGAUAAUACAAAUACCAAAAUUUAAAAAUCAUCAUAUUAUCCAAUGUUAAAAGAUCACACUGAAAAAGAAAACUCUUUUUUUUUUUCUUUUGGUUAAAGAAACACUAAAAAAUUGGGACUGAUUGCAGAAACUUAAGGGAGAUGAUUAAGAGAAAAAGAGAAAAAGACAGAAAACAAAAAGUUAGAAGACAUUUUUUUUUUGGAAACAAAACACUAAACUUAAAAAGAUGCGUUUCUAUAGACACUACAUUCUAUAUUUUGCCAUCUUCGACUAAAAUUUUUAUCCAAAGGUAGUCUUUACAACAAAAAUUAGUAAAAAUAUCAUCAGGAUUGAGACAUUCCACAAUUAUCAACUAUUCCCUUCCCCCAACCUGAGGAGACAUUGUCCUCAAUGUCUAAAGAAAGGAGUAGAGUUUAGAAGAUAUCACCUGGUCACUGCUGGAAAUAUUUACAAAUGGAGAGUUAAAUCUAAUUUACAUUUUUUACGAGAGUUACUGCCAUCGUCAUCAGUUGCCCAAUCCAACGCCAAAGUCAUGGGAUCUGGCUCUGGUUUGUAAGCGUGCAAAAGAUCAAAUAACUCAUUAGCAGUAGGAGCACAAAUGAAGAGUUUUUUCGCUGAGGAUGGAAUGAAAUAAUUUUUUAUUGCAUGAUUAAGAAAUGUUAUUAAGUCAUCAUAAAAGUUAUCAACAUUUAACAACCGAUGGUUUUUUAUGGAUAUUCAAAUGGGCCCAAGAAUCAAAUGUAAUUAGCGCCUCCAAAGUUGCAAGGUCUCCUGGCAAGAAAAUGAAAGCGUCAGCAUGAUUUAACAUUUCAGAUAUUCUUUUCUUGCAUACCUGAGACAACUAACUCUUCUCCAGUUGGUGGGUUUGGUAGACACAAAUAUUUUUAAGUUGACUGCUUAAAGUUGCUGCCAUUAGAACAAUUCUAAAAAGAAACAAUUUGUGAGUGCUUGAGAAGGAGCUUCUAUUUAAGGAUCUUGGUGACGAACAUAAUGAUAUAUAUCUGUAAAUAGGGUGGUGUGUUUGUCAAAUGACGCGUGAAGCUUUUAGCUUAAUAAUUCAAAGGCAAACAAUGAAAAGAAAAAGCAAACAGUAAUUAGAUAUAUAUAAAAAAAAAGACACACAAUAAUAAUAAUAAUGCAAAAGAUAAAAGAAUAGUAAAAUAAAAGGAUAUUUACUAGUAGUUGUGAUUGUGGCUCACAUCUUCCUCUGGGUCGAGGAUAGGCUUCGCAUCCAGUUUUCUUAUAAACUGGCAAACAAGGUCUUUUAGAGUCAGAUUCCCAAGACUAAAUUGUGCACUUUCCUUUUGGAAUAGCUUCCACAAAUUUUGAAUUUCACGUUGCACAUAUCCGCUCGGAUACGUCUCAAGAGAUCGUAAGAUAUCAUCCAACGAUUCUUUACUCAUGCCAUCCUUAACGAAUUUGAUUUUAUCUUCACGAUUUACAGAAACCAUUCCUAAAGUUUUACAACGUGGCUUUUUGCAAGCAAGUUUUACACAGUGAGAACAUUCAGAGCCAAGUCGCUUAGCUCUUCUUUUCUUAGCAAAUGUACUUUUACUAAAACCAGGCAUGUAGGAAAUGAAUGGAUCAGAAAACUUACCUGCCAAUCGGACCUUUGCUUCAAUUAAUCAGCGAAUGUCAGCAGGAAUCCCAUUGAUCAUUAACAAAUGCAGUCAUUCACAACGAGCUUUGUAAAUAUUCUUAAGAGCAUUUUGAGGGAGAGAAGGAAAACGUUGAUGCAAAUUUCACUGUAUUUCUUCCAUGCUUGACAUUGAGGUUUUAGUUAUUGUGGGAAACUGAGAAUACCGACUUAAAAAGUCACGAAGUACCGUUAUCCGCCAUUUAUACGGGAGAGUGAAUCAAAACAAAACGAAUUAAAUCUGCAAAAUCAAAUCAAAAGUGAAGAAGAACAACAAAAUAAAACAAAAACACAAGAAAUAUAACUCACCUUCAUCCUUUUAUUGAAUUUACCUCUAGUUCCAAUUGCAGAUUAUAAAUACCAUCCUAUAUUUCCUUGAGUUGUCUUUCUAGAUCUUUGACGUGGGAUACUAACUAUGGUGGUUGUAGAUCCCAAAAAAUCUGAGCAAUUUCCUCAAGUGAAAUUUUACAUGUAAAAGUUCUUUAAGAUGUUCGAAAAGGAAACUUCUCAUGGAGGUACUCAUGACAAGUAUCAAAAUUUGAUGAGCUAAAACAAAAUUGUCAAACAACACACAAUAAAAAACAAUGCAAUGCACUCUAUUCAAGGCAUAGGGAAAAGGAAGGAAAAAAAUCAAACAAUUCAAACUAUAAAGUAAUAGUAAAUCAAAUUCGUAAAAAGUUAAAAUGAAAAGGCUUAAUUAAAAUUUGGUUGGUCACUCAAAUUGAUUUCGGUAUCUGCUUCACGUGGUUGGUAUUCUAGAUAUGGUUUCAAUCUUUGACCAUUAACUUUAAAUGUGACAUCAUCUUUUGGAUACUCAAUUUCUACGGCUCCAUAUGGAUACAUAUUUUUUUACAACAAAUGGACCAUUCCACUUUGACUUUAACUUCCCUAGAAAUAAAUGAAGACGAGAAUUAUAAAGCAACACUUUUUGACCAAUUUCAAAUGUUUUUCGAAAAAUUUGGUUCUUGCCUUAAUAAUUCUGGAAUUCUCAUAUUCAUCAUUCCUUAAUUCCUCAAGUUCAUUUAAUUGCAAUUUACGCACAUUACCAACAUCAUCAAGAUUUGAAUUAAAAGCUUUAGUGGCCCAAAAUGAUUUAUGUUCAAGUUCAACUGGUACUGGCAAGAUUUUCCAUAAACAAGCCGAUAGGGUGACAUUCCUAAAGAUGUUUUAAAAGCAGUACGAUAUGCCCAAAGUGCAUCAGUUAGUCGAAGAGACCAAUCUUUACGGUUUGGAUUAACUAUCUUUUCUAAAAUUUAUUUUAUCUCCCUAUUUGCUAAUUCAACUUGACCACUUGUUUGAGGUUGAUAAGGGGUAACAACUUUAUGUGUAAUUCCAUAUUUCUUCAUUAAGGACUUAAAUAGCUUAUUACAAAAAUGCUUACCUCCAUCACUAAUAAUGGCUCGAGGUAUUCCAAAUCUGCUCAAAAUAUUUUCUUUUAAAAAGCGGAUCACAAUCUUGUGAUCAUUGUACCGACAAGGAAUCGCGUCGAUCCAUUUUGAAACAUAAUCAACAGCAACUAAAAUGUAUAUAAAUCCAAAUGAUGAUGGAAAAGGGCCUAUAAAAUCAAUUUCCCAACAAUCAAAUAUUUCAAUGACAAGGAUUAGGUUUAAAGACAUCAUGUUUCGCUUUGAAAUAGACCAUACCAUUUGGCAAUUCUUACACACUUUACAGAAUGCAUGUGAAUCUUUAAAUAAUGUAACCUAAUAAAAUCCACAAUGCAAUAUUUUUACAGCUAUCAUUUUUAAAGAAAAAUGGCCACCACAUGCUUCAGAAUGACAAAAUUGAAUGACCCUACUUACCUCGUCGUCCGAUAUGUAUCUUCAAAAAAUUUGAUCAGAGCAGUACUUGAACAGGUAUGGAUCAUCCCAGUAAAAGCUUUUCACUUUUGUUAAGAAUUUCUUCUUGUCUUGAGAAUUCCAGUCACAUGGCAUUUCACCUGUUGCAAGAUAAUUAACAAUAUUAGCAUACCAAGGCAUUUUGUUUAUAGAAAAUAAAAAUUCAUCAGGGAAAGAAUCAUUGAUGGGUGUUGUUUCAAUUGAAGACUCAUUCGUAAGUCUUGAAAGAUGAUCUGCAAUAACAUUUUCAGCGCCCUUUUUGUCCUUGAUUGUCAAGUUAAAUUCUUGAAGUAGCAAAAUCCAUUGUAUCAACCUUGGUUUGGCAUCCUGUUUUAACAUUAAAUAUCUCACAGCAGCAUGAUCAGAAUAAACAAUAGUGGAUGAACCAAUUAAAUAUGAAUGAAAUUUAUCCAAUGCAAAUAUUACAGCAAGUAGUUCUUUCUCAGUUGUAGUGUAAUUCAUUUGAGCAUUAUUCAAAGUUCUACUUGCAUUAUAGAUGACAGAAGGCUUACAUUCUUUUCUUUGACCCAGAACAGCGCCAACGACAUAAUCACUAAUAUCACACAUUAGCUCAAAAGGUAAAGACCAAUCAUUAUUGGGGCUGAUGUCAAAAGAGUAGUUAUUUUUUCAAAAGCUUGUUGACAAUCUUUAGUCCAUUCAAAAGGUGUCUUUUAUUAGGAGGUUACAAAGUGGUCUAGAUAUGGCACUAAAGCCAUUUAUAAACCCCCUAUAAAAUCCUGCAUGUCCUAAAAAGGAACGAACUUCUCUAAUUGUCUUUGGUGAGGGUAAUUUUGAAAUGACUUCAACUUUGGCUUUGUCAACUUCAAUUCCUUUUGAAGACACAACAUGGCCCAAAACGAUUCCAAAAGUGGUCAUGAAAUGGCAUUUUUCCCAAUUUAAAACUAGUCAUUUUUCUUUGCACAUUUCCAAAACUUUUUCUAGAUUAUCAAUACAUGUAUCAAAAGAAUUAUCAAAUACAGUUAAAUCAUCCAUAAAAACCUCUAAACAAUUUUCAACCAUGUCACUAAAAAUGCUUAGCAUGCACUUUUUAAAUGUUGCAGGAGCAUUACAAAGUCCAAAGGGCAUUCUCCUAAAUGCAAAUGUUCUAAAUAGGCAUGUGAAUGUAGUCUUUUCCUAGUCUUCUAAGGCUAUACGGAUUUGAUAAUAGCCAGAGUAACUAAUAAGAAAGUAGUAGUAGGGAUGUCCAACUACUCUUUCGAGAAUUUGGUCUAGAAAUGGAAGAGGAAAAUAAUAUUUUCUAGUGGCAUCAUUUAAUUUUCUGUAAUCAAUGCACAUGCGCCAACUAGAUGGAAUUCGUGUUGGGAUUAGUUUACCUUUUUCAUUUUUUACAACGGUUAUUCUAUAUUUCUUUGGUACUACUUGUGUUGGACUUACCCAUUUACUAUCAGAGAUAGGAUAGAUAAUUCUUACAUCUAAUAGUUUAAGGACCUCAUUCUUUACCACUUCUUUUAUAUGAGGGUUUAGUCUUCUUUUUGGUUGACGGGUUGUUUUGGCAUUUUCCUGUAAGUGUAUUCGGUGUGUGCAAAUUAAAAGAUUAAUGCCUUUUAUAUCUUUUAAGGUCCAACCAAAUGCAAUUUUAUGUCUUUUUAGUACAGAUAACAACUUACCUUCUUGAUCAUGUGUGAGUUGGGAAGAAAUUACCACCGGAUACGUCUGCUGCUCUCCAAGAUAGGCAUACUUCAAUUCUUCUGGUAAGGGCUUUAAUUCAAGCUCUGGUGCUUCCUCUUUGAUUAGUUCUUCAGGUUGUACUGUAUUUUCAAAGUUCGAUUGGUCAUCGUCACCUGUAAGUACCUGCAUAGAAUCAAGUGUAGAACAUAUAUUAGCAGUAUCACAAUUUAAUUCUUUACUUGAUUCAAAAGAACCAGCAAAACAAAUUUCCACAGAGGUUGUAAAAUUCUCAUCCUGAAUGUGUUCCUCAAUGAUUGGCUCGAUGAGAUCAAUCUCCUUAUUCUCAUUAUCAUCAUCUUCUUGGUGGUGAGAUUGUUUACACAUGUUAAACACAUUGAGUUCCAAUGUCAUGUCCGAAAGAUAAAUUCAUUAAUCCAUUCCUGCAAUUAAUCAAAGUAUUAGCAGUAGCUAAAAAUGGUCGACCCAAUAUAAGAGGAAUUUGUUUGCAUUCAUUAGCAAUUGGGUCCAUUCCCAAAAAAUUAAAAUCAACAAGAUAUAUGAAUUUAAUCGAUCUAACAGCAAGUAAAAGAGUGGUAGAAGUUGGUUUUAACUCACCGAGAUUGAGUUGUUGGUACACUGAGUAAGGAAGCAAAUUAUCACUGGCCCCAAGGUCAAGUAGAGCAUGUCCAAUUUUAUGAUCCCCAAUAGUGUAAGAAAUAGUUGGACAACCAGGAUCCUUGUAUUUCAAAGCACUAUUGGUUGAGAGAAUGGAACUUACAUGUUCUGCCAGAAAAGCUUUCUUUUGCACUUUAUGUUUCUUUUUCAUCAUGCACAGAUCUUUCAAAAAUUUAGCAUAAGAAAGCACCUGUUUAAUGACAUCCAGCAAAGGAAUGUUGACCUUUACUUGUUUAAAAACUUCAUAAAUUUCUAGACUGCGGUUUGAUUUCUUUGGCUUGAUUAGUGCCUGAAGAAAUAAGGGUACAAGAGGAGAGUUGGUUAUUUCUUCAUGGGUUAAAGGUUCGACAGACUCUUCCCUAUUUUCUGAAAUUGAAUCUUUACUAGUUUCACGAGGGUCCACAAUGUAUUUUUCGAUCACUUUACCACCACGAAGGGUUAUAACCGAUUUGACUUGACUCAUAUUUUGGUUUCCUGAAUUUUCCAUUUGAGGAUGUUGUUGACUCUUGGGGUUUGGUUAAGGUUGAGCAGGAAACUUUCCUUUUUCAUGCAUGGUCAGAGCAGAUGUAAGUUUGGAGAUAAUUUUUGUCAAAUUGGUUAAGGUUUGCAUCAUUUGGUUAUUGAUCGACUCGUGUUUUUCAAUAAACGAAUGCAAUGUGUCUUCCAGAGUUUUUCUUGGUGGUGAGACAUAUGGUGGGUAACUCUGGGGGUUUUGGAAAUUUUGACGUGGAGGAACUGGUUGUGAAGGUUGUGCAUGAUUAUCAUUUCUCCAACUGAAAUUUGGGUGGUUUCUCCAACCAGAAUUGUAAGUUUGGGAGUAUGGAUUUGGAUUUGACCUUUUGAAAUUGUCAACGACAUUUACUUGUUCGUGCAAACUUUCUCUCAAUGCUGGCAAAGUUAGACAGUCCUGCGUAGAAUGGUCAGUAGAAUCGCAAACAUAACAUGAAAUAUUUUGAACAGACUUUACAUGAUCAUUCUUUUUCAACUCUAAUGCUUUGACUUUUCUAGCUAAUGUUGCAAAUUUAGCUUGAAAAUCAUGGUCUUCCCUAAGGUUAUGCAUGCCUCCACCAGAUGGAGAUGACUGGGGUUUACUUGAUGACUCAUAAGAACCAAUUGUAUCUCAGUGUUGUGCAUUCUCUGCUAUAUAGUUAAGAUAGUCUAAUGCAUCUUCAGGACUUUUAUUCCUAAACUCACCAUUAUGGAUCAUUUCAACGACUUGUCUACCUUGGGAUGUUAAUCCCUCGUAGAAAUAAGACACUAAUCUCCAUGUUUCAAAACUGUGGUGUGGGAAAAUGUUAAGUAGUUCUUUAAACGUAUCCCAAUAUUGGUAGAGGGUUUCUCUUGGUUUUUAAGUGAAUGUGGUGAUUUGUCUUUUGAAAGAAUUAGUUUUGUGGGGUGGGAAGAAUUUUUUCAAAAAUUGUGCUUGCAUUACAUCCCAAGUUCUGAUGGAUCCUGACCUAAGAUUUUGUAGCCAAGUUUUAGCUUUAUCCUUUAGUGAGAAAUGAAAAAACUUAAGCCUGAAUAUAUUCAUGCUACAAUUUUGAUCAGUACAUGUGUUACAGACUUCCUCAAAUUCCCUUAAAUGCAAAUAUGAAUUUUCAUAUUCAAAACCAUAAAAAGUAUGAAGAAAUUGAAUGAUACCAGGUUUGAAAUUAAAACGUGAUACAUCAUGAGGGAAAACUAUGCAUGAUGGUGAUCCUGUUCUAGUAGGAUGCAUGAAGUCUCUAAGGGUCCUAGGCUGUUCAUGAAGAUUUUACAAGGCUUGGUCAUUUUCGUGCUCCGAAAAAUUUUCAGCUCCGAUCUCAGCCAUAUCUAAGGGUGGUGAAAGUGAUCUAAUUAAUCUGCCACUAUUUGUACGAGACCAACGAUGCCUGCAAUGCUAAUGAUGUGUGCUAAACCAAUGAUGCAUAAAACGCUAAAUGAAAAUUGCAGAAAAUAAAAAUAAACAGGAAAUUAAAUAAGCAAAAAUACGAAAUAAAAAUAAACAAACUGAAAAUAAAUAAAAUAAAUAAAUUAGGCAGUGAAACCAGCCAUAAACAAAGAAAUUAAAAGAAACAAUUUAGGCGGUAUUUUAAAACCAGCCAUAUAACAAAACAUAAAAUUAAAUAGAUUAAUGUAUAAGAAUAAAUAAACUGAAAUUAAAAUGCUAGGCGGUAGAACCGACCAUAUAAACAAAAAUACAUAAAUUAACAAAAUUUAAAUAACAGUCAGGCAGUAGAACCGACCAUUUAAAAUAAAUGCGGAAAGUAAAUUGCAUAAAUUUAAAGAAAUAAAUUCGAUUUGGGGAUUGAUUUGCAAAGGUUUCUGGGCUAAAAUGAAGUUUAUCACAAAUUUUAUGAAUAAUGUUAAAGUUUGAAAAGAGGAGGGGUGCUAACUGAAGUUUUGGAAAAAGAGAAUAAAAUAGAAUCACGAAGAGAUAGUAACAAAAAAAAUUAAAAUAAAAUAAAGUAAAGACAAACUAACACCAAAUUUAGAAAACUCCCCGGCAACGGCGCCAAAAACUUGACACGACUUAAAAAUAUAUUAACCCGGUGAGUACGGGGUCGAACUACAAAGAAUUUUAAAUCUAGUAGUCAAUUUAAAACUAAGAAAAUUAAUUGUGGGGAAAAGAAAUUAUUUGAAAUCAAUUUAAAAAUAUGCUAAGGUUCGGGAUCCACUCUCUGUAUUCAAACUAUAGUUUUAAUACUCUCUCAUUUAUAUUUUGCAUCACUUUUACCAGUUAAUUAUUAUAUCAUUUAAUUUUAUGUGUGUGGAUAAAUAUGGAAUAAAGUACCUAAUGUGCCACACUAUAUUAAAGUGUCGACAUUAUGUCAAAAUACCAUACAUAUCCAAAAAAAUGUAUAAAUUAAUAUGACAUAAAAAUAACUAGAAAAGAAUAAAAUAAAUUUUAAAACUCAUUUGAGAAAAUAAUAGAUUUAAUAGUUUGAAAUAUUGAGCUUCACCCUUCACCUCAGCUUAGUAAAAUUAGCCACUCAUAUUGAAAGAAAACACAACACUUUAUUUAUUUGAUAAACUUUUGAAAUACGUUACAAGAAAGUUGAUUACACAACAAAAGAAGAAAAAGACACAAUUCAUCAGUUACACUCUAUUCUCUCUUGGCUUAAGCUCUCUCUGCUCAACUCUCUCACUUCUCCAUGCCUCGCUCCCUACAUUUCCUUGCCCUUUUAUAGGCAAGGAAUGCAUUAUCUUUAUUUAUUUUAUUAUUAUUAUUAUUAUUAUUAUUAUUAUUAUUAUUAUUAUUAUUAUAUAUAUAUAUAUAUAUAUAUAUGUACAUUGAAAUGUGUAAUGGUCAAGUGGCCAUCAUGGCCACUUGACCAUCACGAGAAACCAAAUUGCUUGGUUUUUGUUCUUUUGUUCUUUUUUCAUUUUUUUAUUUUUUAUUCAUUUUAAUUUUUUAAUUUUUUAUUUAGUUAUAUCUCAUCAAUAACGCUUCCAAAUUGCUCCAGCAGUCCUUCUUUGUUCCCGCUUUCAAUUCCAAUUUAUUCCUAAAAAAUAUUUAUAAGAUAAAAAUUAACAUAUUACGAAUUAAUUUAACACAAAAAUUUAUUUGGGGAGCAUUCAUAUAAUUUAGGGAAAAUAUCCACCGUCCACCCGUUUUUUACACAUUUUUUAAAAAUACACAAUUCCUUCAUUUUUUGGCUGGAAUCCACCUAAAGUUACAUUUUGUUUCACUUUUCCACUUCCGUUUGGAAUCCGUUAAGAAAACUAACGGAAACUUAAAAAAAUGAUCAUUUUACCCCCAAAACAAAAAUUACAAUUUCACCCUAAAAAUGUUAAAAAUAAUCAGAUUUAAUGAUGAAUAUCAUUAUUGGUACGUUAAUGAAGUACAAAAACAUCUUAACUACUAGAGAUUAUAACUCAAUGAAUAAUAAAACUCUACUUAUCUUAAAUUCAAUUGAUGGUUUGUGAGAUUGGGCUAUUUUUAAUGCUACUGUUAUAAUUUAGCAUUCUAAUUACAGACAUAUUUAAAAAAAAAACUUGCAUUUGAUGGUUGUGCAAUUAAUUUCUUUAUUGACCGAUGGGGAAAAUAAUUAGAUUUAAUCUAAUUAUUUUUGGCAAUUUUUAAAGUGAAAUUGUAAUUUUCGUUUUGAGGGGUAAAAUGGUCAUUUUUUUAAGUUUCCAUUAGUUUUCUUAACGGAUUCCAAACGGAAGUGGAAAAGUGAAACAAAAUGUAACUUUAGGUGGAUUCCAGCUAAAAAAUAAAGGAAUUGUGUAUUUUUGAAAAAGGUGUAAAAAACGGGUGGACGGUGAAUAUUUUCCCUAUAAUUUAUAAGUUAUGCGCGCAUUAAUCAACACUUUAAGUGAAAAACUAAUAAUUUUAUCCUUAUUACACGUACACUUUUUAGUGUUAAUCAUACAAUAUUAGUAUUUCAAAAAAAUUAGGUGCAAUUUGCAUCACUAUAGUUAACAGUACAUCCCAACUAGGUUGGCACCUGUUGAACUAUCUAUCAUUUGCAAAUUCACAACCUUUCCAGUAGUAAACUUUUUUUCCAAAAAGUUGCAAAGAAAGAAGGUCUCUAGUCUCUAGAGGGGACUUCAAUGUUCUUUACUAUGCAUAAUCUGGAUCCACUUCAUCUUGAUCGACAUCCAAACUCUCAAUUUGUUUCAUUGAAGCAUUUUACCAAUCUUAUUACACUCAGCUUUUAGCAUCUUUCCAUCUUUCAAAUGCAUCAAAGAGUGUAAUGUCUCUGAUGACAAUUUUGAUCGACAUUCAUCUAGAACUCUACUAUCUACACUAAAAGCUGACUCUGAUGCUACAAUUGAAGCUAGAGGGGUUAGUGGAUCACGGGCCACAAUGAAUAGUAUAGGGGAAAAAGAUGUCUUAUCCAUCCAAAAUUUUAAAUUAUCAAAAUUUUACGAUUGUGAAGGAGUUAAUAAAUCUUCAAGAUUAACAUAACAAUACCUUCACCAUUCAUUACGAUUAGUAUCAAUACUAGAAGCAAUACCAUUACUUUUGAGCAACAAAAGGUUAGCUGGAUUUCUAUAAGAAGUUGAUGCUUGUUGAACAUUAGAAUAUGUAUUGGUUGAUCCAAAUUUAUUUUGAUAAAAAUUAAAAAGUUCAUGCAUAAAGGACGUAAUUGUGUUAGAAUUUGUUUCAAGCCCUGUUAGCAAAUUUUUAGUGAUAUUCUCAACUAAAAAUUUUGUACCAACUUCCUUGAUUGUAGGAUCCAACACUACUGCAAAUAUAAAUAGGUGGGGCAUAUCUUUCCAAUAUUUUUAGAAUUUUUCAUCCAUAGCAUCACAAAUAUUUUUAAACAUAAUAUUUUCACUAAAAGUCUUAAAAGCAUAACUCAUAUUAUACAAGUGGAUUAACAUUCUACAUGAAGUAUGACUCAUAAAUAGUAGAAUAUGCAAGAGUAGUAUUAUAAAAUACCUUCAAAAAAUGCAUAAAUUUAAAUGCAACAUUUCAAUCAUAAUCAGUGAUAUGAUAAUCUUCAUCAUGCAUUAUCUCAUUGUUAAAACUAGAAAUUGCUUUAGAAUAGUUUUGGCAAGAAAGCAACAUCAAAUAUGUAGAAUUCCAACAAACUUUCAUGUCAAUGUUGAAUUUCCUCUUUUUUAAUCCAAAAAUUUUCAAUGUAGAUAAAAACUAUUGUUGCCUUAAAGGUGCUCUAAUAUAUAAAAUGGUUGUUUUUUUUUUUUUAAAUAAUGAUUCAUAUGGUCAUACCAGCUUAAACAAUUAAAUCAAUAAUAUGACAUACGCAUUUCACAUGAAAACAUUUUGAGCCAUGUGCAAGUGUGAGAGUAGAAAUAUUUUGCAAAAACAUAUCAAUUGUGGUUGUAUUGACUGAUGCAUUAUCAAAUGAUAUUCUAAACAAUUUAUCAGUAAUUUCAUAUUCUCUUAAAACAGACAUUAUGAUUGAGUAAAUUACUGAACCAAUAUGAGGAUAUUCUAAUUCAUGAAAUGCAAGCAAUUUUUUUUCAAACUGCAUUUGCCAUUAAUCUCAUGUAUAGAGUGCUAAGUCUUACAAAAAUAACCAACCAUAUUAAUACCAGUCCAACAAUAAGAAGAAAUUGAAAUAACACCAUUAAAAUUGAUAAAAGUAUUAAUCAAGAAUUUUUUCAUGUCAUGAAAAUUUUUGGUAAAAUCACGUUUUAAUGUAUUUCUAGGCACUUUCUUAAGUUGAGGGCUCAACAUACCUUUCCAGAAAAUUUAUCAGACGUUCAUCUUCUGGAAAUGUUAAAGGUUGCUCUACUGUAGCAAUAUACCUAGUCAAUCCUUCUUGCAUGUUCUGUUGUGAAUAUUUAAAUGAUGUUAUAGUACUAGAAGGUCCAAAACCAUACUGUGAAAUUGGGGUUUGUGUUGGGUCUUGUGGUGCGUGUUUUGCCUGGCAAGUUUCCAUAUGUUGUUUGAGAUAUCCGGUUCCACAUUUACUUUUGACACUUAAAAAGGCUUGGAAAAUUGAUGUUCUUGGCUAUUUGGAGGUAAUAGUAGGACCAGUAGUGGCAGAAGUAGAACCACUUUGACUUGCUUAAGAAGUAGGAGGAGAUCGCUGGUGGGACAAUAAAUAUAUUAUUUGGAUCUAGUUCUUGUGUAGCAAUUUCUUCAUUUGGAGCUUCCUCCCCCUCUUCAACAAAAUUUAAAUUCUUAUUCAACUCAAAACGCCUUCCCUCAUGAUUGAUGUGAGAGUGAGACAUUUUAUGUGAAUAAUUUUUUGGUAAAUAAAAGUAGUUGUGUAUUUGUACGGCUGGAAAAAAUAAAAAAUUCAGUGACCAAGAGAGACGUGUAUUAAAUGGUGUUUAAUGGCGUUUCACUUUUGUUUGAGAUUUGAGUAACAAAAAGAAGUUACUGGAAUUGUAGGAGAGUUUAGAGGAGAUUGAGUAGAGAGUAAAGACGAGACACAAGAACAAAUGAGGAGAUAGAGAUUGAGAAUUGAGAUAAACUUGAAAAUGAUUUAAUUGUUUAAAUAGAAUAAAAAAGUAAAAAUAUUAACAGUCAAAUGUGGCAAACAUGCAAAGCUUCCUGCAAGCCUGCAACAAAUUAGACCGUUGCAUUUAUUUACUUUUUUUUUUGUUUCAAAUUUUUGUUCGUUUUGUCCGUUGGGUGAGUAAUAAAAUUAAUUCAAAAUUUUUUUAUUAUUAAAUAAUAAUAAAAAGUUAGUUUCUGAUCGGUGCACCCCGAGCUGUAAAAUUGAGUAGUCAUUUCAAUUUUACUAUUGUAACGAUGGAAUUUAAAAGUUGUGUGCAAUGCAAUCAAUUCAAAAUUUAAAAUUUUUGAAAGUUGCCGACAAUGAUAUUUAAAUAAUAGACAAUUGUAACUCGUAAGCAUUGUGCUCACCUUGUGUGAGACUGUAGUCGUAGUCAAAAAUUCAAAUCAUAAUUCAACGAUUUUUAUUUAUUUUUUAAAUAAUAAAUUAAUAUUCAAAUUAAAUACUUUUCAUUUUGGGUUCGUGCCAACAAGGCAACAAUGCAAUUUUUUUCAUUUCUUUUAUUAUUUUUUUGGAAAAUGUUCUUUAUUUCUUUUAUUAUUAUUUUUUUAAAUAAUUUAAUAAUGUUUUCCUACCAACCACACGCUUGCCUCUACGACUCCACAGCUCCACAAAAGUCAAGAACCCAAGAUUCACUCAUUCACAACACCAGUAUUUAUAUUUCACUAAAUAUUUCUACUUUCUCAACCACUUUCACCUAUUAAAGUAAUAAAAUCAAUUUUUGUCUUUUUACUACUACCUAAUAAUUAUAUAUGCAUGCCAAAACACUAUGAGUCUAUGACGAUUCAAAAUUCUUCUUCUUUUCUUUUUCCCUCAAACUUUCCAAUAUUCCAAAACCAAAAGCACAAUGGAUCCUCAAGAACAUAAUAUAAAUGCAGAAGAAGCUCAACAACCUCAAGAAUACAAUGUCUAUGCCGUUGGACCUCAACAAAACAACAAUGCAAGGUUAAAUAAGUCCAGAAGCUGUCAUUUAAAUAAUUUUUUUCAAAAUUUUACUACAGUAAGGGAGGAAAUAAUAGAUAAUGGUUCGCGUAGUCCUUACAAACGGAUGAUCUUCGAGUAUAACUAUUGUCAUUGAGAAAUUAUUUAUUCAAAUGCCCAUGGUACAAGGGCUUUUUGUCGACACGUGUCAAAUUUUUUAGCUCGCCAUCAAGGCCAAGACAGAAUUAACCUUGCUCAUUUAUCGUAACCAUAAUUGUGAUUAAUAAACGUUAUUUUGGCUUAAUAAUCAAUAUGUCAUAUUUUCAUAGUUGUGAUUUUUCGUAAUCUGUAUUUCCUAGUUGUAAGUUGUGACUUGUGACUUGUUAUAAUUGAUAUCUCGUAGUUGUAAUUUCUUGUAAUCAUUAUUCUAAGAUUGUAAUUUUAGUUUUUAUUAGUCAUUACUAUGAUGUAUGUAAUUGAAUUUAUGUAUUGUUGCAUUAUAAUUGGUGAAAUUAAAUAUAUAGUUGUGAAAUUGUGAUAAACUUAUAAUGAAAUGUUAAUUGUUCCUUUAAUAAAAAUUGUUGUUGUUGUUGUUGUUGUUGUUAUAAGUGCAUUGACUGAUGGGCUUAAAAAACACGCUAGGCAUGUGGGGUUGAGGAAAAAAAAAGUUGAUGGACAUUUUAUGAGCAUGGAACAACAUUGCCCGUCCACUUGGUGGACCGUGCCAUGCCGACCGUGGGCCUUGGUUUAACCCCAUCGACUAUCUUUAGUUUCAAAUUAAUUAAUUAUUAAUUUAUGAAUUAAUUGGUUCUUGUAGAAAAAUAAAUUUUGUUUUGAAAUUUCAUUAUCUAAUAAAUUUAUCGAAUUUUUAACUUACCAUGUUAGCCUUAGACAGGAUGGAAAAAACUAUUAUUUAAUCAAAAUUAUCAAUUUAUCAAGUACUAAUUUAACGAUAUUCUACUGUAAUAAAUCUUAUAAAUUUAUCAAGUAUAAAAUUACAGAGGUUUUACUAUAGAAGGUUAAAAAUUUUCCUUUACCCCAACCUUUAUCUUUUAAAAAAGAAAUUAAAAAUAAGAAAAUAGGAAAAAAAUGUGAUUUUGAUUUAGACCAAGUAUAUGAUGAUUUUAAGGUUAUUUUUUUCUUAAGUCCUUGCUGUUUAUCGGAAAAACUUAGAAAUUAAAAGUUUUCAAAAUACAUCUGUUAAAUCCUUAUUAUCAAUUCAAAUUUGUUUCAUUCAAGUUUUUGACUGAAUUUUACUAUUAGAAAAAAUAACAUUAUGGCAUUUUAAUCGGAUUUAAUUGAUUUGUUAAAAAAACAAACAUUAUGGCUUUUAAGGGUUGUUUCAGCUGACAAAGAUUACUCUUAGAUAUAUCCUAAAGGAAGCCCAAAUUAAUGUUAGAAAAUCAUUGCUUAAUGCCUUAAUUUAUUACUUGUUUUUCUGUUUUAACAGUUUUUUAUUGCUCAACUCUGCUUCAUAAAAUUAUGUAUAUGCAAUAUUUACAAGGUGCUAUGCUAUUGUAACUCGUCAUUGAACUUCAAUUUUAGAAAAUUUAAUUGUAGAUAAAGGAUCUUGAAAGUGAAUAGAUCGUACAUUGAUGUAAGAAUAUUGUGCUGAAAGUGAAAAAAAAAAAAAACACUCAAAGUGGGGGACUUAUGUGUGCAAUGGAACAAUAAAAAAUGACAAAUAAUGUGAAAGACCCUCAAGUUUCAUGUUGUUAAAUCUAUUGUAAUUAUUGAGCAAACGGGUUAAUUAUAACUUUGGAAAAAAUAAUAAUUAAGAAACUAUGAUAAAAUGAGCUUUAAACCAUUAAUGUGAAGUAUGAAUAAAAAAGAUUUGAAUUUGGAGGAGUUUGAGUGAUAUAUAUUGUUGGAUUCAUCUCAUUUGGGUGGUCCAAAGGCUUCCUUGGUGUGCAAAUAUCACUAAGUUUUGGACUUGGAUGAAAUUAGCUAGAGAAUAAUAAGUAUAAAAGAAAAGCAAGCCUUGGUAAUGAUAUAAAAAAAGGAAGAAAAAGAUGAGAGAAAAAGAGAGAGACAGUGGCGUAAUAUUUGCUUCUAGGGGCAAGUGUUUUAACUCUGUUUUCUCGUAAAUUUGGAGGGUAAGUUCCUAGCAUCAUCCUCUACAGUUCUACUAGUCUUGAUUUUUGUUUUAUCCUCUCCUUGGUUGUUAUUUGAGAUAUCUAUUUGUUUACGAUGUUGUCCUUAUUGAUUUUUGGUCCUCAACAACUGGGCAAUGACAUUGUUGUGUACUUGGCACCGUUGAUUGAAGACUUGCAAACUUUAUAGGAUGUUGGGGUGGAGGCUUACAAUGCUAAUAGAAAGAAAUUCUUUAAUCUAAGGGUUGUUUUGCUAUGGACCAUAAAUGACUUUCCAACAUACGGGAAUUUAGAGGGUUGUACUGUUAAAGGAUAUAAUGCAUGUCCAUAUUGUGGCUUAGAUGCACCUAAAUGUAGACUGAAAGAUGGUGGGAAAAAUGCAAUGGCUAGUAUGAAAGGUGUUGCAGACGUUUUGGAGGUGCUAAUAUGGAUGCUCCAGAGAGUAGUAAUGCGACCAGGGGUGUGAAUAUAGGUGCUACGCAGAACUAAAAGCUGAAAACGAGGAAAGAGAGGAUUGUUGUACAAUAUAAUGUAUUAGGCGUUCCUGCUGGUGAUGAAGCCACUGAGCUAGCUUCCUAUCUUGGAGUAUUAGCUAGUAGUUCAGUUUCGAUUUUAUUUUCUGAUUGGCGUAAAGUUCCAGCAGAGACGAAGGAGCGUUUAUGGGAGUCCAUUCAGGUAAAUGUCCAAAUUCUUUAAUCUAUUGAUCUUUAAUCAAUUGUUCUGGUCUUGGUAAUUAUUAGAAUAUCAUAUAUGGUAUUAGGAUUGCUUCAUCGUUCAUCCUAAAAGUAAGAAGUAGCUGCUGCAAUCAAUUGGGCAUGCAUUUCGUAACUUCAAGUACAUGUUGAUAAAAAAGUACAUUGUGCCAUUCGCACAAGACCGGAAGAGACUAUACAGACCUCCAAUUGAUUAUCCCCAAAUCAAGAAACCUAUUUUGAUAAAGUUUGUCGACAAACGUUUAUCAGAUGCCUUUCAAGUUAGUAUCUUUGACUUAGGCUUUAUGUUUGACUUAGGUUUUCUCACUUGUUAAUAUUUGUUGGAUAUAUACCAAUAAACACCUCGGUAUGUUGAAGUUAUUCAGAAAGUCAGUUGUGCUAAUAAGGAGAAAAGAGCCUCCAACAAGUUAAAUCAUCGACUUAGUCGAAGAGGAUAUGUUGGAUUAAUGCAAGAUAUGGUAAGUACAUGGCUAUCAAUUUAUAUUAGGUUAAUUUGUUUAAAAUAUUAAUUAUUAAGUGGACUUAAAUAAUAUGAUUUGUUUAUCCACCAGUGCUCAGAAACCAGUCUUUUAGAAGACUUAGUAGACAUGAGUGAACUUUGGAAGAGAGCCCGGGGAAUGAAAAUUGGGGUUACAACCUUGAAACUGAGAAGAUUGUUAUGAAAAUGGUGAGGAGCUUCAAUAAAGUUAAAUAUUCUUUAAUUAGUUUAGCGUGAGUAGAUUACAACUAUAUAUUAUUACUAAUUUAUUUUUUAUGGUGAUAGGAAAAGCUCAAAAAAGAGGCUAAGAAAGGCUCCUUGAAGUCAGAUGGAAGAAACAAUAUACUUGCACAAUCAUUGGGAAAGCUUCCUCGAAUUGGCCAUAUGCAAGGUCUUGGUAAAUUUGUAACACCUACCGAGUACUUUCACAUAGUUCAUGGGCAUAAUAAACAUGUUGCAGAGACUGACUUGUAUGCCUGGGAGAAAGAAAUUGAAAGUCAGCUGGAGAAAAUCACCAAACAAUUAAAGAAGACACCUCGCCACUCAAAUGUAGGAAGUCCCACCUAUUCCUAGCAAUGGUGUUGUUGAUUGCUUAGAAGAAAAGGAUAAUGACAAGGUGGAUGUAGUUGAACAGAAGGUUAGUAACUUUUUUUUUCCAGCCUUAGUGCAUAUACUAUAUUAGUAGGUUUAUUUAGUUUAGAUUUUUGCCUUUGUAAUUUUUAGGAGCCCCUAGCUUAGAAAACUCAGAUGGCCAAGAGAGGAAAUCCUCAACUAAAAAAAGGGUAGAAAAGCAAAAAGAAGUUGAUAAAAAGGAUAAGAGUAAACCUAAGAAGAAAAUAGGGACAACAAAAAACAUUACUGUCAUGCCAAGAAAAAGUCCAAGACUUAACACCAACUUGCCAAUGGGUGAUGCAAAUGAGGGGGAAAAACCAAAGCUUGGUAGUGCCAGAAAGCCAUUAUUUCAGGAGAAUGUGCAAUUAGCUAAUGGUCUAUAGCAAGUUCCACCCAUAGCCCAAAAAUAAGGGCUACAAAUCUGAACAAAAACAAAAGGAAGAAAGGUGCAGUGCAGCAUGUGUCGAGAAACACUAGGCACACAGCAGUAAUACCAAAAACAAUCAUCCAAUGCUGCAACUCUUUGGCACAUUAUAUGACAUGUACUUGCCUCCAUUCGGUUGGAUUCAAUAUUUGAUUGAUGAUAAUGUAUUUCAGCUAGAAGGUAUUGUAGCCCAUGUUGGGAAAAUGAAGUGUGAUGCGAUGAUGACGAUGCAAGUGAUAAGAGUUAAUGCUAUUGAAGUAUAUAUUGCGUAAGAGAUUUUUGUUUUUCUUUACACUUGAAUUAAUUUAUAUGAUGUUGCAAUACUUGUCUAAUGACAAGUUUUGGUAUUUUGCAUCCACUAUUUCAAGUUGUUGUAUGACUCGAUUAUCCCAAACAAAAAAGGAACAAGACCAUUUGGAUUCAUCUAUCCAGGUUGUGUCACCCCAUCCUAGACAAAUACCAGACAUUUCCCAUCCCAGCAGAGCAGAAGGUGUGUGCAAGCGCUUGAAAAAAGCUUAUAAAGGACAAUUCUUGUUUGUGCCAUACAAUCCUAGGUCUGGAAAUUUCAAACUGUAAUAAAGUGUUUUAAUAAUUAUUUAUUUAUUUUAUCUUGUCUUUGAUAAGUGUUGCUUGGCUUUCUUUGUAUUUUUUUUUUUCUAUUUUAGCUUCCAUUGGGUUUUGGUUGUGAUUGAUGUGGCAAAAAAAGAAGUGUUUUAUUUAGAUCCUAGGGGGUACGAUGCUCCUUAUCCUGAUUUAGAACAACUGAUUAAAUCGUAUGUAUUCCUUUCCAUCUCAUAAUCCUAAUAUUCUCGCUUUUUUUAAUAUAUUUUUAAUAUUUUAACCAAUGUACUUUAUUCAUACAGUGCUAUGACACUGUUCUCAGCUGAGGAUUGUAAGGAAAGAUGGAAUUAUAACCCUAAUAUGAGAUUUGUGAAGGUAAACAUAUUAUCUUAACUAAAAUUCUGUGUAUCUAUCAUUUUAAGCCUAAAAUAGAAUAUAUUUAUAUUGAUUUUUUUGGUUUAUAACUGUGAAUAGACCCCUCAGCAACUGGGAAGCGUGGAAUGUGGCUAUUAUGUCUUGAGGUUUAUAAAAGACAUUAUAGCAGACCUUAGUUUGCUAAUGAAUGAUGUGAGUCAGUGAUGAAUAAAAUCAUAGGAUUGGUUUAUACCAUACGCACUGCAUUGUUAUGGAAAUUUGACAAUGUUGAUUUUAUGGUUUUCAGUUCCAUUGAAAGGUCAUGUAUACUCAGGCUGAGCUAGAUGAAGUUUGUUUAGAGUGGGUUAACCAUUGUUCUUAAAUCAUUAACGCAACAAAAAAUGGUUAGUAUGAAUCUAAAACUAUACACAAACAUUUUUAUUACUUAUAUAUUAUAAUUGGUUAAAAACUAUAGACAAAGUGGCAAUAACAGCGACCUAGCUAGCUACCUAGGUUUCUUGAACUAGGCUUAAUCUUCUAUUUGAACAACAAACAACUGCUGGCAAAGUUGUUAUCCUGAUAACAACAACAUUAUUUAGAGAUGAGAUUGGUACUUCACUCAAACUCUUGUAGAGGAAUAUUAAGAUAUACUUCCUUAGAAGUUCAAUAUUCCACAAAUACUUGAUACUAAGAUAUUUCUUAAGAGUUCAAUAAUCCUUAAAUACUUGAUAUACUUACCAAUGUAGUAGUCAUCUUUAUUUUGAACUCUUUGAUAUGGAAUCCUCUUACACGCCAAUUUGCUUCUUUUAUUCCUCCAAAAUAUUCUCCAAGAUUCCAUAUAAUCUAAUUUUAAUUAAUUUCGACGACUAAAUACAUCUCUAAUAAAAGGAAACUAAUCCCUAAUAAAAGAAAUAAAUAAAUUAAAAAGUUAUUGACAAGAUGAUGCCAAUAAUAAAAGCCUUAACAAUCUCCCCCUUUGGCAUCCUUGUAGUCAAAACAUAAACUAACCAAUUUUAUAGUCUUCAAAUGGCGUGUGUAUUGGGAAGAUAGAUCACGAGCAAUAACCUACGCAUAGGCAACAAAAGCAUACGAAGAACUAACCAAAGCAAAAAUAAUUAGUCACCGUUAAUUCAAGAUAAAAAUCAUCUAUAAUAAAUAAAUGCAACGUCUAUUGUUCAAUUGAGAAAAUUAACUUUCCCUUUAAGAAAAAUAAUCUCAUAUCAACAAAUGACGAUAGCAAUAAUGCAUAAUAAAAGAAGUAAUAAAGAUCAUAUGCAAAUCAAACAAGCUCCCCUUAGAGAAAGAAUAAAUAAACUCCACAUUUAUUAUCGAAAUUGAAUUCCUUAAACAAAAUAAAAAACCACUCUCCCCCUUUCACGAGGCAAGAAAAAAUAAAAUACGUUAAUCUCCCCCUUUUUUACAAAAGGAACCAAAGCACAAUAAAGAACAUAAACGAAAAUUGAAAUAGCAUAUCCUAAACUAGGUAAAAGCAAAACUAACGAACAAAGGGGCAUAAAGCUAAUGAAUCAAGGGUAUUAAACACACCUAAUGUCAUCAAGAGUUGUGUUCAAUGCAUUCAACGUGACCUAAUAAAUCUAAAGUCAUCUAAUCAUCCAAGUGAUGGAGAGUGGAGUGAAUUGUUUGAAGCUCAAAAUUGAUAGUGGCUGAAUUUAGGAAAGCAUUCUCAAUUGAAGUAUCUUCAUCUUGAUCACAAACAACACCAAGGGACUUCAACAUAGGAUAGGAUGGUUCAAUAUAAAUAGGAAAAGAAGGAAAGACCUCAUUUCUUCAAUCAAAGUAUAAUUCUAAGAAGUCAAAACUUGAUAAAUCAAGGAAGGGAAUGGUAAUGCAUGUCUCUCCCAAAAGGCAUCAGUAUUUUUCAUAAUCAAAUCAAAAGCCAACUUGCUAAAGUUGAAAGAAACCUCACCUCCAAUUAAAAAAAAAACUUUAGCAAAUAAAAGAUCCACUAUAGCAUAAUUUUCAGUAGGAUACCAAUUGUGUGCUCCAAUCUAAUACAAAGCUUGAUAUCUAGAAUCAAGUUUGGAAACCAAAAGGUCUUUAGGCCAAGGUGAAUACCUUCCUAAAAGUCAAGUAACAAUAGUAGACAUGUCCAAGGUAUUCAUGUGCUUCCAGACAUUAUUAUGAUCAAAAUCUUUACUCCCAAAUCGACUAUUGAUUAAAAAUAGGGAAAACUUCAAGAUACGUCCUCUGACAUAAGUUUUAUGGAGAAAACUACGCUUAGUCUCAUCUGCAGUAUUCUUAUUCAAAUUGGCAUAGAAUUCACGAAAUAUGUUAGAUGCAUAUGAAGAGAUAUUCUUAAUGAUGUUUUCUAAACCAGUAACAAUAAUGGAUGAUUCAAUCUCAAAAGGAAUAAACUUAAAAAUAGCAACAAUGCAUUAAGAAUGAAAUUUUCUUUUAAGCAAGAGAUCAAGACCAUCAGUAGGAGAAUGAGUAUAGUACCUUUUACUAUAACCACAUGGUAACACAUAACUAAAGAUUAAGUGGCCGCUAUUUUGAUGAAUUGGAGACUUUGGGACAUGCUCAUCUGAAUUGGCUUCACUAGGACUUCUUCAAUUGAAUCGACAUGGCCAUUACAAGAUCCAACAAAAUUGUUGAGUGAAUUGGUGCAAUCGGCAUAUGUAUCUAUCCUUGUGUAUUGAGCAAUUUCUAUAUAGUUUCUAUCGUAGGCCAUGGGUUGUCAUCCUUCUCUUCUUCAUGAGUAGCAUGCAGCACAUUAAUUGGAUCAAAUCCAUGCACAUUGGAAUCACCUAGAACAUACACUUAACUUGUUGAACAUGUAUCUUUGAUUUCUUUUUCAUGGAACUUGAUCUUUUAGAAACUAUGAUGUACAGCCUGAAAAAGAACUAAAGCAAAGAAGCUCUAGAGAUAUAGGCUGCUGUUUGCGUAAGAGAGAAUGAGAAAAACGAGAUAAAAAAAAGCCCUUAUUCCUAGACCUUAUGUGGCAAGGAAAGUGUAAUUUAGAUAGAAAUCAAUUAUUAUACUUUCCAUAAAUAAUAAUAAUAAAUCAAAUAAGGUCAUAGGGUAUUUAUAAAACAAUAAUAAAUAAGAUAUACCGUAAUAAAAUUAUAAAUAAGAACUAUUUUCAAUGACAAUUGCAAAAACCACAAGUAUAAUGCAAAAACACGUCAGAAGGACGUCAUUGAGGAUCAUGUCAAAUUUUGAAAAACCGCGCAGUUACAGGAAAGUAUGCCCUACCUAAAAAUGGUCAGGUGCUAAUAACUAUGGCCAAUGGGCCGUGCCGUGCCGGCACGACCCACCAACUAUCGGCCCACAAGGGCUCGUGGGCCGGCACGGCACGGCCCACUAAAUUGGUGGGCCGUGCCGUGUCGUGCCUACAUUUUUUUUAAUUGAGCCCGGCACGGCCCACGGCACGAGCCCGCUCGUGCCGUGCUCGUGCCGUGCCGAAAAAAAGCCCACCAAUUUUUUUUUUUUUUUUGCGUGCUUAAAAAAGCCCACGUGCCUAGCGUGCUUUAUUCAAGCCCACGUGCCUGACGUGCUUUUUUAAGGCCACCAACAUAAUAAUAACAAUAAUAAUAAUAAUAAUAAUAUUCACAAUCAUAAUCAUAUUAAUUUUUAUUAAGAGAGCAAUUAACAUUUUAUUAUUAGUUUAUCACAAUUUCACAACUAUAUAUUUUAUUUCACAAUAAUCAAUCAUAAUUCAUAACACAACAAUACAUAAAUUUAAUUUAAUUUAAUUCCAUAGAUCAUAAUAAUAAUUAAUUAAAAUUAAAAAUACAAUCCUCGAAUAAUCAUUACAAUAAGUCAUAACUACGAAAUAUUAAUAUAACAAAUCAUUUAUUUAAACUAAGAUUUAAUGAUUUAAAUUAAUUUUUAAAAGUCUAUGCUAAAAAAUAUAUUAAAACAUUUAAUUUCAUAACAUUUUAUAUUUACUUUUUGUUAAAAAAAUUUACUUAGAUAUAUUUUGGCCCACGUGCUAUUAAUGGCUCACGGGCCGCGUGCUAGCCCACUAAUGAACCGUGCUUAUUACGUGCUUUUUCGCGUGCCGUGCUUUGGCCCAUCUCUAAUCGUGCCGUGCUUUAAAGCCCGCGUGCCUAAAAUUCUAGGCCCGGCACGGCCCACGUGCGUGCCGUGACGUGCCUCGUGCCUCACCAAAACGUGCUCGUGCCGUGCCGUGCCGUACGGACACGUGCCGCCCGGCCCAUUGGCCACCUUUAGGUGCUAAUAACACAAUUACAGAAAGGCCCCUAAACACUCGAGAAACCUCGAAAAGCCCUAAAUCAUGAAAAAACCCUAAAACUAAAAUGCAUGCAUAUAUGUAUCAUGCAAUCGUCCAUGCAAUGAUGAUUAAAAUUCCCUCUUUGAUAAAUGAAACACAUAAUUAAAAACUUUUAGGAUUAGGUUAAAGAGACAAGUUGUUAAACACAAGUUUAAACCCAAUUUUUCAACCAUUGGAUUAAAUUUAAAUGAAUGGUCAAGAUUAGAUGACGUGAGUUAUCAAUUUCAUUAAUAGCUUUCUUCCUUCUCUCUUUAAUUUUUAAUUCUCUUUCUUCUUUUAUUAAAGAUUCUCUCUUUUCUCUCUCCUAUAAAUUUUUGUAAAUGGAAUAAUUAAAACCAUCAAAAUUAAUUUACUUACAUAAUCCAUCAAAAUUAAUUUACUUACCAACAGUGAAAUAAAGUAGCAAUAUAUGGAACAAACUUGUACAAUUUUUGCUCUAUAGUUUCAGAACCAACUCUACAAGUCGUAUAUGAACAACCUUCAUCAAUAAAUUUCCUAAAAGGUUUUAAUCAAAAACCUUCAUCAAUGAUUGUGAUUUUUUUAUUAAAACCUUUUAUAUGGAACAAAUUGUACAAUUUUUGCUCCAUAGUUUCAGAACCAACUCUACAAGUCGUAUAUGCACAACCUUCAUCAAUAAACUUCGUAAAAGGUUUUAAUAAAAAAUCACAACCAUUUCCUAUCAAACAACAUUGUUCUUUUCCAUUAUAUUUUAAAUUAAUUUACUUAUAUAAUUUCUAAAUGGAAUAAAUAAAAGUUUAUACAGACACACAAAGCGAAAUAAAAUUGAUAUGAAGCCAAAAAAAUAACAUUGAUAUGAAUCUGAUCAUUUCAUCAUGAAGCAUACGUAAAUAAAUAAGGAUGCAAUUGAAGAAGAUUGAGAAAAAGGCAAUCUUCGUCAGCACAGCCACUAAUUGAAGAAAGUAAUGUGUGUAGAAGAAGGACAAGUGCUUCUAGGUAAUUAAAAUGGGCUAGUUUACAGUUACAAAUAGAUUAUGUAAGUUAGGUAAUUAAAAUGGGCUAGUUUACAGUUACAAAUAGAUUAUGUAAGUUAGGGAAUUAAAAUGGGCUAGUUUACAGUUACAAAUAGAUUAUGUAAGUUAUAUAAAUUAAUUUUGAUAGCUUUAAUUAUUCCAUUUACAAUCAUUUAUAGGAGAGAGAAAAGAGAAAGUCUUAAAUAAAAGAAGAAAGAGAACUAAACAUUAAAGAGAGGAGAGAGAAAGAUAUUAAUGAAAUUAAUAACUCAUGUAAUCUAAUCCUGACCCUUCAUUUCAAUCUAAUCCAUUGGUUGAAAAAUUGUGUUAAACUUGUGCCUACAAAUGUGUCUCUUGAAUCUACCCCAAAAAUUUUAUGCUAUAAGACAUCUUAAAACAAAAAUGCACUUUUGUAAAAUAAAUAUAUGAUUUUUGAACAAUUAAAAAGGCGUGUUCAUCAAUAAUCAUCACAAUACACACAAAAUCAAGAUAAUCAAACUUUAAUCAAUUAAAUCAAUAGAAGAUUAGUUAAAUUUUAAACUUUUGUAUGUGUGUGCAUGAUAUAAAUCCGUCAUGACUCAAUCUCGAUUUUUCUCAAAAUCAAAAAUUUUUGUAUUGAAAAAUAGAAUAAACAAGUCAAACUAACCUUAUCAUCUUAAUCUUUGAAUUGACUUUUUCAAUGUAACAGGCAGUGUAAUAAGAGAUUGCAAUAAUAAAAUUUUUCAUUCUACUGUAUAUAUUAUUUUUUUAAAUGUUUACAGUUAAUAACUUUCAUCUUACCUCUUAAGGUAGCCUUUUUCUGAUGGUAGUUCGUUCUUUGUCGUAUUUCGAGUACGCAGACUCAAAUUACUCAAUGAUAGCUUCACUCUUAAAAGUUACAGGUAGCUAUUUCUAAUUGAGGUGCCUACAUAUCUUGAUAUCUACAGUUGAGAUAAGAGUUAAAAGCAAAAAGUCAAUGUUCAAUCCAUUAAUCUCAACAUCAGAAGUCUCAAAAUUGAAAAUCAAGUACUUCCAAGAUAUAUGUGCAUAAGUUUAAAUUAAACCAAUCAAAAAUUGUUUCAAGCUUUCAAGUCAUCAAAACAAGACUUUUAUGCGCAUAGUGAUUUAAAUUGAGAACAUGUCAUGCAAAAACACAUGCGAAUGAUGUAUUAAUCAUGUCAUGAGAUGCAAAAAAAUAAUGAUACAUAUAUAAAAUGUUAGAACAUGGCUACAUAGAACAAAUACCUAAAACUUUUCUUAAGGAAUCAAGUCUACAUGCAUCCAAAGCUUUAAUAAAGAUAUCCGCAAGCUAAUUUUUUGUUUUAAUCUACUCCUGAAAUAUAGUCUUGUUUUCAACUAAAUCACGAACAAAAUGAUGUAUGAUAUUUAUAUGCUUAGUUCUAGAAUGUUGAACAUGAUUCUUUGAAAUAUUGAUUGCACUUGUAUUAUCAUAAUAUACAGUAAGAAUAUCCUGAGCGAAACCAUAAUCUUCGAGCAUUUGCUUCAACCAAAGUAAUUGAGUACAACACUACCAAUGGCAAUAUAUUCUGCCUUAGCAGUAAAUAAAGAAAUUGAGUGUUGUUUCUUAGAGCAUCACCAAAAGACUCUUCAAAUAAGAUUUUAUUACUUAUUUGAAGAGCCACAUCAGCAUUUAAGGCUCUAAAAGACACUCCAAUUAAGAUUCUUCAAAUAAGAAAUAAUCAUCUCUCUUCAAAUUUGAAGAGUUAUUUUCUCUCUCUUCAAUUUAUAUUUUAUUACUUUUUGUUGGAGAAAGAGAGAGAAGUGCUUUAAUUACUAUUGACUUUUCCUUUAAAAAAUAGUUAUUUUAAUUAAAAUAAUAUUAACUCAUUUCUAUUUGAAGAGUCUUUUGGAGAAUAACAUAAUUUUUCACUCUUCUAUUUGCCACAUAGGUAAGCAAAUAGAUAUUUGAAGAGUAAAAUUUAUAGAACCUUUUGGAGAUACUCUUACUAUGCCAAGAUACAAAAUGGUUACCAAGAUAAAAACAACCUCCAAUGGUACUCUUUCUAUCAUCAGAAUUACCUACAUAAUCAGCAUCGCUAUAUCUUGCAAGACUUGAAUUUGUGUCUUUAGUACACCAAAUUCCAUCAUUAAUAGUUUCAUUUACAAAAUGAAUGACAUGUUUCGAUGCAGAUAAAUGAGAUACUUUUAGAUUUGCUUGGUACGUAGCAGAAACACCAACACUAAAACAAAUAUCUGCCCUACAUCUAGUUAAAUAAAGUAAGCUACCAAUCAUGCUUAUGUAUAGACUUGUAUCAACAUUAGAGUCACUAUCAUCUUUAGUUAAUCUUAAAAGUGCUCAUAGGCAUUCUCAUAUAUUUGGCUAAAUCUAGUUCAAAGUUUUUCGCCAAAUUUUUGGCAUAUUUUCUUUGAGAAAUGAAGAUACCAUUUUCAAGUUGUUUCCCUUGUAAGCUGAAAAAAUAGGAUAACAUACUAACCAUGCUCAUUUCAAAUUCAUUAUUCUUUGGAUCAAAAUAUUCCUAAACUUCUGUAAGAGAUAUAUCAUCCAUAUAAAUUUGAGCAAUCAUACUUCUAGGGUUAAGGUAUUUAAUAAAUAAAGUUUUGUCUACUCCCUUUCUUUUGUAGCCUUUUCCAAUCAAGAAUUUGUUUAAUCUUUCAUACCAAGCCUUAGGAGCUUGUUUUAAUCCAUAUAAAACUUUUUUUUAACUUAAAAACAUAAUCAGAAUGAUGUGGGUCUUCAAAACCUUUAAGUUGUUUAACUUAAGCUUCUUCAUUCAAAAUUCCAUUCAAGAAUGAUUUUCUUAAUUUCCAUUUGAAACAAUUUAAAGCUAAUUAAACAAGAUAAUAGCAAUUAAUAGCCUAAUAGAUUCUAGUCUAGCCAUAGGAGUAAAGGUUUCAUCAAAAUCAACACCUUCAAUUUUUGUAUAAUUUGGUACUACUAACCUAGCUUCAUUUCUCACUAUAUUACCAAUUUCAUUUGUUUUAUUCUCGUAAAUCCAUUUGGUGCCAAUAACAUUGGUCUGAUUUGUUUAGGAAUUAGUGUCCAAACAUCAUUACACUCAUAUUGUUCAAGUUCUUCUUGUAUAGCUUUAACCCAAAAUUCAUCCAAUGAGGUUCCUUAGCAUUUUUUGGUUAUUUAAUGAGGUAAAAAAAUUCUUGUUAUUUCCAGAAUUUCCUCGAGUCAAAUUUUAAACCAUCUUGGCAAUCUUAGCCAGGGAUUCGUCUUAACUUCAUUUUCAACGUCAUCAGCAUCAUUAUCAUAAUCAAAUUUUGAAUUUGGUAUCUCAGCUUGAAAAGCAAUACUUUUGUCUUUCUUCUUCUUCAAAUGAUUAGUCUUAAAAGUUUCAAGUUUGUUAAUCACUUGAUUUCUUAUCUGCCAAUAUUUCUUCAAUAGAUAUAACUUCCAUAAGAAAUCUAUCCGGCAAAAACCUCAAAAUUUUUCUAAUUAAUUCUUAUUCAGAAAUUCAUUUACUAAGAGACUUAGAAGUGUUAGCAAUCUUAAGAAGUUUAUCAUUAAAAUCGGUAAUCUUCAUGUUCAUGCAUCUUAAGAUUCUCAAAUUCAAUUGUAAGUUUUUAAAGUUUGGAAUGUUUUACCGUAUUGUUUCCUUCAUGAUUGUCUCAAAGAAUGUCCUAAGCGUCUUUGGCAGUCGUACAUGUAGAGAGUAAAUCAUACUAAUUGAUGUUAACUGCAUUAGCAAUAACAUUGAGAGACUUGGAAUUAAAGCCGUAUUUUGAAUUUUUGCGUUGGAAUAUUCAUCCACAGGCUUAAGAAUUCUAUUUCCAUCUUGAUUAGCCUUAGUGGGUAAAUUGUAUCCUUUUCUUACGCAUUUCAUAGCUCUUAUGUUAAUGGAUUCAAUAAAAAUAGUCAUCCUUUGCUUUCAAUAUGAAUAAUUGGUGCCAUCAAGUAAUAGUGGACAGGUCCGUAGAUCCUCUUUCUCUCUGCAAAUUCAUUCCGACAAAAAUAGAUCAAGAUCGGGAGGAUUGUGUAAAUCAGUUUAGAAUUUCGUGAUUAAAAUCUUGUGUUUUAUUUUGAAGUUUUGUUUUUGUGGUGAAUUUUUACUGGUAGUAAGUCCCGUCCAAGGAUAAGUUUUCCGUUUAGGGCUGUAAAACCAUACCUGUAGCCAUUUUGACCAAACCAAAGAUAGAACCCAGGAUUCUAACCAUGGAUCCUCUUCACUGUAGAGCAUCGUCCUUUUCUAGCUCUUCUUCUGGGAAGACUAGUGACUCAAAGCAUGUUGUGAGUUCAGAAGAAUUUGUUAUUGAGAACUUUGAUAAAGCAAUUGAUUGUUGGGAACUUCCAAAGAUUUCAAAAGAAAAGAUUUACAGAACAAAAAAGCUCGAUUUUUGGAAAAAUGAUUAUGUUAUAAAAACUGAAGAGCGUGAUAUAACUCUUUCAAAGCCUUUUGAAACAAUUAAUUUGUUUUCAGAAAAAUCUUUAAACAAGUUAAAAGAAAAGAAUUUCAAUUACAUUCAUAUAGGUCUAAUCCAAAUAGGCAUAAAGCCCCUUACCAAAGAAGGCCUGGAUACUUCUAUCCUUGUUGUUCUUAGAGAUGGUCGAUUCAUCUCUUUUGAUGAUUCUCUGCUAAGUAGCAUUGAAUCUAGCCUAUGCAAAGGUCCCAUUUCAUUCGAUUGCUAUCCAAACAUAACAUUGUCUCUUAAAGACAAAAACAUUUUGAAAAGCAUGAUUUUACAAAUCAAAACACAUAAUUAUCAUAUGAUUGAGGGAUCUAUCCCUGUUGCAUUGAUUUUUAAAAUCUCAUACAAAGCCAUGAUUACUGCCUUCAGUACUCAACAUAAAUUCCAGUCGAAAAGAGAUGAAACUCUUCUCUUACAGACUGACCUGUCUAGAGCAAACACUGUCAUUCCAAAACCAAUCCAAUGGAAGGAUGUAAAUCUUCCUGAGGAAUGGAUACUUGAAGGAGCCGCUCCACCAGCGAUUCCAAAACAACUUGAGCCUAAUACAGAGUUGCAAAAUGUGACUCAGUAUUCUGAUGGUAAAGUUAAAUUAUCAUUCAGGAGAUCAAGUUCUUCCAGAUUCUCCGAUAAAGCAUCAUGCUCAAGCAUUCCUUCACUAGAAAGGAAAUUUACAAAAGUACCCUCUGUUAUAAAUCUUCCUUUUCAGAGUCAACCUAGGUUCUCCACUUCGGAUUUACCUAGUUCUUCUAUCAGUUCUGUUGACUACACUACAAAAAUACCACAUCCCGUUUACAUUAGCAGUCAACAUGAACAAAGACAGGAAGAGAAAGAAUCUUCUCUUCCAACUUCUCCUACAUUCUCUGCAGUCACAGAAAAUGUUUUAAAUGUCAUUGAAAAGCAUUUUGAAUUAGACAAAACCAUGUUGCAUAAUGAUUUUUAUUCAGAUGAUAAUAAAGAAAAAAGACUAUGGUUUUUCAAACAUUUUUUAAAUCAAAGGAAGGAAAUCCAACAAACUUACUAUGAAUUUGUUAAUUUUCAUCAAGUUCAUAUAUUGUUUUUUGAUUGGUUUGAUAUAUAUUCUUCUUAAAACAACAUUUCCUACCCUUUCAAAGAGUCAAACCCUAUUACUACCAGGAAGAAAACCACUGAGUGGAAACUCUUCGAUAGUAAUAGAACAGUCGAUUCUGAGCAUCCCCCUCUUAGGAGUGUCAUCAUAGAACAUGGUGAACCUCCUGUAGAAAUUAGAGCUUCACCUUACAAAAUCCCAAAGCCAAAUGAUCCUGAAAUCAAUUUAAGUAGUAUUAUUCAACAGAAUAAUUUCUGUAAUACUAACUUAAAUACCAUAGGAAAACAGUUGACUAGAUUGGAAAACCAAUUUCAACAGUCAACCAUAUCUGUUUCUCCAAAUCCAAAAAUUGUUUCUUUAAAAUCAGAUUAUGAUAAAAAGCUUAGAGAACCUAUUUUCAAACCUUUUCAGGUUUCGAAAACUAGUCAGAAGCUUGUCCAGGAAUCAAAGUCUGAUUUUGCCAAAGCCAUUAGAGAACAGCUAGAUAGGAUAGAAGCUUCUUCUUCCUCAUCUAGUAAAGUUCAAAUAGCUCCCGAUACUCCUCAAUCUAGCAAGAUUGAUACUCCUCAGUUGAGUAGAAUUGGAGUACUCGACCAAGACCAGGUUUCUAUUGCCUCUUCUGACUUAGAAACCUUUACUGAAGAACCUAUUCCUAAGGCCAACAAAAUUCAUUGGGAAUUAGCACUCCCUACUUCUAAAUCUCCACCUGAUUUGACCAUAGACAACAGGCCCAGUGCAUUAAAUCAAGCUCGAUAUAAUGCAUCCUCUGUCUAUGAGUGGAAUAUAGAUGGAAUGUCUGAAUACAACAUUUUAGGUGUAUUACAGCAAAUGACCAUGGCAGCCAAUGCUUAUAAAACCCAAUCAGGAACUUCUGACAAAGCCAUUGCAGAAAUCCUAAUUGCCGGUUUUACUGGUCAACUUAAAGGAUGGUGGGAUCAUCUUCUCACCAAAUUGCAGCAAUUAGACAUUCUAAAUGCCAUCCAAACCGAUGAGAAUGGAGCCCCCAUUCUUGAUGAGCUCAAUAAUCCAAUUCAGGAUGCUGUUGCUACCCUGAUAUUGACUAUUUCUCUCCACUUCAUAGGUGACCCUUCUCACCUUAGAGAUAAAAAUGCUGAGUUACUACACAACUUGAGGUGUAGGAAACUUAGUGAUUUCAAUGACUACAAAACCACUUUCUUUACCAGACUUUUCCUAAGAGAUGAUGCAAAUCAUGUAACUUGGAAGGAAAAAUUCCUUGCAGGAUUACCUACCCUUUUAGGAGAAAAGGUAAGGAAUUCGAUCAAAGCCCUUUUUAAUAAUCGUAUUCCUUAUGACGAACUCACUUAUGGUGAAUUAGUCAGCUUUGUCAACAAAGAAGGUUUAAAGAUCUGUCAAGACUUGAAACUUCAGAAACGUCUAAAACAAGAGCUUAGCCAAUCUAAGCAAGAAUUAGGCGGGUUCUGCAAGCAAUUCAACUAUGACCCCUUUAAAGCUUCCACUUCCAGAGACUGUAAUGGUAAGUGUUCUUCAAAACCUUACAAGAAACAUUACAAGUCCAAAAGCCAUAGAAAACCCUUUCAUGAUUUUAGAAAACUCCCUUAUAAGAAACCUUUGAGGCCUUAUAAGAAACAUAGUUUCUCUAAAAAGAAAGAGUUUAAAGCCAAACCUAAAACCCCAUUUAAUUUCAAAGAUGCUACCUGUUUCAAAUGUGGUAUGAAAGGUCAUACUGCACGUUUUUGUAAAAUGAACAGGAGACUCUAAGAGCUUGGUCUCGAGGAGGAAAUCCUUUCAAAAAUAGCCCCUCUUCUGGUCGGAUCUUCUGAUUCUGAGUCUUCCUGGUCAGGUGAUAAUGACCCCCUCCAAGUUGAUGAACUAUUUGAUUCAGAUAGCUCUGCAUCUAGCAAUAGUGAUUCUGAUUCGGAUAAUUCUUAUUUAAAGAAAAUCAAUGUUUUGACAAAAGACCAAGAGAUUAUCCUUGAACUUGUGAAACACAUUUCGGAUCCAAAUCUUCAAAAGGAUUAUCUUGAUAAGCUUUUAAAAACCAUGGAUUCAAGCAAUACAGAAGCGUCUUCUUCUAAAGUCCCUAUUGUCAAAAAGAAUUCUUAUGAUUUAAUUGAAAUUUUGGAUAAGAAGAAAACAAAGAAGUCUACUCCUAAUAUCCAAGACCUCCAAAAGGAGAUUAAGGAUAUUAAACUUGAAAUAAAGGAUUUAAAAGAAAAACAAAAAACUGAUUCUGCAACUAUUCAACUCCUUUUACAAAAACAGUUGCAAGAUACUUCCGAUGAGGAAGUUGAAUCAGAAAAUGAUGAUGUUGAACAAAAAAUUGAUAAUCUUGAGUCAAUUCCAAAUGAUUUUUUGUUUGUUUUAAAGCAAAUCACCACCAGAAAAUAUUUGAUAAAGAUUACUUUAAUUUUUUCAGAUGAUUUUGCGAUAGAUGCCAUUGCUCUUUUUGAUACUGGUGCUGAUUUAAAUUGUAUUCGUAAAGACAUUAUCCCAAAAAGAUUUCAUGAGAAAACUAAUGAAAGACUUUCUGCUGCAAACAAUUCAAAAUUAAGGGUUGAUUCCAAAGUUGAAGCAUCCAUUUACAAUGACAAAAUUGAGUUUAAAACCUCUUUUGUUCUUACAAAUGAUAUACACCAUGCUAUCAUUUUAGGAACACCUUUUAUAAAUUUGAUAACUCCAUAUGCUGUCAACUAUGAUGGUAUAUAUUUCAAAGCAAAAUCCAAAGAACUUGCUUUUUCAUUUAUUGAAAAACCAAAGACCCGAAACCUUAAUAUUGUCAAAGCUUGUUCGGUUUACCAAAACAAAAUCAAUGCUAUUGUAAAGUCUAAACAAGAUGAUUUUUUUUACUUACAAAAGGAUUUAAGUUUUCAAAGAAUUGAGAGUCAAUUACAAAAUGAUAUUAUACAAAGAAAAAUUUCUGAUUUCAAAAAUCUUAUUGAAAAAGAAAUUUGUGCUGAUUUACCAUCUGCUUUUUGGAAUAGGAAACAACAUUUGGUAGAUUUGCCAUAUGAAAAUUCUUUUGAUGAAAAGCAAAUACCCACUAAAGCCCGUCCAAUCCAAAUGAAUUCGGAUUUGGAACAACAUUGUAAAGGAGAAAUUAAUGAUCUUAUUUCCAAAGGUCUUAUUGUAAAAUCUAGGUCACCUUGGUCUUGUGCUGCUUUUUAUGUUAAUAAAAAUUCUGAAAUUGAAAGAGGUGUACCUAGACUUGUGAUAAAUUAUAAACCUUUAAAUAAAGCUUUGAAAUGGAUAAGGUAUCCGAUACCUAACAAAAAAGACUUGCUCCAAAAACUUUGCUCGGCCUUCAUUUUUUCUAAAUUUGAUAUGAAGUCAGGUUUUUGGCAAAUUCAAAUUCAUCCUAAAGACCGUUACAAGACAGCAUUUACUGUUCCUUUUGGUCAAUAUGAGUGGACAGUAAUGCCUUUUGGUUUAAAAAAUGCACCCUCAGAAUUUCAAAGAAUUAUGAAUGACAUUUACAAUCCCUACUCUGAGUUUUGCAUUGUUUAUAUCGAUGAUGUUUUGAUUUUUUCUCAAAGCAUUGAUCAACAUUUCAAACAUUUAAAGACUUUUUAUCUUGCUACAAAAAAGGCUGGAUUAGCUCUUUCCAGUUCGAAAAUUUCAUUAUUUCAAACAAAAGUCAGGUUUCUUGGUCAUCAUAUUUCCAAAGGAACCAUUACUCCUAUUGAAAGAUCUCUUUUAUUUGCGGACAAAUUCCCAGACAAAAUUUUAGAUAAGACCCAAUUACAAAGAUUUCUUGGUAGUUUAAAUUAUGUUCUUGAUUUCUGCCCUAACAUCAAUAGGAUGUCAAAGCCUUUGCAUGAUAGGUUAAAAAAGAAUCCUGUUGCAUGGUCAAAAGAGCAUACCAAAGUUGUUAGAUUAAUAAAGCAGUCAGUUAAAAGCAUUCCAUGUUUGCAUCUUGCAAAUCCUGCAUUUCCUAAAAUUGUUGAAACUGAUGCAUCAGACUUAGGAUAUGGAGGUAUUUUAAAGCAAAAAGAAAAUGAUAAAGAACAGAUAGUACAAUAUGUUUCUGCUCAUUGGAACGAUUGUCAGAAAAACUAUUCUACUAUCAAAAAAGAAAUUCUUUCCAUUGUUUUAUGCAUUACUAAAUUCCAAAGUGAUUUGCUAAACCAAAAAUUUUUACUUAGAAUUGAUUGCAAAGCUGCAAAACAUGUUUUAGAAAAGGAUGUUCAAAACAUUGCAUCAAAACAGAUUUUUGCACGUUGGCAAGCUAUUCUCAGUGUUUUUGAUUUUGAUAUAGAAUUCAUUAAAGGUGACAAGAAUUCUGUUCCUGAUUUUUUAACUCGGGAAUUUCUUCAAAAUAGGUAAUGGCUCCAAAGAAAAGAAGUGACAAAGGAAAAGCUCCUGCUUUCCAAGAACCAUCCAAAGAACUUCAAGCAACCCCUUCUAAAGAAAAACUCCUUUCCUCAGCCAUGCCGAUUAAAUCUUGGAUUGAAUUGGUUGAAGAACAUGAAACCAAAUACAAAUCCAUUUCUUCUGAAGACCAAGUAAAGCAAUGGAUGAGUUCCAUUACAAAAUCACCUGAGCUCAUGAUAGCUCUACAAAGCCUUUCCCAGGUCCAACCUAAAGAGGAAGAAAAACCCACUUCUAAAGAUAUCUCAAAGCCUUCCUCUCAAAACAUUGUUGUUUCUGGUGAGAGCUCAUCCUCCCAAAUUGUGCUCUCUCAGCCAACACCUUCAAAGAAAACCUCUGAUUGGUUUGAUAAAGCCCAUUUUCAAAACAUUAUUUCAAUGGAAGAUGGAUUUUACCAUUCUGAUCCUUUUCAAAGUAUUUCAAAGUUUUUUCCCCAAGGCUGGUUUUUCAAACCAUGGGAUUUGACAAAACCCCAGUCUUACUAUCAAAGCAUUUUGGAAAUUACUGAUUCAGUAAAAUUCAAACAUUUCUUUUUAAGUAAAACCCAUUCUGAGCCGGCCUAUUCUACGGCCACAAUUUUAAAAGUUUUGAGCCCUAACCAGUGGGGUGAUCUGCUCCACAAUUUUAAAACUUUCCCUCUUGAUUUUGAGACUCGUUUACCACACUGUCGGUCUUUCUCCUAUUGGGAUUACCAACAGGCUUGGUAUAACACUUUCUUCAUACAAAACCCUAAAAAAUCCCAUUCCUGGUUAUUUUUCUUUAAUUCAAAAAUAACCGUCCAGAGCCUUCCCAAUUGGUUUCACCAUUGGUGGAAUUAUUUUGGUCCAACUUCUGAAAUUCUUACCCAAAAUGCCCUACAAUGCCUAAACCUUUUCAAAGCCAACUACAAACCUACUGAGUCUGAGAAAAGAUUUCCUCAUUUUCUCUGCUUUUGUACCAAUUUCUUCCUCCCAUAGGUCUGGAUGUGGAGUCUUCGACAUCACACACAGGAUUCCCAUUUUAUCCUCCAAAGAACCUUUAGAGUCAAAUGGUGGUCAAAAUUUGACGAGCAAACCAAAUUAACUACCAACCUUGUCCAAAACUGGCUUUAUGCUCAAGGCCACCUACAACCAGCCAUAAAAGACAUUAAAGCCCAAGGCACUUUCCUCACUCAAAAAUCCAAAGCCCAAGCUCUCCUCGCAAGUGCCAAAACAGAAGAAGAAUACUUCAAAGCAAUGGAACAGCUCCUCGCUUCUAGAUCCAAAUCCUCGAUUGCAGAUUCUACUGAAGAUGAAGACGAUGAUGAUGAGCCAACUGUCUCUCUGGGAGAUGAAAAUGAAGAUGAUUGUUUCGGAAUUUUCUCUCCAAUAAAGCAUUGUAAAUAGUUUAUGUAACUAUUUAAAAAAAAAAAAGUAAUUAUUUUCUUUUCGGGUGGUCCUCUGGACACAAGUGAGAGCGCACAUGUCUCUUCACCCGUGUUAUAUUUUAUUCUGUAUUUCAGUAUUUGUACAAAGCAGUCUACUAUUCAAAGCUACGAUCCAAAGAUUACUGUGCACUCAAAGCCCCGCUACAGUGAACAGUGCAAAGUUCCACGAAUUACUGUGCACUCAAAGCUCCGCUACAGUGAACAGUUUACAAAGCCUUGUAUAUAAUCCAAGAGGAAGACUUAGACUCCUCACGGGUUUUUAUUUUGAGUUUUCAUUUCUCUCUCUUCUCCUCCUUCUCUCUAAAAAAUCUCUCUAAAGCAAGAAGUGUUCGAAGAAAUUUUCUGUUUACGUAAUAGUUCUAUCCUAGAGCUUUGAGUAAUCAGACUAAUUCUUUGCCUUCAACAAUCUUCCCGUCUUUCAAUCUUCCCUUCUGGAAAGAUUUGAAAAAAUUGUAAAGCAGCAACAAAAGCAAAGUGUAUGUUUAGAUCUCUGAUCUAAUUUUAUUUGUAAAGCAAUUUCAAUUCAUGUAAUUUAAUUUUUGUGCAUUUAAAUUUCUGCAAUUUAAUUUUAAAGCAAUUUCUUUUAAGCAUGCUUGCAGACUGAUCUGUAUCAGAUCUGCUUUAUAAAAUAUACAUUCUUCUGAGGCAAAGAGACCAGAUCUCGAUCCUCAGUCGUACCCUUCUCUUCUCCCUCCAUUCCUUCAGAGCACCAUUUCCGGGAACCGGAUCUGGUACUGUGUAUGUUUUAGAAGCCAACCUUAAUGCAUGUUUAAUUCUGUAAAGCCCUGUUGCUAGGUUUGCUAAAAUCAACCUAACUCAGAUCUGGUAAAGACACUUCUAAAAUUGACAAAUCGCGUUUCAAAGCAAAGUAGAUCUCCAGAUCUACCAAAGAAUCUAAUUAAAAUUUGGUAAAGCACCCUAAUCCGGUAUAUCGGCUGGAAACCAGAACGUGCGGACUAUUGAUCUGUUCUAAGUCAGAUCUGGGUCCAAAGGCAGAUUAGGUUCUGCAUCGAUCCGGUAAUACAAUGCCACGUACCAGUUUAGAUCUAAAAUUUUGAUCAAUCGCGUUCCAAAGCAAAUUGAUUUAACAUAGAAACGGUAAGUUCUUCUAAAAUCUGACGAAGCCGAUUCCAUUAAUUGUUUAAUUUGAGUUUUUAAUAAUAAAGUAUUUUGAAAACACAUCCAUCCUUCGAUCCUAUUUCCUUCUGGCUUAAGAAUUCUAUUUCCAUCUUGAUUAGCCUUAGUGGGUAAAUUGUAUCCUUUUCUUACGCAUUUCAUAGCUCUUAUGUUAAUGGAUUCAAUAAAAAUAGUCAUCCUUUGCUUUCAAUAUGAAUAAUUGGUGCCAUCAAGUAAUAGUGGACAGGUCCGUAGAUCCUCUUUCUCUCUGCAAAUUCAUUCCGACAAAAAUAGAUCAAGAUCCCAAAAUCUCACCGAAUAAACCAUUAGUGACACUAUUCUAAUACUAAUUGUUAAAAAUUUAGAUAUAUUUUUAACAAUUGUAGGCAAGAUAAGCAAUAGAUAAACUAAUUUCUUCAAUUAAUUACUGUUUACGAUUAUUUUUACGUGAUUUAGAUCACUAUCCUAUAUUCAUGUGAAGAUUAGAACCUAUUGGAUUCUUACACAAUUUCAGACACCCUUUUAUGCUUGUCGCCACCUCUUUGUAUCUAAUUUAGUUGACCUUGCUUAGUGAGAACCCCUCGUUUUCAAUUGCACUUGCUGCUUUCCUUGAGAUCCCCUCAACACAACAAAUGACCUCUUUGUCUAGAAGAGGUCAAAGUAAAUAUAAAAAAUGUCUAAUGAAAGACUUGAUAUGAUGAAGACUAAAACAUCAUAGAGAUAUGAAACAUCAUAUGCAGCCAAAUAGGUUCCUUCUCAUUCUCUGUAUUGGCUUCAAUAUGUGAAAUACUUCUCUUUAUAUAGGAGUAAUAUUUCACUCAAACCCUAGCAGAGAAAUAUUAAAAUAUACUUCCUUAAUGCUCCAAUAUUCCAUAAAUACUUUAUACUAUAAUACAUUUCGUUAAGAGUCCAAUAUUUCAUAAAUACUUGAUAUAUUUAAAAAUAUAGUAGUCAUCUUUAUUUUUGGAGCUCUUUGAUAUGGGAUCUCUUACACACCAAUUUGCUUUUUCUAUGCGUCGAAAUAUAUUCUCCAAUAUUCCACAUAAUCUAAUUUUAAUUAAUUUCCAAGAGUAGAUAAAUUUCUAAUUAAAGGAAACAAAUCUUAAUAAAAGAAAUAAAUAAAUAAAAAUAUUAUUGACACAAUGAUGCCAAUAAUAAAAUCCUUAACAAAAAAUACAUACAUAAAUGUAAUAAAUAAACAAAUAAGAAACUGUAGAAAGACUUACAAUGGGAAGCCGGCAAUUUGAAUCUUUGUGGUAAUGAUUUGUUGGGCCAUGCAGUUUGGCCUUGGCCAUGGAAUGUUCCACCGUCGGUGAGAGUUAAGCAUCUAAGGGAUUCAAAGGUGAUCUGGAUUUCCUUAUUGGCUAGCUUUUAAAGAUCAGGGGGAGCCACGAUGAGGCCUUGAAGUUGAAAUGAAAUUGGAGCUUUGCAUUGACCUUUAAAUACAACAUAAAUCACUAAAUAUUUUCCUGGUGGCGCCAAUAUCGUGCUAUUGGUAUUCCAAUUGCAAGCUUCUCUCUAAGCAUUUUCAAAAGCCUUAAUUGUUAUUAUUAGUGCCAUCGGCCACAACACCAAAGUCAAUUACAUUGAAAACUCCAUUUGGGAGCUGCAGCCAAACCAAAUAAAACUAGUAUUGCAAGUACUAGCAGCUGACGGCAAGAGCCAUAACCCAUCUUGUUUUUUAUGAUGGAUUAAGUGAUAAUGUUCUUGUUGAAAAAAUAGCAUAUCAAUAUGCUAUUUUCAGUGGGUCCUACUUAGCGAAAGUGAAAAAUCUUGUGAAGUUCGGGUUCUACUCCAUGAAUACUUCGAAAGUGUAUAUUUAUUUACUCAAAAUGGUGCUUGGGUGAAUGAGAAAUUGUCUCUCCAAGUGCACCCUUGAAGUUGAAAAUUUGAAAGGAAAUGAGGUUUAUCCCACAAGGGAAAAAUAAGCCAAGGGAUUUUUGUUUAUUUAUAGACACUUACCCAUGCAUGAGCAAGAAUUAUAAGGAUAGAGGCUCUCUCCACACGCGCGUGUGCAGGGGGGUGCGAAUCCAAGAUCGAUUUGGUUGAACUCAUGUGCGCCCGCGCAUCCUGCGUACACGAAUGUCAGCCCAAAAUCACCCAAGCUUGCAUGGCACGUUUUCAAUAGGCUGUAUUGAAUUGUUAAAAUUGAAUUGGCUGUUACAACAAUUAAAUGGCAUAUAUUGAAUUCGGAAAUUCAAUAUUAUGCUACUGUUACAUCCUCACAUGUGUAUAAAAAGGCAGCUUCCUCUUCUGUUUUUACACACAAGAACAACCAACACACAAAGCACUACAAUAGGUGGUAAAUCUAUUUUAAGGAAACUGUGUUGCAGGCCUCACGUUUAUUUUCUGUUUCUAUUUUCUUUCCCCUACUUUUUUCAUUUGUUCAUUCGUGAUUUCCAGUUCCUGUUUUACGUUGUUGUUUAAAUUAGCUACAGUAUUAAAGUGUUAUCUCACUGUUAAUUUUCUUACAAUCUUAAAACAGAUUUAACGUUGAGAUGGCAACUGAAACUAAUGAUCCAGUUCCGACUGUCCCUGUUUCAGCUUCUGCUGCUGGACCAUCUGUUAUGAAGGAACCAGCCUCUGUGGCAAUUCCUCUGAAUCAUGCAAAAAGACUAGAAAAAUUCAAUGGCCAAAAUUUCAAACGUUGGCAGCAAAAGAUGUUCUUUUACCUGACCACGUUGAACCUUGCGAGGUUCUUGACGGAGGAUGCUCCUAAACCCAAAGAGGGUGAAACGAAUGUUCAAGUUGCAAGUGCAAUUGAUGCAUGGCAUCAUUCUGAUUUUUUAUGUAAAAAUUAUGUAAUGAAUGGCCUUAGUGAUUCCUUCUAUAAUGUAUACAUAGGAAAAAUAAUAGCCAAGGAGCUAUGGGAAUCCUUAGACCGUAAAUAUAAAACUGAGGAUGCGGGUACAAUGAAAUGCAAGUAACGCAACCCAAGAGGGGGGGUGAAUUGGGUUUUUAAAAAUAAUGCAAUACGAUUCGCACAAUAAAUCAAUUUAACGCCUUAAUGAAAUAGAGAACAAUAAAUUCAAACAAGCGUAAAAAUAAAAGAGCAAGGGAAGAGAAAAACAAACACGCGGAUUUUUACUUGGUUCGGCAAUCCUCGCCUACGUCCACGCCUCCAAGCCAACCAAGCUUGAGAAUUUCACUAUCCAAGCCUCCCAAGGCUUCAAGUUUUUACAAUUGACUUUCAAGGUGUCAAUGAACCUUUACAACCAAGAGAUUAUCUCCCCAAUCUCUUCACCUCAAGUGUUUCCCACACUUACACACUCACAAUUUGAUAAGAAAUGAAAAUUACAACAAAAACUCUCUUUAAGAGUGGAUAUGCAACUAAUAGCUCAAUAAUGAUUCAAUCAAUGAUGAUUUUCGUUUUGGAAGCUCAAUAUAUAUUGUAUGAUCUUAUAUUUGCUUGCAUUAGUCCUUAGAAUGAAGUUUGAGUUGAGUUUUUAUAGUGAAAGCCCAAAAACUAGCCGUUAUAGGUAAAUUCCCGCGCCCAAGCGGUUAGCCGCUUGAUUAUCCGGCUAGCCGAUCAGGAACAGUGAUAUUACCGUUAUUUUUGAAUUUUGCUACAGUAAUACUAUUCACUGAAAUUACACUUUAACCCAAAACUUUCUAUAAUUAUAUUAUGGCCCAAAACGUCAUAAAACUUUACAAAUAAAUCUAAUUUAAGAACUUCCUAAGAAUAGUUGUCUUUCCCAAGCUUUUUGAAAUUAUGAUAUGGCCCCAAAGAUUUUAUUAUUUCGCACAAAGGUCCUUUUACCCAUAUUUUUCAAAGUUCUCAAAACCUUUCACUUUAGUCCAAAAUAUUCAUAAAUUAUAGUAUGGCCCAAAAUAUUUCAAAUGUUUGUAAAAACAUCCAACUCCGAAAGUUAAUACUUAUUAAAAUCAAAGAUUUCAAAUCUUAGCAUUUAAGUCCAAAUUACUUGAAUCCACAAAAUACUUUACUUUAUAAAAAUAAAACCUUUUAGUUUAUGAAAAGUAUUUAAUUAAAUUAAUCUCUUGACCUUCUCAAAUGCUAAAUCAUGUAUCAAUUAAAUCAUACCAGCUUUACAAGAAUUUAUCGCACUAAUUUGUUCGUUGAGCUCUAAACUAUUUUCUUGAUGUCACCGUUGUCCGUUGAGUGUCUUCAAUCUUGAUUUCACUUGAUUCACUUGCAUAAAUAUUAUCCUUCAAAAACUAGUGAAAAUGUGAAAUACAAUAUUUAUUAAAUUACUUAAUACACAUGUUUGUUAUCAUCAAAAUUACAUUAUGUAUAGCCUUUUAGGCUAACAAUCUCCCCCUUUUUGAUGAUAUCAAACAUCUCAUGUAUUUUGACAUUAAACUCCCCCUCAAUACAUGGCAUACAUGACUUCAACUUAUAAAUCAAAUUCAAAACAAAAACUCCCCCUGAAUAUUUGAUUUAGAUAAUUUGAAAGCUCCCCCUUAAUAUUUCAAAACCAUGCAUAAAUACUUUAAAUAUAAAUUAUGUAUUACAUGUCUUCAUAUUCAAAAUUCAAAAUAAUAUUCAAAAUUCAAAAUACAUGACUUCUCCCCCUUCAUCAUCAAAAUUACUAGAAAUGUACACUAAGACUGAAAAAUUUAACCAAAAUGACAUUAUCAAAAACUUAUCAUAUUUAUUUUCCGCUGUAAAAAAUAGAUAUAUGCAAUUUGAAACAAGAUCACCAAAAAUAAUUCAAUGAAGAUAUUACCAAUUUUGGGCGAGCAAAAGUUUCGACAGAGUCUCCCCUUAAAAAUGAACAAAUCCUCAAAUACACAAUGUGGUUAAAAACACUUCCAUAUAAACUUAAACAAGUAACACAAACCAACAACUCCACCAAGUCAUCAAACAACACAUAAGAAUUAAGCAUAUAAUUAACCAAAGAGUUAUAAUAUUCCAGGAAUCCGAAAACAUUAUCCAAAUAUAACAUAUCCGAAGAUCAAAUAACAAACAUCCUUAAUCCACAAAUUAAAAACAACAUAUCCAAAUAUCAAAUAACAAGAUGUCAUUCGGAAAUGAAAAAACAACAGUGCAUGAAGAAAUGUAGUGCAGAGUGACAAAAUAAGGAGUAAUGACCGACCUUGGCUUGAAAUUGUUGAGAAAAUGUUUCCAAAGUUGGAGUUGUGGAAAAUGAAUCAACAUAAAGUCCGAAUAAUCUCCAUGAUCAUCCUUACGCUUCUUGGCCACGUGUUUUCCCUUGGACUUGUCACCACCCACCAUUGUUGGAAGAAAAAAGAGCUUAAAAAUGCAAUUUCGGGUUUAACAAAAAUUGAGUGAAAUGGAUUUGUUUAAGGCAAGAAAAUUAAUCCUAGAGAUGAAUGAAGCUAAUUUAUGAUGUAGAGUGAAUUAAAAAUGGGCUAAAGGAAGCUUGAAAAUGAAGAGAGAGAAACGGGUAGAGUGAGAAUUUUUUAUUUUGGGUUUUAUGUGGAGAGUUGAUGAAAUGUUGUUUUGAGAGUGAAAAUUGAAGGAGUAAUGGAUGAAUAAUGAGUUGGAUGAUUGAUUUUAACAAGACAAUGAGUGAAAGAUGAAGAAAUUUGAGAAAGAAAAUGGAGAACACUAUUCACGCGUGAAUGGAAUAAGGAUGGAAUGAUGAAGAACAAGUGAAGAAAUCAUGAUGGUAAAGGGUUUAAUGAAGAUGAAAUGCAUGGGUAUUAGUUUGAAUGGUUGAUUUGGGCAUGAAAAUGGAUGAAAAAGGAAGAAAAUGGAAGUGAAAAUGGAUGGGUUGCUCACGGUUUUGAGUGAAAGAGAGAGCAUGUGCAGAAAAUUAACAAAGGAAGAAGAAGAAGCAAAAAAAAUAUGCCUAACCCGUGACCAAGCGGCUAGCCGCUUGCUCUCGGGUUGGGGACAGUUUCCAAGCGGCUAGGCGGCUAGCCGCCUGGUUGCUGUCCAGCUGCACUCAAGUUGAUUUCCGGCUAAUUUCGAUCAAUUCCGUGACCAUUUUGUGAUCCCGAAACAUCUCAAGAGCCAAUUUAAUGCAUGAUUCAUGAUUUUAAACAUCUAAAAGAUGAUUAAUUCAAACAAAUAAUCCAUCCAACAAGCAUAUAUUUAUGAAGCACAUAAGCAUUCAAAAAUUAAUAAAUCAAACACCACAUAUACCUAACUUGCUUAAACACUUCAUAAACAUUAAUAAUCAUCAAGCAAACGAUUUUAAUAGAUUCAAUAACAUAAAUAGAGAUGUUAAUGCGAAAAUUUCAUCAUCUCAAGUUCAUGCCGAAUUUUUGAAAAUUAUUCUUCACAAAGGGGUUUUGUAAAAAUAUUGGCAAGUUGUUUUUCCGUAGAGAUAAAUUCUAAUGCAAUAUCACCUUUUUGAACACGAUCUCUCAAGAAAUGAUGCCUAAUCUCUAUAUGCUUGGUUCUAGAAUGUUGAAUGGGAUUCUUUGAAAGAUUUAUGGCGCUAGUAUUAUCACACUUGAUAGGAAUUUGUUCAAGAUUAAUACCAUAGUCUCUAAGUGUUUGUUUCAUCCAAAGUGCUUGUGCACAACAACUACCUGCGGCAAUAUAUUCCGCCUCAGUAGUUGAGAGUGCCACGAAUUUUGUUUCUUACUAAACCAUGAAACAAGUGAAUAACCAAGAAAAUGGCAAGUUCCACUAGUACUCUUCCUAUCGACCUUGUGACCAGCAAAAUUGGCAUCCGAAUAACAAGUUAAAUCUAUAUGAGUUCCUCUAGGAUACCAAAGGCCAAUAUCUAUGGUUCCACUCAAAUAACAAAAAAUUCUUUUAACAGCAAGCAAAUGAGAUUCCUUGGGACAUGAUUGAAAUCUUGCACACAUGAUUGAAAUCUUUCACACAAACAUACACUAAACAUGAUAUCGGGUCUACUUGCGGUUAAGUAAAGUAAGGAUCCGAUCAUACCUUGAUACUUUUUAAUAUCAACCUCUUUACCUUUUUCAUCCUUAUCAAGCUUGAUUGUUGUACUCAUUGGAGUAUUCUUGGUAUUUGAUUCAUCAAUACCAAAUCUCUUGAGCAAGUCUUUGACAUACUUAGCUUGGUUGAUGAAGAUCCCCUCAUUGUUUUGUUUGAUUUGAAGUCCAAGAAAAUACUUCAAUUCUCCCAUCAUGCUCAUCUCAAAUUCCUUACUCAUACAAGAGGAAAAUUCUUUGCACAAAGAUUCAUUAGUAGAACUAAAAAUAAUAUCAUCAAUAUAAAUUUGAACAACAAGUAUAUCUUGAUUUUUAUUUUUAAUAAAGAGGAUAGUAUCCGCUCUUCCCAUCGAAAAACCGUUAUCCAACAAGAAAUUUUUAAGCCUAUCAUACCAUACUCUAGGUGCUUGUUUUAAUCCAUACAAUGCUUUUGAUAACUUAUAUACAUGAUUUGGAAAUUUCUCAUUUUCGAAACCAGGGGGUUGUUUCACAUAAACUUCCUCCAUAAUAUAACCAUUUAGGAAAGCACUCUUGACAUCCAUUUGAAAUAAAAUAAAAUCUUUAUGACAUGCAAAUGCUAACAACAUCCUAAUGGAUUCUAAUCUAGCUACAGGUUCAAAUGUUUCAUCGAAAUCGAUUCCUUCUUCUUGUUUGUAUCCUUGAGCCACUAAUCUAGCUUUAUUUCUUACAACCACACCGGAUUCAUCCAUUUUAUUUCUAAAUACCCAUUUAGUGCCUAUAAUGGAUUGAUGUUCUGGUUUAGGAACCAAUUCCCAUACUUUAUUUCUCUCAAAUUGAUUUAACUCCUCUUGCAUUGCCAUAAUCCAAAACUCAUCAUUUUCCGCAUCCGCAAAAGAUUUUGGUUCAAUUCGAGAAAUAAAUGCAGCAUGCUCACAUGUGUUUCUAAGUGAUGAUCUAGUUGUGAUAUCUCUUGAAGGAUCACCUAAUAUUAAAUCCUUAGGAUGAGAGGAAACAUACCUCCACUCCUUGGGGAGUGUUUGAGAACUACCUUCUUGUUGCUCCAGCUCCAUAUUUGUUUGUUCUUCUUGUCUAUCUUCUUGAUUUUCUUGUGGUGCAUGCUCUUGAUUCUCUUUUGACGAUUCUUCUUAUAACUCUCCAUCUGCAUCAUCAUUAACAACUCCUUUCUCCGCAGAGGAGGGGUUAGAUUCAUCAAACGUAACAUGCAUGGAUUCUUUCACAACUAAAGUUCUUUUAUUAUAAACUCUAUAAGCUUUGCUUGAGUUUGAAUACCCGAGAAAGAUGCCAAAUUAGAUUUUGGAUCAAAUUUACCAAGAUUAUCUUUUGUGUUUAAAAUAAAAUAUUUGCAUCCAAAAAUUUUGAAAUAACCAAUAUUGGAUUUUCUAUCUUUCCAAAGCUCAUAGGGAGUUUUAUUGAGAUGAGGUCUAAUCAACACAUGAUUUAAAACAUAACAAGCGGUGUUGACGGCUUCGGCCCAAAAAUAUUUUGGUAAUGCAUUUUCAUUUAACAUGGUCCUAGCCAUUUCUUGAAUAGACCUAUUCUUUCUCUCAACAACUCCAUUUUGUUGUGGAGUCCUAGGUGAUGAAAAUUGAUGCUCAAUGCCAAAAUCAUUACAAAAAUUUUCAAAUGCAUGAUUUUCAAACUCUCCACCAUGAUCACUUCUAAUACAAGUAAUAGAAUAACCCUUUUCAUUUUGAACCUUUUUACAGAAAAUUCUAAAUGCAUCAAUGGCAUCAUCCUUAUUAGCUAAGAAUAAUACCCAUGUGUAUCUAGAAUAAUCAUCUACAAUUACAAAUGCAUAAAAUUUGUCAUUUAAACUAGCAUAUUUAGAGGGUCCAAACAAAUUUAUGUGAAGUAAUUGAAGAGGUUUUAAAGUAAAGAUAUGAUUCUUGUUUUUGAAAGAGGUUUUGAUUUGUUUUCCAAAUUGACAUGCUUCACAAAUUCUAUCCUUUUGAAAACCAAUUUUUGGAAGACCUUUAACUAAAUCGUUUUUCGAAAUUUUUGAAAUUAAAUCCAUGCUUGCAUGUCCUAGUCUUUUAUGCCAUAACCAACCAUCAUCAUGCAAUGCUGAAAAACAUUUAUCAUGAGUAGAUGCACAUUUUAUAUCAAUCGUGUAAACAUUGCCACAUCUAUUUCCCAUAAACAAAAUUUUCCCAUCACAUGCAUUCUCAAUAACACAUCUUGAUUGAUCAAAAACAACUUUAUAACCUUUGUCACAUAGUUGACUAAUGCUAAUCAAAUUGUAUUUCAAAUUUUCAACCAAACACACAUUUUCAAUUAGAGUUGAAGAAAUUUUACCAACAUUUCCAAUUCCGAGAAUUUUUCCUUUUGAGUUAUCUCCAAAGGAUACAUCUCCACCAUUUUCGAUUUUGGUGAAACUUGAGAACCAUGCAUAGUUUCCGGUCAUAUGCCUAGAACAUCCGCUAUCCAAGUACCAUUUAUUUUUCUUUUUCUUCAAGCCCUGCAAAGAAAAUCUUAUGUCUUAGGUACCCAAACCUUUUUGGGUCCUUGAUCGUUAGCAACGGUUCCUUUUGGAACCCACACACAUUUGACACCAUUAUAUGCAUUCCUUUUUACGGGACAUCUAUAUUUCAUGUGACCAUUUUGAUUACAAUAAUGACAAACAAUCUUAUGAUUAUUUGUGGAGGUAGCUUUAACAAAAUAAUUCUUAUAAUACUUUUGCUUCAAGUUAGGCUUAUACCCAAGUCCUCCUUUAUCAAAAACACAUUUUUGGGAGUUAAACAUGUUAUCCAACAUCUUUUGCCCAUUUGUAAAUUUUAGAACAACAUUACUAAGUUCAAUAUUCUUUUUCUUGAGCAUUUCAUUUUCCUUUUUCAAAUCAUCUACAUGUGACUCUAAAUACUCAUGUGAAGUGCUAGAUUUUUCAUUUGAAAAUGCAACUCUAUUAUGCAAGGUUUUAUUCUCUAAUUCUAAUCCUUUAAUCUUCUCAUUCAAUGACUUAUUGCAUUUUUGCAUGGCAUCCUUUUCAUUUGUAGAUUCUAGCAAUUUCUUUUUAAGGCAUGCAUUAUUUUUACCAAUUUUUAUCAACUCAUCAUGCAUUUCUUUAAAAGCAUCAUAUAAUUCAUCAUAGGUUGGAUCAUUUACCUCAUUGAGAUCAUCAUCAUCUCCUAGUGCCAUAAGUGCUAGGUUUGAUACUUCUUGCGACUCAUCUUCAUCACUUGAAUCUUCAUCGCUAUCAUCCCAAGUAGCAACCAUAGCUUUCUUCUUGAGUUUGUUGAGAAGUAGGCAUUCCGAUCUUAUAUGGUCGGGCUUCUUGCACUCAUAGCAUAUGAUUACCUCUUUCUUCUCCUUUUGGUUUUUGAAAUUUCUGAAUUUUCUUCGGUCAUCGGUUUUCUUGAAAAAUUUUAUGAACCUCCUUGCUAGCAUAGCCAACUCCUCAUCAUCCGGCUCACUUUCCCCAUCACUCUCAUAUUUGGUGACUUUGAGAGCAAUGUUUUUCUUCCUUUCCCCAUUUCCUCUUUCAGCUGCCAAAUCUUCCUCAUAAGAAAUAAGAGAACCAAUUAAAUCAUCAAUAGGUAAGAUAUUCAAAUCUUUAGCUUCCUCAAUGGCAGUCCUUUUUGGUCUCCAUUCCUUAGGUAACGACCUAAUGAUUUUCUUAACUUUCUCGCUAUUUGAAAAGGUCUUUCCUAGGGCUCCUAGAGUGUUUACUAUGUCCGUAAAUCUAGUAUACAUAGAAUACACACUCUUAUUUUGUUCCAUUUGGAACAAUUCAUAUUGCCGAGUGUACCUACUAAUUUUAGACUCUUUCACUUGAUUCGUGCCUUCAUAAAUAACUUCAAGUUUGUACCAAAUUUCAUUAGCACUUUCACAACUAGAUACUCUAUGAAACUCUUUCUUAUCGAGUGCACAAAACAAGGCAUUCAUGGCUUUGGAAUUUAGAGAAGCUUUUCUCUUUUCCAAUUCAUUCCAUUCACGUGAAGGUUUUGGAAUGUCUUCCCCAAUUUCAUUUUUAGUCAAAGGCAUAAAUGGACCAUCACAUACAACUUCCCAAAUUUCAUAAUUUAAUGCUUGUAAAUAAAUUCUCAUCCUAGUUUUCCAAUACGGGUAGUCAUUUCCGUCAAAGAACGGUGGCUUAGUUAUGGAUUGUCCUUCCCUAAAGGUUGAAUCAUUUUGGGUUGCCAUGGAUCUUUUACUCUAAACGAUUAAGUCCUAACAAGAGAACCAAGCUCUGAUACCAAAUAAAAUGCAAGUAACGCAACCCAAGAGGGGGGGUGAAUUGGGGUUUUAAAAAUAAUGCAAUACGAUUCGCACAAUAAAUCAAUCUAACGCCUUAUGAAAUAGAGAACAAUAAAUUCAAACAAGUGUAAAAAUAAAAGAGCAAGGGAAGAGAAAAACAAACACGCGGAUUUUUACGUGGUUCGGCAAUCCCCGCCUACGUCCACGCCUCCAAGCCAACCAAGCUCGAGGAUUUCACUAUCCAAGCCUCCCCAGGCUUCAAGUUUUUACAAUUGACUUCCAAGGUGUCAAUGAACCUUUACAACCAAGAGAUUAUCUCCCCAAUCUCUUCACCCCAAGUGUUUCCCACACUUACACUCACAAUUUGAUAAGAAAUGAAAAUUACAACAAAAGCUCUCUUUAAGAGUGGAUAUGCAACUAAUAGCUCAAUAAUGAUUCAAUCAAUGAUGAUUUGCAUUUUGGAAGCUCAAUAUAUGUUGUAUGAUCUUAUAUUUGCUUGCAUUAGUCCUUAGAAUGAAGUUUGAGUUGAGUUUUUAUAGUGAAAGCCCAAAAACUAGCCGUUAUAGGAAAAUUCCGGUGUCCAAGCGGUUAGCCACUUGAUUAUCCGGCUAGCCGCUCAGGAACAGUGAUAUUACCGUUAUUUUUGAAUUUUACUACAGUAAUACUGUUCACUAAAAUUAUACUUUGGCCCAAAACUUUCUAUAAUUAUAUUAUGGCCCAAAACGUCAUAAAACUUUGCAAAUAAGUCCAAUUUAAGAACUUCCUAAGAAUACUUGUCUUUCCUAAACUUUUUGAAAUUAUAAUAUGGCCCCAAAAAUUUUAUUAUUUCACACAAAGGUCCUUUUACCCAUAUUUUUUAAAGUUCUCAAAACCUUUCACUUUAGUCCAAAAUAUUCAUAAAUUAUAGUAUGGCCCAAAACAUUUCAAAUGUUUGUAAAAACAUCCAACUCCGAAAGUUAAUACUUAUUAAAAUCAAAGAUUUCAAAUCUUAGCAUUUAAGUCCAAAUUACUUAAAUCCACAAAAUACUUUACUUUAUAAAAAUAAAACCUUUUAGUUUAUGAAAAGUAUUUAAUUAAAUUAAUCUCUUGACCUUCUCAAAUGCUAAAUCAUGCAUCAAUUAAAUCAUACCAGCUUUACAAGAAUUUAUGGCACUAAUUUGUUCGUUGAGCUCUAAACUAUUUUCUUGAUGUCGCCGUUGUCCGUUGAGUGUCUUCAAUCUUGAUUUCACUUGAUUCACUUGCAUAAAUAUUAUCCUUCAAAAACUAGUAAAAAUGUGAAAUACAAUAUUUAUUAAAUUACUUAAUACACAUGUUUGUUAUCAUCAACAUUACAUUAUGUAUAGCCUUUUAGGCUAACAUACAAAAAGUUUGUUGUUGGCUAUUUCCUAGACUAUAAAUGGUGGAUUCCAAAACUGUAAUGAGUCAAGUACAAGAGCUUCAGAUAAUAUUAUCUGAAAUCCUUGCUGAAGGGAUGAUGUUAAGCGAAACGUUUCAAAUGGUUGCAAUUAUUGAAAAAUUGCCUCUUGCUUCGAAAGAUUUCAAGAGUUAUUUGAAGUAUAAACGCAAGGAAAUGAAUAUUGAAGGGUUGUUUAUGUGGCUAAGGCAAACGUUGUUGAACAUGGACCUAAAAAUAAGAAAAAUAAAAAAUUGGGUCCGAAAGGAGGAAUUUCCAAGAAGCAAACAAAGUUUCAAGGAAAAUAUUUUAAUUGUGAUAAGAUAGGUCACAAGGCUUCGGAUUGCAGGUCGCCUAAAAAGAAGCAAGAGGCAAAUGUGGUGGAAAACAUCACUCAACAUGUUUCAGACAUAAACCUCUCUACAUUGGUUUCAGAAGUGAAUCUGGUUGGCUCUAAUCCGAGAGAAUGGUGGAUUGAUACGGGAGCAACCAGACAUAUUUGCUCGGACAGAGGGUUGUUCACUUCAUUUGAAGUAGUUAGCAAUGGAGAGAAGCUAUUCAUGGGGAAUUCUGCUACAUCUGAGAUUGAGGGUCAAGGGAAGGUGAUUCUGAAGAUGACUUCUAGAAAAGAGCUGACUCUAAACGAUGUGCUUUAUGUGCCAGAAAUUCGGAAGAACUUGGUGUCUGGAUCGCUAUUGAACAAACAUGGUUUCCGAAUGGUGUUUGAGUUAGAUAGGGUAGUUUUGUCAAAGAAUGAGAUGUAUGUGGGAAAGGGUUAUGUUAAUGAUGGGCUAUUUAAGCUCAAUGUAAUGACUCUGAAACCAAAAAUUAAUAAUGAAGCUAGUUCUUCUGCUUAUUUGCUUGAGUCUUCUAAUCUUUGGCAUAGUAGAUUAGGACAUGUUAAUUUUAAUUCAUUGCGUAAAUUAAUUAACAUGAUACAUAUUCCCAAUUUCCAAAUUGAUUUGAAACAUAAGUGUGAAACUUGUGUUGAGGCAAAACUAAGUAGGUCAUCUUUCCAAACAAUUAAAAGAAACAAUGAACCACUUGAUUUAAUACAUAGUGAUAUUUGUGAUUUUAAAUCCAUUCAAAUAAGAGGUGGUAAUAAAUAUUUUAUUACCUUUAUUGAUGAUUGCAUAAAAUAUUGCUAUGUAUAUUUGUUGAAAAGUAAAGAUGAAGCUUUAGAAAAAUCAAAGAAUUAAGGAGUGACCGCGGUGGUGAGUAUGUUAUUCCGUUUGAGUAACUAUAUGAACAAAGUGGAAUCAUACAUCAAGUCACGACUCCAUAUUCACCUCAAUCUAAUGGGAUUGUAGAUCGAAAGAAUUGAGCUUUAAAGGAAAUGAUAAAUGUAAUGUUGAUAAGUUCUGGGUUACCCCAGAAUAUGUGGGGAGAAGCUGUUUUGUCAGCUAAUUAUUUAUUAAAUAAGAUACCCCGAAAGCAAGAAGAUAAAACCCCGUAUGAGCUGUGGAAAGGUAGAGCACCUUCAUAUAAAUUCUUACGAGUGUGGGGGUGUCUUGCUAAAGUAGUGGUUCCUUUAAAUAAAAAAAUGAAAAUAGGACCAAAAACUGUUGACUGCAUUUUCAUUGGUUAUGCACAAAACAGUAGUGCUUAUCAAUUUCUGGUGCAUGAGUCUAAAGUUCUAGAUGUCCACAAAAAUACGAUAAUAGAAUCAAGAAAUGCAUUGUUUUUCGAACUUGUGUUUCCUUGCAAUUCUAGAGUGGAAUCGAGAGAACUAUGACAAUUUCAUGAAACAACAAUUGAAAAUAAAGAAAAUGAUGAAGCUCCAAAAGAAGAAGAAGAACAAGAAGUUGAGGUCAGACGUAGCAAAAGAGCUAGAAUAGAAAAGUCUUUUGGUCCAGACUUUCUGAUGUAUUUGCUAGAAAGUGAACCUCAAAGCUUCAAAGAAACUGUAACUUCACCUGAAGGCCCUUUAUGGAAAGAAGCCAUUAAUAGUGAUUUUGAAUCCAUUUUACAAAAUCAUACCUGAGAGCUUGUAGAUCUUCCUCCAGGAUGUAAACCUUUGGGGUAUAAGUGAAUUUUCAAAAGGAAAAUGAAAGCCGAUGGAUCAAUUGAUAAGUAAAAGGCUAGGCUUGUAAUUAAAUGUUAUAGGCAACGAGAAGGCCUUGAUUACUUUGAUACUUAUUCUCCUGUUACGAGAAUAAAUUCCAUUCGGAUGAUAAUAGUAAUUGCAGCUUUGCGUAAUCUCGAGAUACAUCAAAUGGAUGUAAAGACGGCUUUUGUAAAUGGAGAUUUAAAUGAAGAAAUCUACAUGGAGCACCCUGAAGGUUUUAUAGCUCCAGGACAAGAAAAGAAAGUUUGUAAAUUAGUAAAGUCAUUAUAUGGCUUGAAACAAGAACCAAAACAGUGGCAUGAAAAAUUUGAUCAUACGAUGAUCACAAGUGGAUUUAAGAUCAAUGAGAGUGACAAGUGUGUUUAUGUCAAAGAAACAGAAAAUGACUAUGUCAUUUUAUGUUUAUAUGUUGAUGACAUGCUCAUUGUUGGGAGUGAUGAUGACAUGAUUAAAUCUACCAAGAAUAUGUUGAAGUCUAAGUUUGACAUGAAAGACAUGGGUCUUGUAGAUGUCAUUUUGGGAAUUAAAAUCUCAAGGGCUUCUAAUGGACUUAUUCUAAGUCAAACUCAUUAUGUAGAUCAAAUUCUUGGGAAAUUUAAUAAAGAUGAUAAUACCGUGUCUAAAACUCCAUUAGAUACGAGUAUACAUCUAUCGAAAAACAGAGGAGAAGGUAUUUCUCAAGUAGAAUACGCUAGAAUAAUAGGCAGUCUGAUGUACUUAACAAAUUGUACCAGACCAGAUCUAGCCUAUACAGUAAGUAAACUUAGUAGACAUACAAGUAAUCCAGGAACUAAUCACUGGAAAGCUAUUGUAAGAGUACUCAGGUAUCUUCGAUACACUCGUAAUUAUGGACUGUACUAUACUAGGUAUCCGGAAGUAUUAGAAGGAUAUAGUGAUGCUAACUGGAUAUCUAAUGUAAAAGACUCAAAAUCCACUAGUGGCUAUGUGUUUACACUAACAGGUGUAGCUGUAUCAUGGAGGUCUUCUAAACAGACAGUAAUUGCCAGAUCUACAAUGGAAUAUGAAUUCAUUGCUUUAGAUAAAUGUGGUGAGGAAGUAGAAUGGCUAUGGAAUUUUUUAGAGGGUAUUCCAAAGUGGCCAAAGCCUGUGCCUAUAAUUUGUAUUCAUUACGAUAGUCAAUCAGCUAUCGGUAGGGCACAGAGCAAUAUGUAUAAUGGUAAGUCUAGACACAUACGUCGUAGACAUAAUACCAUUAGACAACUUAUUUCUACUGGAGUUAUUUCUAUUGACUAUGUAAGGUCAAAUGAUAACAUUGCGGAUCCACUAACCAAAGGAUUAAAUAGAAAGCUAGUAGAAAAAUCAUCGAGGGGAAUGAGAUUAAAACCCUUAGAAUGAUUAGUCAAUAACGAAGGAAAACCCAACCUAGUUGACUGGAGAUCCCAAGAUCUAGGUUCAAUGGGACAACCUAAUUGUUAAAGACUAAAGUUGGAUCACUGUGGGGGUCAUUCUCUUGAGAGGAUUACCUCAUUGACCAUUCCUAUGAUGAAACAGUGAUGCUCGUGAGAGAUAAGGUUGAGCUGGGCUCUUACUGAUUCUUAUGCAUCGAAAUUCGAGCGAAGUAAUACGAGUUACUCUUAAUUAAGAUAUCACCUAUGUGAGAGAGAAGUGGGGCCGCUUCAAAGGGAGUUGUUAGGGGUUCAGCUCUUAGAAACUCUGGUAGAACUAGGUAGAUGUUUAAGGCCAAAACGAGCAUAACCAUCAGAACUCAACAGUGUUAAGAGAGAUACCUCUGUGUAGUAUAUGAUCGUUUACACUAACGGCAGAACAGUUCAACGACAUCGCGUCUAUUGAUCAACCAGUAAAGUAAAUAUACUAUCACAAUGGAAGGUUUAAAGGAUAAAACCUACCUAUCCUUUGCUAGGUAUCGAUAUAAUAAACUCGAUCAUUAAGGUCAAAAAUGAUUUUGAUGUCAAAAUUUAGCGGUUUUCUGUUUUACUGCCAAAUUUCAUUCAUGUGGGGGAUUAUUGAAAAAAUAGCAAAUCAAUAUGCUAUUUUGAGGGCACAUUUUGAGUGGGUCCCACUUAGCAAAAGUGGGAAAUCUUGUGAAGUUCAGGUUCUACUCCGUGAAUACUUCGAAAGUGUAUAUUUAUUUACUCAAAAUGGUGCUUGGGUGAAUGAGAAAUUGUCUCUCAAAGUGCACCCUUGAAGUUGAAAAUUUGAAAGGAAUUAUAAGGAUAGAGGGAUUUGUGUUUAUAUAUAGACACUUACCCAUGCAUGAGCAAGAAUUAUAAGGAUAGAGGCUCUCUCCACACGCGCGUGCAGAGGGGGGGUGCGAAUCCAAGACCGAUUUGGUUGAACUCGUGUGCGCCCGCGCAUCCUACGCAUGAGAAUGUCAGCCCAAAAUCACCCAAGCUUGCAUGGCACAUUUUUAAUUUCCUUUUAAAUUUUUGUAACAGUUUUUCAAUUUUUGAAUUCAAAGGAUUUGUAACAGCUUUGCAACUAUUUUUGGGUUGUUAUGCAAAUUCAAUUUUUGAAUUCAAUAGGCUGUAUUGAAUUGUUUAAAUUGAAUUGGCCGUUACAACAAUUAAAUGGCAUAUAUUGAAUUCGGAUAUUCAAUAUUAUACUAUUGUUACAUCCUCACAUGUGUAUAAAAAGGCAGCUUCCUCUUCUGUUUUUACACACAAGAACAACCAACACACAGAGCACUCCAAAAUUUCUUUCCUCCUUCUGACGUUCUGUUUUUUAUCGAGUUUGUAUGCUGUUGUGGUUCGCCAGAAUUAUCAGUCUGUGCUUGACGGAUAAUUAGUACCCGUUGUAUCCUAGGAAAUAGUUACCAGCAAACCUAAAGCACUACAGUAGGUGGUAAAUCUGUUUUAAGGAAACUGUGUUGCAGGCCUCAGGUUUAUUUUCUAUUUCCGUUUUCUUUUCCCUAUUAUUUUUCAUUUGUUCAUUCGUGAUUUCCAGUUGCUGUUUUACGUUGUUGUUUAAAUUAGCUACAAUAUUAAAUUGUUAUCUCACUAUUAAUUUUCUUACAGUUCUCCUGGUGAUCUAUUUAAUUUAAUUAGAUGUUGAUGGUAGAGAUAGAUCACUCAUGUGGAGGCAUUUUAUAAAGUAGUGUGAUAGCUGUUCGUCCACUAAUUACAUAUGAAACAAUACAAGUGGCCUAUUUUAGCAUGAUUUUGGGAGUUACUUUCUUAGUCAAGGGUUACUUUCUUUACUCAAGGGCUAUAGGUCGUUUUCUGUGGUCCAUUCAUCUUUUGCUUUGUGGUUGCUCCGCUAUAUAAUUUCUAACAAAUUCUGUUAACGGCUACGAGUUAUUAAUAAAUAAACUCUAUUGUGUUGCAUGUGGUUGCGUAAGUAAGAAGUUUAACUCAUUCAUAUCAUUUUUUAAUUAACCUGUUUAAACUUCAUGAAUCAAAUGUGAUUUGAUCCAAUAUUUAAGUAAAAAGGGAUAAGUUAUCAAGUAAAAAUGCGAUUUACUAAAUCUUUUAAUUGUAUGCACUGUCGAAAUUAGGGUAAAUAUUUGUUUAAUCCCUAUUUUUAAUUUGGAGUUAGAUGUGUAUUUAGUCAUUGUAUUUUAAAAAGUUUCUCAAAGCCGUUAAAUAUGUGACACUACUGACCUUAUUGUUUCUUUACUUUUACAAUUAUACCCUUACUACAAUUUUGAGCACAUUAAUUAGUUUAUCUAUAAUAAAAAGUUAUCUAAUAAUUAACAAUAAUUAUUUAUUAGUGAAUUAACUAAUAAAUAUUAUUAUGAAAGAAUUGGUACUUUUUGUACAUUGCAAUAUUCUUCCUAAUAAUUAUUUUUAAAGAAGUUAAUACUAGCCAACCUAAAGCAAUAUUUGGAACCUUGCAAUAAUACAUAAAUAAUUUACAAAAUUAACCAUAAAAGUAAAUCAAUAACAAAGAUUUACAUUUAUUUUUAUUUUUUAGCAUUAAUUCUUAAUAAUCUUUUAUAAAUUAAUUAAUUAAUGUCCCUAUAAAUGUUGUUGCAAGGGCAUCAUCAUAAAAACAAAAAAAUAAUAAGGGCAUGAGUGUAACAUAUUUAACAGUAUAGAUGUUUUGAGGUAUUUUAAAAAAUACAAGAAAUAAAUGCAUAACUAAUCAAAAUAUAAGGAUUAAACAAGUAUUUACUUAUCGAAACUAAGUAGAAAUACAAUAGAAUCCUGAACAUUAUUACAUUACCCUUAUAUUGUAAUAUGAAAUUAGUAGAUCAUUUAUUCAUUUUGUCUUGCCUUGCCUUUUUAAGAUCCUGACACGUGUUUGUUGUUAGUUAUUUAUAGUUUAUGAAUAACUUUUCAGGAUUUCUUUAUGAUACUGUAUGUAUUUUUACAGCAUUGAUAGUGGGAUUAAUGUGGACCAUUAGUUUUAAGUAUUUUAAUCUCAAUCGUCCAUUUAAUAUAAUGGAUAAUUAAAUAAUUAAUCAAAAUGUAGCAGGUAGUUUACAAGUUGUUGGUAAAUAUUUUUUUUAAUUUUAAAUUAAUAUUAGUUUGAGAAAAAGCCACACACAUCCCAAGGUUUGCUCAAAUAGUCAUAUAGAUCCACUUAGUUUCAUAAAUGGUAAUACAGACCCCUUAAUUUUCAUAAAUGACUAUUAUACAUUUUGAUUUACACAACCUAAAUAAAUAUACAUAUAGUAAUAGGAUAAAAAUAAUAAUAAAUAUCAUAUGAUACAAAUAAAAUAUUAAAAUAAGUAUAAUUAAUAAAAUAACAUGUAUAAUGAAUUCUUUUAAUAUUAAGUUAUUAUUAAUCUAUCCCGAUGGAUUUAUUAAAAUCUACUAAUCCAAAAAUUGACUUUAAGAUAGAUAUUAAUACAUAUAUAAUUAGAAAAGAUAUUGUAAAUAAAACACUACAAAUUUUUAUAAAUUGUUGUGAGUGUUAGGUAUAACUAUUUCAAUAUUCUAUAUCAUACAUCAUACUUAAGAUGUUGAUUUUGUUGAAGUGUUAUGUUAUUAAACAUUAAGCUUUGCAUUUAUAAUGUGCUACAACUUUAAUGUAAAAUGUAAUAAAAAAUAUAAAGACAUUUUUUAGUAAUCAAUUGUAUUGUAAUAUGAUCAAUUUACCCUACAGUGAUACUUAUUUCUAAACUGACACUCCAAGUAACUUAGGGCAUGUUCAAUAUCAUUUUGUAGCCCCUAUUUUCAUUUUCAUUUUAAUAAUACAGGUGUAAUAUAUGUUUGGUGAGCCUAAACCUUAAAUCAAAUUAUAAAAUGAAUUAAACAGAAUCUAUUUGAUAGUAAUAAAAGUUAAAACAUGUUAAACACGUUUUCUGUAACUUACAAAACGAAUUAUAAAAUAAUAUACUACACGUCUUCCAAAGUAUAGCAAAUAAAAUAUAUUUUACAAACACUACUAUAGAAAGACAUAUAAGACAUAUGUUAAGUUAGUAGAUAUGAUUUUUCUUGUAUUCAUUAAAACAUAUGAAUUGAUACCCACACACACACACACACACACACACACACACACACACAUAUUGAGUACUUCUAUCUACCUGUAUUUAUUAAUAGAAGGGAAAUUAAAAUCGUAAUUACCCUGAUAUAUUAUGAAUUGAUAUGUCACAUAUAAAUAUCAGUGAAAAUUAAUUUUUAGAUUAAUGUUGUAAACCAUUUAUAGGCAUUUAAUUAAUCUAAGGUCAAAUGAAAUAUAUCACAUGACAUUUCAUGUAGUAGUCCAAUUUUUAACACUUGCAUAUAGUUUUGUAAGCUAAUAAGCCAAUGAAAUAUACCACAUGAGAAAUUGAUGGGCUAUUAUUUAUAUUUCACUAUUGGACAAUUAUGGAUCUUCCAAUUCUCUUCCAUGGCCAUAAAUUAGAAUAAAAAAAUCACAUAGUAGAGACUACAUCCAUUUGCAUGCUCUCAAAAUAGAUUUUGAAAUUUAUUUUGCAUGCUUUCAAAAUAAAUUUUGAAAUUAGUUUGGUUACAUGAUAAUCAAAUUAUCUUAUAACAUUAAUGAUAUAAUUUAAGCACUAUUUUAGCAAUUGUGAGUUUUACAUUAAAUCUUCAAAUUAAUUACAUAUUGUCACUCUUUCUUGUUUUGCUUGAAAUUUCUAUUUAAUAAAAUUAUGAAAAGUUGAUAAUGAAUGGUUUAGGAUACAUAGGUAAGAUAAACUUUAAAAGUCUAAUGAAACAUUUCUAUGAAUGUGGGUUUCAUAUGCAUGUUCAUAUAUUUCAUUGAAAUCAUAUAUUUUAUUGAAUUUUGUGUUAUUAAACGAAAUAUGUUAUUCAAGUGAAAAAUGUGAGAAUAUUUAAAACUGUAGGGGUCGUCAUUGAAAUUUCGCAUACUUCUACCAACUCCACGAUCCAACAGUUCACCCCUGUUAACCGGUUAUGUUAUUUUUUUAUUAAUAAAUAUAAUGUACAUUGUUGAUUAAAUCUAAUGGUUAAUAUUGUUUACACUAUUGAUGCUGAAAAAAAUUACAGCAUCAUAGAGGGACCCAACUUUUCAUUGUUUUUGAUUCCAUGAACCACUGAUAAUCAAUAGAUUUAAAAAAGAUAAGCCGAAGACAAGAUGAAUAGAACAUAUAAAUCAGAGGGGGCCCAUGAUCAAAUUUAGGCUGUGCUAAAUUAUAAAUUUAUAGUAUAUAUUAGAGUUAAUGUCAGUGCACAUAAACAAUUAAAAAUUUUACUCUAAACAAAAUGAAAACUUUUAAUAAAACAAGUCUCUAACUCUAACUAGUGACAUGGUAGAUUACUCUUUUUAUAUGAAUUUUAAAGGUCCCAAUUCAAAAUUAACUUAACUAGAAGAUAUAUUUAAUUUAUUUUAAAAGAAAUUGAUUUCGGGAUACAGUUGAGAAAAAAGUGAUAAUUAUAUUCUUAUGGAGAAGAUCAUAAAUCUAUAUGGAUUUUAAGUACUAAGCUGGGCAGUUUAGCCCAGAUUAUCGAUCGCGCCUAACCCAGUUGGGUUUAACUAUGAGCUUUCCUCCAAUAUUCUUUUUUUUUUUUUUUUUGAAUAGCCUCCAAUACACUCUUAAAACUCCAUUUUUAAGGAAAAAAAAAACCAUUAUCGUUAUUAAUACUCACUUUAAUUCGAAAAACUACUUCUUAUAAACAUCGUAAUCUUUCAGUUCAAAACCCAGAAAACACAGUUUUCUUGAUUUUCCAUUAUCCAUCAUGCGUCUAUACUUUUCUUGCUUAAAUAAUUAUUAUAAUACCUUCAAUGAAAGAUUAAAUGUAAUCUUCAAUUCUAUGAUUUUUAAGUUGAAUUGCCUUGUCACAUUAUCCUCUCCAUCAUAUUUUUUGUGCUUUCACAUUAAGAGUAAAAGAAUUCCUGUUGGAUGCAAAUUCAUUAAUCAUUUUAAUCAUUCAUUUGUGAUUAGAAACAAAACAAUAAAAUGAGAGUAAUGAUGAAUAAAAAAAUAAAAAUAAAUCGUGGGUUUAGCGGUGAGUAACGGACGGUGUGGAGGUGACAGUGUGAGAUAGUUUUGAGAGAGAGGAAAAGAGGUGAGAUUUAGAAAGAUUGUUUUGUUCUUUAUCGUAAUUACAUAAAUGAGGGCUUUUAUAAGGUUAAUGGUGGGGGUGGGGCUAUUUUAACGCAUAAAUUCCUUUUUUCACCCUAUUUGUUCUCUCUCUACAUCACUUGCAAAUUAAAAGCUUACCAUUUCACUCUCUAUGGCCAUGGAUUCUUUAUCUUCAUUAAUUCCACUACAUUUUAUUUGUGGCAUUUGAAUUGCGACUUUUUUAUUCUAUUUUAUUUCAAAUGAAACAAAGAUUUAUAAUUUUACACAGAUUUAGGAAAAAUAAAAAAUUUAUAGCUUUCACGAUUACUUAAAAUUCUUGAUACUUAUUUUUGUAUGGGGGGUUUGUUCAUAUAAAUUGAAGACAGGGUAGUUAUUAUUAUUACGUUCUUGGUCGAAGAGCUUUUGAAUAAAAUCAGUAAGCCAACUUAGGGUCUAAAAUUUCCAAGCAAAGCAUGCAAACCCCUUUGACCUCGAGAGCCCUAGUCUUGAAAUAAUGAGCCACUAAACCUUGAUCUGAUAUUGCUUGUAGCUUAUAGGAAAAAUUAAUUUCGAUUAUUCGUAAGAUUUAACAUUCAUUUGCGGAUGAGAAAAUCAAAGGAAUUGGUUAGAGAUGAUCAAGAAUUGUGAGAGAGAGAGAAUAGGGUUAAUUGGGUAAUUUUAUCAAAAUUAAUUCGAUAAUAAAUAUUUUAAUUAAAAAAUAGGUGUAGAGAGAAAAUCGGUGGACGUAAAUGUCCCCAUCCUAAUGGUUGGGGGCUAAUAUAUAUUCGUAAAUAUCCUUAACUUAAAUUACUAUUAUAACUUAAUAUUAAAAAAAAAUAUUUCUCUUCCUAAAAGUUUUUAAGCAGUGAUAAGAAGUCUAAUUACUAAGCAUAUGGGUUUAUUAAGUAUUAUAGUGGGUUAGCCCUACCCUUUGAUUUAUUGGAUAUAAUAAAGGGAGAAUGAUCAUUUAGUUUCUCUUACAAUUUGAUUUUACCGCUUGGUCCUUAAUUUAAUAUCUUAUUAAAGCAAUAUUAAAGAUAAAUAUAACCUUUUAAUUAACAAACAAAUUAAUUAGAAAAAGAAAAUUGAUUCUUCAUUAUUAAGGUAACCCAUAAACUCUAAUAUAAGUUACAUUACAAAUUUUUAUUUAUUUGUUGUCAAUUAGACUUACUGGAGAGAGUUAAUUUAUAAAAAAAUAUAAUAUUUAUGAAAACAUAAAGAAAUGUCAGUCAGCAUACUCUAUGGUAAAUUCUACAUUCAUUUCAUAUAUAAAAGUUCUAUCUACAAGCGCAAUCAAUUAGAAACAAACAGAUGAGCCUUCGUCAAUAUGUCAUGUAGGUUAAUUAUUGUACAUGUCACAAUCAGAGACCAAAAUUUGCAUACGGUUGACUAAUAAGAAGACUUCCUGAGACAUCAAGUUUCAAGUUUCAAGUUAAAAGUUUUAAGUCUUUCUUCAGAUUUUAUGCCCAAACGCCAAAUCCCAAGCUCCCCCUCAAACUUUUAAGGCUUCAUGUUUUCUUGAUCUGAAAACGCCACCCAAAGGUACAUCAUUCUUUCCUUCGUUUCUUUUUCUUCGAGAGCAUCUGCAAGUAAAUUUACUUUCACUCCAUGCUUCCAAUGAUUUGUUUCUUGUUUUAGAUUAUAUAUUUAGCAAAAUAUUCUUUUUCCUCAAAACUACCUAAAAAUUUAGAAUUUAUAUAACUAGUUUUAUCUUAGUCAAUGUAGUGAAGCCAUUUAUCUUAUGCAUCUUUUCUUUACUUAUGUUGCUGCUACUUCAUGACUUUCUAUCAUAUUCCAUAUGUAUAUUGAAUAACUUUACCUUAAUUGCUACUGCAAGACAAGUAUACCUUCAUUAAGUUCUGAAGAGUUUAAUGAAUCCCAUUUUAAAUCUUUUCUUUUUCCCUCACUCAACGGUGGCUAUCAGUAGUUUCUAGAUCUGGUCUAUCAAUUUUUACUUUGUUGUUACUUCUGCCAUACAAUCUCUAACAAAUUGAAGGCUACCAAUUAUUCGGAAAAAUAAAAAAAAACCUUGUGUUUGUGGGGAGAAAAGUAAAAAUUUUAACUCAUUCACAUAGCCUUUUUCAAUUAACCUAUAACCUAUAUAUAAACUUCAUGAAUCAAAUGUGAAUUGAUCCAUUAUUUUAAUUAGAAAGUAAUAAGUUGUCGAGUAAAAGUGGAUGUUAAUACAACACAGUCUCGAACAAUAGUACAUUACCCUUCCAAUUGGGAAAGGCAGAUGAGUGAGAUUAAUUACGAAGAGAAAAGGCGAAAUUUUAUUGAAAAAAUUGAUUGCAUCUUGUAAUGGUAAGCACAAUCCUAUUCGUUGCCUCACGAAAAUGAGCUCAAGGCAGCAACUGUUGAAAAUUCAAAAGUAAAUGGGGCUCACAUGUUGGAUUCAAUUUGAAUGCACCGAAAUCCACAUGCCUUUCUUGAAAAAAUCAAGAAGAGUUGGAGCCGCAUGUUGAUAAUGUGGAAAAGUUGGAGUCUUGGACAUUUGUCAAAAAAAGAGGAAAUUGGUUGCCGAUUUCUUAGACUUUUGUUGUGAUAAUUAAAUGCAUUUAUGGUAAGGCCGGAUUAUAAAUAGAGAAGCAAUUUUCAUUUGUAAAUUAUCCUAAAAAUAUAGAGUGUGAGAACUUAGGUAAACAACUCUCUCAGAGAAUGUAGAGAAAUUCUCUGUGAGAGAGUCUAGAAAAAAAGAACAUUUACAAGUGAGCUCUUAGAAAGUUUAUGAGAGUGUUUCCUUAGGCGCUCAGUUGGGUUCUGCACUAUUUCUAUAUGUAUAAAAGAAUGUCUAUCUUGCGAAAAUUGUUUUGUUCAAGAGUAUAUGUGAGUACUGUGUGUAUUUAAGUAUUUGGAAUGUGAGAUUUCAUUACUCAAAUUUUUAUUAUAUUAAUUGUUAGUAAAAUAAUCAUUCUCUCUUGCAUCCGUUUGCAUCCGUGGGCGUAGGCUUUAUCGUCGAGCCAUCUUGUGUCCUUUAUUUUUUGGUGAAUAUUUGGUGCAUAUUGAUUCUGCAUUUGCACACAAGUGAUAUCAUACCAUAAGAAAUGACACUUCCGCAGCACAACAAGUGGUAUCGAGUUGAUGGUUCGUACUUGGGGUAUACAAUGUUGUUCAUGUAUUCAGUAAUAUUUAUAUGAUAUUGUUCAUGAAUACGAUGAGGCUGAUUGACACUGAAAAGUUUACAUUUAAUAAGGUUAAAAAUUAUCAGUUUCUCACUAACAAUGUUAAUUAAUGGGCUAAUAACUUACAAAUUAUCUCAAUGCUCUCCUAAUAAACUUUUAUGUUAAAUUUAUUUACAAUAUGUUAGUUUUAUGUUCAUUUUUAUUUCAAGAAUAAAGAGGGAAUUGGAACCAAAAGCAGGAAACAAAGAAGAUUGAUGGAGCCAUUUGGAAUGCAUUAUUGAGGAGAUGUAAUUAAUAAAAAAAAAAAAAGGAAGUGAGCUAUACCGUGAUAGUCAAGUGGGCAUUUUAUCACUUGACUAUCACACAUUUCUAUGUAAAUAUAUAAUUGAAAAAAAAUAAAUAAUAAUAAAAUAAAAGAAGAUGAUAUAAUUGUUGUUUAUAAAAGGUAAGGAGAGGAAGAACGAGGGGACGGGCGAGAGAAGACGAGAAAGGAGCUGAGACUGAGACUUAGAAAUUUUUUUUCUUUUGUGUAGUUAACCCUCUUUUAAUAUAUUUCAGAAGUUUUUUAAAUAAAAUGAGUGUUCUGUUUAUCAACAUGAGUGGCUAAAUUUUUUAAGUUGAGAUGAAAGGUGAAGCUCAAGGAUUUAAAUUAUUGAAUUGAUUACUCUUUCAAGUGAGUCCCAAAGUUUAUUUUAUUCGUUUGUAUUUUUUUUCUUUACCAGUUUCUUUUUAUGUCAUGUUAAUUUAUAAAUCUAGAUCUCCUUAGAUCUAUAUAGUAUUUUAGCAUAAUGUCGACACUCUAAUAUAAUUGUGGCACAUUAGGUACUUGAUUUCAUAUUUAUCCAUACAAACGGUUAGUUAAAGAUUAAAUAACAUAAUAAUUAACUAGAAAAAUGAAUGAUGAAUGUAAAAUAUAAAUAUGAGAGAGUAUUAGGACAAAAAUUUGACAACUGAGAGUAGAUCCUGUAAUCUUAACAUUUUUUGUCAGAUUGAUCCAUAUUAAUUUUUUUCUUUAAUUAAUUUUUAUUUAAUAAUUGACUACUAGAUUUUUAUAUUCUAUGUGGUUCGACUCCAGACUCAUUAGAUUAUAUUAUAACUAGACACUGUUAUACUUAAGAAUAAAUAACACUUUUGCAUCACAUCAUAUUUUUAGCGUCAUUCCUGAGAAUUUUCUAAAUUUGGUGUCAGUUUAUCCUUAAUUUUGUCAUUCGUUUAUGUUUUCGUCAUUUUAUUUUAUUUUAUUUCUUUGUAAAACUUCAGUUAACCCCCCACUUCUCUUGAAAUUUUAGUAUUAUCUAUAAAAUUUGUGAAAACUUCAUUUUGACCUAAAAACUUUGCAAAUCAGUCCUUAAAUCGAAUUGGAACUUGGAUCUUAGGAGUAUGACUUAUUCUUUGGACUUUUGGACUUAAAAGACUAAAUGAACUUGGACCUUUGGACUUUGUGCACAUAAUGGACGUGGACUUUUUUAAAAUUAUCAUUAAGGCCCAGAAAUCAAAUUAAUUAUCUAAUUGGUCAUUAAUUCUUAAAAGUUGUUAAAAAGGGGGGAAGAAUUCAUGCCUUGUGGUAAGUAUUCAUUUCCUUCCUUCUUCUUUUAAUUUCUACAAUUUAAUUUUUGUAAUUUUUUUGUGUUAUUUUAUAUGGCUGGUUUAACCAUCUAUUAUUUCAACUUCAACUGGCCAAUUUUGAAUUUAUUUAUUUUUAUUUCACAUUUAUUUAUUUUUGACAUUUAUUUUAUUUGCUUAUUUAAUGUUUAGUUUAUUUUUAUUUGUGCAAUAUUCAUUUAGUGUUUUAUGCAUUAUUCAUUUGUUUGUGUAUCAUUUUCAUAAUUUAAUUUGACACACUUACAAAUCAUCAGCAUUGUAUGCGACAUUGGUCUCGUAUAGAAAGUGGCAAAUUGAUUAGGAGAUCGCCUUCAUCAUCUUUAAACAUAGCCAAUAUCAAAAGUGAUAACAUUUUAAAGUAUGGAAAUAACCAAACCUUGCAAAAUCGUCAUGAACAGCCUAGGACACUUGGAGAUUUCAUGCAUUCUACUAGAACAAGGUUAUCAUUAUGCAUAGAUUUUCCUCUUGAUGCAUCUCAUAUUAAUUUCAAAUCUAGUAUCAUUCAACUUCUACCUAUUUUUCAUGAUUUUGAGUCUGAAAAAUCAAUACUUGUGUUUAAGAGAAUUUGAGGACGUUUGUAACACCGAUACUGAUCGGAAUUGUAGCAUAAACAUAAUUAGACUCAAGUUUUUCUAUUCUCAUUAAAGGAAAAAGUUAAAACUUGGCUACAAAUUUUUUUCUUUUUUUUUCCUAUGCUUUUUUUGGUGUUGUUUGGGUUUUUUUUUAAACUAAACGGAAAAAAACAAAAAAGGAAAAAAAGGAAAGGUUUGGUGGUAGAUGGAGUUAGAUUAGUGAUACCAGGUUUUGGCUCUGAUACCAAACUGAUGCAGCGGAAGUUUAAUGUUUAAAAUAUUCCGUUGAUUCUAGAGAAUACCGGAAUAAAAGAACAACUAAAUUCACGUUGAUUCAAGAGAAUACCGCGAACUUAGGGGUUAAGACUCGUUGAUUCAGAAUACCGAGAAUUAACUGUUCAAAUACUCACAAAGAGAUUUGAAAAUUGAAAUAUUAUUGAACUCAAAAUUCUACCUUCAAAAGCUACAAAAGACACUUAUUUAUACUAAGUAAGACUUAUCCUAAUAUGAUUAGAAAACCUAUUUUAAUAAGACUUAUGCCUAAAUUAGGAAUAUUACCCAAAUAAGCAAUACAUAAACAAUACGACUCUAAAUAGGAAACCAAAUUAAACUAGAAUACAAAUUAAUUAAAAUAUUCCUAAAUAUUAUACAUUUAAAUAUAAUUAGGAUUUCUUCAAUUUCUUGCUCUGCAUCACAAGCCUAUCCACUAAAAAACUUAGAUGCAUUCUUUGUCAACACUGAGUCAAGACGAGCCACUAAUACUAAAGUGGAGUUCCUCGCUAACAAAUAUAGUGUAAAGUGCUCUGUAACAUAUACACCCUAAUUUUUCCUAAUUAAGUGUAUUAUGUAUUUUACAUUACGGUAUUAAUUUUUAAAGUCAUCAGAUUGGUUAUAAAUUAUUAUGGGAAAACUUGACGUGACUCGAUUUCUUAUCAUGAAUUAAUGGAUUUGGGUCGAGUUAAUAAAUGGAUCAUGUUUUGAAUAAAUUUAAAAUUUGUCAUGACAUAAAUUGAGACAAAUCGAACGUGAUAAAGGGUCUUGUAGUCGGAUUUUAUUUUCAUCAUGGGCCUGGUAUUAGCUUAAUUUGUAUUAAGCUAAAAGAAAAAGAGAGGGAACCGUUACUAUAAAUGGAAAGAGAGAGGAGUUGGUUUCCAAAAAUAGAAAGAGAGACUUGUUUGACCCGACCGCGACCUGUGACUUUGACUCGGCUCCAGCCGUUGAUUCCGGCCACCACUCCGGCCGAUCCAGGUACCAAUUUGAAGCUUGAAAGAUGAGCAACAUAUCCUUACCAUCUUCAUCGCUGGAUAAUGGCCAGAUUACCGACGAUUUAGCCCGAAAAGAUCACGGCUCCACCUAUUUUAGUUGCCAUCGAUUUCACUGGAAUUAGGCUGCAUCACCACUUGGAUCUUGAUCCUCAGCUCACCUUCAUUGUUUUUCGACCAACCCCACCACCUAAAACCUCCGUUUUGGCCGUGAACGAUUGUCGGAAAGCUCACGGCUUUGGGAGCACAAUCCGCCGCCAUCGCUGCGUGUGGGAGGUCACUGCGGGCACCAUUGGACUCAUCGAGGUCAGAACUGUCAAGUCUGAGCUUCCUGUCGUCGUUGAUUGAAUUCCCGUCACCGUUGACUGGCAGGGGCAAUUCAGAGGACCCGCAAACGAGAAUCAACCCGCGAACGUUGUUGAUACCGAGUCUGGACAUUGUCACUAUGAGUGGAAUAUUCAAAACAUAUUUUCAUAGUUUAUUAUGAUAGUAAAGCAUAUUUGCAAAAUGAGUAUUUUAAUUAUUUCGAUUUAAUGAUUUUGUCGAAAUGGAUUUUAUUCACGAAUUGAUAUUUUAUUAAAAUGUUAGUUAAUGGAUUUCCGGAUUGAUUUUGAAUAAAUCAUGCUAGUAAUUUUAAGACUAGAAAAAAUGUGUUAGUGAAAAGAACAAUAUGAUUGAUAGUAUGAUUAAAAGGUAUAUGGUUAUGAGUAUAAAGAUUGUUUUGAAGUCAUUCGACAGUACCCUUCCCCUCCAGAUACAGUGAUACAUAUGAUAUGAGAUGAGAGGCCUUUAGGGCCCGUCUGAGUACACACAGAGGCUUUGGGCCGUGUACUUGGGCGCAUUGUCGUUUGGGGACCAGAUCAUCCAUGCACAAAUAUGAUGAGACAUGAUGAGAUAUAUGAGAUGAUACUUACCGGUCUAUCCGUGUAGCUCCGGCGCAUGAUGGUACUUAGAUAGUACAUUAUUGCCUGUUCGUUGAGGUCCGGAAAUGAGACAUGAUGAGAUAUAUGAGAUGAUACUUAUUGGUCUAUCCGUGUAGCUCCGGGGCAUGAUGGUACUUAGAUAGUAUGACAUUGCCUGUCCGUUGAAGUUUGGAUAUGAGAUAUGAGACAUAUGAGAUGAUAUUUUAUUUGAUGAACUUCUUCAAAGAUAAAAUUGAAAUAUUUUUCAAUCGAUUGUUCGCCCCAACGGUGACUAUUGAUAUGAAAAAUACGUAGAUUGAAACAAUGGUUAUACACUCAACUAAAAUUUGUUAUUAACCUUCCCAACGAAGCUAUGUUAACAAAUUUAGGCCCAAAAGGAUAACGAUAAUUAUUUAUCAUGUAUCUACAUGAAAGUAAAUAAUCUAAUGGAUAAUUGGGUCUAGUAAGUGUAGACAUGACUUCCCCAACGGAUAGCUUGUCAAAGCGGUACUAGAUUAUCGUUACAAUAAAUUAAAAUGUAUUUAUGAUUUUUUGCAUUUUUGUCAUUUAUUGUGAAUAUUGUUUCAAAGUAUUUAUGCAUGUGUAUUUUAUUUUUUCAGAAAAUGUCUUCCAUCAACCCAUUAUUAAUUAUCCUUGUUAAAAAUGAACUCACUGGCGAAAAUUAUUUAGAUUGGAAACGCAAUCUAUUUAAUAUUUUCACUGCUAAGGGAAGCAAAUAUGUGUUGACCCAGCCUUGCCCUCCUGAACCAUCGUUAUACGAUUAUAGAAAUCAGAGGGAGCCUUAUGAGAAAUGGUGCGAAGCUAACAAAAUGGCUAAGCGCUAUAUAUUGGCUUCGAUUUCUGUGGAACUGCAUAAGAAACAUCGGAGCAUGGAAACAGCCACUGAAAUAAUGGCUAGUCUUCAUCAGAUGUUUGGGCAAAAUACCCAUUUUGCCAGAGAAGCAGAAUUAAAACGUAUUACGCAUACUAAGAUGGAAGAGGGCACAAAAGUUCGUGUCAUGUCCUCAAAAUGAUGGACUAUUUGAAUGAGGUAGAGAUUCAAGGUGUUCAAAUCAAUGAUAAAUCAAAGAUUAACAUGGUGAUUGAAUCUUUACCUGAUACAUUCAAAGAGUUUAAGGCUAGCUAUAUCUUAAAAGAUAUUACCUUAAUUGAAUUAAUGCACGAACUACAUGCUAUAGAAGAAUUUUAUCAUAGCAGAAAACUUCCUGAAAAAGGAUUCUCUUCAAGGCUUAAGUCGAAAGACAAGAAUGAGCAAGCAAGAGUUGGGAUCGGCAAACUGUCCACUAAAAGAAGUGGCAAGCCAAAAGGAAAGUGUUACAAAUGUGGACAGAAGGGUCACUGGAAGAAAGAUUGUCCUAAGAUUAUUAAGAUUAUUAAAAUUAGGUAUAGGAAAUCUUUAAGCUUCCUAAUUAGUUCAGAUUUCUAUUGAUUCAUACAAUAAUGAAUUCUGAGAUAACUAAUCUUAUUUGUAAUUCAUUUAUUUGGUUUUAGAAAACCAGAGAUUAAGUGAAGAAAGCUUCAAACAGCAGUUGAAGACAUGCUAGUUUAUAUCAAUUGAAAGGCUAGAUCAAUUUUACAAGACUUAAAGUUUUGAUAUUUGUCUUUAUUUUUCCAUAUAUUAGAGGAAUUUAAUUUCGGUGACUUGUUUUAAUAAACAGGAGUACGCUGUUAUUUUUUUAUCCUCUGUUUAUAAAGACAAUUUAUAUCAUAUAAGUCCAUUGAUCUAUUCAAAGCAAGAUAUAAUAAUAAAGAGUAUAUGCAUUUAUCUAAGAAAAGAAAUGUUUCUUCAAACCAAAAUAACCUCUGAUAUUUAUGCUUAAGUCAUAUAAACUAUAAUAAGAUUUUAAGAAAAUGAUUAAUGAUAGACUUGUUGGCCUAUUAAGAUUGAUCAUUGUAACUCUAUAAAUCUUAUUUAGAAAAGUAAUAUGACAAGGAUGCUCGUUUAGAGCUAAAAGCAUAACAUUGUAUUGGAUGAUUUAGCGCAUACAAAUGUAUACGGACUAAUCAGUUUACAUGUCAUAAGAGGUUAUGAGUAUUCUAUCAAUCAUGUUGAUGAAUAUUCAUUUUAUUUAUGUUUGUCUAAAUGUGUCAUGAUUUCAUUGCUUUUGAAAUUCAAAAGAGUACGUGGAUAAGACAGAAGGAAUUAGACAGGAACAUAAAAGCACUUCGAUUUGAUCGAAACAAAGAAUAUCUCUAUGGAGAAUUCAAGCACUAUUUGAUUGUCAAUAAACAAUAUGAUACAAUAGUACAUUUAAAUGGAGAAACAAGAUUCUUUUGGAUAAAACAAGAUAUAUACUAAGUGGUUUAUCAUUUACCUUUUUUAUUCCAGAUACUAGUAUUUAAAACUACAAAGUUUAUUGAACUUAGUCUCAUCUAUCUCAGUGUCUACUACUCCAAGAAAUUAUGAAAAAGUCACAAACAUGGUUUGAGACACAUUUGUAUUUGGAGUUUACUAGUAUUUCUACUAGAAUCAGAGGUAGAGAAGAUGGAUUUGUGUUCAGAAGCUUGCAUGUUUAAGGUAUCUUAAUGGAAUAAGGGAAAGUCUAAAUUAUAGUCCUCAAGAUAGGAAUGUAUUUAUAGACAUAUUCUUUACUUUUUUUGAGGAAGACUAUAUAAUGACUUAUAACCUAAGAGUAAGGUAAAACUAGAUAAAUAAAAGAGAUCAGGUUGAUGCUCAGCUUUCAACACCUGUUAUAGAACAGGAAGAACAGUAACAACCAGCUGAUCAGCACAUGAUUAUCCUUGAAGAACCAUCACUUUUAGAACCUCGUCGUAGUGGGAGGGUAACUAGGUUACCUGCUAGAUACAUGUUAUUGAGAGAAACCUAUAUGAUGAUCUCAGUUGAACAUGUAUAAGAUCCCACUAGUUACAACGAAGCUCUAAUAGACAGAGAUGUUGAAUUUUGGAAAAAGGCCAUGAAUCAAGAAAUGUAAUCUAUGAAUUCCAAUAAAGUCUGGGAACUUGUAGAGGCACCAAAUGGGGUAAAACCUAUAGGGUGCAAGUGGAUCUACAAGAGAAAAAGAGGAGUAAACGGAAGGGUGGAAACAUUUAAAGCAAGAUUAGUAGCCAAAGGGUUUACUCAGAAAAAGGGAAUCAAUUAUGAUGAAACAUUUUCUCUGGUUGCUAUGCUUAAAUCCAUCAAGAUUCUGCUCUCCAUUGCUGCAGUGCUAGAUUAUGAAAUUUGGCAAAUGGAUGUCAAGAUUGCCUUUAUUAACGGGCAUCUUGAAGAAGACAUCUACAUGCAGCAACCAGAUGGAUUCGUACAAAAGGCCAAGAACACAUGGUAUGUAAGUUGCAGAGAUCCAUUUAUGGAUUGAAGCAAGCAUCCCGGUCAUGGAACAUCAGAUUUGAUCAAGCGAUUAAAUCGCUUGGAUUCAUUCAGAACAUUGAUGGACCAUGUGUGUACAAGAAAAUUCAGGGAAAAUUUGUAGCCUUCCUAGUUCUUUGUAUAGACAAUAUUCUCCUGAUUGGAAACGAUAUAGGAGUAUUGACUACAAUAAAGAUUUGGUUAGCAAAACAAUUUGAUAUGAAAGACCUGGGAGAGACAAGUUAUAUUCUUGGUAUCAAGUUACUACGAGACCAAAAGAAUAAAACUUUAGCUUUGUCUCAAGCAGUCUAUAUCGAUAAGAUAUUGGCUAGAUUUAGCAUGGAAAAUUCAAAGACUGGUUUAUUACCAUUCAAACAUGGAAUUACAUUCUCUAAGGAUCAAUCACCUAAAACAUCUGAAGAGAUAGAGAGAAUGAGACGAGUUUCCUAUGCAGAAGUUGUGGGAAGUCUCAUGUAUGCCAUGUUUUGCACUAGGCCAGACAUCUGUUUUGCGGUAGGGAUGGUUAGCAGAUAUCAAUUUAAUCCUGGACCUCAAUACUGGACUACAGUCAAGCAUAUUAUAAAGUAUCUGAAAAGAACUAAAAAUUAUAUGCUUGUGUAUUCUGGUGAUGAACUUAUUCUAGUGGGUUAUAUUAAUUCUGAUUUUUUGUCAGAUAAGGAUUUUAGAAAAUCAACUUCCGGCUAUGUGUUUACAUUAGGAAGUGGAGCUAUUAGUUGGAUGAGUAUGAAACAAUCUUGUAUCACAGACUCCACAACUGAAGCUGAAUAUGUGGCUACAUCUGAAGCUGCAAAAGAAGCUAUAUAGGCUCCGCAAGUUCCUACAAAAUCUUGAGGUGGUACCAGUUGUAACUACACCCCUUAAACUAUUUUGUGAUAAUGGUGGUGCAGUAGUUCAAUCUAAGGAACCACAAGAAACAAAACAUACUGACAGGAAGUAUCAUCUUAUAAGGGAAUAGUGUAGAAAAGUUAUAUGACAGUACCCCAAAUGGCAUUAGAUGCUAAAUGGCAGAUCUUAUUACAAUGGCCAUUAGUGGGAAACCUUUAUAACCUGCACUUAGAGCCCUAGAGCAUGUGCAAUAUGCCAGAUAUGCUUUGAGAGCUAGUGGGAGAUUGUUGGGAAAAUAUGCUCUUUAAAAGCAUAUGUGUUUAUUUAAUUGUAAUAAAUAUUUUUUCUGAUUAAUAAAAUUAAUGAGGUAUUUUAUUCAAAUAUCUAAUUGCAUUAAUAUUUAUAUUAAAGUCCAUUUAAUCAUAUUAUAUGUAUUUAUGUGAUCACCAUGUGGAUUCGCAGAAGACAUAAAUACAAGUUAUCUUAUGAUUAAAUAAAUUUAGUUCGCAGUUGAUAAAUAAAGUUGGGCACUUUAUUUAUGUAUAGACUGUAAUGAAUUCAUUGAAUGAUUUGUCUUAAUCAUAUAUGAAUUUAUUGAUGUAGUACAACUACAUUGAACAUGAUCACAUGUGAGAUUUAAUUAACCUUAAAAUGACUGUCAGACUUAUUAAAUCUCAUAGGCAUUGAUUUUACUGUAAUCUUAAUCUUGAGUUAGUUAUGAUUUCAUGAUUGUAAUUGUUAUUUCAUUUGAGUUACCAAUGGGCACGACACAAAAUUUGGCAAGAUUACCCGGUAUCUUAGUGGGAGCAAUUAUGAGUAUUGACGUUAUGGAUUAACAAUAUAGAAUUUGUACAACACAUCUCUUGAUGGGUUUUCGGCACUUGAUCAUAGAAUUCUCUGGCCAGAGUGUGUCAACAUAUUUAGUAUGUUGAAAAUGAUCAUUAGAGAAAACCAGUAAGUAUCAAGGAAUAAGAUGUUACUAAAUUGAUUGGACAGUUGAGAUAUCAAUUUAAUUAACGAUGUGGUACAAAGGAUUGUGCAGUAAAGAAAUCAAUGUGGCUUGGGACGAAUUAUUAUUCGAGCAUACAAUUAUGGAGGUCAAUUCCAAUCUUUUAAUGGAGUAGAUUUGGAAUUAAAUAAUUAGGCUAGUUUAAUUACAGGCCUAAUUGUUAUAGCCACUAUUGUAUGUUCCCAAAUGAUCCCCGGGUUAGCUCAUUUAAUUGACUGCACCACUACUGGAUUAAUAAGCAAGAUAACUAGCUAUUUGGGUCAAAAGCCUAAAUAUAUCAUUUAGUGGGAGGCUCCAUUUAAUUAGCUUGUGUGUAAGGGGCCUUAUGUUAUUUUACAAGGUGGGUCCCCUAUGGAAAAAGCAAGUAACGUGAGUUUUGUUUUUUAUUAUUUGGAGCCUAGGGUUUUCACUAAAGGGAGAUAUAAAAGGCUUAUUUUCUCUAAAGAAAAAUAGAGCAGCCACUUUAUACAGAUCGGAGAAAAAGAUUUUUCUCUCUAUUGUUGAGAGAAAAAUUUUCUCGUGCUAGUUGCUUUGGUAGUGAUAAAGGCGCCCACACGUCAAGUGCAGAUCGAACCUGAGUCAUAACCUGGAAGAUCAUUGGUGACAGUUCGUGAUCUAACAAGCGUGGUGGUGACGGAUCGUGAUAAAAAAGGAGUGGUGGUGGCGGAUCGUGAUCUAGGAGCCUAAAUCACUUCAACGGAAAAAGCCAAAUCGAAUUUUCAAGGUACGAUUUCAAGAUUACAAAUUCUUAUAUAUUAUAUAAGAGCGAUCUUCAAAAGGUUUUAUAAAAAAUUUAAAAACCUAAUUUUUCCCAAUAGCUUGCCCUUAACUCUGUCUCUAAAUCAGCAGAAGAUAGGCCAACAAUUAAUGGUUCAUAUGGCAAAACCACUUACAAAAUUGUAUCACUCUAGUUAUUCUCAUUAUUAAUACUUUUUAAGCUUUGACUGUUUAGUUUUAUACAAAGUGAGUGAAUUGUGGGACCUUUAUUUUGAUUAUGGAUCUUUCCUUCUACGUAUCUUGUUGAUACUUUAUGUUUCUCUAAUUGCACCAACUUUAGUUAAGGCAAUUAAAGAGCUAAUAGUGAUUUGUUUGAAGAAAAAAAAUAUUCUUUUUUUACUUUUACAUUAUCUGAUAAAGAAUUGUUAUGAAAUGAUUGGCUUAAGUUUCAAGUGAUUAUUUAGGACAAAUGUUAUGCUUCAGUUUACUUUAACUUCUUGAUAGUUCAAUGGAACACAAUUAAAAGCUUUACACCAUCGGAGUAAAUGUGAUGAAUCAAUGAUUGUAUGAGUCUUGUGUUAAGUCAAAAUCAAUUAUUUAGGACCAUAAUUGAUAGCCCCGAGGGCACGAUGCAUAGUAAUGUAUGGCUUCGUUUAUGUCACAAAUGUCACAUUAAUCAUUGAACACAUGGUGAUGAGGAUUACUAUUAAACUUUCAAUGGCAAAGUUUCAAUUUAUAGACUGUCAUAUCAAAGCUCUCUCUCAAGCUUUUAAAGGCAUUGGGUUUUCCUUAGCUGAACACACUUGAAUUGGCAAGCUAGAGAUACAACUUUUAAUACUCUAUUUCUUUUUCUUCAGUUACUUUGCGUGUAAUUUACCUCUAUAUUUUUUUUUCCAAUGAUUUCAUUCUAGAAUUACAAGUUGUACUCCUUGUUUUAUCUUGCUUUAACUCAAUAAAAGCAUUUUAUUGGCUUAUGAAUAGGUGUUAGAUGAGUUCUUUUUUGAGAAAUAAAAUCAAGCCACUACUAGAAAAAUGGUCUUUACUGACACUUGGUUUGUGACAAUUUUUUAAAAAGUAUCAGUAUGUUCAUACAUAUGGACCAUUUUCCAUGUUUAACAUAAAAAUAUCACAAAUUACUGAUAGUAUAGUGUUUGUAACUUAGACAUCAGAGAUUUCUGACAUUAAGGUAUCAGUAAUAAAAAUAAAGUAAUUCUAAUUAAGUUCCAAAUAAAACUCGAACCAAGGACCUCUAGUACUCAAGCGUUUAAGUUCCCAAAAAAAGACCAGGACGUCCAAAUCUCAAAUUUUCUAAUUUAGAAAACUAACUACUAAACCAAACAUUAAUUUUUUUUUAACUUUUAAUUUAGAGAAAAUUUUUAAUCUAUCUCGUCCCUCCUAAACUCCCUAAAUCUAAAAAACCAUAACUUCACCAAAUUCACAAAACUCUAAUCUAACUGCGUCGUCUUAUCAACCCCGACUCUUCUCUCAGCCACUCCUCUCUUAUCUUUAUCUUACAAUCCAACACAAUCUCUUACUAUCUAACUCAAUUUUUCCCUCUCAAUCUUGCCUCUCUUCAACUACCCGAAGGAGAAAGGAAAACAAAGAAGACUCGCCCAUUUGAGUCGUUGCGAGCCGAAAAGCGUACUGACGAGCGCGUUUCGAUCCGCGAAGGCAAUCGCUCGAAUGUUCCCCUAACCCAACCCGGGAACGGAACAGACUGGAGGGAACCACAGUGAAUCAUCGCUUUUGGGCGCAGGCAGCCCUCUACCAUCCAUCCCAUUGCAUUCCAUCGUCUCGCUGGCUCAACUGAACAAUACAGGUUUCGCUUCCUCUCCCUUGCGGUUGAGCCUGCUCUCGAUCCAACUUAAUUUUUCCCUCUCAAUCUCGCCUCUUUUUAAUCCAUAACCUUAAAAUCUUUCUAUUACAAUCCAACAGAAUCUCACGCGGCCGUGAAAUUCUAGCCACUUUUUUGCCUAAUGCCAAUCUUCGUCAUCGAGAAAAAUGAUUUGAGGGUUUAAUUUAGCUCCAAGAUCAUGGACGGAUGCCUUGGUCAAAGUUAAAGAGUGUUGUUAGAGGUUGUUUAAAGAAGAAGAAGCAGAAGCACCACUUAGGUGAAGCAGUUGUAGAUCUGGGCAUGGUAAAUAAAUAAGGUGAGCAUUAGCUAAAUAAUUAAUAAUUAUUAAAUAUUCUCUACUUAUAUGUGAAUUUAGUAAGAAAUUAAUUUAGUUCUUUUUGUUGAAUUUUAAGUAGGUUUACUAAUUCUUUUAUUUUUAUUCAGUUAAUACACGGUUUUAGAAUUUUUUUUUCCACGUUUUGAUUUAUUGAUAUGUGAAUGGUAAAAGUUGUGUUAGUCAUUCAUAGUUUUUAGAGACUGGUAUGGGGUCUGCAAAGUGUUUGAUGAGAUGCUUGUGAGAAUUGUUGGGUGCGUUUCAAUUAGUUGACAUGGUUAGCAAAUUAUAUGCUAACAGGGUACCCAAAUCUCCCCCUUCUCUUCAGGGUAAUUCCAUGCAUUUCUUCUUCCUCUGUUUACACUCUCCUCAUUAUUUUUGGUAGAUAUGUCAUUGUUCUAUAUUAAUGUGUACAAGAUUUCUAUUUUUGGGUUUUGUGUUUCUUUUAUGAUCUUGCUUAUCUACUCUUUCGAAUGGAUGAACAAAAUGUUAUUGGAGGAGAUAAGCAGCUGGUUCACUAGGGGGAAAAAAGUUGUUAGCUUUUGAUUGACUCGUUGUUUUGAGAACGAAGUACCUCUGUUUUUAUUAUAUACAUUAAACGGAAAAAGGCUUAAGCUUUUAUGAAUAAAAAUUCUUACUUUUGCUGUGUACUUACUCUUUGUGAUGAGAUUCUUCUGCUUUGAUUUUGUUUUGGAAGAAAGCCUGGGAUCAGUGAUGUCAAUUAGCACAAGUAGAAAAUGAUAAUAUAAUGUUUUACGUGUCUUUCUUUCAUAGUACAUGGAAACUAUGUAUGAGUGCGUAAGAGAGAAAUCAUGAAAUAAAUAACUUGGCGAUGACCGUGUCGUCGUCGACGGUCUUGUCAUCAUCGGCAGUGGUACUGUUGAGAGAAGAAAGAAAGAACCUUUGAUUCAAGGUGGGGAAUUGUGAAGAUGGCUAGUGAAUCAAACUAGUUCUCCAAAAAUGACAAUGUUUGAGACCUGAGAAGCAUUAUAAAGUUAUGUGCUACUCAUAUUACAUAUAACAUAAAAUCGGUGUUUUGGUCAAUAACUUAAGUAACCACAUAAGAAAGCAAGUUAGUUAAGUUUGUUGACCAUGUGUCAACAAACUGUACAAUCUAAAAAUAAGCUUGUUAUUGAAAUAGGGUAUAUAAGUUGGUUCUGAGAGCUAUCUUCGGGUGUGAUUCUAGGGUCAUGUAGAAAGAGAUUUAAGAUAGAGAAAGCAUCAUCUUGUUCUCUGUAUUGUUUUUGGUAUAAGGCUUUGUAACUGACUCCAUUUUUUAAUCAAUAAAAGCUCGUAUAAAAGCUUUCCCCAUGUAUGUUGGAUGAGCAUUUUUUAUGCACAACUUAACCACAUUAAUCUUUGGCAUUCUUUGUAUUUUUUAUAGUUUGUGUUUUUUAUUAUUUCUAAUCAAGAUUCUUGUUGCUAUAUUGAUUAUGAUUUGAUAUGUUUAAUCAUGUAUUUGUGCAAUAUAAAUUGAUUUAAUCAAUUUGAUCUUGGGCAAUGAUCAAUUUUGUUUAGUUCAAGAACAAGUUGGUUACUACAUGUGAUCCUAUCGGUAAUUUCUCUACUAAAGAGCUCAAGUCAGCAACAAAUAAUUAUGAUACAUAAAAAGUUGGAACACUGAAAAUGGACAACGAGUUCUACAAAACCACCUAGUUUCUAUCAUGAAGUUUGUAGACUCUGAUUAUCCACAAGAAUUUUGUUCUUGUUUUAUUACUCUUGUAUUUAUAUCACAAAUGAGCCACAAAAUGUUUCAAGGUUGAUUGGUUGCUGUCUACAAACUCAAAGACCCAUUCUAGUUUUUUAAUCUAUUGAGUAUGUGUUAAAGGGGCUUGGCCUAAGCUUUCUAGGUAUCCAACCCAAAAAAUUAGACUAUUAGGUGGAGUGACCUAUCCUACAUAUAAAUCAAGUAUCUCCCCUUUACUAGUUAAUGUGGGAUACAACUCAAUAAUUUCCCCUGAAAAAAACCACUAUAAAACUUUGAUCCUUUCAUCUGACACAUUUGAGUUGUUCUACCACUACAUUCUAGCUAAUAGGGUCUGGCUCUAAUACUAAUUGUUAAGAGAACUUGGCCUAGAAUUUCAAAGUAUCUAACCUAAAAGACUAGCCGAUUAGGUGGAGUAACCCAUCCUACUUAUAAAUUCAAGUUUCUCCUCUUUACUAACCCAUAUAGAAUACAACUAAUAAUCAUCCCUUGGACGAAACCACUAUUGCACUCUGGUCUUUUCAUUCGACAUACCUGAGUUGUUCCACUAUUACAUUCUGGUUAUUAGGGUCUGGCUUUGAUAGCAGAUGUUGAAAGGUCAACUUAAAAUGGCUUGCUAAUGGUGCUUAAACAAGUUUGGAAUCAUUAAUACCAAACCUUAGUAAAACUUUCUUGAUAUAGUACUGCUAAGUUAAAAAUAUAACUUUCUUUCUCCUAUCUUUGAUUAUUUCUAUCCCUAGAAUCUUGUUUGCAGCUCUAAGAUCUUUCAUUUCAAAUUCACUACUCAAAGACCCAAAAACUAUUGCAGAGCAAUAGAAAAUGACAAGAUUUCCUUACUCUAGCUCUAUUGGGAGUCUUAUGUGAUUGUAGUAAGCAAAUUUAUGACUAAUCCAAGCUAUGAACAUUUGAGAGUAGUAUAGUGGUUAAUGAGGCUCCUGAGGGCACUGUAGAGUAUGGUUUCAUGUAUGGUGGAUCGAAAGAUGAAGAAUGCAUUUGGAUUGGUUGUGUUGAUUCUGACUUUGCAGGGCACCUCGAUAAAAGAAGAGGUUGUGUUGUAAACUAAAAGGCUACAUUACAUAGUGUGGUUGCAUUAUAUAAAUUGGAGGCUAAGUACACAACUAUUGCAGAAGCUUUCAAGGAGGCUAUUUAAUUUAAUGGAAUGGUCAUUAAACUUGGAGCAAAGUAAGAGUCAGUUAAUGUGUAUUAUCAUAGUCAAAGUGCAAUGCAUCUAAACAAAAAUCAGACUACUCAAGAAAGAACAAAGCAUAUUGAUGUGAAGUUGUAUUUUAUAAGAUUAGAAGUAUUAACAAGAAGUGUGAAGCUUAUGAAGAUACAUACAUAAGAAAAUCAAGCUGAUAUGCUUACCAAAGUUGUACCAUCUGCUAAGUUUAAUCUUCGCAUGAACUUAACAAAGAUUUGUAGGUUUUAAUGGCUACAAGUGUUGAGGAAGAUAGCUGACGAGAGUAGUUAAAGUUAUGAGUUCAAAGUGGAGAUUGAUAAGUAUGAACUCAAAACUCAAAUGACCGGUAUGUAAUUUUGAGGAUUCAUGCUUGUAUGACAUAUCAUUGUUAGAGUUGUAGUGUAGAACCAAUGUGGUUGAGUGUUCUUGUGAACUCAAAUGCUAUUGGUGUCAAUGUACAAAUGUACACAAUAAGUAAUAUGAUAAUAAGUAUUCAAGAUCGUCUACACGUGGAUUGAUGUUACCAGAUUUAAUACAUCAAUCUGUAACAGUGCAAUGAUUGUUCUAAAUUUAAAUAAGAAAAUUGAUAAAAUUAAAUGACUAACUAAAAUAUAAAAUGCAAUAAUUAAAAAUUCAAUAAAUUAAAUUCUCACGUCAAACACAAAAGUAACCAAUGGGAAUGAAGUAGUUGAGUGAUUAAACUUUCUUAAUGGUUUUGACUAUUUCUUGUAAUUUCCGGUUCAGUUGCUAUAGCAUCUGCUACAGCACUGGGCAGAAUCCUUAUAUAUCCUUAGCUGUGGCAUGUUGGAUGUCUUAUAUCUAUAUACAACCGAACAGUGACCAAUUGUUAUGCCAACAUAAGAUAUAGCAUUACACACUUAGAAUCUAUUUACUCUAAAAGGUAAAUCCUUAUGUCUAGUUCAUCACUAAUUUUAGAUUAAGCACGACCCUUUGGAAUCACGUGAAACUCAACUCAGGAAACCAAAUCUAAAAUCAAGUAUUGCUCUGAUAUAUUCCAUUAAGAUAGGCCAUUUUUUGGCUCUUUCUUAGCUUGUAUCAUUAAAUGGGUGGUCAACCGAAAUAAUGAAUAGAAUAAGCUUUACCAGAACAAAAUGCUAUAGCAAACAUGCAGCAACAUAUAAACUUAGUCAAAAAACCAUUAAGAUUAUCUAUCACUCAACCACAAUUAAAUUAGUUCAUGGUUUGCGAAAGAACAAUAAAUAAAUGAGUUUCAGUCAUUAAAUACAUCCCAAUUAAUAAACAGAAAACAAGAGAAGAAUAAAAAAGGUUGAAUUCCCGAUUGAUUUCUGCAAAUUCUCCUUGUUGUAGCCCUUAGUUUAAAUCUUUAAUUCUCUUUUUGUUGGUUAUUUAUACUCAAUUGCUAUUAAUGUCAAUGUGCAAGUGUACACAACAAGUAAUAAAGUGAUGAAUAUUCAAGAUCGUCUCCACAUGGACUGAUGUUACUAGAAAUGCUACAGCAAUCACGAUAGUGCAAACUUCCUUUAGUUCAAGAGGAAUCUAGUUAAAGUUGAUUACUAUCGAAAUUAACAAUUGUAAGAAAAUAAAACAAAUAAAUGAAGUAAUGAAUUAAACUAUAUGAAUUGCGUAAAAAGAAUUUAAUGAGAAUGAAGUAGUUGAAUGAUCAAACUCUCUUCAUGGGCUGACUAUUUUUGUUCAAAUUAACACCAGUUGCUACAGCAAUUACUACAGCACUGGGCAUAAUUAUUUUGGACUUCUCAUACCCUUAAGCACCCUAACAAUGAUCAGUUGUUAUUCUACCUAAGGUAUGGCAUUAUGAACGUACACUCUCUCUACCCUACAAGGUGAAUUCCUAUAUCUAGUUCUUCACAAAUCUUAACUAAAGUGUGGCCCUUUUGGGACUCAAGUCAAACUCAAUCCAGGAAACUUAAAUUAAGAUAAAGUAUUACUCUAAUAAUUUCCUCUAAGACAGACUCUUUUGCGGCUCUCUCUUAACUUGAACUAUUAAAUGGGUGCUCAACCGAAAUAAUGAUUGUAAUAAAAGCUAUCAAAGUAAAAUGUUACAACAAUCUUGCAACAACUCAUAAGAACAGUCAAAACUCAUUGAGAUUGUUUGUCACUCAACUACAAUCAAAUUUAGUUCAUACUUUGAAAAAGAAAAACAAACAGCAAAGUAGCAGCCAUGAAAUACAUCGGUUCAAUCAAAGAAUAAGAAAAGGAACAAGUAAAGAACGAUGAAAAUUGAAUCCAAAAAUAGUUCUGCUAAUUUCUUCACUGGUGCAAACUUGUUUUCCCUUGAACUUUGAUUUUUCCUCUUGAUUCCUUCGAUGUUAAUUCCCCGCCGCUUUUUCAUAUGAUGCGUGCUCUUUUUAUAUCUGAAAACUAGGGUAAACAGAAUCCUAGGGCGCGCAUAAGUCAGAUUAGAAAACUGCAGAUCGCGAUUUUGCAUAUAUCCCGCGCUAAAUUUUCUCUGUCGUUGUUCCAGAAUUGCUACAACAAUGGUUGCUCCAGCAACGACUACAACACUACAUUGUUCCAGAUUUUGUUUCAAUUCUUUUGUAGCCAUGUUCUUCCUCCUUUUCGCAAGCCUAUUGCAUCAGCAUUCCUUCCGUGAAAUAUAAGCUUCUGGAUACCUACACUUAUGCACACAAUUGGAGACGAAUUACUCUAAGUCAAGUAAAAUUUAGUAAGAUUAAACUAAAAUGAAUGUUUAUGCAAAAUGUAACAAAAAUGCAAUAGAAACACAUCAUUUACUCUCUAAGUAAUCUUGAUUUGAGUCUAGAAUUGCUAUAAUAACUCUCAUUUCAUAGAGUUAUCACUUUUCAUAUUGGGCACAUAGUAAACAUUCAAAAUUAUUUGGUGGCUACCAUCUUUUGCACGAAAAAGAAUGUUACCUCUACCCUUCACUGGUACUUUUGAAUCAUCUCCAAAAGCAACAAUGCCAUUCACAUAUUCAUUUAGUUCCAUAAACAUGCUUCUGUUUCCGUUUCCGCUCAUAUGAUUGCUAGCACCUGUGUCAAGAUACCGUGUAUUUUCUUGACCUCCACUUGUGUCAUUGCGUGCUAGUAAAAGAGUGUCAUCUUUACCAUUUUUCUCUUCAACAUAAUUCACUCUCUCAUCAACUUUGGUACUUGGAGCUCUACAUUCUGAAGCAUAAUGCCCAAACUUUUGACAAUUAUAGAAUUGUACUUGGGAUUUGUCAUACCUUGAUCUUGGAUUGCCUCUACCUCGUCCUCUGGUUGAGCUUUCUCCUUUGGCAUAAUUGGAGUUGCUGUUGUUGAAAUUCCAACCUCUACCUCAGACAUAGUGCCUUCUCUCAUUGUCGGAACUUUCUUCUCUUUUUUUUUUGGAUUGACUUCCAUCUUGAGAAGUUGUUCUUCAAUUCCUUGCUUCUUUUUUAUAUUUUUCUUCAUAGGCUUGCAACCUUCCUUGAAGUUGCUCGAUCGUCAUAUCUUUCAAAUCUCUUGUUUCCUCAAUUGUCACAACAAUAUGGUCAAACUUCGAGUCUACUGAUCGAAGUCUUUUUUCAAUGAUCCUUACCUCUUUUAACUCCUCGCCAUUUCUUUUUAAUUCAUUGGAAAUGGUCACAACCCGAGUAAAGUAGUCAAAAAUUGACUCUGACGCCUUCAUGUGUAAGGACUCAAAUUCUCUUCGUAAUGUUUGGAGAUGAACUUUCUUAACUUGCUCCGCUCCUUUGUAAGAGGUCUCUAGUUUCUCCUAUACUUCUUUUGAGGAGGUUGUACUAACAAUCUUUUCAAAAGCAUCUUCAUCUAAUGAUUGAAAGAUGCGAUACUUUGCUUUAUUCUCUUUCUUCUUAAAGUCUUUUAAAUUCGCCUUCUGCGCCGUAGUUAAAGUGGCUUCAUUUUCUGGCACAAUAAAGCCUUUUUCCACGACAUCCCAUAUGCCAUGUGCACCCAAUAGAGCCUUCAUUUUAAUACUCUAGUUGUCAAACUUCCCUUUAAUUGUGGAACUUGAAAUGACAUCAUACUAGUAUUUGCCAUAACUCACAAAUUGAUUGAGAAUUUGGAGAUUCUGAAUGCACAGAUAGAUCCGGCACGUCGAAAAACCUUGGGAGGAACUCGAGUCAACUUUCGGUCAACAGUCAAUGUCGGUUUGGUUGACUUUGUUCUGUCCGGCUUGGUUCGGCUCGCGUUGGCUCGGUUCGACUUGAUUCUGUUCAGCUCCGCUCGGCUUGAUUCUGUUCGGUUCAGUUUGGCUCGGUUCGGUUCAGCUUGCUUCAACUCAGCUCGAUUCGGUUCAGCUUGGUUCAACUCGGUGAGUCGACUUAGUUUCAGGACAGAAAAAUUCCGGCGGCGAGUGUGGGAGCGUCCGGUCUCCAAUCGGGAUGAUCUUUAUGGUAUCGCGUACCUCUCGUCGAGAGCUUCGAUUUAAUAUGCUAUACGGCUAUAUAUAGCUUCGAACACUAGCUCUGAUACCACUUUGUUGGAGAAUUAACAAAUAAAACACACAAAAAACACACUAUGUUAUUUCUUCAACAACACUCCUCACCAAAUACAACUCUUAUUUUUCACUCUUUACAACUUAGAGAAUUUUGUUACUUCACUUGAUGCAUAAACCAAAGGGGAGAGGGGGUAUUUAUACAUUAAACAAACUAAUCACAACCAUUUAAAUAAGAAAUUACAAAAAAUUAAUAACCAUUCAUCUUCACCUACCAAAUCUACCACACCUAACACAAAUAAUUCAAAUCUCACCAACCAUACCUACUCAUGGAACCUUCCAUGAGUUGGGCUUGAAUUUAUUUAUCUUGGAUCAAGUUUAUGAUCCAACAGAUCAUACUACGUUUCAUUAGUUGCAUCGGUAAUCUUUACGUUGGUGAAUUGUUUUUUUUUUUUUUUGGCCGUUGUAUUUACUUCAUAGUCAUCUUCAUGGUUAACUCACUAUGUCUUCUUGACUAGGUUCUUGGCUUUUAUUUAAUAAAUGUCUAGUAUUGUCGACGUUAUUCCAAAAAAAAAAAGAAAAGAAAAAAAGAGUGACUGUUUCAUCCCUCAUAGAUGUUUUUGUCAGAAUCUAUAGCAUUCUCCAUGAAUUCAGAAACAAUUACCCGAAUCCAUACCUGUAGCACGCGAAAGUGGAAGUGGAAGAACCAAGGUUGAAUCACCAUUCAAUUUGGUCGGAAAGCAAUCACAAAAUUGGAAGUCUUCUUAAAUCACAGCAUAAGAAAUUUAUAUGCAAUGGGGCUCGAAUUAUAGAGUUCCCAAAAGUCUAAAGUGAGUUCUCUGCACUUUUCAAAUCUCAACAAUAUUUUGUUCUUCGUGCUUUUAUAUCUACACAUAAAACUAAAUUCUGUGCAAUUCUUAUUUUAUGUGCGUAGAGAGAGAGGAAAAAAAAAAAAGGAGGUAGAGAGGUUAGUGAUAACCACCAUGAUUCAGCUUCCUUUCAUCUUUUCUUUAUUUAUACGCUACUGCUAGUAAUUACUCAAGUGGUAAUUACUUCUAUAUGGGUUGGGUCCGAUCGGUUCAUCUUGUGCAAACCAUCUGGCAACUCCCCUAAGUCUAUCAAGUUGAUUUACUACUUACAUUCCCACUAGAAUUUUAAUUAUUUGCUUCAUCCCUACCAUUAGAAAUUAACGGAAGUAAUUGUGAAAGUAAGCAUAAAACAAUCAUUCAAAGUGUGAUAUUUUUAAAAAUUCAAAAUUAAAAUCUGAAAUAAGUUGUUAGGAUUAGAAAAAAAUUGAAAAAUGAAUGGUUUUUUUUUUUUGGAGCUAAACAGACCAAUCUUUUCCAUUUUCUCUUGGGUUAUAUUUCUGCACAAACAAAACUCUUCUCUUACCCGUGAAAUACUGUGUCACUCAUGAAACCCUUUCUCUUGUAGACAACAUCAAACCCAAAAAUCACUCACGACCGUUAACCAUCCAUACAUUCUGUUGUUCGAGACGUUUGUUUGAUGUGUGGCACAGCAUUUUGAUCGAAUCAGAUCGGUGAAAAUCAGUGGAGAUGGCUCCAAAAUCCUUCGAGGUUAGUUGUUCUAGGUAAACCUACCUUCAUUAUAUAGAAAAAAAUUAUUGUUGAUUUAUCUUUAUAAAUUGUAUAUGUUCGUAUAAAUAAGAAAUAAAGUUGAAAGCUUUACCUGUUUAAAACUACGAAGAUUUUGAAAAAUGAAAUGGGUAUUGAUAUGUAAUGGGUUUGAAAUAUAGAAGUACUAGAACCCCUUUACUUGAAAUGUCAUGAAAUCCUAUAAUGAGGGAUAGAAUUGUAAACGGACAAACUAUUGACUUUAUCUGUUAUCUUUUGACACAGAUGUAAUAGGUAAUUAAAACUCUAGUGGAGAUGUAAGAGGUAAAUAAGACAUAUCUAUCAAGGAUGAAACAUUUAUUUUCCCCCUCAAACAAAACAGAUGUUGGAGUUUCCUUAGCUUUCCAAAUUGGUGGUACAACAUGGAGUAGCUUCUGGACUUUUAUUUCAUAAACAUCUUGCAUUGUCGAGGUUAUUAAAAAUAAAUAAAAUAAAAUAAAAAUCCAGUGGUCGGAGCUUCCUUAGGCUCUCCAAAAUCACUAAUACAACAUGAUAUGUGUUUUAAGCGGAUUUUGGUUGCCAGGAAGAUGGAUAAAAAUCUCACCAAAACAAUGAAUUUUUUUUUAGGAGUUCAGGGUACCUCACUAAAUCGUGGCAUAGGGGGCUGUUUUAGGCUUUAAGGGAGGUGAAGAAGAAGGGUGCCCAGGGUGGAUAAUGGCGAGAAGUCUAAAACGGAGUGAGUUGGUUUGAGAUAGUGUCAGCACACCUGCAAAAUAGCCCAGGUAGGUUAGAGGUGGAGUCGACAGUGGCCGGUGACCACACUCCGAUGCUCAAGUCAGCUACUUAAAUUUUUAUGGAGGUGAGAGCUUGCAAGCUCUCUAAAAUGAAGGCUGAAGGUUGAAGAAGUACAAGGUUCUACGUUCAGAGAAUGUUAUCAUCCUGUCAUCCUCAUUCUCAAUCUUGGCAUUCCCUCCAUGACUUCACUUUGUCGGAUUCUUUACAGAAGAUUCUAAUGGAUUCUCUAAUUAUUUGUUUCAUUGAUAUUUUUCUUUCUUAUAGUUAGAUUCUUUCAAGCAUUUUAAUAAUUUGCCUGCAGAACUUUGGCUACGUUUUGUUGUGGCACCAUGCACUGUUUGAGAAGCAAAGCGAAAUACAACCUUCUGAUUGUUAUCAUUUUCUUUGUCUUAGACCGUCGAGGUUUCUUAAAAAUAAAUAAAUACGAUAGUAUUUAAAAACUUAAAGGACAUAUUACAUAUAAGCUCAAACACUAAUUUUUCAGAUAUUUUAAUUAGUUUUAGAAAAACAAACAAUGUAACAUUUAUAAUCAGAUAUUAAACAAUGAAAAACGAACAUAUCAUUUAAACUUAUGCAUUCAGUCAUAUUCCGAAUUCAAAAAUUCAGAAACCAUUUGCAACAACUUUAAUGGAGAAGUGACCAACUAAGAAAGGCUUGCUAGUGAGAUCACUGCAAUGCCAACCUCAGCGCCAGUGAGAAUAACAAGCUCGCUUGCCUUUUUAUAGAUCCCGGAUCUACGCUUGGAGAAUGUACUCAUCUCCUGUCACCUCAUUUUCAAUCCUCCUCUUCUCAAUCUUUUGAAGAAGUUAAAGGUUGACAUAAAGAAGAUUGAGAAUGAGGAUGACAGGAUGAUAACAUUCUCUGAACGUAGAUCUGGGAUCUACAAGAAAGCGAGUAAGCCUGUCACUCUCACAGGCGCCUAGAUUUGCCAUUAUGGUAGUCUCACCAUCUGGCGAGCCUUACUCCUUUGGUCACCCCUCCAUUGAAGCUGUUGCAAACCGUUUCCUGGGAUUGAACCAGCAGCCUAAUGACAACAGUCACCCUCUUGCUGAGGCUCGACGCCAAUUACCCUCUUUCCAAUACAACAAAAAAGUAUUUUUUCCUUUUAUUUUUCAAUUAGUAAUGUUAAAGCUUGAACAAGGUUUAAGGAAAAUAUCAAGAUAUUUAUAGGGAAUAGCGCGUAAAAUACACCUACGCUCGUGAGCGCGUGCAUGUGUUUAUGCAUAUGUAAAUGUAAACUUAGUUAUGUUCUUUCAAAAUUUACCAACUCAAGCUCUCCAAAUUACUAAUUCAAGCAUCUUACAGAUUAUUUUACCAAAUUAUUGAGAACUAGAAAACAACAACAUUAAUUAUAAAAAAUCUAAGCGUAUCUGACUAAUUCUACCUACUAUACAAGUUACCAAUUGCCUUCUAAGGGCUUGGUCGAGUGGUUUUCAAAUAGUUUUAUUUAGUUGGUCAUCAAAGUUCAAAUUUUGGGCAUGUAAAAGGUUAAAAAAUUGAUUGAGGUAUUGCCCACCUCUCUAUCUUCGAAAAAAAAAAGCAAAAAAAAAUGUGCCCAAUGGGCAUGGCCAAGUAAUUUUCUAAUAGUUUUAUUUGAUUGGCUGCCCAAGUUUGAAUCUUGGAAGGUAGGGUUAAAAAAAUUAAUUUAGAUUUACCGAUUACCCUUAAAAAAAAAAAGCAAAGAAAAUUUUGAUUUUGAUUUAGACUAAAUAUAAACUGAUUUUAAGGGUAUAUUUUUCUUGAGUCCUCGUUUGUAGAAAGAAAUUCACACCAAAAUUUUUAAAAAUACAUUACUUAAGUCCUUGUCAAUACAAAUUUGUCUCCUUCAAGUUCUUGAAUGAAUUUCAUAAUUAAAAAAAAAAAUAGCAUUAUGUCAUUUUACUCAGAUUUAAGCGUUCAGUCUUCUUAUUUUUAAUUUUAUGCAUGACAGUGCCAAGGUUUCAAGCUGACUAAGGUUAGAAAACCUCAGCUUUUAUAUUACUUGUUCUUUCCUAUUUUAACAGUUUCUUGUUGCUCAACCCUACUUCAUAAUUUUACAGGGUCCUUUGCUAUUAUAACCCCUCGUUCAACUUUAAUUUGCCGAUGAAGGAUCUUGAAAGCCAAUAUAUAGACUUGUAUAAAGACAUAAGAUAUUGCGCUGAAAGUGAGAGAAAAAAAAAAUACUCCUGAAGUUAAAAAAAUCUAAAGUAUUUAGUUGAAAGUGGGGACUUAUAUGUAUAGGGAAGAAAAAUAUGUGAUGAUAAAUAAUGUGAAAAACCUUCAAGUAUUUUGGUGUUAAAUCUAUUGUAAUUAUUGAGCAAUUGAAUUAAUUUUUUAAACUGUGAAAAAAUAACAAUUAAUAAACUCAGAUAAAAUAAGCUUUAAACCAUUAAUGUGAAAUAUAAGGUUAUAACUAGCCAGUUGAAGACAUGAAUAAAAUCAAUUUCAAUUUAGAAAAAUUAAAGUGACAUUUUAACAAACUAUGGUCAUGAGUUUCCUUCUUUUUUUCUUUUUUUUUUUCUAUUUUCUCCGCUUUCUCAAAACACAUAAUUAAUAAGCAAGAGCAAACACUUUGUACGCUUUAAUAUACUUGAAUGUAAUUAUGUGACUGCAUGUGUGGUGAAGGAAAUAAAAUCUAUAAUUUUCAAGAAUUAGCACUUAAAGGUCUCAACUAAAUACCCUUAUUUUGUUCCUACAUUACUUCCACUUACGGAUUAUUAUUUUGACAAUAUUGGAAGGCUUCAUUACUUCCAUAUAUGGACUAUCAUUGUACUAUUAUUAGAAGGCUUUUUUAAUUUGUUACCCAAUUAGUCUCACACGUGUAAUUAUGGUACUUCAAUGCUUCUUUUUUUUCAUAUCAAUUAAUCAUUCUUAAAUUUUUUUCCAAAAAUAAUUUUUUUGCUAGAUUUUUUAAGUGAUAAUAUCAUCACUAUAGAUGAUAUAUUAUAAUAUUAACAAUAGUUGGUGUGGCAGACAACCGGGACAAACUCUAUUUAUUUAUUUUUUUUUUAAUUGCACGUACCUUAAUGAAGCUCAAACUCAAGACCUGAGUCCUAAGGAAGCAGCUCCUUACCACAACUUGGCCUCAACUCAAGCGAACUCAUCUCUUCAAACUGGAAUACAACUUUAUCAAAGCCUAAUCAUUUCAUUAAGGUCCAACUGUGUCACCCCAAAGACACCGUAAAAUAAUUUAUUAAUUUUUAAUAAUUUUCUAAUUAUUUAAUAGUCAUUAUUCUUUUCGUUAGCCUUUUGUUUUCAAUUUCCACUGCUUUCAAUUUCCGCUGCGGUAGUCAUAUUCUGUUGAAUAAACAGAAUGAGAGAAUUCUCAUUUCAUAUACCUAUUUUUGGCACGCUCACGAAAAAGAGUCAUUUUAUCACAAAGUACUCACCGAGUAAUUUUCAAAUAAUUUUAUUACACUACCACCAAAAUUUAAAUUCCAGAAGUAAUAGUUGGUGUUGUAAGUCAGGUUUGCGAAGUGCUGGAUGUUCAAGCCACUUCUGACCAUGGGAUGUAUUUAGGUCUUACCUCUUGUAUUGGCAGGAAGAAAAAAGUUGUGUUCCAAAACAUUCGGGACAGAGUUUGGCAGAGAAUUCAAGGAUGGAGUACGAUGAUGCUAUCUAGAGCUGGCAAAGAGAUUUUGCUGAAAACGGCGGUGCAAGCAAUGCCUAACUAUGCCAUGAAUGUCUAUCUCCUCCCUCUUGAUCUUUGUAAAGAGCUUGAGAUCAUGAUGAAUUUGUUUUGGUGGGGUAGUAAACGCAGUGUUAGCCGAAGGAUUUUGGAGGAAUAGGUUUCAAACAACUACAUAUCUUCAAUGUAGCAAUGUUAGGAACUCCAAUGAUGUUUAGGGAUUUAUGCGGUUAUGACUCACCAUCUAUUAUCAAGUAUCUUUAGCAUAUUACCAAUGACUUGUUUACGUAUGCAAUAUGAAUUUCCAUUUUAAUGAGAUAAAAUUUGCCUUGUUAUGAGAGAAAAAGCCGCCAUAUGUGAUUGAUGCAAGCUUUUAUGGCAUGUGACAAAAUUGUCUCAUCUAGAUUAUCGCACUACUCAAAGUGAAAAUAAAGUGUGGAGGAUAAUUCACUUACAACAAUUUUGCAAAUCACUUGUCAAAUGCAUUUAUAGAUGGAUCUAACGUAACCAAGUCAUGUAUACCACAUGUAAAUGUAUCUCACCAAGUAGUUGUUCCUAUUGAAAAUUUUGAUAAAAAUAGCUAAUUGAUUAAUCUAAGGCACACCUAAGGUAUGGUAGACCACUUCGUUUAAAAGAUAAUAUUCAACUAAAAUAAAUAAAAAUAAAAGGUUAGGAUUUUGUUAAUCAGUUGUAAGUAAAAGUGCUACUUCAGAAGAAUAGGUCCUCUCCUAUGUGCCUACAGCGACACUACCUUCUGAAGAGACAAAUACCUCAGAUGUAAGCCAACCUCUUAAUGUAGCUAAGAAUGAAGAAAAGUUUGCAAAUUUUACUCACAAAAUGGAAAGUGUAUAAUCAUAACAAAAAAGCUAUUGACAAUGCUUAUUCAUUUACAAUAGCUACUGAUUUGAUAAAUGAUGAUAUUGACUAAUAGUCCAUUGACGAAUUUAGACUAAGAAAUGAUUGGCCCAAAUAGGAAGAAGCAAUCCAUGUGAAAUUGAUUUUCUUAGCAAAACAUGAUGUUUUUAGACUUAUAAUCCAAAUACCUAUUAUUGUUAAACCAUUGGGUAUAAAUAAAUAUUUUUUUCAAUAACUUAAUGAAAAGAAUGAGGUGGCUAGAUAUAAAGCACGACUUAUUGCACAAGGUUUCUCACAAAAAGUAGUUAUUGAUUAUGAGGAGGUGUAUUUACUAGUAAUUUGUGUAGUUUUGUUCUGAUUCUUGAUUAGUUUGACUAUAUUUGAGAGGUUUAAUAUUUGUUUUAUAGAUGUAGUGACAGUUUAUUUGUAUGAAUCAUUAUUUAUAAAACACACACACACAUAUAUGUAGUGGCGGCGCCACUUGAGAGCCCCUGCUAGAUUUAAAAAAAAUAAACUCAUCUUAUUUUUUAGUGGAUUUACAAUAAAGCCCUUAGUAAAUUUUAAAAAUAACUAAAAGAUCAGUAUUUUAAAUAGUGAUUAGAAUCCAAAAAAAAAAAAUUCAAAAUCAAAUCUAUAACCACCACCAUCAAUCCUUUGCCAAAGAAAACCUCCAUCGGCUACCAUCAGUGAUCAGCUUGUCGUCUAUCUCUGUCCAAUUCCCAUGUCAUCACACCUCUUUGUUUUCAUGUCAUUGCCAUAGACGCUACAACUUGUAGCUCGUAGUCGCAGUCGCAGUCUUGCAUCACCGUAUGGUCCUCGCACUCGCAGCCUUGCAUCACCACAUGGUCCGCAUCUUUGCAUUUUUUCUAGUACUACCAUUGCACCUUUGCAGCUUUUAUAUUAAUUAUCAAGAAUUGAUUAAAUUAUUUUGAUAAUUAAGCACCUCUGUCACUUUAUGAUUUAAUAUUCUAAUUCUUGAAUUAGUUUAUACCUUUUUGAAUUGAAUUGGUUUAUGCCUUUUUUAAUAGAAUAAUAUUAUUAACUUUCAAUUAUUGUGGCGAUGCUUUGUGGAUUGAUAAAGUGGCAAUGCUUUUAACUUUACUGAUUAUAACUAAUAAAAUAAAAAUUCCAUGGCCCAUGGGUGACGCCGUGACGAGUUAGUAACCUAGUGGUUGAGGAUUUAGUCAGGUAGUCGGUUUAUUAAAUUAAUAAUUUGUAAUUUUUUCUUUUUCUUUUUUUUUUGACAUGGAAAUUGUCUUCGGUUUCUCUUUAAAUAAACACAAUUAAUUGUGUUUAUUUGUCACAGUUAUGGAGAAAUAUUACUCAAGAAUGACUGCCACAUGGUUCUCUGCUUGUCUUGUCUAAAUGGGCAACGCCAAUGCGUCGGUGCUUUGCCUUUGUGCCCCAUCUAAUAAUAUAUUAUUAUUAUGAUUAUUAUCUAAUUCAUACAUAAUUCAUGCAUAUCCUUUCUAAGUGAUUGGGUUGCCACUAUUUUACAUCCUUUUUAAUGCAUGUAUUGCUUUAUGCAAGUCUAAAAGAGGUUCUAUGAUAUCAUACAAACUCAAAAAAGUAAGCACCUCUUUCUUUUUAUAUGCAUUUAAUUUUUUACCUACUUGGUGUGCUAGUGUUAUGGUGUAAAGACAAGAUUGAUCUGUAAUCUCAAAACAAAAUUUAGUGGGUGAUGUCAUUGUGCAAUAUCGUCAUGAGCCUUCUGGUUGAUUCAAAAUGUCGGCAUUAUUUAUCGAACAUUAUAGAAUAUAAAAUAAAUUACCAAAUUAUAUUUGAUAGUGAACUGUUUUAUUGAUCUUUGUGCAUGAGACUCAAUUUUCUUAACAGCAAGAGAUUCCAUUUGUCGGCUCAAUAAUUUAUGAAGGUGAGUUUGUAUUUAUAAAUCAUGCGAAUUGCGACCGUCUCUUUAAAGGUGGCAUUUGUUGGAUUCCUUGUACAUUUUAGGUGUUUUUAGUAUGCUGUAUUUUAUUAUAAUGUAUUAUAAUAUAACGUUUUAUAAUGUUUGGUAUUAUAUCGUACAUUAUUAUAUAUAAUAAUUUUUGUAUUAUUAUUUAUAUUAAAUUAAUUUUUUAUAAUUAUAAAUAUCUUAAAAGUUUUAUAGUUUAUAUUUAUUAUUUAAAUUUAUAAAUAUAAAUAAAAUUAUUCACCAACAAUCACCGUGAACCACUGCAAAUUGCUUUGGGCAUUCAUAUAUUGAUAUUUUUUUAACUUCAAUUCUAGUGCUAUUAGAAUCUUUAUCAGCGGAUCUAUACAACGAGUGAGCAAAAGCUUUGAUUCUGAUAUUAUAUAUGCUAUCGAGUAGUUCCAAUGAUAAAGACUCCAUUGGUACCAAAAUUGAUGUCAAAGAAUGCUAAAAUAAUAUUAUUGGUGGUGGAUUGUGGUGGUCAGCGGCGGACAAUAUUUUUAGCAUUCGAAUUUAUUGUUUUAUAAACUAAUAAUAAAUAAAUUAAAUGUGUUGUAAUUGAUUAAAUAAUUCUAUGUUUUAAAAGUCAGCAAUAUAGCUUAUUCAUGGUGGGAUUGUAUAGCAUUACGUUAUGGGCCCAGCAUUACUUUGAUAUUGCGGCAAAAGAUGCAUUAAGGCCUUCGGUUAAUGUUGCUCAAUGCAAAUUUAAUAUAGAAAGCAGAGUCAUUUGAAUCUUUCAUUAAACACAACAUAGCGAGCCAAAAAAAAAAGAUUCAAUGGAUGUACUUGGAGAUUCUCACAUUCAUCAAAAGAAAGGAAGAAGACUGAUACUCUUCCCACUGCCUUUACAAGGCCACAUAAACCCAAUGCUUCAGCUUGCAAACAUUCUCUAUUCAAAAGGCUUUUCAAUCACCAUAAUUCACACCAACUUCAACUCCCCGAAUACCUCAAACUACCCUCAGUCCAGCUUCUGUUCAAUCGAAGACAGCUCUUCAGAAACUGAAGCCUCUACCGCGGAUUUAGUGGCUCUUCUUUCACUACUUAAUGUUCAGUGUGUUGUGCCAUUUCGGAAUUGCUUGGCUAAGUUGUUGUCAAAUGUUGAGGAGGAGGAAAAGGAGCCUAUUGCUUGCUUAAUCACGGAUGCUACUUGGUACUUCACUCAGGCUGUUGCUGAAAGCCUAAAGCUCUCCAGGAUUGUGUUAAGGACUAAUAGCGUCUCUUCAUUUCUUGUUUUUGCCGCCUUUCCAGUUCUAAGCCAAAAGGGUUACUUCCCAAUACGAGGUGCAAUCAAAUUAGUUCUUGCUUCUAGUAUCAAUGAUAAUUUUAUUUGUAGGUAUUAUUUUUAUUUGUAGGUACUGUCUGAUUAUCGAAUCUUGCCCUGGAGAAAUCUCCCCUUAGGAUGAUUGGAAUUCUUAGUACAUCUCAUAAUUUAGUUAUUAUGACAGUAAUUCAUUAUAGUAAUGAGUAAUGAUCAGUGCAAAUGGUACUUGAUAUUAAAAUUAUCUUCUUUUACUAUUUUUGUUCUUCAAUGUUCAGAUUCUCAAUCGGGAGCACCAGUGCCAGAACUUCCACCUCUAAGAGUGAAAGACAUUCCUGUAGUUGAAACCUGUUACCGAGAGACACUACAUCGAUUGGUAACAGAAGCAACCAAUCAGAUGAAGGUCUCCUCCGGAUGCAUAUGGAACUCACUUCAGGAUCUUGAACUUGCUUCUCUAACCAAAUUUCAGCAGGACUUCCCCAUUCCAAUGUUCCCGAUAGGCCCAUUUCACAAGUUCUUUUCAGCUUCUUCAAGUAGCUUACUUGCACAUGACCAAACCUCAAUUUCCUGGUUAGAUAAACAAACACCAAAAUCUGUAAUUUAUGUAAGUUUUGGAAGCAUUGCUGCAAUUAACGAGACCGAAUUUUUAGAAGUAGCUUGGGGCCUAGCCAACAGCAAGGUGCCAUUCCUGUGGGUGGUACGGCCAGGAUUAGUCCGUGGAGCAGAAUGGAUUGAACCAUUGCCACAAGGGUUCCUAGAAACGCUAGAUGGAAGAGGGCAUAUAGUGAAAUGGGCCCCCCAGCAAGAAGUGCUAGCUCAUCCUGCCACUGGAGGAUUUUGGACACAUUGUGGCUGGAAUUCGACAUUGGAAAGUAUAUGUGAAGGUGUCCCCAUGAUAUGCCAGCCUUGUUUUGGUGACCAAAUGGUGAAUGCAAUAUAUGUUAGUGAUGUUUGGAAAGUUGGUUUGCAUUUGGAAAGGAAGCUGGAGAGAGGGGAGGUUGAAAGGACAAUCAGAAGAGUAAUGAAGGAGGCUGAGGGGCAGGAAAUAAGAGUCAGAAUUAUGAUUUUGAAGGAAAAACUCAACCUUUGUCUAAAUCAAGGUGGUUCUUCAUAUCAAUCUCUGGAAAGCUUGAUUAGUUACAUUUUGUCAUUCUAGAUUUUCCAAUAUUUUCAUCACUCUAUCUAAAAGCUGAUUUAGAUAGUGAGUUGUACUCUUUGGCCUUUUCUUGCAUAAACAGUGUCCGAAAUCCGAAUUUUAUAUCUUUGUUGGAGUUUGUGAGCCUUGGUUGUCUUAACUGUACUUCAAAAGUUGGACUUCUAAGCUGAUUUACUAUCUGGGUUCGUUUGUAAUGCUGUUGUUGUUUAAUUCCCCGUUCUUCAUAGAGGAAUUUAGUUGAUUAUAAAUGCCUUGCUCAUUGAAAUAAAGUUUUCAUUCACCAAUAAAAAAUUUAAAGCAGAAGCAUCACAAUGUUCCAUUCACGGUUGAUGAUUAACUCAUGGUGAGAAAUUAACAACAAAAGAAGUGAGAAAUUAAACAGAAAGCAGGAAGCAGAAAGAUUCAAUGGAGAACUAAAGAGAGUUGCAUAUACAACAAAAGAAGCAAAGACGGCUGAUACUCUUCCCACUGCCAUUGCAGGGUCACAUAGAGACCCGUGCUUCAGCUUGCAAGCAUUCUCUAUUCCAGAGACUUUUCAAUCAUUAUAUUUCAAAGCAACUUCAGUGUGAAGCGCGUGGUACAAUUCGGGAUUGGUUGGCUAAGUUGUUGUCAAAUCUUGAGGAAGGAACUACGGCCAAUUUCACAAAUUCUUCCCAGAUAAUUCAUUGUCUUGAGACGAAUCCAUUUCCUGGUUAGCCAAACUGCCACAUGUGCAUAAAUUGGUAAUUUAUGUAAGUUUGGAAAGCAUUGGUGCAGUGCCAUUCUUAGAGAGAGCUUAAGGGCUAGCCAAUAGCGAAGUACCAUUCCUAUGGGUGGUUCGACCAGAUUUAGUCCGUGGAGCAGAAUGGAUUGACCAACUUUCAUUGCUUUUGUGGCUAACCAUUGAUGAUAUAUUGUCACAAGCAGAGUGUUAAUCGUGACAUCCUCAAUUUCCAUCUCUCAUCCUGAAACUCUCAGAUUUUACAGCAGCAGCAUCAUUGAGAAUCUACCAAUUGAUUAUUGGUGACGAUUGGACUUAAUUUCUUUGAUUUAUUUUUACUAUUUAUUUUUUGGUGGUGCAAGUCAUUUCAUUUCCCUGUUGGGGCAUUUUAGGGAACGGUUUGCAACUUUUAACGAACACUAAUCCCUCUCUCAAACCAACUUCAAUUCUUCCGUAACCAGCACUGCUCUUCAUGAAACUCGCAAGAUCCAUUACCCACCAUUUGACUACCUCUUCAACGACCCAAAAACCAAAGCGAGUAAGCACGAAACCAAUCUCCCUCAACUCCAUUAAAGAGCUUCACGCAAAUCUUAUCAGAACCCACCUCCACACGGACCCAUCUUCAAUAUCUAAUGUAAUCAAGUCAUACGCUUUAUCUCCCUCUUAUUUGGACAAAGCCCAUCUUGUUUUUAACCAACUUGAACGACCCACAUUGUUGGUGUUUAACCAUAUGAUCCAAGGUUUGUCACAAAGUGACCAACCAAAUGAAGCCAUUGACAUGUACAAUAAUAUGUAUCAUCAAGGAUUUACUGGUGACAAUUUGACCUUUAUUUUUGUAUUCAAGGCUUGUGCUCGUGUUAAGGAUGUUUUUCAUGGCCAAAAGGUUCAUGCUCAUAUUUUGAAACUUGGAUUUGGAUCGUAUCUCUUUGUUUCAAAUGCUUUGAUUCACUUGUAUGCCUCUUGUGGUCGUUUGGGGUUGGCGCGGAAACUGUUUGAUAUAAUGACUAAUAGAGAUUUGGUUUCUUGGAAUUCUCUAAAUUGUGGUUAUAGUCAGUGCAAAAGGUUUGAAGAGGUAUUGGCUUUGUUUAAUUCUAUGCAAGAAGUUAAUGUAAAGGCUGAUGCGGUGACAAUGGUGAAAGUUAUUUUAGCUUGUAGUAAUUUGGGCAGGUGGGAUAUUGCGGAUUCUAUGGUUAAAUAUAUUGAAGAAAACAAUAUUGAAUUUGAUGUUUACUUGGGGAACACUUUGAUAGAUGUGUAUGGACGGCGUGGUUUGGUGGAUUUGGCACAAGAGGCUUUUAAUCAAAUGCUUGACAAAAAUAUAGUUUCCUGGAAUGCUUUGAUCAUUGGGUAUGCAAAAGUUGGGCAUUUGAUUGAGGCGCAGAAGCUUUUUGAUGAGAUGCCCAGAAGGGAUGUGAUUUCUUGGACUUCUUUGAUCACAGGGUACUCUCGAGGUAACCAAUUUGUUGAGGUGGUGAAGCUUUUUCGUGAAAUGAUGUUAGCUAAGGUGAAACCAGAUGAAAUCACUUUGGCAACUGUGCUUUCAGCAUGUGCCCAUAUUGGGUCACUGGACAUGGGAGAAGCAAUUCACGACUAUAUAAAAGGCAUGGUACAAAAUGUGAUCUUUAUUUGGGGAAUUCGCUUAUCGACAUGUACUGCAAGUGCGGGGUGGUUGAGAAUGCACUAGUUGUGUUUCAUGAGAUGGAAAAGAAGGAUUCUGUUUCCUGGACUUCAAUUAUCUCAGGCCUUGCAGUGAAUGGUUUUGCUGAUUAUGCACUUGAGCUAUUUAUGCAGAUGUUGAGAGAAGGUGUUCGGCCAACUCAUGGAAGCUUUGUUGGCAUUUUACUAGCUUGUACUCAUGCCGGAUUGAUAGAUGAGGGAUUGCAAUAUUUUGAAAGUAUGGAAAAAGUUUAUGGACUAACACCAGAGAUGAAACACUACGGUUGUGUUGUUGAUCUUUUGAGCCGCUCUGGCAAUGUAGAGAAAGCUUAUGAGUUCAUGAAGGCAAUGCCAAUAGCCCCAGAUGUUGUAGUAUGGAGAAUACUGCUGAGUGCUUGUAAACUUCAUGGGAACUUGGUCCUAGCUGAGAUUGCUACCGGCAAGCUUCUCGAAUUGGAUCCUUCUAACAGUGGGAAUUUAUUCUCUUAUCUAAUACUUAUGCAUGUUCAGAUAAAUGGGAUGAUGCUAAUAGAGUUAGAGAAUUAAUGGUGGAGAGUGAUGUGUAUAAGCCAUCUGGUUGGAGUUCCAUUAAUUCUAUGGAACCACAUGUAAUCUAAAGUAAAGAGGAAUCAAUUGAGAGCUGCAACUAAUUACAAUGGACUACUGUAGAUCAGUGUAGUUAGUGCCUGGGUAAUAUCCCUGGAGAAAGAGAAAUGAGCUGUACCUUCACCUCAACCAAUUUGAUAUUGGCUCAAAGAUAAUUGAGAUAAUUGUAAUUGUAGCUCCGAUCCAAAGUUGUACUCAGAAUUUCCUUUUUUUAAUGACAAUUUGAACGUUUAGUAUCAGAGUCCUUGAGACAAUAAAUUAUGUUUGAGGUGCUCAUCUAAGCCUGAAGCUAGAGUGGUUUCAGUAUUGAUUAGAGCUCUAGUGAUGUGGUAAAUCAACUCUAGAAUUGUAUCAGGAGAAAAUUCCAUUGCUUGGAGUGCUAUCAAAAAAAAGUUCAUUACGUUUUCUCUGGGGAUUAUAUAGCUAUGAUGAGCAGGAGAACUGCCCAACGGCAAGACACUGCCUUAUAAGUUCGGAGGAUGUGAGCUGUUCUUCAAGUAAGAAUUAAGCAAAAGUAUUCCAAUUGCAUACUUUCUUCAAAGGAUACUUUUGCAUGAGACAUAAUUGGGUGUAAUUUUUGUGCAUGGAUGACAAAGUUCAUUACAUUUUCUCUGGGGCUUAUAUAGCUAUGAUGAGCAGGAGAACUGGCCAACGGCAAGACACUGUCUUAUAAGUUCGGAGGAUAUGAGCUGUUCUUCAAGUAAUAAUGAAGCAAAGUAUUCCAAUGGCAUGCUUUCUUUAAAGGAUACUUUUGCAUGAGACAUAAUUGGGUAUAAGUUUUGUGCAUGGAUGACAAAUAGAACAGUUGAGUGACAUGAAGUUUGAGGCAACUGUCCAUUGCUAGGUCCUGCUUUGGAGGAGAAUAACUAUCUUAAUUAGGUCUAGUUCAGAUCAGUUUGAAUGUAAAUGCGAGUGAAGCUGUAGAACAUCUUUGCAAGUGUAUAGAGGGAGCCUUUCCUAUAAGAUAUGCAUACCGCAGCAAGUAUAUGAUAUCAUAAUGCUCUUGGCAGAGACCUUCGAAUGUACAAUUGUUUCAUAUGAACUGCAGAGUGAAAACUUUUACUUGGUUAAGCAUCUUAAAUUUAUACUAUUCUGCUCUUGGAUGUGCGAGCCUUCUCUGUCUGUCAAAAUAUUUUUUUCAGAAGAUCUUACAGAGAGGCUAAUGAUAAUGUAUUUAUUUAUUUUUUAUUGGAAUCAAGUUAUUAAAAGUAAAUAGGCAGCAUAUUGAUGCAUUCUGGAAGAAAAAAUUGUUAGCAGAGUGAUAUGGCAUAUACUUUGUGCGUCUUGUAUGCUUUAUCUUCAGCACUUUGCUAUGUGUUUUUCUCCCUAGUGCCUAGAGACUGUCAAUUUUUUUUUCCUUUUUCUUGACAAAACUGAGGAGCUCAAGUUGGGACAGAAUUGUUUCUUAAUUUCUUGCAGACACGGAUUCUCGUUAAUCAAGAUGGUAUAUCAACAUAUAUACUUUGACACAAUACAUAAUAUCAGUUUUCCCCCUUCACUUUUCACAGAUUAAACAUAACCUUGAUGGCAUUUCCACCUUGAGCACUAAUUUCAAAAGCAUCUUCUAUUUCUUUCUGUGUGAAGCCAAACCUGUGGGUUAUCAAUGGCUUAACAUCAAUCUUGCCGCUUCUCAGAAACUCAAUGCAGAGUGGCCAUGUGCUCCUAUACCGAAAUAUGCCAAUUACAUCCACUUCCCUGUCAACCAACAAAACCCUUUAUCAGAAAUUUCCCAAAUUUAUAUUUCAAACGUCGAAAACUGAGGGUGAAUUAUAUAUCUCAUCACCUUGCAGCUGCCGGCGUCAGAGCAACAGUCAUCUCGGUCUUGGCUAAUCCUAUCAGGCAAACUUUGCUUCCUGGACGAGUGGCAUUCAAAGCCGUUGACAUGGUUUUGUCAAACCCAACACAAUCAAAGCUCACAUCAAUGCCUGAACCCAUUGCAUUUUGUAUCUUCCCCACAUCUGUAUCAACAUCCUGCCAAUGUUUUUGCACAGCUUCAAAGUCUAGAAAAACUUGGGAAAGUGAAAACAGAGCGAUAAUCAUCUACAUCUGACAAUUAACCUCGAUAUCUGUUGAGACUUUAACUGUUUCAUCCGAGCCAAGAUUCCUUGCAAUAGAUAGACGCUGAACAUCAACAUCAGUGAUGAUAAUUCUGGGGGCACCAAAUGCUCGAGCAGCUAACAGGGUAACAAGGCCUAUCGGUCCUGAUCCCAUGAUCAUUACAUUGGUUUCAGGUCCAACGUUUGCACGCCGACAGGCAUGGACACCAACACUUAAGGGUUCACACAUUGCUCCUUCCUCCAAGCUCACAUUGUCAGGUAACUUGUAACAUAACUUUGCUGGAUGCACAACCUAGUUGCAGGAAAAAAAAAAUGUCUCCGUUAUUUACAAUUCUUACGUACGUAGACCGCAUGUGAAAUUAAAAAAUUUCUAGUUUGGGAAGCUGAAGACAUCUGAUCAUUGACCUUAUGGGCAAGAGAGCCGUUGGUUGGAGGAGAUCCAAAGAAUCUCAUUUCAGGACAAAGAUUAUAGCUACCAGCUUUGCAGAGACUGCAGUGUCCGCAACUAAUACCAGGUUCUAGAGCCACACGAUCACCCACCUCGAGGGACUUAACUUCACUGCCAACUUAGUCUAUGAUCCCAGCACACUCAUGUCCAAUUACCAUAGGUUUUUUCACAAUAAAAUUGGCACAUCUCAUAGUCUGAUCAUAAACAACAUUUUGCAUACAAUAAGCAGUGACAGCCUUUGGCAUAUUAUACAAUCAUCAAGAUUUUGCAUAGAGACAGACAGAAAGCUUUUUCACCUUGAAGUGAUGAACAUCACUUCCACAUAUUCCAAGAGCCUUAAUUCGUACUUUCACAUCUUGAGGACCUAAAAAUUACACAAUUUUUUUUUUUUUUUUUGGCCAUGGCAUGGCAUGACAAGUGAUCUGAUUAAAUUCAUAGUUGUGCGUAUAGAAUAACAAGAAGAAGAUAAAAAUAUAAUACCUAGGGUAGGCAAAUGAUAUGGCUGAAUUUUCAGAGUUUUGAUUCCAAGCAGCCAGGCAGCCAUGUUCUGAUUCUUGUCUCCUUCGUCAUCUCUGAUUGCUUCAGCCAUUUCAAUGUUUCCCUUUUUUCUUCUCCUCUUGUCUUCUUUUUACACAGUGUUAUUGUGUCUCGUAUUAUCCUAGUUAAAAUUGCCUCUUUUUUUUUUUUUUUUCCCUAUCUCAUUAUAAUUACCUUUUUGAACAGGUAUUCCCUUCCCUCCCAUUAUUGAUUUAUUUAAAUUAUAUGAAUUUUAAAAUAUUAUUUCAUAUGACCAUAUCCAUUAAAAAAAGUCAUGAAAAUCAAAUUAUUGGUUUUCUUUUAAUUCAUAGUAUUAUGGAAUUAUUCUAAAAUAAAACACAAUUAUAAUCGUACAUAUAAAAUGAUAAAUAAUAAAAAUAUAUUAUAAUUUUUUUAUCAUAUAAUUAUAAAAAAUACUCAAUCGCAAAAUAAUUUCAUCGUAACCAAACUCUUUCUUUUAACCUUUUUUAAAAGAUAAAACCAUUCUUUCAUACCAUUUUACAAAAUUAGCCACCACCUACGUACAUUAAGUUGAUUUUGAUUCCUUUGUAAAGAUACAAUUAUUGCACAGUUUGGAUUUCGGGGUCCAUAAAUUCUGAAAAAAAAAAAACAAACAACAAACGGUUCUGAAACCGAUUAAUUCUCUCCACGUAAGCACGUUAUCCUGUUGAAAAAAGAAACCAUAAUCUCUAUCACAAAUUUUUUAAAACUAUCAUUAGUAAUUGGAUUUUUACUUAAAUAAAAAUUAGUCCGAUGAAAACAGAAAUCAAUCAUCUACGCGGAUAAAUACAAAGAACACUUGAUGUUAUGCCUCACUUGUCAUUAAAUAUUCCUGCGGCCGAAUCAAAUCAUAUCCCAUAUCCAGAAUCAGAAUAAAUGGUAGCUUAAAAUAUAGUGUACAGAGUAACGUCUCUGCUGUACACUUGUGUUUUUGAAGGGUAAAAAGCAAAUAUGGGCAAGGGAGGGAUGUCACAAGGAGAAAAGGAAGAUGGAGAAGAAGUUAACAUGGCAGCUUGGCUUCUGGGUGUCAACACCCUCAAGAUUCAGCCUUUUGAGCUUCCUUCUCUGGGUAUUGUUGAUGCGAGAUUCUGGUUACUCUUUCGACCACGACCAGGAUCUCUGUUCGAUCAACUCAACCACGAUCAGGAUCUCUCCUCGUAUGCUUUCUUCUCCAAAUAUUCCUGCGUACACAAAAACAAGUCAGAGCGCACCGGUUGUUUUCCUGAAGUAAACCCUCCGACGCUCAAGUCAGAUAUGAAGGUUUUCUGUUCCUGGGAACGUUAGCCACUAAUCUUAAGGCUCGUUUUUAGUCUCCGUUCCUUAGAGCUUUCUUUUUCUCUGUUAUAAUGUCAAAAAUUCUAACCCUUUUACCUUCGUUGGCUACCUUUUUAUAGGCCUCUUCUGAACCCAGACCUUCCCUCCAUUCGCGCCCGUUAUCCUCCCACCUCUCGAAAGUGGAUGUUCCACUUCUGUAAUCGUGGGUGGUUGUAUGGCCUUCGUGCCUUGAUUCUCGGGUUGGAGAGCACGCCUCGCCAACUGUCGUUGACCGGGUCUCCUCGACUCAAGCUUUAGCUGGAAUGACUUUAUGCUUCUAACAUAGGAUCGGCCUCGCGGAUGGUGCAUUUGUGGAUGAGUAGAAUAUUCCUGCUCCUGCUCCCCUGCUGCCAGAUUCUUACAGUAUAUACUUGCUUGCAAGACCUUGCUACCAGAUGGCUGCUCAUCACAGCUGGUCCUCACCGAAGUACACUCUGCUACCAGGUAUCUGCUCGUCACGGCUGGUCUCGUUGAAGUAUAUCCCCCAAAUACCGGUCCCCCAGUUUCUGGUGUUGGGUAACAUAGUGAGUCGACAACAGAAACUCAACGGUUUUGGCUUGCGUAGGGCAGGAAAAGGUUGCCAAGAGUCGUGUCGCAUUUAAUUACGGAAGAGGUGAUGUGGCAUAAAUCUAUCCCUCCAUUGGAAUUUCAAACCAAGGGUUACGAAACCCUUGGGAUUUGGUGCCGUUAAAUGCUAGCAGCCCAAGGGGUUGUUCCUCAUUAGGAACACUCAAAACCCCCAAACGAGAAACUCGUCGUUUACUCCACGUCUGUUUCUCCGACGAACGAGUUUCGGCAUAAAAGCAUCCAACCAUGUCUCCUUCCGACUGAGCCGUCCCCUCCGACUAAGCCACUACUUCAGGUAUUACUCCUAUUUCCUCACUCAGGGUGUCUCCCGAGCCAGAUGAUCCCUCGUCACCGCUAUUUCGGCCCUAGGAGGUUGUUUGGGCGGACAUUCUCCUAGCACUAGUCCCAACACUAGAUCUAAUGGGUUCUAAGGGGAUCCCGGGGUCAAAGGCAGCAUCGGCGAGCAGACUAGGUAGGAAGUCUAACUCCUCGUCAUCAACCUCAAUGAUUUUCUCUUUACCUUUCGACAUUCCAUAGGCUAUAACCCGAGCACCACCACCAACUAUUACCCAAGAAAAAUAGAGAGAAAAGAGAUAUCAACAACUAUCCAAGACCGCUAUUUCGGCUCGAGGAGGUUGUUUGGGGGGACAUUCUCCUAGCACUAGUCCCAACACUAGAUCUAAUGGGUUCUAAAGGGAUCCCGGGGUCAAAGGCAGCAUCGGCGAGCAGACUAGGUAGGAAGUCUAACUCGUCGUCAUCAACCUCAAUGAUUUUCUCUUUACCUUUCGACAUUCCCUAGGCUAUAACCCGAGCACCACCACCAACUAUUACCCAAGCAAAAUAGAGAGAAAAGAGAUAUCAACAACUAUCCAAGACCGAGGAAAUAGAAGUAAUACCUGAAGUAGUGGGCUCAGUCGGAGGGAACGGCUCAGUCGGAAGGAGACAGGGAUGGAUGCUUUUAUGCCGAAACUCGUUCGUCGGAGAAACAGACGUGGAGUAAACGACGAGUUUCUCGUUUGGGGGUUUUGAGUGUUCCUAAUGAGGAACAACCCCUUGGGCUGCUAGCAUUUAACGGCACCAAAUCCCAAGGGUUUCGUAACCCUUGGUUUGAAAUUCAAAUGGAGGGAUAAAUUUUUUCCACAUCACCUCGUCCAUAAUUAAAUGUGACACGACUCUUGGCAGCCUUUUCCUGCCCUACGCAAGCCAGAAUCGUUGAGUUUUUACUGUCGGCUCACUAUGUUACCCAACACCAGAAACUGGGGGACCGAUGUUUGGGGGAUAUACUUCGACGAGACCAGCCGUGACGAGCAGAUACCUGGUAGCAGAGUGUACUUCGGCGAGGACCAGCUGUGAUGAGCAGCCAUCUGGUAGCAGGUCUCGCAAGCAAGUAUAUACUGUAAGAAUCUGGCAGCAGGGGAGCAGGAGCAGGAAUAUUCUGCUCGUCCAUGAAUGCACCAUCCGCGAGGCCGAUCCUCUGUUAGAAGCGUAAAGUCAUUCCAGCUAAGGCUUGAGUCGAGGAGACCCGGUCAACGACUGUUGGCGAGGCGUGCUCUCCAACCUGAGAAUCAAGGCACGAAGGCCAUACAACCACCCACGAUUACAGAAGUGGAACAUCCACUUUCGAGAGGUGGGAGGAUAACGGGUGCGAAUGGAGGGAAGGUCUGGGUUCAGAAAAGGCCUAUAAAAAGGUAGCCAAUGAAGGUAAAAGAGUUAGAAUUUUUGACAUUAUAAUAGAAAAAAAGAAAGCUCUAAAGAACGGAGACUAAAAACGAGCCUUAAGAUUAGUGACUAACGUUCCCAGGAACAGAAAACCUUCAUAUCUGACUUGAGCGUCGAAGAGUUUAUGCCGGGAAAACAACCGGCGUGCUCUGACUUGUUUCUGUGUACGCAGGAGUAUUUGGAGAAGAAAGCAUACGAAGAGAGAUCCUGAUCGUGGUUGAGUUGAUCGAACAGAGAUCCUGGUCGUGGUCGAAAGAGUAACCAGAAUCUCGUAUCAACAUUUUGGCGCUGUCUGUGGGGAGCUGAUCAAAAAGCUUCUGUUGACAGCAAGAAGAGGAGUAAAGUAAGUGGAAAAACAAUGGAGGCAGGAGAAAGUAGUGCACAAGGGGGUGAUAUGAGGCUUAACGAUUCCGUGACGCUGGGGGAGAUAGCCAGUGAAGCACGGGAAAAAGCCAUGUUUGACCGGAUGGAACGGAUGAAAAAGCAGAUGGAAACCCUGAAAACCAUCCUACAUGAGCUACGGAGUGAACGAAAGGGAACCCAGGAGGAAAGAGUGAGAGGUAGUGGAGUGGCACCAGGUCACGAUAGUACGAGGAGAAGUCAAACCUCCAGGAGAUUUGGUGGUGAGAGAGGUGACUUAUCUCUGCGGGGAGAAAUUCAUAGAGAGGAAGAGCAAUCCCCAGCAAGACAUAUUUUUGAUGAGGACGACGGGGUGGCGAAUGUAGAGGAAACAGAGCUCAGGCAACACUUACAUGAUGUAGAGCAAGAGCGGGAUCAAGUUGCAGCACGUGACCCUGGUCGUGCAGUGCAACUGGAGAAGGAAGUGCGCAGACUAGCGCAGGUAAUUGAUGACAUGCAAGGAAGAAGUAGAGCUCCUGGUUGGAGGAUAAUGCUGAACGGAGAAUCACCGCUCGCAGCAAAGAUCAUGAGGGCAGUCAUUCCAAGAGAUUUUCGCCUCCCAGACCUUAGAUAUUCGAGACGAACUGAUCCGUUGGUGCACAUAGAGCGCUUCAACGACAUAACCGGGGUGCAAGGAUUAUCUCAAGCCCAAAGGUGCAGGGUGUUCCCACUAUCCCUAGAGGGACGUGCACGCGAGUGGUACAUGAAACUUCCUCGAGGGAGCAUUAAAACUUUCGAGCAGAUGUGCAAGGAAUUUGCAGAGCAGUUUCGUGGGGCAAUGGCACCAGAAGAUGACAUGAUGGAGUUGAAAAGCAUGAAGCAGGGAGAGCAAGAAACCCUUCGGGAGUUCAUCAAGAGGUUUCAUCGUGCGGUCCUGGAUUUGGGAGCCUUCAACCAUCCUCAGGCAUUAAGGGGAUUGAAAGAAGGGGUGAAGAUAGGAAGGCUAUGGUACAACUUGAGAAGCCCAGUUAUUCAGACGUAUGCAGCCGCAUACGAGCAGGCUAAGAGGGACAUAGAGAUUGAGGAAGAAAAGACAGUACGGAUUAAGACAGACCAGCUAGAAGGGUUGAGAAAGAAAGAGAAGAGAGCAUUACCAGGAAAUAGGCCGAUCAGGAGGAGGGACCACCAGGCCUCAGGUAGUGGUGCAGGAGGUCGGGUAACCGCUUACCAGCCUCAUCAGAGGUUACCACAGUAUCAGCGCAGCAGGACGCAACCUCCUCGCUCACCAGCUAGGGUGCCUUGGAGAAGGCAUGACUCGGCAUAUGGUGGUCUUCAUCCACACUCCCACGGUAGUAGAGGGAGCAGACCAGAAGCGCUGCCACCGCCUCCAACUCAGAACGGCGCAAAUAGAGAAAGGGCAGUGCACAUGAUCGACCAGAACCAGGACUAUGGGUAGUAUACGUCCUUGAAGAUGCCCCUGGACGAGGUGUACGAGGCCAUAAAGGAUCGGGGGCUACUGUACCUCCCUGCCCCAAUAACAAAGCUACCCAACAGGAGGGAUAGAGGACGCUAUUGUAAGUUCCAUGGCACUCAUGGCCAUACCACUACAGAAUGUAAAGAUCUCAAGACCCAGGUUGAAGAUUUGGUGAGAAAUCGGUACCUGGACGAGUUUAUAGAUGGGACUUUCCUGAUGAUGGCCUCGACAUGUGAAGGGGAGCAGAGUGACAGAAACUUGAGGCGCGAGCAGCCUACAAUAAAAGUGAUAGCUGGGGGCCCAACAUUGGCCGGAGAUUCCAACAGAUUGAGGAAGAAUUAUGCUAGAUACGCCAUGACUAGUAAAGAGGUAUUCUUCAACACCCCAGCAGCCAAACGAGCAAGAGUCAGGCAAGUGCCAAUCAUGUGGACAGAUGAUGAUGAAGAAGGGAUUAUAUACCCCCACGAGGAUGCUUUAGUUAUCAAGGCCACUGUUGCUAGCAAGAAGUUUGACCGGAUACUGGUUGACACAGGGAGCUCAGUUGAUGUGUUGUUUAAGUCAACUCUGGAGGAGAUGGGAAUAGCAGACCUGAAGUUGGAGUACACCAAUACCUCCUUGAAGGGGUUUGGAGGAGGAAAGCUGGUCCCUCUGGGCGUGGUCAAGCUGCCUAUCACGAUUGGGAGCUCCCCGACAGAAAGGACUAUGAUACUAGACUUUGUGGUGGUGGAUGAAGAAGGUCCUUACCAGAUGAUCCUAGGUCGGACAUUUCUGAGGAUGAGCAAAGCAGUACUAUCCAACCAUUAUCUAGCUCUCAAGUACCGGAUGAAUGGGGUAGUUGGAGUGGUACGAGGAGACCAGAGAAUCGCACGAAGCUGUUACUCUUCGGCAGCAAGGGAAGCAAUGCAAAUAACAUCCCUUGAUACCCGAGUGGAAAAUAAGAAUGGCAGACAAGAACUUGUAGAGGAGCUUGAGACAGUAAGCCUGGGACCAGAGAAUCUGGGAAAAACGAUCAGAAUCGGGUCGCGACUUAAAGAAGAGCAGAAGCAGGAGUUGGUGCAAUGCUUGCGGGCUCAUGCAGAUGUGUUUGCUUGGACAUAUGAAGACAUGCUAGGGAUUGAUCCUGAGGUUGCAUGUCAUAAGCUGGCAAUAAAGAAAGGUGCUCGGGCAGUAAGGCAGAAAGAAGGUGCUUCAACUAGGAGAGGUAUGAGGCUAUAAAUGACGAGGUGGAGAAGCUCUUGAAAGCAGGGUUCAUUCGGGAAGUCAAUUAUCCUGAAUGGAUAUCGAAUGUGGUGUUAGUAAAAAAGGCUAAUGGCAAAUGGAGGAUGUGUGUGGACUUCACGGACCUCAACAAGGCAUACCCGAAAGACAGCUUUCCCUUACCAAAGAUUGACCAGCUUGUAGACUCGACAGCUGGACAUGGCCUGCUCAGCUUCAUGGACGCAUUCUCGGGAUACAACCAAAUCCCCAUGUUCGAGUAGGAUGAGGAGAGCACGACAUUUAUUACUAGCCAGGGUCUGUUCUGUUAUAGGGUAAUGCCGUUCGGUCUUAAAAAUGCGGGGGCCACGUACCAAAGGCUGGUGAACAAAGUCUUUAAGCCGUUGAUUGGGAGAACAAUGGAGGUGUAUGUGGACGACAUGAUAACUAAGUCGAAAAUCCCGAAGGAACAUGUCGAGCACCUCGAGGAGACGUUUGCACUUUUGAAGAAGUACAAGAUGAAGCUCAACCCGAAAAAGUGUGCUUUUGGGGUCGAGUCAGGGAAAUUCCUCGGAUUCAUGGUGAGUCAUAGGGGGAUCGAGGCAAAUCCCGAGAAGAUCCAGGCGAUCGUUCAGAUGAGGUCUCUUCGUAACCUGAAGGAGACGCAGAGCCUUACGGGGAAGCUGGCGGCAUUGAGCCGAUUCAUAUCCAAGGCUACAGAUAAGUGUUAGCCAUUCUUUCAAGUGAUAAGAAGAGGGAAGAAAACAGAAUGGACCCCAGAGUGCGAAGAGGCCUUUCAGAGCUUGAAGCAAUACUUGCAGCAAGCACCCCUGCUGUCCACACCAAGGGAUGGGGACAAGUUAUCUUUGUAUUUGGCGGUAUCAGAUCGUGCCACAAGUUCUGUUCUGGUGAGAGAGGAAGAAGGGGUUCAGUAUCCGAUAUACUACACCAGCAAGGCCCUGCUCGACGCUGAGACCCGAUACCCACCGUUGGAGAAAUGGGCACUCGCUCUUGUGGUCGCUGCUCGGAAGCUGAGACCGUACUUUCAAGCAUUCCCCGUCUCAGUAAUAACAAACCAGCCGUUGCGUCAAACCUUACACAAGCCGAAUACCUCUGGUCGGCUCGUGAAGUAGGCUAUAGAGCUGAGCGAGUUCGACAUUGAUUACAAACCCCGAGCAGCGAUAAAGGCGUAAGCAAUGGCCGAUUUCGUAGCAGAAUUUACAGAGCCUGAAACAUGUUUGGACCAGCUGGAUAUUGCUACAGACAACAGCGAAGCCCGAGUAUGGCAGAUGUCUGUAGAUGGGUCAUCAGGGGAGCAGGGAUCAGGAGCAGGAAUUGUCUUGGAAGGCCCAGAAGGGGAGGAGAUCUCUUAUGCUAUAAAGUUAGAAUUCGCAGCCACAAAUAAUCAGGCAGAGUACAAAGCCUUGAUAGCAGGUUUGGAAUUGGCUAAGGCCGUGAAAGCAGAUAGAGUGAAGAUCAAAACUGAUUCCCAGCUGGUUACAAAUCAUGUCAGUGAAAGAUUUCAACCGAGAGAGGAGAAGAUGGAGCAGUACCUGAAGACAGUCAGGUAGAUGAUGGGAAAAUUUGAAGCGGUAAAUGUGAUACAAAUCCCCAGGGAGUAAAAUAAUCGAGCAGAUAUUUUGGCUCGGAUGGCAGCGGUAGCAGACCCAAAAAUGCCAAAGUCGAUCCCUCUGGAGGUGAAGUCUAGCUCGAGCAUCGAGCAGAAUCUGGAGGUGCUGCGGAUAGAACAAAAAUGCUCGUGGAUGGAUCCGAUAAUUUCAUACCUUAGCGACGGGGUAUUACCACCAAAUAAACUACAAGCUCGGAAGAUUAGAGCCCAGGCCUCGAGAUACACGAUGAUUGACGGGGUACUGUAUCGGUGAAGGUAUACGCUACCGUUCCUUCGGUGUUUGGAUGAGGACGACGCGGACUGCGUACUGAGAGAGGUACAUGAAGGAAUUUGCGGAAACCAUUCUGGUGGGAGGUCCCUGGCCCACAAGGUUCUAAGGCAGGGAUAUUUAUGGCCGAUAAUGCACCAAGAUGCGGAGGAGAAGACCAGGAGCUGUGUAAGCUGCCAAAGUUUUGCAAGUUUCUCCAACCAACCACCAGAGAAGCUCACCUCUAUGGCCUCCCCUUGGCCAUUUUCUCAAUGGGGAAUUGAUCUGAUCGGCCCGUUGCCAAAGGGACGAGGAGCAGCAACACAUGCAAUAGUUGCGAUAGACUACUUCACGAAGAGGAUAGAGGUAGAAGCCCUUAGCAGGAUCACAGAGAAGAAGACAACAGACUUCGUGUGGAGAAACCUGGUCUGUCGGUACGGGAUCCCUUAUGCCUUGGUAAUGGAUAAUGGCAGGCAGUUCGAUAAUCACAGCUUCAGGGAUUUCUGCCAGAACCUCGCGAUAGAGUUGAAAUAUUGCUCGCCUGCUCACCCACAGUCUAACGGGCAAGUAGAAGCAACCAACAAGACGAUCAAAAGGCUUUUAAAAAUCAGGCUUGGAGCAAAAAAGGGUGCUUGGGUUGAUGAGCUAUCAGGUGUACUAUGGGCGUACAAGACAACCCAUAAGACAGCAACUGGGGAAACUCCAUUCGCCUUGGCCUUCGGACACGAAGCGGUUGUACCAGCCGAGAUAGGAACAACCACGCACCGGACAGAUCAUUUCGAUGAGCAAGAGAACAACGACCAGAUGUGCUUGAAUCUGGAUCUGCUAACCGAGAAGAGAGAACAAGCGUCGAGGCGAUUAGCCAUUUACCAGCAGAGGGUUGCUCGGUACUAUAACCAGAAGGUAAAUGUACGGCAGUUCAAGGUCGGAGAUUGGGUGUUGAGGAGAGUGAAUCAUAACACGAAAGACUCGGCCCAGGGAGUACUCGGACUAAAUUGGGAGGGGCCAUAUAGGGUCAAGCAGCUAGUUGGACCCGGAGCUUACAAGCUGGUUCGCACGGAUGGCCACGAGGUGAAACGCCCAUGGAACGCGGCACACCUCAGGAAAUAUUUCCAGUAAGACUUGUUCAUGCUUUAAAGUCAUUUAUGUUCGUGCUCGUUGUUUUUAUUUUUUAUUUCUUAUUUCAAAGCAAUCUCAUGUAAGCUGAAUUCAAUAAUAAGUGAAUCAAUGAGGAAUUUCAGUCAACUAUACUGUUGAAAAAUUUUCUAAGGCAUGCAAAGGCUCACCAAGUCUCAAAGCCUGUCUUAUGGCGAGACCAGAAGCCAAGCGUGCCAGGAUCUGCUCGAUCACGCGAAGGCGAGCAGACUCCCAAGCAUUGAAAAAUUUUCUAAGGCAUGCAAAGGCUCACCAAGUCUCAAAUCCUGUCUUAUGGCGAGACCAGAAGCCAAGCGUGCUAGGAUCUGCUCGACCAAGCGAAGGCGAGCAGACUCCCAAGCAUUGAAAAAUUUUCUAAGGCAUGCAAAGGUUCACCAAGUCUCAAAGCCUGUCUUAUGGCGAGACCAGAAGCCAAGCAUGCCAGGAUCUGCUCGACCACGCGAAGGCGAGCAGCCUCCCAAGCAUUUAAAAAUUUUUCUAAGGCAUGCAAAGGCUCACCAAGUCUCAAAGCCUAUCUUAUGGCGAGACCAGAAGCCAAGCGUGCCAGGAUCUGCUCGACCAAGCGAAGGCGAGCAGACUCCCAAGCAUUGAAAAUUUUUCUAAGGCAUUAAAAAGCUCACCAAGUCUCAAAUCCUGUCUUAUGGCGAGACCAGAAGCCAAGCGUGCCAGGAUCUGCUCGACCACGCGAGGGCGAGCAGACUCCCAAGCAUUAAAAAAUUUUCUAAGGCAUGCAAAGGCUCACCAAGUCUCAAAGCCUGUCUUAUGGCGAGACCAGAAGCCAAGCGUGCCAGGAUCUGCUCGACCACGCGAGGGCGAGCAGACUCCCAAGCAUUAAAAAAUUUUCUAAGGCAUGCAAAGGCUCACCAAGUCUCAAAGCCUGUCUUAUGGCGAGACCAGAAGCCAAGCGUGCUAGGAUUUGCUCGACAAAGCGAAGACGAGCAGACUCCCAAGCAUUUAAAAAUUUUUCUAAGGCAUGAAAAGGCCAACCAAGACUCAAAGCCUAUCUUGUGACGAGACCAGAAGCCAAAUAAAUAAAUAAACCAAAACUGCAAUAUGAGAAGGCAAACAAGAACAAUUUUAUUAAGCUUCUAAUAGUCCGCAAAGUUGUUAUAUACAAUGUUCAAAAAGCAAUUACAACACAAGAAAAGUUUAGGAAGACGGCGGGUCAGUUAGCCGAGCAGCUUCAGUUGGUUGUUCCAUCUCAUGUGCAGGGGGUAUCACCAAUUGCGUCCGGGGGGUACUCGCCUCACCAACAUCAGCAGGGACAGCACGAGGAGGAGAGUUGUCCUCCUCAACCACAAUUGGUUCCACCACUUCGACAUCCUCUUUUGCUGCCUCCUCAUCCAUGUGUUGAGCAACACCAGCUGCAAGGUCAUCCAUCUUCAUAUCAGGGUGCUGCUUCCCGAGGACGGCCAUGAUGCAAUGAUAGGAAUGUCGAAGUCCCUGGUCGUAUUUGUUGUCAGCUUCCUUCUCCAAGUUCUCGACCUAACCCGGUGGGAAUCGCGGAGAGAUUCGAACUGAGCCUCGUACAUAGCCUUCUGCCUUUGCAGAUCUUCCUUGACCUUAGUCAGCUCUUCCUCGAGGGUAAUGGCCUUAGCUUGAGCAAGAGAUUCUCGCUCAAUCAACUUCAGAUUCUCGAGAUUCAGGUCUCCUGCUUUCUUCUCAGCAUGGUCAGCUCUGGUCAUCGCUGACUGAAUGUCCUCCUUCAUCUUCCGGUCAUAACGGCCGACCUUGGCCUUAUAGUAAGUGGUCAUGUAGCUGAGAUGGAAAGCGCUAUACUACAUGGCCCUCACCAGCUCACCCAGGGUGCAGCCAUCAAAGUCCUCCAGGUCCUUUUUGCUCACGAGUUUAGAUAGCUCGUUGAGAUAAGGGACCAAGUGCUCUGCUCGGUUGUCAGAUAAACGAGAUCUAGGCCCGACAUGAGGAGAAGAAGAAGCAGGAUCAGUGGCUGCUCCACUAGUUUCUUCGACUUUGGCAGGAGGAGGAGGUAGAGUCUUCAAGGGGGGAACCUGCUGCACAAUGUUCACCCGCUUCGCAGUGGGAGCAUCUUUGUUCUGGUCCCGCUUGGCAGCUUGAGAUCGAGGAUGUUUCCGAGUCAGAGCCCUAAUCACAGCAUCCUCCAUCUUAUGGCCGGGGAACAUCAGACAAGAUUCGACCAGGUUAUAAACAGUUAUCAGCUCUCUGCUUGAGCAGGAAUUGGCCAGUACAGCUUCGACCCGUUUGAGCUGGUCGGGUUUGAGUGGGAAGUGAACACCCCAAGAACCUGCAAUACGAACAGACAUUUGGUUAGAGACAAACCAGUAAAGUGAGAAAAAUUAUGGAGACAAGACAUCUAAAGCGAGCAGGCAACCUGGGACCACGAAACGGGGUGGGACGCGAUAAUCCUUCCCGUCAAUCUGUGCAACCUGACCCCAGGGACCCCCAGCAAAAAAGAACUUUUUCUUCCAAUUCCCACCACCACCAGUUGGUAGAUCGGUUAUGGGUUUCCUGGUUUUAGUAGUUGAUUGGAAAUAAUACCAGCCGGCAUCUUUGGGGCUGCUUUUUAGCUGGUACAGGUGCUUCACCUUAUCAACUGUGGGCUCGCUUUGGCAACAUUUAUCCCACAAUAUGAACAGACCAGAGAGCACUCUCCACCCGUUGGGGUUCAGCUGACCAGGAGUUAAAUUCAACCCGUUAAGUAUCCGGGCAAAGUAGGGUUGCAAAGGACACCUCAGCCCAUACUUAAAACUCUCCAGAAACAGGGUAACAUAUCCCCUAGGGGGCCGGCUAGGAGUAUCCUUCUUUCCUGGGACCUUAAGAGGUAUUUCACCAGGAAUAUUAUACCUAACCCGGAGGUCAGCGAGCUCGUCAAAGGUGGUCGUGCACGUGAUGAAAUCAAUAGCGUAAUCCUAUGAUAGGGCUCUACCUCCUAUUGUAUUCCUCACUUCUGGUCGUGAUGUUUCUGGUGAGGGCAUCUCACCAGAAUCACCUCCCUAGUCCUCACUCGGGGUGUCUUCCGAGCCAUAUGAUCCCUCGUCACCGCUAUUUCAGCUCGAGGAGGUUGUUUAGGGGGACAUUCUCCUAGCACUAGUCCCAACACUAGAUCUAAUGGGUUCUAAGGGGAUCCCGGGGUCAAAGGCAGCAUCGGCGAGCAGACUAGGUAGGAAGUCUAACUCAUCGUCAUCAACCUCAAUGAUUUUCUCUUUACCUUUCGACAUUCCCUAGGCUAUAACCCGAGCACCACCACCAACUAUUACCCAAGCAAAAUAGAGAGAAAAGAGAUAUCAACAACUAUCCAAGACCGAGGAAAUAUGAGUAAUACCUAAAGUACUAGCUCAGUCGGAGGGAACGGCUCAGUCGGAGGGAGACAGGGAUAGAUGCUUUUAUGCCGAAACUCGUUCGCCGGAGAAACAGACGUGGAGUAAACGACGAGUUUCUCGUUUGGGGGUUUUGAGUGUUCCUAAUGAGGAACAACCCCUUGGGCUGCUAGCAUUUAACGGCACCAAAUCCCAAGGGUUUCGUAACCCUUGGUUUGAAAUUCAAAUGGAGGGAUAGAUUUCUGCCACAUCACCUCGUCCGUAAUUAAAUGCGACACGACUCUUGGCAGCCUUUUCCUGCCCUACGCAAGCCAGAACCGUUGAGUUUCUACUGUUGGCUCACUAUGUUACCCAACACCAGAAACUGGGGGACCGGUGUUUGGGGGAUAUACUUCGACGAGACCAGCCAUGAUGAGCAGAUACCUGGUAGCAGAGUGUACUUCGGCGAGGACCAGCUGUGAUGAGCAGCCAUCUGGUAGCAGGGUCUCCCAAGCAAGUAUAUACUGUAAGAAUCUGGCAGCAGGGGAGCAGAAGCAGGAAUAUUCUGCUCGUCCACGAAUGCACCAUCCGCGAGGCCGAUCCUUUGUUAGAAGCAUAAAGCCAUUCCAGCUAAGGCUUGAGUCGAGGAGACCCGGUCAACGACAGUUUGCGAGGCGUGCUCUCCAACGCGAGAAUCAAGGCACGAAGGCCAUACAACCACCCACGAUUACAGAAGUGGAACAUCCACUUUCGAGAUGUGGGAGGAUAACGGGCACGAAUGGAAGGAAGGUCUGGGUUCAGAAGAGGCCUAUAAAAAGGUAGCCAACGAAGGUAAAAGGGUUAGAAUUUUUGACAUUAUAACAGAGAAAAAGAAAGCUCUAAAGAACGAAGACUAAAAACGAGCCUUAAGAUUAGUGGCUAACGUUCCCAGGAACAGAAAACCUUCAUAUCUGACUUGAGCGUCGGAGGGUUUACGCCGAGAAAACAACCGGUGUGCUCUAACUUGUUUCUGUGUACGCAUGAAUAUUUGGAGAAGAAAGCAUACGAGGAGAGAUCCUGAUCGUGGUUGAGUUGAUCGAGCAGAGAUCCUGGUCGUGGUCGAAAGAGUAACCAGAAUCUCGCAUCAACAGGUAUUUUGAUCUUUCUUUCAUCUCUGUCUUGUAUCUUAGAAGUGUUAUGGAAUUUGUUUAUUGGUUGAAGAUAUGAACUUUUGAUAGAUUGAUAGAUAUCUAAAGAGAGAUCUUUGGUUGAAAAACAAUAAAAACACAUCUUCCAAUACAGCUUAUCUCAUACCUCUUACAAUUGAAUUAACUAUCACUCACAAUUAAUGUAAUUCAAACUGAUUGUUUUAACAUCUUUGUUUGUUAUUUGUAAACUGUAGGACCAUAUGAUGUUUUAGUCAGGAUGAAAGCCGUUGGUAUUUGUGGAAGUGAUGUGCAUUAUCUCAAGGUAUUUUUGUUUAUUCCUCUUCAACUUCCUUUAAAUUAUUAUUAUUAUUAUUAUUAUUAUGGCAAUUAAUCUGUCAAAUUGCUGAGAAAUGUUAAUAAUGGAAUAUUUUCACUUUAUGUUAUUCAAAAUAAUACUUGAAUGUUGAAUGUUUGUGUAUUUUCGCAGACCUUGAGGUGUGCCGAUUUUGUUGUGAAAGAGCCUAUGGUGAUUGGGCACGAGUGUGCUGGGGUCAUAGAGAAGGUGGGAAGCGAGGUGAAGACUUUGGUGCCCGGUGACCAUGUGGCCCUGGAACCCGGGAUCAGCUGCUGGCGAUGUGAUCACUGCAAAGGAGGUCGAUACAAUUUGUGUCCAGAGAUGAAAUUUUUUGCAACUCCGCCCGUUCAUGGUUCCCUGGCUAAUCAGGUUGAUUGAAAAUUUACAUUUUGAGCUAAGGUCUAGAGGACUAUGAGAUGACAAAUAUGGUAGACUGACUUUAACACAGUUUAUGCCCUUAUAAAUUUCAGUAAUGAUAUACUUACUACAGUUUUUUUGUUUUUUUUUUUAAUUCUACUACGGUUAGUAUACCAUCACUACAGAACAAAAAAAUUUCAUUACAAGAUAAAAUAAAAUUCCACUGUAAGACAAAUUUUUUUCUUUCUCUUACUGAUUUUGUGCUAACUUUUAUACAUACAUUAUUAUUCUAUAAAUUUUACUGUUUGAUUUUUUUUAGUGUAUUGGAUUAUUACUACAAUAUGAUCUAUGCCCUUGUGAAUUCUGUUGCAUAAAUAGUGGUGUCACUUUACCUGUUCUUCUAAAGGCAUACCGGUUACUGUCAGUUGUGUAGUUCCCAUUUGAUCUUCUGUCCCUCUCGUCGUAUAUUUUUUUAUCUGGCAAUGAUUGUUGAUUCCUUUUAUUUGAAAUGAAAUUGGCUGCUAUCAAAAUUGAUCGGCUACUUGACACAAUGACUAAGAUGCAUUCUCUUGUGUAUAAUAGGUGGUGCAUCCUGCAGACCUAUGUUUUAAGCUGCCCGACAAUGUUAGCCUGGAGGAAGGGGCUAUGUGUGAGCCCUUGAGUGUUGGUGUUCAUGCCUGCCGCCGUGCCAAUAUCGGUCCUGAGACAAAUGUGCUUAUCAUGGGAGCAGGGCCCAUAGGACUUGUCACAAUGCUAGGAGCUCGUGCUUUUGGAGCUCCUAGAAUUGUCAUUGUGGAUGUGGAUGACUAUCGUUUAUCUGUUGCAAAGGAACUUGGUGCAGAUAAUAUUGUUAAAGUUUCAACAAAUUUGCAGGUAUGUUACUGCCCAUUGCCCAGCAGAAGAGUUUAGAAAAGUAAAAGACAUCUCAAAAUCUUCAUGCUCACAAUCCUUCCCUUUCUCUUAAUCAUCAUAACAACAUGUUCUGUUCAACCAACUCUGUUGCAUUAAUACCUUGUUUCAACUUCCUCAGUUCAUUUUUGUUCUCAGUACCUUUUUGUUCUCUGUUUGAAAGUUGACCACUCUAAUCUGCAUUAUUCUUGUUAUCAGAGUAGAGGUGAGCUUGAGCUUUGGUUCGUUUGAAAAUUUUUCAUGUGCUCCUCACGCUUGUUUUUUCUGUUUGAAUAAACCGCUAUGCGUCGAGUAUUUUGCAGGAUAUAGCUGAAGAAGUGGAAAAGAUAGAUAAAGCCAUGGGGACAGGAAUAGAUGUGAGCUUUGAUUGUGCAGGCUUUAACAAAACCAUGUCAACAGCACUGAGUGCUACUCGUGCAGGUGGUAAAGUUUGCCUCGUGGGGAUGGGUCAUCAUGAAAUGACUGUCCCACUCACUCCAGCUGCUGCAAGGUACUUGAUUUAUGGUUUUCUUUUUCAUUUUUUUAUUUAUUGUUUUGGGCUACUCCGUUAUUUACUUUAAGUUUUUAAUUAGUUUCUUGAAAUCUGAAUAAAUUUGAAUUAGUUUGAAUUCAUAAUAUAAUUGAAUAUUUGAAUCUUAAUGAUAUAUUUGUUUUUUUUUUCUGAAUCGCAAAAAAUAAAUUUUAAGUUUUUUUCCUAAAAAAAUAAAAAAACUAAUAUUUUUACAUUUAUACCCCUACAAAUUAUAAAUGUUAAACAAAUAAUAAACAUAUCAAAAAAUAUAAAUAAGAUAAUAUAUUAUCAUAACAUAAAUCAUAUUCAAUUGAAUACAACUCUUUAAUAUUUUAUAUUAUAUAUAUUAAUCAAUUUUAUUAUAGUUUAUGAUGUUUUUAUAUGAAAAAUAUUCAUAAAAAAUUAUGAAAAUAAAUAAUGCUAAUUUGAAGAAAAUAAAAAGAAAAAAUAAUAAUAAUCUACCACUAUAUAUUAUCACAAGUUAUACAAAGAUGGGUAAUGAUGUUAAUUAUUAAAUUUUAUUCAGGUAAAGAUGAAAAUUAAUUAAGGAAAUAGGGAUAUUUUAAAAAAAAAAAACUUGCAAUGAUACCGAUAAGACUUUUUAAAUUAAGCAAAAAAGAUAAAAAAAAUUAACUUAAUAACUUGAUGAAUUAAUGGCUAAAAUUUUUUAUUAAGUUGAAAAAAUAAAAAGACUUAAUGACUUAAUUAAUUAAAAUUAAAUUAAUUAAGUCAAGUCAAAAAAGUAAAUGACCCGUAAGCCUCUAAAAUGUAAAUAAAAAAAUAACACAAAAUUUCGUGGGCGGAGUCAUUUCAUUGUUGGAUUGGGAACAAAUGCAUUUAAGAAAUGAGAGAAUCAAGGAUACCUACCAGAAUGACCAUAAAACCAUCAUUUUUAAGAACAUGUAAAAUGGUAAACAAAAGCUGUUGAAUAAAAGUUGGAAUGUUCUAGAAUCAAUAGACUUGGAAGAAGAAUGUAAACAAAUUCUUGUGCUUGGGUUGUAUGUUUUCCAAUAGAACACGAUGGCAUGUCAAGAACAACUUUCACAAACCAUCUUGUAUGUUGUUUCUGUUUAAUGACUUUUUCUUUCCUUUUCUGGAAACAUAUGUUUAAUGACUUCUUAAGCUGAAUAACACGUUUCGGCUUUUAAUUGGACUAAAAUCCGUCUGAACCUUUUACCCUUAAAUUUAUGAGCAUAAUUGUGAACGCAGGGAGGUGGAUGUGGUGGGGGUGUUUCGCUACAAGAACACCUGGCCACUGUGUCUGGAGUUCCCUAGAAGCGGAAAGAUUGAUGUAAAGCCCCUUGUCACGCAUAGGUUUGGUUUCUCCCAGAAGGAAGUGGAAGAGGCCUUUGAAACAAGUGCUCGUGGUGGUACUGCAAUCAAGGUCAUGUUUAAUCUGUAAAAUACAACGUAAAGUAAACGUUUGGGCAAAAGAUGAAAUAAAAUGGAAUUGUCGCCGAGUAAUAUGAAUCAAAGUGUAGCAUAUUACUUUAUUUCUAUCUAUUACAAAAUAAAAUUCAGAUUUCUCAAGUUUUUUGUUCUUUAUUGUCUGCUCUGUGCUAUAUUUUCUUCAUCCUUUUGUGUAUGCUUAUUUGAAAGCCAAUCAAUAGGUUUCCUGGUUAACAGAUGAUUACCCUGCAAGACAUUUCAGUCACCACUUUCGUUCAGCCGUGAGUUGUGUUUGCUGUAGACAACUGCAGAGUAAUUUCAACAUAGCCGAACUCUUUCCUUUAACCUUCUUAACCUUUUUUAAAAGAUAAAACAAUUCUUUCAAACCAUUUUGCAAAAUUAGCCACCACUCACAUACAUGAAGUUGAUUUUGAUUCCUUUAUGAAGAUACAAUUAUUGCAAGGUUUCGAUUUCGGGGUCCAUAAAUUCUGAAAAAAACAAAAUUAACAAACAACAAACGGUUCUGAAACCGAUAAAUUCUCUCCACGUAAGCACGUUAUCCCGUUGAAAAAAGAAACCAUAAUCUCUAUCACAAAUUUUUUAAAACUGUCAUUAGUAAUUGGAUUUAUCCUUAAAUAAAAAUGAGUCAGAUGAAAACAGAAAUCAAUCAUCUACACGGAUAAAUAAAAAGAACACUUGAUGUUAUGCCUCACUUGUCAUUAAAUAUUCCUGCGACCGAAUCAAAUCAUAUCCCAUAUCCAGAAUCAGAUAGUGUACAGAGUGAAGUCUCUGCUGUACACUUGUGUUUUUGAAGGGUGAAAAGCAAAUAUGGGCAAAGGAGGGAUGUCACAAGGAGAAAAGAAGGAUGGAGAAGAAGUUAACAUGGCAGCUUGGCUUAUGGGUGUCAACACCCUCAAGAUUCAGCCUUUUGAGCUUCCUUCUCUGGGUAUUUUGAUCUUUCUUUCAUUUCAGUCUUGUAUCUUAGAAGUGUUAUGGAAUUUGUUUAUUGGUUGAAGAUAUGAACUUUUGAUAGAUUGAUAGUGUUGGGUGCAAGCGGAAGUGCAGAAAUUUUUUUUAUUUAAGAACAGAGUAUUUUGCUGGAAAUUACUGAAACUUUAUUGCUUAAUUCAUUUUUUCGUUUCUCUCUUACUUUUCAUACAACCAGAGUUCUAUAUUUAUAUGCAUUAUAGACAACUCUAGAGAUUACAUUAAUCAUGCUUUACAUUUCCAAAGCCACAUUGCAAACAUCAAUUCUACCCUUUACUUCACGUUGAAAAACAAACCAAAUAACCCUUCAAACUUCUUGCUCAAUUUACUAGAUUACUAAUUAUAUCUCAACAGAUAGAUAUCUAAAAAGAGAUCUUUGGUUGAAAAACAAUAAAAACACAUCUUCCAAUGCAGCUUAUCUCAUACCUCUUACAAUUGAAUUAACUAUCACUCACAAUUAAUGUAAUUCAAACUGAUUGUUUUAACAUCUUUGUUUGUUAUUUGUAAACUGUAGGACCAUAUGAUGUUUUAGUCAGGAUGAAAGCCGUUGGUAUUUGUGGAAGUGAUGUGCAUUAUCUCAAGGUAUUUUUGUUUAUUCCUCUUCAACUUCCUUUAAAUUAUUAUUAUUAUUAUUAUUAUUAUGGCAAUUAAUCUGUCAAAUUGCUGAGAAAUGUUAAUAAUGGAAUAUUUUCACUUUAUGUUAUUCAAAAUAAUACUUGAAUGUUGAAUGUUUGUGUAUUUUCGCAGACCUUGAGGUGUGCCGAUUUUGUUGUGAAAGAGCCUAUGGUGAUUGGGCACGAGUGUGCUGGGGUCAUAGAGAAGGUGGGAAGCGAGGUGAAGACUUUGGUGCCCGGUGACCGUGUGGCCCUGGAACCAGGGAUCAGCUGCUGGUGAUGUGAUCACUGAAAAGGAGGUCGAUACAAUUUGUGUCCAGAGAUGAAAUUUUUUGCAACUCCGCCAGUUCAUGGUUUUCUGGCUAAUCAGGUUGAUUGAAAAUUUACAUUUUGAACUAAGUUCUAUAGGACUAUGAGAUGAGAAAUAUGGUAGACUGACUUUAACACAGUUUAUGCCCUUAUAAAUUUCAGUAAUGAUAUACUUAGUAUGGUAAGUAUACCAUCACUACAGAACAAAAAAAUUUGAUUACAAGAUAAAAGAAAAUUCCAUUGUAAGACAAUUUUUUUUUUUUUUGUUUUCCCUUACAGAUUUUGUACUAAUAAUUAUACAUACAUUAUUAUUCUAUAAAUUUUACUGUUUGAGAUUUUUUAGUGUCUUAGAUUAUUACUACAAUACGAUCUAUGCCCUUGUGAAUUCUGUUGCAUAAAUAGUGGUGUCACUUUACCUGUUCUUCUAAAAACAUACUGGUUACUGUCAGUUGUGUAGUUCCCAUUUGAUCUUCUGUUCCCUCUUGUCAUAGAUAUUUUAUCUGGAAAUGAUUGUUGAUUCCUUUUAUUUGAAAUGAAAUUGACUGCUAUCAAAAUUGAUCGGCUGCUUGACAUAAUGACUAAGAUGCAUUUCUUGUGUAUAAUAGGUGGUGCAUCCUGCAGACCUAUGUUAUAAGCUUCCGGACAAUGUGAGCCUGGAGGAAGGGGCUAUGUGUGAGCCCUUUAGUGUUGGUGUUCAUGCUUGCCGCCGUGCCAAUAUCGGUCCUGAGACAAAUGUGCUUAUCAUGGGUGCAGGGCCCAUAGGACUUGUCACAAUGCUAGCAGCUCGUGCUUUUCGAGCUCCUAGAAUUGUCAUUGUGGAUGUGGAUGACUAUCGUUUAUCUGUUGCAAAGGAAAUUGGUGCAGAUAAUAUUGUUAAAGUUUCAACAAAUUUGCAGGUAUAUUACUGCUCAUUUCCCAGCAGAAGAGUUUAGAAAAGUAAAAGACAUCUCAAAAUCUUCAUGCUCACAAUCCUUCCCUUUCGGCUUUCUAUUAAUCAUCAUAACAACAUGUUUUGUUCAACCAACUCUGUUGCAUUAAGACCUUGUUCUAACUUCCUCAGUUCAUUUUUGUUCUCAGUACCUUUUGUUUUCUGUUUGAAAGUUGACAACUCUAAUCUGCAUUAUUCUUGUUAUCAGAGUAGAGGUGAGCUUGAGCUUUGGUUCGUUUGAAACCUGUUCAUGUGCUCCUCACCCUUGUUUUUUCUGCUUGAAUAAACCGCUAUGCAUCGAGUAUUUUGCAGGAUAUAGCUGAAGAAGUGGAAAAGAUACAGAAAGCCAUGGGGACAGGAAUAGAUGUGAUCUUUGAUUGUGCAGGCCUUAACAAAACCAUGUCAACAGCACUGGGAGCCACUCGUGCAGGUGGUAAAGUUUGCCUCGUGGGGAUGGGUCAUCAUGAUAUGACUGUCCCACUCACUCCAGCUGCUGCAAAGUAAUUGAUUUACGGUUUUCUUUUCCUUUUUUUUCUUGUUUUGGGCUACUCCGUUAUUUACUUUAGGAAAAUGCUAUAUACCCGGGUCAAACCCCAAAACUAAUUCAAACAACACUGUUUGAUCUUUUUUUCUUUUUCUUUUCAUUCACCUUAAAACGACUCCGUUUUGUUUAGCUAAUGUCAGCCUUAAUUGCUCUCUCUUCAUCUUCGUUUCAACGACAAAAUCGAUUUGGCUUAGACAAAACCGAUUUCAAGAACAUCAGCAACAAAACCGAUUUGGCAAAACCUUUAAGCUUUUAUCUUCCUUCUAGGUGAUUGGAUUUGGCUUAGAUAAGGAAAAAAGGAAAUCUUGAACAAGGUGGCUGCUAGGCGUGAUGGUGGUGCUAAUGGCUAGGUAUGCGUGAUGGUGGCUGCCAGUUGUGGAUCGCGAACGGCUGUGAAACGAAGGGGAAGAUAAAGCAGUUGUUUUACAGAGACAUGGAAGGCGAAUGGCUGGGAGACAAAGAGGAAGAGAAAGCAAUUUUGGGCCGUCGUUGCUUUUGCCUUAACUAAGCCAAAAUGACGUCGUUUUAGGGAGAAUGAAAGGUAAAAAAAAAGAUGAAACAACGUCGUUUGCAUUAGUUUUGGAGUUUGACUCGGGGUAAAUAGCAACGCUAUUUACUUUAAGUUUCUAGUUAGUUUCAGCAAAUUCACUUUAAGAUCACUUUUUUUUUUAAAUAUGAGAAAAUUUGAAUUAGUGAAAUGUUUUUUUUAUCUGAAUUGCUAAAAAUAAAUUUUAAAUUAUUUUUUUAACCUAAAAAAAAUAUAAAAACUAAUAUUUUUACAUUUAUAUCCUUACAAAUUAUAAAUGUUAAACAAAUAAUAAACAUAUCGAAAAAUAUAAAUAAGAUAAUAUAUUAUUAUAACAUAAAUCAUAUUCAGUUGAAUACAACUCUUUAAUAUUUUAUAUUAAAUAUGUUAAUCAAAUUUAUUAUAGUUUAUGAUGUCUUUAUAUGAAAAAUAUUCAUAAAAAAUUAUGAAGAUAAAUAAUGCUAAUUUGAAGAAAAUAAAAAGAUGAAAAUAAUAAUAAUCUACCACUAUAUAUUAUCACAAGUUAUAUAGAGAUGAGUAAUAAUGCUAAUUAUUAAAUUUUAUUCAAGAAAUGAUGAAAAUUAAUUAGUGAGAUAUGAAUAUUUUAGAAAAUAUCUUUUAAUGGUACCAUUAAAACUUUUUAUAUUAAGCAAAAAAAGGUAAAAAAAAAAUAUUAGUUUAAUAACUUAAUGACUUAAUGGCUGAAAUUUUUCAUUAAGUUGAAAAAAAAAAUAGAUUUAAUGACUUAAUUGAUUAAAAUUAAGUCAAUUAAGUCAAGUCAAAAAAGCAAACGACCACUAAGUCUCUAAAAUGCAAAAAAAAAAAAAAACACAAAAUUCGUGGGAGGGGCAUUUCAUUGUUGGAUUUGGGAACAAAUGGAUUUAAAAAAUGAGAGAAUAAAAGUUGAAUACAAUUACCAAAAAGAUCAUAAAGCCAUCAUUUUUAAGAACAUGUAAAAUAUUAAACAAAAAUUGUUGAAUAAAAGUUGGAAUGUUCUAGAAUCAAUAGACUUGGAAGAAGAAUGUAAACAAAUUCUUGUGCUUGGGUUGUAUGUUAUCUAAUAGAACACGAUGGCAUGUCAAGAACAACCUUCACAAACCAUCUUGUAUAUUGUUUCUAUUUAAUGACUGUUUUUCCUUUCCUUUUCUCGAAACAUAUGUUUAAUGACUUCUUAAGCUGAAUAACACGUUUCAGCUUUUAAUUGGACUAAAAUCCGUCUGAGUGUAGUGACUCUAAAAACACAUCUUCUUAGUUAAAAAAAAAAAUCAUUUUCUUUUUCUAUCGUUUUAAGUGUAACCUUUCUAAUUAGUUUUUCUGCAUCAUUUUCACCUUUCUGCAUGCAUAUUUUCUUUUCAUGUUUAGAAUAGGUUAGGGGGUAUAAUGUUGUUUGAAAAAGAAAAUUUGUGAUUUUUUUUAACAUUGGAUGACACGAUGACUUUCAAAUUUUAGUAUUUGUAUUAUCUUUGGUCUUAAGUAAUGUUACGCCAUGUUUUCUACUCUACAUGUUGAUGUUGGAGACAAAUAUGAGUUGCUUGAAGGAAUGUACAUGUCAUAAUAAAUACCAAGUGAGUUUUUUAGCCUGUCAUUUUUCUUGGAGAGUAAUCAUUUUUGCCCAUUCUUCAUACAGCUUAGCAGUUUAUUAUUUUAUACAUGAUCUCUAGAUUUCCUUUGAGUCAAUCCUCUAAAAAAAAAAGAAAAAAAAAUGUGUUACUACAUUUGAAGGUCCAUCUAAUUAGUAGAUAUUGAAGAUUAUUUAGAGCCCUAAAAGACGAUGGAAAUACCAUCUUUGACCCGUUUGAGCUUUUCUAGCCAUCCCUUUUGUAAAAUAUCCAUAGUUAGCCCUUUUAAGCCUUUUAUUUAAUAAAAAAAUUUCUUUAUCAACUUAUCAUCUUGACCCACUUCGAUUUGAUGUCUUACAAAUUCCAUCACAUAUUCAUAUUUGAGAAAAAUGUAAAUAAUUAUCUUGUUCAGUAAAGUUGUGCCAUACAAAAAAAAAAAAACAAAAAUAAAAAAUUUGUUUCAAAAAAAAGGAAAAAAAAAAAAAGAGAAAAAAUUAAUAACAAUAAUAAUAAAUAAGCGAAAUGCACCUUGUAAUUUCCAAAAGAUCUAUUCUUUUUCUCAAACAUAUAUUUUGUUUUCCUUAUUUUCCCUCCUUUGUUAGCUAUAUCCUUAGCCUACGUUGAUUUUAGGGAUCUAUAGUCUGAAGUAGAAACUAGUUAUAUGGGCUAAAAGGAUGUAGUGAUGCAUAUAUAAAAAAAUAGAAAAAAAAAAAAAUUGGGUUGACUAGAAUUUUGUUAGAGUUAAGAUGUACUUUUAUUUUAUUGCUAUUAUUAGUCUGAUUGAAUAAACACGAGUAUUUUAAAAAAAAAUCAAUUUGGGUUUGAAUUUUGUUUUCGCUUAAUUUGCUAGGAACUAGCAAUAAGCUGGUUGGGGGGUGUGUUGAGUGUUAGAAAGUAUACAUUUAUAAAGAAGAAAAUUGUUAUUUUACACUUCAAGUUUCACUAACAUUCGUACUUUUAUGUAUUUAAGUCUCUUGUGAUCUAAUUAUGUGUGUUGUAUUAUAAUUAAGUAUUUUAUGUAUUUUAGGGGUAUUAUGGUCAUUUCAUUAUGAACGAGAGAUCAGGCAGCAAAACAGACAUCACUUUUGAACUCAGGACAAUCGAAAACCUUAGGAGGAGCAUAAAUGGAAAAAUGGCACUGUUCACAUAUACGGUGCUGUCCAUGUUUUUGUUCACGACGCUGUUCACAUAUACGGGAUGAUGAUGUGGCAUUGACCGAUCAGUGUCACAAUCCUAUUGGACUAAAAUUCUUAUGUACUGUUGAUUGGUGACGUGGCAGCACGUUAGUGGAUAAAAAAUUAUGCUUACGGUAUAUGCAUAUACACGGAACUAUUUACAACCAAACCUCGUCACUAUUCAAGCCGCCUCACUGUUCAUACCGCGUCACUAUUCAAACCGCGUGAUCAAACUGCAUAUUGUUGACUGAUGACGUGGCGCAAUCCUGAGCGUCCAAAAUAUUUUUAAUUCGAUGGCCAUGAUUUACUCAGUGUAUCUAUAAAAAGGGGGCUCCCCCCUAAUUUGGCACCCCUGAAUUUAUUUUUGAGUUUCAUUUCUGUAAUUCCUUCUCCAUCUUGUAUUUUCUACGUAUUUUAAUAAAUUCCUAUUUUAAUUUAAAUUUUAGGAUAAUCUAAAUCACUUCCAUCACAAAUCUAAUCGCCCACUUAGAAAAUUAACUCUACACACAAUUAAAAUACACCUCCUCGUGGGAUCGACACUCGUCACCAUUAAUCUAUUCUACAAUAGAUUUCUGCACUUGCGAGUUCAAUAAAAUUUGCACAGUAGAUAUCAGGUCGCUUUAUUUCUUAAUUAUGUAGCUCCUCCUUCAAGUUCUAGCAAGUUUUCAUAUUGGUGGAAGUUCAUUUGGGCAUUGUCCAUUUCUAGCAAAUUUAAGUUACUUUUCUGGCGAGCACUCCAUGAAAUCCUUCCCACCUCUUGCAAUGUUUUCAAAUGUAACCUCUUGUAACCUUUUCAAAUGACUUCUGUAAAUUGAGUACGAUGUGUAUGGAUGGGUCAAAAUAGGUUACUUUGAACUUUUAGAGUCAGUUUGGUAAUACUGCAACUUUUAAAAUAAUUACUGUUAACGGUGUUGUAAAAAUAAUCAGCUAUGAAGAGAAUUAGUUGAAUGGUUGGUAAAAUUUAUUUUUAAAAAUAUUGCUAGUUUUAAAAACAGUCCUAUCUAUUUAGUAAAUCUUAUUGUUAAGCUACUAUAGAAUGUAAAUGACUAGAUUAGGGCAAAAUAUUGAAUAAAAUUUAUUUAUACAUUUAUAAACUUAAAUAUAAAAUAUUUUUUAUUACGUAUAUAGUAAAUUAAUAACUAAAAUAAAUAUUUUAUAUUAUUUUGAGAAUCAAUUUUUUGUUACUUUUCAAAAUCUAUUAUAGGAUAUGGUGAUUUUGCCAAAAAGAUUUCUAAAAAAAUUUAUUAAACACCAAAAUUAUCUUUUAUUUUAAAUCCCCCAAAAGCAAUCUUACUAUAUCAGAAGUAAUUUGAGAAAGAGUUAGGGCUGAUGUGAGUAUUUUCACCUAAAGUUUGUAAAUCCAUGAUAUUUCUUUACCUUCACUUUCUAGUAUGUCAACUAUUAUUUGUGCGUAUGUUUAGCUUUUCAAAAUCACUUAUGAGUUAUGGCCUCCCAAAAGUAAUUUUACUAUAUUAGUAGUAAUUCGUGAAAGGAUUGGGGCUGAUGUGAGUAUUUUUCCCUAAAGCUUAUACAUUAAUAAGUAUUUUUCCCUAAAGCUUAUUCAUUAAGCCAUGAUAUUUCUUUGCCUUUACUUUCUGAUAGGUUGACUAUCAUUUGUGUCUAUGGCUCAUAACAUUCUUUUCUGGAAUAUUUUCCAGCUAUCUAUUAGAUGCUGAAAAUUCUUGUGAGUCAUAUUCAAACUAAAAUUCUUAUAUGGAGUUGCUGGCACUUAUACAAAGUGUAUUUUCAUGGAAGAACUUAGUGCAAAAGAAAGUUUGUUGGACAUUUUGUACCCAAGGUCUAGUUAAUUUUUCUGAGUUACUAUAAAGGUUUCAUCAAAUUUCUAUUUUAUUUUUCCAAUGAAUUUAAUUUUUCCUCUGUCUGUGCAUAAUACGAACAAGAGGACUUUAGAUGAGGGUAUCCAGAUCCUAAUUUGACUUAAGCAAAAAGAAUUGGUUGCUCACAUUGAAUUUUGGGUAAACCAAACACUGAAGAUGAACAACCAUAAUUUGCUACUAUUGAUGUUGUUGCAGAUCAUAACCUAGCCACUAGCUUCCUAUAUAGAUACUAAACUAGUACAAACCCUGUUAGAUUUAGGUGCCCCAUUAUGGGCUGACUUUUAUCCAACUUGAGAGAUAAGAUAAUCUUACAAUUUAUCUAGGAUUCUUAUAAGAUAAACUUAAUGUUUUAUCUAAAUCCUAAUCAUAUAAGUUGUGGCUUAUUCAAAUAACUCUAGAAAGUUUAUUUAAAUUAAAUUACAUUUAUUGUACUAUAUAAGCACUACAUGGGUGGGUGCAAAUACGUAUAAUAAUAAUAAUAAGAAUCAGAGUACAUCAUAAAGUGAGUGAGAGAAAAGAGAAAAUGCAGUGGGUUCUUACUUCAUGAAUUGAGGGAAUUUUCUAACCACGUGAUUGUCCUCCAACCAUCAGUGACAUAAACUCAUUAAGAUCCAUUUGUGAAGGUUCCAGUAAUCAGUUCCUCUUCGUAGCGAUCUGUUCGUGAAGGUUCUAGGAGAUUGGAAGGAAUCUAUUAUUUAUUUCCGCAGAUCCUUGACUAUUUGUUUCUGCAUCAACCAACAAGGUAUGAAUUUGGUUGAUAAAAUAAAAUUGCAUUAUUGAUUGAGGAAAUCAACAUUAGUAUCAUAGCUUGUGUAGCUUAUGUCUUGAUCUUGAGUGCUUAUGUAUGCUGAUAUGCCAUGUUCUUCUAUGAAAAUUUGUUUCUCGCUCUAAAAUCACACAUUAAUGGUAUAUGAUGAAAUACAUACUGUUAAAGAAUGAAAUCCGGACUAUAAGUACAUGAACAUACAUGGAAUAUAUCUAGAAUCCCAUUUGAUCUAAUAUGCUCUUAAGUGAUAAAUAAAUUGAAACUCUAAGUUAUGAACCCGAAUGCUUAUUUUGCUCAUAAAAUUUUUUAUGUUCAUUCAUUCUCUACAAUUUGGUAUCAUUAGAAAGGUCUUUUAAUUAUCUUUACAAUGGUAUAUCAUGUGCAUUAUUUGGCCUUGUAAAUUGAGAGAACGAAGUAUUUGAAUUUCUGGUUCGAAAUUUGAAAUUUUUGUUCAAAUUGAAGAAGAUAAAUAGUAUUCUAUGUGCAAUCUCACUCUCGGGUAUGAUGUGUAAGCUCCAUUUGUACACUAAAAAAAAUUUAAGACCAGAUUUGAAUUCAAGAUGUCAAAUAAGGUCAGUAGGUUAGAAAAUUGAGAGCAAAAUGUGCCCGGAAGCUGGAGCAUGUGUCACACGCGCCAAGAAAGAGAGUUAAGCCGAAUAUGUAAUCGGCUUGGUAGUAAACUGGCUUCGUCAGAGCCGCGCGAACCAGAUCAGACCGAACCAAGUGUCAGCGCUAGUUAGCGUGCCAAGCGUGGCCACAUUGGUCCACGCGUGACAGUAGCGCGCAGCGCACGUCCAACCUUCCUGACCUCGGAUUGCAAUAUUGUGUUACGGCAACUGCACGAGAAUUCAAUUUCCUAUUUUUCUGUAUUUUAAAAUUAAAAUUUUGUUUCUAUUUUUAAUUAUUUUAUUUUAUUUUAUUUUUCUAACAUACUUGAAUUUAGAAAUAAAAAUAGUUUUAUAGAAAUUAAAUUCACACAAUAUGAAUCUUAAUUGUAAAGAAUGUCAUAUCUAGUCGGAGGAAAUAUAAAAUACUUAAAAUAUUAUGAGGAUUAUUAAAGUUUGACGUAGUAAUGUGAAUUUAUGCAUGUCUAGGAAAAUUCUAUCAAAAUGACAAUAAAAGUCUAAGAAAAUGAGGUACUUAAGUGGGACUAUCUUAUCCCUACCUCUUUCUUGAGAAUUUUCCUAAUGCUUAUUCACUUGAAAAUAUGCAUGAAGGCUUUUUUAUCCCUCAAAACUAAAAUGAAAAGUUUUAUUAUUAAAAUAAUAAAAGGAUUAAUAAUAAUAGAAUUAAUAUUUUUUGCACAAAAGGACUAAAUGAUGAUGAUUUAAUUAUUUGGGAAGGAUGAUUAUUAGGAGCUUGGAUGAAUUUUCGAUUCUAAUCCUUGUAUUAAAUAAUCAUGUUGAGUCUUGUGUUUAUGACAAAAUUAUAAAUGUGUAUAAGAAUCAUGCUAAUUAACGUUUUUUCUCUAUGUUUUAUUGUGGCUAUAAGAAAUGGCAUCUUCAAAGAAUAUCGUGGCCGAAUUGAAUAAAGGAGAAAAAUUGAACGGUGACAAUUAUGACAUUUGGCACCAAAAGGUUCAAUAUGUUCUCAAUGAACAAGAGACUCUUGAGACUCUCAAUACAGUAAUUAAGCUGAGGAGCUUGAGAGCAGUCUUUCUGAACAAUACAAUAAGGAUCUUGAGGCUUAUCCGUCUUGGAAAAGGAAGAACAACAGUGCUCGCAUUAUGUUGCUGAGUGUUGGUAUAAAUUUAAAUGCUAUUGGUGUCUAUGUGCAAAUGUACACAAUAAGUAAUAUAAUUAUAAGUAUUCAAGAUCAUUUCCACAGGGAUUGAUGUUAUUGAAAUUGCUACAACAAUCUUAACAGUGCAGUUUGCCUUAAAUGAAAAUAAAUUAACAAUUAAAUUAAUAAAUUGUGUAAUAAAAUGCAAUAAAUAAAUAUGCAGAAAAGAAAAACUUUAACGUCACACACACAAGGAUAAAAUCAAUAGGAAUGAAGUAGUUGAGUGAUUAAACUCUCUUAAUGGUUUUGAUUAUUUCUUGUAAUUCUAAGUUCAGUUGCUAUAGCAUCUGCUACAGUAUUGGGUAGAAUCAUUAUGUAUCAUCAGCUAGCGCAUGUUGGAUGUCUUACAUCUAUAUACAACCUAACAAUGACCAAUUGUUAUACCAACAUAAGAUAUAUCAUUGCAUGUUUAAGGUUUAUUUACCCUACAAGGUGAAUCCUUAUGUCUAGUUCAUCACUAAUUUUAGAUUAAGUAUGACCCUUUUGGAAUUAAGUUAAACUCAACUCAGGAAGCCCAAUCCAAAAUCAAGUAUUGUUCUGAUAUGUUCCACUAAGAUAGGCCUUUUUGUACUCUUUCUUAGCUUGUAUCAUUAUGGGUGGUCAGCCGAAAUAAUGAAUGUAAAUAAGCUUUACUAAAAUAAAAUGCUAUAGCAAACACGCAACAACAUAUAAAUCCAGUCGAUAGCCCAUUAAGAUUAUUUAUCACUCAACCACAAGUAAAUUUAGUUCAUAGUUUGUGAAAGGAAAGUAAACAACAAAGUUUAAGCCAUCGAAUACUUCUUCAUGAUCAAAGAAUAAACAAGCAAACAAGAAAUAAUAAGAAAGAUUGAAUUCCAAUUGAUUCCCACAAAUUUUCCACUGAUUGCAGCCUUGAUUCUUGCUCUUGAAUUCUAUUUUUUCUUUGUUUCUUUUCGGUUUUUGAUCUUAGUUGACAACCCCUUCUUUUCCUUUGCAUGUAUCCUUCCUUUAUAGCUGAAAACUAGGGUAAAUUAAAGUCUAGGGCGUGCAUAUUCCAGAUUAGGAAACUACAGAUCACAAUCUGAUAAGUGCCUCGAGCAAAAUCUUCUCUGUUGUUGUUCCAGGAUUAUUACAACAAUUGAUGCUACAACAACCACUACAGCAUCUACAUUGUUUCAUAUUUGUUUUAAUUUUUUCUAUAACCAAGUCCUGUUCCAUUUUUUGCAAGCCUAUUGCCACAACAUCCUUCCCAUGAAAUUUGAACUUCCGGUUACCUACAAUUAUGCAUAUGUUUUAAGUACACGACUUUUGAAAUCAAACAAACUUUUAUUAAACUUAAACUAAAAUGAAUGUUAAUGUAAACUAUCAUUAAAAUGCACUAAAACACAUCAAUUACUCUCUAAGUAAUCUUGAUUUGACCCUAAAAGUAUCAUGAUAACUCUCAUUUCAUAGAGUUAUCACUGAGCUGCAUGCAAGAUGACCUUAUGUGUAAGUUCGAAGAGUAUUGUAUGCCUCAUGAAAUGUAGCUUGAAUGAAAAGUUAGGUGGUACUUCGACCACUAAAUAAAAAGGGCUCAACAUAAAAAAUGAUGGACAUGUAUUGACUGAUGAGCAAUAUGUUCAGGCAAUCAUACGAUCGCUUCCUAAUAAUUAGGAAUAUAUGAGAGUUAACAUGGCUCAUAAUUAUAGCAUUAAGACAUUUAAUGAUAUCAAGUGUCAUUUGGAACUAGAAAGCUUCUAGCCAACUCUAUAUGGCUAACUCUAAGCCGUAGAAAGCUUUGGGCUUCAAGCGCAAAAAAAGAAGGAAUACUUUUCAAAGGAAAAAGAGAAUUGUGACAGCUCAAGGGAACCCUAAUAAUAGAAAGUGCAUGAAAGGAAAGCGCGUUGGAUAUAAGAAAGACAAGACUAAAAUGAAUUGUUAUAAUUGUGGCAAAUUAGGCCACUUUGCUCGUGAAUGCACUGAGCCAAAAAGGUACCAUUCAUCUCCAUAAAUUUAUGUUCUAACUAUGUGAUAAAUUUUAUUUUUUUAACUGAAUCUCGUCCUUCAAGGACUGUAGACUCAGGACCAACAGACCACAUAGCUGAAGAGCGUGGAGCAUUUGUGAAGUAUCGUCAAAUUAAUCAAGGAACAAAAUGGUAUACGUGGGUAACAACUCAAGGGUUGAGGCAAAAGGAAUUGACACUUGCAAGUUAGAGUUGCGUGGUGGCCAAAUAUUUUAUCUCCAUGAUGUUCUUUAUACUCUAAACAUCCAAUAAAACUUAGUCUCUGUUACUGUUCUUCUUAUGAUGGGAUAUCAAUUACAAUUUUAUAGUGCUAGUUUAAAGAUUGUUCUUAAUUCAACUCUAGUUGCUGGUGGUUAUUUAUUAGAUGGUUUUCCUCUUUUGGAUACUAAUUAUUAUGAUUCCAAUAAUAAUUGUUUUUUGGUAAAUGCAUUUUCCAAUGUGGAUAUAAAUACUUGGCAUGCUAUACUAGGACAUGUAGGGCAAGAAAGAAUGAAUAGAUUAGUUAGAGAAAGCUUAUUAGGCUCACUCGCCAAUAUUGACUUGCCUAUUUGUGAAAGUUGUCUAGCUGGAAAAGCAACUAGAAAACCAUUUGGCAAAGCUACUAGAGCUGAAAGUCCAUUGUAAAUAGUCCAUUUUGACAUUCGUGGACCAAUGAGUGUGAGGGCUAAAUAUGGAACCUUGUAUUUUUAUCACAUUUAUUAAUGACUACUUACGCUUUGGUCAUGUUUAUUUGAUUUCUCAUAAAUCUGAAGCAUUGGAUUGCUUUAGAUCAUACUUGAAUUUAGUAGAGAAUCAAUUAGAAAAAAUAUCAAAGUCUUAAGAACAUAUCGUGGGUGUGAAUACCUUUUAAAGCAGUUCAAGGAAUUGUGCAAUAAUAAAGGUAUUGAGAAACAACUAACUAUUCUAAGGACUCCACAACAAAAUGGUGUUGCAGAAAUGAGGAAUAGAACAUUACUCGAGAUGGUUAGGUCUAUGAUGGCAUUAUUGACUGCCAUUUAUGUACUUAAUUGAGUUCCAAGUAAGUCAGUAAGUUUUACUCCAUAUGAGUUGUGGAUAGUUAGAAAACUUGAUCUUACUCAUUUGCGUCCCUGGGGGUCUGCAACGUAUAUUCACAACUCAUCUCAUAAACAUGGGAAAUUGGGUCCAAGAGGAAAGAAACGUUUCUUUAUAAGAUACCUAAAACACUCCAAAAGAUAUGUAUUCAUAGGUGAACAUGAUGAUGGAAAUAUAACUGAGACAAAGUCAGGAGAUGUUUCAUUUUUGGAAAAUGAAUUAUUAGCAUUUCAGAAGUUGACAAAGAUGUUACAUUUUUGGAAAAUGAAUUAUUAGCAUUUUAGAAGUUGACAAAGACAUUCAUCUAUAUGAGUUGAAUGAUUCAGAGGUUAAUGACACUUCUGAUUUACAAAUUGAGAGAAACUUAGAUAUAACUGGGAAUACUAAUCCUAGUAGGAGUCACCCACAAGAUGAGCCUACUCCACAAGACAACUCAAUUCGUAAAAGCAAUUGCAUACCCAUCCCACGUCGUCGUUUUGAGAUUGAGAAUGAGGCAUUUAUAGUUGCUUUACAUGAUGGUGAUGAGCCAAGAACUUAUAGAGACGCCAUCACAUUAUCAACUAAGGAAUUAUGGAUUGAGGUAAUGAAUGGAUGAAAAAAUAGAGUCUAUGAAAUCAAACCAUAUCUGGGACUUGGGUGAUCUACUGCUUAACUGAAAGGCUAUUGGAAACAAAUGGUUUUUACGUGUUAAACAAAAGGCGGAUGGCAUAAUUGAAUGAUACAAGGCACGCUUGGUAGCGAAAGGAUAUACCCAAUAAAAGGGUAUAAAUUAUGAGGAAAUGUUUUCUUCAGUAGUAAAGUUUGCUUUUAUAAGAUUAAUUUUAGUAAUUGUUGCACACAUGGACCUUGAAUUACAUCAAAUGGAUGUUAAAACAAUUUUUCUCAAUGGAGAACUAGAGGAAGAAAUUUAUAUGAAACAGUUAGAGGGUUAUAUAACCAGUUACCAAGAGCGCAAAAUUUGCAAGCUAAAAAGGUCUAUAUAUGGGCUAAAAUAAUCCUCUAGACAAUGGUAUCUUAGGUUUCAUUAAUCUGUAAUGUCUUAUGGGUUCUCGAUGACAGAAGAAGACCAUUGUGUGUAUGUUAAAAGGUUUGAAGGUAACUUUGUUGUCUUAUCUCUAUUUGUAGACGAUAUAUUGUUGGCUGAAAAUAAUAAGGAGUUUGUCCAAAUCAUCAAGGAAUGGUUAUUUUCAAACUUUGAAAUGAAAGAUAUGGGUAAAGCAUUUUAUAUCUUGGGAGUUAAAAUCCGUAAGGAUCGUUCCAGAAAACUUCUAAUUUUAUCACAAGAGUCUUACAUUAGAAGAAUUCUUAAAAAAAUUAAAAUAGAUAAGCGUAAACCUAUAGAUACUCCCAUCUCCAAAAACACAAACUCUUAGCCUUGAAACGUGUCCAAUGAAUCUAAAAGAACAUAGUGAAAUGACACGAGUUCCAUACUCGAAUGCUAUUGGAAGUCUCAUGUACGCUAUGAGGUGUACAAGGCCAAAUAUUUAUUAUGUUAUGGGGUUGGUAAGCAGAUACCAAUCAAAUCCUGGGCGCAAACAUUGGAAUGCUGUCAAAAGGAUUUUAGCAUAUUUGAAAGGCACUGACUAUUCUUUAUGUUAUCAAGGAGGUGUUUUAUGCUUAAUUACAUACACAUACGACGAUUAAGGAGGCGAUCAUGAUGAGCACAAAUCAAUCUCAUGAUAUGUAUUGCUAUUGAGUCGCGGUGCGAUCUCAUAGAAUAGCAAAAAGCAAACAUGCAUGGCUCUGUCGACUAUAGAAGCAGAAUAUGUGGCAUGUUUAGUUGUAGUAUAAGAGGUUGUUUGGCUUAAGCGUUUCUUAGAUGAUCUUAAGAUUGUUACUGUGAUAGCCAAGCAGCCAUAUCCUUUACAAAGGAUAUAAAAUACCACAACAAGUCCAAACACAUAGAGACCAAGUACAACUUUUUAAGAGAUAUUGUGGUGAAAAAAGAAGUGUUGAUGUAACACAUAUCAACACGCUUCAUGAUUGCAGCCCAUUUACUAAUGCCAUGACAUGAAAUGUUUAUCUCACACAUACGCGAUCUUUGGGGUUAUGUAGAUUGUAAAGUUGUACUUGAUGAGAUUUUGUUUUUUGGAUGAUUUUAAUAACAUUUUUUUUAAUUUUCAACUUAUAUUAGCAUGAUUACACACAUAUAUGAGUACUAAAAGAUGUCUUUAAGUUCCGAUUGGCUUUCUUACACAAGUAGUCGCCUUAGUUGUUAAGAAAAGCAAACUGAGAUGAGACACAAGAUUAAGAAAAAGUACGAGAUACGUUCUAAUGGAGAUUAUAUCUUGAAAAUGUCGCCUUGACUAGAUCAAGAUGAGAACAUGAUUGAGCUAGAUACGAGUUCAUUUGGCGCCUUAUAAAGGCGAGCUUAUUGAGACUCAAUUUGGGCUCUUGAAUAGCGACUAAUUUCAUAUAUGUACAAUGAAUUGUUAAACAUAUGCUCUUAUACAAAGAGAAUUCAAGGUAACGCGUGAUUCAUAACAUGCGUGCUUUUGUGACCAAAAAGAAAAAUGAGUGAAUGAAUCCCUGCUUCCUCAUUGUGUAAGUUCCUUUGAGGUAUAAGAAGGACCUCGACAGUUAUCUUUAGUCACCAUCGACUAUAUCUUAAAGGGAAAGACUGGUGAUAACUACUCUAGCAUGUUUUUCUAUGACCAUGAGGUUAUUCGACCUAUGAAACAUGUCUAAGAAAACAAUGAGCCUAGAACUAAAAGAUAUGAGUAGGAUGGGAAGAUUUAUUCUCUUUACAUCUGACUUAUGCAUUCACCGGUUGAUUGUAUAAUCUACUUAGGGAUGAAUAUAAUUGUGAAUACAUAAAGUGCAUAACGUCAAACAUAAUUUUUGUUAAGGGAUUAAAUAUGCUUGUACCAAUGUAAUGGAAAAUGAAAUCUAGGAUACAUGAUGAACAAGUUAUUUGAAUCUUUUGCAAAUAGUGCAAUUGAGAUUUCUUAUCUCCAGUAGAUAUAUUGUGUUCAUGGGUCACACGUUGCAUUUACCUGUAUGAUACUGUUGUAGUGGCUUUGUGCCCAAAUACCCUACUCUCGUUGCUUUGGUUACUCAGUCAUCCCAUCACAUGCGAGUGGGAGAUGUUAUAUUUAGGCACCCAUGAUGGGCUGACUUUAUCCAACUUGAGAGAUAAGUUAAACUUAUAAUUUAUCUAGGAUUGUUAUAAGAUAAACUUAGUGUUUUACCUGAAUCCUAGUCAUAUAAGAUGCGGCUUAUUCAAAUAACUAUAGGAAGUUUAUUUGAAUUACACUACAUUUAUUGUACUAUAUAAGCACUAAAUGGGUGGGUGCAAAUGCGUACAAUAAUAAUAAUAAUAAGAAUCAAAGUAACAUCAUAAAGAGAGUGAUAGAAAAGGUAAAAGGUAGUGGGUUAUUGCUUUGUGAAUUGAGCGGAUUUUCUAGCCACGUGAUUGUCCUUCGACCAUCAUUGACAUAAGCUCAUUAUGAUGCAUUCGUGAAGGUUCCAGUAAUCAGUUCCUCUUUGUUGCGAUAUGUUCGUGAAGGUUCUUGGAAAUCCGUUCUUGGAGAUUGGAAGGAAUCUAUUAUUUGUUUCUGCAAAUUUGUGACGAUUUGUUUUUGCAUCAACCAACAAGGUAUGAAUUUGGUUGAUAAAAUAAAAUUGCAUUAUUGAUUAAGAAAAUCAACAAACCCAUUAUUUGAAAUGAGCCACUCUAUCAGUUAACAUUGAAUUGUUUUAUGGUUGCUAUAAUAAUUUUAAAAUAAAUUUAAUUUUUAUCUACAAUUUCAUUUCUUAAAUUAGGAGGUGUAAAAUAAGACAUUAAUUUUGGCAAUUAAAAGCAAAAGAAUUGCAGGGAAUAAAUUCGGCAACUAAAGUGGUAGUAAAAUAAUUUUUGAAUUUUUUUGUGGGGAAUUAGUACGGCCAAGUUCCUUGCAAAAAUCAGGGCUUACAUUGGCUGCUAAAAAGGACUUUUUGUGAGGCCACUUAUUGCAACCAUUAAUAUUUUUGUUAAUACAUAAAUUUUGGCUGCAAAUCGUUUUUGCCACCAAAAUUGUUCUUAUAUUUGUGAGGAAAACUUUUGGUGGCAAAAACUAAUUUUUCUUGUAGUGCUUUUGCUCGAAAACCCUUGUUUCUUAUAAUUUGUAGUCUUGAUUCGCACUCUCAUCACAAAAAAUUAGGGGAUUGAUGUUUGGGGAUAAAAUAUGGUGACCACAAUCCAAUGUUUGCUUGAAACCUAAACAUGCUUGACUCCAAUAAAAUAAAGGUUAAUUGCUAAUGAGCUGAGGAGAGAAAAACUAUCAAGAGCAGAUAUCGUGGAAGGAGAAAAGUUAAGAUUAGUCAAAGUGCAAUAGUACUACUUAAGUAGUACUUUCUUUUUCUGUCUGAAACCUGAAUAGGUUUAAAUUUUGUUGAAAUAUGAAUGACAUUUCAUUUAUCUUUUUUAAACAUAUAAGUGGAAUCUCAUUUGUUCUUAUAAAUUAAAAAAAAAUUAACAUAGUUAUUUGAUAUUUUAUGUCCCUACAAGUCAAAUAAAAAGAAAAAGAAAAAAAGGACUGGGUUUUACAUUUUAGGAAAAAAAUAUUUAAUAAAUAUACUUUUGGGAUAUUAUGUUUACUUCCUAUCAAAACAUUUUUUCAUUUAGAUAAAAGUCACAAAGUUUAUAUUUUCUAUUUAGAUGUAAAUGUUUGAAUAUCAGACAUAUGUUAUGAAAACAAAUAAGUAAAUUAAAAAAAAAGAAAAAAAUAAUAAAAUUUUAGACUUCAGACAUUUAGCAAACAGACCUUCAACAAAAAUACCCCGUCUAUUUCCUCUAAAAAAUUAGGGAUGAUGUUUAUCUUCAAACAUUUCACUUUGAGAGUCCAAGGGGAAGAGAAUUCUAACCACUAUAAAGACCUGGAAAUUCAAAAUAAGUUAAACUUUUCUCUCUUUAGACUUCCUUUUACUUUUUAACUGUGUUUACAUUGAGAUUUUUUCUUUCCUUUUCUAUUACACUAAAAAUCGAAAACUAUUUUUUUUUAGUAAACCCAAAAAAUUGACUUGAGUGCCAGAAAUUAACGUCAGAAAAACUUAUAUCACCUCUUAUUGCUUUUUAUGUUGCAAGUAUUUGCGGAGAAUCUGCUUGAGUUCAUGGAUUCGUCCAGAAUUUAAGAGAUUGGCAAACUGCCCUCACACAUAAAAAUUUAAAUGUUGGCUUUGAGGUUUAGUUGCUAGCUAACAAAUCGACUAAACGAGAUUUUAAUGUCAACAACAUGUAUUAAUUAAGAGUUUGAAAACCUUUCAUCUCUAAUGACAUAUUAAUUUCAGCUUAAAUAAACUAGUAUUAAUUAAUUUCCUACUUUUCCAAUUCUCAGAUAAACUCGAAACCGAGCAAUCUUUUGACUCUGGCCAUCUUCAUUCCAAGCAGCCUUAAACUUCUCCAUCACAUUUUCUGUCAAAAGCUCAACACCUUUGUCGUUAGCCUUCUGAUAUGCUGAACAUGACCUUAUGAACUUGAAGUAAUCAUCUAAAUCCAUCAGCUUCUCUACAACAAACUGAUCGAACGGCCCCGUAUUCUCAUAUCCAUCAACAGGCUCAAAUGGAAAAUCAAUGCUCAUGUACUUGUUGUCCACCAAUUUACGUUGUGGUGCCCAAAAUGGCUUACAAUCAAUGGUAUCGAAUGGUUUGAAAACUGCACCGACGGAUUCAUUGAUUUCGGGAUGGUGUAAGUCCAUGCAGCUAUUACUCCACUAGAUUUUUUGAGUACCCAUUUUACUUGUUUGUAAAAUUGACGUAAGUCAAACCAAUGUAGUGCUGAAGCAAUUGUCACUAGAUCUACACUUGAUUGUGUUGCCACAUUUUGCUCAAGCUCAGUUAUGGACAUGGUUGGAGGAGUAAGUUGAUACCGAAUGUUGGGGAGCUUUAUUGCGAAUUUUAGUUGUUUUGGGCUUGUAUCUGUAGCAAUGACGUGUUGAUAGAUCUGUGCUAGCUGAAAACAUAAAAUUGUGAGAAAUCAUAAAAUAUAGUAGGCUAUAACAAAAGUACUCAGAAUUGAGAGGGCCUAAUAGUAAAUUACAUAGGUAUCGUGAAAUUUCAACUGGUACUUCAUUUUUUGGGUAAUUUAACUUUUUUCAUCCCCAAAGUGUUGGGAAAAUAUGCUCUUUUAAAGCAUAUGUGUUUAUUUAAUUGUAAUAAAUAUUUUUUCUGAUUAAUAAAAUUAAUGAGGUAUUUUAUUCAAAUAUCUUAAUUGCAUUAAUAUUUUUAUUAAAGUCCAUUUAAUCAUAUUAUAUGUAUUUAUGUGAUCACCAUGUAGAUUCACAGAAGACAUAAAUACAAGUUAUCUUAUGAUUAAAUAAAUUUAGUUCGCAGUUGAUACAUAAAGUUGGGCACUUUAUUUAGGUAUAGACUGUAAUAAAUUCAUUGAAUGAUUUGUUUUAAUCAUGUAUGAAUUUAUUAAUGUAGUACGACUACAUUGAACAUGACCACAUAUGAGAUUUAAUUAACUUUGUAAUAACUGUCAGACUUAUUAAAUCUCAUAGGCAUUGAUUUUAUUGUAAUCUUAAUCUUGAGUUAAUUAUGAUUUCAUGAUUGUAAUUGUUAUUCCAUUUGAGUUACCAAUGGGCAUGACAUAUACUUGUAGUCUAGAUUACCCGGUAUCUUGGUGGGAGCAUUUAUGAGUAUUGGAGUUAUAGAUUAACAAUAUAGAAUUUGUACAACACAUCUCUUGAUGGGUUUUCGGCACUUGAUCAUAGAAUUUUCUGGCCAGAGUGUGUCAACAUAUUUAGUAUGUUGAAAAUGAUCAUUAGAGAAAACCAGUAAGUAUCAAAGAAUAAGAUGUUAUUAAAUUGAUUGGACAGUUGAAAUAUCAAUUUAAUUAACGAUGUGGUACAAAGGAUUGUGCAGUAAAGAAAUCAAUGUGGCUUGGGACGAAUUAUUAUUUGAGCAUACAAUUAUGGAAGUCAAUUCUAAUCUUUUAGUGGAGUAGAUUUGGAAUUAAAUAAUUGGACUAGUUUAAUUACAGGCCUAAUUAUUGUAGCUACUAUUGUAUGUUCCCAAAUGAUCCCAGGGUUAGCUCAUUUAAUUGACUGCACCACUACUGGAUUAAUAAGCAAGAUAACUAGUUAUUUGGGUCAAAAGCCUAAACAUAUCAUUUAGUGGGAGGCUCCAUUUAAUUAGCUUGUGUGUAAGGGGCCUUAUGUUAUUUUACAAGGUCGGUCCCCUAUAGAAAAAGCAAGUAACGUGAGUUUUUUUUUUUCAUUAUUUGGAGCUUAGGGUUUUCACUAAAAGGAGAUAUAAAAGGCUUAUUUUCUCUAAAGAAAAAGUGUGCAGCCACUUUAUACAGAUCAGAGAAAAAGAUUUUUCUCUCUAUUGUUGAGAGAAAAAUUUUCUCAUGCUAGUUGCUUUGGUAGUGAUAAAGGCGCCCAUACGUCAAGUGCAGAUCAAACCUGAGUCAUAACCUGGAAGAUCAUUGGUGAUAGUUCGUGAUCUAACAAGCGUGGUGGUGACGGAUCGUGGUCUAACAGGCGUGGUGGUGACGGAUCGUGAUCUGGGAGCCUAAAUCACUUCAGCGGAAAAAUCUAAAUCGGAUUUUCAAGGUACGAUUUCUAGAUUACAAAUUCUUAUAUAUUAUAUGAGAGCGAUCUUAAAAAUGUUUUAUAAAAAAUUUAAAAAUCUAAUCGUUCCCCAACACAAAGUGGCUAGGCUACCCUAGGCUUCACCUAGCUCCGCCCUUGGGAGAUAGAUAAGAUUUUUCAUUACUAGUAUUACAAUUAAAUUUUCAAAUAAUUUAGGUACUAAUUUGAAAAUAGUACAUCACUUAAUUGCCCAAUAAAAAUAAUUGUAAUUUAACUGGGGAUGGUAAGGAGGAGGAAAGGGGAUCAAUAUCUCUAUACUCAUUUUCAAUCCUUUGCUUAUAUCUCUAUACUGUCCCUCUUCCCUCCAAAAUUGUUUGAGGGUAGGAGACAAGAUUCCCAAUGGUACCUAAUCUCUAAAUAACUGAUACUUUUAUUUUCUAAACUUUAUUUAAUCGUAUUAAAGUAAAAGUAUAAAAUUAUUUUACAACACAAAAACAUCAAAGUAAACUAAAGUAUUUAAAAUCAUUUCCUUAUUAAGCAAAAGUAGAGCUUCAAAAUUGAACACACGUAAAAAAUCACAUGGUCUAAAUCAUCAACAAGAUUAUCUUCAUCAAUUUUCAAGUGCUCAAAUUAGCUAUUAUUUAUAUUUUCUAUAAAUACUAUGAUAAGGAAAUUAUAUGGUAUUUGUUAUAAUAUUUGUUAUUUAUGCAAUGAUAUUUGUUAUUUAUAUUCUUACCACUAUAAAUUAAAUUUUAAAUAUAUUUAUUAAAAAUGUAAAAAAAAUUAAAAUUAUAAAUUAUAAAUAGAAAUGGAGAAAUGGGGGAUGGAGAUUUCAUCGAACCCCCGUCCCUUCCUCCAAUGAGAUAUUAGGUAUUUAAUUAUACCCUUAUAUAUUUUCCCCGAUCUUUAAACAGAGGAUGUAAAAUUAUUCCUACACCCUCCCCAAAUGGAGAAAACCUUUCAAGACUCGUCCUUGUGGAAAUUUCUACCAUCCGUAAAUUUAGCAGUUAUGUAAUUCAAUAGUCUUAUAACUUGGGACCAUAAUUCUGAAAUAUUCAUUGGGAACUUUAGUAUUAUUCAAUAAUAAAAACUAAAGAUGUGCCGCUUCCGGUGCCGACGUCCCAUGCAAGGUUGCGUUUGGGUGUUUUAGAGUCAAUUAAUUUGAACAAUUCUUUUGGAUAAUUUGGUCGUGCUACCGCGUAUAGGUUUGCCUGCUUAAUGAACAAUUCUGCCAUCUUUUCUGUUUUUUUCCUAAGUGUUGAGAAUGUAGAAUUAAGAUAAAUCUACUCAUUUGGUUUCGUUUCGUUUCUUUUCUUCUUUAUAUAGGUUUUAGAAUUUGAUGAAGUGGACAAAUAGACAGAUUUUAGUUCGAAAUUAAUUUGGUAAUGUUUAUCUCGGGAAGCCGCAAUAGAACUAGGACAAUCUCAUAAAGUCUUAAAUUUCGACCGAAUUUUUCUUUCUUCCCUUAAUUUUCAAAAAUUAAAUACUUAUGUACUUGCCUUUUCGGUCGCAAAAAUGAUUUACCCAUCUCAUCAAUGAGCCCCACCUCAAUUAUACUUUGGCAAAUUUUUUGGGACAAUUUUAUUUUUGAUUCAAGCGUUAAAGGUAUCUACUAGAAUAUUCAACUUUCACUUUAUUCUUUUAUGAGGUUAAGAUGGUGGAGCUACAAGUGAAUCAACCUCAUGACGAGCGGGAGUUCAUGCCCUGUUAGAGAAAAUAAUUUAAAAAAAAAAUUAAAGAGGUGACUAUUUGAGUUACUAAUUAGACCCCAUUAAAUUUUCUAAAAUAACCUGUUAAAUUUAUUAAAAAUUGUCCCAUAAAUUCACAAACGCAUAACAAUUAAAUUUUGAUUUUUGAGAAUGAAAGGAAUUUAGAUCUAUUACAAAUAGAUGUAGGCAGUUAAAACCCUAAAAUUAACAACUUAAUUAAUUUUCAAAAAAAAUUGUUCACCGUUACUGUUUAGUGUUUACUACUAUUGUUUAUUGUUCACAGCUACUGUUCAUCUCCAUAAAAAAUAUUAAUUUUUCAAAAACACAAUAAAUUGCAGAAAUUAAAUGACACGGAGAUUUUUACAUGGUUUGGAUUAAUGAAUCCUACAUCCACGAGGUUACGCCUAGAUAAAAAACAAUUCACUAAGUUGAAAUGUUACAACUUAUGGAUUUACCGAACUUAAGACUCUCACUUACAGUUUAUCACAAUACAAUUUACUCAACCUUCGACUGAAUCUGUUUCUCUUGAAUAAUUGCUACCCCUCUUGAUCAACGAUACUCAAGGCACUUUGCAAAGUGAUAAAUAGCAAUUCUUCAAUGUCUAGUGAUCCAAGAUCCACCACAGAGAUGAAAAGAAGAUAAGAAAACAAAUCAACACAAAAUUGUGCGCCAAAUCCGGAUUCUCUAGGGAGGAGGCUGAAUUUUGCUUCUCUGCUUUAUUCUUUGUAUUGCGUGCUUUCAAUUGUGAAAUAUCUCUCUUUAUAUAGGCACUAGGGUUUCACAAAAAUAACAAGUCUUCAAAGACUAGAAUUCUUUCCAAAUAAAGUUUUUUUCCUCUUAUAAUUCUUAUGAAUCUGAAUAGAAAUGAGUAUGAUAUUUUUGCCUUGCUCGUCUCCCAAGAAAUAUCUAGAGCAUUUAAUAAACUUUUUAUUUGAACCAACUUCUUGCCCUAAUUAAAUCUAAUGUGCCAAUCUCAUCAUUAAUUGACUUGCAAAAUUAGACUUCUAAUUAAAUUAUGAAUAAAAUAUUCCUAAUAAAUUGGAAUCUCAUUAAAUUAGGAAAUUAAUAAAUUAAUCCCUAUUACAAGAUAUGCAAUAAAUAAAAUUCUAAUUUAACUAAAAUUGCUAUAAAAUGCCAAUUCUAUAAAUAAUGGACUUACCAGAGAAUUAUAAAAACUUUCACUUUAAUUGAAAAGAGGAAAGUUUUUACUAUUAUUUAAUUUAGUCUCAUUUUAUCUAUUAAAAUAAUAUCUGCAAACUCAUUAACCCAUAAAAUUUUAAUUUUUACAUUUCAUCAUUAUGUAAUUUAGUCCUUAGUAAUUAUUUUUUCAAAAUUCGCUACUGAUUGGAGUUAGCUCCCUAUCAUUCCUCGUUCUCAUUUAGGUUCUAUCAAAGAUAUCAAAGCAAAGAUUAUUUGGUAUUCAAUUACAUUGCUUCGAUUCAAUGUAAAUGCAUGUAGGUCCGGGUUGCCUUACUUUGUGGUCCAUUGGCGUAAUGAAUUUCAAUGGGAAUUGCAGACAUCUUCAUGUACGGUUUUUCUGAUACUGCACUCCACAUGAUUUUUUUUUAUCUUGCGGUGUACUUUUUUUAUCCGGUAGUUAUCUAUAUUUUGUCUUCUAAUAAUGUGUGCUUGUAUAUAAUUUUUUGUAGAUUUAUCAUCCAUGGUUGCAUUACUAUUAGCAUGCUCCGAAAGAUCUUGUUUUUUUCUUUUCGAAGAUUCCGCAUUUCUUAAUUUCAAAAUCAGCAUGCUCUCCGUCCUUACGCAUUUGUCUUCUGUAAUCAACAUAGUCAUUAACGAAAUUUCAACAAGGUAGAGCAGCAUUCAACAAGGUUAGGCUUCUUUUUGAAUUAGGAGUAGACUUUUAAUUAAUUUUUUAUGGAAGUUGGUGGCUAUCCACAUCAACUUAGACCUAUUUAACUAGUCGUGGUCAAUUAGCUAAGCUAUUUGGGUGAUCACCAAAGAAAAAUUGAAACAGGAACAUAGUACACGCCGUUUGCAUUAAUUGGCCAUUUGACAAAAUAGCUCAAGAGAUCGGAUGGCUAAAGAGCUAUGCACAACAAUAAAUUGUAGAAAUCCUAAUUAAAGUAAAAUUUACAACAUCCAGAAUUAUUUUAAUUAACUUGUAUUCUACUUAAUUUGAUUUUCUAUUUAAAGUUUCAUUAUUUAAGUAUAACUUAUUUAAGUUGUAUUCUUAAUUUAGAUUUAAGUCAUAUGAAAAUAGAUUUACUAGUCAAAUUAGGAUAAAUCAUAAGUAGUAUAAAUAAGUGUUUUUUGUAGUAUUUACAAAAGGUCUUGAUUAUUUGUUAUUGAUUGUUUCUUGGGAUAUACUCAGUUUGAGUUUUACACCCGUUGUCGACAUUAUGUGGAAUCAACAAAUUUUUAACACCUUAGAUUUACGCGUAUUCUUAGAAUCAACGUGAAUUUAGCUUACUUCUUUAUUAUGAUAUUCUUAAGAAUCAACAGAGUACUAAAAAUAUCACUAUUGAUCCGUCACAAUAUAGCUCUUUUCUUUUCAUUGCGUCAGUUUCAUUGCAGACCGUUUUAUUGUAGAGCCACGCUAUACUAGUUUAGUACUAAAGCUAAAAAAAUGGUAUUACAAAUCUGCCCCCCAUCUACCACCAAAACCUUCCCUUUCUCUCUUUUUUUAGCUUUUUUAUUUUUCCGUUUAGCUUUAUUAAAAAAAUCAAAUUAGAAAAAACUAAAAAAAAACACAAAAAAAGAAAUAAAAAAUCCUAAAUUUUUAAAGCCUACCCACCACUGACCGCCACCACUGCCAUCACUCCACCAGCCUUCACCGUUGUUUGACACCACCACCAAACUCAGCAGCCACACUGGACAAAAUACCAACCAACUUCGUCCUUAAGCCACCAUCAGAGCCCAUGUGAAACACCCAAACCCGCAAGCUUUUUGCCCACUCGCCACCACCAAGCCACCAAGCUUUUCCAUCAAUUUACUACACCACCAUAAGCCCAAGCAAUAGGCGACCAUAAUGUCACGGGAUGAGAGUUUUGCGUAGCAAACCAGUGCGGCACUUAGACGACUUCUAACACACAAGUCACUAAGUAAGCCUAGAUCACUUCUCAACCAGUGAAGCAAGAAUGCUUGCGGACAAUGCUAGAGAGAAGUAGAACAAUAUGGCCAAUAAUAUAUUUUAUUACACACUAAAGAAUAAAUUACAAGAGAGCUUUACAAGAGACCUAGAGAGCUUGUGUGUGCUUGAGUGUUUGUGUGUGGUGUGGUUGGUGGGCAAAUGAGGGGGCUCACCCCUAUUUGUAGGUGUUGGAGUGUUAGCUAUAGAGAGUUCCAUGCAACUUGCAUAAAUAUCCUAGGGGUCUAAGUGAAGAGUCCUAGAAACUUCUAACUAUUUACAAAUUGUAAAGAAAUCUAGAUCUUGGGCCGGGCUUGGGUGAUUUGCUAAGCGCACCACGGUUGGCUAGUUGUGUUGGUGGCCCAUUUCUGAGCGUAUCCCGCUUCUAAGUGCAUCCCACCUUGUGUGCUAAGCGUAUCCCACUUCUAAGCGCACUCCACUUCGAGGCGAACUUUUGCUAAGCGGACCCGCGUGCGCGGAAUUAACCUUCGGUUGCGGGAGAUUUGAACGGCCCGUGACAAUAAGCCUAGCUAUCUGCUGUUGUAAAGCCGCCAUAAGCCACCACAAAAAACUCUCAAAACCCAAGAGUUUCACAACUUCAAUAUGCUUCCAUCACCAUGAAUCUAGCCAAUCCACGGCCACCAUCAUGUUCUUUACCACUAACUCUAUUAGGUCUGGCCAUUAUCACACCAAAUCACGGCCACCAGCUGCCAGCAACACCAAACCUUGAAAGUUAGAUUAUUUACAAUUUUGCUAUUAGUUGUAUUUUUAAUUUGAGUGGAUAAAAAAUGAUGAAGACAAAUAAAGGUCCAUAUUGUCUUCUUGAGUUUGAAGAUAUCUUAGAUAUUGUGGUAAUCCUAAUGAUGUUUUUGACUAGAUUUGCAUGAUGUAUAGUUUGGAAGAGGAAUAUGUUUGUUUGCCUAUAAACUCGAAAGUCGAAGAAUUUGUUUAGGAUAUUGGUUGGCCAUUUAUAUCUAUCAUAACCCCUCAACAUCCAACCAUUGAUUUCAAUCAACUCCGAUAUUUGGUGAACCAAUUUUUGAAGAUGAGAAGCCUGAGAUUUUUCAACCUGUGGAAAAUUUUGAGAAAAACUCAUUUAUCCUCAAUAUUAGCUCUGAAGAUUUAUAUGGUCAGUACGAUAAGAUAUGGUUAGAGAGAUUAUUGCUUGAAGAUUUUAUCUCAUGCUAUUGGAUAAGAUGGAUUAAUAUUGUCACCAAGGUUGGAAAGUUCAAGUUUGUUCAUCAAUAUCAAGAUGAAUUUUCUCCAUCUUGACGGGAAUGAUGGAGGGUAAGAAAUUGAAGAAAUCAUAAUUAGAUUGAAAUUUAUAAUAUUUAGGAUUGUUUUAAUUAAUUUAUAUUCUAAUUUAAUAUAGUUUCCUAAUUAGAGUUUCAUUGUUCAUGCAUAACUUAUUUAAGUUGUAUUCCUAAUUUAGGUUUAAUUCUUAUGAAAAUAGGUUUACUAGUCAAAUUAGGAUAAGUUGUAUUCCUAAAUUAGUAUAAAUAAAUAUCUUUUAUAGCUUUUACAAGAGGCAUUUAUUAUUUGUUAUUGAUUUAUUUCUUGGAAUGAAAUCUUUGUUUAAGUUUUAUUCUUGUUACUUCUCGGCGUUCUAUGGAAUCAAUGAGUUUUAACACCCUAGAUCCACGGGUAUUCUUAUAAUCAAUGCGGAUUUAGCUUAUUUCUUUUUUGGUAAUAUUCCCAAGCUUAAAUGGAGUAUUGAAAAUAUCUCUAUCUAUCCAUCACCUUGCAUUUUCUAUCCAUCUAUUGUGUCAGUUCCAUUGCAGAGCAUUCUAUUGCCUUAAAGUAUCAAGAUUUAAACCUAUUCAUUUGAAACCACACAUUUAUAUAUUCUAAAUUUGAAGCCCGCAGUAUUUUCUUGAAAAUUAUUUAUCUUCAAUUUUGCCUUAGUAAUUUAUCUAGAAGCCAUAUGCCUCAAUAAAACAACUAAAAGCCAUAGGACUUAGUACACAAUCAAGCUCAUCCAACUAAAACAAAGCCAUUUGUGGAAUUGAUACGAAGCCUUACUUGAAGACAAAUCUCACCAAAGUAGAAUAAGUUUCAGUUACAAUAUUUCAAAUUAGCCCAUGAUCAUAACUCAGUGCUUACAAAAUCACAUCACAGUCAAAGAUAUGUGGAAACAAAAUUAUUGAAGAAGAAGAUAUGCUCAACAAUUCAUGCUUCCAACAUAAUUCUGCGGCAACAAUAUCGAGCUCGCUAACUGAUAGGCACAUAGUCGGUUCUAAAUCAAAAUGCUAUCACAUAUAAGCAUGGUGAAAAUCAUUGACAUGACAAGGUUACAGCAUGCCAAAAAUAGUGGUUACAAUUAUGAUUGAAGUUACAGUCUUGAAGAAAUCAUUAUUGAUCUCAUAGUGAUAGCAUACAUUCUUAAAUGCAUGAUGCCUAAAUAGUUGAUUAAAUUGUUAAUUAAGAUAUCUAUACCUAUUAAGAUUAGUAUUAAAUUUUAUGAGCUUUUAUAUUCAUAUGUAUUUUAUUUUAUAUGAUGAUGUCUAACAAAUUUAUCUUUUGAAAGGAUGUGGAUCUUUAAAGGGGAUUGCAUGAUAUAAAAUAUUUAACUAACAGUGCAACUACACAUACAAUCCUUUGAAAUUAGAAAUAUUUUAUGAGUUUAUAAUUAUUUGAAGCUAAGUUGAAUACCGUCUUAGGUCCUAUAGAUCUGAUCGAGGGCUCUGAAAGAGCAUGUUCAUAUUACCAAGUGGUACAUAAUUAUAUAUCCAUGAUGCUCUCUGUAUUCACCAAAGACUAGAAGAAAUCUUUUGAGUUUUGUCAUAUAAAGAUAAUAAAUGAGAAUAGUACAGAAUAUCUCUAUAUUACUUCUACUAUCUCAGAAAAAAAAAUUUAUUAAAAAACCUUCCCACUUUGUCAUCUGGCUUAUAUCAUCUGAUGAUGAAAGUAAUUGAGAGUAUGCUGUCAUAAACCAGACACUUUGUGAUCUAAAAGCUUUUCGUGCUUUGGCAUGAUCGUCUUAGUCACGUUAGGUCAGCUAUGAUGAGUAGAAUUGUUGAAAAUUCUCAUGGACAAACUUUAAAGGAUUUAAAGAUUAUUUUAUCCAAUAAGGAUAAUUGCACUGCUUGUUCUCAAGGCAAAUUAGUGGUCAAACUAGCUCGUUCUAAGAUUAGCCUUGAAUCUCCGUCAUUCUUACAAAUAAUUUAGGGAGAUACAUGUUGAUUUAUUAUUCCACUCAAUGGUCCAUUUCUUUAUUUCAUGGUCUUGAUUGAUGCAUUUGUACGAUGGUCAUAUGUCUGAUUAUUAUCCACAUAUAAAAUUGCAUUUGCUAGAUUGUUUACCAAGUUAUCAGAUUACGUGCACAAUUUUAAGAUUAUCUAGAUAAUACUGAUGAAUUCACUUUUAAAGAUUUUAAUGAUUACUGCAUAUUAGUUAGUAUUGACGUAGCGCACCCAGUACCAUAUGUUUAUACUUUAAAUGGAUUGGUAUCAAACAUCUUCAAGUAAUUGCAAGAACUUUGUUUUUAUAUAACCUGAUUACCUAGUUUUUGCAUUACGACAUACUAUUCUGCAUGUUGCCGCAUUGAUUCGCUUGAGGCCUACUGUUAUCACUAGUAUUCGCAUUGCAAUUGGUACUAAGGCAUCAACUAAUAUAUCUCAUUUGUGCAGUUUGGCUAUACUGUACAAGUGCCAAUUUGCACCUCGCUGGCAUACUAAAAUAGAACUCGAAUGAUGUUUAGGGAUUUAUGCGGUUAUGACUCACCAUCUAUUAUCAAGUAUCUUUAGCAUAUUACCAAUGACUUGUUUACGUAUGCAAUAUGAAUUUCCAUUUUAAUGAGAUAAAAUUUGCCUUUUUAUGAGAGAAAAAGCCGCCAUAUGAUGAUUGAUGCAAGCUUUUAUGGCAUGUGACAAAAUUGUCUCAUCUAGAUUAUCGCACUACUCAAAGUGAAAAUAAAGUGUGGAGGAUAAUUCACUUACAACAAUUUUGCAAAUCACUUGUCAAAUGCAUUUAUAGAUGGAUCUAAAGUAACCAAGUCAUGUCUACCACAUGUAAAUGCAUCUCACCAAGUAGUUGUUCCUAUUGAAAUUUUUGAUAAAAAUAGCUAAUAGAUUAAUCUAAGGCACACCUAAGGUAUGGUAGACCACUUGGUUUAAAAGAUAAUAUUCAACUAAAAUAAAAAAAAAUAAAAGGUUAGGAUUUUGUUAAUCAGUUGUAAGUAAAAGUGCUACUUCAGAAGAAUAGGUCCUCUCCUACGUGCCUACAGCGACACUACCUUCUGAAGAGAUAAAUACCUCAGAUGUAAGCCAACCUCUUAAUGUAGCUAAGAAUGAAGAAAAGUUUGCAAAUUUUACUCACAAAAUGGAAAGUGUAUAAUCAUAACAAAAAAGCUAUUGACAAUGCUUAUUCAUUUACAAUAGCUACUGAUUUGAUAAAUGAUGAUAUUGACUAAUAGUCCAUUGACGAAUUUAGACUAAGACAUGAUUGGCCCAAAUAGGAAGAAGCAAUCCAUGUGAAAUUGAUUUCCUUAGCAAAACAUGAUGUUUUUAGACUUAUAAUCCAAAUACCUAUUAUUGUUAAACCAUUAGGUGUAAAUAAAUAUUUUUUUAGAGGUGGCUAGAUAUAAAGCACGACUUAUUGCACAAGGUUUCUCACAAAAAGUAGUUAUUGAUUAUGAGGAGGUGUAUUUACUAGUAAUUUGUGUAGUUUUGUUCUGAUUCUUGAUUAGUUUGACUAUAUCUGAGAGGUUUAAUAUUUGUUUUAUGGAUGUAUUUAUUUGUAUGAAUCAUUAUUUAUAACACACACACACACAUAUGCAGUGGCGGCGCCACUUGAGAGCCCCUGCUAGAUUUAAAAAAAAAUAAACUCAUCUUAUUUUUUAGUGCAUUUACAAUAAAGCCCCUAGAAAAUUUUAAAAAUAACUAAAAGAUCAGUAUUUUAAAUAGUGAUUAGAAUCCAAAAAAAAUUCAAAAUCAAAUCCAUAACCACCACCAUCAAUCAUUUGCCAAAGAAAACCUCCAUCGGCUACCAUCAGUGAUCAGCUUGUCGUCUAUCUCUGUCCAAUUCCCAUGUCAUCACACCUCUUUGUUUUCAUGUCAUUGCCAUAGACGCUACAACUUGUAGCUCGUAGUCGCAGUCGCAGUCUUGCAUCACCGUAUGGUCCUCGCACUCGCAGCCUUGCAUCACCACAUGGUCCGCAUCUUUGCAUUUUUUCUAGUACUACCAUUGCACCUUUACAGCUUUUAUAUUAAUUAUCAAGAAUUGAUUAAAUUAUUUUGAUAAUUAAGCACCUCUGUCACUUUAUGAUUUAAUAUUCUAAUUCUUGAAUUAGUUUAUACCUUUUUGAAUUGAAUUGGUUUAUGCCUUUUUUAAUAGAAUAAUAUUAUUAACUUUCAAUUAUUGUGGCGAUGCUUUGUGGAUUGAUAAAGGGGCAAUGCUUUUAACUUUACUGAUUAUAACUAAUAAAAUAAAAAUUCCAUGGCCCAUGGGUGACGCCGUGACGAGUUAGUAACCUAGUGGUUGAGGAUUUAGUCGGGUAGUCGGUUUAUUAAAUUAAUAAUUUGUAAUUUUUUCUUUUUUUUUUUUAGAUUUUGACAUGGAAAUUGUCUUCAGUUUCUCUUUAAAUAAACACAAUUAAUUGUGUUUAGUUGUCACAGUUAUGGAGAAAUAUUACUCAAGAAAGCCAUUGUCACAACCUUCUCCAAAAAAAACCAAAAUACAGCUCAAAUCAAGAUGUAGAAUUCAAUUUACAAGAUCCUCCUACAGAUCCUGGUUUACAAAUUUCAAUCUCUUGUUAUAGUCUUAAUAUUCAAGAUUAAGUCCGAAGAACAUACUUAUAGAGAGGUUCUGUUCAACCUAAAAAUCACAACUUCAAACUUUUAGAUUUUGGAAACCAAAAAAGGCAGUUUGGUAGUAAUUGGUUUGGGAAAUUUAGAUCUUGGUUGGAAUAUAGUAUAGAAAAAGAUGCGGCAUUUUGUCUCUUUUGUUAUCCUUUUAAAGAAGAGAUUGGUAAUAAAGGGGGUGGUGAUUCAUUUGUUGGUAAUGGUUUUAGAAAUUGGAGGAAACCUGAAAAAUUUGUUGAACAUAGGGGAGAUGUUGAUAGUGCCCAUAACAAAGCUAGAGAAAAUGUGAAAUGUUGAUGAAUCAAAAUUAACACAUUCAAACAGCUUACACAAGACAUUCUGACAAGUAUCUAAGCGAUUAUCGAGCUCACAUGAUGGCUACUAUUGAUUGCAUUAGGUUUUUAUUAAAACAAGGGCUUGCAUUUCGUGGGCAUGAUGAGUCUAGAGAUUCAGGCAAACGAGAGAAUUUUCUUCAGCUUCUAUUUUCUUGUCGAUCAUAAUGAAGACAUUAAUGCUGUUACUUUUGAUAAUGCUCCUGAAAAUCUUCAAAUGAGAUUCAAAAAGACAUUGUAAGUUGUGCUACAGUUGAAACUACCAACAUUAUUAUUAAAGAGAUGGGCGAUAUUUUGUUUUCUAUCCUUAUUGAUGAAUCUCGUGAUAUUUUUACAAAGGAGCAAAUGGCUGUUGUUUUGCGUUAUGUGGAUAAAAAUGGCUAUGUGGUUGAGCAUUUUAUUGGGAUUGAACAUGUUACUAGUACUACAUCUAUUUCACUUAAAGAGGCACUUGACAAACUAUUUUCCAGACAUGGUUUGAGUAUGUCUAGGUUGCACAGACAAGGAUACGAUGAAGCAAGCAAUAUGUAAGGUGAGUUCAAUGAUCUUAAAGCACUGAUUUUGGAGGACAACAGAUGUGCUUUUUUUAUUCAUUGUUUUGCACAUCAACUUAAAUUGGCUUUAAUUUAUGUGGCAAAAAAGCAUGAAUAUGUUAAUUCUCUUUUUCAGUUUAGUUACAAUGUUAGUCAACGUUGUUGGUGCUUCAUGAAAACAUUGUGAUAUUCUUCAAGAGAAACAUGCUCAAGCAGUUAUUAAAGCAUUCAAUGAUGGUGAAAUAUCAAGUGGACGAGGUUUAAAUCAAGAGGUUACUUAAAAGAAAUAUGUUGACACACGUUGCUCACAGUAUGGUAUGUUAUUGAGCAUAAUCACCAUGUUUCCAUCUAUUAUUGACGUGCUUGAGAUAAUUUCGAAUGAGGGAAAUUCUGAACAAAGAUUUCAAGCUACAAUGUUAUUUAAGUGCAUGCAAUUAUUUGAUUUUGUGUUUAGUUUGUUGUUAAUGAAAAAAAUUCUUGGAUUUGCACAUGAGUUAUCACAAGCAUUACAAAAAAAGGAUUAGGACAUUGUGAAUGGUAUAAAAUUAAUUGGAGUGUAUAAGAGAAACUUGAAAAAAAUGAGAGAAAAUUGAUAGGACUCUUUACUUGGUGAAACUUCUUCUUAUUGUGUGAAGCAUGAUAUUGAUGUUCCUAAUAUGGAUGAUUUGUUUCAAACUUAAGGGAGAUCACAACGCAAGGCUCAAAAUAUUACAAAUUUGCAUCGUUUUCGUGUUGAAUUAUUUUAUGCAAUUUUGGACAUGCAACUUCAAAAAUUAAGCAAUCGUUUCAAUGAGACGAAUACUGAGUUGUUCUUUGUGUGGCAUGUCCAUGACCUAAUGACACAUUUGCAGCUUUUUAUAGACAGAAACUACUUCGCCUUGCUGAGUUUUAUCCAAAUGAUUUUUCUCCAGUGGAUCUUGUGGCACUUAAAACUCAACUUGAUAUUUAUAUUAUGGAUGUGGGUGCUGACAACAAAUUUUCAGGAUUGAAAGGGAUUGGUGAGCUAGCAAGAAAAUUGGUUGAGACUAAGAAGUAUCAAUUAUAUUAAUUAGUUUAUUUAUUGGUGACAUUAGUAUUGAUUUUACUAGUUACCACAUCUACAAUAGAAAGGGCAUUUUCAGCUAUGAAUUUUGUGAAAAAUCAUCUUCGAAAUCGGAUGGGAGAUCAAUGGUUGAAUCAUAGUAUUGUUGUAUACAUAGAAAAUGAUAUAUUUUGUAGUCUUGACAAUGAGGUUAUUCUUCAACGUUUUCAACAUAUGAAACCUCAUUGAGGACAUUAUAACUGUAUUGAAUUAAAUACUUUAAGGAACUUUUAUUUUAAUAUAUAUCAUUUAUUGACUACUUUCUUAAAUUAAAUUAUUAUUUAAACUUAGCCUCUACUAAAAUUAAUUUCUGGCACCACCACUUCACAUAUGCAUAUAUAUAUAAAAUGCUUAAACAUCCCUGUCAUCACAUUAUGGCUUGUAUUCUAUAAAGCUUCAAAAAUCUUUAAACAAAUUGAAACAAUCUAGACACAUUUGGCAUAGUCAAUGAAUACUUGAUCAAGGAUACAUGCACUAUAAGAAAAUAGCUCGGAUGUGACGGUGUAUAUGACUGCAAAAUUGGGGGUCGCAAAAGAUACUAAACUACUUUGCCGCGUGUCUCAAAGCUAUUUUCUUGGUAACACGUGACCAUUUUGGGACAUAAAAAACCAGUCACAAAAAAAAUUCUAAAAAAAAAGAGUGAUGAUAAAGCCACAAACUCUUGUACAAACUUAUUUUAUACAAAUUGAUGUGGCAUUAAUUUAUUGGUUGAAUGAAAAUAUAAAAUAAUAUAAAUAAAUCAUGUAGGCCAAGAAAUAUUUAAUUCAACCAAUGAAUUAACGUCACAUCAUUUUGUACAAAAUAAGUUAGUAUAAGAGUUUGUGACUAUAUCAUUACUCAAUAAAAAAGUAGUUUGGCCCUUAACUCCUCGAAACUGUAACCGCCAGAACGCCACACAAUUAAGUCCUUACCAAUGAAGCCAAAAGCAAAAAGCUUGUUGGAAUUUAAAGUUUAAACAUAUUUAAAACAUUUUAUUUUUGUACAACUUAUUCCAUUAUUCAUCAUUUUCACUUGUGCAUUUCAUUUUAUUUCCAAUUCACUAUUUUAGUUACAUUAUCUGUUUGCAUCAUAUUUGACAACUCUGAAAUUAAAUCUCAUAAUUACAUAUUCUCUUUUAAUUAAUUGUGCUUUUGAGUCCUAAUUUGAAUCAUUUGUAUACCUAAAAUUAGAGUUUGAAUCGAUUACAAUAAUUAGGGAUUCGAAAACCAAAAAUGAAUAGGGUUUUGAUUAUCUUUCCUUUUGAAUUUUUAUCCUCAUUUCUAUUUCUAUGACUUAUUUAAUUGGCGAAGCUUUUUCAUAGUCCAUUUAUAUUCAUAGGAUUUAAACGAACAAUUGUUUCCUAACAUUUCCUAACGGCUCUUUUUUUCUUUCUCCCCAAUUAUAAGUAAAUUUACUAUUUAGCUUUUGAAUUUGUUGAUUAAAUGCAGCAUUGAUAAGAUUUUAGAUAUUGUCAUACUUCAUGUAAAGAGCUUGAUUAAUGUUUAACAGUUCAAUUUACUGUAUUAAAUAAUUUUUGUUAAUGUCGAAAUCCGAUCGAGUCGGUUAGCGGCUCGAUACUAGACCCUUGCAUCAGCAUUAAAUUUGUUUGGUGGGGAAGCGGCUUGCCAAACACUAAGAACACCCUCCGACCAUUACCAAAUAACCUAAGAAAACCUGAAAUCACAAAUAAUGGUAAGAGGCACCAAAAGUUUUUUCUGCGAUAACCCUCUAAUGCUCAAGUCACUUUAUAGGUUUACUAGAAUAAAAAUAAAUAAUUUCUAUUUUAAACAAAAACAUAGAUCAAAAAAUCAAAAAUAAAACCAAGUACCAAUAUGAAGAACGGAUUUUUUUUUUCAGCUUGGCUGAAUCCUUCACCCUCAAAAAAAAAAAAAAAAAAAAAAAAAAAAAACAAAGUAGUAGGUAGCAAUGUUGGCAUGGGCAACCCCACUUCCGUUUGAAAUUCUCCAUUUUCCCCACUCCCAAGAGCCCAUUCCUCCUUUUGCUCACCAUCCUUUAUAAUUUUUUAUACUCGUCUCCCCAAAAUGGCCUUUGAAUACAUAAGUGAAUGUCUAGGCUUUGGUAAGGGUGGUUCGGUCAUUGCCUUUUACAAGUAAGAUGGGUGGUGUUGAAAAAUGAGGAGUGCACGUCCUCUUCAGUAAAUCCCACUAACAAUUUCAUUUUCUUUAUUAAUUAAUCUUUUUUUAUCUCCAAACACUAGUCCCCCAAUUUCUAGUGUUGAGAGUGUAACGAAUAAAGACUGAAAACUUUAUAAAAAACUCCCUUGACCGAUUGGGUAGAUCAAGAAAACAGCAGUCGCUGCUGCAACAUAAUUUUAAAAUGACCUCGAGGUGACUUCUAUGAGUCGGCUCAGGGUUGCUGAAAUUAACCUCGCCAUGGGCAAAAGAGUUGAGCGAAUUUUAAGUUUUAUUCCUCACGUCAAGGAGAUUUUGAGCUUACAACCUUUAUUACUAACUUAAGCUGUUUUAAGCAACUCUUAUCAGUUUAAGGAUGUAUGCUUAUCUUGAGCAAAUUUUAAGGCUUUUUUUUUAACUUUUAACUAACUUAAGCAAUUUUAAGCUACUCUUAUUAAUUUAAGGUCUUAUACCUUACUUGGAAUAAGUUUUAAGGCUUUUAACCUUGUACUGACUUGAGCAACUUUAAACAACUCUUGUCAGUUUAAGGUUUUAUACCUUACUUAGAGCAUGUUUCAAGACUUUUAACCUUUUAUCGACUCUCGUUGCUUUUUAUUGUGCCUUAUAAAAUAUUAAUAAAUUUCAUCUAUAAACUUUGUUUGGUUCUCAAUGCUAGCCUACAACUCUCCUUUCAUAAAUUGUUCUCACAUUGAGUAAGUUUCAAGAAAUCAAGUUGAUUAAGUGUUAUCAUUAGCCCUUAUUCGUGCUCAAUCAAUUUGAUAAGUAAAAGUUGUCCCUAUUUCGUAAAUUAUUAGUAGGUAAAUACUAUACCCGCAAAUAAAGGUGGCAAAUGCAUGUUUUGAUAUAGACAGCAAGACAUAAAUUUGUUAGAAUUUCUGACCCGAUUAGCGUGCAACUUUAGCAUCAAUGUCUCCUUCUAGGUGAGCCUGCCUCAUACGCAAAUGUAUCAAAAAUUGACUUGGCCAUUCAAAUAAGAGUUUGUCAAAUACACGACAGACAUAAAUUAUAGAUGUGAUAUCAUUCACUAGGAAUUAUGUAAUUCAAAAACAUAGGUUAAAUAGCAGCGAGUCUAAUGUCCAAGUGUCUAAAGUCAUCAUUGUUACGAAACAACUCAAACCAAACUGCAACUUAUAAAUUAUCCACAAAGUAGCUCACAAAAUCAAACACAGUGGCGGGGCUUCUAGCCAUUUAUGACUGAUGCUUCUAAUCAUUUAUUUAUGCAUCUAGGUUUUUUUUAUGGAUAAGCAUCCUUUGUACUCCAUUAAAAGUCCUCUGUUAAAGGUCCAUAUAGUAUUAUUUAUUAUUGCUAUGAAUAUUGAAAUUUAAAUGAAAAAUAAACCAUAGCAUUUUAGUAUAUGUAAUCACAAAAGAGAUGGCAGUUUAAACCAUUAAACAAAGUCAUAUCAUUAUAUAUGAUGCAAUAUAUAAUCGUUGUAUUAAAAAAUGGCUAAUGAUGAUGAGUUAAAAACCCAAUCUUGCAGAUACCUUAAGUCAAUAAACAGAUUUGAAGAAUAAAAUAAAAUCAUGAUUUUAGAACAAGUGACCUUGUUUGAGUUCUAAGAAUUCUGUACUAUCUUGUAGUGAAAUUGCAUAACAGAAUUCCCUGCAUAUUCUUCACACGAAAACGAGCUGCGUGGUCGAAUUAUUGGGUGUAAAACUAGCAGAAAAUACCCUGAAGAAACCAAAGAUCCAUGGGUUUUUUAUGCUUGUCACCAAAUAGGUUUAACUAUAUAUAUGAGUAACCUUUAUUUAAGAACUUGAACAUUGAUAAUAUUGCAAACCAAUUAUUCUUUUGGGCAGACUUUAUGUCUAGAAUCCAAUGCAACGAGAGUACAAAUAUGUAACCAAAAUAAUGAUGGCAACGACAUUAUGAAUCUAAGAAGCCAGAACAAAGCUAAUUGUUACUUAUUUAAGACAUUAUGCCAAGCAUGUGGUGGGCAAAUUUAAAAUAAAUUUAUUUGUAAGUGUAAUAGAAUGUAAUCUUGCUCAAUCAAUUAUGAAUGAAGCCAGUUCUAGCAAGCUGAUUUUAUAAGAAAAUAUUUUCAAUGAAUUCCAAAAUAUAAUAUUCAGUUCUUUCAUCAAGGAUAUCAUGCAUGUUAGUGAAGAAUUUGCAAACAUCUCAUUUUCGAUAAACUAAUCAUCAUGCCAAUUGUAAUUUAAAUUCUAAUGAACAUUUACUUAGAACACUGCAAAGAUAAAUAAGUGAAAACUAGGGAUGGCAAUGGGGAGGGGAGGGGAGGGGACCAAUCUCCCCGUACGCAUCCCCGAUAUUUUGCGUAUGUCCCCGUCCCCGUCAGAAUUACUUGAGAGAAUCUCCAUCCCCUCCCCGAAUAAUAACAUGGGAUCCCCGAGGGUCCCCGAUCCCCGAAUAACUAAUAUAUUUUUUUUUUCGAUUUUGGGUUAAUGAUAUUAAAAUAAAAAAUUUAAAUAAAAGUAAAGUUCGAAAUAUAUCUUACAUUAAUAUCCAUUACAAAAGUCACAUACAUUAAAUUAAUAAGUAGUGCAGCAUGCAAGGGAUACAAACUUCUUUUACAAACUAUUAUGAACAAAUUAAUAGUCUAAUACAAAAUUGUUACAAAUAAAAUCGAAUUUAGAUUCAAAAUUAACUUUUUCAAUGGUGGCGUGGACACUUUAUAAAUGUGGACUAUUCCCUUUACAACACAAUAGUUAAAUCGGAGAAAAUCAAGAGCAAAUAUUAGAUUAGAUUAGAUUAGAUAUUAAAAUUUUGAUCGCUGUGGGCAAUUAUAAUAUCUAAAAAUAAAUAAAUAAAUAGAUUUAAGUUUAAAAUAUUUAAAUAAUAUUAAAAUUAAAAAAUUUUGGGCUAAUAGAAUCUACUCGGUCUUUUUAAUGUCCUAAAUAAAAAUUUAGGACUUUAAUUAGUUAAUUAGGCCUAAAAGUUUAAUAAUAUAAAUAUUUUGAUAUUUUUUAUUUUUACCAAUAUUUAUAAUUUAAAUUUUAUUAUUUAUUUACUAGUAAUUUUAAAAAAUUAAAAUAAAAUUAAAAAUUAAAAUGGGGAAAUGGGUAGGAGAUGGGGAUUCCACCUCAUCCCCGUCCCCUCCCCGAAUAAGAAAUUGGAUAAAAAAAUUUCUCCGUCCCUUCCCCGAAUAAGAAAUUGGGUAUGAAAUUAUCUCCAUACCCUCCCCGAAUGGGAAAAAUUCCCGAGGGUACCCGUCCCCGUGGGAAUUUUUGCCAUCCCUAGUGAAAACCUUCACAGGCGGCAUUCCAUUUAAGCAUUGGCUUCCUCGUUUGAGCAAGUUCAUCCAUUUAGGCAAUAAGCAUGCUUAAAAUAGGAAAUAACUGAAGAUUUCAGAAGCCAAUUAAUUAACUGAUGCACAUUCAGAAGCUUAUACAAUUUCGUGGAGAUAAAUAAAGACUUUGGAAAUAAGCAUGCUUAAAAUAGGAACUUAUUUGAUGUGCAUGGCUUUAUAAGUUGCAUGCAAGAUUCACUUUACCAAUUCAAAAAGAUUUCAUGCAUAAGUCUUGCCUAAACUAAAUUGCACAUGCAUGGCAUUAUAUAUGGAAACCAAAUUGAAGAAAAAGGAAAUCAAAGUGGACGACAUGUGCGUGGCAAUUAAGGGAAGCAAAUUAAUUGCUUUAAAUUAGAAAUAAAAUCCAAUAAGGAUUUGGCCAAUCUUUGGGCAUUAUAAAAGCCAAUUUUUGGCUUUUGAUUCAGGGAGUGGACAGCCAUACAUAUGCAACACCGGCGGCAAGAAGAGCAGAAAAGGAAAUGAGAAGCCAGAAGAAAGAAAUGGAGAGUUAGCCACUUGAAUUAAUCUCCAUUAUUGGUUUUAUCAAAUUUCUUAUUCCUAAUUCAAUUAUGUUAAGCUAGAUUUUCUAUUUGGUUAAGCGUGAAUUCAAAACCCCAAACAUGUCAUAUGAUUAAUGUUCAAUUUCUAUCAUUCAAUUUAUUUAAUUGAGAUUGUUUAUGUUCUUCUAUAAUUAAUUAUUAUGAUUUUAUUCUUGUUUUAUUUGAGUGGCCAAUUAGAUAGGACUUGAAUGAAUUCUAUUACCAGAUUAAAAUUAUUGAUCCGUAAUUGUCUUGAUAUUUUAAUCAUUAAUAGUAGAUUGGAAUAAGUGAUUUUAAUUGGAGAACAUAACCUAGGUUAAAUAAUCCGAGCUUAUGUGUUUAUUACCUAAAUCAACCUAAUAUCUUUCUCUGCUUAAUGCUUCCAUUAUCUUAAAUUUAAAGAGUUUGUUUUAAAUUAUUUAAUGGUUAGAGAUUAGGUGAAAAACUUAUUUUGCCUAACGACAUACUAAGGAAAGCUUGAGACUAACAGAGCUUAAUGUUGUCUACGGUUGAUAGUUUCAAUAGAAAUUAAUGAUAGAAUUGAUAUAUUAUGUGCAUGUUUGAUGGUGGCAAAUGAUCAUUUAACUAAAGUUUUUAUCAUUAUUAUUUCUUUCUCCUUUAGUUCGAGUUUUUAUUAAAUUAUUUUUUUGUAGUUUUAAUUUCUUUAUUUCUUGCUAUUUAUUUAACAUUCAUAAACCUCCUUUUUUUAUUCAUCAUUGCCAUUUUCUUUAGUUAGAUUAAUUUAUGUUAUUAUUACUACUAUUAUUUUAUUUUAAAUCCUCUUUAGAGUUGAUAAUAAAUAUAACUAGCAUACUUUUUGUGUGAUCGAUCCUUACUCGCCCUGUACUAGUUAUUUAUACUAGUAGUAAAGUUUUAAAUUUGGUGCACUCUAACGACACUACCAUGUUUCAACUGGUUAGCCCGAUUUACUGUAUAUAAAAUUUAUUAGUGUGUGAAAGAGUAUAAAUAGCAGCUAGAGCACAAGACUUUAAGAAGUUACCGUACACCUUAAUAUAGCUGUAAGUUAGUUAACAAUAUAUAUGUGCAUACGACAAUGAAAAUGCUUCACCAGGUUGGCCUAAUUUAUUAUAUAUAUAAUUUAUUAAUGUAUGAAAGAGUAUAACUAGCAACUAAAGUAUUUGAUUUCACUACAAGAAAAUAGGUAAUAGAUGACGGAAAAUAACUAUCAUAAAAAUGGAUGCAUGACAAACAAUCUAUCCGUCAUCUAUGUUACUGUCAUUAAUUUAUGAUAAAAAAAUUUUCCACCAUGAAUUUAUGAUAGUUUUUAAUAGUCAUAUAUAUGUCACACUAUUUUAGUGGGAAUUUCAAAAUUAUUUGAAUUUUUGGCAUUUUUGUAAAUUUUUUGGCAGGAAAAUGGUUAUUAUUUCAAUUAAUAAUAUUUAAAAAUAUUAUUAUAUUCCAUCAAAAAAUAUUAUUAUUUUUUAUUUUGAUUUUAGAUUAUUCUUUCUUAAAUUGCAUUAUUAUUAUUAUUAUUGAAUUUUGGUUAUUCUUAUUUGAAUUGUAUUAUUAUUAUUAUUUCUUCAAAUUUACAAAUUCUACACAUUUGUUUUCAGAAAAUCUAAUGAUAAUAUUUAAAAAAUAAAUAACAAAAUACAUGAAAUUUAAUAUAUAUUAAAACAAGUUUAAUCAUAUACAAACUAUAUUGUUGAAGUAUUUUCAAAUUACAUCGAUCCCAAAAUAAACUACAAUUUCACCAGCCGCAAAAUACUUGCACCAAAAAUCAAAGUCCGCCAAAACCACAGCUAAAAUCUUGAUGCAGCAACAAAAUCCAAAUUGAUAGUACCUGAAAACAAACAUAACACAGAUAACAAACUAUGGCACGUUAAUAGUCUUUAAUGCCACCGUGCCAGAAUAUUUCAUCCAAAUUAAAUUAAGAUGCACAAUCUAUUUUGAGAGGAUGAACAAAUUAUUCUAUGAAUACAAUCUAUGGAAGCCCUACCUUAUGCUGCUCUAAGCCACACCAAGGUUCAACAUUGAUUAAACUUUUAUCACAACCAAUUGUGCAUGAUAUAAAGGAACAAGUUUGACAACAUAAUGCAAAUAAAGCUAACUCGUAAUAUAAAUAAGGCUAAGUCAAUGAGAAGUUUUUAUCAUCUUGGUAUAGACACUUUAUUGAAAUUUGUUUCAGAGGAUAAUUUAUUUACAUAAUCUAAUAGAGAAGCUUGUGCCGACUACAAUUAUUUAUAUAAAAGCUAGAUGAAAGCUAGACAGAAUGAGUUCUAGGUAAUUAUAGACAACAAGUAUUAUUGCAGCAUUUUGCUAAAUUAGAACAAAAAUUCACCUUUGUACAAUUAUGCCUAGACUUGAAACAAGAGCAUGCAUUGUGCAGGUAUGAAGGUCACAUGCAUUUGCCAUAGUCUUGACAAUUGACCUCUUCAAAGCAAAUGUAGCUAGGACGUUUCGGGGGACAUGACACACAACAUGUAUGGCAACGAUUGGAGCAACAAACCCACAUAAGAGCAGAGCAAAAAUUUUCCCUGCUGAGAAUUCAUGUGCAUUAUCAAUUUAUAUAUAAUUCAUUGAAUUUCAUUUUAACAUGCAAAUUUUCAAAAAGAAAGUAAGUUUGAUCAGUGAAACUCAAACAAACAAAAGAUCACAGCAUUUAGCUUUGGGAAAUUUAAAAUUCAUUGAAAGACUAGAAAGCCAAUUAGGGGCAUGGAUGCCUUGCUAAAUAUGCUAGUUAUUUUUAAAAGGUUACAGCCUAAAAUGCAUGCUUAUAGCUAAUAAAGUUAAAGCUAAAGCUACUUUAAUUCAUAUGGAAAAUAAAUAAUUUUCCUGUUUAUGUCUGACAAGAAAGCGAAAGAGAGAGUAUAGACCAAAUAAUAUAAGGCUUGAAGUUUCUAGUUAGCAUAUUACUAAAUAUAAUGCUGCAGAAAUUUUAUUUACCUCUAAAGUACUUCUUGACAUGGCCAAUAUCAUAUUUGCCUACAGCUCCAACUAACUCAAUCUCCAUCAUACUCUUCUUUUGUGUUGUCAUAUGACGAGUUGCACCCUGAGAACAAGUAAAAGAAGAUAUAGUCCCUUUUGAAGGGCAGACCUUGUUGGCUAAUGGAGAUGUGAGGAUUUGUAUACUGAGCAAGCAACGACCUGGAAAUUACCUUUCAAUAUCUAUAAUAGCACCAUUUCUCAAAGGUAAAAAGACCUUGAUUGUAUCCUUGAAUUCACUCUCAUAGCUUUCAUCUUUCUUCCUAUAAUAGACAGAAACCAAUAAUCACUUGUCGAUGAUUAAGCAAAAUAUAACUACUUCCAUUUAGCAUAGAGAUCAACCCAUUAGUUUAGGGAUAUUGACAGAGGAAGGGAACCACAAUUUAAUGCCUCUUGCACCAACAACAGCACCCGAGUAGAACCUAUUGAAUUUUUUUAAGAUAUAAGAAUAAACUUCAAACUACAAAUAAGGGUCAAAAGGAUGAAAUUGAAGAUUAACAAGAUGAAACAGAGACACAGGCAUAUGGAAAUAACUAACAUGUAAUGACCACAGAUUAAACCUUGGUUGAUUCCACCAAUUACCAAAAAGAUCAUAUUCCACUGAAACUAUAAAAAAUGCUUAAGAGUUAAAAUCUAAAUGUAAAAUCACAAAUAACAGUAAAUUUUUACUACCCGUAAAGAAAAUGGUCCCUAGAUAGUGCUAAUGACACAUAAUCCAUAAGCGUCCCUAAGUAACAAGAACCAUUAGUAAAGGUUGUAUUACUAUCAUCAAGCAUAACUAUACUGUAUUAGAUUUACACAUCAUAGGGGUAUACAAUACAAGCAUCUCUUACAACUGAUAAAAGUUAAUAAUAAGAAACAAAAAGAAUAAAAUUCAUCAUUUUCUAAGAAAACUCAUAGCUAUAUUCCUCUUACAGAUUACAGAACCUUACAAGAAUAGUUAACUACUAGAUGCAGCUUAGUUUCUUCAUGCUAAGUCAAAUUCUUAUUGAGUUAACCCAGCAACUCAUAAUCCAACUCUCACCUUCGUGCCUCUUUAGUCAAAUCAGAAAAGACCUGCAAAAAUUAAUCAAUUAAUUAUAGUUGCAUUGAUUCCAAUUUUAAAGCUAAUCAAUUUUAGAAAUCUACUAACUUAUUUUCCUUACAUUUUGGAAUAAAAAUAAAAUAACAAAAACUAAUCAAACAAGCAAAAGCAAACCAACCUGACGGGCAGCCAAUUCAUUGAAGCCACUAGGAUUUCUUUGCAAAUCUUUGAUCAAAGCAAAAGCAACCUUCUCAUCUCCCUUGCUUGGCUCCCUUUCUUAAAAAUUAGAAGUCUAUUUGCUAUCAACAACGUUCGUAGGCACGGCAACAACAAGCGUUCUUUGAGAGAGCGAUUUACAGUUAUUGAGGCUGCGAUUGUGGUUUUUUGCUGUAACUUCAUUCAUGGUGGCUGUAGAUGUGAGCAUUUACCUAGGUCGAUUGAGAGUGGCUGUGGGUUUAUGUGGAUUAACGGUGGCUGUCAGGACGCUAGGGUUUCAAGUGGUUUUGUGAGAGAAGAGUUCAGUGAGAGAGUGUGUGGUAGGGGUGGUAAAAAUAUCCGUCUGGUGCAGAUCCGGAUCAUAUUCAGGUGUUAUGGAUGGGGUAUUAUCCGACCUGGGUAUGAAGUUGGAUCGAUUUUGAAUAUCACUUGAUAAAUUUGGAACUCUAAUUUUAUUAAAAAAAUAUUAUAAAAUAUAUAUUAUUUUAAAUAUUUAUAUUUAUUUGACUCAUUUAUUAUACAGAUAUAAAGUUUUAAACACUUAAACUUUAUAUUUUCAUGUCAAAUUUUGUUGAAAUAAAUUUAAAACUUAUAAAAUUACCAAAAAAUAAAAAAUAUAUACACAUAUAAUAUUAAAAAAUAUAAAAUUUGAGUACCCAAAUUAAAACCCGGCCUGAACCCGGACCCGGACCUAGACUGAUUGCAUCCAGGCAAGGUCCGGUCAUUACAAUACCCGGACCUGACCCGAGGUUUUGCCAUCCCUAGUGUGUGGUGACCUCAACACUUAGGAAAAAAGAUCGAGGGUAUCUUUUUAAUUUAAACUCUUUAUGUUUACUUUUAAUAAUUUAUUUUUAAUUUAUAAUAAAAAAUUCAUAAUAUUAAAUAUUUUAAAUUUAUGAGCAAAAAGUCGUCGUUCUAAUUUACGUGAAAACGACGACGUUUCUUGAGUUAUAUAAAAUUUUAUUUUAAAUAAUACCCAAAAUUUUAUUCAAAGAAGCGCUAAAAUUAAGUAAACAUUAAAAUUCUAUCAUGAAUCAUUGACGUAAUAUAUUCUUUUUGGUUAUAAGGAGCUACUGACUUCGAAAGUAUGUGCAAAAUCAAGCACUUCUUGAGGCUUCAAUUGCUUAAGGGUACCUUAUGGAGGAAAGUAUGAAUUUUUGUUAAAGUUACAUUGACAAGGUAGAAACCAAAAGUAACCGACCAUUUUGUAAUGAUGUUGGUGGUAACAAAAUUGGGUGUCCUCGCAGUAAAGGGGCUAAAUUAUGUCUUAAUAAUGUUUCAUGGGUUCAGGUGCACAAAUAUGUGCUAUUUAACACAGAUACUGUAACCAUUUUUCCCUGAGUAUGUAGUGUAUAUUUUUUGUUCAAAUAUUUUGAUCUCUAGUUUUUAAUUAUCAUUUAUCCAGUGAUUUACUAAGUAAUGAUUGAAUUGACAUAGGGCAACAUCUAGCAAUUCUCAAGCGAGAGAUAUUGCGUGGUGCAAAACAUCACAUUAAAAAAGUUCACAAUGAAGUAUUUCACACAUAGUUUUCGAAUAAUGUAAGUCUCUCAAACAUUGCCAUUGUGAAUUAUUGUUUUAAGUAAUAGCAAUUUUUUAUUUCUAAUAUGUAUUUAUAGGUUAAAACUUUGCAACGAGCGUCAAUUGUAGAAUUCUUUGAAGAAAUUUUAAAUCUAGCCAACGGUCCAAAGAAGUUUGCACAAAGAUCCAAAGGCUACACUGUUAAUAGCUGCUGAUUCUGCACAAAAGAUAAUGAUAAGAAUAAAACAACAUAAAAUUUUGGUGUUGUAUUAAAGGCUGACACAAUGAGCUAUACUGAUGCAAGGGAUAAAAAUCCUCACUUGGGCAAAGUUACAUUUCAUGGUAUGUUAAAAGACAUUAUAGAAAUUCAUUAUAAUAAUGACAUGAAGUUUGUUCUUUUCACGCGUGAUUUGGUUGAUGAUCGAUUCAGAAAGAUACUUGAUGAGUUUAAUUUUACAAUGGUGAAUUUCAACCAUUUGUUAUAUAAAAAUAAUCAAGUUUGGCAUGAACCUUUCAUUCUAGCGGGGCAAGUAGAACAAGUUUGUUAUGUCCAAGACCCUGUAGAUUUAGAUUGGCAUGUUGUUAUGAGUUUAAUUUUACAAUGGUGAGUUUCAACCAUUAAUUCAUAUAAAAAUAAUCAAUUUGGGGGAUGAACCUUUCAUUCUGGGCGGCAAGCAGGACAAGUUUGUUAUGUCCAAGACCCUAUAGAUUUAGAUUGGCAUGUUGUUAUGAAAAUGACAAUUAGGGAAUUGUAUGACAAUUAUUCUUAUAGCCCAUUGAUAAUGCCUCAAGUUGAGUUAUAUCUCAAUAACAGUUGGAUGAGAGUGUGUAUAUGUGUGAUGAAGAUAUUGCUUGGGUUAAGAAGGGGGUUGAUGUGACAACUGUGGAAAUUAAUUCUGUGAAUGAUGAUGAUGAUGAUCUUAGCAUGGAAGAUAUUGAUUAGAUUCAUUAUUUUGACAUCAAUAUUAACAUAUAAUUUGUAAUAAUGUAUGCAUUUUGAGGGGCAAAGUUUAUUAUGUUCCCCCCAUAGAGGUGUUUUUACUUUUUAUCACAUCAAUAAAUCAUGUUACUGCUUUUCAGUAGUAAUUAAUUUUCGCCUAUAUCUAUUGUUAUUGUUGUCGUAUUGACAAGUUUAUUACACAUUAACAAGUUCAUUAUGUAUUUUAGUGUAUAAUUGUAGUUUAUCAUGGUGCCGAAAAGAAAUAGACACUACUACAAAAAUGUAAAACAAUGACACAUACAUUAUGACGGUUUAUUUAAAAAACCGUCAUUAAAAAUAUUUAAUGACGGUUAUUAUAUGAACGGUCAUAAUAUGUACUAUUUAUAAUGACGGUUCUAUUAUAAAACCGUCAUUAAAUAUCAUGCUAAAAAUAUAAUUUUAUUUUUAAUAACGGUUACUUAUAAAAACAGUCAUUAUAAAUUUCAAACUUUUAAUGACGGUUCUAUUAUAUAACCGUCAUUAAAUAUCAAGUUAUUAUUUUUAAUGACGGUUUAUAAAAAAAAUCGUCAUUAAAAAUAAUUACUUUUUAUGACGGUUUUACUAUAUAACCGUCAUUAAGUAUCAAGUUAUUAUUUUUAAUGACGGUUUUUUUUAUAAACCGUCAUUAAAAGUCAUUACAUAUUAAACUAUUAUUUUUUAUGACGGUUCUAUUAUAUAACCGUCAUUAAAUAUCAAGUUAUUAUUUUUAAUGACGAUUUAUAAAAAAAACGGUCAUUAAAAAUCAUUACAUAUUAAAUUAUUAUUUUUUAUGACGGUUCUACUAUAUAACUGUCAUUAAAUAUAAAAUUAUUAUUUUUAAUGAUGGUUUUUAAACAAAACCGUCAUUAAAAAUUACUAAUGACGGUUACAUAUAUAAACUGUCAUUAACUAUAAAAUGUUAUUUUGAAUGACGCCAUUAAAAAGCUACAAUAUUUUUAAUGACGGUGUUUAAUAACCGUCAUCGAAUAGAAAGAAUCAUUUUUAAUACAUUUCAUGACCGUUUUAUAAUAACCGUCGUUAUAUGUUAUUUGCCUUAAAAAAUUUAUAAAAAAAAGCCGAUAAAAGGAAUAAAGGAAACGCGCAAUCCCUAACCACUCACAUUCCUUAUCUUCUUCUUCAAUUUUCACGAAUUACAAUCACAACGACUCACUCAGUCACACACACCAGCCCUAACCCUACCUAAGCUAUCAAACGCCAAUGCCGCUGCCGCUGUCAAAUCGAUUCAAGUGCUCCGGCGCUGAGUCUAGCCGUCCUUGAGCCGAUUUGCUUCCUUUUUCUGCCGCCGCUGUCAAUCUCUGCCAUUUUUGAGCCGAUUCACUUCCGCAAAAUAGCUGCUGUCAUCUCUGCCGACAUUGCCUCUGUGUUCGUUCACCGUCAGAUGCAGUGUUAUUGUGGUGACACUGCCUCCGCUGUCAAGUCAGUUCAAAUUUUCUGGGUGCUAUCUCGAAAAUGUUGGUGAGAUUGUUGCCAAUGAUAUUCUAAAAUUUUGAAUUCAGGGUUAUUGUUUCACCACUGUGAGUUGCUUUCUCCAAUUUUGCAAUUCUUUCCUCUUAAUUUGCUUUGAAAUAUUUGCUCGUUGGAUUUAUUUCCUCUUCAUUUAUAAUCGAUUUGGUGAUUUUGUGUUGUGUAGCUUGUACCUUAGUCUCUCCUUUUCCUUUCAUAAUAUUAUAAAAUAUGUCGUGCACUUUGGCCUUUCGUUUCUUGAUUUUCUUGGUUAAUGAAUUUGGAAAAAGAGUGAAUUAUGGGUAAGGGGAUAGAAAAUCACAUUGACAGAAAAGAGGACUGAAACGCCCUGAUUUUUACUAAGUGGAGUUUACUUAUUUGUUAAAAAAAUAAAUUUUAAAUUAUUAAUGAUUUAAUUGUCUUAUGCUUAUUAUAUUGUUCGUAAAAUUUUUGUUACAAGUCCAGCCCAUGAACCUCUUUAUGUUUUAGCAUUUCUUUAUUUAUUUACGAAACGAAAACCAGCGUUCGAAUUCAAAAGGAACAAAACAGAAAAAGGAAGAAAGGAAACAAGAGGAUAACAGGACGUGAGAGAGGAGAAGAGGGAGAAAGAAGAGAAAGACAAGAGAGGCUAGGUGAAGGAUUUGGAUUUAAAGAGAGAGAAUUCAAUUUCAGAGCAAAAUAUUAAAUAUCUGGCUUUUUAAAUUUGUAAGCCUUAUUCAAUUUCAGGGCAAAAUAUUAAAUAUCUGGCUUUUUAAAUUUGUAAGCCUUCUUUCUCAGUUCACUUUAUUCUUUUAUUUUUCUUCAAAAUUCUUGUUUAAAUUGGCAUGCAUGUUGAUGUUGUUAAGUCAUUUCUAAAUUAACUUGCAUGCAUGAUUAAAAUUCUGUUUAUUUAGGUAUUAUGUCAUUGAAAUUAGUCUCUUUUGCCAUGCUUGUUUCAAGUUCCGAUUCUUAUUUGAAAAAAAAAAAUUUCUAUGUUUGUUCCAUAAUCUGUUUUGGGUAUUAAAGUUGAUACUACCUAGCAAAUUCUAAACUGUAAUGGCUGAUUUCUUCUCUUAUUUUUGUUUAAUCUAUUCAAAUUCAUGUAUAAAUUUACAGGUGUCAGAUAUUUGCCUAAUUAUCAUGUAUGUGUUAAAUUCAUUUUGGGUGAAUUUUUAUACUAUUUAAUCAACUUCAAAGUUACAUGGGUUUGGCCAAUUAUCACAUAAUCUCUUCUUUGACUAUUUGAUUAGAUUUUUGUUCAUGCGUGGCUUAAUUAAUUUCGAAAUCUUCUUACUUGUGAGUGUGGUCAAACCCCAAACAAAUGAAGAAGUCUUCUGGUUUUAUGUCAUAAAUAGAAUGCCUGUAAAUAUAAAAUCGAGAUUGAGCUAAUGAGUGAAAAUGAUGAUACUUGGAUUUUUUGAGGCUCUGUUUUUUUUUUCUUUACUUUAAAAGCUAAUUUGUUUAGCUUUACCUUUGAUUUGAAUUUUUUGCUUCUGUUCUUUGCAGCCAACCUAUGAAAAUGGUGAUAAUCGGGCUCCAAUAAAUAUUGAUUUAAUAGGAACCACAUUGGUAAGCCUAGUUGCAAGACAAGAACUACUUUGCAAAGCAUGCUAUGUGUAUAAUUCUGAGCAUUAAGGAUUCAGUUUCUGAAGGGCAAGCUUGCUGGCUGGGUAUAAAUGUUCCAAGUGCCAAUCCCACCUUAUGUAAGCACAAAAUAUAGUCUCCAUUUCCUUUUUGGAUUAUAUUUGUUUGUAUAGUUAUAUGAUACUGGAUUUUAAUUUAAGAAUUUGUGCAGUACAUUUUUUUACUGUUAGGAGUUAGUUUGAUCAAGGUUAUUUAAGUACUAAACUGUUAUAAUUGAGCUUGUAUGCAUUUAAGUUCUUUAUAUGUAAAUGACAAUUAUAUCAAUGUGUAAUGUAAAUUGAAAUUUGCCAAUGUGGCUUCAAUUGUACAGUUUAGAAUGUGAAAAUAACUAUCUAAAUUUUAAUUUAAAAAAACAAUUGAAGUAUAGUAAUUUUAAAUUGUUAUUUUUUUUUAUUUUUACUCGUGCAAAAGAUGACGGUUCUUAUAUAAGAACAGUCAUCAAAGAGCGAUAUAAGAUGACUGUUAUGAUACAAAACCGUCAUUAAAAAUUGAUAUUUAAUGACGGUUAUUAAAAAUCCGUCAUUAAAAGUAUAUAUUUAAUGACGGUUAUUGGCAAAAAACGGUCAUUAAAACUUAUGUACCUAUAGCAUAUAAUGACGGUUUAUUAGAAUAACCGUCAUAAUAAGUAUACAUUUAAUGACGGUUUUUAAACUGUCAUAAAAAAUGUACCCCUUUUAACGUCGCUGUCUAAGAUGACGGUUUUAAAACCGUCAUCUUAUGUCUUUUAAAACCGUCAUUAAAGGCCAAUUUUGUAGUAGUGAGAGGUUUAUCCAUGGAUAGCUUACUUCAGCAGCAAGCAGAAUAACAAAAACAGUUAUGCUCCUCUUCUCGUUCGCAUUCACAUGCACCACAAGAUGAAGGUGUGUAUUGUCAUGUAUUCUAACAUACAAUCCUUUUUUUUUCCCCUUAUAUUAAUGCAUCAUGUGCUACUUUUUUUUUUGUUUUUGGAUAAUUUUUCUAUUAUUCCUAUUUCUUGAUUGUUUUUUACUAUUUUUAGCCUUUUUUUUCUUGUUUAUGGGUUAAUUUAGAUUAUUAUAUUUUGGUUAAUUUUGUAGUUUGGAGUGAGUCAUCAUUUAUUAGGCAAACUCUUGUCCUGCCCUUGGUCUAGAUAUAUUUGGAAGGAAGUAAAGUUAUGUAAUGCGUACACUUCAUCGUUCAAGUCACUGUCGCAAAAAUAUUGGUUUUAUUUUUAAACUAUCACUAACCUGAUUUGGCUUUCAUGUGUUGCAACAAUAACUAAUUACUUCUUUCUUAGUCUAACCUUUUUAUUUAUUUAUUUUUUUCAAUGUUUUAACGGUUAAAGUUAUAAGACAAUAACUUAUUUUGUAUUGAAUUAUAGGAGAACAUUGAUGCUCCAGAAGCCUAUAAACUUCAUUGUUUAAGGCACAUUAGUAAACUAUGGAAGGCUUGGAGGUCUAGAGUGAAGACUGACUAUUAUGCUGCUUAGACAAAUGAAGAGUCUCUUGCAUCUAUUCUUGAUAGAGUUAUUGAAGAGCAAUGGAGGACACAUGUAGCAUAUUGGGAUAAUGAGGAAGUUAAGGUAUAUGGUUAAUAACAAUAUUAUGAUAAUACUAUCUUAUUAGGAUAGUAAUUUAAGAAUUUACUUCAGUAGUAAUUACAUAUAUAGUAUUUACAGGCAUGUGCUGAACAGAAUAAGAUUAACCAUUCACAACUAUCUUCCCUUCCUAGAACAGGUCGAACUUCGUUUCCCCCAAAAAAGAAAAGAAGAAGAAAUAAAAACAAUACCUAUUUGCGGCUGAUUUUGGGUUAAUGAAAUAAAAUCACAUAACCAAGCCAAGAACAAUAAAUUUAUUUUUUGUUGGGGAGCGGGGUGCCUCGCUUGUUUGGUGCAUGCGGGUUGUUUAGGCUUUUUGUGGAGUGAAGGAAGAUUGAGAUGGCGGUGGAUAUGGCGGAGGUCUGAUUUCAAGUACGGAGGGCUGGUGAAAAUUGCCUUAAACCUGCAAAACAACCAAAAAAGAGGUCAGAGGUGGAGCUGGGGUGGCCCGCGACCACACUUCGACGCUCAAGUCAGAGUUGGGUUAUCUCAGGUUAGAGAGCUUGCAAACUCUCGGUAAUGGAAGUUUUGAGGUUGAAGAAACCUUAGUUUUUGGUGGUGUGUGUGUGAACUUAAUUGAUAAAAAUUAAACCUGAGUAUUUAUAUGGUGUACCCCGGUCGCUGUGCCACCUGGCAUUAUAUUAUUAGCGUUCCCUGCUGCCAUGUCAGGAAUAUUCUUAUUUUCAUGCGUAUGGCAACUUAGGCAUUUCAAAAAUAUUUGUGGAGAGCAAGUUUGAGGCAUUUGCAUGUGCUAGGCGUAGUGGAGUGGUCUCGCGUACCUCUGCAAUUCCGUUGUAAUUUUGCAGGUGUGGCAGGAAAAACUGGUGGUCCCAACUGUCAUAAUAUCAAACUUUUGACGGAUUCGUUGGUUGACAGGCAGCUGUCUCCUCUUUUGUAGCAUGAGAUUUCCUCACCGAUUCUUUAUUUUUUGACACUAUUCAACCGAUCUUUUUGAGAUUCGGGGCCCACCUAUCCAUUGACAUUUUUACGAAGACCUUUUACACUUAUAUAGUGUACCCGAGGUACCCCCAUAGCACUUAGGGUAGCCGGGGUACCUAGGGUACCUGGGGUAUCCAAGGUACCAGAAGUUAGCAAAUUUCUUAAAUAUCGACACGUGGCACUUUAUCAUUGGCCUCAUGUUUCCUUCCCAAACAACAUCCCUCUAGUUUCUUUAUGGCGAAUGUAAUUGAGGCACAAGAAAUUCUUGGAGGAACUGUGUGUGACACGUGGCGAUAUUUACUUUUUUUUUUUUACAAACAUUGAACUGAUGCAUGUCUUCACGUCUCUCCAGCUUCUCUUGGGAAGUGGUAACCGUCUGACACAUAAUUUGAAUUUGAAAACACCUCUCUGUAAAAUUAUUUGACCUCUCGCUUUAUGAAGUACGAUUUGUCAGGUUUAAUUAAAAUCUAUUCCGCUCCUUUUAUGUUACCACUUUACUUUGAAAAUCUCAAAAAAUCUCCUAUUAAGUGUAAUUGCUUCCAGUGGCUUCUUCUUGCUCCCUGGCUUUUCAUCUUUUCCUUAGCUUUAUUUCUUAUUCUUUUUGGCUUAGUCUUUUUCUUUAGCUUCUCAUCUUCUCUUGGGCUCCAUGAACAUUCCAUAAACAGGUUAAAAAAAGUCUUCCUUUACUUUCUCUUUUUUCUUUCUUCUUCUCGACCCACCAUCAUUCUUUCUUUCUCUUUUUUUUUUUGGCCUUUUCACGUGACCUUUUUCAUGGGUUCUUUCUUAUUUUCCCUCUCUUUCUCUUUUCUUCUUUCUUCUUUCAAUCAACUCUCUUUUUCCUCUUUUUUUUUCUCUCUUUUUUUUUCUUUUUCUUUUCUUUCCUUUCUUUUUCUUUUCCUUCCCUCUCGGUUGCAAUUCUUUUUGCGCGUUUUCGGUGGGCUCUUGGCGGUUGUUGCGGCGGUCUUCGGUGCCCGAUCUGUCCGGCGCACGGCUGCGUCUCGCGGCUUCUAGCGAGAUCUCCUUCCGGCGGGUUUGGCUCGGUGCUUCUCUCCCCCACAUUGUCUUCUUCACUUCUUUUUCUUCUCUCUUUUCUUCUCUACUGCGUUUUCUUUGGCUUUUUUUUUUAUCCAGACUUCUUUUUUUUUUUAAUCAUCCUAGCUCCUUUUUUUUUAUCAUCCAGGCUCAUUUUUUUUUUUUUACUUCUUUUCCUUUUUUUUUAAUCCAUGCUCCCUUUUUUUUGUUGAAACCUCUAACGGGUUUCAUUGUGCCUAUUACAGCCUAUGCACAGCUUCAUCUUUUAAGCAAUUUCUGGUGAUCCGCGACUUCUCUUGGCGAUUUACAGUCUAUUCAUCUCCAAACUUGCUUUUUUUUUUGCGACUAAAAUUUGCUGCUCUCGGUGAAAUCUAGGUAUGAAUUUUUAUACUUAUUUUUGGCUUCUUUAUUUUGAAAAAUAUUGUGGCUUUGUUUCUGGAUUUCAUGCAAAGUGUUGGUGCUUUUUUUUUUAUGCUUUUAUUGGUGGAUGUUGGUGUUUGACUUGUGAUGGAUGAGGCCUAGAGUUGUGGGGGCAUGUUUUGAUGUGGAGAUUUUCUUUUUAACUUGUGUCUUGUGUUUUUAGGGGAACAAAAUGGGGAGAAAAAGAGUUGGGAUAAAGGGUCUAAAUAUUGUUGAUGAUUCGGGUGGUGAGGAGGCCCCAUGUUCUAGGUCAGCCCCUUUUGUAUCCAUUAGCGAUGACGAUGGGUCUCCUUCGGGUAGCCCCAAAUUGUCCCAAACUGAUCCUUGUAGUAAAUCUAAAACUAGGGGCAAACAACCGGUUAGGGCAGCCCGUAAGAAAAUCCGUGUAAAACAUUUCAGACGCAAAUCUCCUGCCCCUAUCAGCAUUCCUGAGCCUCCCCUGGUCUCCCCUUCUGUCUCUGUAGCUCGUAGGCUCUAUUCACUAGGGGGUAGGCUAGCUAUUCCAAGAGAUUUAGAAAGGGUUAGAGCUAAAUAUAACAUACAUCCUUCUGUCCGCCUUGGGGUACCUCGCAAGGGCGAGCACCCCCAUUCUGAUAGUGUAGCAAUUCAUAUUGACUUUUUCGACUUAGGUCUCUGUUUGCCUCUUCAGCCAUUUUUUAGAAAAAUGUUCACUGAGAUGCAGAUUGCUCUCGGACAGUUAUCUUUACCCGGUUGGAGAUUGCUCACGGGUUUGGAGGUUCUGUGGCUGGAUGUAUUUGGGGAGAAUAUUUCUUAUGGAGAUCUGAGGGGGCUUUAUCAGUUGAAAAAACUGGCUGGUUUAUCCGUAGCUUAUUUUGCUACUUGGGGGGUUCAUGGUAGCUUGGUGAGACCGGAUCCCUUGCUGAAAAAGGGCUAUAGAUAUGGGUGGUUCGUGGCUAAAGGCGAGUGGGGGAGGAGUAUGCCAGCGGGGAAUGAUGUUGUGUAAGUUCGGAACUUCUUCAAUGAAGAUGGUAUGUAUUUUUCUCCUCCUCUCUCCCUUUUUUUUUAUGUAUAUAUACAUUUCUCGGAUGAAUUUUCUUCUUAUUCGUUGUUUCUUGGGACUUUUACAGACAUUACUUGGACUAAAGGGACAUGCCCAGUUCAUGAAGUGGGGAGAAAAGUGAGUGGUGUCAUAGAGAAGUUUCAGUCUUUGCAGAGUGAGGAUGAUGUUCUGAGCACUACCCGGCUGGCGAGAGCUGGUUUGAUUGAGGAGAGCCUUCCAUCUUCUUUGGGGGGCGAUUUACGUAUGGCUAUGUGGUGUCGCUAGGGUACCCUGCCUUCACUGGUUCUGUGGGGGGUGCCCCCAUCUUUUGCACAAUUUUUUUUUUUGCGGCCAUCUCUUAUUUUUUGUUAAUGUAUCUUUUUGCCAGUGUCGAUUCUGAUGUUUAUUUUUCUGAUCCAUCUCUAUGUUGCACUUUUUUUUUUGUUUGCUUGAUGUUGGAUAGGUAUGGACCCUUUCGCUGAAGAUUUUGAAGCCUUUUUCAGUCGCAUGAGCGGCAGCUCCUCCGCUACCCUAGGUACCUCAGCAAAGGGUGAUUAACCUCCCAUUGUUCCAGGCGCCAAGGGAAAAUUGCUCGUUUCCUCUUUUGGGGGUUCUCGGGGUACCCCGACUACCCACAAGAGGAAGUUUGGCUCCCUUUUCAUGGCUCUUGGAGAUCUUAUGAAGGGUGAGCUGGACCCAGUGGCAAACAAGCGGAUAUCUCACCUGGGCGAUUGCUUCCUCCAUUCCUCUGAGUGUAUUUCUACAGACAUGGCCAUGGAGGCAGAUAAAUUGGACUUAAAUGAGCACUAUAGCCGAGUGCUCAAGGCUUGUCAUGACGUGAGUGCCUCCCUCUUUCUCAUUUUUAUUUUUUUAUAUAUAUCAUCUUGACUCCCUUUUCUUCUCUUUAUUAUUAUUAUAAUUUUUUGUGUGUAGGCGGCCUUCUACCUUAGCCACAGUUUCCACGACUUUAGUGGCAUCUCGGCUGCAUAGGCUGAGGUGGAGAGGCUGCGAGGGGAGGCAGACUCGGUCAGUCUCGGGAAGAGAAGCUCGGAGAGGAGGGCAGGGCUUUGCAGAGGCGUUUGGACAACUACGCCUGGGAGAACAGCCGAAUGUCCAAGAAGUUAGAAGAGGUGGAGUCUAAGCACGGCGAGCUACUAUCUCGCCAAUAGGAGAUUAUGGACAAGGCUUUUACUCUUAUCAUGACUGAGGUCUGGAGCGUCGACCCAGAGCUGGUGGUACCCCGGGUGGAGAAAUGGGUGGACAAGUCGACCAUCCUGAAAGCGAUAGAGGACAAGAGGGUAACCCAGACUCCACCAUCUCACAGCCCACAGCAGUCUUUUGGGAUACCCUAGGUACCCCAGGCGGAUCUCCCUUCUGUUAGCGCUGUUUAUGAGGGUAGCAACUCUUUGACAUUGAGUGUUCCUGUUGAUGCCCCCGUUGAAGGGAGCGGUGGAGAGGAUGUCCCUCUUUCUGCGUGAUCUUACUUACUAUUUAGAGUUUUAUCCCGAGAUGUCUCAGCAGUUUUCUUUCUUUGCUUUUGUACAUUUUGUAGUAUGGUAUCAUCCUUUUGAUGUGUUGGGAUAGUUUUCUUUUGAAAGGUUGCCUCGACAAUCUCGCUACUUGUUCGCAUUAAACUUCUGCAAUAGACUUGAUUUGACAUGCCAUUGAAUUCCUUGCUUAUGAUUGAUUUUGUAUAGACUUAUGGGGGUUCCUCGGGUACCCCAGGUACCCCCUGAUGUAUUUUUGGCGCUUGCGUGGUGAUUUCCGUAGAUAUGCUCGCUGCUCGUCUUAAUAAAGAUUAUGACGUAUCUCAAAUAAUUUAAUAAUUCAUGUAUCAUCAUAAUUUAAAAUUAAAUUCAUAAUUGGCGCAACUAGGAUAUAAAUAAAGAUUAUGACGUAUCUCAAAUAGACUCUUGGAGUUUCCUUGGGUACCCCAGGUAUCUUUUUUUUUUUUGUUCGGGGACCUUCUUGGCCCCAUUUCUUGCAGAAAUGGUAAAAAGCAUGCUUGUUUUGCCAUAUGUUUCUAGUCAAUAUUUAAUGAAAUCAUUCGAAUAGAGGUGCAUGCUUGCCUACCUCAUUUCGUUUAGGCAUCCAACUCUUGUGAUUGCCAUUUGUCUAUUCUUUACUUGGCUCAAGUUAAAGAAUGGAGGUGUGGGUGUGUGCAUACCUUAACGGAGUCUUAUGGCGCUAGGGUAUGCUGGUUUACCUUGCCCAUGGGUCUUCUCUGACCCUCCCUUUUUAAAUUUUUUGUAUUCUUUCUUAUUGGCUUUGACCUCGAACAGAUCUUCACGAUCAAAUCGGGUCAGAUACCCCAGGUUCCUCAGACUAUCUUGAAAUGGAGUAAUUAUAGCUGAAAGGUGCAUACAAAACACGGCGUAAUAAGAUUGAGUCACAUUAAUGGCGAAAGUUUAACCAUAAUCACAUUUGGUAAUCAAAAGAAGAACAUUACAUAAGACUGACUCAUUCUCCCAAUGAGAAUAGGAAACUGUAUAGAUAUCCACUCUCUGGGACUUAGGAAAUUAAAAUUUUCACUUGCACAUGUAGGGUACCCUAAGUACCUUUCAUGACUUUACCAUAUUACACACAUAGUAAAGAAAAUAGGAGAUAGAUAAAGUGAACGAUAGGGUUUAAGACACUGUCCUCAUGUUAGUAGUACUUCCUUAGCAUUGCGGCGUUCAGGGAUGCUUGACGAUUGUUCCAUCUAUGUGGAGUAGGCUGUACGCCCCCGAUCCUAUUGGCUUGUCUAUGCGAUAUGGGCCUUCCCAAUUUACUCUGAAAGAGCCCUCCAAGGGUAUUCGGGUGUUCUGAGUUACCCAUCGUAUGACUAAAUACCCUUUCUUGAAUGAUUUGGGGCGUACCCUCUUGUCAUAUAAAUCUAAAACGCGAUGCUGGUAUAUUGCAACCUUCAAUUCUGCUUUGGCCCUUUUUUCUUCAACAAGAUCAAGACUGGAUGCAAUGAAAGAGGCAUUCUCGGCUUCAUCAAAGUAUGUGGUUCUGUGAGAGGGUAUCCUGAUUUCUGCUAGAAUGAUUGCAUCAGUCCCGAAUGCCAGAGAAAAUAGGGUUUCCCCAGUUGAAGUAUUCUGAGUUUUCUGAUAGGCCCAAAGAACGCCGGGUAACUCGUCAACCCAAGCUCAUUUCCUUUCCUCCAGCCUCUUCUUUAGGAUACCCUUGAUGAUUUUGUUGAUGGCUUCCACCUGUCCAUUAGAUUGCGGGUGAGCCGGAGAAGUAAAUCGGUUGGCUAUCCCAAGCUCCGAGCAGAAACUCCGAAAUUGAAUUACUUCCUGUUGCCGCUGACAAUUGCAUUAGGGAUACCAUAUCUGCAUAUGAGGUUCCUCCAAAAAAAAUCAAUGGUUUUUCUCUCAGUAAUACUUGCCAACGGCUCCGCUUCUCCCCACUUUGUAAAAUAGUCAACGACUACAAUUGCAUAUUUAGCUUGCCCUCUCCCGGUUGGCAGUGGGCCAAUGAGAUCUAUAUCCCAAACAGCAAAUGGCCAUGAAGAAGACAUGACAGUUAACUUUUUUGGUGGAAGGUGGGGUACCUUGGCAAAUCUUUGGCACUUGUCACAACUCUUGACCAUAUUUUUAGUAUCCUCCCGCAUCGUAGGCCAAUAAAAUCCUUGACGAAGGGCCUUUUGUGCCAAUGAUUGUGCUCCAUAGUGGUUACCGCAAAUUCCUUCGUGUAUCUCUCUCAUGACAUAUUCGGCAUGUUCAUCUCCCAAAUACUUUAAGUAAGGGAGGGUAAACCCUCUUCUGUAUAAGGUAUCCUCGAUGAGACAGUAUCGUGCAUCUUUAUACUUUAGCCUCCUUACUUCACUUUUGUCUGAGGGCAUAUCCCUACUUCUGAGGUACCUUAUGAUUGGUUGCAUCUAGGGUACCCCAGCAGUUAUCGACCCUACUUCUUCUGGCUCAAGUAGAUUAACACUGGUUGUAGGUAUAUACUCAGUAGUGAUUGGACCAACCGACAGAGUUGAGCGUGGCUUGAAAAUGUUGUCGAACUCACUCAAUUCAAGAGACCAGCGAAGAAAUCUUCCAGACAUGUCCAACUUCUGGAGGAUUUGUCGAAGGGGAAGGUUUGUUACAACACCAAUGGUGUGGGCCUGAAAAUACGGCCGAAGUUUCCUUGCAGAGAUUAUCAAAGCCAAAACCAGCUUCUCUGUGGCGGGGUACUUAUUUUUCGCAUCCACCAUUGCCCUACUAGUGUAGUAUAUAGGCCGUUGCACCCCAUCUUCAUUUUCUCUAAGCAUCAUCGAGCUAGUGGCGUGCUCGGAAACGGCAAGGUACAAUAAAAGCACUUCUUUGGGCUUACGCUUGGCGAGCAACGGCGAAUUAACGAGGUACUCCUUUAACUUCUAAAAAGCCUCUUCGCACUCGGCGGUCCAUUGGAGCUUUUUCCCCGCUUUCAAAGCUUUAAAAAAUGGCUUGCACCGGUCGGUGGCCUUGGAGAUGAAACGACUCAAGGCGGCUAUCCGGCUAGCUAAGUUCUGGACUUCUUUGAUAGUACUUGGUGACUUUAUCCCAAGAACCGCCUGGAUUUUGUCGGGGUUAGCCUCAAUCCCCGCUGUUGCACAAUAAAUCCAAGGAAUUUACCCGAAGUCACCCCGAAUGCACAUUUCUCAGGAUUUAGGCGCAUCUGAUGCUUUCUCAAAAUAUUGAAGGUGUCUUUGAGGUGCCCAGCGUGAUCACUGGCGUACACCAACUUUAUUAUCAUAUCAUCGAUAUACACCUCCAUGGUACGACCGAUUUGCUGUUUGAAGACCUUGUUUACGAAACGCUGAUAGGUGGUGCCUGCAUUCUUCAAACCAAAAGGCAUAACCUUGUAGCAGUACAACCCACGGUUGGUGAUGAAGGUCGUUUUAUCUUGAUCGGGCUCGUAUAUUGGAAUUUGGUUGUACCUGAAGAAAGUAUCCAUGAAACUAAGCAUCUCAUGUCCCGUCAUAGCAUCGACCAGUUGGUCUACCCAGGGAAGCGGGAAGCUAUCCUUAGGACAUGACUUGUUUAAAUCCGUGAAAUCUACACACAUGCGCCAUUUUCCGUUGGACUUCUUAACCAAGACAACAUUUGACACCCAGUCGGGAUACACCAUCUCCCUAAUAAACCUCGCUGCUAGUAAUCGGUCCACUUCUUGUUCAAUGGCGUCAUAGCAUUCCUGGUUGAAAGUUUGACGUUUCUACUUAACAGGCCUAUGAUGUGGAUCGACAUUGAGCUUGUGACAGGCGAUAGAAGGCGGUAUACCCGGUAUGUCCGCGUGAGACUAAGCGAACACAUCAAUAUUUUCCUUUAAAAACUCAAUAAGUUGCUCUCGGUGUUGGUCAGGGAGGUUGGAGCCUACCUUGACCAUCUUGGUUGGGUCAUUAUUACAGAUCAAAAUAGACACAAGAUCCUUAACCAGUGCUCCUCACUUUUCAUCUUUCGGUAUCCGGGGAUCCAAGGGUACCUCAACCUCUCCUAUUGAUGCAGAACUGGGACUUUGGGGUACAUGUGGUGCCCUAGGAGCUAUUACAUCCACUUCCAUUGCCCAAAAUUCUUGUGGCGCUUGGGAUAUUUAGGAAUUCGUGGACCGUUGAGCUUUCUUACGUGCAGCUCUCCCGAGUCUAGCGAGUGCCCGCUUGGAUAUACUGGCAAGUGGCCUUGUGCUGACGGGCUACCCCUCCAAGAGCAUAUUGGAGGCAAUUUGAUAACUCAUCUUCAAGGCGACAGAGUAACAUCCUCGAGCCGAUUAUUGAUCCCCUUUGAUUGUGAUAAUUUCCCCGGCGGUUGGAAUCUUCAUGGUGAGGUAAUGCAUGGAGAUUGUUGCUUUAGUUGUUGCUAAAAAUGGUCUUCCCAAGAUGAUAUUAUAGGCACUGGGAUGAUUAACAAUAAGGAAGUCGAUCAUAUGGACCACUCGGUAGGGUACCUUGCCGAUUGUAAACGGGCAAAGUGAUGAUACCCUUGGGAAUAGCCAUGUCUCCUACAAAACCAACGAGUGGCGUGUCACAUGGAGUGAUCCUUGGCCAUUCGAUUAGUAGUUGAUCUAGGGCGCUUUUAAAGAUGAUGUCCACGGAACUGUCGGUGUCCACCAGAGUCCUCGCGACCUUACCGGUGGCGACUUUUAAUGUUAUAACCAGAGCAUCAUCAUGGGGGUAUGAGACACUUUCCGCAUCUUUCUCUGUAAAGAGAAUUGGGACGGGAUGGUCGGGUACCCGGGGUACCCUAAAGUGAUUUUGACAAGUGAAGUUCACUUCUUUUCCAAGGCGAUCCAAAAUUGGCGACUUGCUAUAACGUUUGAUGGCCCGUCUAGAUUCCCCCGCGACGAUAGGACCUUCUACUAUGACCGCCAUAACUUCCCCAAACACAAAUUCUUUUCAAAAUGAGUGAGAGUAUGUUAGUGACCAAACGUACCGGUACGCAACACCUCUUGGUGGAAGCGGGUUACGUACUCGGCUAAAGACUCCAAUUCCCCUUGCUUGAUGAAAGCAAGCUUGGAAGAUGCUAUAUCUUGGGAGGAUGCAUAACCAAACUCAUGAACAUAAUUUUUUAGGAGUUGGUCUAAGGAAGAUACACUACCUUCCUUCAACGAUCGGAACCAUGAUUUGGCAGGUCCAGUGAGGGUAUGCAGGAACAUCCGGCACAUAGCAUUGUCACCCACUCCUUUAAUCAUCAUCUGGUCACGAUACAACUCAGUAUGUUCCACGGGAUCUGAGGUAUCAAAGUAUUGUUGUAUUUGAGGCAUGGUGAACGCUUUCGGGAGAACCGCUGUCCGAAUCUCCAUGGUGAACGGCGAGUUACAUUCUGCUGGCGCUAGAGUAUUGGUGGGGUUUUGUUUUCCAGAAAUGAGCUUCACUUGAGCUUCGAGGUACUCCAUUUUUUCCAGGAACUCGCAGGGUACCCCAGGUGCAUCUGAGGAUGCCGUAGUUGUUUGGGAAGCUCUUUUAGCGUUCAACUUGUGCCGGAGAUCUUCAUGGACUUUUUGUUUAUGUUUGGUACCCUGGCUACUACGGGAAUAGCAAGAGGCAGUGGAGCAUUCUUCCCGAGAGCCGCAGGUUUGAAACUUUGAACAGGUGCCCGAUGGCCCGUGCUUUGGUAUACUUCCCUUCGGUAUUUUAGAUCUUUGUAUGAUCUGUUUCUCACCGUAUGGAGGCAGGACAUCUUGAAUUACCGAGGAAGUGGCUGCCUCGAGUACCCGAGAUCCUACUGCUCUGAGAAUCGUGUGAGCUAAAUCCUCAAAGUGUUUAUGAGUAACGGGCUCCUCGUCGGGUUGAAUACCAGUUGAUUGCUUAACUGAUUUGCUUUUCUCUAGGCGGGAUGCCCUCUUUGUUGAGUCACCCCUCUCAUCACUGUUGUGGUCCUUCGCUCUAUCAUGACCUAGCAUUUGGUUAUCAGCGGGUACGUCGGGUGCCAUAGUGGCACAAGCACAUGUACUGACAAGCUCAGCACCGUGUGGAGGCUUUUUGCUCGCUCCCCACAGACGGCGCCAAUUGUUUGCGGUUGAUUUUGAGUUAACGAAAUAAAAUCACAAAACCAAGCCAAGAACAAUAAAUUUAUUUUUUGUUGGGGAGCGGGGUGCCUUGCUUGUUCGACGCAUGCCGGUUAUUUAGGCUUUUUUUGGAGUGAAGGGGGAUUGAGAUGGCGGUGGAUAUGGCGGAGGUCUGACUUCAGAUACAGAGGGCUGGUGGAAAUUGCCUUAAACCUGUAAAACAACCAAAAAAGAGGUCAGAGGUGGAGCCGGGGGUGGCCGGCGACCACACUCCGAUGCUCAAGUCAGAGUUGGGGUAUCUCAGGUUAGAGAACUUGCAAGCUCUCGGUAAUGGAGGUUUUGAGGUUGAAGAAAUCUUAGUUUUUAGUGGUGUGCGUAUGAACUUAAUUGAUAAAAAUUAAACCUGAGUAUUUAUAUGGUGUACCCCGGUCGCCGUGCCACCUGGCGUUAUAUUAUUGGCAUUCCCUGCUGCCAUGUCAGGAAUAUUCUUAUUUUCAUGCGUAUGGCGGCUUAGGUGUUUCAAAAAUAUUCGUGGAGAGCAAGUUUGAGGUGUAUUCACAUGCUAGGCGUAGUGGAGUGGUCCCACGUACCUCUGCAAUUUCGUUGUAAUUUUACAGGUGUGGCAGGAAAAGCUGGUGGUCCCAACUGUCAUAAUAUCAAACUUUUGGCGGAUUCGCUGACGUGACAGACGGUUGUCUCCUCUUUUGUAGCACGAGAUUUCCUCACUGAUUCCUUAUUUUUUUACACGUAUUCAACCGAUCUUUUUGAGAUUCGGGGCCCACCUAUCCCUUGACAUUUUUACGAAGACUUUUUACACCCUUAUAUGGUGUACCCGAGGUACCCCCAGAGCACUUCGGGUAGCCGGGGUACCUAGGGUACCUAGGAUAUCCAAGGUACUCGAAGUAAGCUAAUUUCUUAAAUAUCGACACGUGGCGCUUCAUCAUUGGCCUCAUGUUUCCUUCCCAAACAAUACCCAUUUUCUUAAUAUAAUGCUAGACUGUGUUCUCCUUUUUCAGUUUAUCUUUGAGCAACAACUUACUUAAUGUAAUGCCAAAUUGAGGUUGUCGAUAACUUGUAGGAAUCUGCACUUAUACUUAUUUUAUAAUCUAGAUUUAAAUUCAUGUGUCUGAUGGAGCUGAAUCAUUUUUGUUUCUUUCGGAUAGUAAAUGAGACAUUGUUUUCACUAAAAUUAAUGUCAAGAAUUUCUUGCCCUAACUAUUUCUAUCUUAUUGCAUAUUUAGGUAAUUUUCUAAAAAAAAAAAAAGAAAGAAAAAAGCAACAACUGAGAUAUGAAUCUUAUGUCUAUUAUGAAGAGAUAUAAGCUUAUUUGUCACUCUUAUGUCUAAAAUUUUUAGAUGAAGAAAAAUAGGAAAAAGACAGAUCAGAUAAGUGCGUUCGUAGAGGCUCGAACAAGAUCUUAUGGUAGCAUAAGUGAUGUGGAGAGUGAACAAAUAAUUGCAAGUGAUUUUUUUUUACAAUAUUAUAAUUCCUUACUUUUGUAAAUGCUAUAAUUAAUAUUGUCAAUUUACGAGGUCAAUUCAAUAAAAAUCUGUCUAAAAUACCCAUUAAGCAACAAACAAAAUUUGUUAGAGAGCAAGUAUUCACUCAAGUGAUGGGAACUGAUGGUCAUGGAUGUGCUUGAACUUAUGGUCAAAGUCCAUCAACUUCAUAUGUCUCACGUCAGAAUGUGACUCACGGUUAUAAAAUGUUACAAAAUGAGUUAAUUCUUCUCCAGUCGAAUCACAGAGAAUUAAAAUCCAAAUACAAUGACUUGCAAUCCAAAUAUAGUGACUUGCAAUCUAAAUAUCUUGAUUGCAAUCUAGUUAUGGUAAGUUCCAAUUGGUGACAUGCAAGUCAAGUAUGAUCGACUAUGUUCAUUUUUACAGCAGUAUUUCAACUAUUGUGAUGAUAAGAUGAGUCAAUUCAUAAGUGAUCAGGUAUAACUAUUUUAACUAACAUAAUUUUUAGCUAAAACUUUACACUGCAAUCUAUUUAAUAUGUGUUCUUUGUUAAUAGGUUCCAUACACAUCCAAUCCGCAUCAUCAUAAUACAACUGCUAGUUCUAAUUACGACCUCGAGUUAUAGGUAACUUUGUAUUUUUAAUAUUUCCUUUUUUAUAUUUUGUCUAAUUCUAAAUAUUUUAUUGGUUGAUUUCUUGAUAUAUAUUUGCUCUCAAUUACUUGUUCGCUAGACAUUUGUUAAAGAAACGUGAUGAUAUGCGAACUUAGAGCAUGAAAUGAAUCUCAUUAUGUAUUUACUUGAUUAGAUUUUGUUGAGUUACACUAUUGCUUUAACUUUAGAUAUCUAAACUGCAUUGAUUAAGGUUAAAGAAGAGUAUAAAAUCAUUAUACUGAACUGCAUGGAUAUCACAGUCUAAAGAUUUAUUCUUAAUCCUUCCCAAAGUCAUUUCUGUUAUUCAUGGACAUUGGUUGUGUUUAAUAUUACUUAUACUUUUUUAACUUAUUAUUUUCUACAGACUCUUGAGAGAGAGCAGGCAUUGGGUUCUCUUUAGACUUGCUGUAGGCAUUAGAUUCUAGAGAGAUAGAUUUCAUUGUCUAUGUGUCAAUUCUAUUUUGUAUUGACUAAUAAACAAACUUAUGAUUAAUGCUUUGUUUUAGAGGACUUAAUAUUAUAAAGUUGAAUCUGUUUGUAACAAAUGAUGAUGUUUUCAUAUAAUUUUGUAUUGAUUUUUUUUCAUUUUAAUUGAAAGUAUUGCAUUAUCAUUUUAAUUGAAGAAAAUUAGAUUUGUCAAAUAUUUUAAAUUUGAAACUGCUUGAACCAGUCACCAAGGUUUUAACCUAAUGAUAUGUGUGAUUACUUAAAGCUUUCUGACAUGCUUCAAUUUUAUUUGUUUAUGUGACUACUUAAAGCUCUAUUUGUAGGUUUCAAUUUUUGUUAUUUAUGUGAUUGCUUAAAGUCAUCAUAAAAUAUGGUGACCCAUUCUAUCUUUUGUGGUGGUAGGUUCACAAUCACAAAAGACACUUUGUGAUGCCAUGUCACCAGUAAUAUAAACUCUAGGAGGCUCAUAUAUGUUAGUGCUACCUGCCAUCUCAAAGAGGUCACAAGAGGUCAUAUGUGAUGGCAAAACAACGGACAUAUAAACUACUUUUUUUUUUUGUAGUGGUAAAUGAUCUUAUUUGUCCUUCAAUAUUUAUAAAUAAGCUAAAAUUUUGAUUUGCUAUCAUAGCAGUCUAUGUUGAAGAUAUGAAUUUGAUUGCAAUUCUCAGAGAUCUCCAAAAGACUACUGAUUAUUUGAAAAAAAGAGUUUAAAAUGAAAGAUUUUGAGAAACAACUAGAUACUAUUUAGAUAUAUAGACGGAGCACAUGUCUAAUCGUAUCCUUUUCCAUCAGUCAAUUAUACUAAAAAGAUUUUGAAAUGUUUCAAUAUGAAUAAAGCUUACCCAUUAAGUACCCCAAUGAGAGUCUAAUUCUUGUCCAAAGACAAACCUAUUUUGUCCUAAACAGGAUGAUGAACAGGUACUUAGUCCUAAAUUACCAUAGUUGAAUGUCGCUCCGAUGUAUUUAGCCCAAUGUACUAGACUAGACAUAUUUAGUUUUAAACUAACUAGACAACAUUAGGAUGGUGUUAAACAUCUAUUUUUGUAUCUUUGUGGAACUAUUUAUUUGGGUUUAUUUUAUUCUAAUCUACUAACUGUUGACUUUCAUUCAUAUUCAACAUAAAAUUAGUGGGAGAUCCAGAAGUGUAAAUUUUGAUAUCUAAUUACAAAAGCGGAUCACAGUGAGGUUAUGUCACUGUAGAGAUAGAAGACAAUCUCAUGGAAAAUCUUCAUGCCACUGUAUGCUUAUGGUUGAAGGAUAAUCAUAAUUAAAGAAAAUCCUCUUAGAUCAUAUUGCAAGAGCUCACUGCCUUUUCUCUCAUUUUCAAUCUCUAUACUCUUUAUUAUGUUAUUAUCCAUACUUAUUUUAGACACAAUAGGUAUGUUGAUAUAGAAGCUAAAAAGGGUGAUUGAUGUUAACUGAAAGACUUCAUAAGACUUAAAAUCCAAUUAGAUUUACAAUAGUCAUAUGAAACUCUAUUUAAAAUAAGCUUUUAGAUGUUUCUUUUUGUUGGGCCAGUCUAGCCUAUUAUGGGGCGCCAAUUCCAACAUCUCUCUCGCACGUGAUAGGUGACACUAUAAACAAAGUAACGAGAGUAAUAAGGCUUGAAGCCUUAAAUACAAUAUCAUAUAGGCAAAUGCAACAUGUGACCUAUGAACAAGUUGGAGCUAAAAUAUCAAGAAAUAUUAAUUGUAAACAAAUGCAAAAGAUUAGAAAUUUUGUUCUUUAUGUAUCCUAGAUUUUAUUUUUACUACUUCAAUCUAAGCAUAUUUUAUCCUUUAGUAAAAUAUAUGCUUGACUCAAUAAGCUCUAUAUAUCCACAAUUGUAACUAUCUCUAUAUGGAUUACAACUGGGCAACUGGUGAAUAAACUAGUCAGAUGCAAGAAAAAAAAUCUUUUGAUUCUACUCAUAUUUUGAAAAUUCUAGACCAAUUGGUUUCUUAGACAUUUUUCACAAGCAGCAUAACAUCAAAGCCAUAAAUAACAUUCUAAAGUGGCAAACAUUAAUCUUUUACCCCAAAAUAUAGUUGACGUUGACUAAGGAUACCAACCAAGGUUCAUUUUUAUCUUGAAGGAACUUACAUAAUGAGGAAGUAAGGAUUCAUUAAGUUUUUUCUUCACUCAUUUUCCCUAUUGACCAUAAUAAGCGCGCACGAUAUGAAUCACAGUUAUAAUGAAUUCUAUUCUAAUAAACAGCAUAUGUCUAAUUAUUCACUGUACAUAUCGUUGUUCAGUCAGCACUAAAAGUGCCUGGCUUGAAUUUUAAUAAGCUUGCCUUCAUAAGGUGUUAAACUCAUAUCUAGUUUAAAUUAAGUUUCCAUGACAAUGGAGUGUAUUGUAGUUGGUCUAAUAACUUACUUAAUGUGACCUCAUCUUGACCUAGUUGAGGCGACACAUUAUUCAGAAUUACAAAACUCCAAGACAAUAUACCACAUAUCUAAUUGUUUUGUAAUUCUAUAUGUCUCAUCCCAGCUUGCUACUAUAGCAACUGAGGCGACCUCUCGUGUAAGAUAGCUGGUCUUAACCUGACGACAUAUCUUUUUACAACCUUAUAUAUGUGGUUAUGCUAGCUACACAUUUUAAGUAUUAAUUGGGUACUUCAUUGUUAACAAUUUGGUGUUAUAAGAAUAUCUAGCAAUGACAUUCUUAAUCUAUAACAAUAAGCCUGCAAAUCUGAAAUGCAAGUUAUGCAACGCAAGAGGGGGGUGAAUUGGGAUUUUAAAACUUAUGCUAAACAAUUCGCACAACAAUUUAAUCUAUUGCCUUAAUCAAAUCAAAAACAAUAAAUUCAAUAAAGUACAAUAAUAAAAGAGUAAGGGAAGAGAGAGCAAACACAACAAUUUUUACGUGGUUCGGCAAUCCCCGCCUACGUCCACGCCUCCAAGCCAACCAAGCUUGAAGAUUUCACUAUCCAAGCCUCCCAAGGCUUCAAGUUCUUUACAACUGACUUCUAAAGUGUUAAUAAACCUUUACAACCAAGAGAUUAUCUUCCAAUCUCUUCACUCAAGUGUUUCUCACACUUAAACACUCACAAAUUUGAUGAUGAAAUAAAGAUUACAACAAUGAACUCUCUUUUAGAGUAAAUGUACAAAUGAUAGCAUAAUAAAGAGUUAAUUUAUGAUGAUUUUCGAAUUUGGAAGCUCAAAAUAUGUUGUUUGCCCUUUUUUAUGCUUACAAGAGUCUCAAAAUUGAAGUUGGAGUUGAGUUUUUAUAGUUAAAGCCCGAAAACUAGCCGUUAUGGGCAAAUUUCAGCAAGCAAGCAACUAGCCGCUUAAUUUAUCUGGCUCGCCGCUUCCGAGCAGUAAAGUUACCAUUAAAUUUCAAUUUUACUACAGUAACAUUGUUCAUGAAAUUAUAUUUGUGCCCAAAAAUUUUUGUAAUUAUACUAUGGCCCAACACGUCAUAAAACUUUACUAACAUGUCCAACUUUAGAAUUUCUACAUAAUACUUGCUAUUCUCAAAAUUUUUUGAAAUUAUGAUAUGGUUCAAUACAUGAUAAUAUUUUUUAAAAUAUUCCUAUUCAAAAUUUAACAUAAUACUUAUAAAUUUCAAAGUUUUCAAAAAAUUUUCAAUUUAGUCCAAAAUUUGAAAGUGCGAAGUUUUCCUCAGGCGGCUAGCCGCUAGCCCUCAGGCGGUUAGCCGCUAACUCUCUGUCCACUUAUGAUAUUUACACUCAGGCCCUUAAACUUUUAUAAAUUAUAAUAUAGCUAAAAAGUUUCAAAUAUUUGCAAAUAAGUCCAACUCCGGAAUUCAAAAUAAUACUUAUUAAAAUCAAAGAUUGCAAAACUUUUUUAUUUACUCCACAUCUUGAAAAAUAACUAACUUCAUAAGAUACUUAGCUUAUACUUGUAAAACUUUUUAUAUGUGAAAAAAUAAUGAUUUAUUAAACAAAAUCUUGAGCUUCUCAAAUACUAAACCAUUCAUAUACUAAAUUAUACUAGCUUUACAAGAAUUGUUGCAAUAAUGAGUCUGUUGAGCUCUAAACUUUAUUCGUGAUCGCGCCGUUGUCCGUUGAGUGUCUUGAGCUUGAUUUCACGUGAUUCACUUCAUCGUAAAUAUUAUCCUUCAAGAACUAGUGAAAAUGUGAAAUAUAAUAUUUUUCAAAUUACUUAAGACACAUGUUUGUUAUUAUCAAAAUUACAAUACGUAUAGCCCUUUAGGCUAACAAAAUCUACAAUAGGUCAAGCUUAUACCACUAAACAUCUCUACUCACCUCUUUGUACUGAUCUAUACCAUAUUGUGUAUUAUAAAAUUGCAAUAUUUUAUUUAUCAAUAUGGUACAUAAAUGUCCUCUAUAUGUAAAACCUUUUUGUUUGGUUUAUCAUUUUCAAUCAUUAGUCUUUAAUUACUUAUGACAAUCUCAAGAUAUUAUAAAGAUUACUUAACAAAAUAUGCGUAUAGAAAUAUCCUCGUUAUGGACAAAGCUAUGCAUGUUUAUUAUCUGAAUAUCGUAUGUAAUAGCACUAAUGUUUUGCUAAGAUAUGUGCAUUUUUCUAGAGGUCAAUUUUCACUCAUCUAGAUUGCCAUACUUGUUGGUAUUCAAGUGCAAAUUUUCCCAUUGGUACAAAGUGUAGUUCACAGUGCCAUAAAAGUAUGCUAAAUACCUAUUUGAGAAACUCAAUGCUUUAUUCAGGAUUCGAUUAGUAUUUCUUACCCAUCUCAUAGCAUAUAUCAAGUGUUGUACAUCUCAGUGUACCUGAGACCAUUAUUGGCAUUGAAAUAAAGAACACUAGCCAUUUUAUUUUUUUGUAGAGGACUCUUCAAGGCCAUACAUUUUUCAUAUCUACAGGAGUAUCCAUUUAGCUUUCAAUUUGUCAUUUUGAAUCUUUUAAGAAUGUUUCUAAUCUAAAUAUAACUCUUAUGAUAGUGUUAAAAAUUUCUUAAAGGAUUCUAUUUAGAUUUAAAUUCCUAAAAUAUAAGCAGCUUUGCCCAUAUUUCAUUGGAUAAUCAAUACCAAUGGUUUUGACAAGAUCCUUUUUUUUAAAAAAAAUUCUAGUCAUCUAAAAAUAUCAUCUACAUGUAUAAAUGCAUUGGCUAUCUUAAAUCAUCCAAUAUUUGUAAUUAAAUAAGGCUUGAUGAAAAUUAAGAUUCCAUUAUUAAGAGAAUGUUGUAGAUAAUAUAGAUAUAUAGACUUUUUAGAGCAAGCCGACUAUGCACUUAAGGUCUUUAGCAAAAGCCUUCUAAGCAUGCAAUCUACGCACUCAAAAUCUUUAAUAAAAUUCUUUUGAGCAAGUAAACUAUGAGCUUAAAAGUUUUGGCAACAUUAUUUAGAGCGUGCAACUAUGCGCUUAAAAGCUUUAGCAACGACACCUAGUAUUUGUUCCAUAUAUAUAUAUAUAUAUAUAUAUAUAUAUUUCUUCCUCUGAUUUUUUACUGAGAUGCAUUUAUUACAUCUAUUGAUAUGAUGAUGAAUGCAUGUGCAAGUUGACCAGAAAUAAUUGCCUUAGAGAAACCUCUAAGCCAAACGUUUUUUCUAAUUUAAACUCCUUAGAUAUAACUUUUAACAGUCCAUAUUGUACUUAUGCCUAUCGCUUUACACAUGCACAACCUUAUUAUUUGCAAUGGUUUAUUUAGCAAUUGACCAACUGUGACUCGGACAUAAUUGUUAUUUAAUGACUUUAUCUAUUAAUCAUUGCUUUUAUCUAUAGUUCCUUAGAAUUUAGAGUGACAACUCUAUACAAAUAAUCCUAGCUUAUGACCAUAGUAUGAAAUAAUUGUUAAGAAAUUCCUUUCAAUCUCUAAAAGACAAUAUAGGAUUCAUUUUCAAUUAUUCCAUUGAAUUGAGUUAUCUGGUAGAGCUAUCUCAUUAGGCGUUUGUUCAUACUUGAAUCAAGAUUUCUUAGUAAAUCUAACCUAUACUCAAUUCUUAACUCAAAAGUGAUAUCAUAAAAAUGAUAAUCCAAAUCAUGAUUUAGGAUAUAUAUUUAUCAACUUCUAUGACGCUUAGGAAUUCAAAAUUUUCAAGUUUGUGGUUUCUUAUCUAGCCACUAUCUUAGCCAUUCAUUUAACAUUAAACACAUGUUUUAUUUGCUUAUUUGAAUUUUGAAGUAAGGUUAGAUACUUUACCUAUAGCUGGAGUACUUAAGUGACUCAUUAUAUGAGAAAUUAUUUAAGUAUUUAAGGUGCAAUUAAAUAGAGUAUCUCCAAAUAACAUAUUGGAAAAACUUAUGUGCUACUAUUACUUUAUCAAUUGUCUUAAUGCCUUAUCCCUUAAUUUCCACUACUCCAAGUAGUGCGUUACUAUAAGAAUCAUCAAUUAUCUAUCUAUAUCUUUCUUAUAUAUAGUGCUGAUACAACUUUUCCCGAGAUUAAUGACAAGUUAGCACUUGAAACAGAGGAAGAAGCCCAGCUGGUCGAGGAGCCCAUAAAAGGUCCAGCUCGUAUGCGCAGGGCACCAACAUACCUCAAGGAUUACAUUACCUAAGGAAUAUUCGAGAAGGAACAAAAAGAGUGAGAAAGAUGGCAGCUGUGAUUUUGGUUAUUUUGUUGUGACUGUUUUUUUUGCCAAUCAUUACAUAGUUGGUUAGUUACGCGUGUAUUGUUGAGGGCUAAAAGAUAUAUGUAGAGAGAAACACGUCAUAAAAGGGAAUGAAAUGGAAAAUAUUCUUCUUCUCUCUCUGUCUCUCCUGUUAUCUCUGUUUCUCAUCUAAUUUCAAUUCUUUUUUGCUUCUUUUUGCUGGAGUCAGCACUUACUCGAAAAGUGUAAAUCUACGAUAUAAGCUCUGAGUUGCAGAGUUGUACAAUUGGUACUUUCAUUGACUUCUUCUUCUUAAAAAAAAAUCCACCAUGACUGAGAAAACAAAGACGAUUGAUUCUGAGGUUCUUUCCGCUAUUAAGGAGCUUCUUGAGAAGCAAACGCUCUCUGUUCAUCAGACCUUACAACAAUACAUGUCCACUGUAGAUUCCCGUUUUGAGGAAUUCCAAGCUCAAAUCCGUGGUUUUGUUGGCGUUUUGAGUGGCCCUUUACGAUCAUCAGAGCCGAUGUCAGCGUUUACAGAGGGUUCUGCUGGGGGCACAAACUUUUCAGCGCUUUUACGUUCCAUGAAAAUGGACAUCCCCAAGUUUGACGACUCGGAUUCGACCGGGUGGGAUUUUCGCAUCAACGAGUUUUUUUACCUCCAUGGGACCCCAGAUAAUUUGCGUUUUGCAUUGUAUCGUUUCACAUGGAAGGGAGAGCCGUUGCUUGGUAUCAAUGGAUGAAAGCUAACAAUCUAUUAACCACUUGGUGAAGUUUUUUUGUCAGUCUUAAGAGUCGCUUUGGAGCUUCCAUGUAUGAAGACCAUCAAGGGAAUCUUUCAAAGUUAACGCAGACCUCCACAGCUGCUGACUUUCAGUCUGCUUUUGAAGACCUAAUGAACAAAGUUACUGGUAUAUCUGAGCCUUUGUUAAUUAGUUUCUUUAUCACGGGUUUAAAACCCGAUAUCCGUCGUGAGUUGUUGUUUACUCGACCGACUUCUCUGAUGAAAGCCUUUGCUCUUGCUAGAGCUUAUGAGGCUAGAUCUGAUGAAGUUAAAACAACCAGUCGUUCUUGGUCAAAAUGGCCUCCUACUACACCUCUAGCUCCACAAAAUUUCCCCCCUGUUUUACCAAAUACUUCCACUUUAAAAAUACCAAUACUCUGGCUGCCCUUGUUAUUACUACACCAAAACCACCAUCUCAACCUCCAUUAUUACCAACCCCAAAUUUACCAAUCCGUCGCCUUACUCCAGCUGAGUUACGGGAUAAAAGAGAAAAAUGGUUAUGUUAUAAUUGUGAUAAAAAAUAUAGUGCAAACCAUCGUUGCCGCAACAAAUUCUUGUUGUUGAUGGGUACUGAUGAUGAGGAGUGUGACCCGGGGGAGGAUAUGAAUGUCAUUGAGCAAACUGAGGAAGUGGUUACCGCAGACAUUUCAAUCUUGAAUGCCUUGGCUAGACAGUCCAAUCCGCGGUUUCUGUGUGUCUUGGGUGAAAUUAACGGACAUCAAUUCCAUGUUCUUAUAGACAGCGGCAGUACUCACAAUUUCAUCAAACCGCAGCUAGCUGAACGGGUUGGACUUUCGAUUCAAUCCACCUCAACUUUUCGAGUUUAUAUCGGCAACGAGGAUUUUCUGGUUUGUCGAUUUCACUGCCCGGAUGUGCCAAUUGUUAUUCAAGGCCAUGAGUUUCGCUUGGAUUUCUUUGUUUUACCAAUUGAGGGACCGGAGGUAGUUUUGGGCAUCCAGUGGCUUCAACGCCUUGGGCGUGUCUCCACAGAUUAUUCAGAGAUGACUAUGGAAUUUUUUUGGGAGGGUAAGCAAGUCCUUUUACGAGGUGAUCCUAUUCAACUCCCUAAUUUGAUCUCUUUUAAUCAAUUUCAAGCAUUGUUACACAGCGAAGAAGUUGACACUUUAUUCGAGCUACAUUCCCUCUCCAGUAACACAUCCGAAUCCCAUAUUCCUAACUCCACAUCCUCAACUUUUGAAAUCGACUUACCCACUUCCUUGUCAAAAUCUAUUUAUCUUCUCCUCCAUAAAUAUAAGGCAGUCUUUGCUCCGCCAACUGGCCUCCCUCCCCAGAGAAAUAUAGACCACAAAAUUCACCUCACUCCUAAUUGCAAACCCGUCAAUGUCAGGCCAUACCGUUAUCCUCAGUUUCAAAAAAAUGAGAUGGAGAAAUUAGUUCAUGAAAUGCUUGAGCAGGGAAUUAUUAAACCAAGUCAUAGCCUUUUCUCCUCACCAGUGUUGUUAGUAAGGAAGAAAGACGGUACAUAUCGCUUCUAUGUUGACUACCGUGCUUUGAAUGCGGUAACAGUGAAGGACAAAUUCCCAAUCCCUACCAUCGAUGAAUUAUUUGAUGAACUUGGUGGCGCAAGGGUAUUUAGCAAACUGGAUUUGAGAGCAGGAUAUCAUCAGAUCAGAGUCCAUAAACGUGACACUUACAAGACAGUGUUUCGCACGCACGAAGGGCACUACAAAUUUCUUGUCAUGCCAUUUGGAUUGACCAACGAGCCGUCCACCUUCCAAGCGACAAUGAACCAAUUAUUUACUUCUUUUUUUAGCAAAUUUGUUAUAGUCUUUUUUGAUGAUAUUUUGGUAUAUAGUUCUUCUUUGGCUGAUCAUGUGUGUCACUUGGAGCAGGUUUUAUUGCGUUUACAAUCACAUCGAUUUUCUGCCAAACUCUCUAAAUGUUUAUUUUGUCAAGAGACCAUUACUUACUUGGGACAUAUAGUCUCUGCUCAUGGUGUUCAAGCCGAUCUUCAAAAGAUUACCGCCAUGGUGGAUUGGCCCUUGCCCAAAAUAGUGAAGCAACUGAGGGGAUUUUUGGGGCUCACUGGGUAUUAUCAGCGAUUUAUACAGGGUUAUGCAACUAUUGCAGCUCCACUUAUAGAAUUAUUAUGCAAGGAUGUCUUCCGUUGGAAUGCGGCAGCCACUAAAGCCUUUAAUAAAUUGAAAGAUGCCAUGGUAAAAGCUCUUGUAUUGCUCCUACCUAACUUUGAAUUAGAAUUUGUCAUUGAAACUGAUGCAUCAAAUGUGGGAAUUGGGGCGGUAUUAAUGCAAGUGGGUCACCCCAUAGCUUAUUUCAGUAAAAUAUUGGGACCUUGGUUGCGGGCAUCGUCGACAUACAUCAAAGGACUACAUGUCAUUGUGUGUGCCGUGCUAAAAUGACGACAAAAUCUCCUCGGCAUAUUGUUCAUCGUCCAUACAGAUCACAAAAGCAUUAAAGAAUUAUUUCAACAAGUAAUCCAAACUCCUGAUUAGCAAGCUUACGUCCAAAAGUUAUUAGGAUUCCAUUUCAGAAUUGACUAUAAGGCUGGAAGCUCGAAUCAAGCUGCGGAUGCACUGUCACGUAUACAUAAAGAUACACCUCCUGAAUCACAAAUGGUUCCAGCACUCUGUUUAGCAAUGGUUAGUCAACCCUCUAUUGAUUUAUUACAAGCCUUGCUAAAGGAAAAUCCAACCUUAGAUGACAUGUUACUCUCCACAAGAAGUUGGCGGCGGGAACCUGUUGUGCAAAUUUUAAUGUACUCGCAAGCGCACGAAUCUAUUGUAGUAUAGAUCAAUGGUGACAAGUGUCGAUCCCACGAGGAGGUGGAUUUUAAUUAUGUGUAGAAUUAAUUUUGUAAAUGGGUGGUUGGAUUUAUGGUGGAAGUUAUUUGAAUUAUCCUAAAAUUGGAAUUGAAAUGGCGAGAAUAAAUUCUAAAAUUAGAAUUGCAAUGGCGAGAAUAAAUUGAAGAGAAAUGUAUUGAAAUGACGUACUUGGGUAUCUGGAUCCGUAUCAACAUGCAUCAUGGGCUAAAUAUUCCUUAUUAAUGCCAAUUAAAUCAUGAAGGGGGAAUCCACACCUCAUGAACCACGCUCUAAUCAAUAUGGUGCUAAGGGCUUAUCGUGCCAAAUAAUAAUAACCUUAUACUAGAGAGCCGGUGUAACCAAGGCGGUAUCUAGACAAGAUUAUUAUUAUUUGUCGACAAGAAGUCAAAACAUCCACAAAAACUAGAGGGGAAGUGAAAAUAAAUUUACCAAAUUAAGCCCAUGACACAUGUUGAGACUUCACCUUCAACCCAAGCUUGAAAGAAAAUUAGCCACUCAUAAUUGAAAUAGGGGCAAAAUGGGAAUUUAUUAAAAUACAUAGAAAAUACAAGAUGGAGAAGGAAUUACAAAAAAUGGAUUCAGAGAUAUCAAAUUAGGGGGAAGGCCCCCUUUUUAUAGAUACAUGGAGUAAAUCAUGGCCAUCGGAUUAAAAACAGUUUGGACGCUCAGGAUUGCGCCACGUCAUCAGUCAACAGUCCACGGUUUGACCACGUGGAUGAACAGUAACACGGUUUGGUUGAAAAUAAUCCUGUGUGAUGCAUGCACCGUACGCGAGAUUUUUCGUCCACUGAUAUGCUACCACGUCACCAUCAACAGUACAUAAGAAUUUUAGUCCAACAGGAUCGUGACACCUCAUCAGUCAAUACCACAUCAUCGGUCAAUGCCACGUCAUCGAUCCGUCUAUGUGAACAGUGCCGUGAACAGUAACCUAUACAGUACCGUAUACGCGAAUAGUACCGUACAUGUGAAUAGUGCCAUUUUUCCUUUUAUGCUCCUCCUAAGGUUUUCGACCGUCCUGAGUUCAAAAGUGAUGUCUGUUUUGCCGUCUGAUCUCUCUUUUAUUGUGAAAUGACUAUAAUGCCCCUAAAAUACAUAAAAUACUUAAUUAAAAUAACACACACGUAAUUACAUCACAAGAAGGUUAAAUAUAUAAAAGUAAGAGUUGUUAGUAAGACUUGAAAUGUAAAAUGAUGGUUUUCUCCUUUAUAAAUAUACAUUUUCUAACACUCAACACACCCCCCAACCAGCUUAUUGCUAGUCCCUAGCAAAUAAAGCGAAAACAAAAUUUAAAUUCAAAAUGAUUUUUUUUUUUUUUUAGAAACACUCGUGUUUAUUCAAUCAGAUUAAUGAUAGCAAUCAAAUAAAAGUAUAAGCAUUAUCUCCAGUCUAAAGCAACAUCACACCCACAUCAACCAUCCACAUGAAUUGGCCCAGUAGACUUUGUUAUAGCUACUUUCAAGAAUGACAUGUCAAACCCCAAAAUCUCACUGGAAGUAGUGACACUCUCACAAAGAAAUUAAACCCAAAAAAUAGUCACUCCAAUGAAUGGUAAUUGAGAGAAAAUAAUGAAGAAGUGAUAUCACAUGCUCUUACCAAGAUGAAAUAAAUAUGUCCUCAGCUUAGAAAUAAUACGAUCUCAAGUCAAAUAAAAAAAUGUUAGUCAACCCAAUUUAUUUAUUUAUUUUUUAUAUGCACCACUACAUCUUUUUAGCCCAUAUAACUAGCUUCUACUUCAAACUAUAGUUCCCUAAAAUCAAGAAGGACUUUUAUUAGGACGUAACGUAGGUUAGGGAUAUGGCUAACAAAGAAAGGAAAUAAGGAAAACAAAGUGUAUGUUUGAGAAAAAUGCAGAGAUUUUUUUUUUUUUUUGAAGUUGCAAGGUGUAUUUCACCUAUUGUUGUUUAUUUUUUAUUCUUUUGAAACAACAACUUUUUUUUUUUUUGUUUUUUGGCUUUUAUUUGGCAUAACUUCACUGAACAACAUAAUUAUUUACAUUUUCUCAAACAUAAAUAGGUGAUGGAACUUAUAAGACAUAAGGUAAUACUCCAAAUCGGAGUGGGUCAAGAUGAUAAGUUGACAAAGAAAAGGUUUUUUUUUUUUUUUUAAAGGCUUAAAAGGGGUAACUAUGGAUAUUUAAUAAAAGGGAUGGCUAGAAAGGCUCAAACAGAUCAAAGAUGGCAUUUCCAUCGUCUUUUAGGGCUCUAAAUAAUUAUCCAUACUACUAGUUAGAUGGGCCUCCCAAUGUAGCAACACACAUUUUUUUCUUUUUUCUUUUUUUUCUUUUUUUUAAUUUACAAUUUUUUUUUUAAGGGUUAACUCAAAAGCAAUUUAGAGAUCGUGUGUAAAAUAAUAAACUGCUAAGCUGUAUAAAGAGUGGGCAAAAGGGUUAUUCUCCAAGAAAAAUAAUAGGCUCAAAAACUCACUUGGUAAUUAUUAUGACAUGUUCAUUCCUUCAAGCAACUCACAUUUGUCUCCGACAUCAACAUGUAGAGCAGCAAACAUAACGUAACAUCACUUAAGACCAAAGAUAAUACAAAUACUAAAAUUUGAAAUUAAUCAUGUCAUCCAAUGUUAAAACAAAUCACACAAUUUUUUUUUUUCAAACGAUAUUCUACCCCCCAACCUAUUCUAAGCAUGAAAGGAAAAUAUGCAUGCAGAAAUGUGAAAAUGAUGUAGAAAAAUUAAUUAGAAAAAGAAUUGUUUUUUUUUAAACUAAGAAGAUGCGUUUCUAGAGGCACUAUACUCCAUAUUCAGCCAUCUUCGACUAAAAAAUUUGAAAAUAUAUAUUUAUAAAGGAGAAAGAGGAAGAAAACGGUUUUUUUUUUUUUUAAAACGAUGAAGAUACGUUUCUAGAGUAACUACACUCCAUAUUCAGCCAUCUUCAACACAAAACGUUAGCAACAGGUAGUUUCUACAACAAAAAAUCAGUAAAAACUUAACCAAGAUUCCACAAUUGUCGACUAUUCCCUCCCCCCAACCAGAACGAAACAUUGUCCUCAAUGUUUUAAAGGAAAGAAGUAGAGUUUAGAAGACAUCACCUAGGUGGUGUAAUGCCCCUAAAAUACAUAAAAUACUUAAUUAAAAUAACACACACGUAAUUACAUCACAAGAAGGUUAAAUACAUAAAAGAGAGAGUUGUUAGUAAGACUUGAAAUGUAAAAUGAUGGUUUUCUCCUUUAUAAAUAUACAUUUUCUAACACUCAACAGAACCCUUUCCCCUGAUUUUUUUGUUCACAAUGGGUUCUUAUUAUUCCGCCACCGCUACUAUAUCAGUCCAUAUUCAUCUUUGAAACCAUUAUUGCUCAAAGAAUUUCAUGACACAGCAAUGGCGGGUCACGCGGGCAUCAAAAGAACUUUGAUUCGACUGUCAUCUAAUUUUUAUUGGCCCAAAAUGCGAGCUAAUGUGGAACAAUAUAUUGUUGCUUGUCUCACCUGUCAACAAAUCAAAUAUUCCACCCAAGCCCCUGCAGGACUACUCCAGCCUUUUCCCAUCCCUUCACUUGUUUUGGAUGAAUUGCCUAUGGAUUUUAUUACGGGGCUACCCAAUUCUAAAGGAUUUGAAGUUAUUUUGGUUGUGGUCGAUCGUUCGACGAAAUCAGCCCAUUUCGGAGCAUUGCCAUCUCAGUUCACUACCCAAAAGACAGCCAUGUUAUUCACUGAAUUAGUAGUGAGAUUACAUGGUUUUCCCAGUUCAAUCAUUUUAGACUGAUAUCUAGUAUUCAUGAGCCAUUUUUGGCAAAAAUUAUUUAAAUUGAGUGGCACCACAUUACGCCACAGCAUCGCUUAUCAUCCACAAACCGACGGCCAAUCCGAGGUGGUAAACCGUGGCCUAUAGCAAUAUCUCCGUGCCUUCACUCAAGACAAACCUCAUUCUUGGUCAACUUUUUUGGGAUGGGCCGAAUUUUGUUACAACACCAGUUAUCAUAGUAGCUUGCGAAUGACACAUUUCCAAGCUCUUUACGGACGCUUACCGCCUACAAUUCCUAGCUAUUCCAAGGGCUCUACUUUAAUCCAAGCAUUAGAAGACCUGUUGUUCGAAAGAGAUGAAUUGUUGCGUUGUCUGAGAGCAAACUUAUGUCAAGCUCAGCACCGAAUGGCACAAAAAGCUAACAAGCAUCGAAGGGAAUUGCAACUGCAGAUGGGUGAAAAAGUACUGGUAUGCUUACAACCUUAUAGGCAAUCAUCUGUUGCCAACCGCACUUCUCACAAGCUGGCAAAGCACUACUGUUGGCCAUUUCGGGUAUUGGAGAGAAUUGGUUCUGUUGCUUAUAAAUUAGAAUUGCCCGCUGGUAGUAAAAUUCACCUUGUUUUCCAUAUAUCCUUACUCAAGCCUUAUGUUGGGGAUUCUCAUGUUAACAUUCAUUCCCUGGAUCCUGCAAGUGUGAACAACAAGACCCUUUCUUCCCCUAUAGCUAUUUGUGCUAAGCGCUCGGUGCUUAAACAAGGGAAGGAGUUUCGUCAAGUUUUUGUACAAUGGUCUGAUUGUGCCCCCAAAAAUUCUACUUGGGAAGAUUAUGAUGAUUUUCGCAAGACAUAUCCCGAGCUUCACCUUGAGGACAAGCUAAACUCUCAAGGGAUGGGGAAUGAUACAACCUUACCCGAGAUUAAUGACAAGUCAGCACUUAAAACAGAGGAAGAAGCCCAGCUGGUCGAGGAACCUAUAAAAGGUCCUGCUCGUAUGCGCAGGGCACCAAUAUACCUCAAGGAUUACAUUACCUAAGGAAUAUUCGAGAAGGAACAAAAAGAGUGAGAAAGAUGGCAGUUGUGAUUUUGGUUAUUUUGUUGUGAUUGUUUUUUUUAUCCAAUCAUUACAUAGUUGGUUAGUUAUGCGUGUAUUGUUAAGGGGUAAAAGAUAUAUGUAGAGAGAAACACGUCAUAAAAGGGAAUGAAAUGGCAAAAAUUCUUCUUCUCUCUCUGUCUCUCCUGUUAUCUCUGUUUCUCAUCUAAUUUCAAUUCUUUUUUGCUUCUUUUUGCUGGAGUCAGCACUUACUCGAAAAGUGUAAAUCUACGAUAUAAGCUCUGAGUUUCAGAGUUGUAUCAAGUGCCCAGAAUUACUUGGAAAGAUAUGCAUAUUUCGGUUCAUCUUUAUUCCUUACAAUAUUCAAGAAAAUCCUAAAGUAACGUAAUAUAACUGAUUUAUAGGAGAUCAUAAAGAUUAGUUCAAACUUGAUAUAUGCAUAAACAUAGUCACUAUAGGCUUCAUUCUUACCCUUUACAUUCUUUUUACUAUAAGUGUCAAAAUGGACAUUUACUAUUUUCCAAGUUAUUCUUCUACAUUAAACAACUAUUCAAUAUAUGCUUUAUCAUUGUAGCGAGUGAGCCCAAUGUUCUCUGUCUAGCGAACUUAGCCAUUUGUCUCAGUCCAAUAUGCAAAUUUUAACAUGUACAUUAUCACCACAAAAUGAUGCAUAAUGAUCAACUUUUCAUAAAACCUCUUUUCAAAAGUGGUUAGAAAACACUCAAAUGUAAAAAUCUUAGAUGGUUAAUGAUAAAGACUAAGUUUUUAUUGUAUAUUUGUCAUUGGAAAAAUAAGGACCACGCAAUACCAACUUGCAGGUGCUUAUACUUUUAACUUCUACAGCGAGUAUAUUCCCAUAUGUACUUUCUUUUCCUUUGACAAUUAUAAAAGAAAAAAAAUUCAAAAACUUUUUGUUAUCUCUAGUCCCAAGGCAUGGCUACCUAGUCUAUUUAUGUUCGAUGCAAUCACGAGUGAAUAACUGAAAUACAUGGUGAGUAAGCAUCUUUGUAUUGUCCUUCUAUUUUCUAUUUUCUAAGCAUGCUUGCCUCAUUUGGCAAUUUCUAGCAUUUGAUUGCUGAGAUUAGGAUUAAGUCCUAAACUCCCACUAGAAAAGAUUACCCUUUCUCUUAUGCUCAAAGCUUGAAGCUUUCCACAAGCUAAACUCUUUCUUGUUAAGUUGAUUUAGAAAGCAUUACUGGUUCUAUGCACUUAUUUUCUCAAACUAGUAUCAAUCACAUGAUGUUUGCUAAAAGUAUUAGCUGUCUCUAGGUGCCUAUUUUCUAUAUAUAUUUGAUUAGAAGUUCUAGUAGUCUAUUGGCACCAUUCUUCAAAUCCUUAAGGUUAUGCAUUAUAUAAACUCUCAUAUUGUCACAACUAUUAGGGUUGGACAUUUUAUUGCCUGGACCUAACAUUGACAUUUACAAUGUGUCUAGCAUAUUUGAACUCUAUUAUAUGAGCAACCUAAUACAUCUUAUUAAUAAGCUCAUAAAAUAUGUUACUCGGCAACGAGAUGCGAGAAUGCUCUUAUCUUCUAAAGAGAAGAUUUAAAGUCUCAUGAUUUAAUUCCAAAUCAUAAAAUAAAUUCAAUCAAUGUUAUAUAGUAUUCAUUUGAUACACAUUUAAUAUAUUUUGCCACAACCAUAUACCAAAUUAAUGAAAAUUUCAUAUAAGGAUUGGAAUCAAAAAGUCAUUGAGGCUUUCAAUCAUCAUCUUUUCCAAACAUUAAAUCAAUUUAAUUAUAUUUUAUUGCUCAAAACAUUUAGUUCAAUUAUUAUUUUUUCCUAGAAUCUUAAUAUUAGAACUCUCACUAUGAAUUUAUAAAUAUAAUGGGAAUAAAGUAGCCUUCAUACAUUUGUUCAUGUGAAUAAUACACCAGAAAUUUUCCUAGGAAAUCGAUGGGGUCUAAUAGUCCCACUUAAAUACCCAAUUUUCUUAGAUUAUUAUCGUCUUUUUGACAAAAUUUUUCUAGAUAUAUCAUACAUUCACAAUACUACCCUAUGCUGUAGAUUUAUUAAUCCCAAUACAUUUUAAUCUUCUUGUGUUCUCAUUAAAAUGAUUACAUUUGACAAGAAAAUAUAAUUCAUAAAUCAGCUCAUCAUGAUCAUCAUAUGGAUUAAUAAAAACAUUCAUGCUUGUCUUAAAACAAACAGUAUAAAUUAUCUCUACAAGUAUUAGAUAAUUUACCAAUAUGCAUUAUUAGGAGAGCACAUAUAUUAACGUGUUGAAACAGCUCUCAUAGAAGCAUAAUACUGUCAAUCGCAUCUCAAAAUAUUUAAAAAAUUAUUUUUCUCAAAUUUUAUCUCACUUUUAAAUUAUUAUUUUAUUUAAACAUCUUCAAAAGAAUUUAAUUCAAAAAAAUUUAAUAUAAGCAGUAAAUUAUUUUUAGAUCACAAAAUAAAAGAGGAUAAAAUUACAAGUCAGUUACCGUAAAUAGCGCCAAAAUAGAAGUUAAGAUAAUCUCUUGUUGUAAAGGUCCACUUUUAAAACUUUGGGAGGCUUGGAUAAUGAAAAACUCAAGCUUGGUUUGCUUGGAGGCGUGGACGUAAGUGGGGAUUGCCGAACCACGUAAAAAUCUUUGUGUUUACUCUCUCUUCCUUUACUCUUUUAUUUUCAAAUUUUGUUAAAUUUAUUGUUUUGGAUUUAUUAAGGCAUUAGAUUAAAUGGUUGUGUAGUUUCAUAGCUUAAAUUUUAGAAACCCAAUUCACCCUCUCUUGGGUUGCAUAACUAGUAUUUCAUUUGGUAUCAGAGCUUGGUUCUCUUAUUAGGACUUAACCGUCUAGAGUAAAAGAUCCAUGGCAACGCAAAAUGACUCAAUCUUUAGGGAAGGACAAUCCAUAACUAGACCACAUUUCUUUGAAGGUAAUGACUACCCAUAUUGAAAAACUAGGAUGAGAAUUUAUUUGAAAGCUUUAGGUUAUGAAAUUUGGCAAGUUGUUUGUGAUGGUUCAUCCAUGCCUAUGACUAAAAAUGAAGUACAAGAUGAUAUUCCAAAACCUUCAAGUCAAUAAAUUGAGUUAGAAAAGAAAAAGAUAUUUUUGAACUCUAAGGUAAUAAAUGCUUUGUUUUAUGCUCUUGAUAAGAAAGAUUUUCGUAGAGUGUCUAGUUGUAAGAGUGCUCAAGAAAUAUGAAACAAACUUGAAGUUGUCUAUGAAGGGAAAAAUCAAGUUAAAGAGUCUAAGAUUAGUAAAUAUACUCGACAAAAUGAAUUGCUCCAAAUGGAACAAAAUGAGAGCAUGUAUUGUAUGUAUACUAGGUUUACGGAUAUUGUGAACACAUUAGGAGCCCUAGGAAAAAUGUUUUCGAAUAGCAAAAAAGUUAAGAAAAUUAUUAGGUCUUUACCAAUGGAAUAGAGACCUAAAAGAACUGUCAUAGAGGAAGCUAAAUAUUUAAACGCUUUGCCUAUUGAUGAUUUAAUUGGUUCUCUAAUUUCAUAUGAGAAAGAUUUGACAGCAGAAAAUGGCAAUGAGGAAAAAAAGAAGAAAAACAUUGCACUUAAAGCAUCAAAACGUGAGAGUGAUGAGGAAAGCGAGCUUGAUGAUGAAGGCAUGGCUAUGAUGUCCAAGAGGUUAAAAAAAUUCUUCAAGAAAGCCAGUGCGCGGAAAAGAUUCAGAAACUACAAGAACUAAAAGGAGAAGAAGGAGCCAAUUACUUGUUAUGAGUACAAGAAUCUUAGAAACAUGCGAUCAAAAUGUCCUCUUCUCAACAAACUUAAGAAGAAGGCAAUAGUAGCCAUAUAAGAUGACAGGGAUAAGAAAACAAGUGAUGAUAAAGAGCAACAAGAGAUGUAAAAUCUAGCUCUCAUGGAAAUUGGGGAUGAAUUGUUUGACGAACUUGAUGAAGUAAGCGAUCUUACCUAUGAUUAAUUAUAUGAUGCUUUUAAGGAAUUGCAUGAUGAUUGGAUAAAAAUUAGCAAAAAAAUACAUGCCGUAAAAAGAAAAUGCUAGAACUUUCAAAUGAAAACGAUGCCUUGCAAAAUACAAUGAUUCAUUGAAUGAAAAGAUCAAGGGAUUAGAAUUAGAUAAUGAAAUGUUGUAUGGUAGGAUUACAACAUUUAAAUGUAAACAAAGUACUUCAUAUGAGUAUGAAAAAUCACAUGUUGAUGAAUUGAUAAAAGAAAAUGAAGUGCUUAAGAAAAAGAGUAAUGGACUCAAUGAAAUUAUGUUAAAAUUCACAAGUGGUCAAAAGAAUUUAGAAAAAUUGCUGAACUCUAAAAAAUGUAUAUUUUAUAAAGGAGGACUUAGGUAUAAGCCUAACUUGAAGCAAAAGUAUUAUAGGAAUUACUUUGUUAAAGUUACCUCCACUAGUGAUCAUAAAAUUAUUUGUCAUUAUUGCAAUCAAAAUGGUCAUAUAAAAUACAGAUGUCCAAUGAAAAGAAAUGCAUACAAUGGAGUCAAAUGUGUUUGGGCUCCAAAAGGAACCAUUGCUAACACUCAAAGACCCAAAAAGAUUUGGGUACCUCAGACUUGAAAUUUCCUCUGCAUGGUUUUAAGAAAAAGAAGAAUAAAUGACACUUGGACAGUGGUUGCUCAAGGCAUAUGACUGAAAAUUAUUCAUGGUUUUCAAGUUUUACCAAGACUUGAAAUUUCCUCUGCAUGGUUUUAAGAAAAAGAAGAAUAAAUGACACUUGGACAGUGGUUGCUCAAGGCAUAUGACUAAAAAUUAUUCAUGGUUUUCAAGUUUUACCAAGAUUGAAAAUGGUGGAGAUGUGUCAUUUGGAGAUAAUUCAAAAGGAAAGAUUAUCGGUAUCAGUAAUGUUAGUAAAGAAUCCUCUACUCUUAUUGAAAAUGUGUGUUUGGUUGAAAACUUGAAACACAACUUACUUAGCAUUAGUCAAUUGUGUGAUAAAGGCUAUAGAGUUAUCUUUGAUAAAUCGAAAUGUGUUAUUGAGAAUGCAUAUGAUGGCAAGAUUUUGUUUGUAGGAAAUAGAUGUGUUAAUGUUUACACCAUUAAUAUAGAUUGUGCAUCUACUAAUGAUAAAUGUUUCUCUGCAUUGCAUGAUGAUGGCUGGUUAUGGCAUAGAAGACUAGGUCAUGCAAGUAUGAAUUUAAUUUCAAAGAUUUCAAAAAAUGAUUUGGUUAAUGGUCUUCCAAAAAUUAGUUUUCAAAAAGAUAGAAUUUGUGAAGCUUGCUAAUUUGAAAAAUAAAUCAAAACUUCUUUAAAAAAAAGAACCAUGUCUUAACUUCAAAAUCACUUCAACUACUUCACAUGGAUUUGUUUGGACCUUCUAGAUAUGCUAGUUUAAGUGGCAAAUAUUAUGCAUUUUUUAUUGUGGAUGAUUAUUCUAGAUACACAUGGAUAUUGUUCUUUGCUAAUAAGGAUGAUGUUUUUAAUGCAUUUAGAAUUUUCUAUAAAAAGGUUUAAAAUAAAAAGGGAUAUGUAAUUUCUUGUAUUAGAAGUGAUCAUGGUAGAGAAUUUGAAAAUCAUGCAUUUGAGAAUUUUUGUAAUGAUUUUAGCAUUGAGCAUCAAUUUUCAUCACCUAGGACUCCACAACAAAAUAGAGUUAUUGAGAGAAAGAAUAGGUCUAUCCAAGAAAUAGUUAGGACUAUGUUGAAUGAAAAUAUUUUAUCUAAGUAUCUAUGGGCCGAAACCGUCAACACCGUUUGUUAUGGCUUAAAUCGUGUGUUAAUUAGACCUUAUCUCAAUAAGACUCCCUAUGAGCUUUGGAAAGAUAAAAAACACAACAUUGGUUAUUUCAAAAUUUUUGGAUGCAAAUGUUUUAUCUUGAAUGCAAAAGAUAAUCUUUGCAAAUUUGAUCCAAAAUAUGAUAUUGGUAUUUUUCUUGGUUAUUCAAACACAAGCAAAGCUUAUAGAGUGUAUAAUAAAAGAACUUUGGUUUUGAAAGAAUCUAUGCAUCCGAUAUUUGAUGAGUCUAAUCCUUCCUCUACAGAGAAAGUUGUUGUCGAUAAUGAUGUAGAUGAAGAGUCAUAACAAGGAUUAUCAAAAGAUAAAAAAGAUGAUGCAUCACAUGAAAAUCAAGAGGAUAGACAAUGAGAACAAAUAAAUAUGGAGCAAUAAGAAGGUAUGUCUCAAACACUCCCCAAGGAGUGGAGGUAUGUUUCCCCUCAUCCUAAGGAUUUAAUUUUAGGUGAUCCUUCAAGAGAUGUUACCACUAAAUUAUUAUUUAGAAAUACUUGUGAGCAUGCUGCAUUUAUAUCUAAAAUUGAACCAAACUUCUUUGCGGAUGCGGAAAAUGAUGAAUCUUGGAUCAUGGCAAUGUAAGAGGAGUUGAAUCAAUUUGAGAGAAAAAAUGUGUGGAAAUUAGUUUCUAAACCGGAAUAUCAAUCUAUUAUAGGCACUAAAUGGGUAUUUAGAAAUAAAAUGGAUGAAUCCGGUGUGGUUGUAAGGAAUAAAGCUAGAUUAGUGGCUCAAGGAUACAACCAAGAAGAAUGAAUCGAUUUUGAUGAAACAUUUGCACCUGUAGCUAAAUUAGAAUCCAUUAGGAUAUUGUUAGCAUUUUCAUGUCAUAAAGAUUUCAUUUUAUAUCAAAUGGAUGUCAAAAGUACUUUCUUAAAUUGUUAUAUUAUGGAGGAAGUUUAUAAGUUGUCUAAAGCAUUGAAUGGAUUUAAAACAUGUACCUAGAGCAUGGUAUGACAAGCUUAAAAAUUUCUUGGUGGAUAACAAGUUUUCAAUGGGAAAAGUAGAUGCUACUCUCUUUGUUAAGUAUAAGAACCAAGAUAUACUUGUUGUUCAAAUUUAUGUUGAUGAUAUUAUCUUUGGUUCUACUAAUGAGUCUUUAUGCAAGGAGUUUUCAUCUUGUAUGAAUAAGGAAUUUGAAAUGAGCAUGAUGAGAUAAUUGAAGUAUUUCCUUGGACUUCAAAUCAAACAAAACAAUAAGGGAAUAUUCAUCAACCAAGCUAAAUAUGUCAAAGAUCUACUCAGGAGAUUUGACAUUGAUGACUCAAAGUCUAAGAGACCUCCAAUGAGCACAACAAUCAAACUUAACAAAGAUUAAAAAGGUAAUAAGAUUGAUAUCAAAAUGUAUCCAGGUAUGAUCGGCUCUUUACUUUACUUAGCUGCAAGUAGACCCGAUAUCAUGUUUAGUUGUAUGUUUGUGUGCAAGAUUUCAAUCAUGUCCCAAGGAAUCUCAUUUGCUCGCUGUGAAAAGAAUUUUUCGUUAUUUGAAUAGAUCUAUAGAUCUUGGUGUUUGGUAUCCUAGAGGAAUCCAUAUAGAUUUAACUUGUUAUUCGGAUGCCGAUUUUGCCGAUUAUAAAAUCGAUAGGAUAAGCACUAGUGAAAUGUGUCAUUUCUUAGGUCAUUCUCUUGUUUCAUGGUUUAGUAAGAAACAAAAUUUGGUUUCACUCUCAACCACUGAGACAGAAUAUAUUGCCGCAGGUAGUUGUGCACAAACUCUUUGGAUGAAACAAACAUAUAGAGAUUAGACAUCAUUUCUUGAGAGAUUAUGUUCAAAAGGGAGAUAUUGCAUUAGAAUUUAUCUCUACAGAAAAAAAAAUUGCCUAUAUUUUUACAAAACAUCUUUGCGAAAAAUAAUUUUCAAAAAUUCGACAUGAACUUGGGAUAAUGACAUUUUUACAUUAACAUCUCUAAUCAUAUUAUUGAAUCUAUUAAAAUUGAUUGAUUGAUGAUUUUUUUAUGAUAAUGAAGUUUUUAAGCAUGAUAAAUGAGUGAUGUAUUUGAAUCAUUAAUCUAUGAAUGCUUACAUGUCUCAUGAUUGUGUGAUGUAUAAGCAUGAUAAAUGUGUUACAUAUUUAAAUUUAUAAUCUUUGAAUAUUUAUAAUUAUGAUUCAUGCAUUAAAAUGACUUUUGAAAGUGUUCGCGAUCACGAAAUGGUCUUGGAAUAGAUCAAAAUUAGCCGGAAAGCAAACAUUUGUGCAAAAAGGUAGGAAAAAGGCGGCUACCCGCCUGCCCCAAAUGGCUAGCCGCUUGGGCACUGCCCCAAACCCGAGAGCAAGCGGCUAGCCGUUUGCCUCCAAGUGACUAGCUGCUUGGUCACGGUUUUUAUACAUUUCUUCCCCCUUUCUCUUGCUUUCUUCAACCUUUCUCUACUCUCUCUCAUGGUUGUUCAUCUCUUCUCCAUUUCCUCCUAAAUUUUCUUCAUUUCUCACUCAUUUUCAUGCCAAAAUCAAUCUUUCAAACCAUUACCCAUGCAUUUAACCUUCAUUAAACACUUCCCAAUCAUCAUUUCAUCAUUUGUUUCUCCAAAUCUACAAAUUAAAACCUAAGUUUACCUAUUUCUCUUUCUUCUAUUUUAAGCUCUUUUUAGCUCAUUUUUUGUCCAAUUAAUACCAUACAUUGCCUUAAAUCAUCUCUAGGAUCAAUUUUAUUGAUUCAAGCACAUCCAUUUCACUUAAAAUCUUGAAAAUCCGAAUUUGGGUAUUUAAACUUGUUCUUGUUUUCAACAAUGGUUGGUGGUGAAAAAUCCAAGGAAAAACAUGUAGCCAAGAAGCACAAGGAAGAUCAUGGAGACCAUCUGGAGUUCAUAUUAACCCAUUUUCCGCAACCACCUUUUCAGAAACAUUUUCACGACAAAUUUAUGUCGAGGUUAGUGCUUGCCCCCUAUUUUGUCAAUCUUCGUCAUUUGGAGAAUUUAGCAAUUUUUCAUAAAUCUCUUAGUGAUUUUCUUAUUGAUAUGGGCUGGGAAAAUGUUUUAGUUCUUAAGGAACGAUAUUAUGAAAAUUUAGUCAAAGUUUUUUAUUCGAAUAUGGUUAUUUCUUCGCAAACUAUAAAUAAAAUUGUUACAAGUGUUGGGGGAAUACAUAUUGAGUUUGAUGUUGUGGAUUUAAAUCAUAUUCUUAGAACUCAAAUGAAAGGUUGGAACAUUAUACUGCUAGAAGCAAAAUAGAUUAUCCGUGGUAUUCAGUUGAGGAUAUUGUUCGGAAAAUUUGUAGACGUUUCGAUUUGUCUUCUAAGUUUUGUAAAUCUACCUUGAAAUCUCAAGCCUUACCCUUUUAACUUAGGAUCCUUCAUUAUGUUCUUUAACAUGUCAUUAGUCCUAGGUCUAGACAUGGGGAUGAAGUUACCCGAUUAGAUGUGGCCUUAUUGGAUAGCAUUCUAUAGGGUGGGGUGCUAAAUGUCGGUUAUAUUAUUAUUCAUCAUAUGCUUAGCACUCUAUGUAUAGCUAAACAAUCCCUUCCUCAUGGAAGCAUUAUUUCCUACAUUCUCAAACAUUUUCGGGUACCCAUAAUCGAACCAACCUUUUUGAAUCCUAAGGAAUUAAGAGAUGAAGCUAUAGCUAAUUUAGGGUUUAUAUGGGUGGAAGAUAAAUGGUGUAAAGACCAGAGAUGCAAAAACAAGGGUACUGCACUAGCUCCUACAGAUCAUUGUUUCUUUAACGAUGUUCUUCCACCAAACCAACUCCCUUGAUCUCAGAGCUCCACAGCGCUCACAUCCUUCGCCUUCCGAGGGUCCUUCCCAUUCUAUUUCAGCAGACCCUGAGGAUCCAAUGUAGCAGCUAUUGACUGAAGUGCAUUCUCUUUCCGAGCAGCAGAGCCAACUUUAGUCCCAGUUUGAGGCCUUUCAAAUUCAGUCCACUUCGGAGCAACAACGCCUUUUUAAGCAGUAGCAGCGUUUAUUUGAUCAACGGCAUCGACUCUUUGCUCAACAAUAGUAGCUUCUUGAUGGCCAGCAAUGACUUUUCACUGCUCUUAGGUUUCCACCACCAUCCUCCUCAUCACAUCCACCAUCUCCAUAGUGUUCUAUAAUUUUUUAUCUUGAUUUCAGUUCUUCGUUUUAUUUUGCACUACAUUUUCAUAUGCAUUGUUGUUUUACUUAUGGAUUAAAGAUGAUUGUUGUUUGAUAUUUAAAUGUUUUAUAUUUGGAUGAUAUUUUAUGGAUUCUGGGAUAACUCUUUGGUUACUUGCAUGCUUGAUUUUAUAUGUUUCUUGAUUAACUAUUGAGAUGUUAUUUUUGGUCUGAGCAUGGAGUUAUAGUAAUUGUUAUGAUGAAGAGGGAGAAGUCAUGUAUUUUGAUUUUGAAAUAUUGAUGCAUGAUUUUGAAAUAUCUAGGGGGAGCAUACAUUUGUUAAAGAUCAUGUAUUCAGGGAGAGUUCAUAGUUCAUUUAUAUGUUGAAUUAUGUAUAUCAUAUAUUAAGGGGGAGUAUAAAUGUCAAAAUACAUUAAAUGUUUAUCAUCAUAAAAAAGGAAGAGAUUGUUAGCCUAAAGGGCUACACAUAUUUUAAUUUUGAUGAUAAAAAAACAUAUGUCUUAAGUAAUAUGAUAAAUAUUGUAUUUCACAUUUUCACUAGUUCUUGAAGGACAAUAUUUAUGCAAAUGAAUCACGUGAAAUCAGGCUCAAGGCACUCAACAGAUAACGGCUUGAUCAAGAACAAAGUUUAGCUCAUUGGAGUCAUUAUUGUAACAAAUUCUUAUAAAGCCUGUAUGAUUUAAUAUAUGUAUGGUUUAGCAUUUGAGAAGCUCAAGAUUUUAUUUAAUAAAUCAUUACAUCAUUGACAUUAAGUGUGAAAUGAUCAAAAAAAUGUGUAAAUCACACAUAAAACUAGUAAAUUGAUGGAAAAUAGAGUAAAUUAAUGUUGAAGUUGUCAAUUACACGAAGAAAUUGUAAACAAAACAAAAACUUAGAAAAAUGACAUAAAACUUGUAAAUUGACAUUAAGUGUGAAAUGAAACAAAAAAUUUAUAAACCACACAUAAAACUAGUAAAUUGAUGAAAAAAAUGGGUAAAUUAAUGUUGGAGUUGUAAAUUGCAAGAACUAGUAAACAAAACAAAAACUUAGAAAAAUGACAUAGAAAUUGUAAAUUGACAUUAAGUGUGAAAUGAAACAAAAAAAAAGUGUAAAUACACAUAAAACUAGUAAAUUGAUGGAAAGAGAGGUAAAUUAAUGAUAAAGUUGUAAAUUAGAAGAAAAAAGUGUAAACAAAACAAAAACUUAGAAAAAUGACAUAAAACUUGUAAAUUGACAUUAAGUGUGAAAUGAAACAAAAAAAAAGUGUAAAUACACAUAAAACUAGUAAAUUGAUGGAAAGAGAGGUAAAUUAAUGAUAAAGUUGUAAAUUAGAAGAAAAAAGUGUAAACAAAACAAAAACUUAGAAAAAUGACAUAAAACUUGUAAAUUGACAUUAAGUGUGAAAUGAAACAAAAAAGUUGUAAACCACACAUAAAACUAGUAAAUUGAUGGAAAAAUAGAUAAAUUAAUGUUGGAGUUGUAAAUUAUAGGAAGAACUUGUAAACAAAACAAAAACUUAGAAAAAUGACAUAAAACUUCUAAAUUGACAUUAUGUGUGAAAUAAAACAAAAAAUUUGUAAACAACAUAUAAAACUAGUAAAUUGAUGGGAAAAUUGAUAAAUUAAUGUUUGAGUUGUAAAUUGCAAGAACUUGGGAACAAAACAAAAACUUGUAACUAUUGCAUAAAACUUGUAAAUCAACAUUAACUUGUAAAUGUUGUGUAAAACUUGUAAAUCACACAAAAAAUGUAACUUGUAAAUGUUCCAUUUUAAAGUGGGGUCAUUCUAUAAUGCCGUAAUCUGCACUCAUUUAAUUAAAAAAGAAUUCAAAGCAAAACUAAAAGACACAAAUUACAUACAUGUCUAGGAGCCAUAUCAAAGGUGUUAUAUAACUUGUCCAAUUAAUAAAUUCUCUUAGGGGUCAGAACGUGCUCACUCAUUUCCAAAGCUAUUAAUGAUAAGAACUUUCAUCAUUAAUUGAUAUGGCCAGUGUAGAAAAAAAAUGAAAAAUCCCUCCAACAUCAAAGCGCAAGGAUAAGUUUAGAAUUACACUUUUUAAAUUUUGGUUAAUAUAUAAACGUCUAUAUGAAAAUAGAAAAUCGUUUGGGAAUAACUUUUUUUUUCUUUUUUUAAUGAGUGUAGAAAUAAAAUUUUAAAAUCGCCAAACCGAAAAGAAAAACAGGGGAAUGAAAAGAGAGCCCACGUUUCUCCUCUGUUUUGUUUUUAUUGUUAUCAAACAUGGGAAUGAAGAGAUCAGCUCUUGUCGCAAGCGCAAAUUUUUUUAUCUACCUUUUAAAUGCAGUUGAUUGUAAGUAUAUCCUCGAUCCCAAGUACUUAGAAGUAAAUUACGCAGGGGUCGUGGAUUGUGCGCGAAAGUGCUGGAAGCACCCAUUGUUUAUUAGGAAAAGCAGUUGAUUGUAACUAUAUAUAUCUGCGGUCCCAAGUACUUAGAAGUAAAUGCUCUUGGAAUUUCUAUUGCAGUUCAUGAGAUGUUUCCCUUUCAAAUAGCUCGUCUGAUACCAUUAACAUGUUCAUCUUUCUGUAGAUUGAUGUUGACAUAGGUUAUUCUACUGUUGCUAGUGUAGUUUUGGGCCUUGCCGUAAUUGGUGUAAUUACGACAUUGAUAGUUGACAUGGCUUUCCUUGUACAGGUAUGCAUGAUUGUUUUUUUUGCACUUGUAAAUGGACACCACGGAAAAGACAUGAUUUUGAGAUAUUGCAGAAUAAUUUGCAUUUUUGCAUGCUGGAAUGUUCUCAGAAUGGUAUAACGCUUCGCGUCUCUUCUUUAUCUUGCUCUUUUGUAUGCAGGCAAAUACUACAGAUGAAUUACCGGAGCGACUGAUUGGUGUUAUACGUGUUUCUCAUAUAGAACUCAAGUCUGCUAUUGUCCCAAAGUUGGAACCAGAAACAUCAUGACUCUGGCUCCUUUUCACCUCAACUUUUUUUUUUUAAAUUUAAAAAAGCAUUUGUUUUAGGUAUACAUACAUGUAUUUUGAUCCCAUUUUCAUUGUAAUUUCUCAUUUACUUUGAAUGAAAGUCAUUGGUGUUUCCAAAUGGGAAUUUUGCAUUAAAAACAGAAGAAUAGUUAAUAGGAAAUUUUCUGAUUCUUUAGUUACUAUUUUUGGAAUGAGUGUGAUAGCAUUAAAGUUGGUUACUUGGUUUCUUAAUGUUGUACUCGCAAACAAGUAAACUGCUCGAUUCCCAACUGCGACUUAACUGGUUUCUAACUUUUUUGUAUACACUAAUUUUUCUUAUUUAAUAAGUACUACUAUUAAAACUCAACAACUAACAAAGAUACUAAUAAAAAAAAAUGAUUUUCUUGUGAUGUUGUAGAAAUAAUUAUGGGUUUACUUAUUUCCACAAGAUCUGUAACAAAGUCUUGACUUCACGAAAUUCUUUUAAUUUAAAGCGCGCUGGUCUGAGAAGGUCAGUUUGAUGGAUUAAUUCCUUUUAAUACUGGUCGAGAUAAUUUUAGUAUACUCAUAAAAAAUCUUACUCUGAUAAUGCAUGCCACAAAUGUUAUCAACAUUGUCUUGUGCUGUUUCCUUUACCUAAAGAUCCUCUAUUAAAACAGGUUAGAAAUCAAAUGCUUAAAAUACCAAUUGAACAUAAAAUACAGAGGUUUAAACAAAAUCUAAUUGAAUAUUGCAUGAAACAUGAAUCAUCAAUUCAAGUCGUUCCUUAAACGGAGAAUCCAUCAAACAAAUCCAAAGUGUCUUGCAAGUCUGUAGCAUGACAAAAAAAUUGUAAAUAAGUUUAUAACCAAAUUAUUCCGGUACAAGAGAACGAGCAAGAUGAAUCAUGUACAAGAGAUUGGCCUGGUUCGAGAUAGCUUUUUCACUGUACCUAAAGGUUUGGCUCAAUCUCUUCUUUAGAAUUCUGUACAUUUUGUAAUUACUCGUGUAAGCAGGCAUACAUCACCACCAUAACAAUAAUAAAGCAAGAGUAAUGAUACCGCCACAACCUCUUGUGCACAAACAAUAUUGUAUAAAUUAAUGUGACACAAUAUGAUUGCUUAAACAAAAAUAUCACAUGACCGUCAUAAUUUAUUUAUUAGUAUUAUAUAUUUUCAGUAAACCAAUCAUAUUAUGCCACAUUAGUUGCUAUAAAAAUAAUUUGCUAGAUAGCGCCAACACUUAAUUGAUACUCACCAUUUCAUUGAACAAGUUUUUUAUGGUGUCAUUGAGGUUGCCUUCCCAACAUCCUUCAUCAUCAUAAUCUACUUCGUCAUCAUCUUCUUCUUCGGUGAGUUUCACUUUGUUUAGCUUUGGUGUAUCUAUGACUCCUUGAGAGAAAAUCAUCAUCUUUGGGCAUCGCCUCGCAAUUACUUGUUUCAAGGAUGGGAACUUGAGAGUGUAAUUACCCGAACAAAAGCUUGUUAGCCUUGGCAAACAAUCAAGUGUCAAGCACUUCAAUUUCUUGAAAACAAUGCAAUCUUUCGUUUCUUCUCCAACCUGCGAUUGUAUGAUUUCUUCUAUCAUUUUGCAAUCUAGCAUUAUCCUCCACCCUGGUGCUCUGCUCCUUCCUUGCAUGUCAUCUAUUACCUGUGUUAAUCUGCGCACUUCUUCUUCUAAUUGUACAGCACGACCAGGGUCACGUGCUGCAACCUGGUCUCGUUCUUGCUCAACGUCAUGCAGGUGUUGCCGAAGUUCUCUUUCCUCUGCAUUCGCCAUUCCAUCAUCGUUGUCAAAGUUCUGUCUCCCUGGGGAUUGAUCUUCUCCUUUGUGACUUUCCCCCCGUAGAGAAGAGUUACCUCCCUCACCACCAGAUCUUCUGGUAGACCGACUUCUCAUCAAGUUAUCGUGUCCUGGUGUCAUUCCGCCACUUCUCACCCCUUCCUCAUGAACUCCCAUUCGUUCACUCCUCAUUUUGUGUAAGAUGGUUGUCAGGGUCUCCAUCUGCUUUUCCAUCCGUUCCAUCCGGUCAUACAUGGCUUUUUCCCGUGCUUCAUUGGCUAUCUCUCUCAAUGUCACGGACUCGUUAAGCCUCAAGUCACCUCCUUGUGCACUACUUCCUCCCACAUCCAUUGUUUCUUCACUUGCUUUCUUCUUCCUCUUUCUAUCAAUAGAAGCUUUUUUAUCAGCUCCCCACAGACGGCGCCAAAAUGUUGAUGCAAGAUUUUGGUUCUCUGCUAGACCACGACCAAAUCCUCUCCUCAACUAACUCGACCACGAUCAGGAUCUCUCCUUGUAAGACUUCUUCUCUACAGACUCCUGCGUACACAGAAACAAAUCAAAGCACGCCGGGUGUUUCCCGGCGUAAACCCUCCUACGCUCAAGUCAGAAAUGAAGGUUUCGAGUCCCUGGGAAAGUUAGCCACUAAUCUUAUGGCUUAUUUUCAGUAUCAAUUAUUCAGAGCUCUCUUUAUCUCAGUUUCAAUGUCAAAAAAUCUAACCCUUUUACCUUCGUUGGCUACCUUUUUAUAGGCUCCCUCUGAAUCUCGGCCACUACCAUUACCUCCCCCAACUCUCGGACGUGGGCGCUCCGUUAUCUUAGUCGUGGCUGGAUGGACUUCGUGCCUUGAUUCUCGGGUAGGAAGGCACGUCCUGCCAACCGUCAUUGACCGGGUCUCCUCACCUCGACCUCUAGCAGGAAUCGUUUUAUGCUCCUGGCAGGAGGCCGGCUCCCGCUAUGGCCCCUUGGAGGGUGCAUUCGUGUACGAGCAUAACAAUCCUGCUCGUAUUCCUCUACUACCAUACCUCUGCG
This 361400-nucleotide long non-coding RNA is filed under the name Citrus maxima (pomelo). RNAcentral's name for it is "long non-coding RNA (CMAX_LNC003844)". The stretch from base 148190 to 148296 matches the Rfam family "Plant small nucleolar RNA R71". The record is from RNAcentral. Lineage: Eukaryota; Viridiplantae; Streptophyta; Magnoliopsida; Sapindales; Rutaceae.